CAUUCUAUUUUCCCAACAAAUGACCGAACCAAGUUUUCCAUAUGGAGUGUCAUAAACUGGAGUUGUCGAGCAAUCUGCGAAACCCCAGAAGAGCCGCUCCCAAUAUGUUGGCACGAGUUUCCUAUGUUUUCCAAGGUAAUUACCUUCAGGAUCAAAGAAGAGAACAGUGCAAUACAAUGUGUAUCCAUCUCUCACAACAACACCUGUCACUAAGUAGACUUUGUAUUUCGCAGCCAUUGAUGCCAAUCUAUCCACUUCAGAUCCUGAAAAUACAUUAAUAUGAGAUCAAAGAUGAAAUAUGUAAGCUGAUGGUUCAUCAAAAAGCAUAAGUAGAUUUUUUUUCUUGGUUCAUUAAUCAAACAUGUCUUGUUUCAAUAACUAAUUAAGUGGUUCAGUUCUUUAGCAAUUUAAGGGAGAAAGAGAGAGGUAACUGACCCGGCACAUUAAUGGCAGAAGCAUGGUACUUGAGGAAACUUUCUUUCCCUCUUGGUGACUGGUCGGCGAAGUUGUAUCCCCGGGGAUACCCACCGAUAAAUGCUUCAGGAAACACAACCAGUUGGGAUUCUACUGCAGCUGCUUCUUUCAAAAACCUCUCAGCCUUAUCUUCUCUCAAAAAAUGUAACAUGGAGAGAUCAUAUAUCAUUCCCGUUGAAAAAUUGUAACCAUGUAAUUUUAAAUAUUGGAGGGUACAUUACUGAAUCAGCAAUAUACAAACCACCCUAUAAGUUAAGGAAUAAAAUAUAAUAAAUUUAUUAAUUUUUAUAAGUUAUUUUUUUAUGAAUAUAAUAUACUCUUAUUUACUUUUAAAAAAGAAUUUAGUAAUAAGUAAUUUUCCUCAUAUGAAUGUUUGUUUAAAUUAUUUUGAUUUUAAACACAUAAACUUCGAGUGGUAGUGGGAUAUGAGAAACAUUGAAAGACUUUUUUUAGGUUUAAUAAGUGAUUUAACUAAAAAUAGUUUUAAAAGUACACUUUGUUGAAAGACUUUCCAACUGAAUUAUUAACAUAAACACCGUAUAAACACUUUGUCCAUUAUCUAUCCAACAAAUCAUUUUCUCCUAACAAAAGAAAUAUUUUCGUUAGAAUAAGCAGAAAAAAAAUCAUAUAAAUUGAAGGAUGGUGUCGAAUAGAAAAAUAUUUCUCUUCAAGUCGCGAUAAACUGCUCCACCUCUCAUCAAAUCAACUCAAAUUCUUGUCUAUUCAAACUUUCAACGUAGCUGGCCUACUUCAUCUCUUUUAAGAAGCCACACCAUUUUCAAUAAAGUUGAUCCGUACCUGCUAUCUGUUCAGAAAUAACUUCCUUUCUCGAUAAAAGGUCUUCUUAUGAAUUAGGCUUGUAAAAAUUUCUUUGUUAUUUAUAAAGAUUAUAAGAUCAGAGUGCUUAAACUUUAAUGCCCUCAAAAGGACUCUCUUCUACAUAUAUGCCAUUUUCCAUAAUUACGUCCACUUUACAGUGUCAAUAAAUUGUUGGACACGUUAUUUUUAAUUUUUAGUACCAUGGAGCUGUUUAAAUCCAUUCCCAUUUGACUUAUAUCCUCCUCGUGGAGAAGCCUGUAUAUCUCUUUGGAAAGUAAAUGAUUCUUUCCUAAUUCCUCACUCUCGCUUCUCAAAAGCAUCUCUCUUUCAUUCUCUCUUGAAAAAAAUUUCAACUCAUAUAUACUGAGGUGAGUUUGAUUCUUUUAUGGUUAGCUUUAAUUUUUCCUGAUUAGGUUGAUGCUUUUACUGUUGGUUGAGAGUGGGAUCAACGAAUUGGAUACAGAAAUGGCCCCUUGAGCUCUUUGGAAGCUCUUUUGAAGAACAAACCUCCAACAUCUAUAGCUCCUUAGCCUGGAGCUACGUAUAUUCUUAGCUUUAUAAUCUUUUGAUGUUGUGGUUUAGUUUGAAGGUCUGAUACAUUGAUACCUACCUCUGAGGGUUAUCCUUUUGAAUUACUUGAACACAAGCAACAGUUUGUGGUGAGUGCUCUCAGUACCCUAAAUUUCUUAAUAUUCUAAUACAAGACAACAACUUUUUACUUUUAUUUUUUGCAAUAUAAGUUGUUUCUUAUGGAUGAAAAAUCUUAAUGGAAUGAGCAAAAUCGAAAAAAGGUAUGUAAUCAUUUAAAUUUUACACAUUUGAAUAAAAUUCAAACAUUGAAUUCAAUCAUGUCACACUUACAUACGUAACUCCGUGUUGAACAUUUUCCUACUUAUGCCAAUAAAGUCAAGCUUAUUUAAAUGCAUGUCCACUUAGAACUUAAUUUAUUUAGAUUCAUUAUGAUCUUUGUAAAUAGUUAUUAUAUUAAUAUAUAAAGAAAAAUAUACAUAACUUUAUAAAUUUCAUAAAUUAUUUUUGAAGUGUGAAUGGCAAGAAGUGAACAAAUAUAAAAAUUGAGGAAUUUUGCAUCAUCUCUCCUUGUUGGAAAAAAAUUAUGAAAUUUAUUUUCAAUUUGGGGUUUAUGAGAGGUUUAGAUUAAUUUUGAGGAUUGCAAACAUAGAUAUGAAAUCUUUGUAAAUAUCUUUAACAUCUUUCAUAAUUGGAAAAAUUGUGUUUUGGGCCUAGUUGGGUCCAAAAAUUAAGCUUUGAUCCACAUAAGUGAACCAUUUAAGCCCAAGACUAAGUGUCAAAAUUGAGAAGAAUGAUAUGAAUUUUUAAUAUUUCUAGAAAUAGCCUUUGUUGACUAUGAAAUAAAAAAAAUAAAAAAAUUCAGAUAGGAUAUCUUGCCCUAAUUUUGCUCACUCUUCAACAUUUUAGUCUUAGACAGUGGUUGUUUUCCUUUCUCCCUCCUGAUUUCCUUCCUCACUUCUAUUUCAUCUUUGUGCCUCUUUUCUUUUCUCUCAAUUUCAUCUCUCCCAACCAUUUGAUUUUAGCCCAAAUACAUUGUCGUAAUCUCUCUCCCAAUUUAAGUUCGUCAUCUAUUAUUCCCUCGUCAACCCCCACUAGUGUUGCCCUCCGUGCCGACCAUAGUUGGAUAUUUGAGGUUAGUAGGUUCUCCAACAUUGCCCUAAUCUCUCUCUUGAUUUUAGUUUUUUGUCUAUUGUUCCCUUGUUGAUCCCCAGAGGCGUUGCCCUCUGUGCAAACUGUAGUUGGAUAUUUGAGGUUAGUAGGUUCUCUAAAUCUCGCCUUAGAUUUGCUUAAUCCUAUAUUUUGUUUAAUCCUUAUUCGUAUGAGGAGAGGGAUUCUCGUUUUCUGUUAACCUUCAGUUUACAAAAUCAAUUUUGGGUGCUAUUAAUAUUUUUUGUAAAUCUAUCCCAUAAUGGAAAUAGUUCUUAUUUAUUGUAGUGUUUUUUAUGCUGAGAUACAUAGGUGACUUGUAAAUUUUUGGUGCUUGGCUUUUUUAUUUUUUACAUUGACAGAUUUUUCCAACAUAAUUUUGGGAAUGGAAUGUUUCGAAAUUAAUAUUUGUUUUUUUUUUUUUGAACCAAAUUAUGGGAAUGAAAUGUUUUGAAAUUAUUCACUAUCCCUACAUAAUUUUUGGAUAGUAGUAUUCAUCUAUACCUUGUUUUAUUAGUGAUACUCACUAGUGGCCCCCGUUUUCUAUAUCAAGAUAAACAAGCUUAGUUGUUAUCUACCUUUUAUGAGUGGUUAUGAAUUGUUCUCCUCAUGACAUAAAUUGAAACCAUUCAUGCGCUUGAAUACAGUGAGUAUCUAAAUGCAAUUCUAUAAUGGCACCAAGAAAUACAAUGUGCCAAUAUUCUUUAAAAAAAAAAAUUAUUGACCAUGUUACGUUUCAGCUUUGUAAACCAGGGUCAUGGGAUCAAAUUCAAUAAACAUUGACUCACACUUACCUCAAUAUGAGCAUAAACAUGUGUUUUGUGUGAAGGAAUGGAUAGCUUAUAUGACUCAUCAACACCAAUUUGUAAUUGUACAACACACAAAAUUUCAUUGGCAGAAUUUACAUUUCUUCGUUAAAAUAAACAAAAUAGUGCAAACUGAAACGAACUUCGAACAACUUUUAGACACUUUCAUGUGAAUAUGAAAAUAAAGUUCUAAUGAAAAAGGAAAUCAUACACUACUAUUUUCCUUAAGGAAAAUAUUUUUGUUCCAAACCUUCGACUCAAGGUUUGAUUUCCACAUUAGAAAAAUUCUCAUCAAAUAGAAUGCACAAAACAUUACUAUAGUUCCCAUACCAAGUCAAUUUUUAAAUUUUUGUAAGCAUAAAUUGAAAAUAUAUGAACAGUAAAACUCUUAUGCAUUACAAGAACUAAAAAAUGAAUCUCUUAUCUUCAUUCAGAAAGAAAAAGUACUUAUUCAAAAGUUAUUUUCAAAUUAUGAUUUAACUUCAAUAAAUAAAAGGGUUUGCUUGAACAAUGUCAAGUGUACUGAUUGGACUUGGUUUUCUUAAUCAAGACUAUGAAUCAAUGUUAAGUUUGCUUUAAUGAUAGUAAGUUUUUGAUUAUGUUAGUAGCUCUGAGUCAUAUGUGCAUGAGCAUAAGUGCAAAUGAUUCUAUGAACAAGUUGUGGAACCUCAAAUUAGUUCAUCAAUGUAAGGUUGAAGACCUAAUAGGCUACUUCAUUCAUAGGAACCUGAAUUGGUUUAUGAAGAUUAUGGAGUAUAAGAUCACAUAUGUUAUUGAGGAAGCUGGGAUUUAGGGCUUGAUAGUUAAAAGUUAUAGUAGAAGUGAUAUUUUGAUGCCUAGGUUAAAUGUUUCAACAACUACUAUGUCUCAUAUAUUUGUUAUUUUCUUUGCUUCAGUGCAUUAUUUUGAUUUUAGAGAAUGUUUUAUAUUUUUUCAUGCUUGUCUUUAUGAAAAAAAAAAAACCAUUGAAAAUUUACCAAUGCUAAGUCAUGCUAGGGUGAGCAUCUCUUAGGGUCAGACAACGCACCCACUACACUUUGGCCCAUGUAGUUGCAAUUGUCAAUAUAACAGAAAGAACACAAAAUACACAAAAAGUAACCAAAUAUGUUUGUGUUAUUACCUAUUAUUAGAUCAAUUGAUUGUGAAUGGAUUGAGUAAUUAAUAGUUACAAGUUAUUCAUCAUGAAAAAUAUGAACCAAAUUUCUAUCAAGUGUACAAACCCGACCUAGGAAACAAGUCAGCAACUAAAAAGCUAGGCAUUGAACUACAACAAGUGUUUAUCUACCAAUUAUAAUUGUUCUGCUAUACAAAUCUUGUUUAUCCAUCAAACUAGAUUGAGGGUUAUUUCCUCUCUAAAUUUAGAGUCAUAUGGUCUUCUUCCCUCUUGUCCUGAAUAGAUGGUUGCGUCUAGGUUUCAACUAACAUAUUCAUUUUCUAGUCAUUUAUCCAUCUUAACAUCUCCAUUUUAGCGUGCUUAUUUUAUGUGGGCAGACACCAUUACUAUAGUGCCUGUAUCUAGCAAAAUCACCCUUUAAUGUUAACCUAACAACCUAAAACCACUUCCCCACAACAACUAUCAUGCUUUAAUCUUGUAGUUAAUGUUCACUUCAUUAUCCAUAUAUAAAUGAUCAAUUGAAAGAGAACCAAAUAGUCACUUGGCCAUCAAUUCUUACAAUUCCCCCACCUCUACUCUUGUAAAAAUUUAGAAAUUCUAUUCUAGGCUUAUUGGUUUUUUUAUGGAAAGGCAAACAAAAAAAAAUAAAUUAUGCCACUCAAAGAACACCACAAGUACGUGGGACAAUUGUACUCUAGUUAGUGAAGUUAUAUUUUAUAAAAUUUAAUUUCUGUUUAAUUUAAAAUCCUUAGAUUGGAAGGCUCCUUUUCAUAGUUAUAACUUAAAUAAAAUCCAAAUGAUUUACACGUCACGUAGGAAAAAAGAUAAGGGUCUUAUGUGAGACUUAAGAUAAACAUGAUUUGGAAGUGAUUUACCUAUUUCUCUUUCAAUACUCAUGCUUUUCAAUGUAUCAGUUCUUUAUCACAUUAAUACAUCUUGUGUCCAUGCUCUCAUUCAAAACUUGAACUUCUUUUCCUUCCAUCAUCAAAUCAUUUUGAAUCCUUGUCGAUGAAAUGGGAUGGAUGGAAGUGAUAGAAGCAUUUGAAAUGAGCUCUCACUAACAUCAAAUUCCUUGCUUUAGAUAAAAUUCCCUUCCUCUAAGAGGUUGUAUGUCUCUUAACAUUUUUUAUCACUACUACGAUCAAUGCAAAGAAGUUUGAGUAGUUGUUGCUUUGGGAUGUGGAGGUAGGGGGUAUAAAACCUAGCAAACUUGCUUGGUUGUGGGAAGGGGUCAUUCCAACUGCUUUGUUCAAAUUCCUCUUAGGUGAAAGCAACAUGAAAUGUAGAAGUGGGGAGGUUAGCAGUUUAGAAAAACAUGCUGAGUGAACUCAUGACUUCCUAACGACUAAGACUCCAAUAGCAUUUUAAGCUAUCGAAUUGCCCCAAAUCAGCUUGAUGUGCAUUAUUGCCCCAUCAUUACCUUACAUCUAAACUUUUGAAUCAACUUUGUAACUUAACUUUGUAUCAAGGGCCAAGUUGUUAGGAAGUCAUAAGUUCAAACCUCAUCGUAUUGUUUAUUUCUCCAAUUUAUUGAAGCUACGUGCAAUUCCAAAAGAAAGUAAAGGCAUACAUUUUUCUUGACUUUCAUAAUUUAUGCUUGAUAUGAAUAAAUGUUGAUUACUUAGGGUAUAUUUGGAUAUAUUUAUUGGCUAUUUUUUGUGUUUAAAAUCAUAAAUCAAAGGAUAGUAGGAAUUUUUGUAAAAUAUGCAAGAACUCUUUAAGGUUGAUAUAUAAAAUUGUGGAAAAAAAUUAAGGUAUUAUAAAACUUUAAAUAGUUUAAAAUUUAAAUAUUAAAAAUUAAAGUUCAAUUUUUUAAUAUAAAAAUAGUUUUUUUUUAUUAUAAAUUUUUUUGUGUAGUAUUUAUUAAUUUUUAGAGAGAGGGCGUGAGAAAUGUAUUUAUAUCAAUUUACAUGAUGUGUUUUAAGGAAUGUACAUUAUGACGCAUUAGGAAUGUUAUGUUACUUGGGGCUAUAAAUUAUGCGUUUUAAGAAAAUUGUCUUAGUCGAUGAAUUGGUAUUUCAAUAUGAAUUAUACAGUUAUCUUAUUUUAUUUUAUUUUCUAUUGAGAACAGUAGAAGACCAAAAAGAGUUAUACAUCCAAAUGACUUAAGAGAAAUGUACAUGAUAAUCAAUGAACAUAACUCAAACUCAACAUCUUUUUAACGGGUUUGGGUUAAGUAUAAAUGAGUUUGAGUUAAAUUCUUAUCAAGUUUGCAUAACUUGUUUAAUUAAUAGGUAGUUUUAUUGGUCAAUCGACAUAAAAUAAAUGUUAAUAAUGUGAGUUUGUGGCUAGGUAAAGAUGGGGGUCAAGUGUUUACAGAAUUACAGAGUAAUUGGGAAUGUCCAACCCAAUAUCUUCAAUGGUCCAUCUACCAACUAAAAUUGGUGAUGGCAGAGGUGAGACUCCUCAUGGUAAGGUGCAUGUGGUGAUUGGGAUGAUACCCCCACGUGAAUAUACAAAACUCCAUCCUCAUGCACUACACUCUACAACCCACUCCCUUCCCCAAAUACCGAAUAAAUACCACAAUAAUCAUAAUAAGUUUUAUAUUUCCAAAUGAUGUACAAUUUGAUUACCUUCACUAUUAAAAUUUAAGCCUAGGAAAAUCUGGUAAAGUAACAAGUAACAACUAAUAAUUUGUUAGGUUUGUCCCUCCAAAGAAGUUUCAAUUGUUGCAAUAAUAAAUAUUUGAAACUAAGGUUGUCGUAUGGCUCGCUGCACACAAGAAGGAGGUGUCACAUUAUGAAUUGAGGACGUUCAAUUUCUUGACGCCAUAAGUACCACCCCAACCUAAUGAGUGAGUGUUUAUCUUGCAAACUAGGUAUAUGUUGAAAUGGAUUGCUCCAUAUUUUAAGUUCCUUUGUUACUUAUAAUUCCACAAUUAGUAACGUCUUUGUCAUAAUAUUGUAUUAGGCAUGAUUGUGGAGUGUUUAUUAUGAAAUUCAUGGAGUCGUGGUCAAUGGGGGAGUUGUCCAAAUCAAUCGAUGUUAUGUAGAAGGAACUAUGUAUUAUCAUCUCAUUAAUGCAAAAAAAUAGUAUAAAAGGCGAAAUUCAUUAUUUUGCUGAUUUUUUCAGUUAAACUUGAAUGAAUGUAGGGAAUGUUGAAACAGUAUAGACUGAAGAUUAUGAGUAGUUUGUUGUUUUCAAAACAAAAUGCACAUUGACAUCGUUUCAUGAGGGAUUAAUGGGGACUGUAUAUUUUGAUGACACAAUAUAAAUUCAAUUUGGUUAUAAUUUAUGUUGGACAAACGAAGUAGUGUAAAUUUUGUCUUAUGAUGAUAGUUGCAUAAUUGAAUAAUGGCACUAUAGGAUAAGUAAGAAGUUGGACUGCUUUUGGAGACAAUGACAACAAUAAUUAAAUUGAUUGUGUAACUGAACAAUGGCACUAUGGAAGAACAUGUCAUGAAGUGCUAUGACAAAUAUAGGGGGUUGGAAAGAAAUUGCACACAUUAAUUAUGAUGAAAGUGAUAGUUACAACAUCUUAUGUAAUAAGAAAGUUUUUGAGUUAAAUUGAUUGUAAUUAUAUUCGAUUUGUACAUGGACAAUUAAAACCUUUGUUUCUGAUUGUAAAUGUAUAUUCAUUAUUACAGGAACUAAUUCAAUUGGAAUUAUACAUAGAUUUUACUUGGUUUAUUGUAGAUUCCAUAAUAGGGUACAUUAGGUGUUUGGACUAUAAUAUAAUAUGUUUUAUUAUUUAUUAUUAGACCCAUGUUUUUUCAUUGUAUUGCAUUUGUAUUUUUGAUUUAUUAAAGUUUUAUUUCGUAUUGUACAUCAACUUUUGGAGGCCAUUGCAAUGUGAUUGGUAAUUGUAAGAGUAAAAUGAGGUGUUAUGGUGGUAGCAUAUUAGGUACAUUGUGCUAAAGUGUAUAAGCAAUAGGAAGGAAGGAGGACUUCAAUUGCAGAAGUGCUUGUUUUUGGUGAUUAGGAUAGAAGAGACAAGGCAAGUAGAAAAAGAGGAAGAAGAAGGUGAAGAUGUAGAACUGAAGUAGUGGGCUUGGCUUCGCCAUUGUUGAGUUCACUUCUUUCCUUGUCCAGUGAAAUAGUAUUAACUAUUGGGGGGAAUAUGCUUAAUGAAAUCAUAGAUGUUAGGCUCUCAAAUGUCAAUUGCUUGGCAUCUUCUUAGGAUUUUAAUUUUCCUUCUACUCAAUUGGAAAAUCCUAUAAUAAGGUCGACUUAAGCAUAUGGUCUCAUCCAAUAAUGUCAAAGCUUUCCCUUUCCUUUAAAAUUGACUGCACAAUAACACUUUUAUCAGACAUACGUAUUUAUAUUUAAAACUUUCAUAUAGGUCUUGUACUUUUCCAUCUGUAGUGCGGAUAAACCCUCAUGCCAAUAUUAUGACUAGGCCCUCCAACGAAUCUUCAAACUAUAUAAAUGGUAUAAUCUUAACUUUAACACCAUAUGUUGGUUCAAAGCACUAUGUAAAAAACCUUCUUUCCAAACGUAUAUCAACCAUAUUGUCUAGGUAUGUUUGAAGGCAUAAAUUUUAUAUUUAAUUUUUUCAAUUAAGCAUAUUAUUAAUGUUUUAGGCAAAUAUGAAAGAAAAGCCUCAUGCAUAGAUUUUUUAUUUGGUUGCAUCAGUAUAAACAAAUACAUGAAAAAUGAAGGCAAGAUCUACAUUGUUUUUGUUGGAAGAAGGUCGAGUGUAUACACAAUUUGGCCUGAAUGUCAAGCUCAAGUAAUUGGUUACAAGGGUUGCAUUUAUAAAAUCGUACAGAACUCAUCAUGAGGCUGUAUCAGCAUGGGUGAUGUGUGAGCCUUGAUGGAAAAAACCUGAUGCACCUAUUGCAUCCUUAGAGCCUGCAAAGGGUGGCCAACUGGUAGAUGACCAAGUAUUAAAGAAGAUUGAAGAUUGGAAACAAAAUUUCCUUGCUCCUGUUGUUCUCAAAUGUGUUGUAACAUUCACGAUCAUGUUUGUCAUUCAAAAGUUCUUUUAGGUAUGCUUUAAUGUGGUGUGACUAAGCUACAUGUUGUAUUUGUAUUACGUGUCUUUAAUGCAAUGGUACUCUGACUUUUCAUCCUUCAUUAUUUAUUUUAGUUUUAAAACAAUACUAAAGCAACAUGAAACAAAAUAAGAAAUUACAAAUUUUGGAUGAUUAAAUUUAAGAGGGAAAAAAGGGACAUGAGUGAGCAAGUUCUUCAAAAUUCUUUAAAAUCCUUAAAAAUGGGCUACCUUGCACACCCUUAUAUAGUUAGCACAUGUACCUUGUACACUUAGUGUGAAUGCCUUGUACACUUGCACAUUUACAUACACCUAUAAUGCAAUGUGUGCAUAUGGGUGAGUUAACUAUGUUUCCAUUGUCAUGGCUUAGGAAAAGAAGUAAAAAAAAUGAAAUCAAACCUAACCAUGUAUCCUUCAUCAUCAUUUAUGAAUACGAGGUGAUGGAAUGAACAUGUAUGAGGUCAAAUAAAUGCAUGGGUUGCACGUGAUCAACACAUAAGUGUGAGGAAUGUCUCUCAUCUCAUGUUUGGAAAAGGGAAAUGAGCGAGUUAGCUCCUCAAAAUCAUUUGAAAUCCUUCGAGAUUGGUACCCUUGUACACCCUCGUAUAAUUACCAUAUUUGCCUUGUACACUUAGUGUAAAGGCCUUGUACUAUGGUAGAAAUUCAAUGCAUCUACAACACAUGAAUCCAUAUGGGUAGGGGAACCAUGUUCCAAUGUCAUGACUGAACAAAUUUUGAACAAAUUUGAUGCCAGAUUAUAGUUCUAUUAAUCAUUAUUGUGGUAAGUAACAUGAACAUGUACGAACUCACAAAAAUGAAUGGGAUAAGUGUGUGAUCAAGUAAUGUGUGUGACGAAUGUCCCUCAUCAUUGGAAAAUGGAAAUGAGCAAGUGAGUUUUUCAUAUACCUUUCAAAUUGUUAUGGAUAGCUACCUUGUACACCCUUGUAUAGUUGAAUAGCAAAAAAAUGUGCUUUUUUAUAAGGAGAGUGUUUACAAAGCAUAUAAUUCUAGAGAGGAAGUUGUCUGAGUCUGGUGUUCUAUGAACCAAGAUGGAGGAGAAGUGAUGAAUCUUUAACUACUGGCAAACCAAAGACUUAACAUAUGGUUAGCAAUCACUGUUCCAUCCAAAAUAUUUCAUAUCCAUAUGUAAUCAACUUCAUUGUUGGCUUCUUUGUAGCAUGUGUUUUCCUUAUUGUAAUAUCUAAUUUCACAUAGGUUGUUCAUAAUUGUCAUGAGUAAGAAUGUCCAGUAAUGUGGUUUUGAUAGUAUUCAUAGGUACUAUGUAAUUAUUAUUAUCAACUUUGUAGUUCACAAAUUCAAUUUAAUGUUAAAAAGACAAUGCACUAUUUUGUAUCAGUAGUUUGUGUAGGAAGGUAUUGUUUUUAUUUCUAAUUUUUCAUGUUGGUAUACAUAAAGUUGUGAACAUUGUUCCAAAACACAGUACUCGUGUGCUGUGAAUUUUUUGGACACUUCUUAUUGAAAAGACUACUCACUAUUUGUAUGAGGUAUCAUUGCAAGAAUUUAUUAUAUGUAUUGCAUUUCUAUAGUUUUUGUCUACGUAAAGUGGGGACCCUCAAAGCAUAACACAAUCAUAUGCAGUUCAUUUUUCCACACUAAUUCUUGAAAAGACUAAUCACUUUUUCAUUGCACUCUUUAUUGUAGGAAGUUAUUUUGUUUAUUGCAAUUCUGCCGUGAUGGCCUACAUAAAGUGGCAACCCUCAACCAUUGUAACAGUUUAGUCACUCAAUGUGGUGUGACCAAGGUUGUUAUGGCAAGUAUUAAAGUGUUUCAAUGGUGUCCAAUUUGACAAUGUACCUUUUGAAUCAUAUACUAUGUGAUUUAUCUCACAAAGCAUCCAUUGGCCUUGUUAAUUUAAUGAUCUAAGAACCAGAUUGUAAUUUUUUGAAUCAUCAAUAAGUACCUUACUUGCAAACAUACUCAUGUUUAUUUUAAUUGAAUUCAUGAAAUUAAAAGAUGUUAUUACACAUUACGAUGCAUUUAGUCUUAUUGUGGCAUGUCAUAUGAAUGCAAACUCUGUCGCAUUUAAAACUUUUAUUACAACAUGGUAUGAACCUAAGGAUGUUGUUUUCACACAACACCACAUUCCAAGUUUGUUACUGUCACUUACCUUAAUCACCUUUGGUAUUUUCAUCAAAUAUUUCAACAACCAAUUUGUACUUUGGUACGAUGAGUAAUUGAGCUACUUUAAUUGGGUCCACACUUUUUCCACAUUCUGAUGCAACAUGGAGCAGUUCUUUCAAUAUGAAAUAUCUAUUUUUUCGAAUAGUCAUUUUGUUCUCUUUGUGAAUGCAGUUCAAUUCCUUACAUAAUUAAAUCAUUCCAUUCAUAUCCAUCGUUCUUGUACGACGACAUGGUAUAGGUGCACGAAGAACUUGGAGUUAACACGAUACUCUCAUUUUGUUGUAAUAGUUUGCACUGUGUGGUUGUUGUAAUGAUUACACGAUGUCAUUGGGUAGUAAAAUUCAUUUUCCAAGGCCCAAUAACGCUCUAUACACUUAAACACAUCUCUUGGACUAUAAUAUUUACCAAAGGACUGUUGCGUGUUUCGAUACAUGGCUCUCGCUUAUCCCUUGUUUACGAUAGUCAAUGAAUGAUGUAUAUAACCAUAUGUAUACAGUCACUUCAAAUAAUUUACUUGUGUGUACAUUGCAAUUUCAAUUGAAGUGACAACACAUUUAGGCUCAUUUAGUGGUGUUCCUUAGGUACUAUACUCCUCCACUUCACCCUUUCAAUUUUUAUGGGAUAUACGAUUUUCUUACAAUUUGGAAUUCACUAACCAUUAUUGCACCACCAACUACAAUGUGGAUUUGACAAUUCCAACAAUAAGUGAUUUGAUACCUCACAAGUUGUAUGGCUUACUGCUUUCAAUUUUCUAAAUUGAUAAGCCAAUAGAAUGCAACUUAAACGUAUUGUCAGUAAUGAAUGCAUCUUUCUAUGUUGGGUCAUGCGUAAUGUACUUGAAUAGUAUAGUCCAAAAUCUAUUGCAUUGAGAUUAUCUUUGACCACUUACCAUUGCAAUUGUUAUGGCCUUCCAAAAUUAAUUUCAGCCCUUAUAAAUUGACACUAUGUACAUCCCUACACGUAGACUACAUGGUUGGAAACCAUGAGAGACCCAAAUCAACAAAGAAUUCAGGUUCAUCGGCGCUACAACCGACAUUGGGUAUUACUUGGUCCAUAUAGUUAUGGUGAGUUAUGGAUCUUAGAUAGAAGAGAAUACUAUGCAACUGUAAGUAAUGAAUGGGUUCAACGCAUGAAUGAGUCUAACCUACUCAUCAAAGAGUUGUGUACACUACAUGCUUCGCUUCCACGAUGUCAUUCCUUCAUAAUGCCACGAAAUAACCUCCACGAGUACAUUGAUACACUUAUGGAAAUACAGAAGGAGAACAAUAGAGUGAUAAUUCGCAAAACAUGGUUUUUCUUAUUGUGUAUUGCACAAAAAAAUGCAAACGAUAAUGGCAGAUAGUUAUCCUCCAUCGAGCGCGAUGCAUUAUUACAGAAUCCUAAUUAUGUCUCUAAUUAUUCUAUGACUGAUGAAGAUUAAAAUUAAAGUUUUUCAAUAUUCAUAUUAAUAAUUUUCAUAUGUUUUCUAUGGCAUUUGAAACUCACCCUGGGUUCAUAUAUCACAAAAAAAGCUUAUUAUUAGUUGUUAUGUGUACUAUAUCUAUUGUUCCUUUUUAGCCCAUGAGUAUCGAAAUCUUUCAUUCUCAUAACCCACUAACAACUUUGAUUUUGUUAUAAUUUAUUAAGUACAAAUUUGGGAGAUGUUGGCAUCGUAAGGAGUUUAAUGGGAAUGCAAGCCAUUGCAAAUAAUGACAACAAUGUAUCAUGCUACUUUUGAAUAAAUUAAUGAUUGCAAUACAAAUUAUAUCUUGUAGUGCACAGUACCCCUCUACACUAUGGGUGAUAUUGUAGAUGAAUACUUGUACUAUGGGUGAUAUUGUGCCUUUUAGCUUCUACCAUCUCUUAAAAAAAAUAAUAAUAAUAAUAAAAAACUCUUUAACCUUAAAAUGUUGCAAUUAUGUUUGCCUUAUUGACGUUCUAUAUUUGGUUGUCAUGGUUUCAAUCCUUCCUCUAUGUUUAAUCCAUUAUCAAUCUACUCAAACCUCUAAAAUAUGAAGUGACCAACUGCAGAUACAAUGUUCUAAUUAAGUAGAAAAAUGUCAGGGUCGAUAUGUGGAAGUAGUAGAAGUUUUUUUUUUUUUUUUUUUCUUUUCACAUAAACCUAUUUUAGGUGAAUCAAUACACCAAGUACAAGGGCUCUAUCUCUAUUUCUUCUAAUUCUGGUGUUCCAUCAACACCCAUCAUCCUCAAUAAGCUAUUAUACAUUAUUGUAUAUCCAACCUAAAUUAUUACAUAUGCAUAAGAAAAUUCACCAUAACAAUAUAAUUACCAAAUAAGGAAAAAUUAUUACCACUAAUUAACAUGUUACGUCUGACAUAUUUCUUGUUUUGUCUACAUCAUACAACAUUACACAUCAUUUUCAAUGGGGUUUGAUAUUCAUAAUGGUACACAUUCAAGUCUCACUUUUACACAAAACGUAUUGCACUGGUCCAAGCUAUCCAGAUUGAAGAUGAACCUUCUUCAAGAACCUAUUAUAUUCCUGGUGCAACAUUUCCCCUCCAUUCAAGUGAUAAAAAUGCACCGAUACCCAUUGACAAUGAAUGAAAACAGGGAUGAGAAGCAAAAUUAGAAACUAACAUUGUGGAAAACAAAGAUGUGGUGACAUAUUAACUAAGCUAUCCAACAUAUAAUUUGGUCCUAUUAAUAGAGGAAAAUUGAGAAUAAACCCAAGUGGGAUUUUAUGGGUAAAUUUUUUUAAUAAAUUACUAUACAUGUAGCAAGUCGAUUGGCUAGUACAUGAUUAUAGUUUCCAAAUAAUCAAAUGAGGUAUAUCAGAAAUAGAAACCAUCACGUUUGAGUAGGAAUGAGUAUAAUUUUCUACCAAUGAAUAGCGAAAAUUAAAUGACUUUUGUCCUACUUGCAGAAAUUAAAUCACAUGGUUUGGUUCUUCCUACGAAGAGCUAGUUUGUAUCAUGCUUUAAGUGCUAUAAAUCAAUAUCAAAGUAAUGCAUUAACCACAGUAACCAGACAAAUUAACAAGUUGAUGACAUGAUUCAUAUUAGGGAAGUGAGAAGAUGGCUCUUUUGAUUUCAUUUUAAAACAAAUACAUUAUAUUAACCACAAUUACUCAGCACAAACUAUGAGACUUUGAAAGCCAUUGAUUUACCUUUCUUGAUGAUGGUAUAAGGCAUAAAAUGGAUGCAUCGACUUCUUCCAACCAAUAAUACGUUAUGAGAACCAUCAAAAUAAUGAGGUUUUGCCUAUUAAUUCACAAACCAAAUGCAAGAUUAUGAUACUUUACUCAAGGAUGAAAAUCAAUUACAAGUAGUAUAAUUCUCUUAAAGCAGAUAUAUUUCUAAGAUAAGCUGGAAGAUUCAUGAGGAUCAGUGAACUUAUAGGAACGAAUAAGUUUAUUAAAGGGAAAAUUAUUAGGAACGAAUAAGUUUACCCAUUCUUUUGUUACACAAGAUCUGGUUGCACAUGCACAAAUUAUGCACAAGUUUACCCAUUCUGACACUUAAUCAAUACCCUACAACAAAUAUUCAUAAAUGGGAAUCUUUGACCAAAUUUGUUAAUCUAUUUAAUUCAAAAUAGAAAUUUGAAACUGAAACUUAAGAAGAAAUUUCAUAUAGUGAUCUCUCAAACCGAUAUUACAUCAUUGGUUAAAUUUAAUCAUCGAAUAGAGUCCAUGCCCUAAGAGAAAUCACCGUAGGGUUUAGUCGAAGACAAAUGGUUUGUUUGCAAAGAGUUCAAUGACAAAGAGUUCAACUUAAGAUUAUACCCCGAAUAAAUGAAUCCAGUCAUAGAAGACGUAACAAUGCACAUAAAGCAAACAUAGAAACAAAUAAUGAGACUUUGUUAUAGAAUCUUAGAUGAAAACCAAGGGAAUAAAAAAAAAAAAAGAACUGAUUGAGAAUCAUAGGACCAGUAUUAUCAAUUGGUAAAUUAAACCAAUUGUGUUUCAUACUAUAUUCAUAGAUAAAGAAAUAUGAGCAAACACAACAUUGGAGUUCUAUAGUAGACAGAAGAUAUGAUGUACAAAACUGGAUUUAACAUCUUAAAUUUGACUAUGAGCUUGAAUUAGUUGAUAUAUUACUCAUGGAUGGGGGAUAUUUCUAUAAAAGGAUGUUAUUUCAAUAAUUUGAUUAUCAAUUUUCUGCAGUAUGAUGGAGACCUUUUUCUUUAGAAGAUAUUUCUUAUUAUCGAUCCAUAAGAUAUUUCUUACCCCAAAUGAUGCUUUACCCAUUGCCCAUGACUACAUAAAAAUAACAUAGGUUAAAGAUCUCCCACCUUUGGGAUCUUUAUUUCGCUAUUCUGUCUUGGGGUUCUUAACGAUAUGAAGUAAGGAAAUAUUGAAGCCCCAAAAGCAUACAUUUUCUCUUGUAAAACAUUUCAACAAAUCUACACUAUCUUAUUUUAAGGUAGGGAGUAUGGGAAUCCCUUUGCAGGAGAUGUCUACAACAAAGAAUUCAACAAGCACCUACUGAUGUUGCAACUAUGCAUUUAAUGUCCUUAAGUUGAACCCUUCCACCCGAUUAUGCAUUCUAAAAGCAUACCCCUAUUUUUUUAAAUUUGGGGAUUUUGCAUCUUUAAAAGUUAAAAGCUAUGCUACCUAUAUUUGUCAUCACUCCUAGAUCAAUACAACAAUUGGCAAAAUGGGAGCUGAUCCUUGUCCAAGUCUACCUCUAUGAGAUGGAGUCUUGGAAGCACAGAAACAAUGCAUGCCCCUCCACACCCAUAGCACCACUUGUUGCAUUUAACGUUUCUGAAAGUUACCUAAAUAGUGUGGCCAUUAAUAGUGUAGCUUGGGUAAGCUAAUAUUGGCAAAAAAAUUUCAGUUCAUAAUAUUUUAACUUCUUAUACACAGAUUCAUUAUGUAACAAUUUGGAACAAUUUAAUGUCUCUAUCGGUCUUGGACGAAUAAUAGUCACCUUAAUUCCUUUUUGAUAGAUCUGUGAUCAAAAUAGAUGGAUUUAGACCAUAAGCAGGAGAAGAAACUUUUUUGGCAUUGGCAUUAAGGAAGAUGACGUACAAUCAAAGGCACAAUUAAGGCACCUGAGAAGAUGUUACAUUUAAGCAAGGAAAAAUAGUCAUUCUUCAUCACAAGAAAUGUAUGCUACCACUUUUUCCAAAAAAACUCUUGCUCAAGUCUUCCAUCUUUAACUUAAGCUUCAGAGGGAUAUGUAUGAAAACCCAUUCGGACAUGCCUUUGUAUAGGUGCAAUCGUUAUCUACGUCACACGGAGGCUAGCCAAACACUUUCUUUGUUGGCCAUGCACUAGCAAGAAUGAAAUUGGACGUUGUACCUUUCUUCUUGUUUCUUUUACAUAAUUUUCUUUAAUUGUCAAUGCAUAAGGUUAUUGAAUCAUGUCUUAUGAUUCUACUUAAGAGUUGUACAUGAGUUUUUUUUGUAGGAAUAUAAUUAAAUGCUUUCUAAAUCAAAAUUGAUAUUAAACAUAUAUAAUAAAAAUUUUAUUAUAUAUAAAAUAGUUUUUAUAUGCAAAUAAAAGCGGAAUCAAAACAUACAUACAAACAAUGUAUAUCCGAAUAUAUAUAUAUAUAUAUGCAUAUUAUUUUUUAAAAUUAUAAACCUUUUUUAUUAAAUUAACUAAAUGAAUGGAGAAGUUUUUAUUAAAUUGAAUUCGUGAAUGAGCUUUCAUUUUUUGGUCCGAUGAUUCUAAUAUGAUUCAAAUGGAUAGGCUGAGUCAUGAUUAUAAUAAUAUAUAACUAAAUUCGUAUUACAAUAACACAAAAAUUCACAUUGCAAAGAAUCUAAUAGAUAUAAAAUAAAUAUACGCAUGUGUAUGUAAAUUAUCAAGGAUCAAAUUCGAUUUAUUUUUUAUUUUCUAAAUAAUAAAUCGUGAUAAAACCAAAAUUAUGAAGAAAAAAAACUACAUAAAAUUAGUCGAUUAUUGAAAAAGAUUUUUCUAGGCUUCUUAAUUUUUUCAUACCCUAUUUGUCUCACUCUAGGCUAUUUUCUAUCACAAUACUAUGAUUUGUUUUUCUUUUUUAAGGAUUAAACUAUAAAGCAUAGCAAAAAUAGGACAUAUAAAUGGAAACUGAAAUAAAGAUUUAAGGACACGGUGGUCCAAAUGACUUGAUUGGGGUAGUGGGAAGCAUCAUUGCAGGGGCCAAACCACCUAUACUAAAGGAGUGAAACUUUCCAAACACAAAAUAUUGCGAAUUUAGGUGAUCUCCAACCAUGUUAGACAGGACAUACUCACACUGCAAACUUAAAAAUCCUUCCCUUUCUAUUCUAUUUCUCAGUGUAACUCCACACUUAGGACCCCAAAAAAACCAAAGCAUAAUCCGUACAACUAAAAAAUCCAUGAGAAAAUUAUUUAUUUUUUCUUCUUUUCCUUUAUUAUGAACCAAACCAAACCAAGAUCCCCAAUUUCAAAAGAACAAUCAAAACCAAAAUAUAUGAUAAUAUACUAUAACAAAAUUUCAAAAACCCUACAGUUGAUAUAAGAUUCACUCACCUCUACUUAUGAGAGAUCCUUGUUGAUCGAAUAUGAAGAGACUUUAAGAUUAACAGUCCAACUAAUCAUUUACCAUGCUUUCUGUCUCUUCUACAUUCCAACCCUAUGAGCCUUUUACAAUAUUAUUCAAGCUUUUUGGGUUUUCGGAAUUGGAGGAAAACGAGGUGGAGAUGUUUCAAAAUGAGAGAAAGAGUUUUGGGUUGUUCAGUUUUUGCAGAAUGAGAGGAAGUAAAGGUAGGUUAGGGUUUUUCCAUUUCCUAAACUGAGAGGAAAACAAGGAAGCUUAAAAUUUGGUUUUCAAACAGAGAUAAAGUUGAGGUCACUUUUCCCGUUUCUUUAGGUUAGGGUUAGAGUUUCCCCAAAAUGAGAGAAAGAAGAAGGCGAUUAAUGCUUCAACAUUAAUUCCAAUACCUUUUUCUUUGAUGUACGUGCUUAAUACACGUCGAGCUCCAAAAUUAUGUUUUUUUUUUCUUUUCUCUUUAAUGAAGUGGAAGUUGACCUGGACAAUACUGAAGGGUAGAUUGGGUGUAAAAAAACUCAAUCAACACAAAGUACACGAAAAAUUAACAAGUUUUGGGAUGAGGAGAGGUAUCUUGGAUUUACAAAACUUGGUUUCUGAAUAUCUUAUUAUUUCUCUCCUCUCUUCAUCUCUCUCUCUCUCUCUCUCUCUCUCUCUCUUUCUCUCUCAUUUCAUGUCAUUUUGCCCCAACCCCAUCUCAGAAAAUUCCUAAUUUCGAAGUUCAUUUCAAAUUCGAAGACAGGCGAUCUGUCUCUUCAAGUUCCAACCAGCUGACGGAUAUCCAUCUUCAGAAAACCUUCAUCCUCUCAUUUUAGCCUAACCUAGUGUUUCUCCCUUCACGAGCCGACCACCCAAAUCCGAUACCCAUCUUCUUUCAUCAUCAAAGGUGGAUCAUUUUUAAGGUUUGUGGAAACCGAACUGGAGUUGGAGUCUUCCCUUGUUUUGGAUUAAUCAAUCAAAGGUAAGUUUUCCGUUUAAGGAUUUGUUUGGCUACUGAGAAAAUGUUGGGGUCGAAGGUCUUCUAUUUUGGGUUAAAUAUAUGUUUAAAUUUAUAAAUGAAGUAUAAAAUUUUUUUUGCUUUCCAUGAUAUGUGUUGUGAUAAGAUUUUUUGGGAAAUUGUUUCAUCUAUAAUACUUCUAGUUGAUGGAUUUCUUCAUUUAAUUUUAAUGGAACAUUAAUGAUCUUUUGAAAGCUGCAGAUUUGGAUUGAGAAGCACUGCACCAUCUCUUUGAAAACAAAUUUUCUUCUAUUACUUAGAAAUUGUUGCAGACAUCCAUGUGGCAAGGGCAUACUGGAGUAUUUUUUCCAAUUGGAAAAUAAUUAGUUUGAGAGUCUACUGUUAUUUAGAGCAUGCUUUUAAAUACCCAUUGGUAUUCCAAUAUCUAUAUGUCAUACAAACCUUCCUCAGUUGUUAUCUUAAAAUUCCCAUGUUUUUGGUAGUAAUAGUCUUUUUUUUUUUUAAAAAAAUAAUACAUGUAUUUUUGUAGACAUCUCAAUGACAUCUUUGUACUUUUGAACCUUAAUACGAUGGACUGCAUCAAUAUUUUAUUCUCUACUUCCAAGUAAUGGCAGUUUAUAUCACAAAUUGUGUAGUAAACAUAAGAUCCAUUUUGACUGUCAUAUUAUUUUACUUUAUUGAAGUUUUUUGCAAAAUAUAGAGUUGUUGUUAGGGAUGGGAGCCAAUUGUGUAUUACUAGUAGUUGAAGGAAAUUUUCUUUUAAUAUGAAUGGGAUAUUUGAAAAUUAGUACUAGCAAAUAAAGGGAGGGGGGAGAUUAUGUGCUUGAUCAUUUUUAACUAUUAGUGUUUUACUAAGUUAGUCCAUUCUUAAUUUAAUAACAAAAUAAAUGGGUCCAUUCUAUGUGAUGCAUUCUUUGAUACCUUGUGUUUGCAUGUUUGUAUUGUUUGAUAACUUGUCUUUGCAUGUUUUGAUUCUUUGAUGGUUUGAUUAAUUGUUCGUAAGAAAUGUUCAAUGUUGCAUUUUGGUUUGUGGGAGGUCCAAUAAAAUUGUUUUAAAAAUUGCCUUUAUAUGUAUUAUGUUGGUGUGUAAAGGAAUAGUGUAAAGGAUUUGCAUGAAUUGGUUGAUGGAAUUGGUAUGCAAUUGUGAAUUGCAUUUAUGUAUUAUGUUGGUGUGUAAAAGUCUUUGUUUAUUUUCUUUAACAAAGUAUGCUAUCACCUUUGAUAGUUACAUUUGCAGUCACGUACCGGUAUUUUAAUAUACAUGUGUAAAAGAAUAAACUUAGGUAACUUAUUUAGUUACAAAGGAUAGCCUUUAUUUAACUUAGGUAGUACAUGAAUGCACGUACCUUAGGUAUUACCUGAAUGCACCUUAGGUACUACAUUUGUGCACCAACUAUAUUGACUCUAUCAAUCCUAGGUACCACGUUGCUUAAUCAUAAGACCUAGCUUUGGCAUUCACUUUCAUAUGAGUUUAAAGACGAAUUGAUAAAUGUUGAACAUCUGUACUCAGUACAAAAUUUCCUUAAUUGAGCAGGAUAUUAUUAUGUUAUAAGUGGUUAUCCAAGAGGUUCGACUCAGGUACUACCUUAAUAUACCUUAGGUAUUACCUUAAUGCAUUUUAGGUACUACAUCAAUGGACUUUAAGUACUACCUUCUGCAAUUUAGGUACUACCUUAAUGCACCUUAGGAACUAUUUUAAUGCACCUUUGGUACUACCUUAGUGAACCUUUUCAUUCUUGAACCUUGUGUAGAUCCUUUGUCAACCCUAGCUACUAUCUCUAUUAUAGAUUCCUACUUUGGCAUUCAAUAAGGUUGGAGAACAUCUAGAUGAAGAUGAUUUGAGAAAUGUUGCACUUUUGUACUGAAAACACAAUUUCAUUGAUUGCAUUAGAGAUAUGAGCAUGACACUAUUAUGUUGUAAUUGGUUAGUUAAUUGAAAGCUUUUGUUACCUUAAUAGUGUGAAUGUACUACCUUAAUAAACCUUGGGUACUACCUUAAUGUGUCUUAUGUACUACCUUAGUGAACCUUAGGUACCGACAUUAGUGAACCUAAGGCACUACCCUAGCACACCUUGGCUACUACAUUUGUGAACCUACUAUUGCUACUUUGUGAUGUACUACUCAUGGUCAAUCAUAGGAUAUAUCUUUAACAUUUAAUUCCAUCAUAGUUUGAAGAUGAAUCAAUAAAUGACUUAACACACAACUUCCUAAGCUAAGCAUGGCAUUGUUAUGUUGUAAUAGGUUAGGCAAUUAGUUGACCUUAGGUAAUACCUUAUUACAUCUAAGGUAGUACCUUAAGGUACUUUGUUAAGGUACCUAAGGUACCACUUAAUAUACCUAAGAAACUACCUUAAUGAGCCUUAAAUACUACCUUAUUGAUCAUUAGAUACUACCUUAGUAAAUUAACCUUAUGUACUAUCUUAAUGCACCUUAGGUAUUACCUUAAUGGAGCUUAGGUAGUUCGUUCGUAAACCUUGGAUAGUUAGUUUAUCAAUCCUAGGUAGUACCUGGCUCAACCAUAGACCCAACGUUUUUGUAAAAUUGGUGAACACUUCAUUUUUUGUUAUUAAAAACCUUUUUAAAAUUAAAAUCGUUUUCUAAAAUUACUAUAAAAUAGAAUUUUAUAUGUGAAUGGUUGAAUUGCAGUAAUCCACUUAAAAAAAUUUUGAAAAGAUGAUUAAGAAAGUAUUUGAUCAAAUGAUGAGUGCAUAUUAAAUGAAAGGUGGGCACCAGCUUGUAACAUCCAACAUGUUGUAGGGAAGAAGUAAGGCUUCAAUUUUAUAAUAUCUUCUGAGAAGCAAACAGUUGAAGAAUGAACCCAAAUGGAUUGGAACUAUUAAAAAGUAGGAAAAUCUCGACCCUGUUUUAUAUUUGCACUAACAAAGAAUUUGAAGUCAAAGACUAAUAAAUUAGACUUUUUGGAAUUUGCAAAUUUUAAAAAUCAAGCAAAAAAGGCCUAUCAAGUCAAGACUCCUUAUCACCACCAUGGCCUCAAUAUAUCUUCCUUUGAUUUGCUCCAACUAUACAUGAUAGCUAUAAACUUACAGCCAAAAGUUGUUGGCAUCACUAUACUUUUUAGAAUAUUAGAUGUCAAAGAAGUAGAUUAUUAGAUAAAUAAAGGUAAGCCAAGCUUUGGAAAGGUAUGUUAUGUUACAAAGCUGAGCAUUUAUAACGUGUUUUUCAAGAAAUGCAAGUCAUAUAUCAAAUUAAAUGAACAGUAAAGCAACUAACUUGUAAUGGUCAGUUUACAUUAAGCCUUCUCAGUGCCAACCACUUUAAAAUAUAUUAAGCUAUCUAUUAGUAAAAAAUUCCAUAACAAUACCAACACAAGCAGGUUGUUGGUUUAAGCAGUAGCCACAUGACCCACACCUAGAUCAGCCGCAUUUUUGGUUAAUUUUACGAAGACACAUGGCCACCAUGGUUGUCAAUAACAAAGCAUUAUCUACCACACAAUCACACACACUAAACAACUUACUCAGUUGCUCACUUCACUUCAUCGGCAACAUUGUCCAACUGCCUCACAUAGUAGCCUACUUACAAGUUCUUCCGCAUCUGCACUCCUUUGCUAAGGUAAAUCCCCUAAUCACUUCACUUACUUAAGGCUUAAACUUGCUAUGGUGCUUCCACGGUUGGUUCCAUUGGGCAAUGUACUUAUGCAUGUAAUUUGAUCUGGCCUUUUCCAUGAAUCUUUGCAUUAGUAAUUAUUUCAAAUAUUAUGAUAAAUUGACCCAAAAUUUUUAAUUGUAGGCCACCGAACAUGCUAACAUUCUAUGUAAUGUUUGUUGUGUGCAACCAUGAAGUUAAUGAUUCCUGGGUUGAAUGUCAAAGAAAUGUGAUUUUCUAUAAGGGGAGUAUAUACAAGGCAUAUACCUGUCAAGACCAAGUUGUGCGAGCAUGGAUGCUAUAUGAACCAAGAUGGAGAAGGGUCGAUGAAUCUUCAACAUCUGCAGUGGCAAAGGCUCAACAUGCAUUACUAGACGCGCAUCCAAUGCAAAAAGUCACAUAUGGUUCUAUCAUCAUUUUUUUUUUUUUGGGUUCUUUAUUGCAUGUGCACUCAUGAUUUUAAUAUCAAAGUUGACAUAGAAAGUCUACAUGUGUUAUGCAUCUGAAUAUCUAUUGGUGUCAUUUUCAUACUAUUACCAAGUUUUAUUUCAUAAUUAUUGUAAAAUUGGCUACUAUAGAUAGUUAAUAUGCAAUCAUGAACAUGCACAUCUUUAGAUUGGAUGAUCCUCAUCGCAUUUUGAACUUAACUACACCCGGUUAUGUAAUAUGAACUUAUAGAUUCAUGAAUGACAACAUGCCAUUUUCUCAUUUUGCCUGUGCAUAUAGUUCUAUGAUGAUAUUAGCUUAUUGAUAAGUCUACAGAUGAAAUUCUUUGUUCCAAUUUGGGAUGCUUACGUAGAAAUGCAUGUUGGCUGGUGUGGCUCUAGUAGUUCUUGACAUCACUUACCAAUGGCCUUUGUUCCUUCUAAAUUAUUCAGUCAGGCCUACUAGAAGCAAUUUUCCAAGGACCAAUGGAAAGUUCAUAUUGCACACUAUGCUCCUGAUGUGGUACUUCUCUUCUAUUGUUCUCAUAAGUGUUUAUCAUAUGAAUUUACACUGGUGCUACAACAUGAAAUGGAAUAAUUACUAAUGUUCAAAUUUGAUGUUCAAUAUUGAUAGUUGUGAUAAUCUCCUCUUUCUAAUCACAAUGUAACGAUAGCAAAGUGUCCAUGAAUCCCUCCAUCGUGCACCUUGGGAAAUUGGAUUUUGACCCAAUAGAGCUCAUAAAUCCAUUUGCUCAUAGUGAGGCCUCUGUUCACCUCUAGCAAGGUUAUGAAGCUAGGGUCAUGGGAUUUGGACUACAACAAUACCUAGGCUAUUAGCUACCAUAGAUUCAACUUUAUGAAAUUCCUGGUGGUGGGCAUAUGAUUACUCAUGACAAAUUUUUUGGAAGCUAUCUUAAGGUCACUAUUGCUGGGAGAAUAACCAUCUAUGUGCUAGAUUUGGCUCUCCAAAAUAGUGUUCCACAUUGAUACAACUUCUCCAAAACCAUUCUCUAGCCCAUUCAAACUAUGUAAAGGCUUGUAAUCCUAAUAAUUAUUUGUCUUCUAUUAUGAUUAAAUUCCAACUUAAUCACAUUUUUUUGUUCAGCUAUGCAAUUUAGUUUUCAAAGAUCAUAGAAACUAAAGUGGUAGAAGGGUUUUGCUGCUUCUACAAGUGAGGUCACAGGACAAUGUUGUUCCAAGAGUAGAAUGGAAAAACUAAUUUAUGAUAUGAUAUGUUCUAAUCAUUUAACAUUAAGCUACUAAUUUCCAGCAAGGAACAUAAGAAUAUUUUCACGCAAUAAUUUGCCCAAAUAUUGAACAAAUACAUUAUGAUAGAAUAUCCUAUAUAAGGUGAAGAGAUGCAAUCAUUUCAAAAUAAACUUGUCUAAAAAUUUAUCCUACUCAGAAAGCAAAAAUGGUAGAGAAACAUUAUAUGUAACCAACAAUACAUGAAUAGCAUAUGGAAGUAAUAUUCCACAAACUAUUAUAAUAUUUAAUUCAAAAUCAAACAGUCAUUCUCCUAUGAUGUUAUUUUAUGUGUGCUCAAUUGUCCUAUUAAUAGAAGACUAAUGUGAUACUGCAUUCAAAUAUGUUUGCUACACAUUUUUUCAAGUUCCUUCAGGGAUGGUUUCAAAAACUACCCUUGUGUUGUUGAUGGGUCUUCUAGGAUUAGCUUACUAGGCGCCACAACCUAGUCAUCCAAAGAGUACCAAGUUGUCAGAUGUUUGUCCUACUUAUUCACCAAGGAUUAUACUUAGUGAUGAAGAUAUAUGGCUUAUAAAGAGAAAGGAGUUCCUAAGAAUGAAUGAAACUACAAAAGGGACAUCAUUGUUCAUGGCUUUCGUAGCUCCAAAAAAAUUAAUUUUUUGACACCAUAGGUACAAAAAUAACCCAUUUUCCAUACCUUCUUUUUCAUAUAGAUCCCCACCCAUUAGGCCAAUUCACACUUGUGUUUUCACCUGCAUAGAUGAUAGAACACAAUUAUCAAUUUCAAAAACAAAGAUAGGGUAUAUGGGGAAAAGGAAAUAAAAUAUAACCCUAAAAUGUACAUUGGUGAUGAAAAAAUGAACUGAAUAUUUAUCUUAAAUGCUUUUGAUAUGAAAAUAUGACAUUUCUCAAGCUAUGAGAGUAUAGAUGAGAUGUUGUCCUUAGGAAAAAAAAAUUAAGUUUAGGUAGGGUAGAUAACAAAUACAAAGGUUUGGAACAACAAUUCCUAGCACAACACAUGUAUAAAAGAUGGGCUAUAUGGAGAAAACAUUUACAAAGGAUGUGAGUUUGGUUUUGUUUAGGAAUGACCAUGAUUCACAAUGCUGAAGAAAUGAAAAAGUGUCAAAAAUGGAAAGUCAUAAAACACUGACCACAUUGUCCAGGAGGUCGACCGGUUUAGGGCCGACCUGGGUUGUCGGGUUGAAAAUUUAUAAGGCCAUUCCCACGCUUCGGUUUCUACAUUGUCUCCUCUGUUCUUGAAGGGGUUUUACUAGUUUUGGCUUCUAAGACUGAUUUUGGUGCAUUCCAGACUGAUUGACUUGAUUUUGGGAGAGAUUUGAAGGCUUUGAAGGCUAGGGUUUUGGAUUUUGGUUGUUUUUUCCUCUUUUCAUGCGUUACAACCAGUUCCGUCAUCGAUCUCUCUCCAUUUCUAUUCGUCAAGGCUUUAGUUGUGAGCUUCUAUUAGUUCCUCCUCUUCUCCUUGCUCUAGUUCUGUCUUCUAUGGCUUCUAGACAAGAGCCUGUAGUUACCAAGGCACAGGACAAGUGCCCAGUUGACACCGCCUUGUUCAAUACUAUAGAGGAGUACUAGCAGUACAAACAGUAUUUCUCUCAUCGGCGUGUGGUUCUUGAGAGAGACAAUAACUUUUCCCAACUCAGCUUCUUUUGAUUUCAAGACCUUUUUACGAAGAUGGAAUAGCUUUUGACUGUGUCUUUAUAUGAGCCUAUCUUUCCAUCUUUGGUACGAGCAUUCUAUGCCAAGGCAAGGUAUCGUGUUGGAGGUUCUAUUUCCUAUACCUUGAGAGGAGCGAAGAUUGAGCUCGAUGCCGACUCUAUUUAUCAAAUUCUUGGAGUUUCAGUUGUCGGAUUGAGGAUAUAUGAAUCUAAGGUGUGACCUACUAUUAUGAGAUUUGAGCUUAGAAAAGCCAUUUUGAGGAUACGUGGACUGUUAGAUGCCCAUGGGAUGGGCAAGCCAUCGGCACAUAGCUUAAUAGUCAUCUGUAGAGAGUUCCAUCACAUACUAUGCUUCACUUUCUUGCUACUAGGUGGACAUUGAGAUGAGGUCUCCUAUUAUGAGGCGUUCUUGAUGGAUUUGAUCCUCACUAGGAGAUGGAUUCAUUUAGGAUAUCUAAUGAUGAUGCAUAUAAUUGCUUGUUGUGAGAGCAAGACUAGAGUAUUCCCUUAUGAACGCUUUUUCGCUUUGGUAUUUAAGGAGGUCGGCAUAAACUUGAGCAAAGAGAUAGACUUUGAGGCUCCUAGUAUUUAUGACACAUAUAAUGAUCAACCUAUGGUGAGGAUAAAUUUGAGAAGACUCUAGAUGGUUCUUGGAUUAGAAAAGCAAAGAAAGGAUAAGCACAUGGACAAGUACACAUUAGAGCUGAAAAAAAGACAUAAAUUAGGGAGAUCGGGGUGGAUUAGACCCUCGGGGUGGAGUAGACCCUCAAGGUGGAGUAAACCCUUAGAGUGGCUACCAAUAGAGAGGACUUGAGCUUAAUAUUCCCCCACUUCAGACAAAGAUUCCCUCAUAGACCGAGGGUGUUUAGUUUGAGUCCACUUUCUUUGAGCUGAUGACGACUGAGGUGGCUUUUAUAGAGGGACCAUCUACUUAGCCAUCAUACAUUGAGCCCUCCUUCUUUGGACCAACAUUCAACGAGCCCAUCUAUGCUGAGAUACCACAGCCUCAAGCACCUCCUACUCCUGACCAUGCUCCAUGGAUGGGCUUAUUAGCCUAGAUUAGCUAUAUUAGCACUCGUAUGGAGGAGCUUGCAGUGGUCAAUGACACACGAUUUUACUCUAUGGAGGAUUGGAUGGAACAAUAUCAAACUGGGUUCACUUCUCAGUUUGAGUAUCUCUAGUAGAUGAUUAAUCACUUUGAGGGUCACAUAGAGCAAAGGAUUACUUGCAUUGAGGCUUGCAUGAAGCAUCAACAUGAGGAAAUGAUGGCCUACUUGCAUUCCAUGUUUACACCGCCACCUCCUUAGCAUUGAUUCGUUCAAGACCCCCCUUGUUCUUUUUUUAUAUUUCCAAAUUAGGAGAUGUUUUAGGAUCUAGGAAUCUAAAUAUAAGAGACUUAUACAUACAUAUCAUUUUGUAUCGUAUAUUGCUUAGCUUUAGUUUUAUUAGACAUAUGAUGUACUGACUGAUACAUUUGAUAUAUGAUUUAUUAUAUGCCUAUAUUCUUGAUGACUUACAUUCGAUGUUUCUUGUUGUAAUACUUUAUCAUCUUGUUUGUAAAUUCUUAAAUAUUGAUUGUUGAUCUAUGCUAGGUUUAAGGGGGAGAUUAUUUUCCUCUUAGAUAACCAAGCUUUGUCAUCAUAAAAAAAGGGGAGAUUGUUAGACCAAUGAUUCUCCUAAUCGCGUUUUAAUGAUAACAAACUAUGGUUAAGUUGGUAAUUGGAUUGAAUUAUAAAGAAUUUUAAGUUCCAGUUUGGAAGUUCAUCAAAAGACCCAAUGGAUGUAAGAUCAAGACAAUUGGAAGACCCUUUAAUCAUAGGAAACAUAUGUAAGAUGAAUGCAUGGGUGCACUUAGGAGUUUCAUAUCUUUUUAUGCAUCUUUAAAAACUCGGUUUAUGCAUUAAAGUUAUAUUUCCAUCAAAACCCAAUUUUAUGAAAGAAACCUUAGGCAAAUCGUUUUAAAAUUGACAUAUUAAUUUGCCUAAAAAGUGUUAGAAUAUAAAAGAAUAGAAAAAUAUAGGUUCUCGAUUAUAGUCCAAUCGAGAAAUGCAAAAACUCUUCUCUCUUCUAGUAGCCUUGCAUUCCCAAUCGAGGGACAUGCCUUCCUAGUCGAUAACUAGUCGAGAAUUGCAAAAAAUCUUCCAUUCCCAGUCGAAGGGACAUGCCUUCCCAGUCAAGUGGCUUGACCGGCUAUGGUAUCGGUCAACUGAUUACAUCUUCCCGAUCGCAGUUUGAUCGAGAAAUGAAAAAACCUUCUCUCUUCUAAUAACCUUGCAUUCCUAGUCGAGGGACAUCCUUUCCUAGUCAAGGGUCAAUCAAGGCUAACGGUCACCUGAACAACCAUUAAUAUUUAACGACUAGUCAAUUGGUCAACCCCCAAGUCAACUGGUAAAGGUUGACUUUUGCCAUUUUUGGUUACCGAGGCUACAAACCUAUAAAUUGUGAGCUCUACUUCAUUUAUGAAGAAGAGAAGGGGUGUUGAACCACUAUAAAAUCUGAGUUCUCUUUCUCUAGCCAUAUCUCUUUAUAUUUAUGCUUUCAAUCCCAAUUCACACCCCCCCCCCCCCCCCCCCACUCCCCUUGAGUUUUUUUUUUCUAUUAAGAUUAGCCUUUUAUUUUCUCAAUAUGUUUUGAACCCUAUAAAAUUUUACCUAACAUUAGUUGAUAAAUAUGAUGCUGGAUAUGUGGAAGUAGUACAUCAUUUUGAACAAAAAAAAAAAAAACUGCUUUCUGGGAAUGAAUACACUAAUUGAAAGGGUUGUAUAUUUGUUUCUUGUAAUUCCAAUGCUCAGUCAAGAGUCAUCAUCUACAAAAACUUGUUAUGCAAAUGUUAAUGUACAUCCAUCAUGGAAAAUUUAUAUGGGCAGUAAAAAAUAUGACGUACCAAAUGAAUUACUUUUUGAAGCCAAUUAUCACCACUAACAUGAACUUACAUUGGGAACAUAUUCUGUCUACAUCAUAAUUGCAUUACAAUUCAUUUUUCUAUGGUGUCUAAUAUUCAUAAUGGCACACAUUCAACUCUCACAUUUAUAUAGAUUGUUCUAGUCGAACCUAUUGACAUCGAAGUUGAGGCAUGUUCAGGUACCUACUUCAUUCUUUUUGCAACAUCAUAGCUCCAUUGACAUGAUCAAUAUUGCACUUGUACACAAUUCCUUCGGAGGUAAACAAGCAUGUUCGAAAAAUAACUACAUUUCCUGGAGGAAAUUUAAGACAAAAGCAAACUUGGGUGAAUCCCACGAAGGAGAUUAAAACAGCUAACAUAAAAAACCCAGAUGCAAGCAACUGUAGACAAUACCAAAGCAUCUGUUGAUUACAUUUCAUAGUUAUAAAAUAACAAUGCCUUUUCCCAACAUAAUGGCAGUUAAAAAUCACUUUUCUACUUAAUCAACUACAAUAAAGGCAUAUUUAUUUUAGAUUCAAGCUAAGUUGGAGAAACACAUGAAAAUGUUAGCAAAUGACGUUACAUUUUCAAUGUAUGCUCAAUUGGUGACAUUAUUAAUUGUAUUAUGGAUUCUAUGAAAAUUGACAUAAUAGAAUUGUUCAUAUAAUCAAAACAAAAUAGAUACAUUCGACAUAAAAAAACUACAUAACUAAAAUUACUUUUCUCUCUGGUUGUAAAUCAUCAUGCAAAAGGUAUUCAAAUACCAAUUGUGUUGCCUUUGGUGAAGCAAUAAUAAAUUGGAAGUUACUAUACAUCUAAAUUGAAUGUACCUAUCUACUUUUAAUUCAAAAAAUGUCUAACUAAUCCAAAUUGGAAUCCUAUCCCACUACUUUUAUGAAGAGUGUGUCCAAACAAUCCAUUUAUCUAAGAUCGUCUCGUCUUGCCUUACCCAUUGCAACCAAAAAAAGAGGAAAAAACAACAGUAUUCUAGUCAUGGGUGUUUUAAAUUCCACCAUUUCUUGCACCAAACAUGCCUUUGGACUAUAGUCUCCCAUAUAUAUCAAUAAGUUGAAAUCAAUGAACCCUAUAAAAAAUAUUCAUUACAUCAACCAAAUGACUCAUUGUGGACCCCGUAUUUUUAAAUGAUGCGUUCCCACUCAAUCGGCGAGACUCGCUUUUCGUUAAUUUGGGUGAAAAAUAUGAUUUUUAGAAAAGACUUGGAGUCGCCACUUACUUUUAUUUAUUUUUAAAGGGGAAAACAAGUAAGAAUAAAACCCCUAAAUGGACUCCUGAUUUUUUUUUGGAAAAGCUGUCUGCAAAAAACCUGAGUCUGGGUUCGGGGAUCAGGUUACUUAUUGGGAAGGUACGGUAAAGACCGUAGCACCCCUCUAAGCCCCUAAAAAAAUGGGUCUCUACAAAAUAAGGUGAACCAGACAUGACAAUUAACUAGAAGAUCAAUGGAUACCAAAAUGAUCAUAAUUCAAAAAUGAUGAUGAAAUGAUAAACGAAGUGAGAGUGAGAGUGUACCUUAGUAGUAGGUAAUAAAGCGUUGUCAUGAAAAUAAGGUUAGUGUACAAUGACAAGUGUAAAAAAAUCUCAUACAAAACCAAAUCAAAAUCAAACAAAAUGGAGAGCACAACUUACUUGAAUUAUUUUCGAAAAAAAUGUUAUGAAUGUCGGGCCCCCACCAAAGCCCAAUUAAUUUUCGCUAUGAAUUAAUUCUCAUAAAUUCCAUCAUUUUAGAAUUAUGAAAACUUAUUCACUUUUAUAUAAAAAAAAUUUGAAAAGAGGAAUUUUGAAAAUUAAAAUUGAAAUUUCGGAAGUAUGGAAUUUUAUUUUAUAUAAAAAAAAAUGAGUUUGAAAAUUUUGGAAAUCUCUUUGAGAAUGGUAUUUCAAAAUAAAUAAAUAAAAAAAUAAUUUAAAAUAAAAUUAAAUAAAAAAAAUGAAUAAAUAAAUAAAUUUUGAAUUUUGGAAAAUGGGAAUUUUGAGAAUGGAAUUUUGAAAAAUUAAAUUAAAAAAAUUGAAAAUUUGGAAGGAUUAUUUUUGAAAAAUGAAAUUUCGGAAAAUUAAAUUUUAAAAAUUGGAAAUUUGGAAAAUUGGGACUUCGAGAAUGGAAUUUCGGAAAAUUAAACUAAAAAAAAAAAAGAAAUUUUGGAAAAUUAUUUCGAAAAUAGAAAUUUUUGGAAAAUUGGAAUUUUUGUAAAUCGAAACGUGAAGAUCAAAGUUUUGAAAAUUAUAUUUUUUGAUGUAUGAGAAUAAAAAUAAAAAUAAUAAAUAAAAAGAUGGUACGUAGUCGGUGGGACUCACAUCCCGAAAGUGGCCAUGCAAAGCGUGGGCCUAGGAUGGAAUAUCUUAUAAAAUAAUAAUAAUAAUAAUAAUAAUAAUAAUAAUAAUAAUAAUAAUAAUAAUAAUAAUAAUAAUAAUAAUAAAACAAUCUCAACCUCACAUACUUUAAUACUAUUUACACAUGAAAUAUUGAAAACUAGCAACUGAAUAUCAGAACAUGAGAAAAUUAGUUAAGGGAAACUAACCCUAAAAUUAUUAAGAGUAUAUACUAACAUGAAACAUUAAAAUAAAUCGACAACUAGGGAUAUUAAAAACCUAAAUUAAUGAGGAACAACCAAACUAAUGCUAGAGAUAAUAAAAAAACAUGAACUAAUUUAGGUUCAAUAAGAAUGAAUAAUUGGAAAAUAAUAAAAACUAACAUCUAAGGAUAUUUAAAUCCCAAACUAAUAAGAGGUAAAUAAAUACUAAAACCUUAAUAUUUAAAGAAAACUAUUGAACAACAAUGGAUCAACCGAAAUACCAAUUAAUCAUUCAAAGAGCAAUAUAUGCCAACAUGGAUCAGCCCAAACCAAAGACUAAAAAUUCAAGAAGUAAUAUAUACUAACAUGAGUUAUUAAAAUCAACAAUUAAAAACUCCCAGGUAUAUACAAAUUAUCAUAGGCCAUCAAAUUAAAAACUAAAAAAUUCAAAGGACUACAAAGAAUUAACAUGGGUCAACCAAAAUAACAAUUAAUAUUUUUUAUGACAAUGCAAAUUAAUGUAGAAUGACCAAAAAAUAAGAAUAAAAAUUUAAGGAGCAAUAUAAAUUAACAUAGAUAUUUAAAAAUUAACAACAAAUGAUUUUAUGAAAAUGAAGAAAAAUAAUAAUAAUAAUAAUAAAUAAACAAACGAAAUUUCAUGAAUAUUAUAAAGCUACAUGGAUAUUAGUUUUCAUUUAUUUCAUUUUAAAUUUAUAACAAUGUAACCCAAGAACACAUGAUCCACCAUAUUCACUUGAAUUUUUAAUUCAAUGAAACAAACCACUAACAUGAAACAUCUCAUGGCCGGCCAUUAAUCUUACUUUGAAUUUUUUAUAUUAAAAAAAAAACAAUGCUCAAGCUUCCCCUAUUAUUCGAAAUUAGCCAAAAUUAAGAAAGAAAGAAAAAAUCUUAUUUUAUAGUAUUAUUUUUUUAAAAAAAUCUAAUUUUCCAUUAUUAUUAAAAUUGAUCAAAACUAAAUUUAUUUAUUUUUUAAAAAUUCCAAUUUUCUACUAUUAUUCAAAAUUUAACCAAAACUAAAAUUAAUUAAAAGAGAGAAUUUAAGAAAAUUGAUUUACCAUGGACCAUUGAGAUAUAGCAAUUAAAAUGAAUGUCAAAAAUUAUUUUAAUUGUCUUCAUAUUCAAAUGAAUUUAUGAGGAAUAAAACAAAAAUUCUUAUGCCGUGAGAUCAAACCGAACACUUAAAAUAAAAUGAUAAACACGCAAUAGAUUAGAACCUAAAAUACAAGAGCCUAUAAAAAUAAUAAACAUUGUUCAUGAACUAAGCACCUCAUUGUUUCAUGCAUAUAAGUCUACACGCAAUGCUAUAUCCACUAUGCAUCAACAAUUCUUUAAACAAUAAAAGUUAGUGGACUUUGAAUGUCAUGCAAUUAAUAAACAUUGACAAUGGUCAUUUGAUGCAUGCUGGAAAACUUUCUUGUGCCUGUUGCCAAAAAAACUUUAAAACACUAUUUGGGCCAGAAAGUUUAAAAACUAUUUGAGACUAAAACAAAAAAAGAUUAAAUAGAAAAAAGAAACAAGGAUUUUAAAACACUAUUUGGGCCAGAAAAGUAAAUAAAAUACAUGGUUUAAUAGUUUUUUCCUUUCUUUCUUUUUGUUUCCUUUUGAUUUUGACAGAGGAGCAAAGUGAAUGGACUACAUAAAGACGAGCUCUUGCAUGCGACGCUGGAAAGCAGUCAGUUUGCUACCGCCAGCGAGACUCACAUCUAAAGACUACCUGAACAAUCCUAUGUAUUCCGGCGAGGGCAAAGGAAGUCACUACAAGCGCUAGCAGGGCUACAACCAAGGCCGGCCACUAGAAAAAUAAGCUGCAGCCCCCUCCAUGCGUAGCUGAAGCGAGCACCUAGAGAGGGUUUCAUCUCCAGCUUUCAGCCGCUGCCACCAACAGUACAACCACCCCGUUCAGACACCGCAUGGCUGGUUUGAAGAACAUGAACCUGCCUAGCCCCAACAAAGAAGAAAACGGUGCUUAGCUCUUAACGUUUAGACAUCCUGUUCAAACACUACAUGGAUAUCAUCUCAUGAUCAUCCACGACUUCUCAACAUCCCAUAUUCACAGGGUCCAAUUCUCCAUGGCCAAACAUCCUGAAACAAAGGUCAAACACCCAGAAAAUAGAGCACAUAACGAAAGGGAUGGAAUGAACUACCCAUAAUAGCGUUUCAUGUCAUAGCCAAUGAGCUCAGAUUGGUGGGAUGGAAAUAGGUGAUUACUACUCAAAAAGUGCUAUUUGAUAGCUUAUAAUUAACUUUUUUAAACACUUUUGAGUAGUAGUUAUUGCCUUUUAACCCAAUUAACAUAUUAAGGACCUUUGCAAGCACUUUUAAUCAAUUUGUGUUAAGUUUUGGUGUUUUGAUAACUUUUUGAUCACCAAAGCAAUAUGAGAUUGAGGAGAGUUAUUUGGAAUCCAUGGCAAAGCAAUGGAAAGCUCAGAAACAUGAAGAACCAAAGCUUUGAAGUCCUUUGCCAUAAGCAAAUCCGGAAUGUAAGGAGGGAAAGCAAAGAGAAAUCUGCCAUGAAACAUUUUUUAUGACAGUCAUGUCAGCCACUUUUGGAGCACUUCCUGAAGUCUAAUUUAUGCAUUCUAUAUGUAGUUUCAAAGCUUAGGAAGUCAGCAAUCCAAUACUUCAAAUGGUGCACAAUUUGGAGCUGGAAUGAAGGAGUUACAGCCGUUGGAAGCUGAACACCGCAAGCUGAAAGCCAACUUCGCAGCGCUAUGAAAUCAGCCUUUUGCUGCGAAGUGAUUUCGCAGCCCUUUUUGUGCGUCUGCGAAAUCUCGCAGACCUCGUUUUCACCUGCGAAAUGGUCCUUAGUGCUUUUUGAUAUUUGCGACCUACACAUUGAGAUAUUUUUCUUUAGAUUUUUGUUGUCUAAAUCCUAAAACUCUCCUUGUAAACCACCAAUUGUAGGAUUCCUUAGCUAUUAAGUUAGGAGAAAGGGUGAAUAUCCAUGUAAUAAUUAUUAUUGUAAUUUUCAUAUAAAUAGCUCUCGAGAGCCUGUUCUCAGGGACGAUGAACAUUUUGUAAAAGUUUGAAAGAAAGAAAAAUACAGAGCCUUUGCUCUGCCUUACCUUCUCACUUUGAUUGUAUUUUUCAUUUACUAGUUAUGCACUCUCUGAGGAAGUUUCCCCAGAGAAUGAGUAACUAAACCUUUAGUUCCUUGGAGCUAAGGUUGCCGGGAAAGGUUCCAAGUGCAUGAAUUAGUAGCUUUGUGGUUUCAGCCAUGAAUGAAGAGAAAGUGUGAUCCUUUAGUGAUUUCUAUGUUUUUAGUUAACUUAAAACGCCUUGGAGUCACCUGGGCCAACACUUGGUAAGGCAAGUGAUCUCCGUCCAUGGAAAUACACUAGUUUACCCCUUGCGAGCCUUUGGGAGGUGACUUGAAGGUAGGAUUUUCUAGAAUUGCCAACACUUGGUAAGCUUUUGGACUCCAAGGAGACAUCCAUUAGUUAUCUCUUGCGAGCUUGAGAAGGGAAGUCCAAGGUUAAAGAUCACCUUGAAUGGUAAAUGCUAAGUGAGAGGCACGAACCAUUGCAAGUUGCAUCAGUGAGAGAGAAUUAGAGCUGAAAUCCAAUUAAGGGAUGCAUCUGUACAUCACCGGUUAGAGAAUUGACUAUAUGUUAAUUCUCUAAUGCGAGGAAAUGAACCAUCUGACCGGAGCUAUGUUUUUGCAUGAGGAACCUCCCAUGUGAACCUAAAUCUCCAAGGAAUGUUUGUCUUCAUAAGUAAUUUCCAUUACUUGCUGUGCCGUUAGUUUAAAUCUAAACCUUUUUCAACCAAAGUUUGUGUUUUAUUUCUUAAGCUAACCUUGAAAUGAAACAACACCAAUUCAUUUUGAAUUGGUAUCAUUUGCAAUUUGAAAACCCUUCCCAGUGAGCGAUCCUAGAACUACUAUGCUAUAGUAGCUUUUUCUUUGCUACCCUAGUAUAUGGUGUAAUAGGUUAUAAAUUUUGUUGAUUACUCCCUCAAUCAAGGAGCACCAGCUGGACACGAAUCAGCUGAGACACCAAUUGGGCACUAAUCAGCAGGUGAGUCCAAGGUCAAAUAGAGACACAAACCAAAAAAUAUCCAACAACCAAACUAAGACUGCAUAUUCAUAUUAUAUUUCUGAGCAAGACGGUGAAAGUAAAAACAAACAUGCAACAAUGGUAAAUAGAAAUAUCAGAACUAGAUUCCCACGGACAACAAGCAUUCUUCACUGUCUAUUCUCAAGCAAUUUAAAAUAUCCAGGAAUCAUGAAAGAGAAAGGAGAGUGACAUGGCAUGCAAAUUAAACAGCAGGAAUAAUAAAAUCCAUACCUCGGAAGUCGUUUCUGGCUGUAUGAAAUAUUAGUUUCCAGCUACCCCUCUUUUUUCUCGAAUUCCUCCUGUCAGCUCUUUCUUUUACUUUUCUUUAUUUCUCUCUCAAAACCUUCCCUCUUACUCCUCUCAGACUUCUCUCAAACUCUUCUUUCUUUUUUCCUUCUUUUCCCGUUCUCUCUGUUUUCCUCAAAACCUCUCCCACUUUUUUUUUUUUUUUUCAAACUCCUAAGUCCCCCCUUUUUAUCCUCUCUUGAGAAACUCUUCAUUCCCUCUAGAAAAUGGCCCCUGCCUCUUUCCCAUACAGACUCCUCGAAAACCUCCCAUCUCAGUUUUCUUUUUUCCUUCUUUUGAUUUCCAUUUUCUUCCCUACUAAGAUUCUUAAUCGACUCCCAUUUUUCAUUUUUUGUAAUCUCCCCCUCAUCUUUUCCUGAUCAAAGCCUCUUCAUUUUCAGAAAAUUACUAUUCCACAUCAAAGCCUCUCCUCCUAGUCCAUCUGUUUUCCUUUUUUUUCCUCUUUAUCUUUUUUUUUUUUAAAUAAACUAAAAGAAUAAAAAUAAAAUUAAAGGUAAAAAAAUCUAUAAAAAAAAUGAAAAGUAAAAUAAGAAGAAUGUAAUAAUAAUAAAACAAACAUACAGUGAGUGCAUACUACUAAUGAUAUUAAUAAUACUAAUAAUGAUGAUACUAAUAAUUAAUAAUAACACUAAUAAUAAUAAUAAUACUAAUAAUAAUAAUAAUAACUAAUAAUAAUAGUAAUAAUAAUGAUAAUAAUACUAGAUCCCUGACCAUCUGCAAUUUUCUGAAAAUAAAUAUGUGGAUGAAUAAAUAAAUAAAACAGGAAAAAUAAAUAAAUGUCGCAUGCACGUAACAAUAGUCUAAAUAUUAAACUAAAACACAAAUAAAAAAUAAAAAUAAAAUACCAAGCUGAUACAAAUAAACAUCGAAAAUUCAUCUCAAGCAAUCUAAAUAAAACAAUAAAAAAAUAUAAAUACUCACCUAGUCUCAAAAAUCCAUCAAUCAAGAAACUAAUGGAAUUAAGCUCACAAAAAAUAUCUAAGUGACCUAUGUGACCUAAGUGGAAAGUGUCAAGGUGAAUUAAGUGGAAACUAAACCAAAGAGAUGUCCAAGUGAUAAAAAAAACAUGCCAAGUGACCUUGAAGGUUUAAAAAAAAAAAUGCCCAAGUGAUGUAAGGUGAUUAAAAUGUGUCAAGUGAUCUAGGAGUGUACCUAAUGGGCCAAGUGCAUCUAAAUGGGCCUAGGGUGCCAAAGUGGGCCUAAGGUGGUGCCCAAUGGGUCAUCAGAGAAUUAUCGUAAAGUAUCAAAUGGACAUGUAAUAGAACAUGUGCUAGUAGGACAAAAUAGAGGGUCUACACUCAUUUUCUAGGGAAUUGCUUCAAUCACAAUCCACAUGCAUGCAUAAUAUUGUCCCCCACACUAUUCCUUCACUAAGGAGCAAUGUCACAAGCAUUUGUAGUCUAUACACAUGCAUUUUGUCCUACACAAAACAUAACAACUGAUUUGAUGGCGUGGGAUAAAAUGGAAGACAAGAACAAGAAAUGGUGUAAACUUGUUGUAACCUCGACAACUGAUUGUCUUAAUGUAGCCUUAUUCCAAUAUUCCAUGAACUCUAGAGCUAGAAUACCACAAUCAUACCUACAACAUAAUUAAGUUUGGAUUCUCAUAUACAUGACCAAAAUCUCAAAUUUGAUAACAUUAUACCGCACAAUGCCUAUAACUUUAUUAUAAAAAAAUUUGAUAUGAACAAAGGACUUAACCCAUUUUUUUGUUGGACAACAUCUGGCUGAACAUGCACAAAUCUAAACACCUCCACGUUCAAGUGAAUUUCAUGUGCAUGCGAGUGACAAUUGCCUAGACAAAGCAUUGAUGUUGUUUCCCCUUCAUAGUGGCAGUGAUAAUAAGAUCUCAACACGCACCACCGGAAUGUUUAUCACAUGAAUGUGCCAAUGGUUGUUUUCACAAACAAGGAUGAACAACUACAUGAUCAAUGUGGAAUUAUGCACAACUAUGUUAAUAUAUAAAGUCAUAAUUUUAACAUUACAAGUUGGAUGAUGGGACUUCAAUUUUAACAAGUGUGUCAUACCAUAUCACACGUUGUUAGGUUGUGUCCUAGUAUGCAGCAUGAAGAAACAUGCGACAUCUGUCAAUGAUUUCGUGUUUUGUUGCCUUUGGUUGAAGGCUGUUGAGAAGAACCUAUUCAAGUUCGGGAUUACUCAUUACAAACAUCAACGAAUACAAUUAUCUUUCGUAACCAUUAGUAAAAUUAGUAUAGUUGAGGCUACACUGUGAAAGAAGGAUACAAAAAAUUAAAGUACCUGGGAUCAUCAUCUUCCGUCAAUGCAAAAUUUGCUACAACCUUAUUUGUUGUGCGAUUUUUGGGAACUGUUUAAGGCAUUGCGCAACAAAUGGAGAUUUGAAAAUGGUAAGAUGCUUGACAAUCCUCUUAAUAGUGCGUUUGUAUCUCUGAAUAGACGAAUGGAUGACUGAUUGGUUGGCACUCACAAAUGGCCCAACAUUUUCCACCUCUUUCCCUACCCUCAAGUCCGAUUCAAGAGAGGAUUAUGCAUGAGACUAUAGGGGCAGCGGUGGGGAACCAUGGGCUGCUGUUGAUGUCUACAUUUCAACUAGAGAUUAGGGGCUUGGUGGUAAGUUGUGUCAUUCUACAAAAUCUUCAGGAGAAGGCUAAAUGUCCACUGUCGUAGGAGCCUUUUGUUCUUUUACUUGCUCCGAUGGUUUUGGUGGAGGGACCGCACAAUAGGCCUACGAUCCAAAUCGGUAGGAAUGCAAUGUAGCAACAUUGCGCACCAGUGAUGAAGCCAAUCUCACCAUGCUUUCUGAUGUUUGUAUGACACACGUUUUAAUUGCCUAAUAGAAAAUGGAGAAAAUUAUAUACAACGAUCAAUGUAUGCAAUGAUAAAUAAAAAUUUGCAUAAGUCUGACCCAUAUGGGUUUGUGGGCUCUAAAAGUGAUUGAAGACAUCUACUACCUCGCUAGCAUUGUCAAUAAUUGAUGAUGUCAAAACUGUUGAUGGUGCAUGAAACUGGGUAGCGGUUUGUGGCUGUUGUUUAACCUGCAUGUGUUAUGAGUCCAAGAAUGACAACAUUCAGUUUAGUCAUGAGUUCAAUAGGAUAAAUUCUUAUAGAAAAAGGAAAAAUGUGCGAAGUUGGAGCAUACAUGCACAUGACUGUAUGUAUUGAAUGUAGAAAUUUCAGCUGCUAACCAUCAUUUGAUUAAUUCAUUAGUCUAGGCAAUAGAAAAUGGCUUGGUGACAUCAACCUUCAUCGAGGGCAUGUAGAAUUUUGUCAUAUAGAACAACUGAGGGGAGUAAGAUAUAUCAGACAAAGCACAUUAAGUAAUCAACUUGCAAUAAGGUUUACCAUUACUUAGGUUUAUCAUAAGUAUUCCCAAUUUCCAUAAUAUACAAGGCAUUUGUCAUAAACAUCUAUAAACCUCAACGAUUGUCAAAAGUAACAACAAGAUACAUGAAACCAUCAAGCAUGAUGUUGACCUUCAAAUUCCCUUAAAAUAGCAUGCAUAAAAACUAGCUCUUAUUGAUAUGAACAAAUAUACCAACCUAAAAAAUUUCUCACUAAAAUUGUUGAGCUUCUAAUUAAUGGUCACAACUAAUUAAGACAACUCUUGGCAAUACUAACACCUUUAAGCAAAACCAAAUAUAUCUAAUUCUAACUGCAUGCUUAGCCCUUUCUCUAUACCCAAAUUUUUUCUUUACGUAUUCAUGUCUAUGUUUGUUUUCUAAGAAAAGAUAUAGGAACUAGAAAAUAGUAGCCAUAUUUAAACUUUCAUGAUUCGUAAACAUGUUUUCCAUGACAAGUUUGGUAAGCAUGUAAUUUGUUAUAAAAUAAACAACAUUUAUACACAAAGUAGUCAUAAACAUGUAUACACAAAGUAGUUAAAAACCACCAUUACAUAAAACAAAGAACACAAAUCCACUAAAACUACAUUUUCAUUUCUUAAACAAGAAAAAAAAAAUAGAUACAUCCUAACGCUCAAAUUUUGGCUUUUGCAUAUCAACCACACAACAUUAAGUAAACUAAUUCUUUCUAAUCCAAUUCAGUCAUUUAAGUUUUUGGCGAACCCUCUCAUAGAUCCAAAGCCCAAUUCAACAUUUUAUUCCCAUCUAGCAAUCUAGAAGUAAACAUCUUGUUAAUUGAUUUUAUUUUAUUUUAUUUUUAAGAAAAGACAAUUACUACCAAAAACAUGGGAAUUUUAGGAUAACAAUUGAGGAAGGUUCGUAUGACAUAUAGAUAUUGUAAUACCAAUGGGUAUUUAAGAGCUUGCUCAAAAUAAUAGCAAACUCUCAAACCAGUUAUUUCCCAAUAAAAAAAACAUACUCUAGUAUGCCCCUGCCACAUGGAUGACUACAACAAUUUCUAAGUAGUAGAAGAGAAUUUUGUUCAAAAUAUCAUUAAUGUAUCAUUAAAAUUAAAUAAAGAAAUUCUUCAACUAACAAUAUUACAGAUGAAGCAAUUUCCUAAAAAAUCUUAUCACAACACAAAUUGUGGAAAACAAAUAAAUUUUUAUACUUCAUUUACAAAUACAAACAUAUAUUUAACCAAAAUAGAAUAUCUUUGACUCUAACAUUUUCUCUUCAGCCAAACAAAUCCUUUAUAAAAGUGAUAACAUUUAUUUUCUUGUAAAUAAACUUUUUUUAAAAUAUUUUCUUUGCAUGAAAUUAAAGCCUUUUUAUUUAAGUAAAUUAAAACUUCCUUUUAUAAAAUUCAUUAAAACUCUGGACUCAAUUAUUUUUUAUACUCAUGAAAUAUUUCCUUUAUAAAAGUGAUAACAUUUAUUUUCUUGUAAAUAAACUUUUAAAAAAAUAUUUUCUUUGCAUGAAAUUAAAGCCUUUUUAUUUAAGUAAAUCAAAACUUCCUUUUAUAAAUAAAAUUCAUUAAAACUAUCGAAUCAAUUUUUUUUUUAAUACUCAUGAAUUUUUUAUUUUUUAUUUUUACAAAAGUAAUAACAUUUAUUUUCUGGUAAAUAAACUUUCACAAGUAUUUUUCUUAAAUGAAAUUAAAGCAUUUUUAUUCUUAUUAUUUAAAUUAAUCAAAACUUCCUUUUAUAAAUAAAAUUCAUUAGAACUAUCGAAUUAAGAAUCAACUGUUUUUUUUUUUUUUUUAAAUCAACACUCAUGAAAUCUUUCGGUCCCCUUAGUGCAUACUUAUGAAUUCUUUUCUAUAUUGAUCCAUGAUGUUUCGUUUAUUCCCUGAAUCCUUAGCAAUUAAAAACCCAUGUUAAUUUAUAUUCGAUUCUAAGCAAUAAGUUACUACCUUUCGAUGAUCUAUGCCAUUAUAAGUUGUUCUUUAGAUUAUUAGAUGUUUUGGUAAUCCCGAUGAUGUUUAUUAUUUCUUUGAAACUAAGUUGAUAAUUGUGAAUAUCCCGUAUUAUUAGUUUCAUUUUAAAACUAAUUUCUAAGCGCUUGAUUAAUUUAUCUUAAGUUUAGAUGCAUUUAAAAUUCCAACAAUUAGUUCUUCAUAAUCUAUGCUAGUUUAAGAUUUUUUUGAAGUCUUUAUUUAUUUAUAUUAUUCUUGGUGAUCAUUUAAAAGAUGGAAAUUUCUUUUUAGAGACUUGUUUUCCAUAGUUCUUAGUAAUAAAAUGAAAGUUAGAUUUUUUAAAAUGUUAGCUUGUAAUUCUUGGUGGUAAAUUGAAAGUUAGAUUUGUUAAAAUGUUAGUUUACUUGAUCUAAAAAUCUCUGGUUGGUUGCUAUAAUAAUUUUAUCUUUAAUUUUUAGAGAUCAUCGGAAAAUAGUGAAGAUUGGCCUCCAUUCUCACCACUUUAGUUUGCUCGGAUUGUAAAAAAUUUCACUUUGUGAAUUCUUUUUCCUCUGUUUUGCUUGGUAUUUUAUUUCUUGUGUUUUUUUGUUUUCAUAUUAAUUUCCUUUAUUUUUAAAUCAAAUGUUUUUCUUAAAAUAUGCCUUUGAAAAUUUUGUGUUAAAAGUAAUUCAUUUAGAGUCUUUAGAAUCAAAAUCUCAUUUUUUUUUAAAAAAUAAUAUGCAACCAUUUUUUUUUUCGAUUCGCAUCGUGCUUAGUUUUCAAUAAAAACUACGGUUUUGAGUAAGACACGAAUCCAAGCUUGUGGUCCCAAAUAAAUGGGAUAAUUCUAGGCUAGACUUGUGUAUAUCAAUUAAGGAAUUGGUGAAACCCCUACAUAAAAUCAUCUUUUCAAAACUCAUCUUUGCUGCCACCCUUGCCAUUUAUUGAAAUUAUAUGUAUCUGUUUUUUAGGAAUUAUAUACAAGAUGUGUGCGAUAAUUGAUGAUUUCGUAUACUUUGAUUAUUUUUGUGAUGCUAAUUAGACAACAAACAUGCUAGGAUUUCUUUAUUUUAUUAUUAUCUAACCCCUCAUAUCUUGUGGAAACGCAUUAUAAGUUAUUUAUGUGGUCCUGGUACGUCCUCUAUCACCCACCUUCUAAAUUCUGUAAAUAUGGUUGUCAAUGUGAACUGCAUCUAUACUUGAUAGUACUUGAGUGUCUUGAUAUAUAUAUGUUUCAUUGUUCUAUUAUUUCUAAUAAAGCGUAUGUUGGAUGAUAUAUUAUUUGAACUAACUCUGAUGUCUUGUGACAACGCUUAAGAUGCAGUCCAUGUACGCACCCUAAAUAUUCUUUAUGAUUGUGCUUGGCUUUCUUGUUAGGCAUGCUAUUUUUGAAACCACUUAGCCUACUUAGGUAUCUAUAAUCAACCAAUUAAUUGCCACAUUUCCCUCAAUUAAGUUAGUAGGGACCUUUAUAAGGCCUAGAGGGGUGCUACCUCCUAGAGGUACUUUCCCAAUAAGUAACCUGAUCCCUGAACCCAGACUCGGGUUUUUCAAAGACAUGCUUUUUCCAAAAUUGUGGAGUCACUUUCUUUAGGGUUUUCUUUCUUGUUUUAUUUUCCUUUUAAAAUAAAAUAAAAUAAGUGGUGACUCCAACUUUUCCAAAACUAAUUUUUCACCAAAUAAAAACGAGUCUCAUCGAUUGAGUGGGAGUGCACAUGAGAAAUACGGGUCUACACUCUCCCAUACCCAUAAUUGGAGCAAAAUUAGUGGGCUAGAUAUAUCAUGUGUAUCAAUAUGAGAGGCUCGACACAACUAUCGAUAAAGCUAGGCUAAAUAGACACUACCCUAACUAUACCUACCAACAACCUCAAAAUCCUUUAGAAGAAGUAAAAACAUAAGAUGAACUUUAUCACUAGACUUUCCUAAAAAUAGAAAACCUCUAAUGAGAUGUAAGCCUUAGUAUAAUGCUGAAUAGACUCCUCAUUAGCAUCUGGUGUCAAAGUAAGGAAGCUUUGACCCAACCAUGUAAGAUGAAGGCGCUACCCAUCUAUGUUUGUAUCUCUAGGAAUGAGUCCUAAUAGAGAAUAACAUACAUGCCUCCAAUCUAAACAUGUGCUACCAAUAACUACAACUCCAUCUACUAGUAGUCUAAGAAGAAUGGCAAUGUCCUGUAGUGUAAUUGUGCACUCCUCUUGAGUUAAGUGGAAGGUAUGAGUCUUAGGUCUUCAUCUCUCGAUAAAUGCAGUAAUAAAGUGUCAAUCUAAGAAAAUGAAUCCUAAGCAUGCAACACCAUAGAAGCCUGCCUACUGCAACAAUGGAAUAAUACGCCCAUCGAGUACACUGGUGUGAUGAAAAAUCAUCUCACAACGUCGACAAUGAAGCUCCUUAGAGUCAACACCUAUCCAUACUAGAGAUGACCUGUGUGUGGCUUGCCCAUGUAGAAUUGUAGGAUCCAAUGGUCCUGGCUUCAUCAUGCGAUGAUACCUAUAUAUAGUAAAUAACCAUUAGUUCUUGUUAACAUUAGUAUGAUUACAAAUUUAAAGACAUUACUUAAAAAUAUCAUAUUAUCAAAAUGAACAAUCUUUCAUACUUUAAUUGUCAAGAGGAAGAGGAUUUGAGGAUUACCCUCCAUCUUUUGUGGGACAGUUAUGAAAAUUAUGUCCCUCUAUUUUACAUAAGGCGCAUCUAACUCUAACACUUGGUUCCUUCAAAUCCAUUUGAUUCCUUAUCCUUGAUGAUCUAAGACACCCUUUAUCCCUCAUCGAAGUUAGGCCAGGGUGGAGAAUAGGAAAAUCAGGAUACGACCAAUAAGAUUCAUGUGGAAUGAGAUUAAAUUUAGGAGCAUAAAUGUUGGCAUAGGCAUCCAUCCUAUAGUAUUUUUCAACAAAUUAUCAACUAUGAAUCCUCAUAUGAGCACAAAUAUCUAGCACAUGUGAGCAUGGAAUGCCAAAUGAUUGCCACUUAUUACAACUACAUGUACCUUCAUUCAACUUAACAACUUGUUUGUUAUGUCCUUUAUCCAUACGAAAUCCAUGGAGAGUAGCAAUUACUUUAAAUGUUUGAUGAAUUCGAUGGAAGAUAGUCACAGUAUGUCUACUAGCUUUGGCUUCAGAUCUUCUAAAUUUAUCAAUUGCGUACGUAGUAUACACAUCUCCAGUUGCCAUUCUAGCACGUAUCUCUACUCUAUGAGUCUCAAAGUAUGACACACAUCGAUAAAAAGUUAAUUGAACAAGCAUAGUGAUAGGUAACAUUCUUGCUCCCUUAAGCACCCUAUUUAUGCAUUCAACAAUAUUUGUGGUCAUCCACCCAUACCGAUAUCCUAGAUCAUAUGCUUGAGUCCAUUUUUUAGUGUCUAAUUUUGAAAAUCAAGCCACGCCUUUUUCAUUUAAUCAUUUUAACUCUUCCAUGUAUCACUCAUACUUUUGCAGUCAAUGUUGAGAUCCAACUCUAUACACCAACUCUUUUAAGACCUUAUUAUUAAAUUUGUCAUUAAAAUUGCUCACUACAUGCCUAAGAUAAUAUCGAUGUUGCGCAUGAGGAGGGCUCCAUCUAACUGAUGGAUUUUUAAUAGCAGCAUUUAUUCCUACAUGGAAAUCUAAAAUUAAGGAUAUUCAUCCUCUUUGAGUGACGAGACGCCUUAAUGCAAUAAGAAACCAAGACCAACUAUCAUGUGAUUCUUCCUCAACAAUUGCAAACACAAGGGGGAAUAUACGACCAUUUGCAUAAAUUAAAGAAACAAUUAAAAGCUUCCUCAUGUAUUUUCCAUAUAGGAAUGUACCUUCAAUUUGUAUAAUUGGUCUGCAAUGCUUGAACCCUUCAAUACUUGGCCUAAAUGUCCAAAAAACAUGAAUAAACCGCACGUUCCCAUAAAUCCCUCCUAAAGGUAUUAUCUUCCAAACAAUCUUUGUUCUAGGAUUAGUUAGCUUAAGAAUGUUCAUCCACUUCAACAAUGCUUGAUAAGAUUCAUCUCAAUCGCCAAAAACUCUAAGCAUUGCUUUUCUCUUAGCUUCCCAAAUUCUCCUAUAAUGGACAUCAUAUCCAAAUUUAUCCUUCACUAUAUGAUGUAAUUUAGCAAUAGAGGUAGUGUGAUCCCUCUAAACUAAAUUUUGGAUCUCUCUUGCAAUCAAUGUAGAGUCCAAUUGAGAGUGGUCUUGUGAUAAUUUAGGAUAAACACAUGUGUGAGGACCUGCGUACUUGGUUAUCUCAAACAUUCCAUGACUUUUACGAUGACAUGCACGAAACCUCCAAUUACAUCUUUCUUGCCACUUCUUAUAUCUCACUGUCCACAAUUGUGGUUCUAAUUCACAAACAACCAAAUGUUGAUUCCAACAUAUUGCAUAACGUUUUACAGCAUAUUGCAAGUCUUCUUUACUCUCAAAUCUCAAUCCUUUAAACAACUCAUUAGAUUCAUUCCACAAUUCAAUACGUGAUGUGAAAGGCCCAAUAGUCAUGCUAUUUAUUGCAUCUCAAUUCAAUUGUUUGAACAUUAGGAAAGGCUUAGUAUGUUCACCAUCAUCUAAAAAAGCCUUAUUUGUUGGAGGUUCAUCAUCAUUUUCAUUUGUAAAUGAGAUGUCAACAUGGUUAUUUGUUGCUAUCAUAACUGAGUUACUAUUGCCAAAUUCCCUCUCAUUUUAUCAUUGUGUGCUAAAUUCUCCUCCAUUUCAUCAGUGUGCACUGCCAAAUUCCCCUUUGUUGACAUUUCCACAUCAUGACCCAUAAUUUCUUGAUCAAAUGAUGGACUUAACCCAAAUGAAUGAUCCCUUGGACGUGUCUGCAAAUACAUUUCAAUAGAAUUCGAUGGUGAGAUUUAUGCUACAUCAUGAAACAUUAACCUUGCAUCAUCAUUAUCUUUAAUUGGUAUUUUAUAUAGUUAAUGUUCCCAUUUCCAAUCAACAUAAGAAUUGGAUAUCGAAAUAUCAUGGAUAACAUGGUAUGAGCGCAAUCGAUCGACAUGACAUGACACAACUUAUCCUUCAAAUCAUCAUAUUUGAUCAAAUUGUUCACUAAAAUACCUUUUUUAGGUGGACAAUUGUAACACAUCCCAUUUGGGCCAUCAAUUAUUUCACCAUCCUUGUAACACACAAUUGUAAUAAAACUAUCCAUUCAUGUACCUAAAAAGAAUCAAAUAAAUGAUAUAUAAGACUGAAUUGAUAAUAACUAAGAAAAAAAGAAAAAAAAAAGAAUAGUGACAAUGACGAUGACGAUGAUGAUGAUGAUGGUGAUGAUAAUGAUAAUGAUAAUAUAGAAAUAUAGGAAUUAAGUGUCAACUAGGACUAAUGGGCUCGGGCUAGAAAUUUAAUUGUUAAUUUAAGAUAUGUGUAAGCCUGGUUAUUUAAUAAAUAUAUUUAAAACAUAAUAAUAAUACUAAUACUAAUACUAAUACUAAUAAUAAUAAUAAUACUAAUACUAAUACUAAUACUAAUAUAGGAAUUUAGUGUGAACUAGGACCAAUAGGAAUUUAUACUUGGACUAGGAAUUUGAGUGUUAAUUUAAUGGGUUGUUUUUUGGUACCCACUCUUUAUUUUGGGGGUACCUACCCACAUUUAACCCCAAUAAUAAAAUGACAAAUGUAUAGUGCAUGUCAUUAAAAAAUUUACAAAAUCUUAUUAAAUCGGUAAAGAUGACCUAUUGGUGAGAAAUAAUCACAUGCAUUUCAUACAUAUCUAAAUAUUACAACUUUUUUUUUAUAAUUUAUUAUUAAAUAUCAAAUAUAAUUUUUUAUUUAAUGAACUACGUAACUCUCUCUAAAAAAAGAAAAUCAUACCAACUACCCUUAUAUUCUCAUUAGUCAUAUAUAAAAAAGGAUACUAAUUUAAUAUGAAAAUUAAACAGUUUCAACUACCAUAUUACAAAAUAUGUUAGAUGUGUUUUGAUAAAUCAAAUUUGAAAAUCAGGUUUGAAACUUUAUGAAGGAGAAAAUUAAAAAUUUGUAUUUUAUCAAGAAGAUGAAGGAUUUCAAGUGAUUACCGGUGUCAAAUGUAAUAUUUGAUAUUUUUUUAUUUAAAUAUAAAUUUUGUAGGUAGAAAUGUUAUAUUAAAUAACGAAAUAUGAAAUGAUUUAAAAAAAUUUAAAACGAGUGUAAGCCUAGUUAUUUAAAUCAACAAUUGGGGUUCAACAAUUGAGCCCUAACUCAUUCUAGCAACAAUUAGUGGGUUUUUUUUUUCCACUGUUAGCUCAUUAUGAAAAAGCAGUACUUGAUAUAAAAUAAAAAUAGGUUGUAUAGUACUUCCAGAUGAACAACUAAAACUAUUAAAGACCAUAUUUUAAAAAUUAUUGUCAUUUGGGAAAAAAAAUUUCCACAACUAAUUACCAUGAUUCAUAGCGCCAUCCUUACCAAAAGAAAGCACCAAAAAACAAAAGGGAGAAUUACCCUUAAGGGUAGGCUGGGGAAAAAAAUGACCAAUGAGGGUGGGUAAAUUUGAUAAUUAUUGUAAAGGGUAGGGUAAAAUUAUGAUAAUUCCUCCAAAGGCCUUAUUUUAUUUAAAUGCCAAUACUACCCUUAAUAAGUGAAAAGCAACAGAAAAUAAAAAAGAGUUUAUUCUCCCUUUCUUUAACCUACCUGGAGCCGAGUUGUAGAAGAAAAAGGGGAAAGGAAAAAGGUGCGCACUUCAGGUCAUUCUCUGCAACCGAUACACAAAACUUGUUUUUUUUUUUUUUUUUGUGAAUCUAACAAGAAAUCCAUUAAAGGUCAAUUUUUUUUUUAAUACAAAAAAAAAGUCAGUUUAUGGAAAAAUAAAUAAAUAAUUUAAAAAUCGGAUUGAAUGAAGGAAAAGUUAAUAAUUUUAACAAUGUAGCUGUAAGAUAUUAGAUCUGAAAUAUUGAAUGAGGUUUUGAGAAAGAAAUUACAUUUUUUUUAAAUGUUAUUUAAAUUUAUUAUUUUGAAUUUUUUUAUAUUAUUUAGGUCAUAUUGAAGAUGUGUUUUUAUUUUUAAUUUAUUUUCUGGGUGGGUUGUUUGAUAUGAUUAUUAUUGAUUUCCAUUGAAAAGGUUUGCACUUUAGUUUUAUUGUUAAGACUUUUUGACAUGAUUGAAGAAAAAAUGUUCUCAGUUGUUUCAUGCUUGUUUGGGACCACUUUGUUUGUGUAUUUAUAAACAUAUUUGGAUUGUCAUUGAAAACUGAAAUCCCCUUUGUACGAGACCACUUUGUCUUUUAUUAUGAAUUUUUUAAAGAGUUAAGAUCACUAUAUUUUUGUUAUAAAUUUGUUACCUUUUUGUAUAAGUAUUAUUUUGGUAUGAUGAGUCGAAUGCCUAGUAGUUUGAAGGUUGUGUAAAAGAACCAUUAUUUCAGUUAUAAAGUAUAAGUACAAUACAAAUGCAAUAUAGUUACAAUGAAAAAAUAUUAACAUUAUGAUACAUUACAAUAUACCAAAAUGACAAAAUAUUGAAUUAUUUUUUACCGAAUUGGCAUUUCUAGGCUAUCAUGUUGUAUUCCUAUCAUAACGCAUCAUUGCAAGCCAAAAUUAUAAAAAAAAACAACAACAAAAAUACACUAUUGUAAUUUCAAUACAUGAAGUUGUUGAUGAUAAUCCAAUGAUGGAUAAAAAAAAAUCUAUAAAAUUAAUUUUUUUUAUAUAAAAAUAUAGAGGUAUAAUAAAAAUACAGUACAAUUACAAUACAAAUACAAUAACAUUACGAUACAUUACGAUAAGGUAAAAUUUUGAAAAUGUCAAAUUUCUUAUGAAACUGGGCAAUUAUGGGUUCUUUGGCAUAUCCCUAACAUGUAUAAUAUACAACAAAUAUUGUUAUUUAUUAUAUAAAAUAUGUCUCAAUUGAUUAUAAUUUUCAUUUGUUUAUUUUGUAUUAUUUGUAAAAUUUUCAUUGAUUGUAAUAUUGUGAAAUAGUUGUUGAUGAUAAUCCAAUGAUGGAUAAAAAAAAAUCUAUAAAAUUAAUUUUUUUUAUAUAAAAAUAUAGAGGUAUAAUAAAAAUACAGUACAAUUACAAUACAAAUACAAUAACAUUGCGAUACAUUACGAUAAGGUAAAAUUUUGAAAAUGUCAAAUUUCUUAUGAAACUGGGCAAUUAUGGGUUCUUUGGCAUAUCCCUAACAUGUAUAAUAUACAACAAAUAUUGUUAUUUAUUAUAUAAAAUAUGUCUUUAUUUUGUAUUCGUUGUAAAAUUUUCAUUGAUUGUAAUAUUGUGAAAUAGAUUGAUUUGAUUGUCGGUGAAAGAAGACGUACUUCUGAAUUGGUAAAUGGACUUGGAAAAUUCCAUUUAUGGCUACCUUCAUGAAGGAGGAGAGAUUGUACCUAAGGAGGAUAAACAAAUACAAUACAAGGGUGGACAACAAAAAGGCAUGUACAUUGGACAAAGGAUGUCAUAUUCUGAAUUUGUUUCAAAGGCAUGUGAACGGUUGGAUAUUAAUUCAAAUGGAUAUACAUUUCAUUACACCCUUGAGUUUGAUCCAUCUGCACUUCAACAGUUCGAUGAUGAUGAGGACAUGCAUAUGAUGUUAUCCCAUAGUUAUGAUUAUGCUCGUAUUUAUGUAUUAAAACGGACUCGAAGAGUAGAAGUUGAAGGAGGUAUAGUCAAUGUGCAAAAUGAUUAUUGGUAAGUGAUAUAUCUUGUAUUAGUUGUCAUUAAUUCCAUGAUGCAAAGUGCUUUUAAUAUUAAUUAACUGAGUUUGCUAUAAUAUGCAGUCACAAUAGUAUGGAGGAAACACACAAUUCAGUUGCAUCAUGUCAAGCAAACAAUGAGUCUAAUUUAGGACUUUCUCAAGGCUUCAUGUCCAGAUGUGCAGAAACUGAAGUUAUGCCACAUGAUUUAAGUCUUUGUCCUCAACCUAUUAUUGGGAGUGGGCAUAGUUUUCCUAAUUCAGAUGAAUUUAGAAAUGCAUUAUAUACGAUGUCAUUAGUUGGUAGAUUUCAAUACAAAUUCAAAAAGAACUCUUCAAAGAGAAUAUCUGUGUGUUGUUUAGUGGAUGGGUGCCCUUGGAGAAUAACUGCUAAUUCAGUAGGCACAACCAAAAUUUUGAAGGUUAACAUCUUCAUUGUGCAGAUGUUGAGUGUUCAAGCCAACCUUCAAUGCGGGGAAGAGAGGUGCUCGUGUCAUAGAGCAAGUAAUAAGGGCAACCCCUCAGUAUUUGCCCCAUCAAAUUUGCAAAGACUUCAGGAGUCGGUAUGGUGUUUCAUUGAGUUAUAAGCAAGCUUGGACAUACAAAGAAAUGGCAAAAGAGAGAAUAUAUGGUCUUCCAGAAAACUCAUAUAUGUUGUUGCCAUGGUUAUGUCAGAGAUUGGUAGACAUUAAUCCAGGGACGAUUGCUGAAUAUAGCAGACAAGAUGGGCAUUUUUGGCAAUUGUUCAUUGCACAUUCUUUUUCAAUUCAAGGGUUUUUAAUGGGUUGUCGACCUGUUAUUGCAAUUGACUCAACUCAUUUGAGUGGACCGUAUAGGGGCUCUUUAUUUUCUGCAACAGCUUAUGAUGCUGAUGAUGGCAUGUUCCCAAUUGCAUUUGGUGUUGUAAGUUCAGAAAACUAUGAGGAUUGGCUAUGGUUUUUGCAGAAAUUGAAGGGCAUACUUCAAGAUAAAGAGGUAGUCAUAAUAUCAGAUAGGCAUCAAGCAAUCCUUCGUAGUGUUUCUCAACUUUUUGGAGUAGAAAAUCAUGCAUAUUGUUAUCGUCAUGUGAAAGAGAAUUUUAGUAGCUAUGUGACGAAACAUAGUAUGAAGGGAAAAAAAUGUAAAAUGGAUGCAUUGUUGCUACUUGAUAAUGUUGCGUAUGCUAGGUUGGAUGAUGAUUAUGUUGUAGCCAUGGAAAAAUUAAAGACAUAUAACAGUGACCUAGCGAAGUGGGUUGAAGAGAACAGUCCACAACAUUGGGCAAUGUCAAAGUUUGCCAAAAAAUGAUGGGAUAAGAUGACAAUUGAUCUUGCUGAAUCAUUCAAUGCUUGGCUGAAGGAGGAACAUCAUUACACAAUUUUCAACUUAGUAAUGACACAUAUGGAUAAGUUUGCUCAUUUAGCAUGUGAUCAUAUGGGUUCUACAGAAAAUUGGAAAGCUGCAAUUGGCCUAAAGACCGAGGAAAAGUUAUUGGAAAGCAUUAUAAAGAGUGGGUCAUUGCCUGUAUAUCCCUAUGUUGGUGGUGUGUUUAAGGUAUUCAAUAUGAAAGUAUAUGUAGAUGUGAAUUUGAGAGAGCGUACAUGUACUUGUAAGGCUUGGAAAAUGGCCGGAAUACCUUGUGAGCAUGCAUGUGUAGCAAUACGCCAGAUGAAACAAGAUGUUUAUGAAUAUGUUGACUCAUAUUUCAAGCUUCCAAUGCAAGAGUUGAUAUAUUUUGGACACUUCAAUUCAAUUCCAAAUCACAAUAUGCCUAUAGUUGAUGCUGAUGGAUGUGUUCGUGAUGCUCAAGGUCGCUUAUAUCCUUCACUUAAACCUCCAUGCUCAAAACGACCACCUGGAAGGCCUCGACACCAUCGAAUAGAGUCUCAAUUUAGUUCAAAAAGGCUUAUCUUCUGUUCACGAUGUCAAGUUGCAGGCCAUAAUCGAGCUUCAUGCAAAAAUCCAUUACCCGCUCCAUGAUUCUAGUGUUAUGCUUGUUUGGUGACAUGCUACUUUUUAUCUUAUUUUGAUUGUGAUGAUAUGUGUGGUUUAUGAAAUUAGAAUCUGUAAGAAUUUGUUUUGGAACUUACUUAUUUACUUGAUUGUCAUGACAAAGAUGUUUGUAUUACAUAUGCCACUAUUUUAGAUUUAUGAUCUUAUCAUUAUUUAGGGUGGUUUGUAACCAUGUUUUUAAUGUUAUUUUGAAGAUCAUUAUUGACUUUGUACAUGUUCAUUACAUUUGUUUAACUUGUUUUCCAUUGAAAUACGGGUUACAUCAUGGCAUCUUCAAGUGCUUCAUUUAGAAAUAUAAGAGGUAAUACUAGAAAUGGUGAAUAUCUACUUUAUCAUAAUUGUAUGUGUAAAUGUUCACCCAGACAGAGGGCGGCUGUUAGAAUCUCUGAAUCAAAGGAUAACCCAAAUAGGUUAUAUUAUUGUUGUCAAUAUGCAAAUACUAGAGAUGACUGUCAUUUCUUUAAAUGGGCAUUCCCGGAAGGAAAUGGUGAUGGCAACACCUACCAAGAACCAGAAGAGGUUGUUCAAAGAAGAAUGUAUGGCGUGGAUGAAGAUUUUAAACAUAUUUUAACAAGAAUUGAGUUCAUGCAGAAAGUAAUUGUAGUAGGACUACUUUUAUUUUUUGUUCUAUGUUUGAAAAUUGCUUAAUCAUACACUUACUUCAUGUCUAUUAAGUUUUGGAUUAUAUAUGUAAUGCUUAAUUGUAUUGUACUUUGAUGUAUUUGUAUUUGGAGUUAUUUGUAAUAGGUUAUUUAUCUCCAUUAUGUGGACUUGUAUUAGAUUUUUAAUUAUAAUAGUUCACAGUUUUGCUUACAUUUUUAAUUACAUUUACAACAUAAAUUCACUAACAUUACGAUAAAAAAACACUAACUGUAUGAUAAAUUACAACAUAAACUAAUAAUGCAAUCUUUUGACUAAAUAAAGUCCAAUUUCUUAGGUUGAUUACCAAUUUCUUAUAUAUAAUGGUUCAAUAUAUAUAUAUAUAUAUAUAUAUAUAUAUAUAUAUAUAUAUAUAUAUAUAUAUAUAUUUUGUAACCUCAAAUUAGAAACGUCUUCUUAACUUUGAUAAUGAGUUGUUUUUUUUAAAAAAAAAUAAAAAAUUGCAACGAUCUGAAAACAUUAUAGAAUAGAAUUAUUCAUAAACUUAUUUGCCUGUAAAAAUAAAUUAUAUUAAUUUUUUAAUUUAUUAAAUUAAAAUCUAUUUCUUAUUUUUCUAUUUUUUUAAUAAUUUUUUUCGUUGAAAUGGACUCAAAAUGGUAGCUUUUACCAUGCAAAACUAGAGUGUCAAACCUUUUGUCAUUUAGUUAUAAAGACUUUGAAAUACUUGAAAUUACUCUCUUAUAAGUUUCUUGAAAAUGUAAUAUGUUUAAUAGGAAUUUUUUAAAAUAAGAUAAAAUAAUAGACCUCAUUGUGUGUUUAUUACUACAGUGAAAAAAAAAUUGCUACAAUGAAUCAGUGAUUGUGCAAUUUUAUGUUGUUGGAGUUAUGAUAACCCGCCUCUUGGUAGCUUGGCAUGUAAGGGUAUUAACAAAAUUUAUACCUAAGGUCCUUACACUAAAGUAGCAAAACUACUAUAGCAUAGUGGCUCUAGGAUCGAACACUGGGAAGGGUUUUUACUUUAACUGGUGAAGUUCGGAGGAUGGAGUGAACUUUUCUUAAUAAAAAUUAGGUUAAGAUGAAAACAUAAAAAGAUGAAGGCGUUGUAAACUAAACUAACAUGAAAAUAGGUUAAAAGAUGGAAAAAGAAGUUUCUCAAAGCUUUGGAUAGCCAUGCUUAACUCACUGUGUAAAAAUGGAGAUUUUGGGACUCUUCACCUCGAGUUGGGGAAACAACUAAGGUGAUGCUUACUUCCCGAACCAGUAUGAGUUUAACAAUUGAGUUUUAGUCCUUGAAAACUUGCAAAAAGGGUAGCUGAACCUCAUAAAUGCUCUUUUAUUGGUAUAGGUCAUCUCCUCGACUUGCAAUACAAUGGCUCGUAGGAGAUAACUAAUGAACAUCAGUGGAUCUAACAAUAAGAAUCCACUAAGACCAAAAGGUUAUCAAGUAUUGGCCAUUCAAAGCAAGUCAGAGGGAUUAAAAGCUUUACUUUUAAUGAAAACAUUUAUGACGCUCAGCUACUUACAUUUAUGGCUUGGAAAUCUCCAUCCUGACACGGGAGCUUCACAUGGCAUCCAUUACUUNNNNNNNNNNNNNNNNNNNNNNNNNNNNNNNNNNNNNNNNNNNNNNNNNNNNNNNNNNNNNNNNNNNNNNNNNNNNNNNNNNNNNNNNNNNNNNNNNNNNAGUUAUAAUAAUAGACCUCAUUGUGUGUUUAUUUUAUGGGUUAGAUUUCUCAUUGUAUGACAAUAUAAUUAUGAAAUCAAUCUCAUAUUUUGGAGUUUGGGAAAUGAUGAGAGAUUCAAACAGGUUAUAGCAUAGGCUUAAUGGUUUUUUUGCCAUGCUGAAUAUUUUUUGCACGUCAAUCUGAUCCCAAACUUUGUGAAGUACAACAAAUAUGACAGUCUUUUUGUUUUGUUCUUGAUGUUGUUAUUUCAAUUCUGCUUUGGCAGAAAAAAAAAUAAAAUUGAUCACCCAAGUAGCUGAGCUAAGUUAUCCCAGAUUGGCCUAUCAUUGAUGCGUUGGAGUUAUCAAUGUGUGAUAUCAUUUUGAUACCAUGGAGUUUGGGAAAUGAUGAGUUGACAGUGCAUUGCCUACAGCAAUUCAGAGAAAUUUGAAAAUCACAAACAAAUGAUGGCAUAACAAUAAUUAUUAAUAAAUAGUAGCAGCUAUGAGUUCCAAACAAAUUAGUUGAUGUAAGCCAAUUUGUAAAAAAAUAUCAGACUAGUAAAUUUGGAAAUGGAACUCCAUCAGACUAUAAAAAAUAUCAACAACUAUAAACCAAAAAAAUUACAACAUCACUGAUCCAUCGCCUGGUAGACAUUUUCCCUGACUUCAUUUUCUGGAGACAUUAUUAGUUGUGUUAGGAGUUUUUCCUUGUACUUUAUGACCUUGUCCUGUACAAAAGAGUAUAUAAUAUAAUAUUAAGAAAAAUUCAUGAUCAUAAAAAAAAUAUAUAUAUAUUUUAUUCACCACAAUAUAAUACAUUUGCAAUUGCACGAGAAAUUCCACGGUUACUCCAUAAUUGCAUAAACUUGAUUACAAAUAUGCCACAAUCUGUUCUACAAAUAGUAAUUAAGGAAAUUAUAAGUCAAUUGGAUAUCAAAUUAGUAAAUUUAUAACCUGAUUUGCUUUCCAUAGUUAAAGAGGAAUACAAAUCUUGCAACUUAUGGAUUCAAUUGUUGGACAACUUCUGGAACAACAAAUUCAAAUUCUGUCAUGUCCACUGAUGGUCUUCUUUCUUGAAUCCCAAUGACAGUUGACAAAACGUUCACCUUAACACAAUAUACAAUUAUAAAUAUGGACAUCUUUAAAAAAAUAAUGACAACGAUUCACAUAAGUAAUUGGACUAUAACUAUAUUUACCAGUUUCUCUAUGAAGGCAUCCAUCCAUUUUUUCCUUCCAUCAAUUAAUGAAUCCAACAACUCUAUUCUUUUCGCAUGAAUAUUCAAAAUGAUUAAAUACCAAUGAUUUUUCCUGCAUAUUGGUAUGAACAACUAAAAGGAACAAAAAAUAAAAAUAAAACAAUGAUUUUAUCAAAUUAGUUGUGUUCAUGUAUUUUCUGCACAAUACUUAAAAAUAUCCAACUACAAAGUACUUUUAUUAAACUAAAUAAAACCUGUUCAUAUGUGCACAACCGAGUAUUUUUGAAAUAUUUCCAUAAAUUGUCACAUAUGUAUUUUGGAGAUAAGGAACCCCUCUUGUUUUCCACAUCAGACUGUAAUAAAAAAAAUUACAAACCAUACAUUAGAUUAAAACAAUCUACGUAAAACAAGAAAACCAAUCUAUAAUUCUUACAACAUAUCUUACCACAAAGUUUGGAGAUAAGAAAUGCUUCCUAUUUUCUUUAUCCAUACCAUUCAAAAUUCGACAAUGCAUGGUUACAACCUUCAUGUAAAUUAAUGAAAAUUAGAUAUAUAGUUUUAGAGUAAUUUUAUCAUAACUUCACAUAACUAAAUAUGAAUACCUUAUUGUCAACCAAUUUGUCAGGUCCCAAGCAUUUAAAGUCAAACCUUGUCAAGAAGAAAUUGUGCAUGGAACAUAAUAUUUGGCUACACAUAAAUAAUUAUAAUGUUAGAAAUUAAAACUAAUUAUUUCAAUUGCCUAUCUUAAUUGUAUUUGUUUAUACUAAAUUAAGUUCAACCUUACCUUUCAUCACGUGUAUCAUCCAAUGCAUAUGCCAAAACUUGCUUUGCUACAGAUGAAGACGCUGAAAAUUUGAUUGACGGUUGUACCACGUAUGGUGAUUGUAGGGUAGUAGCAUGUCGACGUAGCUGAUAUGAACGUAUUGGAGGAUGUCCAGUCUCGUAAGGAAUAAUAGCAUUCAUUUGAACUUCAUCCUCAACUAUAUGUAUAGAAAAUAAAAUUCACUAAUGAAAAUAACACGCACAGGAAAUACUAGCCAUUAUUAUAUACUCAUUAUUAUUUUGAUAUUAAAACAUAAAGAAGUAGAAAGUAUAUUGCUAUGCUGCGCUGCUGGCUGUGAGGUUGAUGAGCCUACAUUAUCUUCACCAUCAGCAAAAUGAUCAUUCAGUGGCGAUCCAUAAGCUAAUUUCAGAAUGCAUAAUAACCAAAAUUAUUUUUUCCAAAAAAAAAAAAAUUAUACAACAUUUGCAAUUAAAUUAAAAGUAAUACAAAAUUAUAAUGACUAGUGCUAUAAAAAUCGUACUACCAUGUGGUGGUGAUGGGAAAGAAUCAUUGAUAUCAGGUUGAUUAUGACUUCUGCUUUGAUGAGAAGAUGAUGGGGUUUUAUUUGUAUUCUGCCGCUUUGCUAGUUUACUAAUUGCUCCUCUCAUUGUUCGAAGCAAUUGGUGAAUUUGUCUCUCUGCUGCAUUAUAUUCUGCUAUAAUUUCCUACAAAAUGGUACAAAGUGUCAAAGAUGUAUAUUAUUAUGCAUAACAUGUUUGGUUUUCACUUUAAAUAAAAGAAUAGAUGUAGAAGGUUCUCACAUCAGUAGUCUCUUCUUCAACUUCAUUUACUGGAUUACCAGGGUCUUCAUGUGCAUCUUCCUCCCUUUCAUCUUCUUGAACCUACAAUAAUAAAAAGAAGAAUAUAUAAUUUUUAUAAAUUUAUUUUUCAAAUAUGAACAUAAAAUAAAAUGUUGAAAGAAAAUUGUCCCUUACAUCAGCUAGUCCAAAAUCACCAUAAUCAUGCAAUUCCGCAUGCACCCUUUUCUUCAUCAAGUCAUCAGUUCACGCUGCACAUAUUGGGAUGGUACGUGGUACCAACAUGGUUGGAAUGUAAAAUUUAUUUACAUAAAAAAGCUGAAACACAAAUAUUCCACACAUCAAUACGUUAUUUAGAAAAGACUUGUUAAAACAUAUAAAAUGAUAUGGAAACCUUCAACAUUUAAUAAAAAAAAGGUAUCUACCUGUAAAAAAAUAAGGCAACCUGUAAACCAUGAGCCUUUACCCAAUCGAAAAUGUCUAAUUCCAGCAACCAGUGUGUCAAGUACAAAUUGACCCCAAUUAACAUUGAUGUCAAAGUCUCCAGCAAGCAAAGUACACCACAACUCAUGACUACCAUCCAACUUUGAUGUUGGAGCAAGUAAUGUAGCACAUGAGAAGAAGAUAAACAAUUUUUUGAACUCGGCCAUGUCUUCCAUUAAAAUCAGCCUAUCUCUAAGAUCUGAUAGGUUUUCCAUCCUAUUAUUCCUAUUGGUAGGUGAACGUAGGAGCCUCCUACCAAUAUAUGGAAUACCCAGAAUUUCACCUACAUCAGAACAAGUUAUUGGAAAUUGCCUUUCUUGUCCUAUGUCUAACCUACAGGCUAUAUUGAAAUGAGUUAUUAUCCAUCUACAUAAACUAUGCCUUAUCUCUAUGGAAGAGAGCUGAAGUAAUCCACCAAAGCCAAUAUGUUGAAUUAUACUCUUCUUUUCAUCACUUAGCUCAUCAAGUAGAUGUCUAAGUUUUUUGCUGGAGCAUCGACUAUUUAUUUUGACCUCCUGUAAAAGUAAAUAAAUGAUAAUAUAAAAUUAAAAUUAAAACAGUCAAAUUAAACAACAAUGUCAAACAUUAAUAUAGUCAAAAUAAAAUAAUACUAAUUAAAAUAAUGUUCAAACCUGGUUGUAUUGUAUUGUUUUUUUUCCUUUUAUCCAUGUAUUAUACUCCACACUACACUAUGGAAUUUAUAUCAAAUAAUCAAUUUUCAUAAUUAAAUGUAUAAUGAAUCAAGUAAUAUUGUAAUAUAUUGUACUUCUAGUGCAAUUGUAUUGUAAAUGUAGGGCAUUUGUAUUAUACCCUUAUUUAUUUUGGUUUAACUACUAUUAGUGAUCCCAAAUACAGUUACAUACAUGCCACUGCCACAACAGGAGGUCCACUACCAGUUCCCACAUUACAAUCAAUAAAAUCAAUUAUAUGUUCAAACUUGUUUUUGAUUUUUAAUAGAAUCAAAACAGCAUAAAAUACAUCUCAGUUGAUUCCAAGUUUAACUAGGGAUCCAGGAACAUAAGAAAGUAGCUCAGAACAGCAUUUUCUAAGAAAUUUGACCACUGCCAUGAUUACAUUUAUUAAGGAGUUCAAGGAUUCAAUAUUUUUUUCUCAUAUGUUUUCCUCCAGCUUCUCGGCAUCCAGAUAGAUUACCUAAAUCAACCUCUAUCAACAGUCAUAAUACUAAAUAAAUUGGCACAACCCAAUUCCAAAUGGGUUUCAGAAUUAGACCAAUUGCAUCUAAACAAAACCAUGUUGAUUCAUCAUCAAAUCUUCUAGCUAAUCACAAACACAAGCAAAUACAACAACACUAAUAACAAUUGCAGGUCCGUUUGGAUGCUGAGAAAGUAGAAAAUAAAAAUUAAAGAAAAAACGUGAACUUAAACAAAAACCCAAAUACCCGAUACCCACAUUCUUUGUAAUCUCAAUCAAAAUCAGUAGCCUAGAAAUCUUUUCUUAAAAAUGAACUCAAACAAAAAAACACCCAAACAACUCCUCUAACAGAGCCUAGAAAUCUUAAAAUUAUUUUAGGACCUGCAACACGUGAACUCAAAAACCCUAAAUAGAGCACUUGCAUAUGUGAACCAAAAUAAAGAAUUAGAGUUUAGAGAUAGAAGUACUUGGAAAUGAGACUCAAUUGCUUUAUUAAAAUCCUAAAACCCAAAAUAAAUUUGGAUUGAGGGUUACCUUUGAUCAGAUCAACAAUGUCGAAUGAAAGUGGAGUGUCUUUCCAACUGUAAAGUCUCGGAUGGAGAGUAAUGGAGGAGGAGAAUGAAGAAAUUAUCGCUUUGGGGAUGAGGUGAGGGUUGAGGAUGCCGGUUGCAGAAAGCUACAAGGAUGGGUGGGCUAGGGUCAGGCGUCGGGUUGAGAAUCGUACAUGGAUUGGGAUGGAUUUGGAAGGCUUUGUGAGGACUUUACCUUGGACUAGUGGGGAAGUGUGCUUGAAGUAUCAGUUACCGGGUGAAGAUCUCGACGCUUUGAUCUCGAUUACCAACGAUGAGGAUCUUGAACACAUGAUGCUCGAGCACGAUCGAUUGUGUCGCCCAUCCAACAAGCAGGCUAGACUCGGGUUAUUUCUCUUCCCGCUGACCCCUCCUGCAUCCACCAGUUUCGGUUCCAACGAGACCAAAUCGGAGCGGCAGUGGUUCGUGGACUCAUUGAAUUCUGUGCAGAUCCAGCCUCUGGAAGGUUCUUCACUUCAGGCGGCGGCCUCCGAGACUAAUCCGGAUUUUCUGUUUGGGUUGGAUAAAGGGCUCGCUCCGCCUCCCCUCGUGAAAUUGCUUCCCAAGGAUUAUUUAGUGAGAUCGGAUCCAGGAUCGGAAAUUCCUUAUAAAUUAUAAUUUUAGAAUUUAAUUGAGGGUAAAUUGGUCUAAUAAAAAUAUUAGGCCUUCAGAAGAAUUAUCAAAUUUACCUACCCUCAUCGGUAAUUUUUUUCCCCAGCCUACCCUUAAGGGUAAUUCUCCCAAAACAAAAUAUAUAUUCUGCCAUUUGAUAAUGAAAAUUUAAAAUUAAAUAAAUAAAUAAAACCAAAGAAUGAUAAUCAAAGAAACUUUCACCCAGAGGCAAAAAGACCUUCAAGAAAAUAAUUAAAGCCAACAACUUGAAUAAGAUACUACCUAAAAGAUUAUCUUAUCAUCAUAGUGACCCAAUUACCAACACAUUUCUUAAUUUUUUUCUUUUCUUUUUUUAUUUAAAACAAAAAUCAAAACAUAAAAUUAUUGUUUGGAACAUUAUUUUCUCUCAUUUUCAUGAAUUUUUCCUAUAGUAUCCAAUCAUUACCAAAUCAAAUUGUCUCAAAAAAAUAUAAUUUUAUGCUUCAUUCAAUACGUUAGAUUUAAUAUUUUUAUUUUUUAAAAAACCAAAAAACAUAAAACACAAAGCCAAAAAUGUGUUCUUUUGUUUCCUAAAUUGUCACAUGAACCAACACAUAGUAACAUCACAUUUCCAUGCAUUAUCAACUAAUGGUUGUCUUAGUUAAUCAAUAAUUGGGUCAUAGUUUGAGAUAAAACAAAUACGAUGUCAAUAUAGUAGUUAAAAUAUUAAUAGAUAGCAAAUAGAAUCACAACAAGCUCACCCACAAGUAGAACCACAAAAUUUUCAACUUUCCUACACUUUAGUGGCAACCAAACAGAAUUACAACAAGUGAAACCACAAAAAAAAAAAUGAAAACUUUCUCCACAAUUUUUAGCCUACUCAAUUUCAUUGUAAAAAAACAAAUGAAACCUUUAUUUUUUUUUUUCAACUUUCCCACACUUUCUUGGUAACCAAACACAACUACAUCACCAAAUAUAAUCACAAAACUUACAGAAAACACCCAAGGGCCAUGGUGUCUCGGAUCUACACUUCACUUCCUUCCUAUUGGUAUUGAUGUAAGGAGAUCCACUUCAUGAUCAACUCGUGUGGGAAAAUGGGUUUUCAGGGAGAUAACAAAAUGAGUUUUGAGGCAGAGAAGAAAAUGGGCUGGGGAAAUGGGUAUGCACUUCUUUUCAAUUAUAAAAUACUAUUUUUUUUCACUCUCAUCCUACGUGUUAAAAAAUGUGGUAGAAUUGGAAUUAUUUUUCAAUUUAUAGCAUUUUAAAAAUUACUUUCCCUAAUAGUCGUACAUUUAUAAAAAAUCCCAACAUUAUCAUAGUCCCUUGGAUAGAUGUUUUAUUUAGGGGUUUGAGAUAGAGAAGGAAAUGAUUGAGCUUCUUUAUCAUGCAUGCUCUCAUCAACACAGAGUUUGGGCAUGUCAUAGAUAAAAAUCAAAAUGAACCUAAAUAAAUCAAAGUUCUAAGUGGAAAAUGUUCAACAAGGGAUUAUGUAUCUAACUGUAACAUGAUUGAAUUCUAUUCAAACAUGGAAAAUAUUAAUGAUUACAUACCUUUUUUUCCGACUUUGCUCAUCCCAUUAACAUUUUUCAUCCACAAGAAACAACCUAUAUUGCAAAAAAUGAGAAAUAAAAUAAAAGUAAAAAAAAGUUGUAUUAGAAUAUUAAGAAAUUUAGAGUACUUAUAAAUAUAAAAGAAUCCAAUUGUUUAAUAUUCAAAAAAAAAAAAAAGAUCCAAAAUUUAAAAUCUAAAUAUUGAGGGUAAUUUUCUAUUUUUCCAUCUCAUAAUCAAUUAACUUCCUAAAAGGCUCAUGUCAACAUUUUAAAUACUACAACAUUUUUCACCUUAGAGCGAAUGUAAAAUUAUAAAAUUAUUAUCAUUCGACAAAUACUUUUCUAACAUAUAAGUGAAAAAAGAAAAAUGAAAUAAAAUAAAAAGAACACAAAUUUGUUAACGGUGCAUAUAAAUAAGUUAAAGCAACAAACAAAAAAUAUUCAUUUACCGAAAAAUCCAAGUUUUGAAAGAUACCAGGAAUCCAUUGUGUGAGUUUAACAAUUAAACUAUCCUACUUUAAAUGGGAAGUAGCUACACACUAACGUGCUUAUCAAAAUCUUGUCUCUAUUCUCCAUAGAUCAUGCACAAAUUAGAGAAAAGAAAUAAAAUCAAAAAGAAAAAUAUGCCAUAAGGUAUAUUUAUCUCAAGCUCUUCAAAGUACUGAGAGCACCCACUUUACAAAAUUGUAUUCGGGUCAUGUAACAAUUGAAUCCAACUCAUCGCAGCUCAUCGUCUUUCUCAAAAACGGGUUUUUUAUUUUUAACUUUUUCUUAUUAAAAAAAUAAAAAUAAAAACUGAUAAACUAAACCACAACAUCAAAAGAUUAUAAAACUAAGAAUAUGUAUACAUACCACCAGGCGAAGGAGCCAUUAAUGUUGUUGGAAGUUUGCUCUUCAAAAGAGCUUUAGAAGUGAUUGUUCUUCAAGAGAGCUUCCAAAGAGAUUAAAGGGGCCUUUUUCUGUAUCCAAUUUGUUGAUCCCACUCUCAACCAACAGUAAAAGAAGUAAUCUUAUCAUGAAAGAUUAAAGGUAACCAUAAAAGAAUCGAACUCACCUCAGUAUUUAUGAGUUGGAUUUUUUUCCACAGAGAAUGAAAUAGAGAUGCUUCUGAGAAGGGAGAGUGAGGAGAUACAAAGGCGGAUUUGUGUGAGGAAAGAAUCAUUUACUUCCCAAAGAGAUAUACGGGCUUCCUCACAAGGAGUAUUUCAGUAAACUUGGAAUGGAUUUAAACUGCUUUAUGGUAAUAAAAAAAAAUAAAAAAAUAAAUAAAGAAAACGCGUCCUCCAACAAUUUAUUGAUCCUGUGAAGUGGAAGUAAUGCUAGUACAACAUCUACAAUUGUGGGAAAUGACACAUCUGCAGGAGAGAAUCCUUUUGAUAUAUUCUACGUAUUAAUUUUAUUGUUAACUCCACCACUGCAGUGAUAAAAGGACGAAAAAGAGAGUUAUUUCUGAACCGAGAGAGUAGGUACAGAAAGAACUUUAUUUUGCUCCUUGAAAGAGUUGAAGUCCGCCAGUGUAAAGUUUGAAUGGACAAGACUAGUUGAUGGGAAGAGAUGCAGUUUAUUGGGACUUUAAUUGAAAUAUUUUUCUCCCAACACCAGCCUCUGACCUCUGUCACUUGCAAUUCAUCAAUUCAGAUUCAUUUAUAUGGUUUUUUUUUUCCCGGUUUUUCUAAUGAAAAUAUUUAUUUUUUCUUUUGUUUGGUUGAAUAGUAGUAUAUGGAGAUGGCUUCCCAAAGAUACGGUAUUUCUGUUAUUAGUUCGGAUUGAGGGUCUUUCUAUUUAUAAUAUUUUUUUGUCAAAAUGUUUUUUUAAAAAUAUUUUUAACAGAAUCACUUAUUAAAUUAAUUUAUAUAUAGAUUUUAAAAAAUUUUAAAAUUUUAUUAAAUAUAUAUUUUUUAUUAAAAUAAAGUUUUUUAUGCUAAAAUUUUUUCUCACCUUAUAAGAUUGUGUUUAGUAUCAAGAAAAGAAAAAAAAAAUAAAAGAAAAUAAUUUUCUCAUAUUUGAUUUUAUUAAAAAUUAAAAAUAAAUAAAUAAAUAAAAUUAAAAUUAGUUAAAAAUUGAUAUAUUUUAAAAUUAUUUAAUCUUUAUACAAUGAAGGAAAUUAAAUAAAAUGGGUUUGAACAAACAUAUAAAAAUAAUUUAUUAAUUUUAAAUCUAUUUUUUAUUUUUUAUUUUUUUUUUGCUUCCACUUUUCUUCUUUAUUUUCUUUUCCUCAAAUUUUCAAGGAAUCAAACAUAGCUUAUUUAUUAUAAAUCCAAGAAUAAUUCAUUAUAAUAAAUAAUAGGCAAACAUUUUCACCAUCAUUUUAAACAAGGUUUGUCAUAGAACAAAUACUCAUAUUAAGGGUAACAAAGAUCAUUCUAGUCUUAAAUUUAAAGACUCAAAAGUAAAAAUGAUCAAAGACUAAAAACUAAUGCAUCAAACACUAGAUUAUUAUUCAAACAAUUUCAAACUCAAAUAAUUCAAAUAGUCAUCCAUUUAUAACAUUUAAAUAAUGUGCUAAAUAAAAGUUCAAACUCAAAAAUGUUUAUCGAGAAUGAUUUUCAUUCUUACCACCACUUCUUGUCGGAACAAAGAGUAUUUGAGUGCUUAAAAAAUAUUCAACAAAAGGGAAUAACUUCAAAGAUUUAAGAACUUUAACAAAGUUUCAUUAGUAAAAAGUUUUCAAAUAUGAAUACAAAGAAGGAUAUAUAAUUUAAUAACCACUUUCAUAAAAAUUCCUUAAAGCUUAAACAUGGUAAGAAAUUUAAUGUCUAAUUAAGUUGAAUUUACAACUGGAUGACUAAUUUCAAAUUUGUUCAUUUCAAAAUUGAACAAAAUCAAACUCUACUAAUACUAAUAACCUUUAACCAAAUCCCUUUUGGUUUGGGUCAAUGCAAUUGCAUGUCCCACCAUAAAAAUGUAAAAAUUGAUAAUAACAUCAUUGUCAAUUAAGACAAAACAAAUUAAAGUUUGUUUCAUUUCAUUUGAACUUAGAACAUAAUAACACCAUUUUUUUUUUGUUUAAACAAUUGAAGAUAAUCAAACAUAUUUUUCAUAUAAAAAUGUAUUUGAUCCAUGUUAAAAAAAAUAAUUGUUUAUAUAAUUUGAAAUAACAUAUAAAAAAUAUUUUUUUAUAUAAAAUUGGUAUUAUUUUUCUUUACCCAAAAGAAGCCUUGAAUUUUGUUUGGAGAAUUUACUAUUGAAGAAUUUAACUCUUACCUAACAUAAUAUAAGCAAAAAUACAAUUAUUACUAUGCGCUAUUUAUCUAAAAUAAUAGUGUGAUAAUCACUUGGGGAGCCAUAAUGGUAAAAAUGCAAUUAUUACUAUGAGUUAUUUAUCUAAAAUAAUAGUUUGAUAAUCACUUGGGGAGCUUUGAUAAUCACUCCGGGAGCCAGAAUUGUAGGGCGGGGGAACACAAAAAAUCUAUUUCAGGGCAAUAUGAUAUGAAGAUGUAAAUUUUGCAUGAAAAUUUGAUUUUUUUGGGAGCACUGGACCCCUUAAGGCAUACAUUGGCUUGAUAUGUGUUGAUAAUCCUAAUAAUAUUCUCUAUUGGUAUUAUUAUUCUUGAUAUUUAUUAUUAUUAUUAUUAUUAACUUUAAUUUAAUUAAUUAGCUUAUAAAUUCCCAAUUUGUGUAAAACUCUUAUUUUUGAAGUUUAUUUUUAAGAAUCUUCUCUUUUCUUUAUUUAAUUAAACCAAAUCUCUUCAAAACCUAUUUCUUUUGUUUGUUGAACUAAACUUAUUAUUCUUAUAAAUUUUAUUACAAUUAUUUUAUAUUACUCACCAUUAAUAUUUUUAUUAUUCUUUUUUAUUAUUAUUAUUAUUAUUAUUAUUAUUAUUAUAUCUAACACAUUCUCACGCAUACACAUUACCCAUGUAUGUAUCACUUUUCCUCCGCUGUAGCCACGUAUCAUUUUCACUUUUCCUAUAGCUAUUUUUUUCUAACCAAUUAAACACUCAUGCCAUCAUUUCUUUUGUUACCUUUUUUAAGUUUCUCAAUAACACCCUUCGGUCAUGCAAUGCCCUCACACUCACAACCAUGAAUUUCCCUUCUUUUUUUUUUUUUUUUUCCAUAUCCAAAUCCACAUAAACCCCCCAUCAUUUACUUUUCCUAUUCAUUCUUUGCAUCCAUCAUAUGCACACAGUGCAACUUCCCUUCUAAUUUGUAUUUUUAUUUUAUUUUAUUUAGGUCCACCCAUUUGAAUAUAUAUAAUUUCCCUACCUCGAUAAAUAAAUCAAUCCAUAUUCAUAUAUUUAAAAUUAAAUAAAUCAAAGUCUCAUCAAGAAUUAAUUUUUUCAAAAAAAAUAUUUAAAUUAUUAAAAAUUAAUAAUAAAUCUAAAAUUCUAAUAUAAGAGUUAAAGUUUUACUUGAAAAAACUCAUCUUCAAAUACUAAUCAUUCUUACUGUGCAAAAGGAAUGGGAAAAAGGAGUUCUAUGUAAAGAAGUUAGAAAAUUUAAUUUAUAGUUUUAAUGCAAAAACUGCCAUUUUUUAAAUUUAUUUUUAUUUUUUAUUUUUUAUGUUAUAUUUUAAGCCCUAAAGAAAUUAAGUUUAGGGUAUUAUAAGGUUUAUAUAAUCACUACUAGUUAAAAGGAAAGAUUUAAAACCUCCUUGUCAAAAAGGAUUUAUCUACUAUAGUUUUAAUUAAUGAUUAUUGAGUUAAUAAUAUUUAUGAAUUCUUUAAUUAAUUAAAUCAUUAAUCAAUAUUUUCUAGAAUUCCAACGGUAUAAUGGGAUACAAUUUACAUGAAAAACCAUUGACAAAACCUUUUAAAAACUUUACUGAUAUAAAAAGUGUAUAUACAUAUUUAUCUAAUGAUUGCUACUUUUUAAAACUUAAACCCAAAUACCUAUAACUAACCCCACAUCCAUGAUGCACUACCAUCAUAGUCUUUAGAAGACUCUUCAACACCUUGAGGGGUUGCGUUCCCCUACUCUAAAAUUAAUAAAUUAAGUUGAAAUGAUUUAACAGUUUCAAGUUAAGCAUAGAUACUAAUGACUUAAAAAGCUUAGGCAUAUGACUUCUUAAAGAAAUUUCUGGUUUAUAUUAAAAAAGCACUAACGGAGUUUGACUCAAAUUUUAAAAAUAAAAAAUAAAAUCAUAUUUUACCAAAAAAAAAUAAUUUAGAAAAUUUAAAUAAUUUUGGAAAUAUUUUAUUUUUAUAAAUUCAAAAAGAUUUGAAUAGAUUUUCCUCUUUGAAUUUUCAAUUUAAAUUGACUUUCAAAUUUCUUUAUUUGUGAAUUACAUGUAAGUCAAUUCUAUGUUUUGACCUUAUUAUUUUCCAUUAAUGCAAUUAUACUAUAAUGUUGUUAAUUUUUAUAUUAAUUUUUGUUAGUUCCACCACCAAACCUAAGAAAAACAAAAUUAAUUACUACAAGCCUAAUUGAUAAAAUACCUUUUAUUUAAAGGCUAGAUACAAAAGUCCUUUGGGACAUGUUUGGUACAUGAGAAGGGUAAUGAAGAAUGUGAAUGAAUAUUUUAUUUUCAUUUUUAUUCUCCUUGAAUAGGAAUAAUUUUGAUGAUUAUAAUUCUUGUUUUUAGAUACACCUAGAUUAGAAUGAUUAUUUAUUUCUAUAUCAUUGUUAGGUAAUAAUGAGAAUGAGAAUAAAAAUGAAAAAAAUAAAUAAAUUGACAAUGAUACCUGUGCAUAGAGUUUAAAAUACAUUUUUUUAUUUUUAUCUAAAAAAAACAUAUUUGAGAUUUCUUUAUGCUAAAUAAUAAAAAUCCAUUUGGUGGUGUGAUUUAAAAAUGAUGUUUUUUUAAAAAACAGAAAAUUCAUUUUAAAAAUUUAUACCAUUGUUUGGUUUUUAUUUUCUAGAAACAAUUUUUAAAAACAAAAGAGAAUUGUUUUUAGAAAAUAAUUAGAAUUUGUUCUAAUCAAUUUUUGAAAACAAAAGGAAAACAUAGAGAAAUAAGAAAAAUAAAACAAAAACCAUAAAAAGAAACAAAAUAGAAUUCGGUAUAUAUCUUCUUUCAUUUUCUCUCCAUCGCCCAAUACUAAUACAACAAAUAUUCUAACAUGAUAUUCAUUUAAAUUAUACAUAUAAUCUAAAUUUCUUUUAACUUCUCUAAAUUUCUUUAUUAGAAUAAUAGAUUUAAAAUCAAGCAACACUUCAUACAAAAAAUUAGUAAUAUUUAAAAAUAAUUUAAAACUUAAAACUAAUUCAAUUAGUAUUAGAAAGUCGUGGAACUCAAAAUCGAUCAAAUUAAAGCUAAAAGGUCACAAUUCAUUUUUAAUGACUUUGCUAGUUUUUUUUUGCACAUGAUUAUAUUUUUUUUAAUCUUUUUUUCACUAAGUAUAUAAACUUUAAAAACUUAAUGUGUUGAAUUCACUUAAUGAAUCUAGUCAUUUUUAAAAAUAUUUUAAAAUUCAAAUAGUGGCAUAAUAAAUAUAAAAAAUCUAUAGAAACAUAUAUAUAUUUUUUAUUAAUAGAAAAAUGAAUUUCAAAUCAAACAAGACCUAGUAUUGAAUUUAUUAAUGGAUUUAAUAAUUUUUAUAAAUACUUUAAAACUUAAAAAUAUAUAUAAUAAUUAGCCUAAACUAGUACCUUAUGAAUCAUGAUUUACUAUUUCUCCUAUAGAAACAACUAUAUUUUUUGAAUUUUCUCACAGAUAAACAAAUUCUAAAUUAGGUGAAACAUAAUUAUUGCUUUAAAUUAUUUAAUAAAUCAUCUAAAUUUAAUAAUAAUUUGAAAUUCAAAACUUGAUUAAUUAAUUACAAGUUAAGUAAAAAAAAUUAAAAUACUAUAUCCUAAUUAAGUACUAAAAGCAUGUGUGUAAUAAACUAUUUGAUUUAUUUAUACUUUAAAAAAUUAAACUUUAUUUGUUUUUAAAUUUAUUUAAAAUAAAAUAGUAUUAUCAAUUAUUAAUUUAAAUAUUAUUAUUUAUUUUCAAUUAUAUAAUAUUUAUAAAAAAUAUAUAAAUUUUUAUUUUUUUUAAUAUUACUAAUCAUACUUUAUUAAAAAUUAUUAUUUUUGAAUUUAAUUGUAAUUAAAAAAAUUAAUUUCCUAUUUAAUAAAAACUUGAAUUAAUGUUAGUUUAUAUUUUAUAAAUUGAAUUUAUAAUUUUUUUUUUAUAAAAUCAUAAUAAAAAAAAUUAUUUUUAAGAAUAAUUUAUUCAAACAAUUUUUUUUUUAAUUUUUUGAAUAAUAUUUUUAAAAAAACUUGUAAUAAAAUAUCUUGUAUAAAAGAUGACUGAAAAUUCUACUUUUAUUUUAUUUUUAUUUUUUGAAAUUAUUUGUUAUUCUAUUUCCGUAGCUAUCAAGAGAAAAGGAAAAUGUUAAUUGUCACUCAUUAUUCCUGCUUAAAUGCCAUUAUAAAUGGAGUGGGUACGAAUCUUAUUGAAAACAGAAUUUCUUCUGAGGAGAGAUGAAAGUUAGCCUGUUAAUCUGCAAGGUUUGAAUGAAGAGGACUUUGAGUUGAGUUGAUGGCAAGUGGAACAGUUUAUUGGGAAGCAAAUUGUAGUAGACAAUCCUUUAUCAUUUAGAACAAACCAAUAAAUUGGUGCACAAUAAUUUUUUUUUUUUUAUAAAUCUACGAAACAAUCCAUUACAGUGAACAACAAGCAAACAUUUUCACCAUAAUUUCAAAUAAUGUUUCAUAUAAUCACUACUACCUAAGAGGAAAAUUUUGAAGCCUAUUUGUCAAAAAAGAUCGGUGUACAAUAAUUUUAAUUAAUAAUUAUUGAGUCAAUAAUUUAUUUGCUGACAUAUUUUAUUAUUAUUAUUAUUAUUAAAUAAUAAUAAAUUGCUUUAUGGUGAUAGAAUUUUUUAGUAAUCAAAGAUAUUAAUCAUGUGUGGAAGCAUCCCAAACAUUAUUAAUAUAUUUUUUAUCAUCAUCAUCAUCAUUAUCAUUGUUGUUAUCAUCAUCGUUUUCUUUUUUUCUUAUCUUUAGUAAGUGGUGGGUAAAUUUCUAGAAUAUUAAAACUAGAUUCAAGUUACAUUACAAUCAAACAUAUUGCAUUAAAAAUAAAAAUAAAAAAACCACAUUCAAAGGGUUUUGUAAAGGAUAGUAUGUUUUGAUCAAGUGUAGCUUCCAAUUCUUAUAUAAAAGUUCAUUUAUUAAAAAAUAUCAAAUUGAGAAAAGACAAUAAAAUUUUAAAAAUAUGAAAAUAAUAAUACCCUUACACACCUUGUUAAAAUGUGCAUCAAAUUCCCUUUUGGAUUGACUGUACAAUUGUUAUUAAGUAAAGGAUAAAUUUUACAAAUGUUUUUGUUGGUAUAUGAUUUAGUUGUGAUGCUCCAAUAAGAAAUCAAGGGUCAUUGGACUCAUAGUAGUACAAAAACAUCACAAUAUGCCAAAUUAAUUUUUAAGGAUAAAAUAAUAAAAAAAGUAUAAAAUUUAUUAGAUAAAUUUAAAAAGGGUAUAAAGGUCUUCUUAUAUUAAAAACCCUAAGUGUAAAUUAGAUUGUUCUAACAUCUUUUUACAAAAACCCUUUAUUACAAAUAUCAAAGAGCGUAAGGUAAAAUGAGGCUAAAGAUUUGGGAGUUUAGAAUUUGAAAAUCAAUUUUUUCAAAAAAGAUUCUAACUCUUAGAUUAAUAUUUUAAAUUUGUUAAAUAAUUUUGAAUAAUUAAAAUUUUUUUUUGGAAGAUGUGAAUCUAGAUUAUGAUUUAGUUAUUUAAUUUGUAAAUAAAAAAUAUUAUUAUUAUUUUUUUUUAUGAAUAUAGGUUGAUUUAUUUAUGAAGAUAUAAAAUUUCUAAAUAUUCAAUUGAGUUGAACUAAACAAAAUCUUAUAUCUUAGAUAUGAUAAGAAAAAGAGUUUUGUGGUUAUAUGUGGUGAUUUUGGAAAAAAAAAAAAAUCAAAUUAUGUAAUUGUGAUAAUCAUGAUAGGGUGUGAGUGCUAUAUAUAUAUAUAAGGUAAAUUACCCUUUAGGGUGGGCAGGGCAAAAAAAAUGACCUGAAAGGGUCGAUAGAUUUGAUAAUUCUUCUGAAGGGUAGGUUGAAAAUAUGAUAAUUCCUCCAAAGGCCAUAUUUUGUUUAAAUGCCAAGACUACCCUUAAUAAAUCAAAAGCAACAAAAAAAAAAAGUUCUUUAACCAAGUUGGAGCUUGAAGGUAUUGAAGAAGGAAAAAGACAAAGAGGAAAAAAAAUUCAACACUUCAAUUCAUGAUCUGAAACUGUCUCCAUAAAGUUUGUUUUUUUGUGUGAAUUAAUCAAGAAAUCCAUUAAAGGUAAUAAUUUUUUUUAAAUGCAAAAAACAAACAAACAAACAAACAAACAAACAAAAAUACGCCAGUUUAUGCAAAUAAAUAAAUAAAUAAAUAAAAUAAAUAAAUAAUUUAAAACUUGGAUUGAAGGAGCAAAAUGUUAAUAAUUUUAACAAUGUAGAUCUAAGAUAUUAGAUUUGAAAUGUUGAAGGAGGUUUUGAGAAAGAAAAUGCAUUUUUUGUGUCAAAUGUUGUUAAAAUUUAUUUUUCUGAAUUUUUUAUAUUAUUUUGGUCAUAUUGAAAAUGUGUUUUUAUUUUUAAUUUAUUUUUCGGGUGGGUUGUUUGAUAUGGUUAUUAUUGAUUUCCAUUGAAAAGGUUUCUACUUUAGUUUUGUUGUUGAGACUGGUUUAACAUGGUAGAGGGAAAAAAAAAAUUUAGUUGUUUCAUGCUGGUUUGGGACCACGUUGUUUGUGUAUUUAUGAACAUAUUUGGAUUGUUGUUGAAAACUGAAAUCACUUUGUAUGGGACCACUUUGUCUUUUAUUAUGAAUUUGUUACCUUUUUGUAUGAGUAUUAUAUUGGUAUGAUGUGUUGAAUGCCUAGUAGUUUGAAGGUUGUGUAAAAGAGCCAUUACUUCAGUUAUAAAGUACAAGUACAAUACAAAUGCAAUACAGUUACAAUGCAAAAACAUUAACAUUACGAUACAUUAUAAUAUACCAAAAUGACAUAAUAUUGAAUUUUUUUUUACUAAAUUGACAUUUCUAGGCUAUCAUGUUGUAUUCUUAUCAUGAUCAAUGUUUUGAAGCAACCUUGCAAGCCAAAAUUAUAAAAAGACAACAAAAAUACACUACUGUAAUUUCAAUACAUGAAGUUGUUGAUGACAAUCCAAUGAUGUAUAAAAAAACAUCUAUAAAAUUAAAUUUCUUUUUAAAAAAAAUAUAGAGGUGCAAUAAAAAUAUACUACAAUUACAAUACAAAUACAAUAAUACUAUGAUACAUUACAAUAAGGUAAAAUUUUGAAAAUUUCAAAUUUCUUAUGAAAUUAGGCAGUUGUGGGUUCUUUGGCAUAUCCCUAACAUGUCUAAUAUACUACAAAUAUUGUUCUUUAUGAUAUAAAAUAUGUCUCAAUUGAUUACAAUUUUCAUUUGUUUAUUUUGUAUUUGUUGUAAAAUUUUCCUUGGUUGUAAUAUUGUGAAAUAGAUUGAUUUGAUUGUCGAUGAAAGAAGACGUACUUCUCCAUUGGUAAAUGGACUUGGGAAAUUCCAUUUAUGGCUACCUUCAUGAAGGAGAGGAGAUUGUACCUAAGGAGGAUAAACAAAUACAAUACAAGGGUGGGUAACAAAAAGGCAUGUACAUUGGACAAGGGAUGUCAUAUGUUGAUUUUGUUUCGAAGGCAUGUGAACAUUUGGAUAUUAAUUUAAAUGGAUAUAAAUUUUGUUACACCCUUGAGUUGGAUCUAUUUGCACUCCAACUGUUGGAUGAUGAUGAGGACAUACAUAUGAUGUUAUCCCAUAGUUAUGAUUAUGCUCGUAUUUAUGUACUAAAAUGGGCUCGAAGAGUAAAAGUUGAAGGAGGUAUAGUCAAUGUGCAAAAUGAUUAUUGGUAAGUGAUAUAUGUUGUAUUAGUCAUCAUUAAUUCCAUGAUGCAAGUUGCUUAUAAUAUUACUUAACUGAGUGUGCUAUAAAAUACAGUCAUAAUAGUAUAGAGGAGACACAAAAUUCAGUUGCAUCAUGUCAAGCAAACAAUGAGUAUAAUUUAGGACUUUCUCAAGGCUUCAUAUCCAGAUGUGCAGAAACUAAAGUUAGGCCACAUGAGAUAAGUCUUUGUCCUCAACUUAUUAUUGGGAGUGUGCAUAGUUUUCCUAAUGCAGAUGAAUUUAGAAAUGCAUUAUAUACGAUGUCAUUAGUUGGUAGAUUUCAAUACAAAUUCAAAAAGAACUCUCCAAAGUGAAUAUCUAUGUGUUGUUCAGUGGAUGAGUGCCCCUUGAAUAAUAACGUCUCAUUCAAUAGGCACAACUAACAUUUUGAAGGUUAACAUCUUCAAUGAUGUACACAAUCAUUAUGUAGAUGUUGAGUGUUCAAGUCAUCCUUUAAUGCGGGGAAGGAGAGGUGCUCGUGUCAUAGAGCAAGUAAUAAGGGCAACCCCUUAGUAUUUGCCCCAUCAAGUUUGCAAAGAUUUCAAGAGUCGGUAUGGUGUUUCAUUGAGUUAUAAGCAAGCUUGGAUAUACAAAGAAAUGGAAAAUGAGAGAAUAUAUGGUCUUCCAGAAAACUCGUAUAUGUUGUUGCCAUGGUUAUGUCAAAGAUUGGUAGACAUUAAUCGAGGGACGAUUUCUUAAUGUACCAAACAAAAUGGGCAUUUUUGGCAAUUGUUCAUUGCACAUUCUUCUUCAAUUCAAGUGUUUUUAAUGGGUUGUCGACCUGUUAUUGCAAUUGACUCAACCCAUUUGAGUGGACUUUAUAGGGGCUCCUUAUUUUCUACAACAACUUAUGAUGCUAAUGAUGACAUGUUCCCAAUAUGGUGUUAUAAGUUCAAAAAACUAUGAGAAUUGACUAUGGUUUUUGUAGAAAUUGAAGGGCAUAAUUGAAGAUAAAGAGGUAGUUAGAUAGGCAUCAAGAAAUCCUUCAUAGUGUUUCUCAACUUUUUAGAGUAGAAAAUCAUGCAUAUUGCUAUCAUCAUGUGAAGGAGAAUUUUAGUAGCUAUAUGACGAAACAUAGUAUGAAGGAAAAGAUAAGUAAAGAGGAUGCAUUGUUGCUACUUGAUAGUGUUGUGUAUGCUAGGUUGGAUGACGAUUAUGUUAUAGCCAUGAAAAAAUUGAAGACAUAGAACAGUGACCUAACGAAGUGGGUUGAAGAGAACAGUCCACAACAUUGGGCAAUGUCAAAGUUUGCAAAAAAAAAAAAAAAUGAUGGGAUAAGAUGACACUAAUCUUGUUGAAUCAUUGAAUGCUUGGUUGAAGGAGGAAUGUCAUUACACAAUUUUGAACUUAGUAAUGACACAUAUGGAUAAGUUUUCUCAUCUAGCAUGUGAUCAUGUGGUUGCCACAGAAAAUUGGAAAGCUCCAAUUGGCCCAAAGAUCGAGGAAAGUUGUUGGAAAACAUUAUAAAGAGUGAGUCAUUUCCUGUAUAUCCCUAUGUUGGUGGUGUGUUUAAGGUAUUCAAUAUGAAGGUAUAUGUAAAUGUGAACUUGAGAGAGCAUACAUGUACUUGUAAGGCUUGGCAAAUGGUCGGAAUACCUUGUGAGCAUGCAUGUACAGCAAUACGCAAGAUGAAAUAGGAUGUUUAUGAAUAUGUUGACUCAUGUUUCAAGCUUCCAAUGCAAGAAUUGAUAUAUUCUGGACACUUCAAUUCAAUUCCAAAUCACAAUAUGCCUACCAUUGAUGCUGAUGGAUAUGUUUGUGAUGCUCAAAGUCGCUUAUAUCCUUCACUUAAACCUCCAUGCUCAAAAUGAUCACUUGGAAGGCCUCGACAUUGUCAAAUAGAGUCUCAAUUUAUUUCAAAAAGACUCAUCUUCUGUUUGUGAUUUCAAGUUGCAAGCCAUAAUCGAGCUUCAUACGAAAAUCCAUUACUCGAUUCAUGAUUUUAGUGUUAUGCUUGUAUGGUGGCAUGAUAUUUUUUUAUCUUAUUUUGAUUCUGAUGAUAUGUGUGGUUUAUGAAAUUAGAAUUUGUAAGAAUUUUUUUUGGAACUUACUAAUAGUUUACUUGAUUGUCAUGACGAAGAUUUUUGUAUUACAUAUGCCAUUAUUUUAGACUUAUGAUCUUAUCAUUAUUUAAGGUGGUUUGUAACCAUGUUUUUAAUGUUAUUUACAAGAUCAUUAUUAACUUUGUACAUGUUCAUUACCUUUGUUUAACUUGUUUUCUAUUGAAAUACAGGUUACAUCAUGACAUCUUCAAGUGCUUCAUUUAGAAAUACUAGAGGUAAUAGUAGAAACGGUGAAUAUCUACUAUAUCAUAACUAUAUGUGUAAAUGUUCACCAAGACAGAGGGCAGCUGUUAGAAUUUUCGAAUCAAAGAAUAACCCAAAUAGGUUAUAUUAUUGUUGUCAAUAUGAAAAUACUAGAGAUGAUUGUCAUUUCUUUAAAUGGGCAUCCCCUUAAGGAUUUGGUGAUAGCAACACCUACCAAGAAUCACAAGAGGUUGUUCAAAGAAGAAUAUAUGUCGUGAAUGAAGAGUUAAACACAUUUUAACAAGAAUUGAGUUCAUGUAGAAAGUAAGUUUAGUAAGACUGCUUUUAUUUUUUGUUCUAUGUUUGAAAAUUAUUUAAUCAUACACUUACUUCAUGUCUAUUACGUUUUGGAUUAUAUAUGUAAUGCUUAAUUACAUUGUACUUUGAUGUAUUUGUAUUUGGAACUAUUUUUAAUAGGUUAAUUAUAUCCAUCAUGUGGAUCUGUGUUAGAUUUUUAAUUGUAAUAGUUCACAAAUUUUCUACCACUUUUAUUACAUUUACAACAUAAUUUCACUAACAUUACGAUAAAAAAACAUUAACAGUAUGAUAAAUUAUAACAUAAACUAACAAAGCGAUCUUUUGACUAAAUACAUUCCAAUUUGUUGGGUUGAUUACCAAUUUCUUAUAUAUAAUGGUUCAACAAAUGUGAACCUAUUGAAAAGCAAAAAGGAAAAGUUGAUUGAAAAACUUGGUGGUCAUAUUGACCCGUUUUUUUAAAAAUUUAUGUUUGUAAUUUUUCAAGAUGAUUAACAUAAUGUGUUUCAAAGGCAAAUACCAAUGUAUAAGACUUGAAGGAAAAUCAAAUCCUUCUCACCAAGUAUGUCUUAAAAUAAUUUUUUUUGAACCUCAAAUUAGAAAUGUCUUCUUAGCUUUGAUAAUGAUAUUUUGCAUUUUUUUAAAAAAAAUUGCAACAAUUUGAAAACAUUAUAAGAUAGAGUUAUUUAUAAACUUAUUUUUGUCUACAAAUAAAUUAUAAAAAUAUGUGAAAUUAAUUUAUUAAAUUAAAAUCUAUUUCUUAUUUUUCUAACUUUUUUCUUCUAAUUUUUUCCUUCAAAUGAACUCAAAACGGUAGCUUUUAGCACGUAAAGGUAGAAAUAUUAGGAAGGUAUAUAACGAUGAUAAAAUAGGCAAUCAUCAUUUUCCACUUGCAAGAAAAUCAUAAAAUAGGCAAUGGUCAUUUCAACAUCUAUAUCAUUCAUCAUAAUAGUAAAUUUGGAAAUGGAACUCCAUCAAAUUGUGAAAAAAAUCAACUAUUAUAAACCAAAAACAAAAAAAAAAACAAAAAAUAAGGAAAUCAAAAUAGAACUUCCACUUUGAAACUAUUGCUUGUAUGAACUAUUAUCCACCGGCUAACUUAACAGAAUUGACAUAGCCAUAAACCUAAUAUACAAUAAUCAUUUUGGCAAUCUAGAAUAAUCAAGCAUAAUUUCAAAAUGUGAUUCUCAUGCUUACAAUGUUAUAGACCAAACAAACUAAUACAAUGACUUUUCUCAACUGAUACAGUCUUAAAUAAAUCCUAUUUCAGAAAUAGCAUAACCCAAUUGCCUAAUGAAACAACAUCACUGAUCCAUCAACCGGUAGACAUUUUCCCUGAUUUCAUUUUUUGGUAACAUUAUCAAUUGUGUUAGGAGUUUUUCCCUGUACUUCAUGACCUUGUCCUAUACAAAAGAGUAUAUAAUAAAAUAUUAAUGAAAAUUAAUGUUAUUUUAUUAAACAUAAAAAAUAAAAAUAUAUUGUGUUUAGCACAAUAUAAUACAUUUGCAAUUGUACGAGAAAGUCCACCAUUACCCCAUAAUUGCAUAAGCUUGAUUACAAAUAUGUCAUAAUCCAUCCUGCAAGUAGUAAUUAAGGAAAUUAAAAGUAAAUUUUGCAUCAAAUCAAUAAAUUUAGAACCUCAUUUUAUUUCCAUAGGUAAAGAUGAAUAAAAUUCUUGCAACUUACGGAUUCAAUUGUUGCACAACUUCUAGAACAACGAAUUCGAAUUUUUUCAUGUCCAUUGAUGGUCUUCUUUCUUGAAUCCCAAUGACAGUUGACAGAACGCUCACCUUAACACAAAAUAAAAUUAUAAAUAUGAACAUCCCUAAAAAAUAAUGACAACAAUUCACAUAAGUAAUUGGAUUAUAACUAUAUUUACUAGUUUCUCUAUGAAGACAUCCAUUCGCUUUUUCCUUUCUUUAAUCAAUGAAUCCAACAACUCGAUUCUUUUCGCAUGAAUAUUCAAAAUGUUUAAAUACCAACGAUUUCUCCCACAUAUUGGUAUGAAUAGCUAAAAAAGAAAAAAAAAAUCAAUGAUUUUAUCAAAUUAGUUGUGUUCAUGUAUUUCCUGCACUAUACUUAAAAAUAUUCAACUAUAGAUGACUUUCAUUAAAUUAAAUAAAACCUGUUCAUAUGUGUACAACCAAGUGUUUUUGAAAAAUUUCCAUAAAUUGUCACAUAUGUAUUUUGGAGAUAAUGUACCCCUCUUAUUUUCUACAUUAGACUAUAAUAAAAAAAAAUACAAAACAUACAUUAGAUUAAAACAAUCUACUUAAAACAAGAAAACCAAUCUAUAAUUCUUACAACAUAUCUUACCGCAAAGUGGAGAGAUAAGAAAUGCUUCUUAUUUUCUCUAUCCUUAUCAUUCAAAAUUCGACAAAGCAUGGUUACAACCUUCAUAUAAAUUAAUGAAAAAUAGAAAUAUAGUUUUAGAGUAAUUUUAUCCUAACUUCAUAUAACUAAAUAUGAAUACCUUAUUGUCAACCAAUUUGUCGGGUCCUAAGCAUUUGAAGUCGAACCUUAUCAAGAAGAAAUACAUAGAAAUAAUUAUGAUGUUACAAAUUAAAACUAAUUAUUUCAAAUGAUUGUCUUAAUUGUACUUGUUUAUACUAAAUCAAGUUCAACUUGACCUUUCAUCACAUGUAUCGUCCAAUGCAUAUGCUAAAACUUAUUUUGCUACAGAUGAAGACGUUGAAAAUUUGGUUGAUGGUUGUACCAUGUAUGGUGAUUGUAGGGUAGUAGCAUGUCGACGUAGCCAAUAUGAACAUAAUGAAGGAUGUUCAGUCCGGUAAGGAAUAAUAACAUUCAUCUGAACUUCAUCCUCAACUAUAUGUAUAGAAAAUAAGGAAAAAAAAUUCAUUAACGAAAAUAACAUGCACAAGAAAGACUAGCCAUUAUUAUGUACACAUUAAUAUUUUGAUAUUAAAAAUUACUAUAAAAAAAUAAAGAUGCAAAAAGUAUAUUGUUAUGUUGCGCUACUAGGUGUGAGGUCGAUGAGCUUGCAUUAUCUUCAACAUAAGCGGAACGAUCAUUCAGUGGUGAUCCAUAUGCUAAUUUCAGAAUGCAUAACAACCAAAAUUUAUUUAUUUUUUUUUUAAAAAAUAUAGAACAUUUGUAAUUAAAUUAAAGUUAAUAAAAAAAUUAUAACGACUAGUGCUAUAAAAACCUUACUACCAUGUGGUGGUGAUGGGAAAGAUUCGUUGAUAUCAAGUUGGUUAUGACUUCCACUUUGAUGAGAAGGUGAUGGGGUUUUGUUUUUAUUAUGGCACUUUGCUAUUUUAUCAAUUGCUCCUCUCAUUGUUCGAAGCAAUUGGUGAAUGUUUCUCCGCUACAUUAUACUUUACUAUAAUUUCCUACAAAAUGGUACAAAGUGUAAAACAUGUAUAUUACUAUGCAUAACGUAUUUGGUUUACUCUUUAAAUAAAAGAAUAGAUGUAGAAGGUUCUCACAUCACUAGUCUCUUCUUCAACUUCAUAUACUGGAUUAGUAGGGUCUUCAUGCGCAUCUUCUCCCCUUUCAUCUUCCUGAACCUACAAUAUUAAAAAGAAUAUAUAAUUUUUUAAAAAUUUAUUUUUCAAAUAUGAAAAUAAAAAGAAAAUGUAGAAAUAAAAUUGUCCCUUACAUUGGCUAGUCCAAAGUCACCAUAAUCUUGCAACUUUACAUGCACCAUUUUCUUCAUCAGAUCAUCAUUCCACACGGCACAUAUGGGGAUGGUGUGUGGCAACAACAUAGUUGGAAUGUAGAAUUUAUUUACAUUAAAAAGUUGAUACACAAAUAUUCCACACAUCAAUAUGUUAUUUAGAAAAGACUUGUUAAAACAUAGAAAAUGAUAUGGAAACCUUCAGCAUUUAAUAUAUAAAAAAAGAAGAUAUUUACUUGCAAAAAAAGAAAGCAACCUGUAAACCAUGAGCCUUUACCUAAUUGAAAAUGUCUAAUUCUAGCAACCAAUGUGUCAAGUACAAAUUGGCCCCAAUUAACAUUGAUGUCAAAGUUUCCAACAAGCAAAGUACACCACAACUCAUGACUACCAUCCAACUUCGAUGUUGGAGCAAGUAAUGUAGCACAUGAGAAGAUGAUAAAUUUUUUUUUGAAGUCGCCCAUGUUUUCCAUUGAGAUUAACCUAUCUCUAAGGACUAAUAGGUUUUUCAUCCUAUUAUUCCUAUUGGUAUGUGAAAGUAAGAGCUAGCCUCCUACUAAUAUAUGGAUUUUCUAGAAUUUCAUCUUACAUCAAAACAAGUGAUUGGAAAUUGUCUUUCUUGUCUUAUGUCUAACCUAUGGUGGGCUAUAUUGAAAUGAUUUAUCAUCUAUCUACAUAAGUUAUGCCUUAGUUCUAUAGAGGAGAGCUGAAUCAAUCCACCAAAGCCAAUAUAUUGAAUUAUAGUUUUUUUUUCAUCACCUAGAUCAUCAAGUAGAUGUCUAAGUUUUUUGGUGGAGCAGAGACUAUUUAUUUUGACCUCCUAUAGAAGUAAAUAAAUGAUAUUAUAAAAUAAAAAUUAAUACAGUAAAAUUAAACAACAAUAUCAAACAUUAAUAUAGUCAAAAUAACAUAAUACUAAUUAAAAGAAUGUUCAAACAUGGUGGUAUCGUAUUGUUUUUUUCCUUUUAUCCAUGUAUUAUGAUCCACAUUGCACUAUAGAAUUUAUAACAAAUAAUCAAUUGUCAUAAUAUUAAAAUUUUAAAUGUACAAUGAAUAAAGUAAUGUUGUAAUAUGUUGUACUUCUAGUGCAAUUGUAUUGUAAAUGUAGGAUAUUUGUAUUGUACCCUUAUUUAUUUUGGUGUAACUACUAUUAGUGAUCCCAAAUAUAGUUGCAUACAUGAUACUAUAAACACACUGAGCCAUUGUAAUAGUGGAUAACAAAUUUUGGUUGUUUGAUGGUAAUCCAAUAUGUACACAUUGUUAAUGCUCAUCAUGGGUAACCUUUUAAACUAUAUAUAAUUUAUAAAAACUAAUUAUGAAAUUUAAAUUAAGCUAGAUUUUGAUUUGAACUCAUUAUAAAAUUUUAAAAGUAUAAUAAAUCAACUAUUGUUGUAAUGUGUUAUAUUUUUACUAUAAUUGUAUUGUAAAUGUAAUGCAUUUGCGUUGUACCCUUAUUUAUUUUGGUGUAAUUAUUGUUAUUGAUCCCUAUUAGAAUUAAGUUAAUUUUUUCAUUCCUACAUUUCCAUUCUUAUACCUCAAUAUUUUAUAAAAAUUGACAAAUGCAUAAACUUUCUUUUUCAAUGAUCUAUCCAUUAAGGAAGUUGAAAAUACAAAAUAAAUCAAAUAAAACCAAGUAGCAAGUAUCCAAUGAGAAUUGCACACAGAUACUCAUAUAGGAAAUCAAAAGCAUAAAUGAUACAUACAAAGAGAACCAAUUAUGGUGCUUUGACUCAUCUAAAAAUAUUUGACUAGUUGGGAUUUAGGUUUUCUAUAGGUUUAAUUAUACAAAAGAUAAUCAUACAAUGGUGUUUAUAAAAGAGUGUUCGAUGCUUUUAGCUUUAAUGGGUCUAAUUUUUUGACAAUAAAACUCAAUGUAAUGAUAAAGAGUUCAUAGGUCCAAUUCAUAUGUAUACAAAUGAUUUUCUGUAUGUUUUUAAUUCAAUGCACUAGAGCAUCUUGAACUAGAUAGAUAAAACAUUAUUACUUGUGGGUAAUCAGCUAUAUUUUAUAAUUCCUCAGUUAGGAGGAUAAGGAAUGUUUAAGGGCAACCAAGUCAUGGAAUUUAAAGGAUAAUUUUUCGUUUUAAAAAUAAUUAUUAAUACCCUAUUGGUAUUAACACAUCAUUAUUAGUACAAGAGGAAUAACACACAAAUGUUUAUUCAUACUAAUUUGAAUUCACAAGACUUGUAGUUUUUGUUUUAUAUACAAAAAUUAUUAAAUAAUUUCUAUAUGGUAGAUGAAUGAUAUAAAUAUAUUGAUAUGAUGUGUUAAUACCAAUAGUGUAUGAAUAAACAUUUUUAGAAUUAUUACUUUUGUAAUCAAAUAUAGGUACAACAUAAAUGCAUUAUACUUACAAUAUAAAUACACUAACGUUACAAUACAUUACAACAAAAUUUAAUUUAUUUAUGUUUAAUUUUUUCAUAUGCUACAUGUCCCCUAGCCAUCCAAUAUGGUGUUUGAUAGCUCCCAGAUUGAAUGCUAGCCUUGUUUUAUGGACACCUAGGCAUUGGUGGGGAUAGUGAAGAAAAUGAUUACCAUGUAAGCUUUGAAAGUAAUAAGGUAAUGUUGGUGGAACUUGGAACCACUAGAAAGUAUAGAUGAUUCCUUUUUUACUAGAAAAUGAGUGCAAUGGCUUUGGAAAAAAGAGUGCAGGAUGACUCAGUGGAUAUGAGGAAAAAAAAUGGGAGAAUUACUGGAUAGGGUGGGUUAAAUAGGAUAAUUACUAGGCAGGGUGGUCUCUUAUGAUAACUAUUAGAAAGGCCAGUAAUAUGCUUAAAUACCAAAAAUGUCCUUCAACUAAAAGCUUUCAAAAUUCAAAGCAUUUAAAGCAUUUCACUUUUUGUCACAACAUUUAUGGUACAUGGGCCCCAUAUUUAUUGUAAUUAUUGACAUUCAAAUUUUGGGUUUAAUCCUUAUCGUUAUUCUAUAUAAUGAAAGUAUAAUUUGUUAUUUAUACUAUUUAAAACAAAAAUAAUUCUAAAAAAUAUUUUGGUGUUGUUUAAAUUUGUUAUUUUAAUCUUACAGCUUUAUUAGCCUAAUAUACAAAUAUUCAAUCAAAUAACACACAAUUAUUCAAUGGAAUAACAUGGAACUAUUCAUUGGGUAAUAUAGCACAUGAAAAAAAUUAAAGAAAAAUAAAUUAAAUUAUGUUGUAUUUAAUUUCAUUAAAUUAUGAUCAACUCCUAUAGAUUCUUGUCUGACAGAAGAACCUUAUGGUCCUGCUCGGACACAACUAUCUCAAACAACUUGUUGAGCUGGACGAAAGAAGCUUUUUCUACCCACUCCACAAGACGACCCCUCUUCUCCUUACCCGCACCACACAAACAGAGGGAUCAACAAUAAGUUCAUAGCUAAGAAGAACCAAUUGCAAAGAAUGGACAAAGGUUACAGGGAUAUAUCCUACUCGGAAUCUCUAACGAGCGUCGUGGAUAGAAGACUCUGUCUGGCCCCUCAUACGGACCACUCCAGGGUCCAAAGAUAAGGACAUGCCCCUUUGUUCCACCCUUGUUCGAUUCUGGGAGCUCGGUCACUAGCUGGAGGGAAGAGAUGUUAGCGAACAUGCUAAACAUUUCCUUCUGACUCAUCUUCACCAUGUAGAUGAACAUAACUUCUAGCAAGAAAAGGUUUAGCUAGUAAAACAUGUCUAGGAUGCUGCAUCACAUCAACACUCGGACAACAUUUGGAUGGAGGAAGGCUAAAGGUAUUUGGGUGAAGUGGAGAAACUGCUCGAAGAGAGGGUAGAGGUAGACGGAGCCCUGAAUUAAAUUGCUCCUUGCUGAAGUACGUCGCGUUGUGGGACUAUUUUCGGAGGACAAAGGCUCACCAUCUACUAGGAGAAUAGCAAUUUUAUCUGGGAUGCGAAAGCGAGCCUGGAACUCCUGUUCGAAUAGAAGAUUGACUGGGUGCUCUAACCUAAGGAACCCGACUCCAGUGCCCUUCCGUCCACCUUUAUGGGCCCUACCACCUCUGUUGGUGGAAGCAUCACCUCCCAUUACCGACAUGCUGAUUAGUUAUAGGUCGCGUGGAAACUUGCGUAGGACAAUGUAGAUUGUUAGAAUCAGUCACCCAACCUGUUCGCCGUUAGGCGGUGCCUCAGUUGUACAACAAGGAACCUAAACGGAUCGAAAGUCCAAGUCUAAAUGGCUCACCUAACAAAACUUGCAGAGCAAGCCUUAACCCCAAGAAAGGUCUUUCGCGUCAUACUGACACGACAGUUGUAAGACGAAAUGCCUUAAUCAACCAUUUAGUGUACCGACAAUGAAGCAAUAAAUAAGGGAAUUUGAAAAGCCCUAGGUUCGACGGACGCUACAAUCAUCUUCUCCAAAGCAAAAAAACACAAGAAAACCCUCAAAUUUGGAUUCUAUGACGUCAAUUUUCUAUCUAAACUCAACAAUUAUCGGUGCGACGCCCAAAGUGAACAAUAAACAGAAAAGGAAAAUGACAAACAAGGGAAAGCUUACUGAGAUCAAAGGAGAGCGUUUGCUAGCAAAAAGGAAUUUGCCUGAAGCAGGCCUAAGAAUGGCGACAAGAAUGACAAAGAACGAGCAGCGAACGACAUUGCAACAACAAAGAUGCAGGAAUUGAGAAGAGAAAGCUCCAAAGCAGGAAAAAUAAAAAAAUAAACCAAAUGGUGUGGGCCCCCCUAUUUAUAGGGACCCAAAACCCUAGAAUCCUAAAAGAUAAGUUGCCUGGAAAUGCAUCCCGAAGCAGUGUGCUGUCUGACAGUCAACCUCAAUGGAUGCAACCCCUCAUUGCCACUUUAAGUGACACGUGUUCCAAAGUGCCCAAGUGACUUGAAGAGACGUAUAACUCAUUCCACCUCUAUCCGUUGAUGACUUGAAGAGACGUAUAACUCAUUCCACCUCUAUCCGUCGACUACUUGAUCGGAAACAGGUAGACGGAUUAAGGGGACAUUGUGGGGGGUUCCCUUCCACGUGUCCAUUUCCAGCCCAGACACUUUGGUCGUCUAGGAAAAGUAUGCAACCCAACUGGAUCGUUCCAUCCAGACCAAGAAAAUUUCCGUCUGGCACCAAGAGUGAGAAGGUUCCUUUCCCCCAUGGGACCAGACGACAUUAGGAGUUUGGACUCCCAAAUAGGAAGGAUUGUCCAGUCAAGUCCAACAGACCUCUAGCAUGCAUGAUCAUUCACGCUUGACAUUUGAGUGGUGGACGAGACUCCAUUUAGCCCACAGGUCCAUGUCAAUUAAUUACUGCACAUAGUCUUAAACAUCAACAAGCUGAGGUGCUGGUAGCUACAUGAUCCAAGAUCUUGGCAAGUCAGCAGAUGGCACUUGCUAGCCGCCCUUGACAGUGAUGAUUGCCUAGCCGCCCAUGGGACAACCAUCAUUAUAGAAGAAAGACAGAGUGCCAAAUCAGCACUACAGUGGUGGUGCCAUCGACUCUAUAUAAACCCUUUAAAAAGCACAAACAAGGUAUGUGCACACAUACGUCAAUUCUCUCCCACAAAACAGCUUGAGCUAUUCUUGUCUGACUUAAGCUUCAAAGGGCUGUGCUCAGACCACCCGUCCGGACAUCCUUUUCUGCUGGAAAGAAGCCUGUCCAGUUUCAUUAUUGCUAGACAGAUUCUUUAAGAGACACGAGGAAAGAAAGAUGGUCGUCUGACUUUAGUCAACCUAGAUAGACUUGACUCCAAUUGGCUUAGUAUUAACAAAUACUAGAUCAUUAAGUUUAAAUGUAUACUUUUUUAUCAUUAAAAUAUAUAUUUUUAAUCUUAAUAAUAAUUUUCAAAGCACAUAAACUUCAAUAGUGCAAUUUUAUUUAGCAAUUAUGACACUAUAAAAUUGAAAUUGCAUCUGGAAAUUGCGGUUUCACUUAAUUUUUAUUUUUAUUUUAAAAAAAAUGAUGAUAUGGCUCCUCUUUGGCAACAAAAAGAGCAUUUUAGACAAAAGUUUAGGAAAGUGGUUAAAAUUUUUUUUUCCCCUCAUAAUAGGGCUAUUUUGGCCCAAAACUCUUAAAAAACCUUCCAAAGUUUUUUCCAAAGUUUUUUUUUCCUUUUUCAUUCUCAUUAAUGCCUAAUAUUGGAAUGAAAACAAAUAAUUAUUCAAACCUUAUAGUCCUAGGUACAUUCAAAUACAAAAAUCAAAAUCAUCAAAUCCAUUUCUAUUCAAGAAGUAGAAAUGGAAACAAAAUAAUGAUUCUCUUUCCCCAUUUUUAUGUACCAAACAUGGCUUAAACAUUUGAGAGAAGAAAAUGAUUAAGAUUCUUUAUUAUACAUGCUUCCUUCAAAAUAAAAAUAAAAAUUAGGCAUUAAUUUCAUGCAUUGGUAAUGAUCAAAUUGAACCUAAAUAAAUCAAGUAUUAGGCGAACAUCUAAAUAAACUUGACUUUAUUAGUACAAACAUGAAAAUAUUUAAUGUGGGGUUAUAUAUCCAUGUGUAACAUGAUUGAAUUCUAUUCAAAUGUGUAAAAAUAAAUAACUAAAUAAUUACAUACCUCUUUUUCCGGCUUUGCUCAUGCCAUUAAGAUUUUUCACCCACAAAAAACAACCUAUAUUACAAAAAAUGAAACAAGAUGAGCAACAUUUUUAAUGCUGAAGCAAAUGUUCAAAUUAUAAAAUUAUUAUCAUUAGACAAAUAUUUUUUUAAACAUAUGAGCAAGCUAAUAGAAAAUAAUAAAUAUAAAGAACAAAGAUUUUUUAUAAUGCUUAUAAAUAAGUUAAAACAACAAAUAAAAAAAUAUUAAUUUACUGAAAAAUCUAAAUUUAUGAAAGGUAUUAAGAAUCCAUUGUGUAAGUUGAACAAUUAAAUAGGAAUUUAAAAUUAAACUAUUAUACCUUAAAUUGGAAAUAGCUAGAUACUUGGUGUUAUCAGAAUCUUAUCUCUACCCUUCAUAGAUCAUAAACAAAUUAAAGAAAAAAAUAAAAUUAAAAGGAAUAUUUAUUUCGAGCCCUUUGAAAUACUAAAAGCAACCACUUUACAAAAUUGUAUUCAUGUCAUGUAACUCACAGGUUUUUCUAUAAAAAAAAGAAAAAGAAAAAGAAAAACCACAAACUGUUGAUUGUCUUGGAGUAAUUCAAAGAAUAGCCCUCAAUGUAUCAUAAAUUCAAAUUAAACCACAAAAUCAAAAGAAUGUAAAACUAAGAAUAUAUGUACCUCCAGGAGUAGGAGCCGUUGAUGUUGGAAGUUUGAUCUUCCAAAGAGCUUUAAGAUGUGAUUGUGCUUCAAGAGAACUUCCAAAGACCCUAAAGGGCCUUUUUCUGUAUCCAAUGUUUUGAUCCCCUCUCAACCAACAGUACAAGAAUAUAGCUAAUCGUAAAAGAUUAAAGCUAACCAUAAAAGACUCCGACUCACCUCCAUACAUGCUUCUGAUUUUUUCCAAGAAAGAAUGAAAGAGAGAUGCUUCUGAGAGGAGAGAGAGGAAAGAAUCGUUUAUUUCCCAAAGAGACAUUCAGACUUCUUCCAAAGGAGGAUUUAAUCAUUUAAGUUAACUGGGAAUGGAUUUAAACAGCUCCAUUGGAAACUGUAAAGGGGACAAAAUGCAACACCAUUGUGGGAAACGACACAUCUGUAGUGUUGGGGUUUGUGGUAUUGGAACUUUCAGAUAAGGAAUUUGAAAAUAUUUAAAUAUAAAAUUUAAAAAUAAAAAAUUGGUCGAAUAAGAGAGUCCUCUCAAUAUAAUCUUUAUGAAUAAUAAGGAAAUGUUUGCAUGAAGAUCAACCCAGUAUGAUUUGUAUGUUCUUAAUUUUCAUAAAGAAAUGUUUAUCGAAAAAAGAGAGUUCAAAGAUAUUUCUGAACAGAGAGUAGAUACAGAAGACCCUUAUUGAAUGUAAGGUUUCUUCUGAAAAGAGACGAAGUCGGUCAACAUUUCUGAAAAUUCUGAAUGAAGAGGACUUUGAGUUGAGUUGAUGGGGAGUGGAGCAGUUUAUUGGGACUUCAAGAGAAAUAUUUUCUGUCUUUCACGUUGCCCUUUCAGCUGUCUCCACUCGCAACUUUUCAACUUAUCCUUUCUUCCGAUAUCAUUCAAGUUAUACACUACAAUCAAACCUACUACAUUAAAAAAAAUAAAAUCAUAAGUAGCCAGAUUCAAGAGGUAGUGUAAAGCGUAGUAUGUUAAUUUUGACCAAGUGCACUUUCCAAUUCUUAUACAACAGUCUAUAUAUUACAAGAAAUUAAAGUGAGAAAAGGAUUAAAAUUUUAAAAACAUGGCAAUAAUAAAACCCCAAGUAAAUUUCUAUUUGAAAGUGUGUCAAAAUUUGCCUCAAAUUGCCUUUUGAAUUAACUUUACUAUUAUUAUAAUGGAAAUAUAAAUUUUAAAAAGAUUCUCUAUGAUUAUAGGAUUUAAUUCUAAUGCUCUUAUAAGUAGCCAAGGGUCAUUGGACUCAUGGCAGCACACAAACAUAUCCCCUUGUAUCUAUGAAAAUAGUCAUGCAAAAUACAAAUAUUCCCUCGUACAUACUUAUUGUGUUACAACAUGUGUAUGAAUGUGUAUUGUCAUCUUAAGCAAACUAAUGUUGCUGUCAUUUUUUCUUGGACGGUAAGCUCAAUUUUUUUUUUUUUUUUUAACAAUAUAAGGCUAUAUAGCAGAUUCAACUGAUAUUUUUUUCAUCUUGUCCUACAUAUGAAAAUUAUAGGUUGUUCAAGUAUCCUUGUUGAAUGCAAUUGAUUGACAAAAAAUCUUAUUUAUGUAAAUUCUCAAAUACUUACAACAACAAUCAUUUGUACAAAGCCCAAACCCCCACCCUGUCUUCAUGAACUUCAUAACAAAAUACAAUAAUCCUCCCUAUGAAAUAGGAACAAUUAAUUUAAUAUCAGUAAGUCCAUAUUGCUUUCAACAUCAUGCACAAGGAGGGAUUUGAAAGUUUGUCGUUUUAUACAAUAGAACCAUCUAGAGGGAGGUUGAAUAGAUAAUCUUUUAUUAUUAGCUCAAAAACUUCAAUUUUAUUUUAUUUUUUUGAGUUAUAUAAUUGUGAAUAUUUAAAGAUCUUAUAUCAUAAAACUACUUGGAGGAGAUUUAAUGUCUUCAUGUAUUGGUAAUUCUAGGUUGAAAUUUUCAUUGUAUUCGCCUAACUCAAUUACUUCAAAUCCUUCCUCAAACUCUUGUCAUUCUUAAAUUGCUCAUAAUUGGAGAUUGUUAAAUGAGAUAGUUAGUGUUCUUAAGGCGAUUGAUGAUAUUAAACAUUGAUCAAUUGAGUUUUAAACUUUUAUUCUUUUAUUGAAAAUUGGAGUUGAAGUUUAAGGAUAUCAAAUUUUGUAUUUAAAACAUUUGGAUCAAUUACUGAUUGAUCAUGCUAAAAGGUAACAAUUUAUGUUAUAACAAGAACUUUACAAUCUCAUCUUAUCAAUUAGAAUUCGAUCAUAUCUAUAAAAUCUUCAUUUUUUUUUUCAAACGAAUUUAAGUUGUUAGAUGGAGAUUAAAACCUUUGUAUUUAAGCCAUUUUUUUAGAAGAGGCUUUAACAAUUGUAAGAGCUACAUGGCUUUCUUAAGCUUCAAAUUCUUUAUCUAUUUUGGGAUGCUUGGUUUGAAAUUUUUUUUAUGGCUUUUAAGUUAAAAAUCUUUCAAUAUAGGUUUCAUCCACACUAUUGCAUUUGUCAUAUUUAGGAUAAAAUCUAAAUAUCUUCUUGUAUAAAUUCAAGAGAAGAUCGGAAGUUUGGUGUGAAUUCUAAGUAUGUUCUAAAAGAAGAAAGUGUGUAACUUAAGUUUGAAGGUAUUAGGCAAACAAUUCUGAAGAGAAUUGAAGGUUUGAAUUAAGUAAAUCCUUGUCUUCAGUGUAUGUAUUUUUAUUGUCUAUUGGCCUGUGAUAUUUUACCUUUUCAAAGGUUUUGUGCAUUAAAUCUUGUUGUUAUUGUCUCUUUAUUUCUAUCUUAUAUUUCAUUAGUCUAUGAUUUGUCUAUGCAAGUUCCAUUGAUUUGUUAUAUAUGUUGGUUGAUUGAGAAAAUGAACUAAAAUUUGAUCAUUUAAACUUUGGCAUAGUAUGAAAUAAUUUAUGAUUUAGUAUUAAUGAGAAUUGAAACUUUGUAAAUUAUUAAAACUUUGCAGAUUUGGGCUCGAAUGUUGAAGCAUCUCUUAAAGGCAGCUGAGGUGCUCUCAACACUUGAGUAUCCCUUGAUAGCACUUGAGCAUCUUUUUAAGGCUCUAGGGUAUACUUGAAGCUUUUUGAUUAAAAUAAACAUCUAAUUUUUCAAUUUUCAUAAUGUCUACUUCAUGUAUUCUUAAAUCAUCAUUAUUCUUUUUGUAACUCCCAAUAUUUAUCUAUAUUUUCUCAAGUCGAUUGUACAACAACCUUGCAUCUUCAAAAGAAGUGUAAGUCAAUGAAACCAAAUUGCGAACCUAAUCUAAAUAGAUUAAUGCACCACCACUUUAAUUAGGAUAUAAUUAAUCAAUUUCAAAAAAUAGCAUUUAAUCAUAUAAGGAAAUAUAUGAUUUAUGUUUAAAAAAAACCACCAAUAAAGCAUCCUAGAGACCUUACAUAUAUAAAAAUCACAAGGUUCAUAGAUUGUUAAGUUAAAUCCACUAAAUAUGAAGAAUAAGUAUAUAGAUUUACCUAGUAAUUAUUACUCUUCCUUAAACUUAUAUUGUCAGUCACCAAUUCUCAAUUCCAUGACAUAGUUACCUCCAUGCUGCAUGCUUAGUGGAUUGCUCAUGGCCUUGAGGAAAUGCAAUAGACAAUGUGAACUACAAACAAGGCAAGCUCAUUAAGAUGUUCCUUUUUAGUGCAUAAGGUGUGCAAUAAAAUGAGAUUGAGAAUCCUAUACUUUGAGAGAAGGAUACUACAGUAAAAAAUGGUACCAAAUACUAUUGAAUGACAACACAACUCUUAUCGCUCCUUUAUUUUUAUUUUUAUUUGUGAUUACAUCGCUUUUUGUUUUGAUAUCAACAUUAGAAAUAAAAAAGUCUCAUAUUUUUUUAGUGCUUGCAUAUUGAAGGUUCGUGCUAUAAGAGUUUGAAAAACUUGAACAAAAACUCCCUUGAAUGAUGUAUCAAAGCUCAAUGUAUCAAUGUUAACAUAAAAGUUCGAGUAGAAUAGGAUAACAUUUCUAUGUCAUAUGAAGAAACAUACUAAAAGGGAACCAUGAAUAUGAUUGGAGAAAAAUAUAAUAUAAUUUAGAGGAUUAUUAUAGUCUAUUGGUCAUAUUCAAAUGGAAGUAAUAUGGUAAUCAAUAUUUCUAUGUCAUUUGAAGAAAUAUAAUAAGAGGGAACCAUGCAUGAAUAUGAUUUGAGAAGUAUAUAUUAUAAUUUAGAGUAUUAGUACCUUAUAUUGGUUAUAUUCAAAUGAAAGUAAUAUGGUAAUCAAUAUUUAAUCGAUAAGGAAAUAGGUUAUGAACAAGUCAUUAUAACUACCUCAAAAAUCAAUAAUACAAGGAUGAAAGAGGUAUACUGAGGAAGGUUCACACCUAAAGGAUCACUUUAUUAGCACAAGUAGGAAAAUGUUAACAUAGGGUUAUGCAUUUAAGUGUAACAUGAUUGAAUUCUAUUACAAUGUCUAAAAUUUAAAUAAUUACAUACCUUUUUUUUUUUUCCUGAUUUUGCUCAUGCCAUUAAGAUUUUUUAUCCACAAGAAACAACCUAUAUUAUAAAAACUGGAAAAAAAAUUAUCUUAUUUUAGAAUAGUAAGAAAUUUAGGGUUCUUAUAAAUAAAAAAGAAUAUAAUUGUUUAAUACUUAAAAAAAAAAUAUUCCAAAGUUGAGAAUCUAAGAGCCUAUUUGGUUGUGUGAUUUAAAAAUAGUUUUAUGUUUUUAAAAAUAGCAAACUGUUUUUAAAAUUUUCCAACAUUAUUUGGCUGUCAUUCUCUAAAAACAAUUUUUAAAAAUAAACUGAAAUAGAGAAUAUUUUUUAAAGAAUAAGUAUGAGCUGUUUUCACUAAUUUUUAUAAAUAAAAGAAAAAUAUGGAUCCGUUUGGUCAUUUUUUUUAAAACUUGUUUUUAAAAACUGUUUUUUAUUCUUUAACUUAAAAAUAAUUUUUAAAAACAAAUUUAAGAAAAUAUGGCCAAACAGACCCUAAAUAUUUACAGUAAUUUUCUAGUUUUUCAUCUCAUAAGCAAUUAAAAUAUAAUAUUUCACUAUUAACAUAUUAGAAAUGCAUUAUCAACUUUUUAAGUGAUACAACAUUUUGCAUAUUAAAGGGAAUGUAGAAUUAUAAAAUUAUUAUCAUAGGACAAAUACCUUUUUAAACAUAUGAGCAACCUAAUUUUGAAAAAGAGAAAAAAAUGAUAAAGAGCACAAUUUUUUUUAUAGUGCUUAUAAAUAAGUUAAAACAAAAGUAAAAAAAUAUUAAUUUAUUAUAAGGUAUAUUUAUUCCAAGCUCGUCGAAAUAGAACAUCCGUUUAAUAAAAUUUGUAUUCAAUUCAUGAAACAAUUGAAUACAACUCAUGCGACUCAUUUUUAUUUAUUUUUCUCAAAAACAGGUUUUUUAAUUGAAAAAGAAAAAAGACAAAUUGUUGAUGGUGUUGAAGUAAUUCAAAGGAUAGCCCUCAAAGGUGGGUACCAAAAACCACAACAUCAAAAGAUGGUAAAGCUAAGAAUAUAUAAAGAGCCGAUAUAUUAAGUAGGAUUUUUUUAUAAGAGUAUGGUAGUUUUAAAAAAUAAUUCCUAAACUAUUGUAGUGGGAAAAACAAUUCCAAAUCUAAUGUAGUUUUUUCCAGGUAGGAAAUAUGAUUUUUUUUUUUAAAAAAAAAAAUCAUCUCUUCAAAAGAUGAUUGAUGACCUUUUAAAAAAAUUUUUAAAAAAAAAAUUGUCUUUCUAAAAUAUGAGAAUUGUCUCUUGAAGAUACGAUUUUGGCAAAAUAAAAAAUUGAGAAAUGAGAAAUGAGAAAUGACGAUUUAAAAAAAAAAAAAGAAAAACAACAACAACAACAAUAUAAAGUGAGAAAUCAUUUCUUCAAAAGAUGAUUUUUACAAAUAAAAAAAAAACUUCAAAAAUCCAUUUUUCCAUUCCUUAUUAUAUUUAUACAAGAAUACAAUUAUUGUUAUUAUUAUUAUUAUUAUUCAUAUUAUAUAUAUAUAUAUAUAUAUAUAUAUAUAUAUAUAUAUUAUAUAAAAUUAAUUAAUUUUAUUUACUAAAUUUAAUAUAAGAUAAAUAAUAUUUAUCUAUUAUUUUUUUUCUUUCACUUCGGAAUUAAAAAAAACUAUCAUCAAUUUACGUGAAAAAUGAGUUUAAAAAAACAAUUUUGUUAUUAAUUUAUUAAAUUAUUAUUUACAAAAUAAAUAAUUUUGUUUUGUUUUAAUUUUUAAAUUAAUUUUAUUAUAUAAAUUUUAAAAUUAAAAAUAUUAUUAAAAUUUCACGAUAAAAGGAAUAAUUUCACAUAUUUUUAGGAGAAUUUUACUUAACACAAGGCCUCCACUACACUCAUCAUUUAUCGUAGUCCAACAAUGCACUACACCCAUAGCCCAUAGGAGAAUCUUACCUACUGCACUCCAUCGCUUCACACACUAUUACACUACAAUUCCAUUGCAGCACUCAAACAAUUUGACGAGAGUUUGAGGUGUUGUCAUUUCUUCUGAAAUGUUUGAACACUCCACCAAUUUGACCGUUUCAAGUAUUGUCAUUUCUUCUUAAAUAUUCAAAUGUUAUAUAUAUAUAUUUUUAAACACCCCCCCCCUAUCCUGCACAUUAUACCCGUCCUACAUCUUCCCAACUUCACUUUCAAUAUAAAUCGGCUUCAAACUUCUUUAUCCUCAUUUUCUCUUUUUGUCCCAUUUGAAACUCAGUUUUUCACUUUCCAUCACUUUUAUUCAUAUUCCUCAUUUCUUUGUGUGGAACUUCUCUACAUAUCUCCUCUCUUUUCUUUGGAUGCUCAUGCUGCUUAUCUUAAAAGGUAAUGUUUUUGCUUUAUUUUUAUUUCAAGUUAUUUUGCAAUAUAUGGUUUUAUUAUUAUAUAAGCUUUUAAAUUUAUUUGGAUUAUGUAAUAUUUGUUUGAAUAAUAUUUAUUGAAAAUUCUUAUUUUAAAUAGAUUAAAUCAUUUAAAAAUAAAUAAAAUUUAUAUUAUUUUAUUCCUAGGUAAUAUUUUUGCCUUUGUUUCACAUUUAUUUUGUAAUGCAAGAUAGAUAUUUAUUGUUAUAUAUAUUUUUUAAUUUAUUGGAUUUAUGCUAAUUUUUUUAGAAUAUCAUUUGUUGUAAAUUAUCAUUAUAUAGAGAUGAAUGGAUUAAAUUAUUCAAAAAAUAAAAGUAAUAUUAGUUUAUUUAAUUAAUAUGAAAUAAUAGGAUUAUUGCAUAUGUUUAUCAAUCAAAUAAUAUGCUUUAUAAAAUAUUAAAAUUGAAAAUUAAAAAUAAAAUAAAAAUAUUAGUAAAAUGAGAAUGGGAAAUAAUAAUAAUAAUAUAAUAAUUAUAUAUCUAUAUAUUUGCAUAAAAUAUGAUUUAAAAAAUAUUAAAUCUAAAAAAUAGAAAUACAACAUUAUUUUAAAUUAUGAAUUUAUCCUAUAUAUUUUUUUAAAAAAAGUUAAUGUUAGUCUUAUAUCAUUGAAAAAAUUGUUGUAAAAUAUUGAGAUGUAAAAAAAAAAUAUAAAUAAAAGUAGAAAUAAAACUAAAAUGUUAUUUGAUUUAUUUAAAUGAAUAUAAUAUAUAAACUAUCACAGGCCUAUAGACAAUAAAAAAAAAAAAAAAACACUAUGAAAAAAAUUAAUUGAAUACAAGGAUUUACUUAACUCAAACCUUCAAUCCUCUUUAGAACUGUUGGCCUAGUACCUUCAAACUUAAAUUACCCACUUUCUUCUUUUAGAGCAUACGUAAAGUUCACACCAAGCUUUCGACCUUUUCUUGAACCUAUACAAAAAGAAAUUUAGAUUUUAUCCUAAAGAUGACAAAUGCAAGAGUGUGAAUGAAACCUAUAUUGAAUCAACUCAUUUUGAAAGAUUUUUAACUUAAUUAAACCCAUAAAAAAAAUUUCAAACCAAACAUCCCAAAAUAGAUAAAGAAUUUGAAGCUCAACAAGGCCACCUAGCUCUUACAAUUGUUAAAGCCUCUUCUAAAAAAAAGGGCUUAAAUACUAAGGUUUUAAUCUCCAUCUAACAACUCGGAUUUGUUUGGAAAAAAUGAAAAUUUUAUAAAUAUGAUCGAAUUGUAAUUGAUAAGACGAGAUUGUAAAAUUCUUGUUACAACAUAAAUUUUUACCUUUUACAAUGAUCAAUUAGUAAUUGAUCCAAAUGCUUUAAAUACAAAAUUUGAUAUCCUUAAACUUCAACUCCAAUUUUCAACAAUAGAAUAAAAGUUUAAAACUCGGUUGAUUAAUGUUUAAUAUCAUCAAUUGCUUUAAGAACACCAACUAUCUCCUCUAACAAUCUUCAAUUACGAGCAAUUUAGGAAUGACAAGAGUUUGAGGAAGGAUUUUAAGUAAUUGAGUUAGGCAAAUACAAUGAAAAUUUCAACCUAGAAUUGCCAAUACACAAAGACACUAAAUCUCUUCCAACUAGUUUUACGAUAUAAGAUCUUUAAACAUUCACAAUUAUAUAACUGAAUAAAAUAAAAUAAAAAUUGAAGUUUUUGAGCUAAUAAUAAAAGAUUAUCUAUUCAACCUCCCUCUAGAUGGUUCUAUUGUAUAAAACCACAAACUUUUAAAUCCCUCAUUGUGCAUGAUGUUGAAAGCGAUUUGGAUUUACUGAUAUUAAAUUAAUUGUUCCUAUUUCAUAGGGAGGAUUAUAAUGUUUUGUUAUGAAGUUCAUGAAGACGGGGUGGGGGUUUAGGCUUAGUACAAAUGAUUGUUGUUGUAAGUAUUUGAGAAUUUACAUAAAUAAGAUUUAUUUUCAAUCAAUUUCAUUUAACAAGGAUUCUUGAACUACCUGUAAUUUUCAUAUGUAGGACAAGAUGAAAAAAUAUCAGUUUAAUAUGCUAUAUAGCCUUACAUUGUUAAAAAAAAAAAAAAAAUGAGCUUAUUGUCCAAGAAAAAAUGAGCUUAAGAUGACAAUACACAUUCAUACACAUGUUGUAACACAAUAGGGAUGCAAGAGGGAAUAUUUGUAUUUUGCAUGACUACUUCCAUAGGUACAAGGGGAUAUGUUUGUGUGCUGCCAUGAGUCUGAUGACCCUUGGCUAAUUAUAAGAGCAUUAGAAUUAAAUACUAUAAUCACAUAGAAUCUUUUUAAAAUUUAUACUUCCAUUAUAAUAGUAAAGUUAAUUCAAAAGGCAAUUUGAGGAAAAUUUUGACAAAGUUUCAAAUAGAUAUUUACUUGGGGUUUUAUUAUUCCCAUGUUUUAAAAAUUUUAAUCCUUUUCUCACUUUAAUUUCUUGGAAUAUAUAGACUUUUGUAUAAGAAUUGGAAGCAGCACUUGGUCAAAAUUAAUAUACUAUGCUUUACACUACCUCUUGAAUCUGACUAAUGAUUUUUUUUUUUUUUUUGUAAUAUGUUUGAUUGUAGUGUAUAACUUGAAUAGUUAUAGUAUUUCAAGGGAGGUAAUGGGUGAAAUUUUAAGCUGAUUUGUAUUUAAUUUAAAUCUUAAGAAAAAUGAAUUUAUUUUAACUAAAUUUUGAUUUAUUUAGAAUAGCGUAAAACCAUGAACAUGUAAUAAAAUCCUCGAAGUAUAAUUUUUAUAACAAAAAAAUAAAUUAAUAAUUGAUUAAUUAUUAAUUAAAACUAUAGUUGAUAAAUCAUUUUUGACAAACAAGUUCUAAAUUUUUCCUCAUAAAUAGUAGUGAUUAUAGGGAAACAUUGUUUGAAAUCAUGGUGAAAAUGUUUGCAUGCUAUUCAUCGUGAUGGAUUAUUUUAUAGAUUUAUAAUGAAAUUUUGUUGUGCUAUGUUGGCUUGCUCUAAAUAGUAAUUAAGAGAUGGUGGGUAGACGUUUAUACUAAUAAAUUUUUAAUUUAUGUAAGAUAAAAUGUUUUGUCAAAUGCUUGUUUUAAUGCAUGGGCAGUGAAAUAUCUUUCAUUAGAGUAUUUCCAAUCCAAAAUUUUAAAAUAUUAAUAUUAAUUAAAAUAUUUUAGUAUAGUGGCUUAAUAUAUAUUAUGUUAUUAUUAUUUGAACUCAUAAAAUAAAAUUAAUACAUAAAAUAAGAUUGAAUUGGUUUUACAUAUGAAAUAACAUUUGAGGGUAGUUUUGAAAUGGUUUUUUUAUAAAAGGGAAUUGGAUAAAAUUUUAAAAAUGUCUAAAAUAUUUUAACAAAUCAAUUAUAAUAUAUUUAUAUUCGUUAGAAAAAAAAAUGAGUUUUGACAUAUUCAUAUAAAAAUAAUUAUAAAAUAAAAAUUCUUUCAAAAUAAUACAAAUUUUUUCAAAAUAAUUCAAAUUUUAUAUAUUUAUCAAUUCAAAAUAGUAUUUUAAAAGGUAAAAGGUAGUACAUAUAUAAUUGUUUAAAUAGUAAAAAUAGUAAUUUUAAUAAAAAAAAUGUAAAAUAUUAAUUAAUUUUAAAUAAUUAUAUUUUAUAAAUUUAAAUUUUUAUUUUAUAAUUUUAUUUGUUGGGAUGGUCUGGUACAAAAGAAAAGUUGCAAGACACAGCUCAAAGGGCAGCGUGAUAGAGAGAAAAUAUUUGUUGAAGUCCCAAGAAACUGGUCCGCUGCCCCAUCAACUCAACUCAAACUCCUCUCCAUUCAGACUUUUCAGAGAUGUUGACCGACUUCGUCUCUUUUCAGGACUGGAGACAGCUGAAAGGGCAGCGUGAUAGAGAGAAAAUGUCUGAUAAAAUCCCAAUAAACUGGUCCGCUGCCCCAUCAACAACUCAAAGUCCUCUCCAUUCAGACUUUUCAGAGAUGUUGACCGACUUCGACUCUUUUCAGAAGAAACCCUACAUUCAAUAAGGGUCUUCUGGAUCACACUCGGUUCAGAAAUAUCUCUGAAUUCUCUUUUCUCGAUAAAAGGUCUUUCAGUAAAUUAGGCUUGUAGGAAUUAAUUUUGGUCUUCUCAGGCUUGGUGGUAGAAUUAAUAAUAAAAUUAAUAUGAAAAAAAAAAGAAAAUGAAAAUUAACAAGAACAUACAGAUCAUAUUGAGCUGUUUAAAUCCAUUCCCAGUUAACUUAAAUGGUUAAAUCCUCCUUCGGAAGAAGUCUGUGUAUGUCUUUGGGAAAUCAACAUUCUUUCCUCUCUCUCCUCUCAGAAGUAUCUCUCUUUCAUUCUACGGAGGUAGAGUCGGAUUCCUUUAUGGUUAGCUUUAAUCUUUCACGAUUAGGUUUUAUUCUUGUAGUGUUGUUUGAGAGGGGAUCAAAACUUUGGAUGCAGAAAAAGGUCGUUUAGGCUCUUUGGGAGCUCCCUUGAAGCACAAUCACAUCUUAAAGCUCUUUUGAAGAACAAGCUUCCAACAACAUCAAUGGCUCCUUCCCCUGGAGGUAUAUAUAUUCUUAGCUUGACAAUCUUUUGAUUUUGCGGUUUAAUGUGAAUUUAUAAUACAUUGAGUGCUGUUCUUUGAAUUACUUCAAGGCAAUCAACAGUUUAUGCAUGUUUUUUUUCAUAAAAAAAAACUUUUUUGAGAAAAAACGAUGAGUUACAUGACAUGUAUACAAUUUUGUAAAGUGGUUGCUUUCAGUAUUUCGAUGGGCUCGAAAUAAAUAUGCCUUAAUUUGUUUAUGAUCUGUGGAGGGUAGAAAUAAGAUUCUGAUAAACACCAAGUAUCUAGCUAUUUCCAAUUUAAGGUAUAAUAGUUUAAUUUUAGAUUCCUAUUUAAUUCUUCAACUUACACACUGGAUUCUUAAUACCUUUCAUAAACUUAGAUUUUUCGGUAAAUUAAUGUUUUUUUAUAUGUUGUUUUAACUUAUUUAUAAGCAUUAUAAAAAAAAUCUUGGUUCUUUAUAUUUAUUAUUUUCAAUUAGCUUGCUCAUAUUUUUAAAAAAGUAUGUGUCCAAUGAUAAUAAUUUUAUAAUUUUAACAUUUGCUUUAGCAUUAAAAAUGUUGCUCAUUUUGUUUCAUUUUUUGUAAUAUAGGUUGUUUUUUGUGGAUGAAAAAUCUUAAUGGCGUGAGCAAAGCCGGAAAAAGAGGUAUGUAAUUAUUCAAUUAUUUAUUUUUACACAUUUGAAUAGAAUUCAACCAUGCUACACAUGGAUAUAUAAUCCCAUAUUAAAUAUUUUCAUGUUUGUGCUAUUAAAGUUAAGUUUAUGUAGAUGUUCGCCUAAAACUUUAUUUAUUUAGGUUCAAUUUGAUCAUUACCAAUGCAUGAAAUUAAUGCCUUCUCUCAAAUGUUUAGGCCAUGUUUGGUACAUAAAAAUGAGGAAAGAGAGUCAAUAUUUUGUUUCCAUUCCUAUUUCUUGAGUAAGAAUAGAUUUGAUGAUUUUGAUUCUUAUAUUUGAAUGUACCUAGGACCAUAAGGUUUGAAUAAUUAUUUGUUUUUAUGUCAAUCUUAAGCAUUAAUGAAAACGAAAAAGAAAAAGAAAAACUUUGGAAGGUUUUUUAAGAGUUUUGGGCCAAAAUAGUCCUAUUAUGGGGGAAAAAAUUAUUUUAACCACUUUCCAAAAAUUGUCUAAAAUGCCCUUUUUGUUGUCAUAGAGAAGCCAUGUCAUCAUUUUUGCCACAUGUAAUUUCAAUUUUAUAGUGUUGUAAUUGCCAAAUAAGACUUCAAUAUUGAAGUUUAUGUGCUUUUAAAAUUAAAAAUAUAUACUUUAAUGAUAAAAAAAUUAUACAGUUAAACUUAAUGAUCUAGUAUUCAAUAAAAAUAAAUUGAUAAUAAUAAUAAUAAAUUAUUAUUUUAUUUAUCAAUAAAUUAAUAUAUAAUUUUAAAAUAAUAAAGUUAAACGUCAUAGACAAACUUAAAAUAAAAUGAAAAAAAUGUAAGUGUAUGAAGUUAAAAGUGCAAAUGCAGUUCCAUUUUUUUGACUUUUUGCCCUAUUGAAUUUCAUACUCUUGAACUUUUUAAUUUCACAUAUUUGCAUGUUUUUUAUAAUAAUAAUAAUAAAAAAAUAUUUUCUUAUUUAUUUAUCAAUUUAAAAUAUUUAAUUUAUUGAUAAAUUAAAUGUUAAUUUAUUAGUAUUUUAACAAAUUUUUCUCUAUUGAAAUAAUAGUAUCUUAAGUUUCCGUAUAUAAUUUUUUAUUAUUAGUUUAAAGCAUAAUUAUUUUUAAUUUCAUGUAAGAAUAUUAUUAAUUGUACAUACACAAUAUAUAUGCUUUGAAAAUAUAUUUCAAAAUUAGUUAAUGAAAUUAAUUUGAAUAAUAUGUUAAGUGUACACACAAUCUAUUAUUAUUAUUAUUAUUAUCAAUUUAUCUUUCUUGAAGUAAUACUAGAUAUUUAAGUUUAAACAUAUAAAUUUCUUAUUGUUAAAACAUGUUUUUUCAAUUUCAUCAGUAAUUUUUAGUUUAAUAUAUUUUUUAUUAUUAAAUUUUAGGAAGAAUUAUGCUUUGGACCUAGUUAGGCUUGAAAAUUGGCCUUCAGUCCAUGUCACCUGGCCAAGCCUAAGACCUACCAAAAGGCUAAAAAUUAAGAAAAAAAAGGAUAUUAUCCUUCAAUAUUUCCUAAUAAGCUCUUUGUUGAUUAUGAAAAAAAAAAAAAUACAGGGUGGAAUUUCAACACAUGGUUGUAUUGUUGCCUAAUGACCCAAUUAUUUCCCAAAUCUUUGAAAGGAGAAAGCCAAAAAUCCUCAAAUAUUUUAGUUCAGUCCUAGUUUCCAAAGAAUUGAAUGUCGUUGUCAUGCCCUAUCAUGGUAGCCACACUUAAAUUGUUGUUGCUCCUAUAGGCAUCGCCAUUGUCAGGGUCGCGUUCUCACUCUUUCUCUCCCUAUCUUUCCUUAAUUGUCAUCUCCAACCAUUAUUUUGUGAUUCAGAUCUCUCGCUCCAAUGAAUCCAAACCACCACACUCUUUUCAUUUGUCUUGAGAUUUUAGAUUUUCUAGGUAUUGAUUAUCGCUUCUUUGUAGUUUUUAUAUUUGUUUUUCCUUCAUUUGGUUGCCAAGAAAAUAUUGGAAAAUGGACAUGGACCUUGUGUUUGAGUGGUUGAUUUUCAAUGCCUAAUGCAUUUGUUUGAGGAUUUUUUUUAUUUUUUUUAUUAAUGGUAGUUUAUUUUGUCUUAUAUGCAAUAGACGAUGUACAUUUGUUUUGGAUGGUGGAGUGUUUGAUAGGAUGAUAGGUUUUGCUUCUUGUUUAUUUUGUUAAAUUUAUGGAUUUGUGUAGGUUGUCAAUGAAUCAUAUUAGGGAAGGUUGAGAGUCUUCCAUUGGUGGUUGGACGUGAUUGACAGGAGGAUUUUUUCAGAUUGUUUUUGAUUGAUGGCAUGAUUUCGGAAAAUAAAAAGAAAACAACAACCUUAGUCUUGAUUAUAUUAAAUGGUAAAUUCAUGUAUACAUUAUCUUGAAGGAUGUAUUGUCUCUAUUGAACAAUAUGAUAUUUUCUAUCUAGGUUUUCAUUAAUUUGAGUGGUGGAUCGAUUUUAUUUGAUGAUAUGUAUGAUGUUUUUUCCCAUUGGACCAACUUAGUUUUUUUAAUAAUAGAUCCUGGUGAUAGAAUUUUGCUCACAUUAAUUCAUAUGGGAACAUUAUGUAUUCUAAAAUGAAAAUAAUUUUUGGAUGACAUUGAAUAUGAAUAAAUUGUGCUUUCUAUUUGGAGAGGUGUGUUGUCUAAUAAGGUUUAAUUUUUUAUAGUGUUUUGAUGUUGUGGAUUUUUCUUUGAUUUCAAUUUGUGUCUUGGUGGUUAAAAUAGGCUUAAGGUAAUUGCAUUGUUUGGAUGACAACAAGUGAUGCAUGAUAUAAAAUUUGAGAAAAGUGUGGGUUAUGUUUGCUCAAUAAUAUGAAACUGGUGUCUUAUGUUUGAAUAGGUUGAUGGGCGCUACAAAUAGAAUAUAUUGUUGCAUUUUCGUGAAAGGUAAAUUUAUCCAAAAAAAAAAAAUGAUGGGUAGAGGGAAUACGUAGGUAGAAGAAGCAAAGAUAUUCACAUAUAUAAUGGAAUGUCAUUUCAAGAAUUCACUCCAAGAGUAUUAAAGAAAUUUAACAUCUCCCCUUAAGUGAUGAAAAUGCAUUAUGCCCUCAAGUUUAACCCCAAAGUCAUCCAAGAUUUAAAAGAUGAGGAUGAGUUAGAUAAUGUGGUUUCCCAUGGUGAUGACAUAGUGGAGUUACCUCAUGUGGAAGCUAUUGAAGAAAAUAAGGAAAACUGUGUUUCCAGGUUGCUAUUAGGAAGAUAUAUGGUUUUGGAAACCCAUGUAAAUGAAAUAUGAGAUAUCCCUGUUAAUGAGAAAAAUAUUACAUUUCUCAUGUACUAUAUACUAUUUAGGUAUGCAUUUCCAAAAUUGCCCUUUAAUGUUUCCCUGUCAGAAGCCAUCGGUGUCCAUGUUAUCAGGCAGGUGCACAAUUUAAUAAAGGCAGAAUUGUGUUUUGGGUUCAGUUGGGCCCAAAAAUUAACAAUUGGUCGAUAGAUGUUACAAAAUUAAGCCCAUCACCCAAGCAAAGUCUCAAAAUUGAUAAGAAGGAUAUCUCAUGUAUAAUCUACCGAAAAUGCCCUUUGCUGGGUAUUAAAAAACUAAAAUCCACAUUGGAUUUCUUUUUUUGUUUUCCCUAAAUUGGAGUCUACAUUAGGCGUUUUCACAUUCCCAACUUCGUCCCUCGCUUUCGCCCAAAGAAUGCCCUAAUCCUCUGUGCCAAUCUCGUUAUCUCUCAAUCUUGUAUAUCUCGGCCAUCUGAUUUUAGGUGUAGGUAGUGGAGUUUUUCAUCUCUAUCAAUCCAUUGGCAUCAAUGAUCACCAUUGGAUUUGGGUUCCGUGGCGAAGUAGUUGAUAGUUGAGGUUAGUAGGUUCAACAAUUUCAUUUUAUGCUUCAUUUUAGCUAUCCGGACCAUUUGAUUUCAGCCCAAAAACAUUUCCUUAAUUUAUCUCACGAUUUCAGUUUGUCGUAUAUUGUUUCCUGAUCGAUCCCCACUGGUGGUGCCCUCUGUGCUGAGCAUUGUUGGAUAUUUGAUGUUAGGUGGGACUUUCUGGAGGUUGCUUGCUGUUUGAACUGAGAAGGGAGCUUUUCUUCCCAUUAGGUAAAAUAGUCUUUUUUUUGAAGCUUAAACCCCGUCACUGAUGUUUUUUGGUUUAACAUAUAUUUUUUUUGGGUAUUUUUUGUUAAUCAACUCUUUAUUUUGUGUGGAUGACUUGAUCUCUUGAUAACCAUCUUUCAUUGUGGGUUAUGGUGUUUAUAAGACAUGACUCACAGUUUGAAAUAGUGAGGAUCUUCAUGUGUUAAUUGCAACUGCAUGCCGUGGUAUCAACAAUUUUUGUUUAGAUAAUUAUGUUUGUGUUCAAUUUACAAGAUUGAUAGGCUUGACAUGGAAAACACACUUUUUUUUUUAUUAACCUGUGAUGUCACCAUGAUUGACUUGUUUCUCCAUCAAUAUGACAACCCGCAAUUGGCAUGAACGAUAAUGGUGAUGAUGAAGAUGACAUAAAAAUAUUUUUUGAUUUUGCCUGCAUUUUACUUGGUUCACUGAUGUUUGUUUGAUUUAGCAUUGCAUACUCAUUUAAGAAGUUUGUUUUAUACAUGCAAUUUGAUUCUAAUAUAUGAAUAGUCAAUGCAAAUUGAUUUUCCUUUUGCAGACAUAUUUUUCCUCAUUUGGUUCAAAUAAAAUCUUUUAGCAUUAUAUUGACUUCCUCGUGUGGCAGUCUAGUUAAGUACGAUACUUUGUUUGUUAACUUUCUUCGAUUAAACCUAAGUUCUGGUGACCCUAUAGUAUGAGAUAUUGUGGGCUACUUAGUAUGUGUAGAUAGAUUAUCAUUUCCAACUUCAUGAAAUCUGUAGCUAACAUGAAUAUAAAUGGCAAAUAAAGAAACAAAUAAGUUCAAAGCCAGUUCAAUGACCCUUAAUUCUAUUAAAUCAUACCAGCAACUAGGGAUUCAAUAUUGUAAGGGUUUGAUGAUUCGUCACCGCCCCGUACACAUGUGGAGUCUGAGAGUGGCCCGACAAGUAGUCAUGUACGCAGACUGUUUGUUACUUUACAAAUUAAAUCCAUUUGAAUGCCAUUACAAUUAGGUUUACUUACUGGAAUAUUGUAAAUCAUUGGUUAUAAAUAUUUUCUUUAAUAUUUUUAGAGUAAUUUAUCUGUAGGUAAUUCGUUAACAUGUCAUAGGAAAUAUUGGAGAAGUACUAUGCAGCAGAACGCGUAAUAAAUGCAUAUCAAAAGGGCAUUCAGUAGCAGCACAACCACAAAUCCGACAGUUUGCCAUCAAGAUGGACCUCAAACAAGCAGCUGCAAUUAUAUUUGAUGGGGACUUGGACCCGAGGUAUGUUAUAGCAUAUAAUACUCCACUUUCAAAUGUAUUCACCUAUAAAAAUUUGGUAUUACCCUAACAUAUAUGGUUUUGUUGACAGCGAGGAACUUGUUUCAAUGCAUGACACGAGUUUAAGCAGAGGUAACUUUGCCUUUUUCCAAGGAGAUAAUUGGAUUGGCAAUGGUGUUAAUAUAUCAAUUUCUCCAUUACUUUGCAUUAUUUUUAAUUUAAUAUUCAUGUAACAUCUUGUCAUUAGUUAAUCUGAAUAUUGCUUACAUAUUAAUCAUUUCUUGUCUUAGGUCGUGGAUGUGUAUUGUAGAAUGUUGCAAUUCAACGAUGUAUCAAGGACCAAACUCUUUCUUUCUCCAUACAUAGCUGUAAUGAAGGGCUUUUAUGGACAUUACAUUUGAAUGAUUUGUUGUUAUAACAUGUCGAGAAGUUUGGCUAUCUUUUAAAGCUUAAACUUUUUUCAUAUGAUAUGCAGGAAGUGGUCAUGCGUUCCAACGCCAAACAUUUGAUGCACGACGCAGUAAUUGCCCGUUUUGAGCCAUAUUUGUANNNNNNNNNNNNNNNNNNNNNNNNNNNNNNNNNNNNNNNNNNNNNNNNNNNNNNNNNNNNNNNNNNNNNNNNNNNNNNNNNNNNNNNNNNNNNNNNNNNNUAGAUGUUUCGUAUCAGAAUGUUAAUGAGGUCAGCUUAAAUGCAUUGUUUUAUGUUUGUACACUUGUCAUCUCCUUCACUCACUAUAUGUUGUAAUCCAUUGUAAGUGGCAUCAUGUAGGUCUACUUACCGAUUCUUCUCAAAAACCAUUGGAUGCUUUAUGUGUAUGACUUGCAUAACAAACGAAUCUAGAUCUUGGAUUCUCGACCUGGAAGGAAAAGGAGUUGUAUGAGUGGAAUACAACAAAAUUUGGUAAAGUAGCUUGUAGUUUCAUAAUCUUUGUUGCUUGCAUUGUACAUAAGAUGGGAAGUUUGAAUGUACUUUGUUUGAUUGUUUAAGGUGAAGGUUGUUCUAUAGCUUGUUGGUUAUAAGAAAGAAAUGGUGGAUGUAGACUUGAAGAUGUUCCGUUUUGUCAUGCUAGAUGUACCAUGUUAGCCAAAUGAGUGAGUGUUUACUUUGCAGUCCGUAACUAGCUUUAAAUUUGAUUGCAAGGCAAUUUUAUAUUAUACUUGCCAUGUCACGCAUAAUAAAUAAUUACUCGUUACUUUGUGUGUUAGCAAUGACUAUGGAGUAUUUAUUAUGAAAUUCAUGGACAACUGGUCAAAUGGAGGACUCUCCAAAUCCAUCGAUGUGGUAUGUCCAUACACGAUUGUAAUAUACCAUUAUUAUAUAAAAGUUGCAUACCAUGACCAAAAUAUUUAACAUUUCCUUAUAUGUCUUUUAAACAUGAAUGAAUACAGGGCAAGACUAAGAAGUAUAAAUUAUAGAUAAUGGAGAGAUUGUUGCUUUCAUCACAUAAUGCACAUCGACAUCGAUUUAUGGCGGAUUGAGGGAGACUGUUAAAUUGGAUGUGCCGAGGAUAUUUUCAGAUGAUUGUACAUUAUUUGCUCAAACAUAACUCUUUCCAAUGUAUCGCAAAUAUUAUGACUUAUAUAUAGAAGUUAGUGAUGAAUUCACAACUAAGGUUAACAACAGUAUGAUUCAUGUUUAAAGCAAGCAAGUUGAGUGUGGAAAAACCAUUGGCUUCAAAAUUAUUCACAAAUGAAAUAGGGUUGAUACUUCAAAUGUAUACAGUCUACAAAGUUGAGUAGGAAGAGGACUCGUACUUUGAUGGGUCAUUAUAGUCAAGCAUUACUACUACAUUUUACAUUUGAACUUAAAUCACAACUUUUACAUUUGGAACACAUUGAUCGGUCUUGAUGGUACAUCGAUCGGGCAGAGAGGACAAGGUCUGUUACUUUCAGUCCGCUUGAUUGGGACUCGAUCGGGACUCGAUCAGUACUCAACCGGGAAAGAUGAACCGGUCGACCGGUGCCUAAAAACAUCAACCGGUAGUUUUUACCUAUUGGAUGAGAGAGAGAGUUCUCAACUGGGCUUAGAUCGGUUCGUGAUCGGAUGUCGACUGGUAAGAGGGUACCUCAAUCGGGAAGGCCAAGGCACUGGAUGAGAGAGAGUAUGUUUGUCACCCCUCAUCCUGGUCUCAACCGGUCGAGAGGCCCUUCGACCGGUUGAGCGAAUUUGUCCAAAACACAUAUUUUUGCAAAUCUUGUCUUCUAUGAUUGUAGUUGUGAUUGUUCUGUGUUGUUCUAUCCAUUAAAACUCAUAUUAGUUAUUUCACUAUUUUAAUGUAAAGUUAAAUAAAAAAUAUAGAAAGUGACAUUGGUUUGUAAGUAAUUUUAAUUAUUAUUAUUUUUAUAUUUUCACUAUUAAAUCAAAUAAUGUACUUGUUUUUAUUAUUUAAAGAAAUAAUUAUAUAAUUCUAAAAACAAAUAUUACAGAUUUUAAAAGUAACUUUUGAUUUAAAAAUGGAUAUUUCCCUAAAGGAAUAUUAAUUUACCUCAUUCUAGUAUAUGGUUAAAUAAUAAAUAAAUGAAUAGUUAAGAGUAUAUUUUUUAUGAGAACUUUAGUUUGUGAGACUUAUUUAAAUCUCUCAGAUGGUGAUUCAUGGGAAAUUUUCACAACUCUACCUCUUUGGGUAUAUGUAACUCGGGUAAGACUUAAUAGUGCAAUAAGUUAAUUUAUAAUUAUGUAUCUAUUUGCUUUCAUUUGUUUUUAGAAAUGUUAAAAUGUUUAAAUUCCCCAAAAUUGUAAAAUAUACUUUGAUUUGUUCCUUAGUUUAUUAAAUAAAUCCAAUUUUGUGCUAAAAUUGAAAAAGAAAUGGAGAAGAAUAAAAGAUCCUUAGGAAAAAAAUUGUUUAGGUAAAAUCAUUUUCACAUGUUUAGUUUUAUAAUAAAAAAUUGAAAUAAAAUAACAUAUAAUUAAAAUUAAUUUAAAUUUUAUAUAUAUUUAAAUUAUUUAAAGUAUCAUCAAAAUCAUUUAUUGAAUUUAAAUCUUUUUUUUAUUUUUUUUAUUUUUCCUCUCAAUAUAUAUAUAUAUAUAAUUAUUUUUAUAUAUUAAUUCAAAUUCAUUUAACUUAUUUUAAUUUGCAAUGUAAAGAUUAAAUAAUGUGAAAAUAUAUAAAUUUUUAAUUAUAUUAUAUUUUAUUUGGUUUACUCAAUAGAACAAUUAAAUAUGAAAAGAUUAUUUUUCUUAGUAUUUUUUUUUCUUAGUACUUUUCAAGAACCAAACACAACCUUAUUGAAUCUAACAUAUUGAGAUAAAACCCUUUAUAAGAAGGAAAAAAAAAAUACUAAGUAAAUUUUUUAAGCUUCCAUCCAAACUAAUUAAGCCUAUGAUAAAUAGUAAUGAUCCUUCUAUUGAUGCAAUUCAAAUUCAUUUUGUAGAAAUCCUAAGAAGUUACAAAUUUAUAUUACAAAAGAUGAUCUAAGUGUGCUUAGAAAUAAAGGCUUAAUUAGUUAGUUAAAAUUUUGCCCCUUCAAAUUAUCUUAAUUUUUUACCUUGAAGCUUGGACUCUUAAAUCAUGUUUAUUUGUUUCGUGGCAUAGGGUCAUUUAGCAUGUAUCUGACAUUAUUUUUAGUGAAACUAUUUUUAAAGAUUCACAUGAUUAAAAACGCUAUAAGUGAUUUUUUAUACAUUUUUUAAAACUAAAAGCACUUCAUAGAAUUAUUAACAAAUGCACUCUUAGAGUACAUUUGGCACUACUUCUAAUAAAAGUGUUUUCUUCUACAAUACUUAUGUGCAAAACUCUUUUGUGAAAAACGCUUUUAUGAAAAUCUAGAAAAGUGAUUGUAAUAGUGCUUUUGAUAAUAUAUUGCAUAAGUACAAAAACACUUUUAAUCGUAAUAAAUUACUAAAAAUGACAUUUAUUACAAAAAGAAAAUAUUAUAAUAAACCAAAAACGUUUAUUACAAACAAAUGUAUAAGCAUUUAUAUUGUUAAAAAAAUUAAGAAAAUUAUUUUUAUUAAAAUGAAGUGAAAGAGAAAAAGAAGACUGACAAGGAAGAGGAGAAUGAAAAGGAAACUGAUGCUAGCGGGAAAUGAUCUUUUAGGAAUAUAUGAAAUUUUUUGAAGUGUUUUUUUUUUAAAGAAACACCUCCCAAGUAUUUCUCUAAAAAACACUUAAAGUGUUUUUCUAAAUUUUGAAAAGUGUUUUUUCAAAAUUUUUCCUAUUUAUUUAUUUUUUAUUAGGAUGGGGAUGCCAAUUAAUACAAAUAAUCCAAUGAAGUUGGAAUUGGAAUGAUUCGUCCAAAAACCAUUUUGUUGUUACCUUUACGGGUAUUGAAAAAUAUUUUUCGCUGUAGAGCUCUUUCACAAGUAUAGUUUUAUAAGACUGGGCCUAGUUUCCAAAAUAAAGACUAAAUAAAUAAAUAAAACAAUAAAAAAAUAGAAUUUAAAAUUAAUAAAUUCUUUUUAUAAAUCAUUAUAAAUGAAUUCCAGUUUAAUUUUUUUUAUGUAAAGAUUAGAUAAUUUAACAAAAUAAAAGCAAGUAAUUAAUUUCUCAUAUAAAAAAAUGAACAAACAAAUAAAUGAAAUGAUUAAACAGGCGGUCAAUCGGUUCUAGACCGGUCAAGUUAUUGGUGGGGUUGUCUUUUGAAAUACCCCUCCUGUGCAUCAUUUUGACAGUGGAUUCCUCUCAAGCUUCAAGGGUUUUGCCUAUUCAGCUUCAAAAGACCACUUUCAAUGCCAUUGCAGCUAUUUCAUGGCUUCAGAGUGAGUUUUGAAGGGUGCAAACUGAUAUUUGGGACGUAGGGCGUGGGUAUUAGAAGUGAUCCUCCUUCAACACGAGUCAUAGGCGGUUUCUCACCUGUUCCCGCGUGCCAAGCCUCUUAGAUUGGGAUUGUUAUCACUUUGGUCUGGUCACUUAUUUCUUUACCACCCUCGUUCCCUUCAGUUUUACUCUCUAAUGGCGCCUAGGAGAGAGACGACUGCCUCUAGGGCACAGGGCAAGCGCCCUGCUAAGCCAUCUCAGCCCGAUGAGGCGGAGGCUCCCCGAAAGGCGAGGUUUGACACCGACCUUUUCACUUCCAUGGAGGAAUAUCAGAGGUACAAGCAGAAGUUUGCCCAGAGGAAGGUUGUUCCAGGGAGAAAUAUUAAUUUCUCCCAACUACAACAUUUCGGCUUUGAGGGACUCUUCCCACGGAUGGGGUGGUUGCCCUUAAUGACUAUUUCAGAGCCAAUAUUUCUGACAUUAGUGAGAACAUUCUAUUCAUGAGUGACAUAUGGACAUGGAGGACCGAUCAUUUCCACUGUUAGAGGUGUGCAGAUCAAGCUUGACCUAGAGAGCACAUGCCUCAUUUUAGACAUCGCUCCAGUUGGACUCAGGGUUUAUGAGUCCAAGGCUUGGCCCACUUUGGCGGGUUUCAAGCCUACAGAGGCUAUUAAGAGAAUGCGCGGCCUUGCAGAUGCCCAGGGGAUGGGCAAACCAUCGGCACAUAGCCUGCCAGUGAGAUGCCGAGUCCUUCACCUCAUGAUCUUGUACAUUCUCUUGCCAUGAGGCGGCCACCGAGAUGAGGUCUCCUAUUUAGAGGCAUUCCUCAUUGAUUCGAUUAUGACGGGGAGACGGAUUGAUGUCGGAUAUCUCAUGAUGAUGCACAUGAUGGCAUGCUGCGAGAGCUCCAACCGCAUUGUCCCUUAUGACCGAUUUCUCACACGAGUAUUCAAGGAUGCGGUCAUGAUACAUACGAUGAGCAGUCAUUGGACCGGAUGAAGUUUUGAGAAGGCUCCCGAUGGCUCAUGGAUUAGGAAAGCGAAGAGACCAAUAGCACAACCUGGGGGACAGGGAGAGGUACAUCCUACAGUUGAGGAGGAGGCCGAGAUUCGGGAGAUAGAGGGUGGGGUCGACCCUCAGAGAGAUUUUGACCAUAGAGAGACUAAGUUUGAUAUCCCUCCACAGCAGUCCUAGGGUGGCUAGUUGGGGGAGACUUUAUCAAAGCCGAUGAUGUUUGAGCCAGUUUACACAGUGGGACCAUCUUCUCAGCCAUCAUUCAUUGAGGCUCCCCAUGCGCAGACAUCACCUCAUCAGGCUCUUUACGGUCCUGGUCAGGCGCCUUGGAUGGAUUUAGCUGCUCAGAUCAGCUCACUUGGCACUCACAUGGAGGAGCUUGUAGUUGUUAGCGAUACACAAUUCUACUCCAUGGAGGAUUGCAUGGAUCAGCAGCAGGCUACGUUUGAGCAUAUCCUCCGGAGGCUUGAUCGCCAGGAGAGUCAGCAUGAGGACAUGAUGGCUUACCUCCGCUCCGUGUUUCCACCACCACCACCUUCUCAACCUUGAUACCAUCGAGACCCCCUCGUUUAUUUUUAUGUUGCAAAAGCGAGAGAUAUUUAGGAUUAACAGACGUAUAUGCAGAUCAUUAUCAUAUUUGUUUCAUAUGUCUAUGUUUCCUGUACAUUUCACUUGACUAUAUAUAUAUGAUAUCCUUUUGUCUUAUUUGAAUUAUAUGAUUGGACACAAAUGUAUUCACACGGGGAAGUUUAAAGGAAAAGACUAUAUUUGACUUUGAAAAUUAAAAAUUUAUGAAUUUUUCUUAUUUACAUGAGAAAUCUAUAAGGAGAAGAGAAUGUAACUAUUGAGGAAUGCAGUUUAUCUCGACUUUUCAUAUCUGCGUUUGAGAAAGUGAUAAUUUAGUCUCUCUUCAUGAUCAAAUCCUUGAUUGGGACAGUAUAUUGUCACGGAUGGAAACACUUCUUAGUGGAUUUCAGGUAUAUUAACUCAUUCUAGGAGAACAAUAUUUAGUUGUAUUCUCUUGCAUUUAACAUCUCAUCGUCUAUAACAACAUAGGAAGGCAUACUGAUUAUAUUUGUUGGCAACCAUCAACAUAUUAGCUAUUUAUGAGGAUUUUACAUCCAAAAACACCUAGUAAAUGGAUAAGCAUAAAAUAAGUGUUAGAUAUUUAUGAUGGAAGAGUAAAUCCUCAGGCACAACUCACAUAAGAGCACAUGCUUGGAUCACAGUGGAAAGCUAUGAGAUAUUAGUACACGUGUUAGAAUCAGGUCACUUUUGAUGAGGGAAUUAGAGCCGUCCAACUCUAGAAUUGUGAAAAAGUAAAAAAAUAUACAAACCCACCACAACAAAUUUUAUUGAUGUUAGUAUAAACAAAAUUACAACCACAAGAAUUUAUAAUGGGGUUAGAUUUCACAAAAAGGGAAAAAGGAAAGAUUGUGGUUACUGAGUGGUGAUGGCACGAGUUCCACUCCUUAACCUCCCCCCACCAUCCUUCUUUAGUCGAUUAAGUAUAUCCCAAUCUAUUUAUUUUCUUUUUUAUAUCACCAAAAUACAUUUUAAUUCUCCUAUUUCAUAUUAAUUAUUGUUAACAAAUUCAAUAAAAAAAAUAUGAGAGAAAAAAAAAAUAUUUUUAUAUCCUUCUCUAAAUUGAUUUAUUUAUAAAAUUUAAAUAAUUUAAAAAUUAUCAUUUAUAUUAAAUGUUUUAAAAAUUGUGAUUUUUGAUUUAUUUUUUUAAACAAUUUUUAAAAAGAAAUUUGAGAAUAAUUUUUAAAAAUUAUUCUAUGAUUUUUGUAGAACAAAUUUUUUUUGGAAAGUUAAAAUAUUUUUAAUAUUUUUAAAAAUAAUUUUUAUAUUCAAUACUUCAUUUAUGGUUCAUGAAUUUGGUGUGUGCUCUUGGGAUUCUUCAAUAUUGUGAUAUGAAAAGAUCAAACAUAGAAAGAGUAUGUCUUGUAUAUUUAAUUCCAAUGUGUAUGGAAGAAUUCAUGAACCAUAAAUUUUGUAGGGUAGUAGACAAAAUUCAACAUCCAUUUCAUUUCAAUGUUUUCAAAAUAGUUUCGUUAUGACCAAGGGGCAUGAAUCAGGGCUCAUGGGUGUGACAAGAAUGAUUGUUUCACUCACAAUGUCAUCUACAAUGCAAUGUUUAUUUCUCUCUUAUUUCUUGUUUAAGACUAUGUGAUGUUCAAUAGGAUUGUGAGGUUAGAGUUUUACAUUAAGGUUGUAAAUUUGUUUUGAUACUCUAAUAAUAUGUUUCAUCCUUUAUAAAUGUUGUUUGCUCGGAAUUCAUUAUGACUUCAAAACUGAUGUAUUUAUAAGAAUUUACUACAUAUAUAGAAUUAAAAAUUUCUUUUUCCUUAUGAUAUGAAAUAUUACAAGGGUUAGGAAUUUGAUAUUCUCUUUCUAAGAAAAAAAUUUGUUAAACCAAUUUAAUGGUAUCCUUGGAAUACCAUCUUCACUCCAAGGUAACAAGUGAAGUGAAGAUCCAAAUGAGAGGAUAGAGGUAUUUAUUGAAUAAUCUUGGUAAUUUGGUAAGGUAAGUUAUGCCUUUUAUACGCGUUUUCUGAUCAUUGUGCCCCAAAAGUUAAACUUCCGGAAACAUGGACCAACAAUAUGUAUCAAGUUAAAGUAAAACCUCAAGCUUUCAACCUAUCCAUCUCAUCAUCUGUUCCGAUCGAGGGUAUGAGCAACCGGUCGACCAGUGAGGGAACCGAUCGACUGAUUGAGUUCCGGUUGAGUAUCGGUCGAGGAUCUGUCCUCCAUCUCUCUCAUCUAGUUGGUUGCUCUUCUUGGUUGGAGAGUCAAUAUUUUAUGACUUUGGUUUUGCAUUUUGUUAGGUUAAAUUAUGAACUAGUAAUUGGUUGUUGAAAUGAGAUGGCUUUUUAAGUUUUCACUGUGAUUGGACUUGGAUCCAUGUUAGAAGGGCUUGACGCAGGGCCAGUGAAGGGGAUAAUACAAGACACCAUUCGAAAGUUAUCACUGCCCUCACACAAUGGCUAUAGGUUACUUCAAUAUGUAAUCGUAUAUGGAAGGGGCCCUUCCAAUUAUAUCCAAUUAUAGUAUGGUUAUAGAAUGCAUUCAGAUAAUUUUUCAAGAUUCUAAAUACAACAAGUAAUUGUUCAACAUGUCCAUUAUGCGGGACUGAAGCUUUAUUAAUAAUGCAAAUGUGAAGACUUAAGUAAUGGUAAUAAUUAAAAAAACAUUAUGAAUUUUGUAUAUCAAUUGAUAUUGUUUUUUUUAUAUAUAUAUUUAAUUAAAAACUCCUAAAACAAGUAUGAUAAGAACAUCUUAAUUUAGUUUUGUUCCUUGUAGUCUCCAAUUUCUCUUUCCUCAGCUGCAACAACCAUCAACUCAUCAAAGUUCUCGGUCUUUCGAACCAAAAUUUCAAUCUGAAAGCGAACAAAACAAAGAGGGUAAUGUCAGUCUUGCAUCCUCCAAGGUGCCUUGAAACUGUAGCAAUAACUGAGUCAUAAUAAAUUAAUAUGGCCUAUUGUCACAACUUGGAUGUUUCCUUGUUGUUUUUUAAACACACAUACAACACUUAGAUAAGUCAAGGCAUUUUGAAGUUAUUAUAUCACUCGAAAUUAGUUUGUCAUGCUAGGCAACAUUAUAUGACAUCGAAGGUAAGGAGGAUGAACAUAGGAAGAAUGGAGGUUUGAAAGAAUAUAGCUUUAAUUAAUCAAAGGUACAUUACAAUGUUUUGGAAGUUUUCAGUACUUUAUAGCACCCUUAAAUAAGCUCAAUUAGGACAGUUUGGGCAUGGUGCGAUGCUACAAUCUGGUCGAGCUUCUAAACCAAGCUUGGUCCAACCAUCAAUCAACAAAUAACCAACCAAAGCAUCAAGGUGAUAUGCUAAACCGACAAACAACCUGUUUUAAAAUCCAUGAUCCUAGGCAUAGGUUGAAGAACAACGCACUAAGUUACACACAAACCAUUGCCUUUGCAGGUGUAAACUCUAGCAACUUCAUGAAAGCAUGCAUGGUUAUGUAGACACUAAUAGAAACUUUACAACUACACGAACUUAAUUUUGGAGGCUAUGUAAAAUUCAACGCUCAAUGAGGCAUGAUAAAACAUGACAUCAUUGCUCCAUUAUUGAAUUACCAAUAAGCAUAUGACAUAACUUUCUAUCAGUGAAAAUGGGGAAAAUGAAACCCAAUUUAGGUUCCCAUUCAUCAUAAGUGUGCUAGCACAUUCCAAUGAAUGUGUAUGAAGGGAAAUGAGGAAUGAGUACGAGGAAUGUCCCCCUAUGAAAAAAGAAAUGAGCAAGGAAUUUUUUGAAAAAAAUUUGAAAUCCUUCAAGAUAGGUAGCCUUGUACACACUUGUAUAAUUAGCACAUUUGCAUUGUACACUUAGUGUAAAUGCCUUGUACAGUAAUGAAAUCUAACAUAGGAACGAUCGAACAAAAGCAUGUGGGUGGGUAAACAAUGGUUCCACUCUCAUGGAUAAAAGAAAAUGAGGAAAAAGUUAACCCUCGUUUUGGUUCAUAUGCAUCAUUAGUAGGGGAGCUACUAGAAUGAAUUAACAUGGUAGACAUCAAAUAAAAUGCGUGCAAUGAGUGUGUUGUCAAGCAAUAUGUGUGAGGAAUGUCCCCCAUGAUUGGAAAAAGGUAAAUGAGUAAGUUCUUCAAAAUCACUUGAAAUCCCUUAAGAUACACACCCUUGUACACCCUUGUACAUUUAGUACAUUGUCCUUGUACACUUAGUGUAAAUGCCUUGUACAGUUGGAGAAAUCCGACAUAGCUACAACUGAAUGAGUGUAAAUGGGUGGGUUAACCACUUCCCAAUGUCAUGGUUCAGUGAAAAGGGGGAAAAUGAAACCCAAUAUAAGUUCCCAUUCAUCAUAAGUGUGCUAGCACAUUCUAAUGAAUGUGUACGAAGGGAAAUGAGGAAUGAGUUUAAGGAGUGUCCCCUUAUGAAAAAAGAAAUGAGCAAGGAAUUUUUUGAAAAAAAUUUGAAAUCCUUCAAGAUAGAUAGUCUUGUACACACUUGUACAGUUAACACAUUUGCAUUGUACACUUAGUGUAAAUGCCUUGUACAAUAACGAAAUUUUCAAACAUGUGAAAUUCCAUUUUUUAGGAGAUAUUUUCCAACGGAUUAACUGUAUGUUUCUUCAAUUUACUUAGCCUGUGCUUUAUUCCUAUGAGCCAAGAUGGAUAUGAUCAAAGCCUCAUUUAUACCCCACCCUGCACCCAAAAACACGUUAUUAAGUUCAAAAUUUUUUAAGAACACCCCAACAUGAGAUCAAAACGGAUGUCUUUCCUCAAACCUUGUACUGAUCCAGUAAACAAACAUCCACCACAUCAUCAAAGGAACUAACAUGAUCAAAUUAAAAUGUGAGAAAAAAAUAAUUCACACCCACCCUCAUUUCGAUUUGGGAAUGAUGAUGAUAAAAUACAUGCAAAGGCUUUUCUGAGUUGCUUAGAAUCCUCAGUUGCUGAAGAAACCGAUUGGGGCACAUUCACAGUUGACUUUGUCUUUGACCAUGGAGUUUACGGAGAGAGAGAAAGGGGUAGGAGGGUGGUGACUCCUUUUUUCCAUUUAUUUCAGAUUUUUCAGUUAGAUGACAUGGCAUUUCAAGUUUAACAUCUAUGAAACCACUUUAAUUUAUAACCAUCUGACUUGGAAAUAAUGAAGAGCAUAUUGGUUAGUUAAUAUCUCAUAGCCUUUCUAUUAAUUUUGUAACAUCUAUGGACCAAUUGUUAAUUUUUGGGCCCAGUUGGGCCCAAAACACAAUUAUCCCUUUAAUAAACACCAAAUUUUGAAACUUGAAGUUAUCAAAUUUGAAACCCACAAAACACCCGACCCGAGAAACAUUUUAAAGUUGAGAAACUCUCUCUACCACUUCUUCUCGUUUUACCCUAGCCCAAUCUAAAAAAAAAAUCCCAUUUUCAUAGCUCGUUUGUUACACGAAAGUAGACAACCGAUCUGUUUAUUGACAUCCUGACCAGGUGAUGGAUGCCCAUCUUCCCAAAGCCAUCUCCAUUUGAUUUUGGCCUAACCCUAGUGUGUCUCUUUUCACGAUUUGACCACCCAAACCUGAUAGGCAUCUUCUAAAAACCUUCAACGAAGCCAUAGUCGAGGCAUAUCUUCAUAUUUCUUCAUCAAAGGUUGAACUUUUUUAAGGUUUCUGGAAACCGAAAUGGAGCUUCAUCUUGCUGUGGAUUAAUCAAUCACAAGUGAGUUUUCCAUUUAAGGAUAUGUUUGGUUGUUGAGAAAAUAUUGGGGCCGAAGGUGUUAUAUUUUAGGGUUUGUUGUAUUUUGAUUAAUUUUCGCAUGAAUGAAGAUGAGGGAAAAUUUGUUUUGGUUAAAGAAAUUUUCAAAUGGACCGACUCUUUUUGAAUCGGUUUCUUUCUGAAUUUAAAGCCACCCAGUUUUCCCUUUUGUUUUUUUGGAUAUUUUUUUUUCAAUUUCUUUAGCUUAUUUUUCUAUUUCUAUUUCGAGGAAUAUGUUGAUAUGGAUUCUCUUUUUGUUUCUGUUCAUAUCCAUAUGAGUUUAGUGUGAAAUCAAAUCUUGAAGUAGGAUUUUGAUGUACAGAGAAGGGUCAGGGUAAGAGGGUUUGAUUUGGGUAAUAUGGGCCUAUAAUUAUUUGUCAUGACUUUCUUUUCUAUUUGCUUCUUUUGUUUGUUUGCAUGAUUCGAAUCAAUCCAAAAUCCAAAAUAUCUUCUUAGGUUUUAAAUUUUAUAUUUGUUUGUUAAUUUUUGUUUUAAAUUUUGAUGAUGAUUCAAAUUUAAUUCCUAUUUCAUCAUAUACUUGUCCUUUUGAGCCUUCUAUUUACUGGAUAAAAAGUGGAGAGGGGGCUUGUACCCUCAACUCACCAUACUCUAUUUCAGGUUUGUCCGUUAAGGACACAAAUAAGUUUCUGAAUGUCCAUUGGGACCCCAAAAGAGGCAAAAGAUUGAGGCGUCAUAGGUUGGAAACCUAAAAAGUAUCUAGAUGAAAGAAGGGGUUUGAUGGUAACCAUCCAGAAAAAGCAUUUGUAGAAACUGGGUUUUGUUCAGAAACAAACUCAGGCAGAAUUAUUAAUUCUAAUAAAAGAAGCACAACCUGGAAAUAUGUUGAUGGAAAAUGUUGGAAAGAAGACUAAGAAACUGACCAAAUUAGGUCUUAGACAAAUCAAAUCACUGAACACCAUCAUACUAAAGUCCAAUCUCAGCUAAAAUUGGGCUUUUCAACAAGUUCCAAAUUCAAUACAAUGCACGUUCCUCCAAAUUUUUUGUAACAAGACUAUAAUGGAAUUCUAACACUAACCUAAAUCAUGCCUGGCUCACUCAAUAACAAGACAAUGAGUGAAAAUCUUAGGGAGAUUAAAGUUCUACUUGUGAACAAGAUGAAGAAAUUCACAAAAUACAACUUAAUAUCCUUUUUUCUUAGACAUCAGUCACUUAUAAAUCUAAAGGUUUUAGGAAACAACUUCACCAAUGUCCUAAUCUAUGAGUCCCAAACUUUUCAACUUCACCCAACAUAACCAUGACCACAUGACAUGACAAGGGUGUGGGUGUAUGAUCCUUGGUGGAUACUUGUACUUUGCAUCAAAUAUUGACUACUGCGAAGUUUUUUUUUUUUCAAAAAUAGGCAAUAAAUGGAAAAAGAAAGAGUUUUUUUUUAUCAAGGAUAUGUUACUUUUUUCUUUCUUAUUGAGUAAUUGAUUUUUUUUCUUUGUUAUGCCACAUCUAAAUACCAUUCAAGAUCCUUUUCCAAACGAGUCACUAUGUUGUAGAAUUUGAAAUAUGAAGGAUCAAACACCUACACACACACACCAGCACAAUGCCCAUACCUGAAAAGUAACAUAGGUGCUGACAAUUAUUAACUCAAUUAUGAUUUUUUAGUGGCACACAUGGUCUAGUGGUAAAACCGCAAGCUUGGGGUGAAUUGUAAACUCAAACAACCUGGCUUGACUCUUAUAGGCAUUCAAACACCCAGAUUUACUAGAUAAAAGUGUUCUAUGAGUGAUUGCAUGUAUUUUUCAUUUUUCCUGUUUCCCCAACUCAGGAGAAAUUCUCAAACACAUUUUCAGAUAGAAGAAUAUUUUAGGAGGGUUUCUACUAAAAAAUCUUAUGCAGGUUUUAGGUUUUUUUUCCACCUAAAAAUAAAAUAGUCAUUCUAAUUACUUGUAAGUUACUAAAUGUUAGAUUUGGUACAAGGCAAGACAUAGCUAGAUGUCCACUAGUAUAUUAAAUCAACAUCAUACCCAAAAUAGGCAAUUAUUGUAAAUUCUGAACUACUAAAAUUUAGAAAUGGGAUCCCUGAUCCACCAUUCCAGUUUGUUAGAAACCUUCAAGAUGGGAGUUAGAAAUAGUGGAAGCAUUCCUUAAGUAGAUUCAAGACACGAAGGUAAGAAGAGAAUGUUAGGGCAAGUUAGUUUCGAGAUUUAACAAGAAUGGGAAGUUCUCUAUAAAAUCCUUUCAUGGACCAUUAGAGUUAAGUUCUCUAGUCCCUUUUUACAUUAAACACAUAAAACUUUCGGAUCCUCCCAUUCUUCUUUUCAAGUGAAGGACUAAAAAUUUGCAGGAAGAAAUGAUGAUGUAUCACCCACAAAUUGAGUGCCUUUUUGGUGCUCAAUUCAUUCAACUGAACUUGUGAGAAUGAGAGAUUUUUUAGAUUGUCUUUCCUUGCAACUGGAAUAUACUAAUAUUCUUAAGAAUAGGGUAAAUCUACACAGUCAAGGCAUGACAACAAUACCAUGGAUAUAUGAAUCAUUCCAUGGAAUAUGACUAUGAUGUUUUUCAAGAUAAUCUUCCAAAAGGGGAAAAAAAAUUGUGACUAUAACAUGGCCAAUUGCUAAGGGGCUUUUUGAACUUUGCUGCGUGUCAAUUUUUAGCUCAUAGUUCAAUUCGCAUACAAAUUAAAUUAAUCUUUAUUCAUGUUGGUGUGUUUUGCAUAUGCAUUUUGGGAGCAACUAAAGGUGGUUGCGUAGAGGAAGGUGUGGAUUUUGUUAUAUUUUGUGCACUUUGAACCACUUACAACAUUCAAUUCUUUGGUCAUGAUUAAGAUAACAAAUACACAUUAUUGCUUAAGGGCUUUUAAUUGAUAGGCUAUAUUUAUGCUAUACUUGUUUUUUUUUUUUUUCAUUCUAUAAAACUUUUAUGACGUGCUUGGAUGUCCUAUUAAGCAUAAAUCAUUGAAGUAUGUUGUUGAUUAACAUAUGAAAUCAACUCACAUUGUUAUUUGAGUAGCCUUAUUUUUAAUUUCCAUGGCAUACUGCCUUUCAAUUUUUCUUUCCCUAUUGAAUUUCUUGAUUAGUCUAUUAUCUGUGUUUGCUUCAUCUUUAGAUUGAUUUUCUAACUUUAAAUAUAUGAAAAUGACAUUGUAUUGCUUCAUUUUAUUGGAUAACACAUUGUGCUUAUUCUCUACAUGAAUUUCUAUAUAUAUUCUAAGAAUAUCAAGGUUGGAUGGGUUGCAUGUACCUUAGUUUGUGUUUAAGUUGCAAACAUUUCAAUGUUACCCUCAUAUUGUCAAGAUUAGGUUAUAUAUGUUGAUUACGUUUCGAAGAUGGGUUAAGGUGCCUCAUUAUUGUACUUGACAUGAGCAUCUCCCUUAUCUUAUGAUAUAUCAAGGUUUUGGGGAAGAAUUACAUUUAUUAAUAUUACCUUAUAAUGUAAAUUGGCUAUCAUAUUGAUACUCAAGUUUCUCGAACUCACUAUCGACCUUAACUGCUUACCAAACCUUAGGUACUUCCAAACUCAACCUUAGGUAGUACAUUAGUUAAGUGCAAAACUAAAUGCCAAAAUAAGUCAAAAACGUUAUUUAAUCCAACAUCAUUAUAAUUACUAAGUGGUCCUUAAUACAAAGAAAUCUUAUAUUCAUACAUUAUCCCUAAUUAUUUUUGUUGUCGUUUUGUUUGUAACAAGUUUUUAUGUACUUAAGGAGAUGAAAUGGUACAUGUUAUGCUACAUUCAUGAAGAUGGUCAGCUAGUUAAGUGUGCUGAUGGGUUUGUAGAAUAUCAAGGUGGUCGGACCGAAUGCAUUAUUGUUAGCCCGCAUGUGUCAUAUAGUGAUUUCGUUUCAAAAUUGUGUGAUGAACUGAACAUUUAUCGAAAUUCAAUCAAAUUGGAAUUCAAGGUCAAGUUUGACCCAUCAUGUCUACUAACGUUGCAUGAUGAUGCAACCAUACUUUAAAUGUUUAGAUUCAACGAAAUGUUUUGUUGUGUCUAUGUCUCACCAUCAAGUGAAGUUUCUGCAACCUGUAUCGCACCGACUAGGUGCAUAUAACCUUACCAACAUCACAUUCACUUUGUCUAAUAACUUUUGAAAUAUAUGUAGAUGGAUGAAGAAUUUGUUUUUAUGUUUUAUUUGUAGUGCCCCUACCCCUAUUGUUGGUUCGAAUUUGGCAGAAGUAGUUUCCUCUAGUGAUGAUUCGCCAAUGGAUAUCUGUAAUGACUCUCUUACAAUCGAGUCAUAUGGGUUUUCCCAAAGAUGUGCCGAAUCAAAUAUACUUGAACGUGACUCAAGGCGAUUUGAAAAUUCCAUUAUGGGUAGUGGACAUACCUUUCCCAAUGCGGUCGAGUUCUGUGAUGCCGUGUAUUUGAUGUCAAUUGCUAGUAGAUUCCGUUAUUCCUUCAAGAGGAAUAGUACGAAACACAUGACAGUAGUUUGCACAGUUAAUGAAUGUCCUUGGAAAGUCAUCGCUUGUGCAGUGUGGGAUUAGAACAUCGUUUAGGUUCACACUUUUCAAAACGUCCAUAAUCAUAGUUUGGAACAUUUUCCACAUCCCAACCUUUAGUGAGAUCCAAUCGUGCCUCAUUGCUUAUUGAUGAUGUCAUACGGUCUACUCUCGAUUACCAACCUCGCCAAAUUUGUAAGGACUUCCAAAGGCAACAUGGAAUAUAAUUGGCAUACCUUCAAGCCUGAAAUAUCAUGGAGAAGGUGAAUGAACGCAUUUAUGAAGAGUCCAAAUAUUAUUACAAGUUAUUGCCUUGAAUGUGUGUGAAAAUGGUUGCAACAAAUCCGGGAAGCAUUGUUAAGUUGAGGCAUUCAAGUGAUGGGCAUUUUAAGCAACUCUUUGUUGUUCAUUCGGUAUUUAUCCAAGGGUUUGCAAUGGGAUGUCAGCCAAUCAUUGCUAUUGACUCCACCCAUAUGAGUGGCACAUAUAAGGGUGUGUUAUUUUCGACCACGACAUACGAUGCUAAUGACUUUAUGUUCCCCUUAGCCUUUAGUGUGAUGAGCUUAGAAAAUUAUGAGAAUUGGUCAUGGUUUUCGCAAAACUUGAAGAAGGUUGUUGGAGAUAAGGAAGUCGUUAUUAUCUCGAAUAGACAUCCUGCCUUCCUUCGUAGUGUUCCUGAAGUGUUUGGGCUUGAAAACCACACCUAUUGUUAUUGUCACUUGAAGGAGAAUUUCAGCUCUUUUUUAAGCAAACAUAACAAAAAAGGGAAUAAAGGUAAAUAAAAUGCACUCUAAUUCCUUGAUAGUAUUGCAUAUGCAAGGUUAGAGCACGAUUACAAUGUUUCCAUGUUUGAACUACAAAAAUACAAUGACACUUUAGCCACAUGGAUAUAAUAGUAAACAUGUUUGGACCUCCUAAUUCGGAUAAACCUAUAGCCAAAGCUUUAGAUGCCAAAUAGGGUUAAAUAAGAGAAAAAUGGGGGAGGUGUUAGUGUGGCAUAAAAGGAGGAAGACGAAUAAAUUUUUUAUCCAACUUUAAUAAGUUGGAAAUGGUUGUAGAUGUUUUUAGCUCUAAAUACAACAACACUUAUAUUUAAAUUAAUGGUAAAUAUCCAUAUUUUCCCUUUAAUUAUGUUCCUAUGGACGGAGGGUAGAGAACCUCAUGGUUAUCAAAACCACUUAGGCAAUAAUCUGAACCUACAGUUAGAGAAUUGUUAUUUCAGUAGUUAGAUAUUUGAACCUUUUUUUCAAGCAUGGCAAUGCAAAAAUUAGAAGGCAAUAACAAAUGUAGACAUAGUUAGUUGUCCCUAUGAUAAGCAUUAACUAAAGCCUCCAUCCCCAUUGUCAAGUGGCUCUACUACCAUGUGCCACCAUAUUAAGACGAAAAUAAUUUGUGGCUUGCAUACUAAUUUUAAGGUGGUCAUCUUGCAAUUCAAUGUACAAGCCAUGCCUUAAAUAUUAUCGAUUCACCCGAUUCCAUGUCUUAGAAGCACUUCAAGAAUGCAAAACACCAUCUUAGGCACCUUAAGAAUGAGACUUUGGUCAAAUGAUAAUACAUCAUAUUCCAGUACUUUAAAAAAACAAGAUUUCUUUGAUUUUGUUCAUGCAUAGAUUGAUGGUCUUCUACAAUUUCUACUUUCUUCAUGUUUGCCUUAACAAAAAUUACUAUAUUUUGUUUGAAUGAUAGUAAGCUAUUUGUAACUCACAAAUUUUGAGUCCUACGCCUAUUUCCACUUGCAUGAAGUGUGUUGCCAAUGGAUGGAUCUAUGUACAACUGAAGAAACUUUCACUCGAAAACACCAAAAGAUUUCUCAAUAGCAUGUAUAAAAAAUGACCACAGUUGUGAAGCUAUGAUGUUUGUACUGCAUAUUCCUAUAGAAUAAAAUACAUUGACCAAGACAUUAUUGAUAUACUUUAAAAGUGAAGCUAUGAUGGAUGGAUAAUUUUUGAAGGUUAAAAUUGAAUUAUUUUACUUUGUCAAUUUUCAACCCCUUGUCUCCACUGCCUUUUGUAUAGUUACUAAAUGGGGUCAAUACUUAAAGUUGGAAUUUUAAAAAUUUUGUGGCUAAUGAAUUCUUUUGGUUUUAGAUUGCUUCUAUGCCUAAAAUUUUCAUGAAUCAUGCUUUAAACACUCAUUAAAAUAGGUACAUGCUUAUCAUUAAGACAAACACACAUGCAAUUGAAUUGAUAUAUGUCGUACCAUAUCUUUUUUAUCAUCAUAUAUGUUAUUUAUUUUCCUUUUUUCUUCUUCAUUGUAUUUCAAUACUCCAUAGAAGCUAAUUUUUUUAGUUUGCUUAUGCUUGUUUAACAAUAUUUUCAUGCAAUAUUGAGAACUUGUGGGUAACACUAAUGAAGGUUUUUGGAAAGCAUUUAUAGAUGGAGCUUCAACAGUAGCUAGAUCUAGAGGGAAAUUAUGAGCAUUGCGUUCAUGCAUAACUUCCAUACCAAGGUUAGCACGGUUGAUAAUAUCAACCCAAGUAUUAAUUACACGACUUUGGCUAUCAACUACAGAUUGGUUGAAAUUGAAACCAUUUAGGUUGAAAGCCAUAGUGCUGAUACCUAAAGCAGUGAACCAGAUACCUACUAUAGGCCAAGCAGUUAGGAAGAAAUGUAAAGAACGAGAAUGAUUGAAACUAGCAUAUUGGAAGGAGUAUCGUAAGUGUUUCCCGAUAGGAACAUCCAAGAAUUUGAUCAAGUACUCUUCGCGCUUUGUGAGCAGACAUAGAGAUAGAUUGACUUAAAGCGUAUACUUCUGUUUUUAAUUUUAUAUCUUCUUUUUCUCUUGUAAAUAUAAAUGGGUCUUUAUUUAUGUUCCUUAACAUAUUUUUCAUAAGGUUCACCUCCCACUAAUGAAUAAUGAAGGAUAAGUAUCGUUAUUUUAAUGAUGAGAUCUAUUAUAAUUUUUUGCGUUACUUAUGUCCAGUAUCUAGUCAAAUUGGAUUCUAUUAUUCUAAUAGAAAACUAUUAAUGCAUUCUAUGACAUUGACAUUUAAAUCUGGCAAUAGUGACACAGUCACACCACUCCAAUUUAGAUUGAAAAAAACAAAGAAGAGAAGGGGUAAAGUCAAAUAAUCUUCUUCACAAUAUACAUACUAUGUAUAGAAAUACGGUACAAUUAUUGCAACAAAAGAUUCCCUUUUUAUGUGGAAAAGGCCCAUAUCAAUAAUUCUGAUUUUAUGUAUGGACAAUUCCUCAAUAUUUUGUUCAUUCGCAAGAAAAUAUUUUCUUUGUGCGGCAGUAAAAAAAAACAUGCUUUUUUGGGGAGAGAUACUAUUUCACCAAUCGAGUCACAAGCAUCUAACAUAUUCAUACCUAACAAUUUUCCACAAAGUGGUGACGAAACAUAUAACUUGUACAAAUCUUUCCAUUUUCCAAUUCGAUCCAAUCCAUUCGUUCGUAGAGCUAUUGACUCGAUCGCAGACAUUUCUGGGUUCAAGUAUAUCUUGUCUUUACUAAGAAUUAUUUUCCUUGGUUAACACUAAUUGUAGUUUUGCUGAUAUCCGCAGGUUCCUUAAUUUUUUUUCUCCCUCAUAAAGGAAAUAAGGUAAUUAGAUGGUAUACUAUAUUUAUAUGUAUGUUAGAACUACUUCUAACAACCUAUGUAUUUUGUUAUCGUUUCCAAUUAGAUGAUCCAUUAAUCCAACUGGUGGAGGAUUAUAAAUGGAUAUUCUUAGUUUAUCCAUUUGCACUUGUAAUGCAUGAUUUAUAAUAUGGUUCAAGGUGAAGUUAUUGGUAGAAAAAUAAAGACUAAAGAGUUUUGAUGAUGGGCUUUUAGUAAGAAAGAAAGUAAGCCAUGAUAAUCGUGAAUUGUCAAAGUACGAGGCUAAAUUUGAGUAGCCUAAGAGGAGAGAGGGGUUGGAGAAAGUUGAAGGAUCAAGGUUCUAAGAGGAAAGUUUACAUAUUCUUAGAGAACCACGUGAUGGGCUCAAGAGCACUUUCAAAAUAGAAAAAGUCAGUCCCUUCAAAGCAAAGCCUUUGAGUUCUCUGUAUGAAGCUUAAAGGGAACAAGCCAUUUUUGAGACGAAAGUGCCAACUGAUAGGAGGCUUGUAAAGCCCAAGGCUUAGGAUUUCCUUGACUCAAGAUGCGGAAAUGAUGACAUGUGCCUUUUGGAUAUGCUUAAUCUCCCUCUUUCUCGAUCAAUUUGAAAUGAGUCCAAUAUAUGCUCUGUAUAUCUUGUCUAGACAUACUUCCAACACUAUUCAUCAAGCCAAAUCCUUGAAUAAAUCAUAAAUAUAUAUUGAUGGGAUGGAUACACUAAACACAUGUAGGAGUGAUGCAAUGCUAAAGUGAUAACCACAUUAUUGCCGAGUAGAAACUAAGUUGACCUAGCUAUUCAAUUAUAUUUAUAUGCAUGAUAAGUUCUGUUUUAUUUAAAGUAUCAGGAACUCAAUUUUGACCAAAUAUAAAGCAUCGAAUAUGUGGCCAAACAAAUCAUCUUGGUAAUGUACUACGUAUGCUCUCUUUAACAUUUUAUCUUCAAUUGAAGUUAAUGACUAUGUAGUCCACAGUAGUUGAUGGCUACUUUAUCCAAGGUUGAUGUUGAGCUAAAUUUAUUAAGGCUAUUUUGGACACACCAUGUAAUAUGUUUCUAUCAUGGAUUUGCUCAUUUUCUUACAGAAAACCCAUAUGAUGACAAAAUUUGUUUUUGAUAAUUAAUGUUUCUUUAUGAAAACAUUGGUGGCUUGCUCCAAUCACGAAUAGGUUAUGGCACAUUUGAUGUGGGCGUGAAUGCACUUGCAAGAAUGCAACUUGUCCAUAUGAGUUUUCUACAUAUAGAUAUGAUAAACAUACUGAAGUCUGUCUGCAUUAAUAGCUGCAUUCAAGACUCUAUGCUAUCCUAUUUUUUCCUUUUUCCAAUUUUAUGGCCAAAUGAUGUGGAAAGUAUGGUGGAGUAGUGGCUUCUGUUAGUGAUUCUUAUCAUUGUGAUGAAACAAAAGAACUAAAAUAGUCCUACAAGAGCCUUUAAUAUAUGGCAAAGGAAAUUCUUCAUGGAUAACUUACAUAUGAAAGUUUGAACAAAUUGAAAUGUUCUAAUAAACAAUCAAUGGCAAGACCUAAAUAUAUAGCAUCUUUUAUGUGAAAAUCUCAUCUUAGUCCCUAUGCUCUCUUGACCUUUUAUCUUUAGUCGAAGUCAAUUGAUUAUGUACUCCAUACUCAAAGGUUACUUUGAACCUUCAUCCAAGUUUUAUUUUGAACCAAGUUUCAUAAUAAAGGUCAUUUUAAACACAACACUUGAUAAGUUUCUAGCUACUGAUCUACUCCUUAACUUUAAGAACUUAAGUCUAGGACAUCUUGGGUUCCACUUUGAAGUAACGUGGCUGCUGUAUUUGCAUUGCAUCAUACUCUUAGAGUGGAAGAAUACAUUUUUAUGAAUUUGUAUCAAAUCCUCGUAAUAUUAUGAUAAAUCUUAAAUGUUAAAAGGUAGAAUCAUCCGGAAGUGAAUAGGCUAAUUCAGUAAUAUUCUACCUAUCUAUUUAAAGUGUUAGUAGUCACAAAGGAGUUGGUAUGUAAAAUCGAGUGGAAGAGACCCACCUCAUGUAGGAGAUAAUUUCUAUUCCUUAACAUAAUCGAGUGGGGGUUAAAUAAGAAUCACAUAAUUUUGUUUUAUGCUUAUUAACAUAUGUGCACAUUUAUAUUAUAGGAGUGGUGUGCCGCAUGUUGAAUGCAGAACAAACACGACCAUCGUGAGCACACUACUUUGACCCAUCAUUCUCAAUGAGGCCUGAAUUAGACUUCUUUAAUGCGUUUCUCAAUUAUUUUUAAUUGGACACUAUGUGGUGAGCCGUAAAAACACUUGUAUAGGUGGUGCUGGGCAGCCUUACAAACAAGGCUAAAAAACAUGAAAUAAGAGACAGAUGUCGGAUGUUUCUUGAUGCUGAAAUUGUGGGACACGAUUUCUCAACUUGUGAGUUGGUACUAAAAACUUGUUAAAAUGGAAUCAUAGCCAAUUAUCGUUUUUAUUUAUUAAAAAUAUGAUUUUUCCCUACUGACCUAUUAAUGGAAAUGUCCUCAAUCCUUAUGCGAUUUUUCUUUCCAGUGUGUGAUAGCAACCAUUGGCACAUCCACGUUAUAAAUAUUCCAGUAGCGCGAGUUGAAAUAUUAUUUUCUUUGCCUUUACGAAAGGGUAACAACAUAAGUGUCGUAAUGAGAAGAUUGUUUGAGGCAAUUGAUAAAGCCUUCCAUGCUCAUGGCAUGCAUAGGCAAUUGGAGGCGUUUAAAUUCGUGCAUGUGCAACCCCAGAUUGUGCGGCAAUGAAAUGGAUAGAUUACUUUCGUUGUGAUCAUUUUCGUAUAAUGAACUAUGUGAUAGUAAUGUAGUUGCAUUUUCCGCUUGUUGUAUGUAUAUGAUUGGUGAAAUGCAAUUGGUGGUGUAGAUAUGAUUGUGGGAUGUUCGCUAUCAAGUACAUGCAAUAUUGGUACGGGGCCACACUAGCACAUUCAAUUGCGGAGGUAAGCACAACCAAUACAUUAUUGUUUGGUUUUGCGGAAGUUAUUCCAUACCAGGCUAUGAUUUUUUUGUGCGUUGUAUAGGACAAGAUGCAUCUAUACAGAUUGAGGCUUGUCGUGAACUUGCUUACCAAUGAGGCAAACAAUGCUAGAGAGAAGGUCAUAUAGGCAUGUCCAAUGUGAGGUAUGAGGGUUUUGCCUUUUUUGUUAGUUUCAAUUUAUAAUAAACUCAAGCUUGCCUAUAGCAAACCAAAAUCUUCCUUUCCACAUCACCCAUGUGAUCAUACAUCCAUUUGAAAGUGAACCUGCAAAUAUGAAGGUUGCAUAAAGUUGCAAAAAGGUACUGCAUUUCUACCAAUCAAUAUUAAGCUUUUGGCAUAUGUUUCCAAUGAUUAGCACUUGUUGAAACAAAAAAAAAAAAUGAUAUUCCAUGCAUGAGAUGCUUAGAGAAAUUGUAAAUAUAUUGAGAUGUUGCCUUGAUAUUUUAGUUAAGAACUAAAUAAUUAAAAAGAUUUUUAUUUUUUUAUUUUAUUUUAUUUUAUUUUUUUACUUAAGUCCCUUGAUUCGUUUAUGUUAGAAUUUCCAACCGAGGUGAUUUGGGAAUUUCCAGCUCCCAUGACAGUGGGAUUUUUUGCUUAGGAAGCGGCUAAGGGUAAGAUUUUGACUAAGGACCAACUGAUGAAAAGAGGUGUCAUUUAGCAAAUUUUUGUUAUUUGUGUGAAAAAAAAGGAAGAGCCAGCCAAUUACAUUUUGAUCCACUGUAGCCUAGUCAUAAUCUCUAGCAUUUUGAGCUCUCUUAGUUUGGACUUUCUUGGAUUAUUCCUAGGUCAUCCAAAAAGGUCUUAUUAGGGUUGCAUGGUAGACUUGUUGGGAAAAAUCACAGAAAAGUUUCGACAGUAGCUCUCCUUUGCUUAUUUUCAACAACAUGAAAAGAAAAAUUAGGGGAUUUACAAAGUUUUGGAAUUGUCGGUUCAAACUUUAGAGGAGUUUUUAAUUCAUUCUUUCUUCUAGUGGUCUAAGUAUUUCGAUUUGCAUCUUUUGUUUUUGUUGAGUUUCAUAGAUGGUUUAAACCCUUACUAAGAUUCUAGUGCUAGCUUAUUGAGUCCUAAUGGGCAUUCAUUGUAUACCUCCUGUGUAUAUGGGUGGCACUCCAUUUCUUAGGUGUCUUUUAUAAUAAACUCUUUCUUAUUGAGGAAAACAAACAAACAAACAAAUUAAGAGCAAUUCUACUGAAGGAAUCCAAUAAAAAUAUGGCAAAGUAAUUUGUAAUAGAUUAGGAUAUUGGGACAGUGUCUAAAGAGGAAACUUGUUACCAAAUCAAUAAAGAGAAUGAAAAACAGUAGGAACUUUUAACACUUAACUCAUUAUCAAAGACUAAACGAUUAAUGUCAAUGUUUAACAAAUUAAGCAACUGUGCUAUAAAAGAAUAAGAUAGAAAAGAGGAAUGACCACCUAAAUAAUAUGGUGUCCUAAUGUGGGGUCCUGAUUGCACUGAGACCUUCUUAAAGAAGUUAAAUUUAAAGGUUCUAUUAUUUAACUCAGUCCCUUGUAUCUUAACUUCAUACAUAUAAAACUAGAAAAGUUUUUCUCUACUUAAGUGUGAGAAAUGACUAGUUUGAAGGGUUGAAAUGUUGAUAUUCAGAAUGUUGUCUUUUGUGGCUAGUACAGUUGAUUGUCAUAUCACAUGAAGGCCCUGAUGCAAGGGAGAAACAAGAAGAUCUUGGUAAAAUGGAUGAAGGGUAUUCCAUAGAUCAUGAAGUAGAAUCAUGGAAACUUGUCACUCUAUUUAGUGCUCUAGACUUUCUGCAGUCUCAAGUCACUUCUGUUAGCUUCUUUGUUCCAACAAUCACUCAUAUUUUGAAAUCAAUGGUUUCACAAUUUACAACAUUGAAUUUUUUCUUUAAUAGCUUCCACUUAAACACAUCUUGUAUAGAUUUUAUGUGUAAAGGUAGAAUGUAACAUCACAUGGCCUAAUACUCCUUAUGUGUCAACAUGGCCAUGUUUUACAUGUACAUAUCAUCAACAAGACAAGUAGUAUGCUUAAAACCUUAGGACAUAGUCAUGCUUAGAUAUCAUUUGAGAUUUCACAUGGAAAGUGAGAACUAUUGCUUCCAUUGCUCUAACUUAUGCUUAAGACAAUAAUUUUUUAGGAGAAGAUUAUAAUGUAAUUCUUGAAAGAAUGUGAGUUAUUGAAAUUAUAUAUACACACAUGGACGUAUAGAUAACAACUAUUUGAAUGCUAGUUUGAAUGACAUAGGACAUUGGAAAUAUGACGCAUAUAGAAGAUUAGGACCAUACCUUUUGACAUAAUUAGUUUGGACUUCUUGGAAAACUUCGAUCUAUAACCAUCCAAUCUUUUGAGCAUAUCAAAAUUUUCUUAUUGGAUUUUAUAUGGAGGCAUUGCAUUUCCCCUUAUAAAUGUUAUGCUUGAUUAACAACCUUCAGAAUCAAUAUAUCUUGAAUAAGUUCAGAAAAAGCCCAUCUUCUUCUUUAUCUCUUCUUAUUCUUCUUCUUCUUAACUUUCUUCCUAUGGUUAUCUUUUAGUUCAAGGCUGGUGGAACAAGUAGUAGAGUGUAAAUGGCAAUAGGCUUUAUCUAGUCUAAACUAUAUAAAAAACAAGGUUUUAUGACAUCCAUCUUGCAGAUUUUUUUAGUGUCAUCUUUCUUUCUAUGUAAACUAUUUGCAUGUUCCAUUUUCAUAAAAAUAAGUAAGAUAACGAACACUAAUUUUGAUCUAUUGGUAUAGCGCAAAAAAAUAUGGAUCAAUACCUCCAACCACACCCUUCCCACCAACAUGAAGCUCCUUCACCAACAUAUUUCAUCAUUUUUUAUUUAUGAAUUAUGAUUGUUUAUUUUUUUUUAAAUUAAAUAAAAAUAAAUAAAUAAAAUAAAGAAAGAAAAAGAAAAAUAAUUUGUUAGCAUUGGUUGCUCGAAAAAUUGUAAUCCAUCAUAAUUGUUGAUUUCUCUACCAUGUAGAGCUUAAGGGAAAGACUUAAUAAUAAAGGGGCAUACAUUGUUCUAGGGCCUCCUACUUUUGUUGAUCCAAUUUUCCACAGCUUCAAAGUUGUAACUCUAGGAGCCAAGUUAUGGAAUACGAAAUCCAUUUACUGUUGUUUCUCUUUUAACUAGUCUAAAUGAGAAAGAGAAAGGAAAAGAAAAUAGUAAUUUUGAAAAAUAAAAUAAAAAUAGACAUUUACGAAACUUUUCCUUUGUUUGUUUGGAAAAAUAAAAAGGUUCCUAGUUGUAACACAUCAAAAAUGUUAGACCCAUUUUUUUGCAACAGAUUGGAAAAAAUGAAGAUGGUCAAGCAAAUGAGAGGGAGAAACAUAGAAAAUUUGAAGUGUGUCGAAAGAGAGAACAGGAAAUAGAGAAGAGUGUUAAAUGACCUUGUUAUCGCAACUGAGCAUUAUCACUGCAGUGGCUGGAUCAUCGAGUCUACCAUGGACUUGGGUUAGGAUUCUGAUUGUAGAGGAGCUGAUUGAUGGUGUGUUUUGGUUGUUGCCUAUCUGGUACAAUGCUUUGUAUUUUUCUGUUAGUGUUGAAGAGUAUUUAUGUAAAGUAUGUAAAAGAAUAUAUUUAUUUAUUUAUUUAUGAUUGUUAUAGUUAUAUUUGUUUGAAAUUGUUUUGUAGUAACGAUCAAUUAAUCAUUAUCAAAGAGAAGGAUAAAGGAGUGAAGAUAAAUGAUGAUGUAAGAAGUAAUACUAUUGUGGCUAAUAUAAUUAAAUUUUAAAAUUUGAAUUUGAAGUAAGUGAAAAAUUAAUGCAGUUGAGGAAAAAAUUGAGCAAGAAGUGGAAUGCACUUUCAAAAGUAGAAAAAGAAGAUUUCAUGACAAAGUCAAAAGAAAGUUCAAAACAAUAUUUGCUUCAAAAGGGUGUGGGUCCAAAGGUAAAUUUUUUUGUAAUGAAUAAAAAAUUUGAUUACUUAUGUAUUUGUUGCAAGUUAUAUUAAUGCAAACAUGUUUGAUGUUUGUGUAUCUUUUCAGUUAUAUUUUCAGACUUGAUGCUCACCCGGGCGAGUGAUUAGAGUUAUUGAAGAAUUAGAACCAAAGCAAAAAGUAGCCAUAGAAGAAAGAAGAUUUGGUAACCUCUUACAACUUUGAUGUAGGAAAAUUGAUCAUGGGUUAUGUCUUUGGUUGAUAAAUAGUUUCAAUCAAAACAUUCAUAUGUUAGAGUUGUAUAAUACCUGUAUCAAAUUAUUUUCGAUUGAUGUUGAAUUUAUUAUGGGAUUGAGGACAAGAGGGUUGAAGAUUGACGUGAACAAAGAUGUUAGCAAUAAGAAUUAUUUAUGUAAAAAAUAUUGUGAUAAAAAGGGGCAAUUACCAUUAGUGGUGUUAGAAAAUCAAAUUAAGGAGGUAAAGAAGGUGGAAACGAUUUCAAAGUUUGUUUUGUAUUAUUUGUGUUGGGUGCAUUAUUGUACUUAAUAAUGAAGCAUUUUGUGAAACGUUCUUUCUUACAUCUUAUGGAAAACAUCGAUUCAAUAAAGAAAAUGAAUUGGGCUGAAUUUGUGUUUUCUUAUCUUAUGCAUGGGAUUGAAGAGUUUAAGAGGAAACAACAAAGUGGGGUUUCUGGUUACUUAUUCUUUGUUAUGGUAAUGUCCUUAUACAUAAUUUACAUCAUAGUGAAUUUUGAAUUUGUUAUAAUAAAUUUUGUGAACUAAAUACAUAUCUAUGUAAAAUAUAAUUGCAGUUAUUCUACCACGAGCAUAUAUCUUUCCAACAGAAAUUUCCACCGCUAUAUACUCGACCUUUUCCUCGGAUUAUUAUUCCUUGGGGAGAUGAUGAAGUACUGGAUAUGAAACAAAGAUUGAAAAAAAUCGGUGGAUAUGCAAAUGACAAUGUAAGUUAUAGUUUUGAAAGUCAUUUAAUAUUUGUUUUUGUUUUUUAGCGAUUUUAAAUAGGAUAUGUGUGAUAUAUUGAUGAAUAUAUUGUAGGUGAAAAUAUGAGUGAUACAAAAUGAGAUAAGGGAUUGGGUUGAUGAAAAUGAGAUGACAAUGGAGGGGGAGAAUGAGGAGGAUGAGAAAUUUGAAAUCCAUCCAAACAAAGAUGUUAUUAAACGAGUAAGUUUUACAAUAUUCAUCAUGAGUAUAAAUAUUAGUAGUGAACCCUUGUAUUAUGAUGUUAUUAAUCAAGUUCCUAUAUAUCACUAGGUUGAUGGUGGGAGCUUAAUGGAAAUGGAUAAAACAUUUCAACAAUUAAAGACAUGUAAUUUAUUUGUGUCAUGUUGCAAGUAGUAGUAGUUGUGAAAAAGUUUUUACUAAAUUUGAGGAGAAAUAUACAACAUUGAAAGGACUCUUCCUUGGGUCAAGAGAAAAACCUUUGAGAGAGCUCGAGGAGAGAACGAAGAGUGACAUUCUUUCAUCUGAGAGAAGUUUGGAAGAGAAGGAUGAUAAAAAAGGAAAUGAACAUUAUGUUGACACUUUGUCAAUUGACAAGUUACGCACUAAGGAUGUGAAUGGAAAGAAUGAAGAUGCAUGUGCUACAUCAAUUGAAGUGCAUAUCAUUCCCGAUGAAAAUGUAGAUAUUUUACCACUUUCAAUCAAAAGAACUAGAAAAGAUUAUGGAAAGGUAUAUAUAGUAUAAAAAAAAUUAUUUUCGUUACAAUUACUUAACCAUUACAUAGUAAAUAUAUGUAUAUUAAUGACAUUUUCCAUAUUAAGAACCAUUACGAGCACUAUGUGGUAUUCCCUGCCAACCCUUUGAGCUACGUUAUCAUUGAUUUCUUCAAAAAAAGGAAGAUUUUAGCCGGUGAAACCCAUAACUGAAGACCCUUAUUGAAUGUAGGGUUUCUUCUGAAAAGAGACGAAGUCGGUCAACAUAUCUGAAAAGUCUAAAUGGAGAGGACUUUGAGUUGAGUUGAUGGGGCAGCGGACCAAUUUAUUGGGACAUAUUUUCUUUCUAUCACGCUACCCUUUGAGCUGUCUCCACUUCUGAAAAGAGACAAGUCGGUCAACAUCUCUGAAAAGCCUGAAUGGAGAGGACUUUGAGUUGAGUUGAUGGGGGCAGCGGACCAGUUUAUUGGGAUUUUAACAUAUAUUUUCUCUCCAUCACGCUGCCUUUUGAGCUAUCUCUUGCAACUUUUCUUUUGUACUAGACUCUCGCAACAAAUAAAAUUAUAAAAUAAAAAUUUAAAUUUAUAAAAUCUAAUUAUUUAAAAUUAAUUAAUAUUUUACAUAUUUUUUUUUAUUAAAAUUACUAUUUUUACGGUUUAAAUAACGUCUUAACAAUAUAAAUACUAUUUUUUUACCUUUUUAAAUACUAUUUUUAAUUGAUAAGUACAUAAAAUUUAAAUUAAUUUGAAAGAAUUUUUAUUUUAUAAUUAUUUUUAUAUAAAUACAUCCAAACUCAUUUUUUUCUAACGAAUAUAAAUAUGUACGUAUAUAUAUUAUAACUGAUUCAUUAAAAUAUUUUAGACAUUUUUAAAAUUUUAUCCAAUUCCUUUUUAUAAAAUACCAUUUUUUAACGUUGAAGUCAUUUUCAAAACUACCCUCAAAUGUUUUUUCAUAUGUAAAACCAAUUCAAUCUUAUUUUAUGUAUUAAUUUUAUUUUAUGAGUUCAAAUAAUAAUAGCAUAAUAUAUAUUAAGCUACUAUACUAAAAUAUUUUAAUUAAUAUUAAUAUUUUAACAUUUUGGAUUGGAAAUACUCUGAUGAAAGAUAUUUUGCUGCCCAUGCAUUUAAUCUAAAUAUAUUAAUGUACCAUCACUUUAAUUAGGAUAUAAUUAAUCAAUUAAAAAAAUAGCAUUUAAUCAUAUAGAAAUAUAUGAUUUAUGUGAAAAACCACCAAUAAAGCAUACUAGUGACCUUACAUAUAUAAAAGUCAUAAGAUUCAUAGAUUGUCAAAUUAAAUCCACUAAAUAUGAAGAAUAAUUACAUAGAUUUAGCUAGUAAUUAUUACUCUCCCUCAAACUUAUAUUGUUAGUCACCAAUUCUCAAUUACAUAACAUAGUUACUUCCAUGUUGCUUAGUGGAUUGCUCAUGACCUUAAGGAAAUACUAUUGAAUGAUAACAUAAGGUGUGCAAUAAAAUGAGAUUGAGAAUCCUAUAAUUUGAGAGAAGGAUACUACAGUAAAAAAAAAUGGUACCCAAAUACUAUUGAAUGAUAACAUAGCUCUUGUUGCUCCUUUAUUUUUAUUUAUUUAUUUAUUUAUUUAUUUAUUUAUUAUUAUUAUUAUUAUUAUUAUUUUGUAAUUAUCUCUUUUGCUGUUUUGAUAUCAACAUUAGAAAUACAAAAGUCCAAAUUUUUUUUUAGUGCCUGCAUAUUGAAGGUUCAUGCUAUAAGAGUUGGAAAAACUUGAAUAGAAACUCCCUUGAAUGAUGUAUCAAAGCUCAAUGUAUCAAUGUUAACAUAAACAUUCGAGUAGAGUAGGAUAACAUUUCUAUGUCAUAUGAAGAAAUAUACUAAAAGGGAACCAUGAAUACGAUUGGAGAAAUAUAUAUUAUAAUUUAGAGGAUUAUUAUGGUCUAUUGAUCAUAUUCAAAUGGAAGUAAUAUGGUAAUCAAUAUUUCCAUGUCAUUUGAAAAAACAUAAUAAGAGGGAACUGUAGGGAAUCCCCCAGACGUCCACGUGGCACACCAGCCCUAUCCGGACAUCCACGUGGUGCACUAGCUCUAUCCGGGUUUCCCCCUUGUAGGGAACCCCCCAGACGUCCACAUGGCAACCCCAUGUGACACGUGGCGCGCCAGCUCUAUCCGAGUCCCCCAGGGGGGCACACGACACUCUCAAAUAUUCUACCCGAACGACGCUCUACUUUAUCCGGAUAUAUUGUCCGGAUCAUUAGCCGUAAAACGCAAGCCAUGCUGAGUCACCUCAGACAACCUGUCACAGCCCGCAUUCCGCUGCCUACAGAGCGAAAGGACAGGAGUGAUGGCAAGUCACCUCCCACGAUUUCUGACAGCCGCCUGCAGGGUGAUGAUGAUUCUGCCAUCACCUCAAGGACAUCAUGACAAGCCAAAAAGUCUUCCCACCAUUAAAGAGGGGAGCAGAACUUCUGACACUAUAAAAAAGGGCCUUCACGCAAAGAGGAAGGUAAGCUAUUUGACUCAGAAAAAGGGCAACAGAUUGAUCCUUUGGGCCAUGGCUAACAAAACCAUCGGAGGGUGUGUCCGGACACCCUGUCCGGACAACUUUUGCAGGAUUGACUGAGCCAGAAAUCAUCCUUGGUUGAAAGCGCGCGUCCCCUUGGCAUCUACGUGGAUCCCUGGGACACGAGGCAUCAGCAGGAACCAUGCAUGAAUAUGAUUUGAGAAAUAUAUAUUAUAAUUUAGAGGAUUACUACCUUAUAUUGGUUAUAUUCAAAUGAAAGUAAUAUGGUAAUAAUAUUUAAUCGAUAAGAAAAUAGGUUAUGAACAAGUCAUAUUAUAACUACCUCAAAAAUCAAUAAUACAAGGAUGAAAGAGGUAUAGUGAGGAAGGGUCACACCUAAAGGAUCACUUUAUUAGCACAAGUAGGAAAAUGUUAACAUAGGGUUAUGCAUUUAAGUGUAACAUGAUUGAAUUCUAUUACAAUGUCUAAAAUUUAAAUAAUUGCAUACCUCUUUUCUGAUUUUGCUCAUGCCAUUAAGAUUUUUUAUCCACAAGAAACAACCUAUAUUUAAAAAAAUGAAAAAAAAAAUCUUAUUUUAAAAUAGUAAGAAAUUUAUUGUUCUUAUAAAUAAAAAAGAAUAUAAUUGUUUAAUACUUAAAAAAAAAAUCCAAAGUUGAAAAUCUAAGAGCCUAUUUGGUCUCGUGUAAUUUAAAAAUAGUUUUAUGUUUUUAAAAAUAGAAAACUGUUUUUAAAAUUUUUUAACAUUGUUUGGUUGUCGUUCUCUAAAAACAAUUUUUAAAAAUAAACUGAAAUAGAGAAUAAUUUUUAGAGAACAAGUAUAAGUUGUUGUUACUAAUUUUUAUAAAUAAAAGAAAAAUAUGGAUCCGUUUGGCCAUGUUUAUUUAAACUUGUUUUUAAAAACUAUUUUUAUUCUUUAAUUUAAAAAUAUAUUUUUUUAAAAAAAUUAAGAAAAUAUGGCCAAACAAACCUUAAAUAUUUAUAGUAAUUUUCUAAUUUUUCAUCUCAUAAGUAGUCAAACUCUAAUAUCUCACUAUUAACAUAUUACAAAUGCAUUAUCAACUUUUUAAGUGACACAACAUUUUGCAUAUUAAAGGGAAUGUAGAAUUAUAAAAUUAUUAUUAUAGGACAAAUGCCUUUUUAAACAUAUGAACAACCUAAUUUUGAAAAAGAGAAAAAAAAAUUAUAAAGAGCACAAUUUUUAUUUUAUUUUUUUAUUUUUAUAGUGCUCAUAAAUAAGUUAAAACAACAAAUAAAAAAUAUUAAUUUACUAAAAAAUCUAAGUUUUUGAAACGUAGUAAAAAUCCACUAUGUAUGUCACACCCCAAGACCCACUCCAAGGGCAUCACAGUCAUUUCACACCUCAAACCUGAAGGCUUAAAGUAUAACUUGACUCAAACAAUCAUAUUAUAACUAGAAGUAACCAAUUACCAAAAACCUGUUCAGAGUAGCAGAACAAAUUCUAAAAUCUUCAAACUUAACUUUAAAACUAAGCAUCCAUCAACCAAAAUCCAUUAUCCAAAUAGAUUGCAAACUCAAAUAAAUCAAGUGCUAACCAAAUUUUCAUAAUCUCCAAAUCUCAACUUCAAACUUAUCAAAAAAAAUAUUUAAAAGUGCAAUAUCUAAAUAGCUUCCAAAAACCAUACAAUCCAAAUGAACAUAAACUUAUAAGCUAACAAUGUCCAAAUAAUAUCCUAAGCAAAAUCCUAAUAAUGACCAUUCCCCGACCUAGCCAUCACUCCUCGCCCGAACUAAGGGUGCCUGAAAGUAAUCAACAAAUAGGAAUGAGCUCCAAGCCCAAUAAGGAACAUUAAUGUAGUCCAUGGAUCAAAUAUUUCAAGUUCACUUGCAAAAUAUGAGAUAUUAUAACCAAUUAUUUUCAUAAACCUUUGAGUCAGUUUUGCCAAUACAUUCAAAACUUUUAAUUGUACACUUUCAUUUCUGAUUCAAGCAUUUUCAUAUCAAAUUCAAUCAAAACAUUCAAAUUAUUUAUUUACUUUGUUCAUCAAACAUCAAAUGGUGCCCAAUUAGGUGUGACUUUUCAAAUAGGUGGCUAGCCUCAAAUUGUUCCUUUAAGGUGGGUGGAACCAAACACUGCUAGUAUUAGUAACCUCUAACCAAACCCCUAGAGGUUGGGGUCCAAAUCAAUUACAUUUCCCACCAAGAAAUGUAAAUGUCAACUAUUAUAUCUCGUUGACAAGGGUCAAAUAAACCAGAGUCAAACACUUAUUUCAAUUAUUCAAAUUUGCAAAACAUAAUAUCUCCACAUUUCUCUAUUGUAAACAAAAUAUAAGGUUCUAACAUACUUUUCAUGCAAAAUAUAUUUGAUUUAUGCAUAAAACGAAUAAUAACUCAAAAUGUUUCCAAAUGAUGUAUAUAAAAAUGUGUUUCUAAAAAUAAUAAUAACUGCAUUAAUUUCCCUUACCUCAAAAGAAGUCCUUGAAAACUUGGAAGAAAAAUAAUCCUGAAAAUUUACUCUUUACCUAACAAAAUAUAAGAGAAAUAACAAUUACUAUUUAUCUAAAAUUAUAGGUUUGACAAUUCUAAAAUUUUAGGUAUUCAAAUUAAUGUUUUUAAUUAUGAAAGAUAAUUUAAUCUAUUCAUAUUUAAAAAAAAAUUAAUAAAUUUUUAAUUCAUAUAAAACUUAAUUUAUUUUUAAUUUAUUUCUUGGGACACAACUUAAUUUAAUUAAACUAUAAUUUAUUUCACUAAUUAAUUUCUAUGUUAUUUAUUAACUUACACUCGUUAUUAGUAUAAUUAUAAUACCAAAAACUUUACUUUCUUUUAUUUAUAAAUUAUAUUUUCUCACUUUCAAGUUUUUUUUUCACCAAACAUAGCUAUACACAACAACUCUCCAUCAUUGCUAUAUAUAUAUAUAUAUAUAUAUUAACCACCCCAAUACCAUCCGUACACAUAUUCUUUUAUUAAAUAAUACAGUACCCAUCAAAGUCUAAUAACACAAAGCCCUGCCAUUAUUAAAUAAUACAGUACUCAAUACUCAAGUACCCAUCAAAGUCUAAUAAUACGGAGUCCUGCUACUAUUAAAUAUUACAUACCCAAGUAUCCAUCAAAGUCUAAUAAUCAAUGUUUUAAAAAUCGGACCGGAUCGGCCGGUCCGACCAGUCCAACCGUCGACCAGUCACCAUUCCGGUCCGAUCCGGUCAUUUGGACCAGAUUGAGAUCGAAUCGGGGUUGAACCGCUUGAACCGGCAAUUCAACCGGUGAACCGAACGAACCAGUCGGUUCAAAUGAUUUUAAUUUUUUUUAAAAAAAAUUACAAAAUGAAAAUAUUAUCCUCUCAUUGAUGGAAGGAUUCCAUAAAAUUUAAAUGGUUUUUACUAAAGCACAUGUUGGGCCCGUCUUAUGACACAGCCCACAUACCCAUUCCACUUACUGUGGGCUGAGUUUUGAGCCCACAAGACCAUCUAAAGCCUUUGUUGAGGAUGGCUUUUAUAGAAGUCAUUUGACUCCUUGUUCCUCUCAAUUUUUGAUGUGGGAUUGCUAAAUAUCAAAGAAAAAAACAUAACAAAACUCCAGCAAGAAGUUUUGAACCUUGGACCAGCCCCUGUACUAUAUUCCACCUAGGACACCACUCGGCUACAUGUAUUUUAUUAUCUAAUAUGCCAAACAAAACAACACAUAUUAGAUUUUAAAUUUUUUUAUAAUAUUAAAUAAAAAUAAUAUAAUAUUUUUAAAAAUUAUGAAAUUAGUUUAAAUUUUCAUUUUUUUAUAUAUUCACAUUUAAAUAUUAUACAUAUUUCAUUUAAUAAAAUUUAAAAUAUUAAUAUGAUUUAAUUUGAUAAUAUCAAAUAUAUAAAAUAAUAUUAUUGAUGUUUAAUUUAUUCAUAUAUAUUUUAAAAUUUUUAUAAUUAUUUUUAAUUUUAAUAAUAUAUAAAUUAUAUAUUUAUGACGUCACCGGUUCGAUUCCGGUCCGACCAGUGAACCGUGAAUCGGUAACUUUUCCGAUUCAAUCACCGGUCCGGUUUUGAAAACAUUGCUAAUAAUAGAGUAUGUGAAAAUCCACCAACUAGAUUUCAACCAUGAAAUCCUUACAAAAAAGGUUGAUGCACAAUUCCUACACGCAUGCAACCAGUGCACACAUGUUUUUUUUCACCAACCUUCUAUUUUCCAAUGCACACGAGUUCUUUUUUUUUUUGUUAAAUCUAAUCUCUUAAGCCACAAUUAACAAUAUAUUUAUUUAUUAUUAUUUAAAAAAAUAAAUAAAUUAACCCUAGUCUAAAUCGAAAUCUUCCCAAGAAUUUUUUUUUUUCCCCAUCUAAAAAAACUUAAGAUCUCCCAAAUUCCAACAAUAAAUCAAAAUCUUAAAAUUUCACUAUUUUGAUAUUAAAACAAAUUAAAAAAAAAUAAUAAACUAACCCUAAUCUAGAUUUGGGUUUUCCAAAAAAAAUAUUUAAUGUGCUUAAAAUUAACUAAUGAAUCUAAAAUAUUAAUCUAGGGGUUAGAAUCUUACCUAUAGAGAUCUGUUCUUCAAACCCUGAAAUCUGACUCCAAUCUUACAUUCUCAGGAACUCUCUGCAAACAAGAACACGAUUCAGAAAAGAACAAGAAGAACAGAAUUCGAAUUUAUACAUAGGGUAUUUAUUCGUAAAAUUACCUUUUCACCCCUCUUCCAUUUUAUUAAAUUAAUUAAUUAAUUAAUUUAAUAUUGUUAUUAAUAAGAAUUUCCUAAAAAGAAACUUGGGCGUUACAGUGUAAGUUGAACAAUUAAACAAUAAUUCAAAAUUAUCCUGUUGUAUUUUAAACUGGAAGUAGCUAGACACUCAUGGGUUUAUCAAAAUCUUGUCUCUAUUCUCCACAGAUCAUAAAUAAGUUAAAGAAAAAAUAAAACCAAGAAGAAAAAUGUACUAUAAGGUAUAUUUAUUCCAAGCUCGUCGAAACAUUGAGAGCACCUAUUUACAAAAUUGUAUUGAAGUCAUGUAACAAUUGAAUCCAACUCAUGCGACUCAUUGUUUUUUUUUUUUUUUUUUUUCUCAAAAAUAGAUUUUUUAAUUGAAAAAGAAAAAAGACAAAUUGUUGAUGGUCUUGAAGUAAUUCAAAGGAUAACCCUCUAAGGUAGGCACCAAAAACCACAAUGUCAAAAGAUGGUAAAACUAAGAAUAUAUGAAGAGCCGAUACAUUAAGUAGGAUUUUUUUAUAAGAUUACGGUGGUUUUAAAAAUAAAUUCCCAAACUAUCGUAGUGGGAAAAAUAAUUCCCAAUCUAUCGUAAUUUUUGCUAGGUAGGAAAGAUGGAUUAUUUUUUUAAAUCGUCUCUUCAAAAGACAAUUUAUGACCUUUUUAAAAAAUUAUAAAAAAAAUAAAUCAUCUUUCUAAAAUAUGAGAAAUUGUCUCUUAAAGAUACGAUUUUGGCAAAAAAAAAAAAAAAAAAUCUUAAAAAAUCCAUUUUUACAUUCCCUACUAUACUUAUAUAAUAAUAUUAUUAUUAUAAAUAUAUGUUAAAAAAUAAUUUAAUUUUAUUUACUAAAUUUAAUAUAUAGUAUAAUAUACUAAAUUUAAUAUAAGAUAAAUAAUAUUUAUCUUUUUUUUUUCUUUCACUUUGAACUAUUAUCAAUUUUAUGUGAAAAUGAGUUUUAAAAAACAAAUUUGUUAUUAAUUUAUUAAGAAAAAAUAAGAAGUGAGAAAUCAUAUGACUAUUUUCACAAAAAAAUUAAAAAAAAUUCAUAAAAAAAAAGAAGAAAAAUUCAAAAAUCUAUUUUUCCAUUCCCUACUAUACUUCUACAAUAAUACAAUUAUUAUAAAUAUAUAUUAUAAAAAUAAUUAAUUUUAUUUAAUAAAUUUAAUAUUUUUCUAUUUUUUUUCUAAAAAACAAAUUUAUUAAAAAAAUCAAAAAUUGAGAAAUCGUCUCUUGAAGAGACGAUUUUCACAAAAAAGAAAAAAGAAAAAUUCAAGAAUCCAUUUUUCCAUUCUCUAUUAUACUUAUACAAUAUACAAUUAUUAUAAAUAUAUAUUAUAAAAUUAAUUAAUUUUAUUUACUAAAUUUAAUAUAAGAUAAAUAAUAUUUAUCUAUUAUUUUUUUUCUUUCACUUUGGAAAAAAAACUAUUAUCAAUUUAUGUGAAAAACGAGUUUAAAAAAAAUGAAAAAAAUAAGGCAUUUAAAGCUUCCAACUUUUGAAUAUCACUUUUUGCAUUCCAAAGGUUGUCUAAAAUGCAUUUUACUUCUAAUUACAUUUCUACGAGAUUUUUUUUACAUUUUCAUGAAUUUUGAUUAAUUUUAGGUCUAUCAAUUUUUUUUUUCAAAAUAUCUGUCUAUAUAUAUAUAUAUAUAUAUACAUAUAUGAUAUAUCUUAUAUAUCUGUAAAAUUGAAGUACCAAUAUAUUUGUAAUUAUCGAUAUUUUCAUCCUUGAUAUGAAUAAUGUUAUUGGCUUUUUAUAAUCAUGAUAGUAGGUGACUUUGAUUCUUUAAUAUUAAAAACAUUUGAUAAUUAAGGAAAACAAUGGUAUUUAUAUUUAUGAUAUAGUGUCUUUGAAUUUCAGGGCUUUUAUUUGGAUAUAUAGUUUUUGAAAAAUGAUUUCUUUUUUUUUUUUUUAUUGUUUUUUAUUUGAUUGAUUUUCUUCGAACCUAUGACAUUAAAAAUUGAAAAAAGAUAAAAAAAAUUUAUAUAAAAUUUUUUUUCUCAAAUUUUUCUUAAUAAAAAAUAGUUAAUCAUUUCUAAUUUUAAGUGUAUUAAAUUAAUUUUAAAGACAUAUUUUAUUAUUUUUUUCAAAUUACUUUAGUUGUUUAUCAUUUAUAAUUACUAAAUAAAAUAUCUUAAUACAAAACUUAUUACUAUUUCUUUUUAAAUUGAUUAAUACUCAAAAAAUUAUAUCUCUUAAUGUUCAAAUUUUUAUUGAAAUUUAAUUUAUUUUUUUAUAUUUUAUUCCUUUCACAGUGAAAUUUUAAAUUAAAGAUUAAUAUUUUUAAUUUUAAAAUUUAUAUGAUAAAAUUAAUUAAUUUUAAAAUUUAUACAAUAAUACAAUUAUUAUAAAUAUAUAUUUAUAAUAAUUGUAUUAUUGUAUAAGUAUAAUAGGGAAUGGAAAAAUGAAUUUUUUUUGUUUUGUUUUGUUUUUUUUUUGUAAAAAUCAUCUCUUAAAGACAUGACUUCUCACUUUUUGUUUUUUUAAAAAAAAAAAUAAAUUAAUAAUAAAUUUGUUUUUAAAAUAAUAGAUAAAUACUAUUUAUCUUAUAUUAAAUUUAAUAUAUUUAGUAAAUAAAAUUAAUUAAUUUUAUAAUAUAUAUUUAUAAUAAUUGUAUUAUUGUACAAGUCUAGUAGGGAAUGGAAAAAUGCAUUUUCUUUUAUUUUCUUGUGAAAGUCGUCUCUUGAAAAGACAAUUUCUCACUUUUUUUUUUGUUUUUUUAAUAAAUUAAUAACAAAUUUGUUUUUUUUUAACUCAUUUUUUCACAUAAAAUUGAUAACAAUUUUUAUUUUUUUAAAUUUAAAAAGUGAAAGAAAAAAAAUAAUAGAUAAAUAUUAUUUAUCUUAUAUUAAAUUUAGUAAAUAAAAUUAAUUAAUUUUAUAAUAUAUAUUUAUAAUAAUUGUAUUAUUAUAUAAGUAUAGUAGGAAAUGGAAGACUGGAUUUUUAAAGUUUUUUUUUUGUGAAAAUCAUCUCUUCAAGAGACGAUUUCUUACUUCUCUCUCUCUCUCUCUCUCUCUUGUUUUGCCAAAAUCUUGUCUUCAAGAAAUGAUUUCUCAUAUUUUAGAAAUUGUGUCUUGGUGUUAUAAAUUGUCUUUUUGAAGAGACAAUUUAAAAAUAAAAAAAAAAAAAUUCUCUCUUUCCUACCUAGCAAAAACUACGGUAGAAUUGGAAUUAUUUUUCCCACUAUGGUAGUUUAGGAAUCGUACUCUUAUAAAAAAUCCCAUUAAGUUAUGUUGGUUUGAGUUAAUAAUUUUGUUCUAUUAUUUUGACAUAUGAUUUUUUUUAAAAUUGUAUGUCUUACUUUCUAUUGAAGGUUUAAGGUUGUUUCAUGAUUAACCGAAAUGACACAAGUAAAUAAAGGUCAGAAAAACACUAAUAGGAUCUAUAUAAUACUUGUAGUGGACAGAAGAUUUUUUUAAGAUUGACCAAAAAUGUUAUUAAAAAAAAAUUAAGGACACUCGAGUCCUAAUGGAAAAAUUCCAAUUUUGUGUAAUUCAAUUAAUUUUAUAGUUAUAAUUAGAUUAAUUAUAUAAUUGUAGUUAUAUUUAUUUUACAAUUAUAUUUAAAUUUAUUUGAAAAUCUUAAUUUGAGUUUACUAGAUAUUUGUAUUAUAUAAAUAUCUUGUCUAAUUAGGUUUUUUGUCUUAUACAAAUAAAAAAAAAAAAACCUUAUUAGCUUUCUUAUUCCUAAAACUCUCAAAGGAAUUCAAUUUACUCCUACCAAGUUGUAAAGACAUUUGCAUCCCCUCAGGUGUUGAGGUGAGAUUCAUUGGAAGGACACAACAUGUUACAUCGUGGAUGUAGAAUGCAAUGUAAGCAAGCAUUGGAGAGUAAGUCUUAGGGUAAUGUUUUUCAAGUAAAUCUACGUAUUAUAUUCGCAUAUAACGGAAUAUAGAUUUAAAGUCUCUAACCUAACUCAUUGGUUUUUUUUUUUUUUUUUUUAUCUCUGCACAUUGUGAGAAGGUUUUCUUCAUAAAAAACUCUUUUUCAAUAUUAUGUUUGAUUGUUUUUUAGGCUUCUCUAAUUUAGAAUUGAGAUAGUUUAAUAAUUAAAUAUAUUUAAUUUAAGGCUUAAAAGGGUUAAACACCUAUUCACCCCUAGGUGUCAUACUAUAUCAAAUAACUUUCAAUGUUGGUGAAAGUUUCUUCUUCAAAAGAGCUUUAACACGUGAUUGUUCUUCAAGGGAGCUUCCAAAGAGCUCAAGGGGCCUUUUUCUUAUCCAAUGUUUUAAUCUCACUCUCAACCAAUGGUAAAAGAAUAAACUUAAUCAUUAAAGAUUAAAUCUAACCAUGAAAGUAUCCAACUCACCUCAACAUAUGUUUUGGAUUUUUUUCAAGAAAGAAUGCAAGAGAGAUGAUUGAGAUGCUUCUGAGAGGAGAGAGUGAGGACAUAUAAAGGACGUUUUGUGCAAGUAAAGAAUCAUUUAUUUUCCAAGGAGAUAUACUUGCUUCUUCACUAAACUGGGAAUGGAUUUAAAUAGCUCCAUUAGGAGUGUAAAUGAAUAAAUAAAAGAAAAGAAAAAUGUGUCCAACAAUUUAUUGAAACCGUAAAGUGAAAGUAAUACAAGACCAUAAUGGGAAAUCCCACAUAUUUAGUAGUAUUUGGGCUUUGUUGUAUUGAAACUUUGGUGUAAGAAAUUUGAAAAUACUUCUAUAUAAUUAUUAAAAAAAAAAAUAGUAGAAUAAGAUAGUCCUUUCGACAUAAUUGAGGCAUUAAAUUUAAGCACUCUAAAGUUAUCAUCUUUACAAAUAAUAAAGAAGUUUUUGCAUCGAGACCAAUUGAAUAUGAUUUGUAUAUUCUUAAUUUUCAUUUUCUUAUCUUUUGUCUUCCUAUACCUACAAGCCUAUUUAGAGAAAGACCUUUUAUCGAAAAAUGAGAGUUCAGAGUUAUUUUCCUUUGAAAAGAGAGUGGAUCGGAAGAUCUUUAUUGAAUAUAGGGUUUCUUCUAAAACAAGAUGAAGUAAAUUAGCAACUCUGAACAAUCUGAAGGAAAAGGAAUUUGAGUUAAGUUGACGGGGUGUGCGACACUUUAUUGGGACUUUAAGAGAUAUUUUCUCUUUCACGCUAUCCUUUGAAAUUGAGUUGUGUUCGCUUUCAACUUAAUUUUUUCUCUCUGUUUUUCUAAUGAAAAUAUAUCUUUUGUUGGGGGAAAAUAUUUUUUUGAAUGUAUAUAUUCAAAUGGAAGGUAAGCGAAAAAAAAAAUGAUAAAAAAUGGGUGUGAUGAAAUUUCAAAUUAUUGAUCAUCAUAUGUAUUUAACCUAAAUCUUAAAAAAUUAAAUGCAAUUAACUCAUUAAAUUUGUUCAAUAAGACUUUUUAUAAAUAAUUUUUGAAUCAUGUAGCAUCCAAAACAAAAAACUUUGUAAAAGAUAUAAUUAACGAUAACAUAAAAUUAUUAAAAUAUUUAAAAUUAAAUAAUAUAAAGAAACAAUAAAAUGGUUCAUUUAUGUUGUUAGAACCAUUGUUUUAAAAAUUGGUCGCUCCGAUCGAUCGGAUGGUCCAUCAAUGCCCUUUCCAGUCCGAUCUAGGGAAAUGGACAGAGACAACCGACGAUCAGACCAUCGACCAUUCUUCAUGGACCGGUCAAGGUCAAAACCUAAAUGGGCUUAAUCCAUUCAUUCCUAACCCGUUUGCAAGUAUAAAUACCUAUCUAUUGGCCCAAAUUCAUUCAUUCCAAGCCCAUUUGCUUGUUCUCAAGAUCUACAUGAAUAAAUACCCUAUAAGUGGUUUAUAGAUUUCCGAUGUGGGAUGGGUUUUGAUAAUAAUGAAAGGAGCUUUGCAUGGUGGGGAAUUGAACCUAGGACUUAUUUUUAACAAAAUGAUAGCACACCACUAUGCUACAAAGCUAUUUGAUAAAUAUCUAUAUAUCUGUUUUUUUAAUUUCUAUCAUAUAAAACAUUUAAACAAAUAUAAAUAUUUAUAUCUACUAUUAUUUUUAUAAUAAUUAUUAAUUAUAAACAUGAAAAUAAUAUAAAUUAAUCAAUAUAAUAAUUUUUAAAAUAACAAAAUACAUAGAUAUAUAAUUAAAUUAAAUAUUAUAAUUUUCUUUUCAUAUUUAAAUAUUAUACAUAUUCUAUUUAAUAAAAUUUAAUAUAUUAAUACAUUUAUAUUUGUAUUUAUCAUUUAAUUUGACAUAUUGAACAUAAAAAAUAAAAUAUUAUUAAAAAUUUUAAUAAAAUAUAUUUUAAUUUAUUAUAAUUUUAUUAAAAUAUAAAUUAUAUAUUUAUAAUGUCAUUGAUUCGAUCGCGGUUUGACUACUGGUUCAACUAGUGAAUCGUGAACUGAUAACUUUUUCGGUUCAAUAUUCGGUCCGAUUUCGAAAACAUUAGUUAAAACUUUUUUAUUUAUAGAAAAUGCUAAUUAUGCUUUAAAGUUGUAGGAUGUUAAAAGCCCAAAUACAUACCUACAUAUUUUCUUAUUUAUCUCCUAGUAUCUUUACCAAGUGAUAGAUAUAUUGGUGGCCAAGCAUUAUCAUCAUCAUUAUUUAUCUCCUAACAUCUUUAUGAAGUGAUAGGUGUAGGAAGAGUGUAAAUAAUUUUUAUUUUAUUUUAUUCUAUUAGUUUUAUAUUUUUUGGGAAGAUUCCUAUUGAGAAUUAUUUUUAUUUUAUUUUAUUCUAUUAGUCUUAUAUUUUUGGGAAGAGUCUUAUUGGGAUUGUGCUAGUGGAGUCCCAUUCCUUUUAUAAGUAGAAUCCCCUUCCACUUUGAGUCAUGUUUUAAUUACAAGUAGAUUCACAUUAGGACUGUGUUAGUGCCUAUAAAAGCAAGUCACCUUUCACUCUCUAUAUACCAAUACCAAUUUUUCAAAGAAUUUUUCAGAGAGUUUUUCAAAGAGUCUUUUCAUACAUCUAUCUGGAUGAUUUUUUUCAAAAACCUAAGCUGUAUAUAUCUCGCUUAUAGAGUACACCCAAGGCGAGAUUUGGGUGUUGAAUCUCGGAGAUAGACCAUUGGUACCCUAGUGUACCAAAUUUGUCUUCGAGGAUGGUGGAUCUAUUUCAAGGACAGUGUUUGUCAUGCCUUAGUCAAUAAGUUUUUCUUCUUAUUAAUCAUGUUCUUUGUUUGUGUCUUUUGGGCUAGUAAUUUGUUUCCAUAUCCUUAAUCCAACAAUCUUGAAAUAUAUCCAAAUGUAAGCUUCUCUAGUUCACACCAGUCUUGAGACCUCUAAAAUUGAUCCCUUCAAUGGGACAUUCUUUAAGAAAUGGCAGGAAAAGGUUUUCUCUACAAUUGAUAUAAUGAAUUUGGGACACAUUUUGACUGACCCAAUACCAGAAGAUGGUUCUCAUUUGUUACCAACCUGGGAAACUGGAAAUAAACAAGUUAGGCAUGCUAUUCUAAGUACCCUUUCUAAUGAAAUUUUUUAUAUUUAUUGUCAAUUUAAAGUUGCAAACGAAACUUGGGAUGCAAUGAAUAAAAAAUAUAGUUUGGAAAAUGCAAGAACUCAGAAAUAUGCCAUAGGGAAUUUUAAAAUUUUCCAAAUGACUGAGGAUAGAGAUGUAUCAUCUCAAAUCCAUGACUACCACUUGUUAAUUAAUGACUUAGCUAUUGAAGACAUUAAAUUACUCGAACAUUUUGUAGCUGGUUAUUUAGUAGAGACUUUUCUAGAGUCUUGGAAAGACUAUAAAAAUAACAUGAAACAUAAAAGAAAACAAAUGUCCCUAGAGGAUGUCAUAAUCCAUAUUAGGAUUGAGGAACAAAACUGAAAUAGGGACAAUGCUGAGAAAGUUAAGGAAUUGUCUUCUAAGACUAAUGUAGUAGAAGAAAAACCUAAACCCCAAAAUAAUAGGUCCAAGAAACAAACUCUAGGAACAAGCCCAAUGCAUCAAACAAGAUCCAAAACCCAACUAUUAAAAAAAAAAAAGAGUAAGGAUCUUGUUUGACUCUGAUAAAAUAGUUUUAACCAAGAAUGAUGCAUUUGUGGGGAAGAGCUAUUGUAAUAAGGGUUUAUUUAUGUUGAAUGUUUAUGAUAUUAUCAAUAAUAAUGCAUCUUUUUUUUUUUUUGCUUACAUAGUUGAUUCUUGUGAUAUUUGGCAUGGUAGACUAGGACAUGUGAACUUUUCAUAUAUGAAGAAAAUGGUUAAAUUGAGUUUAAUCCCUAAAUUGUCCUUAGAAAACCAUGGAAAAUGUGAAUCUUGUGUAGAAUCUAAAACCAUAAAGAAAUCUUGCAAAUCAGUUGAAAGAGAAUCAAAUCUACUAAGUUUAAUACACAGUGACUUAGGAGACCUAAAAAAUACAAUGACUAGAGGUAAACGAUUCUACAUAACUUUCAUAUAUGACUACUUAAGGUAUACAAGGGUAUAUCUUAUGCUUUCAUCAAGUACAAAAAUGAAGUGGAAAAUCAACGAAGUAAGAAAAUUUAAAAACUUAGAACUGAUAGGGGAAGAGAGUAUGUGUCCAACCCCUUUAAUUCUUUUUGUGAAGAUCAUGAGAUCAUUCACAAAACCACUCCUCCUUAUUCCCUGAAGUCUAAUGGAGUAGUAGAAAGGAAAAAUAAGACCUUAAAAGAAAUGAUGAAUGCAAUGUUGGUAAGUUCAGGAGCACCCUUGAACUUGGGAGAGGAAGCUAUCCUAUCUGCAUGUCAUAUUCAAAAUAGAAUACCUUAUAAGAAAACUGGAAAAACUCUUAUGAGUUGUGGAAGGGUUAUGCACCUAAUAUAGCAUACCUGAAAGUGUGGGGGUGUUUAGCUAAAGUUCUCUUCCUUGAACCUAAAAAAUGAAAACUAGGUCCUAAAACCUUUAAUGCAAUGUUACUAAGUCAGAAAACAGUCUUGUAGAUGUUAAUAUUAUAAUGGAAACAAAGAAUGCAGAUUUCUUUGAAAACAUAUUUCCUAUGAAACUAAAUGGUGAACAACAAGUUUAAAAAACAAGUAGAGACAAGUCUAUUGAACCUUUUGAAUUUGAACCUAGAAGGAGUAAAAGUGAUAGGAAAGAAACAAACCUUGGAGAUGGUUUCUACACCUUCCUAAUAGAUGAGGACCCUGAUCCUACAAAGAAGCUAUAACUUUUCCUGAUGCACCAUUCUAGAAGGAUGCCAUUAAUAGUGAAAUCGAAUCAAUCAUGUAUAACCAUACAUUGGAGUUAGUAGAUUUACCUCCUGGUGCAAAGACUAUUGGCUGUAAGUGGAUCUUUAAAAGAAAGUUAAAACAAGAUGGGUCCAUAGAGAAGUAUAAAACUCAUUUAGUUGCCAAAGGCUUUAAACAAAGGAAUGAUGUAGAUUACUUUGACAACUUUGCCCCUAUGACUAGAAUAACAUCAAGUAGAGUAUUGAUCGCUCUAGCUUCCAUUCAUAAUUUGGUUAUACACCAAAUGGAUGUCAAGACUGCAUUCUUGAAUGGGGAUUUGGAAGAGAAAAUUUAUAUGGAACAACCUGAGGGUUGUGUAGUUCCAAGGAAGGAGAAAAAGGUGUGUAAGUUGGUUAAAUCACUAUAUGGGUUAAAAAAAAGCUCCCAGACAGUGGCACAACAAGUUUGAUCAUGUGUUAGUAACUAAUGGAUAUUCCAUUAAUGAUGCUGAUAAGUGUAUCUAUAAUAAGUAUGAGGAUAACACAUGUGUAGUCAUUUGCCUUUAUGUUUAUGACAUGCUGAUCUUUGGAACUAGCCUAGAGAUUGUGUGUGAGACCAAGAAAUACCUAGGUCCUAAGUUUGAUAUGAAAGAGCUAGGAGAGGCAGAGGUGAUUCUAGGAAUUAAAAUAACUAGAACACCUAAUGAGCUUAAAAUUUCUCAAGAGCACUAUGUUGAAAAGAUCCUAAGGAAGUUUGAACACUUUGAUUGUAAACUAGUGUCAACUUCUUAUGAUCCUAGCUCACUGCUGAAGAAAAAUAGAGAACAUAGUGUUGCCCAAAUAGAGCAUGCUCAUAUCAUAAGGAGCCUAAUGUACUUGAUGAACUGUACCAGACCUGACAUUGCUUAUGCAGUAGGUAGAUUGAGUCGAUACACCCAAAGUCCUAAUUAGGACCAUUGGACUAUUGUUCCUAGAGUCCUUAAGUAUUUGAGAGGCACCAUUAACUAUGGUUUGUGCUUUAGUGGAUUUCCAAGUGUCCUUGAAGAAUUUAGUGAUGCAAAUUGGAUCUCGGAUUCAGAUGUGAUGAAAUCCACUAGUGGAUAUGUUUUCAUCUUUGGUGGAAGUAUAGUUUCUUGGAAGUCUACCAAGCAAACUUGUAUUACUUGGUGUACUAUGGAGGCUAAGUUUAUUACCUUAGAAAAAACAAGUUUUGAGGUUGAGGGGCUUAGAAACCUCUUAGCAGAUAUCCCUUUAUGGAAGAGACCAACCCCGUCUAUGUCUAUGCGUUGUGAUAGCCAAGCUACAAUUGCUAAGGCUAAGAGUAAAAUAUUUAAAGGGAAGAAUAGGCAUGUACGGCUAAGGCACAAUAUUGUGUUGUAGCUUCUUGAAACAGAGGUUAUAUCCUUAGAAUUUGUGAGGUCAAAGUUGAAUUUGGCCGAUCCUUUGACCAAACCACUAAAUAAGAAACUAGUGGAAGAAACAUUGAGGGGGAUGGGGCUUAUGCCUAUUACAGAAGUCAAGAGGGGGGGGGGGGGGGGGGGGGGGGAACCCCCCCCUUUAAAAAGGAAAUUCCCUGAAGAGGGUUCUAUGGGGAAAAAAAAAACCCUUUUUGACUUGGGGCCCCUAUCAACCCUAAUUUUUGAAAAUCUUUCCCUUUUGGGGGAAAAAAAGCGGAUUUCCCCUUUUUUAAGGGUGAAAGUUUUCCCCUUAAAAAAAACCCAAUUCCCUUGGGGGAAAAUGUUUAAAAGGCAAAAAAACUUGGGGGGUCCCCCCAUAUGAAAAGGGGGGGGGGGCCCCCUCCCUUGAAAAAUUAGGGAGUUUCUCUAAAAAUUUCCUGAAAAUCCCAAAAAAAGCCAUGACCCAUUUUUGCCCACCCCUUUUNNNNNNNNNNNNNNNNNNNNNNNNNNNNNNNNNNNNNNNNNNNNNNNNNNNNNNNNNNNNNNNNNNNNNNNNNNNNNNNNNNNNNNNNNNNNNNNNNNNNGGGGGGGGGGGGGGGGGGGGGGGGGUAACCCACCCUAUUAGAAUGGAAAUUCCAUGAAGUAGGUUCAUAUGGGUAAUAACAAAUCACUUGUUGACUUGAGGUCCUAUAUCAACUCUAAUUGUAUGAGAGUCUAUCCUUAUGGUGUAGAUAGAGCGUAUUCUGCAUUGAUUAAGGUUGAAUGUUUACUCUUAAUGAAUACCAUAUUCCUUAUGGAUGAUAUGUUUAAAUGCAUAAUAUACUUGAUGGAUUCACCUAUAUGAGAGUGGAGGUGGGGCCGCUUCCUAUGAGAACUUAGGUAGUUUCUCUAGAAUUCUCAUGAAUAUCCAAGUAGAGCGCAUGACCUAUUUGUGCCAACCCGUUUUGUACAACUCGUAGUGUAGUUGAGAAAACCAAUGUGGAUAAAAUUCCAUUGAGUUACAUUAAGAAACACUGGUUCAUAGAAAUUUAUUUUCACCCUGUUUUGUAAUUCAAUACUUAUUUGUCCUAAGACUAGUUCAUAGCCUUUGGGCACCAAUACUGAUGCAUUGGAUUCUUUUUUCCUAAAAAUAAAAAUAAAAAUAAAUAAAUAAUCAUGUUUACACUUUGUGGGAGAUUGUAGGAAAAGUAUAAAUAAUUUUUAUUUUUAUUUUAUUUUAUUCUAUUAGUCUUAUAUUUUUGGGAAGAGUCCUAUUGGGAUUGUACUAGUGGAGUCCCAUUUCUUUUAUAAGUAGAAUCCCUUUCCACUCUGAGUCAUGUUCUGAUUACAAGUAGAUUCCCAUUGGGACUGUGUUAGUGGCUUAUAAAAGCAGGUCACCCCUCACUCUCUAUAUACUAAUACCAAAUUUUCAGAGAAUUGUUUAGAGAGUAUUUCAAAUAUUCUUUUCAUACAUCUAUCUGGAGAAAUUUUUUCAAAAACCCGAGCUGUACACAUCUCGCUUACAGAGUGUACCCAAGACAAGAUCUGGGUGUUGAAUCCUGGAGGUAGACCACUAGUACCCUAGUGCAUCGAAUUCGUCUUCGAGGAAGGUGGAUCUAUUUUAAGGACAGUGUUUGUCACAUCUCAGCCAAUAAGUUUUUCUUCUUAUUAAUUCUAUUCUUUGUUUGUGUCUUUGGGGCUAGUCAUUUGUUUCCUUACCCUUAAUCUAACAAUAGGUAUAUGGGUGGCCCAAUCAUCAUCAUCAUUAUCAUCAUCUUUAAGAAGUGUAAAAUAAAUUUCCAUAAUAUUAUAACUAUUCAAGUUAUACACUACAAUCAAACAUAUUACAUUAAAAAAAAAAAAUCAUAAGUAGCUAGAUUCAAGAGGUACUGUAAAACAUACCAUGUUUUGACCAAGUGUAGCUUCCAAUUCUUAUGUAAAAGUCUAUUUAUUACAAGAAAUUAAAAAAGGAAAAGGAUUAAAAUCUUAAAAACAUGGCAAUAAUAAAACCCUUAGCAAAUAUCUAUUUGAAACUGUGUCAAAAUUUGCCUCAAAUUAACUUUUGAAUUAACUUUACUAUUAUUAUUGUUGGUGCAUAACCUUUUUGGAUGUGAUGAUCCAGUGACUAUCCAAGUCGCUAGCCAAUCUUCUAAUGUCACCUCCUCUAUUGGUGGGUGAUUUGGCUCUCUAGGAAAAUGAUCCCAUUUUUUCCAUGUUCUUUUUCCUCCUUUAUAGGCUUGAGUUAGAUGUUGGAGGUUGCGUGACAUACACGAUUAGCUUAGUAGGUUUGUGUUAGGCGGCGUGUGGCUGACUAGCCCUGAUGCUUCCUAUUGAUGUGAUAAAAUGAGGUUUUCCUUUGAGAUUUGUUCCUCAUACACAUCUUGUUGUUGCCUUCAGUAUAUGUGCUACAUGAUCCAUUUUGGUGGCUGAACAACUUCUUCCUAGUGACCAAUUUUUUAUUUUUUUAAAGAUCGAUUGGGGUAGGCUCUCAGAUCUCUCAGAUCAUUGUAGGUUUAAAUGGAGUCAAGAUGACCUCUCGACCUGGAGACAAUAUUCAACUGAUAUAACAUCUGGGUAUCCCUUCUCGCAAAAAUUCGGUACCCUCAAAAGACAGCUUUUGUAGCAAUAUUCGUCAUCCCCAACCUAAACAAGUACGUAGACCCACAUGUUGGUUGACUUCUAUAGUUGGUACCUUCAUUGCCCCAUUUCUUCAUGACCAAGUAGGUUUGGGACGACGUGCGUCAGGAGCUACUUGGGCUUGAAACCUUCGUGUUGCAAUCCUAGGAAGACGGUAGGUCAUACAUGCAUCACCUUGAGGAGUGGCAACAUUAGGGGAUUUUCACAAGGCGACACAAUGUGCACAACCGUUUUUUUAUUUUUAUUUGGGAAUUUUGCUUUGUUUAGGAACUUUGCUAAAAUGGGCACUUGACCUUGAUGAACAUUUUUCCUAGAUGGACACUCGACCUUGGUGGGCAUUUCACCUAGAUGGGCGCUUGGCCUUGAUGGGCAUUUCGCCUAGAUGGGCACUUGGCCUUGAUGGACAUUUUGUCUGGAUAGGCACUUGGCCUUGAUAAGUAUUUGCUUAGAUGAGCAUGUCACCUUGUUAAGCACUUGGCCUUGAUAGACAUCAUCUAGAUGGGCGUUUUGCCUUGAUGUGCACUUGGCUUUGAUGAACAUUUUGCCUAGAUGGGUAUUUUGCCUUCUUUGAUCUUUCGUAGGUUGGAACUCUAUAGGUGGUGGGGUUGUGUUUUGGGUUGUAUUUUCCAGGCGCACAGGUGUAGGGGUAAGGAAAUGCUACCUUUCCUCCUGGUUUUAGCUCCAAAUGUGCUUAUUGCCAUGCCACAGUUUUCUUCUCGAGACUUGAGUAUGCUUGUAAGUAUUGUUCUGCUUCUUCUUGUUGUGUUUAAGGGUAAGUUGAGUUUUUUUUUGUACUCUUACAUUUUCUCUCCAUCUUUCUUUAUCUUUAUUCUGUUGUACAGAUGAAGUGUGGCAUCAAGGAUUUUAGUAGGCGAAAGGGUGAGUUUCACUACCAUAUUGCUGAAACUGACCAACUGAGGCAAGUCGAGUACUUCUUUUGCACCUAAGGCUUUUGGUCGGGUGCUUUCUUGGCACCUGACGAUUUGGCUGAGUGUUUCUUGGAACCUAAGGCUAUGGUUGGGUGAUGUUUGGCACCUAAGGCUUUUUGGUUGAGUGCUUCAUUGACACUUAAGACUUUGUUGGGCGCUAUGCUUAGUUGGGUACUACUUGGACACCCUAGGCUUUGUUGGGCACUAGGCUCAUCUGGAUGCCACUUGGGCACCUUAGGCUUUAUUAGGCUCUAAGCCUGGUUGGGUGCUACUUGGGCACCUUAGGCUUUGUUGGGCGCUAGGCCCAGUCAGGUGCUACUUGGGCACCUUAGGCUUUAUUGGGCUCUAAGGUUGGUCGGGUGCUACUUGGGCACCUUAGGCUUUGUGGUGCUCUAGGUCCAUCUAGGUGCUACUUCGGCACCUUAGGCUUUAUUGGGCUCUAAGCUUGGUCAAGUGCUACUUGGGCACCCUAGGCUUUAUUAGGCUUUGGACUUGGCCAGGUACUACUUGGGCACCUUAGGCUUUGUUUGGCUCUAGGCCUGGCUAGGUGCUACUUGGGCACCCUAGGCUUUAUUGGGCUUUAGCCUUGGCCGGGUGCUACUUGUGCACCUCAGGCUUUGGGCUUGGCUGGGUGCUACUUGGGCACCUUUGACUUUGUUAUGCUCAAGCCCUGGUUGGGUGCUACUUGGGUACCUUAGGCUUUGUUAAGCUCUAGGUCUGGCUGGGUGCUACUUAGACACCUUAGGCUUUUUGGGUCUAAUUGUGGACCCGCAUUUUUCACAUGCGUCUCCACUCGAUCGGCGAGACUCGCUUUUUAUUUGUGAAAAAUUAAUUUUUGGAAAAAAGUUGGAGCCGCCACUUAUUUUAUUUUUAUUUUAAAGGGAAAAUAAAACAAGAAAGAAAAACCCUAAAUGUGACUCCAUAAUUUUUGGAAAAAAAAGCAUGUCUUCGAAAAACCCGAGUCUAAGUCCGGGGAUCAGGUUACUUAUUGGGAAGGUACCUUUAAAAGGUAGCACCCCUCUAAGCCCUACAAAGGUCUCUACUGACAACGUUAAGGGAAGUGUGACCAUUAAUCAGUUAAUUAUAGGUACCUAAGUAGGCUAGGUGAUUUCAAAUAAAAUAGCAUGCCAAACAAGAUCAAAUCACAACAAAAAAAGGUUAGGGUGCGUACCUGGUCUGCCUCUCAAGCGCUAUCACAAAACAUAAGAGUUAGUGUAGAAAUCCAUCACACAACAUAUAUCUUGCCGGGGAAAAAUCUAAUAUAUAUUUAAACACCCAAGAAUCACAUCAUGCAUGGAUAUAGUCACCCAUAGCAUACGUGUGCAUAGAAUUCUCGAAAAAAANNNNNNNNNNNNNNNNNNNNNNNNNNNNNNNNNNNNNNNNNNNNNNNNNNNNNNNNNNNNNNNNNNNNNNNNNNNNNNNNNNNNNNNNNNNNNNNNNNNNNNNNNNNNNNNNNNNNNNNNNNNNNNNNNNNNNNNNNNNNNNNNNNNNNNNNNNNNNNNNNNNNNNNNNNNNNNNNNNNNNNNNNNNNNNNNNNNNNNNNNNNNNNNNNNNNNNNNNNNNNNNNNNNNNNNNNNNNNNNNNNNNNNNNNNNNNNNNNNNNNNNNNNNNNNNNNNNNNNNNNNNNNNNNNNNNNNNNNNNNNNNNNNNNNNNNNNNNNNNNNNNNNNNNNNNNNNNNNNNNNNNNNNNNNNNNNNNNNNNNNNNNNNNNNNNNNNNNNNNNNNNNNNNNNNNNNNNNNNNNNNNNNNNNNNNNNNNNNNNNNNNNNNNNNNNNNNNNNNNNNNNNNNNNNNNNNNNNNNNNNNNNNNNNGGUGCCUAAUGGGCCAAGUGUAUCUAAAAGCUAUCCUAAAAAAAACAAGAAAAGCCUAAGUCUAAGUUAGGGCUGCCAAGGGUCACAAUAAGGGAUCAAAUAAUCCCUCAACCAAAGUCUCCGAGGUGACUCAGAGAAAGGUAAGUGGUAUGAGUAGCCAUGGGCCAUCAAGGAACUACUGUGGAACACUAAAAAUGAAUUUAAAGACAUGCGAUAAAGGGACAAAAUUGAGGGUCUACAAAUAUGCCCCUCUUUGGUAUAGAUCACGAGUGUAGAGAAUGUGAGUAGAGAUACGAGUAAUGAGCAGAAUGAAGUGAACUAUACCGAAGAAUUAAAGAAGGACCAGAGAUUUUGUCGUAGCACAUGAAGAGGUAAGAUUAAAAGAUGGGGUCUCAACGAUAUGGACGGGACAACUCUAUGUGGGGGAAUGACAAUAAAGAGAGAACAGUAUGUGACGAGUAGCACAAAGAUGGAAAGAGGUGAAAAGGAUGAUUCAAAGUCAUGGAUGACAUGAAUGACUCUGGAUCAUGGACAAGGUGAAUGACUCUAGAUCCAAAAUAGGAUAAAAGACUCUGGGUCAUGAGCUCAGGGCUCUAAUCGGAAAGAAUGACUCUGGGUCGAGAUGGAAAAUGACUCUAGGUCGAGAGCCCUAGGCUCUAAAUGGAAAAGAAAUGACUCUGGGUCAAAAUGGAAAAUGACUCUGGGUCGAGAGCCCUAGGCUCUAAAUGGAAAAAGAAAUGACUCUAGGCUUAAUGGAAAAUGACUCUGGGUCGAGAGCUCCAGGAUCUAAAAUAGGAAAGAAUGACUCUGGGUCGAAAUGGAAAGUGACUCUAGGUCGAGAGCUCCAGGCUCUAAAAUAGGAAAGAAUGACUCUGGGUCGAAAUGGAAAAGUGACUCUGGGUCGAGAGCUCCCAGCUCCAAAAUAAGAAAGAAUGACUCUGGGUCGAAGUGGAAAGUGACUCUGGGUCGAAAUGGAAAGUGACUCUGGGUCGAGAGCUCCGGGCUCUAAAUGGAAAGGAAUGACUCUGGGUCAAAAUGGAAAACGACUCUAGGUCGAGAGCUCCAAGCUCUAAAAUAGGAAAUAAUGACUCUGGGUCGAAAUGGAAAAGUGACUCUAGGUCGAGAGCUCCCAGCUCCAAAAUAAGAAAGAAUGACUCUGGGUCGAAGUGGAAAGUGACUCUGGGUCGAGAGCUCCCAGCUCCAAAAUAAGAAAGAAUGACUCUGGGUCGAAGUGGAAAGUGACUCUGGGUCGAAAUGGAAAGUGACUCUGGGUCGAGAGCUCCAAGCUCUAAAAUAGGAAAUAAUGACUCUGGGUCGAAAUGGAAAAGUGACUCUGGGUCGAGAGCUCCCAGCUCCAAAAUAAGAAAGAAUGACUCUGGGUCGAAGUGGAAAGUGACUCUGGGUCGAAAUGGAAAGUGACUCUGGGUCGAGAGCUUCGGGCUCUAAAUGGAAAGGAAUGACUCUGGGUCAAAAUGGAAAACGACUCUAGGUCGAGAGCUUCAGGCUCUAAAAUAGGAAAGAAUGACUCUAGGUCGAAAUGAAAAGUGACUCUGGGUCGAGAGCUCCGGGCUCUAAAAUAGGAAAGAAUGACUCUAGGUCGAAAUGGAAAGUGACUCUGGGUCGAGAGCUCCAAGCUCUAAAAUAGGAAAGAAUGACUCUGAGUCGAAAUGGAAAAGUGACUCUGGGUCGAGAGCUCCCAGCUCCAAAAUAAGAAAGAAUGACUCUGGGUCGAAGUGGAAAGUGACUCUGGGUCGAAAUGGAAAGUGACUCUGGGUCGAGAGCUCCGGGCUCUAAAUGGAAAUAAUGACUCUAGGUCGAAAUGGAAAGUGACUCUGGCUCGAGAGCUCGGGGCUCUAAAUGGAAAGGAAUGACUCUGGGUCAAAAUGGAAAAUGACUCUGGGUCGAGGGCUCCGGGCUCUAAAUAGAAAGGAAUGACUCUGGGUCAAAAUGGAAAAUGACUCUGGGUCGAGAGCUCCGGGCUCUAGAUAGAUAGCCGAUCAGGAUACUUUCCGACUCAAGGUGUCGGGUCGAGGCCACUCACAAGUGGCUAGAAUGAUGAAAACGAAACAUCUCAGGGAUGAAUGAUGCAAAUGACUCCGGGUCGUGAGCUCAGGGCUCGGGGUGCUAUGAAUGACUCUGGGUCAAGAUGGAAAAUGACUCUGGGUCGAUGAAUAGCUCAGGGCUAUGAGCUCCGGGCUCUAUGACUGAUCGGCUAGAAGGAGAAUGCGAUACGCAAACUCCAGGUCAAACCACUCAUGGGCGACCAAGUGAUGAAAGCUCAGCUAAGAGCUGGAAAGACUCUGGGUCUAUAGGAAAUGAUAACUCAGGGCUAGCGGGCUCAGGGCCUAAGGGAAAAAGGAUAGGUCAGGGCUAUAAGACUCAGGGUCUAGAAGGAAUGGAUAGCUCAUGGCUACGAGGCUCAGGGCCUAAAAAAAGAGGAUAGCUCAGGGCUAGUGGGUUCAGGGCCUAAGGGAAAAAGGAUAGCUCAGGGCUAUAAGACUCGGGGUCUAUAGGAAAUGAUAGCUCAGGGCUAGCGGGCUCAGGGCCUAAGGGAAAAAGGAUAGGCUAUAAGACUCAGGGUCUAGAAGGAAUGGAUAGCUCAUGGCUACGAGGCUCAGGGCCUAAAAAAAGGAUAGCUCAGGGCUAGCGGGCUCAGGGCCUAAGGGAAAAAGGAUAGCUCAGGGCUAUAAGACUCGGGGUCUAUAGGAAAUGAUAGCUCAGGGCUAGCGGGCUCAGGGCCUAAGGGAAAAAGGUAGGCUAUAAGACUCAGGGUCUAGAAGGAAUGGAUAGCUCAUGGCUAUGAGGCUCAGGGCCUAAAAAAAGGAUAGCUCAGGGCUAGCGGGCUCAGGGCCUAAGGGAAAAAGGAGAAGACCAACUCGAAAGUGGACAUGAAAUAAAUUGGCUCAAAGCCAUUUACUCAAAAGGUCAAGGGUCGGACUACUGAAACCAAGAAGGGAAAUAUGCCCCAGUAUCCAGGGUGCUCACACUGCCGAAACAACCAGUAAAUCAAUCAUCCGCUGAAAUCAAUGGGUCAAGAACCAAUACAUCAUGACAAACCUCUGAAAAGUCUAAACUGAAGAAACCCUCUAUGUCUGAAAAGCUACUCUGUCGGUGAAUCUCAAAAGGUAAAUCUCAAAGAGUGUGUAUCAUGGCUCAUCUAAAAGUAAACCUCAAAGUGCAUAAAAUGCUGCUCAUCUGGAUAAUCCAAUCUGCAAGGUAACAAUGACGAAAACAAAUCUGUCUUGUGAACAUCUGGCUAAAGGAUCUCGGGUGAAACCUGACGUGAUCCAUCUCUAUCUCAAAAAAUCCAUGUAGGGAGGCCCUGAUACAGUCGAUCGUCGGAAGCUCUGGGCUAGUGCUCAAUCUAAAACCAAGCUGGCCACUGUCUCAAUCUCAAAGAUACUCAAAGAGAAUGGGGGAAAUAUGCCCCAGUAUGAGAUCCGAUAUCAAAUUCAUGAGGUAAACAACCGACACCAAUCAUCUAUCCUCAUAUCACUACCCAAAAAAAUCUCGUAAAGGAGAGGGGAAUAUGCCCCAGUAUGGAUAUCUGAUGUCAAAGUCAUGAGCUAAACAACAACAAUGAUCAUCCAUCUAUAUACCGCUGCCCGAAUAAAUCUCGUAAUGGAGAGGGGAAUAUGCCCCAGUAUGGAUAUCGGAUGUCGAAGUCGUGAGGCAAACAAACUAACAAUGAUCAUCCAUCCUCGUACCGUAUACAAUAACAGAUAAGAAUCUCGGAGGAAGGGGGGAAUAUGCCCCAGUGUGAAUAUAUGAUGCACAACCAAAGGAUGAAUCCAACAUCAUCAAUCAACUAUCCUCAGCUCAACAAUAAUCCGCUAAGAAGUCAGAAUGAUGUAUCAACCAAUGCCUCAAGGGAGACACUCUAAAUCUAAUCUCAAAUGAAUAGCCAAAAUGAUGAGGAAUGUGGUAAUCUCAAAAGUAGAAACAUGUCUCUGAUGAAUCCCUGACUGAAUCUGAUAGGAAUCUGGUAACCUCAAAAUGGGGAAAUAUGCCCCAGUAUGCCUGGUCUAUACACUGCACUGAAAACUGCCUCCAACUCAGUAAUAAUCCACUAGUCUAUCUCAGAAGUACUCCGGGAAUGGAACCACUAGGGGCUCAACGAUGCUCCACUAGAACUGAUAUAGUCUCAACAUACCUCACUAGGGAUCUCUGAUCGGUGAAAAUACCCAGACUCAAAGAAAGUGCUCCACUAGGGGCUCAUCUCAGCCAGAUGAAAGGGGAAUAUGCCCCAGUAUGGAUAUCUAAUGCACAACCAAAGGAUGAAUCCAAUAUCCUCAAUGAACUGUCUCCAAACCCAAAAAUCCAUCAAACAUCAAUAUGCCAAGCAAGAGAGAGACCAAAUGCUUCCAAAAGUAUCUUCCAUAAAAGAAAACAUAGUAACGACCAAACUUCAACCAAUCUACCAAAAACCUGUCCAAGUGAAGACUGUCAAAGAUAACGUCUGAUCUCGUGGCCUCAGGGUGGUCUUAAGACACGGGACGUAACGUAGGCCAAGGUGAUAGGGUGAAAGAAAUGAAGGGAAACUAGGCUCAAAUACCCAAUGAUCAAACUCGUACCCUCGUGUACAAGAUGUAAUGCAUAGAAAAAUCUCAUGAGUCAUGGACUUAGAAGUAACCAAAGGGAAUGCCGAUAACGAAAUGAGAGAAAGGAUGAAUGGUCAAACCAUCAAUGGAAUAUGUGAAUGAUGUGAAGAAGGUAUCAAAUCAGUAAUGGGUAUCAAUAUGUAGGGAAUGAAUAAAAGGUGAAACAAAGAUCUGGAAUGAGGUAAUGGGAUACAAAAGAAAGCAAUGAGAAAGUGGAAUGAGUGAUGAUCAACCCAUGUUAGUACAAUAAAGGAAAGUCAUAUCACCAAUGAUGGAAUGGUGGGUAUAAGACAAUGAUCCGGAGACCCUAGUAAAAAGGUCACUCAUCUCUCAUACCUAAUAUAUAUCAAUCAUGAUCCAAACAACAUAGGAUCUCAUAGAACUCUCACAUGAACCCUCGACACUCCAAAUGCAUAACAAGAGUGACUCAAGGACUGAAAAACUCAUAAAAAACUCACAAAAACCCACAACGACAAAUAUACCCAAUAAAUGAACCUCAAAAGGUGGCAUAAAUGCCCAAUGGAACAAGAUACCAUACAUGAGCAUAUUAUUGCGCUUUUCUUUUCUUUUUCUUUUUUCUGAUUUUUGAUUGAUUUUUUUUUUGAUUUUUUUUUAUUUUGAUUUUUUUUUUGAUUUUUUUUUUUUUGCGCAUGCUCUGAUCAUCAAUAAAUCAAACUCCAAUGGAAAAAUAUAAGGAAUGAACAAACUCUCUCUGACCACUGAUGAAUACAUGAACCCCAACCCAUGAGACAACCUCUCAAACUAAGAUCUCCGAAUCAAUGUCAAAUGAUGGAAUGAAUAGAGUGAUAUGACUGCCUUCUUUGCACUAAGACGUGAAGAAUCAUCAACCCAAGGAAGAGAAUAAUAAGAUGAAGCAAAUAAUGAUAGAGAAAAGAAAGAGAAUGAAUAUAUGAUGAUAAUAAAAUAGAACAAAUAGGGUGAUAAGAGGAUGGUAACAAAAUGAGAAGAUAGACCUGUAAGUCUAAAGCUCAUGAGACUUUCCUACCAAAGCAUGCAUAUACAUCAAAGGGCCCCAACCCGGGUAUAGAAAUGGUAAUCAAAGCUAUAAGAAAGAAAUAAGGCUAUAACAUACCACGCGAAGCUCAAUGGGCUAGCAACGGUCUAAUAUAUAGAGGUGAUAAAGUAUGAGGCUAACCGAAAUGAUGGCCACCCAUCCUGCGACCACAGUCUCAAACAUAAUACUUCUUUAGUUGAUCCACGUUGGUAGGCUCUGAAAAUUGGUUUCCAUCUAAGUCUGUCAACCAUGCAGCCCCUUCUGGAGUCAACUCCCGGAUAACAUAAGGCCCACUCCAACUAUCAUCCAACAUGUCUAUCUUAGGCCCAUCAUGAAGAAAACCAUGUCAAUCAAAGCUCCCAUCUGAGAAAAAUUAACGUCCUCUAUAAGAACUCUCAUCUGAUAAACUUUGACUCAUAAUCCACUAAACUCAUCAUAUGUACGAAGUCACCCUCAACAAUGUCACUGGCUAACUGGGUGGUGGGGGUGGUUGGUAAUGAAUCAUACGACAUCUCAUCCUGAACUGGAUACUAUCUAUCUCACUGUCCAUCAAUCCUCUGGCUCAAACCUGCUAAUGUCUCUUGAAUAGAGUCAUGGUGACUGUAAGUCGAUCAACUGUAUCAUACUGAGGAUCCAUACCUGACUUCUUUGAAACCUUGACCAAUCUAUCUCCAACUCUGAUAUAAAAAGUCGAAUCCAAACUGAAGCGAGUAACAUUCCUAUAAGGUACAAAGACGCGGAAAGAGAAAUGACAUGAAGGAAGCUCAGAAGAGGUGGAAACACACUAAUCACAAUGCAGAAAGGUGGCCCAACUGAGACUCAAACAUGUACCAAUCUCUGAGCACACCAAAAGGAGACCAUGAAGAGGAUAACUGAACCCAAUUGUGACCAAGGCAGCUCUGAAGGUCCACAGAUGCACCCACGUGUAGGAGUGAAAUCUUAAUUGGAUCUAGGCUAACCUACAAGGUUGAGUUGGCUCUAUAGGGUAAAAUGGGUGGGUCAAAGGAUCCCUAGUAGAAGCGAUUGUACCCUCCGGCGGUACGCAACCCUCUGCACGCCUCCAAGGAGACGGGGUGCUUCCAUGCAAGGUGGUCAUCACCUCCACACAUGCACUUCCUCGCGUUCCCAGGGGGUUUCUUAAUGGUGAAGGCUCUCCCAUCUCUCAACACUCAAGGAUAAUCUAAAGUGCACAAUGAAGGAUGUGGGUGCAUUCGAAAAACCUAAGAUCUAAAGUGAGAUAGUGAAUGAAGAUAAGCAAUCAUACGAACAUGCAAGAGAAAAGGUUGUCAUGCAACAAGCAGCCAUGCGAAGCAGAUAAAUAUCAAACAAUCAAAGUCCUAUCUAGCAUAUGUGAGAGUGAAUCAUGCUAAAGUGAACAAACAGUUAAGUGAUCACAUCAAACAGUCAUGCGAAUCAAAUAAAUAGCAAACAAACAAAGUCAUAUCUAACAUAUGUGAGAGUGAAUCAUGCUAAGUGAGCAAAACAAUCAAGUGAUCAUUCAAGGCAAUCAUACAUGUUAAGAUAACAAACCAAACAAGCAAGCAAAUCGAAUCAUCUUGCCUAAAAAAGGAGGUACCCACUGAUCGACCAAUUAAACGCCACAUUUUCCUCAACUAGUGUUCAAGCUUGAUCCUCAAAAUCCCCAGUGGAGUCGCCAAUUUGUGGACCCGCAUUUUUCACAUGCGUCCCCACUCGAUCGGCGAGACUCGCUUUUUAUUUGUGAAAAAUUAAUUUUUGGAAAAAAGUUGGAGCCGCCACUUAUUUUAUUUUUAUUUUAAAGGGAAAAUAAAACAAGAAAGAAAAACCCUAAAUGUGACUCCAUAAUUUUUGGAAAAAAAAGCAUGUCUUCGAAAAACCCGAGUCUAAGUCCGGGGAUCAGGUUACUUAUUGGGAAGGUACCUUUAAAAGGUAGCACCCCUCUAAGCCCUACAAAGGUCUCUACUGACAACGUUAAGGGAAGUGUGGCCAUUAAUCAGUUAAUUAUAGGUACCUAAGUAGGCUAGGUGAUUUCAAAUAAAAUAGCAUGCCAAACAAGAUCAAAUCACAACAAAAAAAGGUUAGGGUGCGUACCUGGUCUGCCUCUCAAGCGCUAUCACAAAACAUAAGAGUUAGUGUAGAAAUCCAUCACACAACAUAUAUCUUGCCGGGGAAAAAUCUAAUAUAUAUUUAAACACCCAAGAAUCACAUCAUGCAUGGAUAUAGUCACCAAUAGCAUACGUGUCCAUAGAAUUCUCGAAAAAAAGAUGAGAAAGAGCGUACCUGGAUAGCAAGCUAAAGCGUCUUUAUGGGAAGCAAGGUUAGCCCAAUAAUAGAUUCAAAAUAAUCUCAUAUAUACCACAAAGAUAAAGCACAAUUAAUUAAAUAUCAAACAAAAAGUAUUGAAGAAAAUAUCAUGGAUGUCGGGCCCAAAAGCCAUGUAACCAUGCAAGUCAUACAAGUCACGCUGAAAAUGUCCAAAUGGGCCAAGUGUGCCUAAACGGGCCUAUGAUGAAAUUAAGUGGGCCUAGGGUGGUGCCUAAUGGGCCAAGUGUAUCUAAAAACUAUCCUAAAAAAAACAAGAAAAGCCUAAGUCUAAGUUAGGGCUGCCAAGGGUCACAAUAAGGGAUCAAAUAAUCCCUCAACCAAAGUCUCCGAGGUGACUCAGAGAAAGGUAAGUGGUAUGAGUAGCCAUGGGCCAUCAAGGAACUACUGUGGAACACUAAAAAUGAAUUUAAAGACAUGCGAUAAAGGGACAAAAUUGAGGGUCUACACUAAUGCUUCUUCAUACCUAAGGUUUUUUUUUUUCUUUUUUUUUUUUUGCGGUCAUGCGAUGCGUAACAUAUUUGAUUUGAAAAAUACAAUAGUUGACGAUAUUGCUUCCCCACUUGGGGAUCUUUGCUUUUAGAUGGAUUAGGCCAUUUGGUAAGACUAGGAAGUUCUUCUUUGGUAGUCUCGCUAGCGCCUCUUUGUCCACUGAUAGUGUCUGGGUAGCUGCAUCGAGUCAAGCCACCAAGAUCUAGUUCUCCCUUUUGAUUCGAUUAACAGUUCUUCUCAAUUUGUCCAGCUACCUUCGAUACUUUGUUAGCUACGGUUCAUUUGUUCGUUGUGGCCACUCAUAAGUUGUUGGGGUGACAUGCUCACCAUCAACGUAGUUAGCUGCCAAUGUAGUCACCAUGGUUGGCUUUUGUUUCAUUCCCAUAGACGAUGCCAAUUGUUGGUGCACAACCUUUCUAGGUGUGAUGAUUUGGUGACUAUCCGGGUUGCUAGCCAAUCUUCUAUUGUCACCUCCUCUAUUGGUGGGUGUCUUGGUUCUCCAGGAAAAUGAUAUUUUUUUUCCUUGUUCUUCUUCCUCCUUUAUAGGCUAGAGUUAGACGUUGGAGGUUGUGUGGAGUACACGAUUAGCUUGGCAGGUUUGUGUUAGGCAAUGUGUGGCCGACUAUCCCUGACGCUUUCUAUUGAUGUGACAAGAUGAUGUUUUCCUUAGAGAUUUGUUCCUCAUACAUCUCUUGUUGUUGCCUUUGGUAUUCAUGCCACAUGAUCCAUGUUGGCAGCCUAAAAACUUCUUCCCAGUGACCAAUUUUUUAGUUCUUCUAGGAUCAUGUUGGAGUGGGCUCUCGGAUCACUAUAGGUUUAAACAGAGUCGGGAUGACUUCUCGAUCGGGAGACAAUAUUCAGCUGAUACAACAUCCAGGUACCCCUUCUCGGCAAAAUUCAGCACCCUUAGGAGGCAGCUUUUAUAGCGAAAUCUGCCACCCCCGACCCAAGUAAGCAGGUAGACCCACAGGUUGGUUGGCUUCUAUGGUUUGUACCUCCAAUUAUAAUGGAAGUAUAAAUUUUAAAAAGAUUCAGUGAUUGUAGGAUUCAAUUCUAAUGCUCUUAUAGUAGCCAAGGGUCCUCGGACUCAUGGUAGCACACAGACAUGUCCUCUUCUAUCUAUGCAAAUAGUCAUGCAAAAUACAAAUAUUCCCUUAUACAUUCCUAUAGUUUUACAUGUAUAUGAAUUUAAUUAUUUUAUGUUCUGACUAGUGAAGCAACCAUAUUUCCCCAUUUUAACCUCGCUACUGCCAUUGAUGCGGUAGUAGAGUAUAACUGGCACAUAUAGAUAUGUCGAAAGAGCAAUCGAGAGCAGAUAGCUUCAAAUUCUGAAUGUGAAGUUCAGUUGGAGACUGGUUUUAUUAGCCUUUUAGAUAUGAUUUGAACCUCUAUUUUAGACAAGAACCUGGAGCUUCUGAAUAUAUGUAGUACAACUCCUUUGGUCAUGUAUAUAUGUGCAUAUUGCGUUGAGAUAGACAACAUACAAUCACUUGGCAACACGUACAAUAUUAAAACUUUCAGAAUAUCACAAAAUUUGAUUGAUGUCAAAGACUCAUUCUGGACAUUUAGGAUAGGAGGUUACAAUAAAGCCAUUAACUGUACACAUAAGUUCAUUUGCAUGAAUUGGGAACCAAUUUAGAAGGUCAAGUAUAUUCGCUGUCAACAAGAAUGACGCUACUGAGGAGGAACCCAGUUUGAUCAAGAUUCUAGCAUCAAACAACAGAGUCAAAGUCAAAUCAAGAGCAACGUUCCAACUUGUCAUGAAGACCAAGAAUAGUAAUUGCUUUUGAGCAAGCAGUGAAAUUAUUUGCAAUCAGACAAUCAUCUUCUUCUUCAAGAAAUGCUGUAAUGAAAUUCUUACCAGUUGUCUGAUUCUUCAAAACAUGAAGUUAGCAAACAGAUUGUUCAUAUAUAAUGUCAGCUGGCAUAAAUGUAGUGUUCAAUCACCAAGCCACAAAGAUGAUACAACCGAACAGUUGCAGCAGGAAAACUUGGUUGUUUAUUCAAAAUCAAGUAAAUCUCUAGGUCCCUCAUACCACGAUUGCUCCCAAUCUUCAGGUCUUGGCGUAGACAAUUCCUUCCUUGUCUAUGUGGACAGAACAAUGCUUGCUGUUCUAGUUGUUGUCUUUCACCAUGGUCUGUAGAAAAAAUGUCCAGAAAAACAACUAAUGAUCAGUAGAAGUGUAAAAGGGAAGAAAGAAAACUACUGAUAGAUUGGAUCAGUCAUCUUCUUCAUUAGAUCAUUAUAAACAGUUGGCUUUGAAAAAUUUGAAGUUAAUCAACUACAAUCAUGACACAGAUUUAUUUUUCCUAAAAGAAUGUAAAUGUAUGGUUUCUCUUUGAGUACAGCUCUCUACAGCACAAAAAUAAACAAAUACUGUGGUCAAAGCUGUCAAUCAAAAUCCCCCUAUCCAGAAUGCAUGGCAAUGGCUGAUCCAAAUGGCCAUGUACUAGUACACUUACUAAGAUUUCCUUCAAGAAUCAUGUACAAGUGACCACCACUGUUCUCGGUGUCCAGAGGCAGUUUUCCAUACUCAUCUCCUUCUCCAUGAGGCUCAUGUAGUUAUUGGAAGGAUUCAAUAAAUAAUCUCGAAACCCAUGAGCGUUUUUGGCCCAAAGAAAUUCAGCAUAUAACAUAAUUUUUUGUAUAUAUAUAAGUUUAUGAAAUAACCAUGAUUACUAGAUGGGAAAAGUGUGUUUUCAUCCUCUGAUAUGACUAUAUCAGUAAAAUGAGAACCAACUUUUCCUAUUUCAAAUUAAGUCACAUCAAAUUAAGCAGACUCUGAAAAAUACUGAUCUCCAUCUCAUAGUUUGUGAAUGGAUCAUAGACUGAAAAUGAAUUAUAUGUAAUCUACUUAAUUUACCAAAGGUAAUGAAAUCUAAUUUACAAUCAAAUUAAUUAAGAAACUAAGAUACUAAUCACUACCAUACGUACAUAAAUCAUAUAACAUUUCUGUAACAUUACUUUUCUUCAAUAUCAAGAACCGAAAAAAAUUAUAAGGCAAUCAAAUGAAACAAACCAAGAAAACAACAAUAUUAAAAGAGUUAUGAAAUAUCACCAGAUGAUAAUUAUUUUGUCAUAACAUAGUGAACAACAUAAAUUAAAAUCUUGAAAUGUCACCAUAGCCAACCUAGUAGAAAUGAUUCAUCAAAAUAUUUGAAUGUGAGAUCUUAAACUGGUGUUUGACCAAUAAAUAUGGUAAUAAACAUAUAUUAAGUAUAUAUGAAGUGACCAAGCUAAGAUUUGUAUCAUGUUAUUGUAGGGAAUCCCGAAUCUCUUUGUUCCUUAUCCUAUGAUUAGGCUAGGUACAUACGAAUCUUUCUAAGUUUUUCUAAAUCGUAUGAACAAUGGAAAAAUUGUGUUUUAAAAUAAUAAGAAGAAAUAGAAUUUGCAUUAGAAAACAUUACCUUAGAUUUGGAUGUUCCCAAAUCUAAUUCACGUAGUAAAGGAGAAGAUCGAAGAUCUUCCACCAGAUGACUUUUCCUUGAUUUUAGAUCUUAAUUGGUGAGAAGGAAGGAAGACUAAAAAGGAUAUGGUUCUCUCUCUCUCUUUGAAUAGUGAAAGAUGGCUCACUUCAAAAAAGUAAUGAAAACCUUAUCAUUUAAGGGAUAUUUAUAGGGUUCCCUAAUUGGGUAUAAGUGACUUAAGCGUACUAAAGGCUUGAAUCAUUUAAUUUAGCUCAGAAUGAGUCUUAAUUGAUUAAUUAACCUAACAUAGUUAUUUAAUUAAUUAAUUAGCUAAAUUUGGAGACUUUGUUCACUUACCCCUAUGCAACCUUGCAUAAUUACCAAAACACCCUUAUACGCAAAAGUGAACCAAGAGUUGUGUCAUCAAGGUAUAUGAGCUUAGGUGGACACCAUUGAGACCUAUAGGACAGUACUAGCUACCCCAAAAUCUAAUUUUGAAGUUGAUUUAACAUUCCACUAUAGAGAAUCGAUUGCACUAUAAUACCUUAUAUAAAUAACAAUGAGUACUGUUGUGAACAAGUCAUCUACUUACAAUGAAUCCAUUUCUUGAAUUUUUUUUGCAACUCUUAAUGCACUCAAGUCCUAUACAAUAUAAGAUAUGUAUAUCAAAAUGCUUACAAGGUAUAAUGUAUAGGAUUAGGAUAAAUAAAAGUGAACUAAAAGUUUAUUAAUAAAUAAUAAAAUUUUAAAUUUAUUACAUAAUGUCAUUCUUUUAUGAAACCUUUAAAAUAGUGAGAGCGCCCUUUCAUAAUCAUGAAUUAAACUUUAGUUUCAACUUCUAUCAAAGGCUAAAUGAGAAAAGCUAUCAUAGAGGAGGCCUCAGCCAAUGGGUAAGAUGCACUGUUAUACCAAACAAUAAGUGGAAAAUACAAUUUUAUUAAUACUUGAGACAAAAAAAAGAAAUAGAAGGAUGAUUUUACACUCAAACCAAGCAUUUAUUUAUAAUGAAGUGCAGUCUCCAAACGCACAUGUGGACUUAUUGGAAAAUCAUACAAAUUAUUGAAGGACGACCUUAGCUAGGCUAACAGUCUCCUAAAUAGGCCAUCUUUUAUAUAUCUUUGCAUUCAUCCAUCUCCUCAUUGUCUUUGAUUUUAGAUGGUGAGGAUGUGAAAGUAACAGGAAGCAGUGGACGAUUGUUCACAGUGAGGCUUAGCACAUCAGCUCUCGAAUAAUGUCCUACCACAUCGAACUGGAACUUUGCUUUAGGAAUCUCUCCACGAACAUCUACAUAUCAAGUGAUCAUAAAAAUAUUUCAUCAGUCCAUGAUAAAUAUCAUAGAAUAUCAAGUCUUCGAUAAAACUAAGUUUGCAGUCCUCUUAAACCUAAAGAAUCGACUCAUUUGCCUUAUCUGCAUACUGAAAUAUUUGGAUAUAUAAUUGGAGAAGUCAGGGCCAUACCAAGAUCAGCUGUGAAGAGGCCUUCUCCUUCAUAAUUCGGUCCUGCUAGAAUUUCGCCAUGGGGCGAAAUGAUGACACUACCUCCAGCCCAAACAAUAGAAUCUGGAGUGACAUCUUCUUCUGUAGGACUGUAAAGAUACUCAGGUGGAGGUGGGUAAUCUUUCCUCCGACAGAACUGGAUGGGUGAAAGAACAUAGCAUCCACCCUCAAUAGCGACGUGUCUCAUUGUAGCUACCCAUGUAUCCCCGGAAUCGGCAGUAGGAGCACAAUAUAUCUCAAUACCUAUAUAGAUGUACAUUCGUAUUUUGUGAUCAAUCAAUCCCAUAUCAAAGCCAUAAUGUAUUUCAAGCCAAAUCAUAUUAGUUAGUGAAGAAAAAGAAAUGGUAAAAGACAUACCUUUGCCAUACAUUGCUGUCCUGAAAAGUGGCAUUCUAUUUUCCCAACAAAUGACCGAACCAAGUUUUCCAUAUGGAGUGUCAUAAACUGGAGUUGUCGAGCAAUCUCCGAAACCCCAGAACAGCCGCUCCCAAUAUGUUGGCAUGAGUUUCCUAUGUUUUCCAAGGUAAUUACCUUCAGGAUCAAAGAAGAGAACUGUGGAAUACAAUGUGUAUCCAUCUCUCUCAACAACGCCUGUCACUAAGUAGACUUUGUAUUUCGCAGCCAUUGAUGCCAAUCUAUCCGCUUCAGGUCCUGAAAAUACAUUAAUAUGAGAUCAAAGAUGAAACAUGUAAGCUGAUCGUUCAUCACAAAGCAUAAGUAUAAUUUUUUUCUUGGUUCAUUCAUCAAACGUGUCUUGUUUCAAUAACUAAUUAAGUGGUUCAGUUCUUUAGCUAUUUAAGGGAGAAAGAGAGAGAUAACUGACCCGGCACAUUAAUGGCAGAAGCAUGGUACUUGCGGAAACUUUCUUUCCCUCUUGGCGACUGGUCGGCAAAGUUGUAUCCCCGGGGAUACCCACCGAUAAAUGCUUCAGGAAACACAACCAGUUGGGAUCCUAGUGCAGCUGCUUCUUUCAAAAACCUCUCAGCCUUAUCUGCUCUCAAAAUCACAUUGCAAGAAUUAAUAAUCCACGACUUAGAAAGUAAAUGAAUUGGUUGAAUGGAGAGAAUGAAAAUUAACUUCAAGGGAUCCCGAAUGACUUUUUGGUUGCUGAGAAAACUCAAGGAAAAAGAGACCUAGAUGAAACUUGAAACUCUCAUAUUUUCAGCUGUUUUGUAACUAAGAAAAGAGAAACCACCUCAACCCAACUCAUUAAAAUAAUUGUAAAAGCAGUAAUUCCUUGAUUGGCAGCUGAAAAUAUGAUCAGGGUUCAAUCAUCCUUUUCUUUUUUUCAGUCUCUGACCAACCAAUUAGAUCACAUAUUCCAUUACACAAGUUGCACAAUUGAAAGAAAUGGUACGUUACCUAGAGUGGCAGGAGUAUCAUAAAAGAUACUAGAAGCUUGAACAACGGUGGCUCUAACAGUUGAAGACAUUGCAGAAAUCGUAUGCUUUUUCGUUUCCCUUUUGUUUGAGGAUUCCUUACACAACGUUCAGUAUAUAUAUUGCCCAUGAACAUGAGGUUCUUCUGCCAUUACUUGAACGAGACGAAGAGGCUGUGAAAAGUCUGCCUUGGUUUUCUAUAUUUAUUGUGAGCUUUUCUCCUCAUCACAAAUUUUGAAGUUAUCCGCAGACAUUGUGGACCAGCGACAUGACUUGUACAAAUUGAAAAUGACUGUGAUCUGUGAAAAGUAAUUUAAGAUAAAAUUCAAUUCAUGGUUUGAUAGUUUUAGACAAACAAAACACAAAGGUGAACACAUACCCAAAUUAUUAGGCUUUUAUUUUCAUUUCUUUUAUAUGUAUAUAUAUAAUGUAUAAGUUGCUAUGAUUAUUUGAAUUAAAGAAGGGACCCGCCCACGUGCAUAGUGGUGGCUGAGGCCUUUUGUGACCUCAAAAUAAAAGAAAAAAAGAAUAGUCAUUAAAAGCACAAGAUAGUCAUUAAAAGUACAUAGUGUUAUAGUUUUAGACGCCCAAAAGAAGUCUUUUUGUGCCUUGUAAGAAUCAAAAUAAGUUUUAUCGCUUUCUUUUUUUUCUACAGGUACGAUGAUUAUCUUUGAACGAAAAGAGGGAGCCGCCCACAUGCAUGGAUUCCAUCCAUCUAGCACACAGAUAAAUUGUCAUUUGUGGCUUGAGGCUUUCUAUGACUUGUACUAUAUAUCUAUAAAACCCAGCAUAUAGCUAACAACUGGGUCCGACCUCAUGUAUUGGUCCCUACCAAAAAUUAAUGAGUGAUUCAAUGGCAGCUAUGGUAGAAAAAUAAAAAGGGAGAACUAUGCUUACCCUCACGUUGAUUCAAGCAAAUAUAUUUUUUAGGAAUUCUAAUUUUCAUAUUUCACCCAAAACGCAUAAUCAAUAAAUUUAUCCUUCAAAUAUGUAUUUUAAUAACAACCAAAAUGAGAAUUCUAUAGUUAUCCCUUAUAAAAUCUUUAAUAUGACAAGUCAUCAUUUGAUCUGUUUGAUAUCCUCUCCAUAUCAUGUAUUUGAUAUCCUAACUUUGACAUUUUUUUAUUUAUAUACGCUGAAGUGAAUACACUUUCAUAUUUCUUUUCGUUCUUUUAAUAUUUUCAUAUUUAUUAACUUAGUCAUUUUUUUGAAACAUUAACAUAAAAUUAUAAUAUAUGAUCAAUAACUAAUGAGAACAAAUUAAACAUAAAUAUAAGUAUGAAAUGGACAGAAAAUAAAAAUUUUAUCCUACAAACAAUACACUAAAUAGUUUAAAAUAUUAAUUAUAAUAAUAUAUUUGAUACUUUAGGGUUUAGAUUAAAAAAUUAUGUUUUACUUUUUAGAGGCUAGGAUAUAGGAUUUCCAUUAACCAAAGAUUUUUUGUAUGAAUCCUAAAUAAAAUGUGCAUUUAUUUUGCAAAUUCUUAUCAUAUAUAAUUAAAAUAAAAUAAAUAUAUUUUUAUCAUAUUAUUUUUAAUUUUUAUUAUUUUGUGUCAAAAUCAUAGUCAAUGAUGGUGGUUUUUGUUAUGAUAUAGCUCUUAAAAGGAUGUUAUGAUGUAAUAAAUAUGAAGUUUAUUAUUUAUUUAAUGGUAUUUUGAUUUCACUUUUAUUAAUCUUUAUUUCAUGCAUUUUACCUUAUGAGUAUUCUAGCCUGACAUUUCUUGCACUAUACAUAACUUGGGUGCAUUAAAAAUUGCAAGAAAGAUCCAAGUUAUAGGUUCCUUGCAAGUAAAUGAUUUGUUCACAACUGCUUUGUGAACUUAAGUGAUCCAUUUGAUGUCAUAGUUCACUACCUCUUCAUUAGAGGAAUGAUUGAUCUUGACUAUCGAGAUAGAGUUCUCAUGGUGAGUACACUAGUAUGAUGAGUUAUGAUGUAAAGUUGUUGGAUAGUCAUAACUUCACUAAGUUGUUAUAUUGUAUUGUUUUCUCAACCUUGAGAGAAUAUUGAACUUGUGCCAAAGUUUGUAAUUAUUUGACCUAUGGGUGAGAUCCUAAAGUGAUAAUAUAUUCCUUACGAAUUGGGUCACAGUAGAUAGAAGUCGGUAGUAAUAAGUAUUCUCAAUAGAGACAUCAUGAAAUCUCAUGGAAUUUGAGAUAGUGUUGGGUGAUAAUAAGGACAUGUAAUCAUGAAAUCUAUGGUUGUAUUAAUUCUUUAAAUGAAAUUUGAUAUAUGCUUUUGUGAGUUAGAGUAUGUUAGUUGAUCAUAUAAUAAGAGAAUAUAUAACUCAAGGAUGGUAAGGUAAUAUUGAAAGGCAAAUAACUUUCACCUUAUUAGAUUAUAAACACCAAUUCAUGGGGAGACUAUAUGCAAUAGAUAGCAGGUCAUGAAGUUAAGCAUUUUGUGUCUUUUUGUAAUACACAUAGGGCAUUGAAAUGUAAUUGACUUUCUAUAGUAAGAUGUUGAGCCAACUUUAAAAUUGGAUUAUAAAGGAGCCAAUACUAUCUUAUGGGUCUUAGCGGUCCUCGCUCAAGUUUAUAUAUCUCAAUGACAUGGUUUGUGAGGGUUGGAUUGACUCAUGAUUCACUUAUGUGCAAAAAGGCGUUUUGGCAAGUAUGCAUGAAUGCAUAAGAGUUUGUUGGGAUAAAACCUUAUAAAUCAUGAGAUGAUGUAAUAGAUUUAGUUUCAUUAAUAAAUUUAUUUAUUUACUAUUCUAGUUCCCUCAUAUUAUCCCAUUGUCAUUAAUUGGUUAUCGGAGUAUUUACACCCAUAUCACUUGCAUUGUACAUGACUUAGGUGUAUUAGGAGUUGAACAAAAAAUCCAAGUCAUGGGUUUUUUGCAAGGUGAUAAGUAGUUUAUAGUGGGUUCAUGGAUUUGAGCAAUUUAGUAGAGACUAUAGUAUACUACCUCCUAAUUGGAAAGAUAAAUUGUCUUAGUCACCGAGAUGACUUUCCCAUGAUGAGUGAAACAAUGUGUAUGGUUACACAUUGGACAUGACCUAUGGUGAAUUAUGACAUUAAUUUUUGGGUAGUCAUGAUUUACCAUGAUACUAUAUUAUAUAAACUCUCAACCUUGAGAAGAUAUUGAGUUUGUGCUGAAAUCAAUAGGAAACUUCGAUCUAUGGGUGAGAUCCUAGUGUGGUCAUAUAUUCCUUAUAAAUUGGGUCACGGUUGAUGAAGAUUGGUGGCAACAAGUGUUCUUAAUAGAGAUACCAUAAUAUCUUAUGAGAUUAAGAGAACGUGUCUCUUGGGUGAUCCUAAAGACAUGUGAUUAAGAUGACUACGACCAUAACAAUUCCUUUAGUAGAAUUUGACAUAUGCUCUUUGUAAGCUAGAAUAUGUCAAUUGAUCACUUAACAGGAGGAUUUGUAACUCAAGGAUUGGAGAGAUAAUUUUGAAAGGUUGGGAUCAUUACCUUGUUAGAUUACAAACACUAGUUCAUGGGGAGUUUACAUGCAGUGGAUAGUAGGUCAUAGACCUAAACUUUGCCUUGUUGUAAUUAUAUAGCAUAUUAGAGUGUAGUUGACUCUCUUUAGUAGGGUGUUAAGUUAACCUUAGAAUUGGAUUCAAAGUGAGAUAGUAUUUUCCUAUAGGUUCCAAUGGUCCCUACUCAAUUUGGUGUCACAUUUGUUUGAGGGAUUUUAGGUUUGUAGUUAACAAGUGUGCAUAAGGGGGAAUUUAAUAAAAAUACAAGGUUGGACUAGAUCUUGUGAAUAGACUUUCUAGAUUGGCAUAAUUUAUUAAUUGGAUUCUAAUAGGGCUAAUUAAUUAAUUAGGACCUAAGUGAGCUAAAUUAGGUAACCUAAGCCCAAUUUGGGCUCAAGUCACUAAAGUUCACAAGGAAGCUUAUAAAUAAUUAUUUAAAGCCCAUUGGGUUUUAUGAGUGACUUAAGCUUGCCUUGGGUUUGGGUAACUUAUUAUAGCCUAAAAAGGUUCUUAAUUGAGGGCUUAGAUUAAUCAAUUAGCUUAGUCCAAAAGUAACAUUCACCAAAUUUAUUGGAAACUUUGAAUUACUCCAUUUCAUGAUCCAGGAUCAUAUAGGGUGCAUGCAACUAUCCUUAGGCUUCUCUAGAUCUAAUGCAAUGGAAAAUAUGGAUAUAAAAUCCAUAAAAUGUACUAGAUUUAUAGAUUAGAACUCAUACCUAUGAUUUGAAUGUUUCUAAAUUAAAUCUAAUCCCUAAAAAACAUCAAAGAUGUUUUAAAAGUCAUUUAUUUCCACCCAAUCUCUCCUUUCACAAAUAGACCCUAGCAUAAAAGAAGGGUAGGCUUUUGUCUAUCUUUUUUGAAGGUAGCUAGGGUUUUCUCAUUCUUUUAUGGCAUCAAACUCUUAGACUUUUACUUUUUCCAUUCUCUCCCACAUGUCUAGAGAGAAUCUAGUCCCCACUCUUCUAGAUAUCUAACAUUGGAGUUCGUAGCUUCAAUGAGGAGCCAUCAAAUAGAAAACCAAUAGGUUUGUGAGAUUUUCGAUGACCCCUACACAUUUAAUAACCUCCUUGACUGCAAAAAUUUGAUUUGGGAACAUCUAGAUCUUGGUAAAUACUUCUAAUCUAUAGAUCUAGAUCUAAUUUCUAUUUUAAAGGUGAUUUUUCUUUCAUUGCUAGGGUCUAGAUAAGCCUAGGAAAGUCUGCAUGCACUUAACGAGAUCUAGGGAUAGGGAACUUAGUGAUUUAUGCUUUCUUGUAGUUGGAGCUUUUUGCUUUUGAUUUUAACUUGAGUGUACUUUUGGCAUUUUCUUGCUUAAGCUUUUAAUUUUUUUGAAUGAUGUACAAUGCAUUUAUUUUUUUAGAGGAAUGUAUUUAUUUUUCUUAAUGAUGUACUUCCUUUUUUGAAGGAUAUACUUAAUUUUAUAACAAAUGUAUUUAAUUUUUCUAAAGAAUGCACUUAUUUUUCUAAGGGAUCUAGUUGUAUGGCAUAAGAUGUCCUCUCAAGCAGAGGUGGAGGUACUAUAGAUUUUGUAAUAGGCACAAUGAUUACUAAGGUGGUAUGUGAUGGAGGGAUUGGCAUAAAAGCCUGAAGUAAGGGUGUGUCUAAUAAUAUAAAUGGCUCGAGUAAGUAAAGAGCAAAUGGUGUGGAAAUUCAAGUAGGGAAGAAAGGGUUGGUAUGGAUUCAUCGGGGGAAGGAAAUGUAGGUUCCAUGAUACAGAUGCCUGAAGUAAGGGAAGAGUAGAUAAUGUGUAAGCCCUAAGUGGGGGUUGUUGAUGCCAGGUUAACUAAGGAUGGAAUCCCUUGGUUGUGGUAGCAAAAAGGUUCUGUCCAAAAGUCGGAGACUAGGCUUUCGCCUUCCCUGCACAAAGAUGUCCUGACACACUCUCCAAAACCUAAGUCAGACUUUGAAGUGGGUAGGAACCCUUAGAGAGAGAGAGAGAAGAUGAGAAAGUCCUUAGUAUUGCGUACUUGGGUUCUGGUUCCAGGAGGGUUUUUAUAGUGUCUAGGAUGGAGUCACUAUUGUGUUGAGUUAACAUCUUGACUUUUGCCGUCAGAUGGCAUCACAGUGGAUGGUAGGGUAAUCAUCACCAUUUAGGCGGCUGGCAGGGGUUUCUAGUGGGUACGUUAUGAUGGUUUACCUGUCACCUCAACCUAUUGGAGGUAUGGGGCAGUGUGUGAUAGUCGUUUGAUAUGAACGUGGAGACAAGGUAAGAUCCCAUCACCCAUACUUUUGUUAGAAAAAAAUGAUUUCCUGCAGCAAGGAAAUAGAGCAACCAGCCGGAAUGCACUGACAAUUUAAGGGAGCCUAGUAUUGCCGAUUGCUGGCAUGUAUAGUCCAGACUAGGACCUUCGAGUUUGAUGAUGAUCGUCCGAACAACAUUGAGAUGAGCGCCAUGUGGGCCAGUAGUGGUCUACCACGUGGGGGAAGAUCUCCACAGGGGUGACAAGGUUGGAAUGAAGGUAUUAUGGAAGAUGAAAUAUAAGUCUAUGACAGCUUUGAUUUGGUCUGGACUUCUAUUCCCUUUUGUGUGACCAUGAAUCCCAGGAAUUUGCCUGCGCUGACCUCAAAGGCACAUUUGGCCGGGAUCAACUUCCUAUUGUAAUUUCUCAUUAAGCGAAAGGUCUCUUCUAAAUGUUGGGCAUGUUUUGACCUGGUUUUGCUUUUUACCACAAUGUCAUCAAUGUAUACUUCCACUAUGUGGCCGACUAGUGGCUUAAAGAUCUUCUUCAUCAGCCUUUGGUAGGUGGCUCCCGCGUUCUUGAGCCCAAACGACAUGACUUUAUAGUAGUACAAUUCGUGAGGCAUUACAAAGGCGGGUUUUUUUUUCAUCCGACUAGAACAUCGAAAUCUGAUGAUAGCCAAAGAAAGCAUCUAUGAAAGAAAACAUCGUGUGUCCAGCAGUAGACUCGAAUAUCUGAUCUAUCCGGGGUAACGAAAAACUAUCUUUUGGACAUGCGUCAUUCAGGUUGGUAUAAUCAACACAAACUCGUCAUUUACCUCCAUUUUUUUGGGACCACCAUCACGUUUUCCAGCCAUUCCAGAUACUCUACUUCCCUUAUAAACCCAUCCGUGACCAACUUCUCUAUUUUACGUUGGAUAAUCUUCUGUCUAUCCGGAUGGAAGCAUCGGACUUUCUGUCGAACACGUCACGAGGAAGGCAUAACAUUGAGCUUGUGAGAGGCUACCGAUGGAUGGAUUCCGGGCAUAUCAGAAUAAGUCCAUGCAAAAACUUCUUUAUUCUGUUGAAACACUCCUUGGACUGCUUUAAGCUCUUUAAGUGCUGGUAAGGAGCUGACAUAGGUAACACGGUAGUUAUCCUGAGAGAGAACCAACGGUAGGAGUGGGUCAGCCGCCGACGGAUCUCUUUCUGUCGGGCUCUGUAAUUGCUAUUGUUCCUCCGUGUCAGUUCGUUUCGUAAGUGGCUUAAAAACACUUAUGGAUCCGGAUUCUUGCGCCACUUGAUGACAUUGUCGUGCUGCUAGCUGGCUUCCAAAGAGGUUGAUCGGUGCCUUCUCGAUUAAAUAGCUCACCAUUUGGUGAUACAUAGAGGGGAUGACCUUCAUACUGUGCAGCCAUGUGCGCCCCAUGAUGGCAUUGAAAAUGGACAAGUCUUCCACUACUAAGAAUUGCACAUUCUAGACCAUUGACUCGACUUGGACGAGUAGCACAAUGUCUCCUAGAGAAAUUGUUGAGGCCCCAUUGAAACCUGAUAGUACAUGUCCGGGAUUCUCUAAGGUGGAUGAAGAGAAUCCCAUCUGUUUGAACGCGAACAUCUAUAACAGGUCAUCCGAAUUGCCCGGAUCAACUAAAAUCCAUCUUACGUCAAAAUCAUUGAUCCCCAACAUCAGGAUGAGGGCAUCUUCAUACGAUUGUAACACUCGGUUGGGGUCCAUUGGAGGGAAGGUGAUUACCCCAUUUAUUAGGCACGUGUCCUCAUCGGGCAAGCCAGGUUGGAUGGAGCUAACCUGCUUUCUUACAGAGGCUGGUUGAAGUAAUCUUUGCCUCUUCUGUUUAGAGUUGUAUUUUUCAUCAAUGGAUACCCAAUGAAUGUAGUUGAUUAUGGCUCUAGGAGUUGCUGAAGUUGUGAGGGUCGUGGUGGCUGGACUUCAGGUUCCAUCCCCACGUCUCCCAUUUGAGUGGACGUACUAUUUCAGAUGGCCAACUCUUAUUAAUUUUUCCAGUAAGUAGUCGAGGCUUCUGCAUUGUUAUGUGGUGUGACCAUGGUCUUUAUGGUAAGCGCAAUUUCUAUUCUGAUCCCAUUUCACCGGAUCUGUCUUAAUUGGCUCGGGCCAUUUGAAAUUGGACAAAUCCUUGAUCAUGGGGAGGAGUUUGUUGUAUGAGAUAUUGAGGGGAGUGAGACUAGCUUGGGUUGCCUGUUGUCCAUCCUACCACUUACCAGUUUGUAUGCAUUGUUUGCAGGCUUAGAGCUCUCGACUGAGUUGUUCCUAGCAUUUUGAUUGGUGACCAGGACCUAUUGGGUAGCUGUGUGGACAUCGUUUCAAGCAUGGAGUACUUGUUUGCUCGUUUGAACAAAUCGUCCAUCGUUGCUGGAGGUUUUUUGGCAACAGAUUCAAAAAAGGGUGUACCCGGGCAGAUGCUUCUUUUGAAAAUUUGAAGGACGAUGUCUAUGCUACAAGGUUCUACUUGAAGCACAACAUGUCCGAACCUCUUUACAAACUCUCUCAAUAACUCAUUCUCCUGCAUCUUUAUGAUUUGCAAAGUACUGAUGUUCUGCUUAUGCCGUGCUAAGCACAGAUACUGUCCCACAAAGGCCUCCAACAAAUUCUGAAAAUUAUUCACGGAAUUCAUCAGAAGGCGAUGGAACCAUGAAAGAGACUAGCCAUGGAGGUUAGCUUGGAAGACCUUGCACAACAACGCAUCAUUCCCUAUGUCAAGGGUCAUGAGUUGCCUAUAAUGCAUGAUGUGGUCAAAUGGAUCGUUGGUUCCAUCGUAGGUAGAGAAUUUUGGAACCAUGAACCCUCUUGGAGAGUUGUAGUUGAUGAUGUAAGGGUUGAAAGGUGUGGAGAGCAUGUCAUUCGGUCGCCUACUGACAGAGCAGGGGGAACCCUUGUUGACCGGAUCCCCCACUAGUUGUUGUGCUAGUAGAUGGAUAAGCGAGUCUUUUAUAUCUAGUACAGCUGAGGGUCCAGGACAUGCCUCCUGAGCCGUCGCUACAUGCGGUUUCCCCUCCAUAUUGGGCAUCUAAGGCCCUAACCUUGCGAGCAUUGCAUCCGAUAGCUAGGACUUCUUAUCGUGUUUCCUUUUUGCUGAGAGACGAGUGGAGUCGAAGCUUUCAUCCUACGGUGCGUGACAAGCUGGUGGGGAUCGUUUCUUAGGCUGCAUUUCUUGUUCAUUAGAGGGGAACUCUGCAUACCCAGGAUAUGUCACCUCAUCGUUUUGCCUGGAGUUCGUUUGCUGACUUCUAGGUUGUAGGCUCCGAGGAGGGUCUGAUGAAGACACCUAAAUGCGCAACACUUCGUUCUCUUCCUUGAGUCUCCUCGUCUCAUGGAGCAGGGCUUGCAGUUAUCUCUUGUUCUCGUGCUAGUGUCUUUCCAUACUUUCGCACCAAUUGAAGUAGCCCUCGCUACCCAUGGCUGACGAUCGACUUUUAGAGGGUGUUGACAUCUUUAUUUCAUUCCCAUAGACGACGCCAAUGUUGACGCUAGGUCAACUAAGGAUGGAAUCCCUUGGUUGUGGCAGAAAAAAGGUUCUGUCCAAAUGCUGGAGACUGGGCUUUCGCCUUCCUUACACAAAGAUGUCCGGACAGGUUGUCCGAACACUCUUCGAAGCCUAAGUUAGAGUUUGAAGUGGGUAGGAACCCUUAGAGAGAGAGAGAGAGAGAAAAGAUGGGAAAGUCUUUAGUAUUGCAUACCUGGGUUCUGGUUCCAAAAGGGUUUUUAUAGUGUAUAGGAUGGAGUCACUGUUGUUCUGAGUUGGCAUCUUGGCUUUUGCCAUCAUGAUGGCAGCACAGUAGAUAGAUGGCAGGGUAAUCAUCACCAUUUAGGCAGUUGGUAGGGGUUGCUAGUGGGUACGUCAUGAUGGUUUGCCUAUCACCUCAACCUGUUGGAGGUAUGGGGCAGUGUGUGAUAGUCGUCUAAUAUGGACGUGGAGACAGGGUAAGAUCCCAUCGUUCAUACUUUUGUUAGAAGGAAAUGAUUGCUUGCAGUCGGGAGACAAAGUAACCAUCCGGAAUGCACUGGCAAUUUAAGGAAGCCUAGUACUACCGGUUGUUGGCAUGUAUAGUCUAGACGAGGACCUCUGAGUCUGAUGAUGAUCGUUCGAACAACAUUGAGAGGAGUGCCAUAUGGGUCAGUAGUGGUCUCCCAUGUGUGGGAAGGGUCCCAUAGGGGUGACAAGGUUGGUUGAAGGUAUCAUGGAGGAGGAAAUAUGAGUCCAAUGAUGUUGGUGACUCAACUCUUGUGUGGUUGGGAGGAGGGUGGUGUAGAUGAUAUGAAUCUCAUGUAAGGGUAAAAGAGGGAUAAGUCUAAUGAUAUAGAUGAUCGAAGCAAGAGAAGUACAAAUAACUACAAUUUUUAAUUUUUUUUAUUUAUCUUAAAGGAAAGAGAACAUUUUAUUUAAAAUUAAUAUACAAAAUCACAUGGUUGUAUCAUAUUUUAAUUUUUUUUUCAUUUAUCAUAUAACCAAUUUUUAAUUUAGUAUUUCUUUUCUAACUAUUUAAAAAUGUUAUUGAUAUAAAAAAUUUUAAAAGUCAAAAUUUAGUAUGAACUAAAAAAAAUUAAGUCCAAAUAAAAUUAGUAUUAAAUAUUUAAUACAAAUUUAUAUGAAAAAAUAGAUUUUCUUCUUUAUUUUUAUACACAAAAAUUUAAAAAUUUUAACUAAGCAAAGAUUUAGAACCAUAAUCAAGUUAAAACCAUAAGUAAAAAGCUAAAAUUAUCAUCAUAAAUUAUAAUUUUAACAUGAAAAAUUAAAAAUUAAAAAUAAUAUAAACAUAAAAAUAAUAUCAUAAAGAUAUUUUUACUUUAUUUAGAUGUACUAAAAUUUACAAAAUAAAUAAACAUUCUUUUAGCAUUUAUAUAUAUAUAAAAAAUCUAUCAGACAUAUCUUUUAUCUUAAAUCUCUAAAUAAUAAAAAUCUAAUUUUUAAAUCUUAACCCUACAUUGUGAAAUGUAUUUUUAUAAUUAAUAUUUUAAAUAAUCGAGCAUAUUAUUUGUAGGAUAGCAUUUGUCUUUUUAGUUCAUUUUAUAUUUAAUUUAUUCUCAUUAAUGAUUAUUAUAUAUUAUCAUUUUGUGUCUAAUGUGUUCAAAAAAUGAUUACAAUUAAUGAAUAUAAAAAGAUGAAUAAGUGAAAAGAAUAUGAAAUUAAAGAGCUUUCAUAGGAGAAAGUGUGUCCACUUGAUCAUAUUAAAAAAAAAAAGGUUGAAAUGAAAAGAUAUCAAACACUUCAAAUUAUGAUUUAUCAUACCACAUAUUAAAAUAAAAAAAAACAAUUCAUUUAGCUGUUAUUCAAUUGCAUAUUUUAGAAAUAAUUUUAUACGUUGUUUUUUGGGAUGAAUGACAUUUGAAAGUUGGAAUUCCUAAAAAAAAUAUACAUAUAUUUUUUUGAGUUAAUGUAUGUAAGCAUAAUUCUCCCAAAAACUGGUCAUGCUUCAUCAUAUUGUAUGUUUGUUUUUAUAAUGUGUGGUUAUUCAUCUUUAUAUUUGUGUAACGAAUUGAUAUUUUUAAAUUAAGAGUAUCAAUUGACAAGUAGAUGAAUCAAUUGAUUGGGCAUCUAAGAGACUUAUGUGUAGAAGACUAAAAUUAUAAAUGGGGAGUUAGAAAAUUUUCAUUUAUAUGAAGGUGUUACAACUUUUGUAAUCCUAUUAUUAUGAGAUUUAAUUUGUACAUAAAGUUUAUUAGUAAUGGAAGAAGAUGAAAAAGUAUAACCUAUGCAAUUACAUAAAUGCAUUCAAGUUGGUAAUCCACAAUUAUCCAUUAAUUUGUACAUAAUGUUUAUAAAUAAUGAGUAUAACUCCCAUAUAAUCUUUGAUGCAUGCAAAGACUAAGAGAUAUAAAUCUCUUUUAUAAGAUUAAGGUUCCAAGUCAUACUCUUAUUCUUAUGUCUUUUUGUUGUUUUACUUAGAACAACAUAUGACACAUAAGUGACUUGUCUACUAUAUGACAAUAAUGAGUUGAAGAUCUUAACCAAAACAAUUCAUAAGAUGACUUAGGCUCACUUCGAAAGUAUUAUCGAUAUCAUGGAUGAAGGUAAGAAUAUGGUCAUUAUUUUAUCAUUGCUUUAGCAUUUAUAUCUAUUAUGUUUUAUGCAUCCAAAAUUGAUUUUUCAAAAUAAUUAUUUUCACAUAAAGUUUAGUUAACACAUGCUUUUUUUUAAAAAAAAAAAAUUUAAAAGUUUAAAAAUAAAUUUGCACAAAUCACUUUUAAAUGUUUUUUUAUAGAAAAAAAUUAAAAUAUGAAAGAAUCACAUAUUUUUUCAACUUUGAAAAAUAGAACUAGUAAACAUAUUUAACAUUUAUAGAAAUAAAAAAUUUAUUAAUAUUUUAAAAAUAAAUAAAUAAAAGCAAUGGUGUAUACGAAUAAUACCUUAUUCACCCAAUUUAAUUAUCAUAUGCCCUAAGGACCAAAGUGCCUAACUAAAUUUUUGCUCAAGGUACAAUAAUGCUAAAAAAUCUUUAAUCAAAACAUGGAUCUCACUCUUACUUCUUCCCACCACUUUAAUUUUACCUAACCUCACCCGCAGAAGUUCGUUCAUGUCUUAACUUGAAUCAAGUAUAACUUGUUUGUCUAGUUUGAACCUCAUGUUGCUUAAGUCCCAAAAGGAUAAAAUUUCUUUCAGAAUAUAAUUAUGCACAAAAUCCUCAUUAGGGUUAGAGUUUGCUCCUUCAUUAAUUAUUUAUAAUGGUUUAGGGUCAUAAUAACAUACUUUAUUAUGUUAAAGCGAAGAAUGAUCAAGAGUCCAAGUACUAACAAAUGGCACUUAUGAACCAUAGGUUGAGGAAGUGGCUUGAGCCCAAGCUUGGGGCUUAGGUUAUUUUUUGUUUAGGCAAUACUUAAAUCCAAACUUAAGGGUGACAUUAGAAACAUAUUUCAAUCUCAUAUUUUAUCAUCUUAACUAUUGGACCUAAUUGCACUCAGCAUGGAACUUGUUUAUGCAUUUUGGGAAUCGCAUGCAUUUUAGUACCAAAAUAGCUAUGCAACUUUUUUUUCCACCUAAUUAAGUUCAAAAUUAAGGGGGUGUUUGGUAAAACUUAAUACAUUUUACUAAUGACUUAAAUUGACUUUAAGUUAAAUUAUAUUUAAGUUGUUAACUUAAAAUUUAUUAUUUAAUUCUUACUUUAAGUAUUAAGGUUGUUUAAUAAAAUUAACUUAAAACAUAUUUUAAAUUAUCAAAUUAACAUAUUUAUCAUCAUAAAUUAUAACUAGGGUAUGAAAGGUUGAGUAACAAUGGAGGUGGUGGAGUAGCAAAGGAAAUUGUGGAGGUAACUAGGACAAAGGAGGAUAAAAAAGUAACAUGAAGACAUAAAUUUCAAAAUAAGUUAAUUGUUUUUACUUAUUUCUUAAAAUUAUUUUUGGCUUUAAGUCACAUCAUUAAAUUAUUUUAGUAAAUAUACUUAAUAACCAAAAUUAAGUUAUUAAGUCACUUUAAGUUAUUAAGUUAAUUUACCAAACACCUACUAAUUUUCAAAUUCUAAGUUUAGCUUUGCUUUGUAGUGAAUGCAUUUAGGAUUAUCAAAGAGGUCAUCAAGGGUUUCAAACAUAUUCUAUUGCUCAACUUCUCUAAGAGGGACUUCAGAAGAGAAGAUCCCACAAUUCUAGUUUUGUAUUCGAUUAUAUGUAUCCUACCAUAUGGAGACGGUUCCUCAGCAUGCUGACUUAUUAUUAAGGGUUUCAUGUGAAUUACGUACGCAUAAUAUAACAUAUACAGUUGGAAGAUAUCUCGAGAUUCUGAUUUUAUAUCUGGCCCUCAAAAUUCCCUUGGCAUGCUGAUAUGUCAACUAUUGAAAAGCCUACAUGACUUGUAUAAUUUGAAAAUGACUUCAGUCAUGUGUAAAAAAUAAUAAGAGAUAAGUUUUGAUUAAGGCAGCGAAAAGUAAUUGUGGACUAAUUGUGGACUAACUACUGACUUGUACAAUUUGAAAAUGACUUCAGUCAUGUGUAAAAAAUAAUAAGAGAUAACAUUCAUACAUAGUUUUGAUUAAGGCAGCGAAAAGUAAUCACUGUCAGGUUGUGGACAUUCCACCUAGCUAUUGGAAAGUCUGCACCCAUUUUCUAUAUUCAUGAGCUUUUCUCCUGUUCGAAUUAGUUUUGAAGUUAUCUACAGACAUUAAUUGUGGACUAACUACAUGACUUGUACAAAUUGAAAAUGACUUCAGUCAUGUGUAAAAAAUAAUAAGAGAUAACAUUCAUUAAUUGUGGAUAAAUUGUCUAUAUGACUUUAAAGAAAAAAAGGUCAUAUAAAAACUGAUUGCCUUGUGGAUACGCCUACCAGUAGAUAGCUGAGAACAAGGUCUAACUCUCAACCUUUUGCACUGCCUCUACAAAGGAACACAAAAUUGAGAGAUUCAAAGGCAGCUAUGGUAUAAAUACUGUUUCAUAAAUUACUUUUCAAAUUUAAUUUGGUAGCAAAAAUAAAAAAUAUAAAAGCAUAAAAAAUUUCUUUCAUUCCCAAAAUUUUUGCAAAUAAAAUUUUAAAGUAAUAAAUUAAGACCUUGACUCUUUUCACAUCUUAUUCUCAUUUCUAAAAAAGCAAUGAUAGUAAUAAUCUUAUCUAUAAAUUUUAAAUGAUGUAAGAUCAUUGAAUUUUUAUUUUCUUUUAUCUUCUUGUUAUGUAAUUAUCAAACAUAUUUUUUUUAAGACAAGAAAAAAAUUAGACCAAACAAAUAUAUUUGAUAUUUAUAACAAUUGAAAACAUAAUUCGUAUUUUUCAUUUUAAAAAAUAAUAAAAGCAAAGGUGUAUCAAAACAAUACCUCAUUUGCUUAAUUAGUUAUCACAUUUCCUAAGUACAAAAGUAGGCAAGUAAAUUUUUGCUCAAGUUACAAUAGUGCUCAAAAUCCUUAUCCAAGACUUAGAUCCUAUUUCACAAUUGUUUUUUAAAAUAGUUUUUUUUCUUCCUUAAAACAAAAAAACAAGAAAAUAUGUUUGACAACUGGAAAAUAAGGUUGUGGACCCCGUAUUUCCCUCGAUGUGUUCCCAUUCAAUGGCGAAACUCGUUUUUUUUUAUUUAUUUGGUGAAAAAUCGAUUUUUAGAAAAAAGACUUGGAGUCGCCACUUAUUUUUGUUUUGUUUUUAAAGAGUAAACAAAAUAAGAAAGAAAGCUCUGAGUGUGACUCCUUAUUUUGGAAAAGGUGGUAUGUGAAAAACCAAAUAUGGACUCAGGGGUCAGAUUACUUUUCGGGAAGGUGCGGUAAAAACCGUAACACCCCUCUAAGUCCCUAAAAACAGGUCUCUACUAAUAAAAUGAAACAAGUGUGAAAAAAGAUUGAUCAAUUGUGGAUACCAUACAGUAAUCGAGAGUGUGAAAGCAAGACACGCGUGAUAACAAAUAAAUAAAUAAGCAUAAUCGAGUACGAAGCAUACCUUAAUCGCAAACCGAGAGCUAUUAUAAGAGACAAGAUUAAUGCACAAAUAUGGGAUAAUCACAUGCAUGUCAUAGAGUGAGGCAAGCCAAUCAAGUAUAACAAUCAAUCGAUCAAUGGAAAAUCUCAUAUGUUGGGCCCCACCAAAGCCCGAUUUAUCUUAGCAUAGAUUAACUCCAUAAAUUUCUUUAUUUGAAAUUAUAGAAUUAUUUAUGCUUAUUAAAAAUGUGAAAAUCAGAAAACUAUUAAAAAUCAAGGAGAAUUUAUGAAAAAUGUUUGUCGGAAAGAUAUGUGGCGACCAAUUUUAUUAAAAAUGGAAAAUAUUUAAAAUCAAGAAAAAAAGAAAAAGAAAAAAAGAAAAAAAAAGAAAUGAAUAAAAUAUAAGAAAAUAAAAAAUAAAAAAUAAGAAUGAAAAUAAAAAUAAUAAUAAUAAUAAACAAAUAAAAUAAAAGAUGCAUGACCAGUGGAAAGUGGUAGAGAUUGACUUAUUAGAAUUGGAUUUAUUUAAAACCAAGAGAGAAAAAUUGAAGAAUUAAAACCAUUUGAAAAACAAGAUUUUUUAUUUUUUUUUAUAAAAUUGAUUUUUGAAGGCGUGUAUGAAACUAUAGGAGAUGAGACACGUGUCUUAAGGAUGACCUAUCAAAGGUGGAUGCAAGGGGUCUUGUGCAGUACUGGUGGUCGAAUAUGGGAUACCAACAACUGAGAGGGCCCAGAUGACUACUGUGGGUCCGGAUGGUACAGAAUGUCUCUUUCCUUGUGGACCCCUGCAUCCCUUUCCAGCCUAAGUCAACCCCCGAAGCUAUCCAAUUCAGCCAUUUGGGUCCGAAAAUCCUCCUUAGUUUUGAUGUUGAUAUCACCAUCUUCUUCAACCUCAACUCUUCCAACAUCAGGUAAGCCAUAGCCAUGGCAGUGACCUACGGAUAAACGUUACCUCCCCACCCAUCCGGCACCAGAUUAAAGCCUGCAGAAUGCGGCUUCCCCUUCAGCCCUACUGACCGGAGCUCCGAGAGCCGCCUGAUCACUAUCCCAAGGCUCACAGCGUAGUAGUACCCGAUGAAGAUCUGUCACGGGCUCCACCGUUCCACCUCAUACCACGAUUUGCACACCACAAAUAUCACGUUUCGGUCCUUAUCGAUAGGAAUGAAAGAAAACACAUUCUCCAAAACCUCUUCCGGAAACGAGUACGCCAUUAAAAAUUUUUUCUUGGAGUCCCGAAUUCACAAACAAACCCUAAACCGGACUUUUCGAAGUCUCAAAUCUGAGAUGCCAUUAACAAGCUCAGUUGCAUAAUACAUCUUUCCGUUCAUUUCCCCAUUGGCUUUGUCCCUGAAGUAUUUGCAGCCCGACAGCUUGUAGGGGAACCUCACUGACAUAUCGUGUUCGGUCUUCUCACUCACCACGACAAGGCGAUAAAGAUAGAGUUGGAAAGGCGAAUCAAGAGGCAGCUUUAAGUGAUCGAUUUUAGAGAAAGAACCCGCUUCCUCCAUUCCCUCAUUGGAUGAAAUUUUGGAUAAUCGUUCACCAAUUCUAACUUUCAUCUUCACCAAGUCUCGAUGCUUCUUCUUUAAUAAGUGCAACGAAUCUGCAUGUCGGGAGACCAAAUUCUCACGACGCAUAAUAAAAGAAUUUGCACCCGCCGUUACCGAUCCUUCUCCUUUGAUACCAACUCAUCCAUAACUAUGUCAUUUAAUCACUUCUCCAUUUGACCAUCCAUUCCGAACAUGCCCAGAAAAUCAUUGCUACUUGUUAAGAUAUUAGGAAUGCUUUCCUUAUAUCAUUUUUUCCUUAUGUCAUUCAGUGUUAGGAUAUUAGGAAUGUUUAGAUAUUAGGAAAGUUAAGAUAUUAGGAAUAUUGACAUAUUAAGAAAAUUGAGAUAUUAAGAAUAUUGAGAUAUUAGGAAAGUUGAGAUAUUAGGAUAUUAGUUGUUAUUUCCUUAUAUUAUUCUUUCCUUGUAAUUCUUUCCCAUUCUUAGAAUGGUGAUUACCCUCUAUAUAUACUCUGUACAUGAACGAAUGAAAGUAUGAAUGAAAAACUACCAUUCAUCAAUUUGAAGAUGGUAUCAGAGCCAUGGAACUGAAAUCUUGGAUAUUUUGUUGGUAAGGCCAACCAUCGUCCCUCCUUUGCGAGAGAAAAAAGAAAAAAAUGAGUGAAAAAAAUACUAUUGUUUUUCAAUCUGAAGGUACUUUCAAUCCAGGAAUUAUUUUGAAUGAAUCAAACUAUGACGUUUGGUCACAACUCGUGGAGAUGCAUAUUGCCGAACGGGAAAAACUUUCCUACAUUCGAGGUAAGAUAAAUCUACCAAAAGAGUCAAAAGAUGGAUAUGAAAAAUGGUAUGCUGAGAAUCAAAAGGUGAAAAGAUGGUUGUUAAUGUCCAUGAGUCCAGAAAUUAUGAAGCAUUACUUACACUUACCCACCGCUCAAGAAAUUUGGAGUGCAUUAUCAAAGGCCUUCUAUGAUGGAAGUGAUGAAUUACAAGUUUUCACUUUGAAUCAAAAAGCCUUCACUGCCAAACAAAACAGCAGGUCUCUUUUUGAAUAUUAUGGGGAGUUAACUGAAAUUUUUUGCGAAUUGGAUCAUUGGGAUAAGGUAGUCAUGAAAGACCCUGAGGACAUUGCAGCAUACCGGAAAUCCAUUGAACGACAACGGGUGCACAUCUUUCUUGCUGGAUUUGGUGGUGACUUUGAGCAAGUUCGAGGAGAGAUUCUACGCAAAGAUCCUCUUCCCGAUUUGGAAGAAUGCUAUGCAUUGAUUCGACGAGAGGCAGUGCGUCAUGCUAGUAUGAAAGCAGAAUCUGACAACCCUGACACCUCAGCUAUGGUAGUCCGACAACAAUCAACCCGAAAUUGGCAGGACCAAUCCAAGACCAACUAUCCUAAGACAAACCCUAAUAUUGAUAAGUCAACCUUCAAAUGCACUCACUACAAUAAGGCUGGUCAUACCAAGAGUCGUUGCUUUGAAAUUGUGGGAUAUCCAGACUAGUGGGAUCACAAUCGUGAUCAAUGGAAGAAGGAUUCCAAGAAAACCUCAACUGCAGCUGUUGCUAAAAUAAAAACAGAGGCUAAUGUUGAUGAGAAAGCCUCUGCAUUGGUAGCCGCUACAGAUUAUGGUGGUAAGUUUUUAAAUACUUCUACACAUGUCAUUAAUAGUGCAUGGAUAAUUGAUUCUGGUGCUAUAGAUCAUAUGACUUUUGAUUCUAGACAAGUCUCACCCCUUAGACCUUCCUCACAAAAAAUUGUUUACACAGCCAAUGGUAACAUAACCCCAGUCAUUGGGGAAGGAUCCUUAACUCUUACUGAUACUUUGAAUUUGGAUUCUAUUUUAGUUGUUCCAUCCUUAAAUUACAAUCUUUUGUCAGUUUAUCAAAUCACUGCAGCCUUAUCUUGUAUUAUCAUUUUUUGGCCUGAAUGUUGUGUUUUUAAGGACAUCCAAACAAGACAGACGAUUGGUUGUGGUAUUAAGCGGGGAAAACUCUAUUAUUUGGACUUGCAGUAAAAGGAUUCAAAUAAGUUGUGACAAACCUUGAUGGCAGAUGGAUCUGAGGGGGAGAAGAAAAAGUCUGAAAUUUGGUUGUGGCAUCGACAUCUAGGAUAUGCUUCCUUUGGUUAUUUAAAAAAAUUGUUUCCUAGUUUGUUUGCAAAGAGUGAUAUUUUUGGUUUCGGUUGUGAUAUUUUUGAAUUGGCUAAAAGCCAUCGUGCUUCGUUUCCAUUAAUUUUGAAUAAAAGUCCGUCUCCUUUUAUGGUUAUACAUUCUGAUGUUUGGGGCCCAUCCAAAGUCCCAACUUUGAGUGGUUCGCGUUGGUUUGUUACUUUUAUUGAUGAUUGUACCAGAAUGACAUGGUUAUGCUUGAUGAAGACCAAAGAUGAAGUGAACUUGUUGUUUCAAAAUUUUCAUAAAAUGAUUUAAACUCAGUACAAUGCAAAGGUUCGGGUUCUGCGUAGUGAUAAUGGUGGAGAAUAUCAGAGUUUUGAUCUUCAAAAGUAUUUGGAAGGACAUGGCAGCAUUCAUCAAACUACUUGUUCCAAUACACCCCAGCAAAAUGGAGUCGCUGAACGAGAAAAUCGGCAGUUGUUAGAGGUUGUUCAUGCUUCCUUGAUAGCAGCAAAAAUACUGAUAUCUUAUUGGGGAGAAGCAAUCAGAUCUACCGCAUACUUGAUCAAUCGGGUACCUUCUAGCUCAAUUAACUUCCAAACACCUUUCCAAGCUCUUACUAAUGCCAUAGUUGCCCCAACCAUCCCAAAUCUACCUCCUCAUGUUUUUAGUUACGUUGCAUUUGUGCAUCUACACAAACACCAACGCACCAAGUUAACUUCUCAUGCAUUGCAAUGUGUGUUUGUUGGAUAUGCAUUGCACAAAAAGGGAUAUUGAUGUUACCAUCCUCCAACUCGACAAAUGUUUAUUACAAUGGAUGUGGUGUUUCAUGAAGAUUCGAUGUAUUUUUCAUCUAAGUCUGAACUUCAGGGGGAGUACCAUAAGGAAAUUCAGACUCUCAAUUAUGAUUAUCAUAUCUCUGAGGAUGAGGAAUCUGGAAAUCUGAACUAGUGAACAAGGAAGCGGGUGAGUUGGAUAUGAGUGGUCAACAAUUUGGGUCCGAAGAUGUUUUCACUGAAAUACCAAACCAAUCGUCGUCUGUUGAGGGUGUUCUUAAUUUGGAACCCGAUCCAUUCAUGAAACGGUUACCACACCAUCAUAAUAAAGGUAUUCCUAAACCCACAUAUGAACCUGAAUUGUCUACCAAAGUCAAAUAUCCCAUGAGCAACUAUGUGUCUAACCAUCGUUUGUCAGAAUCAAAUAAGUCAUUUGUAAAUCAAUUAUCUACUGUAGCAUAUUCCUAACAGUNNNNNNNNNNNNNNNNNNNNNNNNNNNNNNNNNNNNNNNNNNNNNNNNNNNNNNNNNNNNNNNNNNNNNNNNNNNNNNNNNNNNNNNNNNNNNNNNNNNNGCAACCAAUUCGAUUGUUUUGUGAAAAUAAAGCCGCAUGUGACAUUGCUAAUAAUCUAGUACAACAUGAUCGUACAAAGCAUGUCGAGGUGGAUAGAUUCUUUAUUAAGGAAAAGUUGGAUGACAAGAUUGUGGAAUUGCCUAAGAUUCGAUCAGAAGAUCAAUUGGCCGAUAUCCUCACCAAAGCUGUCUCAAGUCAAGUAUUCUAAAAAAUUUUAGACAAGUUGGGCAUGUGUGACAUCUAUGCACCAACUUGAGGGGGAGUGUUGAGAUAUUAGGAAUGCUUUCCUUAUAUCAUUCUUUCCUUAUGUCAUUCAGUGUUGGGAUAUUAGGAAUGUUUAGAUAUUAGGAAAGUUGAGAUAUUAGGAAUAUUGAGAUAUUAGGAAAGUUGAGAUAUUAGGAUAUUAGUUGUUAUUUCCUUAUAUUAUUCUUUCCUUGUAUCAUUAUUUCUCAUUCUUAGAAUGGUGAUUACCCUCUAUAUAUACUCUGUACAUGAAAAAAUGAAAGUAUGAAUGAAAAACUACCAUUCAUCAAUUUGAAGACUACUUCAUGUUCAACACUUUAAAAAAAAUGACGAUGUCAGGUGUGGUGUUGAAUACAGGAUGAAAAUGAGGAGCACGAUGGUGAGAUAAGUGGAUUGACGGGCAUUAAAAAGAAUGGUGACAUGUAUGGGUAUGGAAAAUGUGGAUCAUGAGUGGUUGAAGGAAAUGGUGAAAACGGUGGGAAAGAUAAAGUUGUGUGCAUAGUAAGGGUGUUGGCUGCUUGCAGUGGGUAAGAUUGAUGAAGAAAAUGGGCAUGAUGAGUAGGAGGUGCAGAGCAAUGAAGAUGACCUUGCAUAGGGGAAAAAGUGUGGUGGAGAAAUGGGAAGAAUGAAAACAGGUAGUGAGAGAAACAGAAAUGAAAGGUGAUCAUGCAUGCAUGAGGAUAGAUGGGUAGCGAAGGAAGUGGGUUUACAGGGUGCUGAAAGAAAUGGGUGUGUAGGUUGAAUGGAAGGUGGAGAUGUGGGGCGUGGUGACGGGUAUGAUUGACGGGCUCGGUGGGUAUGAGAAGAAGGAAGAUUGGAUAAUAGGAGAAAUGGGUAUGGAAGAUGGCCAUGUUUGCAUGAUUCCCAUGCAUGUGUGGAGCUUCAGGCGUGCACGUGAGAAAUGAUAGAAAUGAGGUAAAGGUUGGUUGGAUGAAUGAUGAGGGNNNNNNNNNNNNNNNNNNNNNNNNNNNNNNNNNNNNNNNNNNNNNNNNNNNNNNNNNNNNNNNNNNNNNNNNNNNNNNNNNNNNNNNNNNNNNNNNNNNNNNNNNNNNNNNNNNNNNNNNNNNNNNNNNNNNNNNNNNNNNNNNNNNNNNNNNNNNNNNNNNNNNNNNNNNNNNNNNNNNNNNNNNNNNNNNNNNNNNNNNNNNNNNNNNNNNNNAUGGUAUAGGAGAAACGAGCAUGGGGUUGGUAAGAUGGGUUAGUGUGGCCAUGUAUGGCCAUGCAAAGGUGGGAAGCAAUGAGAUUGAGAAGAGUGAAAACGGGUAGAGAGAAAAAUGGGUAUGAAAGAUGAGUAUGUGAGGAUUGAAAAUGGAAUGAGGUGUGAAAGUUUUAGAAACUAGGUUUCAGAAAACCAAUAUUUCUCAUUGUCUAUUACGAAAAGAUGAUAAGUGCUUGUACACUGAUGUUUUUUAUAUUUAUAUCUACAACAACCUAACUAACUAACUUCCUACUUCAAGACGUUCUUAACCAGCUUUUGUUUGUUGCAGUUGACCCUGGUUUGUUGCAGCUGAUCUCGGUUUGUUGUAGCUGACCCUGGACAGUUACUUUCUUGUUGAUUAGCUAGGUAUUGUCUAUCAUCCCCCCGCAAGCUCAUAGGGGAGGGAACAACAGAAAGCUUCGUUCUAAAACUAAGGAACUGGGAGCUUGAAAUAUUUUUAGUGAAAAUGUCAGCAACCUAUUCAGAGGAAGGAAGAUACUGAAUGAUGAGCUGUUUACGAAGAACGUGAUCCCAUAUAAAGUGAAGAUCCAUUUCAAUGUGUUUGGUCCUAGCAUAGAACAUGGGAUUUGCAGCCAAGUGAGCUGCACUUUUAUUAUCACACCAAAGUAGAGGUGGAGAGGAGGAAAGAGACAAAGUUCCUAUAAAACAUAUUGAAUCCAAAUAAUCUCCGAAGUAGCAGACGUAAGAGCACGAUACUCAGAUUCUGCACUGCUGCGAGACACAACCUUUUGUUUCUUGGAAGACCAUGACACUAAAUUCGGACCAAGGAAGAUGCCAUAGCCACCAGUGCUUCUUUGUCAUCUGAACAAGAUGCCCAGUCGACAUCAGUAUAUCCAUGAAUAUCCAACGAGGUGGACUACUGCAUUUGAAUGACAUAGGAUAAAGUGCCUUUGAGAUAUCGCAAAAUCCGUUUCACAGAAAGUUAGUGAGUAGUAGUGGGCGUAGCCAUGAAUUGACAAGCUUUAUUAACGACAAAAGAAAUGUCCAGUCUGGUAAGGAUAAGAUACUAAAGCGCACCAACCGUGUUGCGAUAUAAGGCGGCAUCCGAGAGAGGUUCACCAUUAAGAUGAGAUAACAUUUGUCCUAACAAUCCCGGAGUAGUAGCAGGGUUGGGGUCUAACAUGGCUAUGCGAGUUAAAAGGUCUUGUAUGUACUUGUGCUGACUGAGAUGAAACAUAGUACCAUAACGAACGACUUCAAUGCCCAGAAAAUAAUUGACAUAGCCCAGGUCACGAAGAGCAAAAGAAGAAUUGAGUUGAGUAAUAAAUGAGGAAACCUAAGCUGAAUUGCUACCAGUUACUAGUAUGUCGUCUACAUAAAUGAGUAAAAUAAGGACAUCAUGUGUUGAAUGAUGAAUAAAUAUCGAGCUGUCAGCUCGAGAAGCUUGAAAUCCCCAGCCAAGAAGUGAAGUGUUGAGUUUGGUAUACUAUGCCCGGGGGGCCUGCUUAAGGCCAUAUAAAGCCUUGUUAAGCUUGCAAACAUGAGAAGGAAAUUGAGAAUUGAUAAAGCUUGGGGGUUGAUGCAUAAACACAUGCUCUUCAAGAUCUCCAUGGAGAAAGGCAUUCUAAACAUCAAGUUGGUGAACUGACCAUUUAAAUGAGAGUGCAACUGCAAGUAUAAUACGGAUAGUAGAAGCCUUGACAACUGGACUAAAAGUCUCAAAAUAAUCGAGAACCAGAGUUUAAGUAAAUCCUUGUGCAACUAUCCGGGCCUUAUAACGAUCAACUGUUCCAUCGGGUUUAUAUUUGAGUUUGUAGACCCAUUUGCAACCAAUUAUAUUGCCAUUGGAGGGUGGUGGAACAAGAUGCCAUGUGAUGUUUCUUUGGAGAGAAAAAAACUCUUUUUCCAUGGCAAGAACCCAAUUUGAAUCUUUAACAGCCUAUGUGAAUGUAGUAGGUUCAGAAAUGUGAGAUGAGAAGUAGGCCUUCUUCUUGCUAAUGCCAUUCUUUGCAUGUGUGACCAUGGGAUGCUGAUUAGUAGGGUGAGGUUCAAAAGUGGAGAUGUUAGCAAAAGGAACUUGUAUCAGGUUUGGUAAAGAAGUAGUGGAGGAAGGCAUAUUAGUUAAUGGUGGGCUUGAAGUGGAAGGAGUUGUAUGGGAAGGUAGUGAGGACAUGGGAGGAGAUGAGCAAGGAAGAAGGGCUGGAGUGGGGAAAAUAACUACAUAUGAGAUUGAUCCAGAGUAGACUGAAAUGGGAACACCGUUUCAUGAAACACAACAUGCCUAGUAACAUAGAGACGGACUGACAAGGGGUCAAGACACAUAUAGCCUUUGUGAUCGAAACUAUAGCCAAGGAAGACGCAUUGAUUGGAGCGAUAGGAGAGUUUAUUUUUGUUGUAUGGUCGAAUAUAAGGGUAGCAUAAGCAACCGAAAAUUUUAAAGAUGUGAUAAUUUGGUGAUUUGAUAAAAAGAAUUUGAAAAUGAGAUUGAUAAUUGAGAACCUUAGUAGGUAGCUGAUUUAUAAGGAAAAUAGUUGUAUGAAAUGCAUAUAGCCAAAACUUGAAAGGUAAUGAUGCGGUGGCUAAUAAAGCAAGACCAAUUUCAAUUAUAUGUCGUAAUUUGCGCUUUGCUCGACCAUUCUGUUCAGGUGUGUAUGGACAAGAAAACUGACUUUUAAUACCAUGCAUAGCAAGAUAUGAAGAGAAGGCUUUAAAUUCACCACAAUAAUCAGACUGUAAACAUUGUAUCCGAGAAUUAAACUGAUUUUCAACUAGACUUUUGAACUUUAUGAAUACAGAUAAUGCUUGAUCUUUGUUGUGCAAUGGAUAAAUCCAAGAGAAACGAGAGAAAUCAUCAACAAACAAAAUGAAGUAGCGUGCACCAGUUGUGGACGGAAUGGAAGCAAGGCCCCAAAGAUCAGCAUGAAGUAAAGCUAAAGGAUGAGAAGCUCUAGAAACAGACACAUUGAAAGGCAAUUUAUGACUUUUUGCAAAUUGACAAGCACAAUAGACGUUGUUUUUAUGGCAUUUAUGUGAAAUAUUACAAGAGGUAAGAAUGUGUAAAGAGAUUUGCAUCCCCUCAAGUGUUGAGGUGAGAUUCAUUGGAAGGACACGAGAUGCUACAUCAUGGAUGUAGAAUGCAAUGUAAGCAAGCAUUGGAGAGUAAGUCUUAAGGUAAUGUUUUGCAAGUAAAUCUACUUAUUACAUUAGCAUAUAAUGGAAUAUAGAUUUAAAGUCUCUAACCUAACUCAUUGGUUUUUUUUUUUUUUUUUUUUUUUAUCUCUACACAUUGUGAGAAGGUUUUCUACAUAAAAAACUCUUUUUCAAUCUUAUGUUUGAUUGUUUUUUAGGCUUCUCUAAUUUAGAAUUGAGAUAGUUUAAUAAUUAAAUAUAUUUAAUUUAAGGCUUAAAAGGGUUAAACACCUAUUCACCCCUAGGUGUCAUACUAUAUCAAAUAACUUUCAAUGUUGGUGAAGUUUCUUCUUCAAAAGAGCUUUAACACGUGAUUGUUCUUCAAGGGAGCUUCCAAAGAGCUCAAGGGGCCUUUUUCUUAUCCAAUGUUUUAAUCUCACUCUCAACCAAUGGUAAAAGAAUAAACUUAAUCAUUAAAGAUUAAAGCUAACCAUGAAAGUAUCCAACUCACCUCGACAUAUGUUUUGGAUUUUUUUCAAGAAAGAAUGCAAGAGAGAUGAUUGAGAUGCUUCUAAGAGGAGAGUGUGAGGACAUAUAAAGGACAUUUUGUGCAAGUAAAGAAUCAUUUAUUUUCCAAGGAGAUAUACUUGCUUCUUCACUGAACUGGGAAUGGAUUUAAAUAGCUCCAUUGGGAAUGUAAAUGAAUAAAUAAAAGAAAAGAAAAAUGUGUCCAACAAUUUAUUGAAACCGUAAAGUGGAAGUAAUACAAGACCAUAAUGGGAAAUCCCACAUAUGUAGUAGUAUUUGGGCUUUGUAGUAUUGAAACUUUGGUAUAAGAAAUUUGAAAAUACUUCUAUAUAAUUAUUUUUUUUAAAAAAGUAGAAUAAGUUAGUCCUUUCGACAUAAUUGAGGCAUUAAAUUUUAAGCACUCUAAAAUUAUAAUCUUUACAAAUAAUAAAGAAGUUUUUGUAUCGAGACCAACUGAAUAUGAUUUGUAUGUUCUUAAUUUUCAUUUUCUUAUCUUUUGUCUUCCUAUACCUACAAGCCUAUUUAGAGAAAGACCUUUUAUCAAAAAAUGAGAGCUUAGAGUUAUUUCCCUCUGAAAAGAGAGUGGAUCAGAAGAUCUUUAUUGAAUAUAGGGUUUCUUCUAAAAUGAGAUGAAGUAAAUUAGCAACUCUGAACAAUCUAAAGGAAAAGGAAUUUGAGUUAAGUUGAUGGGGCGUAUGACACUUUAUUGGGACUUUAAAAGAUAUUUUCUCUUUCACGCUAUCCUUUGAAAUUGAGUUGUGUCCGCUUUCAACUUAAUUUUUUUCUCUCUGUUUUUCUAAUGAAAAUAUAUCUUUUGUUGGGGGAAAUAUUUUGUUGAAUAUAUAUAUUCAAAUGGAAGGUAAACGAAAAAAAAGUGAUAAAAAAUGGGUGUGAUGAAAUUUCAAAUUAUUAAUCAUCAUAUGUAUUUAACCUAAAUCCUAAAAAAGUGAAUGAAAUUAACUCAUUAAAUUUGUUAAAUACCACUUUUUAUAAAUAAAUUUUGAAUCAUGUAGCAUUCAAAACAAAAAUUUUGUAAAAGAUAUAAUUAACGAUAACAUGAAAUUAUUAAAAUAUUUAAAAUUAAAUAAUAUAAAGAAACAAUAAAAUGGUUCAUUUAUGUUGUUAGAACCUUUGUUUUAAAAACUGGUCGCUCCGAUCAGUCGGAUGGUCCAUCAAUGCCCUUUCCAGUCCGAUCUAGGGAAAUGGACAUAGACAACUGACAAUCAGACCAUCAACCAUUCUUCAUGGACCGGUCAAGGUCAAAACCUAAAUGGGUUUGCCCAAAUCCAUUCAUUCCUAACCUAUGUGCUUGUUCCCAAGGUUUGCAAGUAUAAAUACCCAUCUAUUGGCCUAAAUUCAUUCAUUUCAAGCCCAUUUGCUUGUUCUCAAGGUCUACAGGUAUAAAUACCCUAUAAGUGGUUUAUAGAUUUCCGAUGUGGGAUGAGUUUUGAUAAUAAUGAAAGGAGCUUUGCAUGGUAGGGAAUUGAACCUAGGACUUAUUUUUAACAAAAUGAUAGCACACCACUAUGCUACAAAGCUAUUUGAUUAAUAAUUUGAUAAAUAUCUAUAUCUCUGUUUUUUAAUUUCUAUCAUAUAAAACAUUUAAACAAAUAUAAAUAUUUAUAUCUACUAUUACUUUUAUAAUAAUUAUUAAUUAUAAACAUGAAAAUAAUAUAAAUUAAUCAAUAUAAUAAUUUUUAAAAUUUUAAAAUAACAAAAUACAUAGAUAUAUAAUUAAAUUAAAUAUUAUAAUUUUCUUUUCAUAUUUAAAUAUUAUACAGAUUCUAUUUAAUAAAAUUUAAUAUAUUAAUACAUUUAUAUUUAUAUUUAUCAUUUAAUUUGACAUAUUGAACAUAAAAAAUAAAAUAUUAUUAAAAAAAUUUAAUAAAAUAUAUUUUAAUUUAUUAUAAUUUUAUUAAAAUAUAAAUUAUAUAUUUAUAAUGUCAUUGAUUCGAUCGCGGUUUGACCAUUGGUUCAACUAGUGAAUCGUGAACUAGUAACUUUUUCGGUUCAAUAUUCGGUCCGAUUUUGAAAACAUUAGUUAAAACUUUUUUAUUUAUAGAAAAUGCUAAUUAUGCUUUAAAGUUGUAGGAUGUUAAAAGCCCAAAUACAUACCUACAUAUUUUCUUAUUUAUCUCCUAGUAUCUUUACCAAGUGAUAGAUAUAUUGGUGGCCAAGCAUUGUCAUCAUCAUUAUUUAUCUCCUAACAUCUUUAUGAAGUGAUUGGUGUAGGAAGAGUGUAAAUAAUUUUUAUUUUUACUUUAUUUUAUUCAAUUAGUUUUAUAUUUUCUGGGAAGAUUCCUAUUGGGAAUUAUUUUUAUUUUAUUUUAUUCUAUUAGUCUUAUAUUUUUGGGAAGAGUCCUAUUGGGAUUGUGCUAGUGGAGUCCCAUUCCUUUUAUAAGUAGAAUCCCCUUCCACUUUGAGUCAUGUUUUGAUUACAAGUAGAUUCCCAUUAGGACUGUGUUAGUGGCCUAUAAAAGCAGGUCACCUUUCACUCUCUAUAUACCAAUACCAAUUUUUCAAAGAAUUUUUCAUAGAGUUUUUCAAAGAGUCUUUUCAUACAUCUAUCUAGAUGAUUUUUUUCAAAAACCCGAGUUGUAUACAUCUCGCUUACAGAGUGCACCCAAGGCGAGAUCUGGGUGUUGAAUCCCGGAGAUAGACCAUUGGUACCUUAGUGUACCGAAUUUGUCUUCGAGGAGGGUGGAUCUAUUUCAAGGAUAGUGUUUGUCAUGCCUCAGUCAAUAAGUUUUUCUUAUUAAUUAUGUUCUUUGUUUGUGUCUUUUGGGCUAGUCAUUUGUUUCCAUACCCUUAAUCCAACAAUCUUGAAAUAUAUCCAAAUGUAAGCUUCUCUAGUUCACACCUGUCCUGACACCUCUAAAAUUGAUCCCUUCAAUGGCAUAUUCUUUAAGAGAUGGCAACAAAAGGUUUUAUCUGCAAUUGAUGUAGUGAACUUGGAACACAUUUUGAUUGACCCAAUACCAGAAGAUGGUUAUCAUUUGUUACCAACCUGGGAAUCCGGAAAUAAACAAGUUAGCAUGCUAUUCUAAGUACCCUUUCUAAUGAACUUUUUGAUAUUUAUUGUCAAUUUAAAGUUGCAAAAGAAAUUUGGGAUGCAAUAAAUAAAAAAUAUAGUUUGAAAAAUGCAGGAACUCAGAAAUAUGCCAUAGGGAAUUUUAAAAUUUUCCAAAUGACUGAGGAUAGAGAUGUAUCAUCUCAAAUCCAUGACUACCACUUGUUGAUUAAUGACUUAGCUAUUGAAGACAUUAAAUUACCCGAACCUUUUGUAGCUGGUUAUUUAGUAGAGACUUUUCUAGAGUCUUGGAAAAACUAUAAAAAUAACAUGAAACAUAAAAGGAAACAAAUGUCUCUAGAGGAUGUCAUAAUCCAUAUUAAGAUUGAGGAACAAAACCGAAAUAGGGACAAUGCUGAGAAAGUUAAGGAAUUGUCUUCUAAGGCUAAUGUAGUAGAAGAAAAACCUAAACCCAAAAACAAUAGGUUCAGGAAACAAAACUCUAGGAACAUCCCAUGCAUCAAACAAGAUCCAAAACCCAACUAUUAAAAAAAAAAGAAAAAAGAGUAAGGAUCUUGUUUGACUUUAAUAAAAUAGUUUUAACCAAGAAUGAUGCAUUUGUGGGGAAGGGCUAUUGUAAUAAGGGUUUAUUUAUGUUGAAUGUUUCUAAUAUUAUCAAUAAUAAUGCAUCUUCUUCUUUUUCUGCUUACGUAGUUGAUUCUUGUGAUAUUUGGCAUGGUAGACUAGGACAUGUGAACUUUUCAUAUCUGAAGAAAAUGGUUGAAUUGAGUUUAAUCCCUAAAUUGUCCUUAGAAAACCAUGGAAAAUGUGAAUCUUGUGUAGAAUCUAAAACCACAAAGAAAUCUUGUAAAUCAGUUAAAAGAGAAUCAGAUCUACUAAGUUUAAUACACAGUGACUUAGAAAACCUAAAAAAUACAAUGACUAGAGGUGGUAAACAAUUCUACAUAACUUUCAUAGAUGACUACUCAAGGUAUACAAGGGUAUAUUUUUUGAGAAACAAAGAUGAAGCAAGAUAUGCUUUCAUCAAGUACAAAAAUGAAGUGGAAAAUCAACUAAGUAAGAAAAUUAAAAGACUUAGAACUGAUAGGGGAAGAGAGUAUGAGUCCAACCCCUUUAAUUCUUUUUGUGAAGAUCAUGAGAUCAUUCACAAAACUACUCCUUCUUAUUCCCUUGAGUCUAAUGGAGUAGCAAAAAGGAAAAAUAGGACCUUAAAAGAAAUGAUGAAUGCAAUGUUGGUAAGUUCAGGAGCACCCUUGAAUUUGGGGGGGGGGGGGGGGGGGGGGNNNNNNNNNNNNNNNNNNNNNNNNNNNNNNNNNNNNNNNNNNNNNNNNNNNNNNNNNNNNNNNNNNNNNNNNNNNNNNNNNNNNNNNNNNNNNNNNNNNNAUAUUCAAUAUAGAAUACCUUAUAAGAAAACUGGAAAAACUCCUUAUGAGUUGUGGAAGGGUUAUGUACCUAAUAUAGCAUACCUGAAAGUGUGGGGGUGUUUAGCUAAAGUUCUUUUCCCUAAACCUAAAAAAUGAAAACUAGGUCCUAAAACCUUUGAUGCAAUGUUCAUUGGCUAUGUUGAGAAUAGUGCGACAUAUAGGUUUCUUGUUACUAAGUCAGAAAACAGUCUUGUAGAUGUCAAUACUAUAAUGGAAACAAGGAGUGCAGAUUUCUUUGAAAACAUCUUUCCUAUGAAACUAAAUGGUGAACAACAAGUUUAGAAAACAAGUAGAGACAAGUCUAUUGAACUUUCUGAAUUUGAACCUAGAAGGAGUCAAAGUGAUAGGAAAGAAACAAACCUUGGAGAUGGUUUCUACACCUUCCUAAUAGAUGAGGACCUUGAUCCUAUAAAGAAGCUACAACUUUUCCUGAUGCACCAUUCUGGAAUGAGGCCAUUAAUAAUGAAAUCGAAUCAAUCAUGUAUAACCAUACAUGGGAGUUAGUAGAUUUACCUCCUGGUGCAAAGACUGUUGGCUGUAAGUGGAUCUUUAAAAGAAAGUUAAAACAUGAUGGGUCCAUAGAGAAGUAUAGAGCUCAUUUAGUUGCCAAAGGCUUUAAACAAAGGAAGGAUGUAGAUUACUUUGACAACUUUGCCCCUGUGACUAGAAUAACAUCAAGUAGAGUAUUGAUCGCUUUAGCUUCCAUUCAUAAUUUGGUUAUACACCAAAUGGAUGUCAAGACUAUAUUCUUGAAUGGGGAUUUGGAAGAGGAAAUUUAUAUGGAACAACCUGAGGGUCGUGUAGUUCCAAGGAAGAAGAAAAAGGUGUGUAAGUUGGUUAAAUCACUAUAUGGGUUAAAACAAGCUCCCAAACAGUGGCGCAACAAGUUUGAUCAUGUGUUAGUAACUAAUGGAUAUUCCAUUAAUGAUGUUGAUAAGUGUAUCUAUAGUAAGUAUGAGGAUAACACAUGUGUAGUCAUCUACCUUUAUGUUGAUGACAUGUUGAUCUUUGGAACUAGCUUAGAGGUGGUGUGUGAGACCAAGAAAUUCCUAGGUCCUAUGUUUGAUAUGAAAGACCUAGAAAAGGCAAAGGUGAUUCUAGGAAUUAAAAUAACUAGACCACUAAUGAGCUUAAACUUUCUCAAGAGCACUAUGUUGAAAAAAUCCUAAGGAAGUUUGAACACUUUUAUUGUAAACUAGUGUCAACUCCUUAUGAUCCCAUCUCACUGCUGAAGAAAAAUAGAGAACAUAGUGUUGCCAAAUAGAACAUGCUCAGAUCAUAGGGAGCCUAAUGUACUUUAUGAACUAUACCAGACCUGACAUUGCUUAUGCAGUAGGUAGAUUGAGUCGAUACACCCAAAGUCCUAAUCAGGACCAUUGGACUUUUGUUCGUAGAGUCCUUAAGUAUUUGAGAGGCACUAUUAACUAUGGUUUGUGCUUUGUGGAUUUCCAAGUGUCCUUGAAGGAUUUAGUGAUGCAAAUUGGAUCUCAGAUUCAGAUGUGAUGAAAUCCACUAAUGGAUAUGUUUUCAUCUUUGGUGGAAGUAUAGUUUCUUGGAAGUCUACCAAUCAAACUUGCAUUACUCGGUGUACUAUGGAGGCUAAGUUUAUUGUCUUAGAAAAUGCAAGUUUUGAGGCUGAGUGGCUUAGAAACCUCUUAGCAUAUAUCCCUUUAUGGACAAGACCAACCCUAUCUGUGUCUAUGCGUUGUGAUAGCCAAGCUACAAUUGCUAAGGCUAAGAGUAAAAAUAUUUAAUGGGAAUAAUAGGCAUAUACGGCUAAGGCACAAUAUUGUGCGGUAGCUUCUUGAAACAGAGGUUAUAUCCCUAGAAUUUGUGAGGUCAGAGUUGAAUUUGGUUGAUCCUUUUACCAAACCACUAAAUAAGAAACUAGUAGAAGAAACAUCAAGGGGGAUGAGGCUUAUGCCUAUUACAGAAUUCAAGAGUGGUGGUAACCCAACCUAUUAGAAUGGAAAUUCCAUGAAGUAGGUUCAUAUGGGUAAUAACAAAUCACUUGUUGACUUGAGGUGCUAUAUCAACUCUAAUUGUAUGAGAGUCUAUCCAUAUGGUGUAGAUAGAUUGUAUUCUAUAUUGAUUAAGGUUGAGUGUUUACUCUUAAUGAAUACCAUAUUCCUUAUGGAUGGUAUGUUUAAAUGCAUAACAUACUUGAUGGAUUCACCUAUAUGAGAGUGGAGGUGGGGCCCCUUCCUAUGAGAACUUAGGUAGUUUCUCUAAAACUCUCAUGAAUAUCCAGGUAGGGCGCAUGGCCUAUUUGUGCCAACCUGUUUUGUACAACUCGUAGUGUAGUUGAGAAAACCAAUGUAGAUAAAAGUCCAUUGAGUUACAUCAAGAAACAUUGGUUCAUAGAAAUUUAUUUUCACCCUAUUUUGUGAUUCAAUACUUAUUUGUCCUAAGACUAGUUCAUAGCCUUUGGGCACCAGUACUGAUGCAUUGGAUUAUUUUUUCCUCAAAUAAAUAAAUAAUCACGUUUACACUUUGUGGGGGAUUGUAGGAAAAGUGUAAAUAAUUUUUAUUUUUAUUUUAUUUUAUUUUAUUAGUCUUAUAUUUUUGGGAAAAGUCCUAUUGGGAUUGUACUAGUGGAGUCCCAUUCCUUUUAUAAGUAGAAUCCCCUUCCACUCUGAGUCAUGUUCUGAUUACAAGUAGAUUCUCAUUGGGACUGUGUUAGUGUCCUAUAAAAGCAGGUCACCCCUCACUCUUUAUAUAUCAAUACCAUUUUUCCAGAGAAUUUUUUAGAGAGUUUUUCAAAUAUUCUUUUCAUACAUCUAUCUAGAAGAAUUUUUUCAAAACCCCGAGUUGUACACAUCUCGCAUACAGAGUGCACCCAAGGCAAGAUCUCGGUGUUGAAUCCUAGAGGUAGACCACUGGUACCCUAGUGCACCGAAUUCGUCUUUGAGGAGGGUGGAUCUAUUUUAAGGACAGUGUUUGUCACGCCUCAGCCGAUAAGUUUUUCUUCUUAUUAAUUAUGUUCUUUGUUUGUCUUUGGGGCUAGUAAUUUGUUUCCAUACCCUUAAUCCAACAAUAGGUAUAUGGGUGGCCCAAUCAUCAUCAUCAUUAUCAUCAUCUUUAAGAAGUGUAAGAUAAAUUUCCACAAUAUUAUAACUAUUCAAGCUAUACACUACAAUCUAACAUAUUACAUUAAAAAAAAAAAAAUCAUAAGUAGCUAGAUUCAAGAGGUAGUGUAAAACAUACCAUGUUUUAACCAAGUGUAGCUUCCAAUUCUUAUGUAAAAGUCUAUUUAUUACAAGAAAUUAAAAAAGGAAAAGGAUUAAAAUCUUAAAAACAUGGCAAUAAUAAAACCUUAGCAAAUAUCUAUUUGAAACUAUGUCAAAAUUUGCCUCAAAUUAACUUUUGAAUUAACUUUACUAUUAUUAUUGUUGGUGCAUAACCUUUUCGGAUGUGAUGAUCUAGUGACUAUCCAAGUCGCUAGCCAAUCUUCUAAUGUCACCUCCUCUGUUGGUGGAUGUCUUGGCUCUCUAGGAAAAUGAUCCCAUUUUUUCCAUGUUCUUUUUCCUCCUUUAUAGGCUUGAGUUAGAUGUUGGAGGUUGCGUGACAUACACGAUUAGCUUAGUAGGUUUGUGUCAGGCGGCGUGUGGCCAACUAGCCCUAAUGCUUCCUAUUGAUGUGAUAAGAUGAGGUUUUCCUUUGAGAUUUCUUCAUCAUACACAUCUUGUUGUUGCCUUCAGUAUUUGUGCUACGUGAUCAAUUUUGGUGGUGCGACAACUUCUUCCUAGUGACCAAUUUUUAAUUUUUCUAAGAUCGAUUGGGGUAGGCUCUCAUAUCAUUGUCUCAGAUCAUUGUAGGUUUAAAUGGAGUUAUGAUGGCUUCUCAACCUCAAGAUAAUAUUCAACUGAUAUAACAUCAGGGUACCCCUUCUCGCAAAAAUUCGGCACCCUCGAGAGGCAGCUUUUGUAGCAAUAUUCGUCAUCCCCAACCUAAACAAGUAGGUAGACCCACAAGUUGGUUGACUUCUAUAGUUGGUACCUUUAAUGCCCCAUUUCUUCGCGACCAAGUAGAUUUGGGACGACGUGCGUCGAGAGCUACUUGGGUUUGAAACCUCUGUGUUGCGGUCCUAGGAAGAUGGUAGGUCAUACAUGCAUCACCUUGAGGAGUGGCAACACUAGGGGAUUUUCACAAGACGGCACAACGUGCACAACCAUUUUUUGAUUUUUCUUUGGGAAUUUUGCUUUGUUUAGGAACUUUGCUAAAAUGGGCACUUAACCUUGAUGAACAUUUUUCCUAGAUGGACACUCAGCCUUGGUGGGCAUUUCGCCUAGAUGGGCGCUUGGCCUUGAUGGACAUUUUGCCUGGAUAGGCACUUGGCCUUGAUAGGUAUUUGCCUAGAUGGGCAUGUCACCUUGUUGGGCACUUGGCCUUGAUAGACAUAUCAUCUAGAUGGGUGUUUUGCCUUGAUGGGCACUUGGCUCUGAUGAGCAUUUUGCCUAGAUGGGUAUUUUGCCUUCUUUGAUAUUUCGUAGGUUGGAACUCUAUAGGUUGUAGGGUUGUGUUUUGGGUUCUAUUUUCCAGGCACACAUGUGUAGGGGUAGGGAAAUGCUGCCUUUCCGCCUGGUUUUAGCUCCAGAUGUGCUUAUUGCCAUGCCACAAUUUUUUUCUCGGGACUUGAGUAUGCUUGUAAGUAUUGUUUUGCUUCUUCUUGUUGUGUUUAAGGGUAAGUUGAGUUUUUUUUCGUACUCUUACAUUUUCUCUCCAUCUUUCUUUGUCUUUAUUCUGUUGUGCAGAUGAAGUGUUGCAUCAAGGAUUUUAGUAGGUGAAAGGGUGAGUUUCACUACCACAUUGCUGAAACUGACUAACUGAGGCAAGUCGGGUACUUCUUUUGCACCUAAGGCUUUUGGUCGAGUGCUUCUUGGAACCUAAGGCUAUGGUCGGGUGCUGUUUAGCACCUAAGGCUUUUUGGUUGAGUGCUUCUUUGGCACUUAAGACUUUGUUGGGUACUAUGCUUGGUUGGGUACUACUUGGGCACCCUAGGCUUUGUUGGGCACUAGGCCCAGUUGGAUGCCACUUGGGCACCUUAGGCUUUAUUGGGCUUUAAGCCUGGUUGGGUGCUACUUGGGCACCUUAGGCUUUGUUGGGCACUAGGCCUAGCCAGGUGCUACUUGGGCACCCUAGGCUUUAUUGGGCUCUAAGGUUGGUCGGGUGCUACUUGGGCACCUUAGGCUUUGUUGUGCUCUAGGCCCAGCUAGGUGCCACUUUAGCACCUUAGGCUUUAUUGGGCUCUAAGCCUGGUCAAGUGCUACUUGGGCACCUUAGGCUUUAUUGGGCAGCCUAGGCUUUAUUGGGCUCUAAGCUUGGUCGGGUGCUAUUGGGCACCUUAGGCUUUAUUGGGCUUUGAACUUGGCCAGGUGGUAAUUGGGCACCUUAGGCUUUGUUGGGCUUUAGGCCUGGGUGGGUGGUAAUUGGGCACCCUAGGCUUUAUUAGGCUUUAGCCUUGGGUGGGUGGUAAUUGGGCACCUUUGACUUUGUUAUGCUUUGGCCCUAGUUGGGUGGUAAUUGGGCACUUUAGGCUUUGUUAAGCUUUAGGCCUGGUUGGGUGGUAUUUAGACACCUUAGGCUUUUUGGGUUUAAUGGUUUUUCAUACCUAAAAGUUUUUUUUUUUUUUUUUUUUUUUUUUUUUUUUUUUUUUUUUUUNNNNNNNNNNNNNNNNNNNNNNNNNNNNNNNNNNNNNNNNNNNNNNNNNNNNNNNNNNNNNNNNNNNNNNNNNNNNNNNNNNNNNNNNNNNNNNNNNNNNUUGCUUCCCCAUUUGGGGAUCUUUGCUUUUAGAUGGAUUAGGCCAUUUGGUAAGACUGGGAAGUUCUUCUUUGGUAGUGUCACCAGCGCCUCUUUGUCCACUGAUAGCGUUUGGGCAGUUGCAUCGAGUCAGGCCACCAAGAUCUAGUUCUCCCUUUUGAUUCAUUUAACAGUUCUUCUUAGUUUGUCCAGCUACCUCGAUACUUUGUUAGCUACAAUUCAGUUGUUUGUUGUGGCCACUCAUAAGUUGUUGGGGUGACACACUCACCAUCAAUGUAGUUAGCUGCCAAUGUAGUCACCAUGGUUGGCUUUUGUUUCAUUCCCAUAGACAAUGCCAAUUGUUGGUGCACAACCUUUCUGGAUGUGAUGAUUUGGUGACUAUCUAGGUUGCUAGCCAAUCUUCUAUUGUCACCUCCUUUAUUGGUGGGUGUCUUGGUUCUCUAGGAAAAUGAUAUAUAUAUUUUUUUCUUGUUCUUCUUCCUCCUUUCUAGGCUAGAGUUAGACGUUGGAGGUUGUGUGGAGUACAUGAUUAGCUUGGCAGGUUUGUGUUAGGCAGUGUGUGGCCGACUAUCCCUGACGCUUCCUGUUGAUGUGACAAGAUUAUGUUUUCCUUAGAGAUUUGUUCCUCAUACAUGUCUUAUGGUUGCCUUUGGUAUUCAUGCCACAUGAUCCAUGUUGGCAGCCUAAAAACUUCUUCCCAGUGACCAAUUUUUUAGUUCUUCUAGGAUCAAUUGGGGUGGGCUCUCAGAUCACUGUAGGUUUAAACAAAGUCAGGAUGACUUCUCGAUCGGGAGACAAUAUUCAGCCGAUACAACAUCCGGGUACCCCUUCUCGGCAAAAUUCGGCACCCUUAGGAGGCAGCUUUUAUAGCGAAAUCUGCCACCCUCAACCCGAGUAAGCAGGUAAACCCACAGGUUGGUUGGCUUCUAUGGUUUGUACCUCCAAUUAUAAUGGAAGUAUAAAUUUUAAAAAGAUUCAGUGAUUGUAGGAUUCAAUUCUAAUGCUCUUAUAGUAGCCAAGGGUCCUCGAACUCAUGGUAGCACGCAGACAUGUCNNNNNNNNNNNNNNNNNNNNNNNNNNNNNNNNNNNNNNNNNNNNNNNNNNNNNNNNNNNNNNNNNNNNNNNNNNNNNNNNNNNNNNNNNNNNNNNNNNNNNNNNNNNNNNNNNNNNNNNNNNNNNNNNNNNNNNNNNNNNNNNNNNNNNNNNNNNNNNNNNNNNNNNNNNNNNNNNNNNNNNNNNNNNNNNNNNNNNNNNNNNNNNNNNNNNNNNNNNNNNNNNNNNNNNNNNNNNNNNNNNNNNNNNNNNNNNNNNNNNNNNNNNNNNNNNNNNNNNNNNNNNNNNNNNNNNNNNNNNNNNNNNNNNNNNNNNNNNNNNNNNNNNNNNNNNNNNNNNNNNNNNNNNNNNNNNNNNNNNNNNNNNNNNNNNNNNNNNNNNNNNNNNNNNNNNNNNNNNNNNNNNNNNNNNNNNNNNNNNNNNNNNNNNNNNNNNNNNNNNNNNNNNNNNNNNNNNNNNNNNNNNNNNNNNNNNNNNNNNNNNNNNNNNNNNNNNNNNNNNNNNNNNNNNNNNNNNNNNNNNNNNNNNNNNNNNNNNNNNNNNNNNNNNNNNNNNNNNNNNNNNNNNNNNNNNNNNNNNNNNNNNNNNNNNNNNNNNNNNNNNNNNNNNNNNNNNNNNNNNNNNNNNNNNNNNNNNNNNNNNNNNNNNNNNNNNNNNNNNNNNNNNNNNNNNNNNNNNNNNNNNNNNNNNNNNNNNNNNNNNNNNNNNNNNNNNNNNNNNNNNNNNNNNNNNNNNNNNNNNNNNNNNNNNNNNNNNNNNNNNNNNNNNNNNNNNNNNNUUCUAUCUAUGAAAAUAGUCAAGCCAAAAAUACAAAUUAUUCCCUCAUACAUUCUAUAGUUUUACCAUGUAUACGGAAUUUAAAUUAUUGUACUAGUGAGUAGAAAGUGAGUUAAGGUCUUCGACAACAAGGUCUCCAAGCAACCAUAUUUCCCCAUUUUAACCUCGCUACUGCCAUUGAUGCGGUAGUAGAGUAUAACUGGCACAUAUAGAUAUGUCGGAAGAGCAAUCGAGAGCAGAUAGCUUCAAAUUCUGAAUGUGAGGUUCAGUUGGAGACUGGUUUUAUUAGCCUUUUAGAUAUGAUUUGAACCUCUAUUUUAGACAAGAACUUGGAGCUUCUUAAUAUAUGUAGUACAACUCCUUUGGUCAUGUAUAUAUGUGCAUAUUGCCUUGAAUUCAUUCAAUAAUUCAGCCAUUGGGAUAGACAACAUACAAUUACUUGGCAACACAAUAUUAAAACUUUCAGAAUAUCACAAAAUUUGAUUGAUGUCAAAGACUCAUUCUGGACAUUUAGGAUAGGAGGUUACAAUAAAGCCAUUAACUGUACACAUAAGUUCAUUUGCAAGAAUUGGGAACCAAUUUAUAAGGUCAAGUAUAUUCGCUGUCAACAAGAAUGACGCCCUCCGAUUUAAGAUCUCUACUUAGGAGGAGCCCUGUUUGAUCAAGAUUCUAGGAUCAAGCAACAGAGUCAAAGUCAAAUCAAGAGCAACGUUCCAACUUGUCAUGAAGACCAAGAGUAGUAAUUGCUUCAGAGCAAGCAGUGAAAUUAUUUGCAAUCAGACAAUCAUCUUCUUCUUCAAGAAAUGCUGUAAUGAAAUUCUUACCAGUUGUGUCUGAUUCUUCAAAACACGAAGUUAGCAAACAGAUUGUUCAUAUAUAAUGUCAGUUGGCAUAAAUGUAGUGUUCAAUCACCAAGCCACAAAGAUGAUACAACCGAACAGUUGCAGCAGGAAAACUUGGUUGUUUAUUCAAAAUCAAGUAAAUCUCUAGGUCCCUCAUACCACGAUUGCUCCCAAUCUUUAGGUCUUGGCGUAGACAAUUCCUUCCUUGUCUAUGUGGACAGAACAAUGCUUGCUUUUCUAGCUGUUGUCUUUCACCAUGGUCUGUAGAAAAAAUGUCCAGAAAAACAACUAAUGAUCAGUAGAAGUGUAAAAGGGAAGAAAGAAAACUACUGAUAGAUUGGAUCAGUCAUCUUCUUCAUUAGAUCAUUACAAACAGUUGGCUUCGAAAAAUUUGAAGUUAAUCAACUUCAAUCAUGACAGAUAUUUAUUUUUCCUAAAAGAAUGUAAAUGUAUGGUUUCUCUUUGAGUACAGCUCUCUACAGCACAAAAAUAAACAAAUACUGUGGUCAAAGCUGUCAAUCAAAAUCCCGCUAUCCAGAAUGCAUGGCAAUGGCUGAUCCAAAUGGCCAUGUACUAGUACACUUACUAAGAUUUCCUUCAAGAAUCAUGUACAAGUGACCACCACUGUUCUCAGUGUCCAGAGGCAGUUUCCAUACUCAUCUCCUUCUCCAUGAGGCUCAUGUAGUUAUUGGAAGGAUUCAAUAAAUAAUCUCGAAACCCAUGAGCGUUUUUGGCCCAAAGAAAUUCAGCAUAUGACAUAAUUUUUUGUACAUAUAAGUUUAUGAAAUAACCAUGAUUACUAGAUGGGAAAAGUGUGUUUUCAUCCGCUGAUACGACUAUAUCAGUAAAAUGAGAACCAACUUUUCCUAUUUCAAAUUAAGUCACAUCAAAUUAAGCAGACUCUGAAAAAUACUGAUCUCCAUCUCAUAGUUUGUGAAUGGAUCAUAGACUGAAAAUGAAUUAUAUGUAAUCUACUUAAUUUACCAAAGGUAAUGAAAUCUAAUUUACAAUCAAAUUAAUUAAGACACUAAGAUACUAAUCACUACUAUACGUACAUAAAUCAUAUUACAUUUCUGUAACAUUACUUUUCUUCAAUACUUCCCCUGAUCAAGUUACAUAUCAAGAACUGAAAAAAUUGUAAGGCAAUCAAAUGAAACAAACCAAGAAAACAACAAUAUUAAAAGAGUUAUGAAAUAUCACCAGAUGAGAUCCAACAGUAAAUUAAGAAACUUUAUAUAAUCUUGCUUACCUUAGGGCCAUGUCUGGAGGAGUUCCAAUUGUAGGCCUAGGGCCAAUGUUGAUAGGCAGAUGCCCAGAUCUUAGACACCCUCAAGAUGAACAGUAGCAGCUACUCUAGGCGCUCCUACUGCACAGGCAAAAAACAAGUUAGUCAAUGUUUCUUGGCUAUUGGCUUUGGCUUGGACCUUGGUGGUUGUCAAUUUUAGAUAAAUAUGUUAAUAAUCCAAUGAAUAUAUUCCAAGAUUGAUGAUAUAUAUGCAAUAUAUCAAUUUGGAAAUGUCGAUAUAAACAUUUAAGGAAUUUAAAUUAGUCAAUUUUCAACAAUCUAGCACUCAAAAGUGUACAAAAUGAUUAUAACUUGAAAGUUUGAAUAUAAACUGAGGUACAAUAUUCCUAGAGGCUCAAGUCUCCCUAGAAGAAGGCAUCACAUCACAUAUUUAUGUGGCCUUAUGUUUGAGGUAAGCACCUUAUCUAUUGGCGAGUUCAUCAAUAAUAAGCUUUUUGCAAGAAAUUGGAGACCUAAAAUUACUCUAAUACUCCUUUUCUUGAAUAUUAAAUUUUCUUAAAAGUGUUAUCGAUUAUCAAACAUUUUUUUCAAUGGUGGAAACUAGUUUGCUACCAAAGUGAAGGUCAAAGUCCUAAUUAUCAUUUCGCUAAACAAUGUAAUAUAUUAUUAUACAAUUAUUGCUUUUAAAAGAAAAUUUACAAGCCAACCAGCAAAAUUUAUGAUUAUACCUUUUUCCGACUUCACUCACGCCAUUGAGCUUUAUAAUUUGAUGAAACAAGCCUAAAUCAAAAUUAUACAAAAAAAAAAAAAAAAGAAUCGGAGAAAACAAACUUGUAAGCACUAAAUUUUGUACUUGAAAAGAGGAAAUAGGAUGCCAAUUGUAGGUUUAAUUUAAAGAAACCUUAAAAAUAUUUUUAAAAUUAUAGGAAAACCCCUGUACCUUAGAAAGAUUGGGGCGAACAGUCUACCUUUUGGCGAUGUUCACAUCUUGAGAGGAAUGACUUCUUUCUUAGUAGAUCUGAUGAUGGUGUUGAUCUUUGGGAAGAGAUGAUUAGAAGGCUGCGUUGAAUUUUAGUGAGUGAGAGAGAAAAGAACACCCAAAACCCUAAAGCAAAAAAGGAAUUAAUAACUUAAAUAGAUUCCAUUUUUUCCUUAUGACGUGUCUACCUUAGUAAGGUUUUUAUGGCAGUGAUACCAUUUGGAUAAUUAAGUCAUUGAUUUUGAUGGAUCUUUUCCAUUUGAAUUUUUAAUAUAUAAACUUAAUCUUUUUACUUGGGGUAAUAUAUUUGGUAUUUUAUUAUUUACUUUUUAAUAAUAUGCUUUUAGUAGAUUGUUUAACUAUGUCCUAGUGUAAUAAGUAGUCUUGCAUUACAUUAUCUACUAUGGAGUAGGAGUGUGUUGCUUGUUCAAGGGAUGUAUGGGAAGUUGUUUAUUUGAUGAUAUACUUUAACACUUAGAGUCACGACUUGAGCUAAUAAGUUUAUCAAGAUCUAAGCAUUGAUGGUGUUGCUACUCUAUUGUAUAGCAAGGAUCCAAUUAGUCACAUUGUAGGACAAAACACUUAUAGACAAUUGAUUCUACUACAUUCAAGAUAUUGUUGCUUAAGGGGAGGUAGAGUCAAAACAAGUAGACAAUUGAUACAACUACACACACAACAUAGAGACAAAACACAUGAAUAAUACUAUGGUUGAAUAAAUUAAUUGGAUGACAUCAAGCUAACAUUGAUCUAGUAUAAUUAUUUUGGAGCCUAAAUGAGGAGUAUGAUGAUGAGAUGAUAAUUAUUUUGUCAUCAACAUAGUGAACAACAUAAAUUAAAAUCUUGAAAUGUCACCUUAGCCAACCUAGUAGAAAUGAUUCAUCAAAAUAUUUGAAUGUGAGAUCUUAAAUUGGUGUUUGACCAAUAAAUAUGGUAAUAAACAUAUAUUAAGUAUAUAUGAAGUGACCAAGCUAAGAUUUGUAUCAUGUUAUUGUAGGGAAUCCCGAAUCUCUUUGUUCCUUAUCCUAUGAUUAGGCUAGGUACAUGCGAUUCUUUCUAAGUUUUUCUAAAUCGUAUGAACAAUGGAAAAAUCGUGUUUUAAAAUAAUAACAAGAUUUAGAAUUUGCAUUAGAAAACAUUACAUUACAUUUGGAUGUUCCCAAAUCUAAUUCACGUAGUAAAGGAGAAGAUCGAAGUUGUCAGAGGUCUUGAACACCCAAGAUCUUCCACCAGAUGACUUUUCCUUGAUUUUAGAUCUUAAUUGGUGAGAAGGAAGGAAGACUAAAAAGGCUAUGGUUCUCUCUCUCUUUGAAUAGUGAAAGAUGGCUCACUUCAAAAAAGUAAUAAAAACCUUAUCAUUUAAGGGGUAUUUAUAGGGUUCCCUAAUUGGGUGUAAGUGACUUAAGCGUACUAAAGGCUUGAAUCAUUUAAUUUAGCUCAAAAUGAGUCUUAAUUGAUUAAUUAACCUAACAUAGUUAUCUAAUUAAUUAAUUAGCUAAAUCUGGAGACUUUGUUCACUUACCCCUAUGCAACCUUGCAUAAUUACCAAAACACCCUUAUACGCAAAAGUGAACUAAGAGUUGUGUCAUCAAGGUAUAUGAGCUUAGGUGGAGACCAUUGAGACCUAUAGGACAGUACUAGCUAUCCCAAAAUCUAAUUUUGAAGUUGAUUUAACAUUCCACUAUAGAGAAUCAAUUGCACUAUAAUACCUUAUGUAAAUAACAAUGAGAUGCUAAGUGGUCGAGCCCAUGACUUAUUAUCCAUUGCAUUCAGUCUCCCUAUGAACUGGUGUUUGUAGUCUAAUAAGGUGAAAACUAUCAACCUUUCAAGACUACUUCUACUAUCUUUGAAUUACAAAUCCUCUUAUUAUGUAUUUAAUUGAUAUAUCUUAACUCUCCAAGAGUCUAUGUUAAGUUCCAUUUAAGAAACUACUAUGACCAUAGUUUACAUGAACAUACCUCCUUAAGAUCACUUAAGGGGACACUCUGUCUCAAUCCUAUUAGAUUUCAUGGUACUUCUAUUACAAAUACUCAUUGUUACAGACUUGCAUCAAUAGUGAACCAAUCCAUAAGGAACAUAUGAUUAGCUUACGAUUUCAUUAGUAGGUCAAAGUCACUACUAACUUUAACACAAAAUCUAUAUUCUCUCAAGGUUAAGAGAUAAAACAAUGAAGCAACUUGGUGAAAUCAUGACUAUUUGAUACCUUUAUGUCAUGAUUCACCAUAAGUCUUGUCUAAUGUGUAACCAUACACACUAGUAUACUCACCAUGGAAAACCCAUCCUUAUAACCAAGACCACCCAUUCCUCUAAUUAUGAAGUAGCGUACUAUAACCUCUAAAGGGUUACCUAAGCCUAUGAAUUGGUUGUGAACAAGUCAUCUACUUACAAUGAAUCCAUUACUUAAAUUUUUUUUGCAACUCCUAAUGCACUCAAGUCAUGUACAAUACAAGAUAUGUAUAUCAAAAUGCUUACAAGGUAUAAUGUAUAGGAUUGGGAUAAACAAAAGUGAACUAAAAGUUAAUUAAUAAAUAAUAAAAUUUUAAAUUUAUUACAUCAUGUCAUGCUUUUAUGAAAUCUUUAAAAUAAUAAGAGCGCCCUUUCAUAAUCAUGAAUUAAACUUUAGUUUCAACUUCUAUCAAAGGCUAAAUGAGAAAAGCUAUCAUAGAGGAGGCCUCAGCCAAUGGGUAAGAUGCACUAUUAUACCAAACAAUAAGUGAAAAAUACAAUUUUAUUAAUACUUGAGACAAAAAAAAAAAGAAAAAAAGAAAUAAAAGGAUGAUUUUACACUCAAACCAAGCAUUUAUUUAUAAUGAAGUGCAGUCUCCAAACGCACAUGUGGACUUAUUGGAAAAUCAUACAAAUUAUUGAAGGACGACCUUAGCUAGGCUAACAGUCUCCUAAAUAGGCCAUCUUUUAUAUAUCUUUGCAUUCAUCCAUCUCCUCAUUGUCUUUGAUUUUAGAUGGUGAGGAUGUGAAAGUAACAGGAAGCAGUGGACGAUUGUUCACAGUGAGGCUUAGCACAUCAGCUCUCGAAUAAUGUCCUACCACAUCGAACUGGAACUUUGCUUUAGGAAUCUCUCCACGAACAUCUACAUAUCAAGUGAUCAUAAAAAUAUUUCAUCAGUCCAUGAUAAAUAUCAUAGAAUAUCAAGCCUUCGAUAAAACUAAGUUUGCAGUCCUCUUAAACCUAAAGAAUCGACUCAUUUGCCUUAUCUGCAUACUGAAAUAUUUGGAUAUAUAAUUGGAGAACUUAGGGCCAUACCAAGAUCAGCUGUGAAGAGGCCUUCUCCUUCAUAAUUCGGUCCUGCUAGAAUUUCGCCAUGGGGCGAAAUGAUGACACUACCUCCAGCCCAAACAAUAGAAUCUGGAGUGACAUCUUCUUCUGUAGGACUGUAAAGAUACUCAGGUGGAGGUGGGUAAUCUUUCCUCCGACAGAACUGGAUGGGUGAAAGAACAUAGCAUCCACCCUCAAUAGCGACGUGUCUCAUUGUAGCUACCCAUGUAUCCCCGGAAUCGGCAGUAGGAGCACAAUAUAUCUCAAUACCUAUAUAGAUGUACAUUCGUAUUUUGUGAUCAAUCAAUCCCAUAUCAAAGCCAUAAUGUAUUUCAAGCCAAAUCAUAUUAGUUAGUGAAGAAAAAGAAAUGGUAAAAGACAUACCUUUGCCAUACAUUGCUGUCCUGAAAAGUGGCAUUCUAUUUUCCCAACAAAUGACCGAACCAAGUUUUCCAUAUGGAGUGUCAUAAACUGGAGUUGUAGAGCAAUCUCCGAAACCCCAGAAGAGCCGCUCCCAAUAUGUUGGCAUGAGUUUCCUAUGUUUUCCAAGGUAAUUACCUUCAGGAUCAAAGAAGAGAACUGUGCAAUACAAUGUGUAUCCAUCUCUCUCAACAACACCUGUCACUAAGUAGACUUUGUAUUUCGCAGCCAUUGAUGCCAAUCUAUCCACUUCAGGUCCUGAAAAUACAUUAAUAUGAGAUCAAAGAUGAAACAUGUAAGCUGAUGGUUCAUCACAAAGCAUAAGUAUAAUUUUUUUCUUGGUUCAUUCAUCAAACGUGUCUUGUUUCAAUAACUAAUUAAGUGGUUCAGUUCUUUAGCUAUUUAAGGGAGAAAGAGAGAGAUAACUGACCCGGCACAUUAAUGGCAGAAGCAUGGUACUUGCGGAAACUUUCUUUCCCUCUUGGCGACUGGUCGGCGAAGUUGUAUCCCCGGGGAUACCCACCGAUAAAUGCUUCAGGAAACACAACCAGUUGGGAUCCUAGUGCAGCUGCUUCUUUCAAAAACCUCUCAGCCUUAUCUGCUCUCAAAAUCACAUUGCAAGAAUUAAUAAUCCACGACUUAGAAAGUAAAUUAAUUGGUUGAAUGGAGAGAAUGAAAAUUAACUUUAAGAGAUCCCGAAUGACUUUUUGGUUGCUGAGAAAACUCAAGGAAAAACAGACCUAGAUGAAACUUGAAACUCUCAUAUUUUCAGCUGUUUUGUAACUAAGAAAAGAGAAACCACCUCAACCCAACUCAUCAAAAUAAUUGUAAAAGCAGUAAUUCCUUGAUUGGCAGCUGAAAAUAUGAUCAGGGUUCAAUCAUCCUUUUCUUUUUUUCAGUCUCUGAGAAACCAAUUAGAUCACAUAUUCCAUUACACAAGUUGCACAAUUGAAAUUAAUGGUACGUUACCUAGAGUGGCAGGAGUAUCAUAAAAGAUACUAGAAGCUUGAACAACGGUGGCUCUGACAGUUGAAGACAUUGCAGAAAUCGUAUGCUUUUUCGUUUCCCUUUUGUUUGAGGAUGCCUUACACAAAGUUCAGUAUAUAUAUUGCCCAUGAACAUGAGGUUCCUCUGCCAUUACUUGAACGAGACGAAGAGGCUGUGAAAAGUCUGCCUUGGUUUUCUAUAUUCAUUAUGAGCUUUUCUCCUCAUCACAAAUUUUUAAGUUAUCCGCAGACAUUGUGGACCAGCGACAUGACUUGUACAAAUUGAAAAUGACUGUCAUCUGUGAAAAGUAAUUUAAGAUAAAAUUCAAUUCAUGGUUUGAUAGUUUUAGACAAACAAAACAAGUCUUUUUUGCCUUAGAAAAAGGCCUCAACCAAUUAACACACAUACCCAAAUUAUUAGGCUUUUAUUUUCAUUUCUUUUAUAUAUAUAAUGCACAAAGAUAAAUUGUCUUUAGUGUUAAAGCUGAGGCCUUUUAUGACCUCAGCCAUAAAAGAAAAAAAGAAUAGUCAUUAAAAGCACAAGAUAUUUGUCAUUUUUUUUUACAAAAACGACUGAGUCGUACAUAGUGUUAUAGUUUUAGACGCCCAAAAGAAGUCUUUUUGUGCCUUGUAAGAAAACCUCAGCCAAUUCAAGAUGAUCAUCUUUGAACGAAAAGAGGGAGCCGCCCACAUGCAUGGAUUCCAUCCAUGACGUGUACUAUAUAUCUAUAAAACCCAGCAUAUAGCUAAAAACUGGGUCUGACCUUAUGUAUUGGUCCCUACCAAAAAUUAAUGAGUGAUUCCGUCACCCCAGAAUGAAAGGGGUGAUCUCAUAGUUCUUGGUCUGUGAAGAUGCGUUGUUAGGUGCUCCAUUUUAUUUUCCCAUUGAGGCAGAACCUAAACGUUACUAACAUGUUUACUUUCAUUGUGGGUAAUGUGUUUGGGUUCAAAGGCAGCUAUGGUAGAAAAAUAAAAAGGAAGAACUAUGCUUACCCUCACGUUGAUUCAAGCAAAUAUAUUUUUUAGGAAUUCUAAUUUUCAUAUUUCACCCCAAACACAUAAUAAAUAAAUUUAUUCUUCAAAUAUGUAUUUUAAUAACAACCAAAAUGAGAAUUCUAUAGUUAUCCCUUUUAAAAUCUUUAAUAUGACAAGUCAUCAUUUGAUCUAUUUGAUAGCUCUCCCACUUUUUUUUUUUCUCCUCUUCAUCACUUUCUCCAUAUAAUGUCUUUGAUAUCCUUUCCAUAUCAUGUCUUUGAUAUCCUAACUUUGACAUUUUUUUAUUUAUAUACGCUGAAGUGAAUACACUUUCAUAUUUCUUUUCAUUCUUUUAAUAUUUUCAUAUUUAUUAACUUAGUCAUUUUUUUGAAACAUUAACAUAAAAUUAUAAUAUAUGAUCAAUAACUAAUGAGAACAAAUUAAACAUAAAUAUAAGUAUGGAAUGGAGAGAAAAUAAAAUUUUAUCCUACAAAUAAUACAUAAAUAGUUUAAAAUAUUAAUUAUAGUAAUAUAUUUGAUACUUUAGGGUUUAGAUUAAAAAAUUAUGUUUUAUUUUUUAGAGGCUAGGAUAUAGGAUUUCCAUUAACCAAAGAUUUUUUGUAUGAAUCCUAAAUAAAAUGUGUAUUUAUUUUGCAAAUUCUUAUCAUAUAUAAAUAAAAUAAAAUAAAUAUAUUUUUAUCAUAUUAUUUUUAAUUUUUAUUAUUUUGUGUCAAAAUCAUAGUCAAUGAUAUUGGUUUUUGUUAUGAUAUUAGCUCUUAAAAGGAUGUUAUGAUGUAAUAAAUAUGAAGUUUAUUAUUUAUUUAAUGGUAUUUUGAUUUCACUUUUAUUAAUCUUUAUUUCAUUCAUUUUACCUUAUGAGUAUUCUAGCCUGACAUUUCUUGCACUAUACAUAACUUGGGUGCAUUAAAAAUUGCAUGAAAGAUCCAAGUUAUAGGUUCCUUGCAAGUGAAUGAUUUGUUCACAACUGCUUUGUGAACUUAAGCAAUCCAUUUGAUGUUGUAGUUCACUAUCUCUUCAUUAGAGGAAUGAUUGAUCUUGACUAUCGAGAUAGAGUUCUCAUGGUGAGUACACUAGUAUGAUGAGUUAUGAUGUAAACUUGUUGGAUAGUCAUAACUUCACUAAGUUGUUAUAUUGUAUUGUUUUCUCAACCUUGAGAGAAUAUUGAACUUGUGCCAAAGUUUGUAAUUAUUUAACCUAUGGGUGAGAUCAUAAAGUGAUUAUAUAUUCCUUACGAAUUGGGACAUAGUAGAUAGAAGUCGGUAGUAAUAAGUAUUUUCAAUAGAGACAUCAUGAUAUCUCAUGGAAUUUGAGAUAGUGUUGGGUGAUAAUAAGGACAUGUAAUCAUGAAGUCUAUGGUUGCAUUAAUUCUUUAAAUGAAGUUUGAUAUAUGCUUUUGUGAGUUAGAGUAUGUUAGUUGAUCAUAUAAUAAGAGAAUAUGUAACUCAAGGAUGGUAUAGGUAAUAUUGAAAGGCAAAUAACUUUCACCUUAUUAGAUUAUAAACACCAAUUCAUGGGGAGACUAUAUGCAAUAGAUAGCAGGUCAUGAAGUUAAGCAUUUUGUGUCUUGUUGUAAUACACAUAGGGCAUUGAAAUGUAAUUGACUUUCUAUAGUAAGAUGUUGAGCCAACUUUAAAAUUGGAUUAUAAAGGAGCCAAUACUAUCUUAUGGGUCUUAGCAGUCCUCGCUCAAGUUCAUUUAUCUCAAUGACAUGGUUUGUGAGGGUUGGAUUGACUCAUGAUUCACUUAUGUGCAAAAAGGCAUUUUGGCAAGUAUGCAUGAAUGCAUAAGAGUUUGUUGGGAUAAAACCUUAUAAAUCAUGACAUGAUGUAAUAGAUUUAGUUUCAUUAAUAAAUAUAUUUAUUUACUAUUCUAGUUCCCUUAUAUUAUCCCAUUGGCAUUAAUUGGUUAUCAAAGUAUUUGCGUCCAUAUCACUUGCAUUGUACAUGACUUAGGUGUAUUAGGAGUUGAACAAAAAAUCCAAGUCAUGGGUUCUUUGCAAGGUGAUAAGUAGUUUAUAGUGGGUUCAUGGAUUUAAGCAAUUUAGUAGAGACUAUAGUGUACUACCUCCUAAUUGGAAAGAUGACUUGUCUUAGUCACCGAGAUGACUUUCCCAUGAUGAGUGAAACAAUGUGUAUGGUUACACAUUGGACAUGACCUAUGAUGAAUUAUGACAUUAAUUGUUGGGUAGUCAUGAUUUACCAUGAUACUAUAUUGUAUAAACUCUCAACCUUGAGAGGAUAUUGAGUUUGUGCUGAAAUCAAUAGGAAACUUUGAUCUAUGGGUGAGAUCCUUGUGUGGUCAUGUAUUCCUUACAAAUUGGGUCACGGUUGAUGAAGAUUGGUGGCAACAAGUAUUCUUAAUAGAGAUACCAUAAUAUCUUAUGAGAUUAAGACAACGUGUCUCUUGGGUGAUCCUAAAGACAUGUGAUUAAGAUGACUACAACCAUAACAAUCCCUUAGUAGAAUUUGACAUAUGCUCUUUGUAAGCUAGAAUAUGUCAAUUGAUCACUUAAUAGGAGGAUUUGUAACUCAAGGAUUGGAGAGAUAAUUUUGAAAGGUUGGCAUCAUUACCUUGUUAUAUUACAAACACCGGUUCAUGGGGAGUCUACAUGCAGUGGAUAGUAGGUCAUAGACCUAAACUUUGCCUUGUUGUAAUUAUAUAGCAUAUUAGAGUGUAGUUGACUCUCUUUAGUAGGGUGUUAAGUUAACCUUAGAAUUGGAUUCAAAGUGAGAUAGUAUUUUCCUAUAGGUUCCAAUGGUCCCUGCUCAAUCUGGUGUCACAUUUGUUUGAGGGAUUUUAGGUUUGUAGUUAACAAGUGUGCAUAAGGGGGAAUUUAAUAAAAAUACAAGGUUGGACUAGAUCUUGUGAAUAGACUUUCUAGAUUGGCAUAAUUUAUUAAUUGGAUUCUAAUAGGGCUAAUUAAUUAAUUAGGACCUAAGUGAGCUAAACCAGGUAACCUAAGCCCAAUUUGGGCUCAAGUCACUAAAGUUCACAAGGAAGCUUAUAAAUAACUAUUUAAAGCCCAUUGGGUUUUAUGAGUAACUUAAGCUUGCCUUGGGUUUGGGUAACUUAUUAUAACCUAAAAAGGUUCUUAAUUGAGGGCUUAGAUUAAUCAAUUAACUUAGUCUAAAAGUACAAUUCACCAAAUUUAUUGGAAACUUUGAAUUACUCCAUUUCAUGACCCAGGAUCAUAUAGGGUGCAUGCAACUAUCCUUACGCUUCUCUAGAUCUAAUGCAAUGGAAAAAUAUGGAUAUAAAAUCCAUAAAAUGUACUAGAUUUAUAGAUUAGAACUCAUACCUAUGAUUUGAAUGUUUCUAAAUUAAAUCCAAUCCCUAAAAGACAUCAAAGAUGUUUUAAAAGUCAUUUAUUGAACAAUUUUCCACCCAAUCUCUCCUUUCACAGAUAGACCCUAGCAUAAAAGAAGGGUAGGCUUAUGUCCCUUCUUUUUUAAGGUAGCUAGGGUUUGCUCAUUCUUUUAGGGCAUCAAACUCUUAGACUUUUACUUUUUCCAUUCUCUCCCACGUGUCUAGAGAGAAUCUAGUCCCCACUCUUCUAAAUAUCUAACAUUUGAGUUCGUAGCUUUAAUGAUGAGCCAUCAAAUAGAAAACCAAUAGGUUUGCAAGAUUUUCGAUGACCCCUACACAUUUGAUAACCUCCUUGACUGCAAAAAUUUGAUUUGGGAAUAUCUAGAUCUUGGUAAAUACUUCUAAUCUAUAGAUUUAGAUCUAAUUUCUAUUUUAAAGGUGAUUUUUUUUUCAUUGCUAGGGUCUAGAUAAGCCUAGGAAAGUUUGCAUGCACUUAACGAGAUCUAGGGAUAGGGAACUUAGUGAUCUAUGCUUUCUUGUAGUUGUAGCUUUUUGCUUUUAAUUUUAACUUGAGUGUACUUUUGGCUUUUUCUUGCUUAAGCUUUUAAUUUUUUUUGAAUGAUGUACAAUGCAUUUAUUUUUUUAGAGGAAUGUAUUUAUUUUUCUUAAUGAUGUACUUUCUUUUUUGAAGGAUAUACUUAAUUUUAUAACAAAUGUAUUUAAUUUUUUCUAAAGAAUGCACUUAUUUUUCUAAGGGAUCUAGUUGUAUGGCAUAAGAUGUCCUCUCAAGCAGAGGUGGAGGUACUAUAGAUUUUGUAAUAGGCACAAUGAUUGCUAAGGUGGUAUGUGAUGGAGGGACUAGUAUAAAAGCCUGAAGUAAGGGUGUGUCCAAUGAUAUAAAUGGCUCAAGUAAGUAAAGAGAAAAUGGUGUGGAAAUUCAAGUAGGGAAGAAAGGGUUGGUAUGGAUUCAUCGGGGGAAGGAAAUGUAGGUUCCAUGAUACAGAUACCUAAAGUAAGGGAAUAGUAGAUAAUGUGUAAGCCCUAAGUGGGGGUUGUUGAUGCUAGGUCAACUGAAGAUGGAAUCCCUUGGUCGUGGCAGCAAAAAGGUUCUGUCCAAAAGUUGGAGACUGGGCUUUCACCUUCCCUGCACAAAGAUGUCUGGACACACUCUCCAAAACCUAAGUCAGACUUUGAAGUGGGCAGGAACCCUUAGAGAUAGAGAGAGAGAGAAGAUGAGAAAGUCCUUAGUAUUGCGUACCUAGGUUCUGGUUCCAAGAGGGUUUUUAUAGUGUCUAGGAUGGAGUCACUAUUGUGCUGAGUUAACAUCUUGACUUUUGUCGUCAUGAUGGCAGCACAGUGGAUGGCAGGGUAAUCAUCACCAUUUAAGCGGUUGGCAGGGGUUGCUGUGGGUAUGUUAUGAUGGUUUGCCUGUCACCUCAACCUAUUGGAGGUAUGAGGCAGUGUGUGAUAGUCGUCUGAUAUGAACGUGGAGACAAGGUAAGAUCCCAUCCCCCAUACUUUUUUUAGAAAAAAAUGAUUUCCUGCAGCAGAGAGAUAGAGUAACCAUCCGGAAUGCGCUGGCAAUUUAAGGGAGCCUAGUACUGCCGGUUGGUAGCAUGUAUAGUCCAGACUAGGACCUUCGAGUCUGAUGAUGAUCGUCCGGACAACAUUGAGAUGAACACCACAUGGGCCAGUAGUGGUUUGCCACAUGGGGGAAGAUCUCCACAGGGGUGACAAGGUUGGAAUGAAGGUAUCAUGGAAGAGGAAAUAUGAGUCUCUGACAGCUUUGACUUAUUUCUUAAAAUGAAGAUAUAAAUUGUUUUUAACUUUAAGUUACAUCAUUAAGUUCUUUUAAUAAAUAUACUUUACUUAAUAACUAAAAUUAAGUUAUUAAGUCACUUUAAGUUAUUAAGUUAAUUUACCAAACGCCUACUAAUUUUCAAAUUCUAAGUUUAGCUUUGCUUUGUAGUGAAUGCAUUUAGGAUUAUCAAAGAGGUCAUCAAGGGUUUCAAACAUAUUCUAUUGCUCAACUUCUCAAAGAGGGACUUCAGAAGAGAAGAUUCCAUAAUUCUAGUUUUGUAUUCGAUUGUAUGUAUCCUACCACAUGGAGACGAUUCCUCAGCAUGCUGAUUUAUUAUUAAGUGCAUGUGAAUUACGUACGGAAUUCCAAUUGAUAUGAACAUAAAAUUAAUUGAAUUAUGUGACAUUUUUUUUACGCAUAAUAAAACAUAUACAGUUGGAAGAUAUCUCGAGAUUCUGAUUUUAUAUCUGGCCCUCAAAAUUCUAUUUCACUGUCAGGUUGUGGAGCAUAUCCCUUGGCAUGCUGAUAUGUCAACUAUUGAAAAAUCUGCAACCAUUUUCUAUAUUCAUGAGCUUUUCUCCUGUUCGAAUUAGUUUUGAAGUUAUCUACAGACAUUGAUUGUGGACUAACUACAUGACUUGUACAAAUUGAAAAUUACUUCAGUCAUGUGUAAAAAAUAAUAAGAGAUAACAUUCAUUAAUUGUGGAUAAAUUGUCUAUAUGACUUUAAAGAAAAAAAGGUCAUAAAAAAACUGAUUGCCUUGUGGAUACGCCUACCAGUAGAUAGCUGAGAACAAGGUCUAACUCUCAACCUUUUGUACUGCCUCUACAAAGGAACACAAAUUUGAGAGAUUCAAAGGCAGCUAUGGUAUAAAUACUGUUUCAUAAAUUACUUUUCAAAUUUAAUUUGGUAGCAAAAAUAAAAAAUAUAAAAGCUUAAAAAAUUUGUUUCAUUCCCAAAAUUUUUGCAAAUAAAAUUUUAAAUAAAUUAAGACCUUGACUCUUUUCACAUCUUAUUCUCAUUUCUAUCAAAGCAAUGAUAGUAAUAAUAUCUUAUGUAUAAAUUUUAAAUGAUGUAAGAUCAUUGAAUUUUUAUUUUCUUUUAACUUCUUGUUAUGUAGUUAUCAAACAUAUUUUUUUUUAAGACAAGAAAAAAAUUAGACCAAACAAAUAUAUUUGAUAUUUAUAACAAUUGAAAACAUAAUUCGUAUCAUUUUAAAAAAUAAUAAAAGCAAAGGUGUAUCAAAACAAUACCUCAUUUGCGUAAUUAGUUAUCACAUUUCCUAAGUACAAAAGUAGGCAAGUAAAUUUUUGCUCAAGUUACAAUAGUGCUCAAAAUCCUUACCCAAGACUUAGAUCCUAUUUCACUUUUUUUCUUCCUUAGAACAAAAAACAAGAAAAUGUGUUUGACAACCGGAAAAUAAGGUUGUGGACCCCGCAUUUUGCUUGAUGCGUUCCCACUCGAUGGUGAAACUCGUUUUUUUUAUUUAUUUGGUGAAAAAUCGAUUUUUAGAAAAAGACUUGAAGUCGCCACUUAUUUUUGUUUUGUUUUUAAAGAGUAAAUAAAAUAAGAAAGAAAACCCUAAGUGUGACUCCUUAUUUUGGAAAAGAUGGUCUGUGAAAAACCAAAUAUGAGCUUGGGGGUCAGGUUACUUAUUGGGAAGGUACGGUAAAAACUGUAACACCCUUCUAAGUCCCUAAAAAUGGAUCUCUACUAAUAAAAUGAAGCAAGUGUGGAAAAUGAUUGAUCAAUUGUGGAUACCAUACAGUAAUCGAGAGUGUGAAAGCAAGACACGCGUGAUAACAAAUAAAUAAAUAAGCACAAUCGGGUACAAAGCGUACCUUAAUCGCAAGCCAAGAGUUAUCAUAAGAGACAAGAUUAGUGCACAAAUAUGGGAUAAUCGCAUGCAUGUCAUAGAGUGAGGCAAACCAAUCAAACAUAGCAAUCAAUCGAUCAAUGGAAAAUCUCAUGUGUUGGGCCCCACGAAAGCCCGAUUUAUCUUAGUGUAGAUUAACUCCGUAAAUUUCAUUAUUCGAAAUUAUAGAAUUAUUCAUGCUUAUUAAAAAUGUGAAAAUUAGAAAACUAUUAAAAAUCAAGGAGAAUUUAUGAAAAAUGUUUACCGGAAAAAAAUGUGGUGACCAAUUUUAUUAAAGAAUGGAAAAUAUUUAAAAUCAAGAAAAAAAAAAAAGAAAAAUAAAAUAAAAUAAAAUAAAAUAAAAAAUAAAAAUAAAAAUAAAAAUAAAAAUAAAUAAAUGAAUAAAAUAAAAGAAAAUAAAAAAUAAAAAAUAAAAAAUAAGAAUGAAAAUAAAAAAAUAAUAAUAAUAAACAAAUAAAAUAAAAGAUGCAUGACCAGUGGAAAGUGGUAGAGAUUGACUUAUUAGAAUUGGAUUUAUUUAAAACCAUGAGAGAAAAAUUGAAGAAUUAAAACCAUUUGAAAAACAAGAUUUUUUUUUUUUUUGAAAAUUGAUUUUUGAAGGCGUGUAUUUUCCUAUAGGAGAUGAGACAUGUGUCUUAAGGAUGGCCUAUCAAAGGUGGCCAUGCAAGGAUCUUGUGCACUGGUGGUCGAAUAUGGGAUACCAACAACUGAGAUGGCCCAGAUGACUACUGUGGGUCCGGAUGGUUCAGAAUGUCUCUUUCCUUGUGAACCCCUGCAUCCCUUUCCAGCCUAAGUCAACCCCCGAAGCUAUGCAAUUCAGCCAUUUGGGUCCCAAAAUCCUCCUUCUUAGUUCUGAUGCUGACAUCACCAUCUUCUUCAACCUCAACUCUUCCAACAUUGGGUAAACCAUAGCCAUGGCAGCGACCUACGGAUAAACGUUACCUCCCCACCCAUCCGGCACCAGAUUAAAGUCUGUAGAAUGCGGCUUCCCCUUCAGCGCCACUGACCGGAGCUCCGGGAGCCGCCUGAUCACUAUCCCAGGGCUCACAGCGUAGUAGUCCUCGACUCCUCGAUGAAGAUCCGUCAUCGGCUCCACCGCUCCACCUCAUACCACGAUUUGCACACCACAGAUAUCACGUUUCGGUCCUUAUCGGUAUGAAUGAAAGAAAAGACAUGCUCCAAAACCUCUUCCGGAAACGAGUACGCCAUUGAAAAUUCUUUCUUGGAGUUCCGAAUUCACAAACAAACCCUAAAUCGAACUUUUCGAAGUCUCAAAUCCGAGAUGUCAUUAACAAGCUCAGUUGCAGAAUACAUCUUUCCGUUCAUUUCCCCACUGGCUUUGUCCCUGAAGUAUUUGUAGUCCGACAGAUUGUAGGGGAACCUCACUGACAUAUUGUGUUCGGUCUUCUCACUCACCACGACAAGGCUAUAAAGAUAGAGUUGAAACGGCGAAUCAAGAGGCAGCUUUAAGUGAUCGAUUUUACAGAAAGAACCCGCUUCCUCCAUUCCUUCAUUGGAUGAAAUUUUGGAUAAUCAUUCACCAAUUCUAACUUUCAUCUUCACCAAGUCUCGAUGCUUCUUCUUUAAUGAGUGCAACGAAUCUGCAUGUCGGGAGACCAAAUUCUCACGACGCAUAAGAAAAGAAUUUGCACCCGCCGUUACCGAUCCUUCUCCUUUGAUACCAACUCAUCCAUAACUAUGUCAUUUAAUCACUUCUCCAUUUGACCAUCCAUUCCGAACAUGCCCAGAAAAUCAUUGCUACUUCCUGUCCAACACUUAAAAGAAAAAUGACGAUGCCGGGUGUGGUGUUGAAUACAGGACGAAAAUGAGGAGCACGAUGGUGAAAGUGACCAUGCAUAGGGGAAAAAGUGUGGUGGAGAAAUGGGAAGAAUGAAAACAGGUAGUGAGAGAAACGGUGUAACAUAAUGUGCCUAUGCUGUGUUAGGUUAUAUAUGUAAAAACAACUUUUUUGUUUUUGUUUUGAGUGGUUGUCAUGCUUCCACGUGGAGAGAUUUACACAAGUUAAAUCUCUUUGCAUCUGGUUUAAAUUCUGGUGUCUGUACAACAAAAAAGUGAAGAACCGAGAAUACAAAGUGAAAAGAAAUAGGGUCCUCUGUUUUUUUGGGACUGUCUUAACUCCUCUGUUCCAGGUCUGUUACAAGGUGUCACUCUUCCAUUUUUUCUUUCUAUAGCCUUUCUCUGUUUUAGGCUGAAACUGCAGCCAACAUAAUUGGUAUUAGAGCAACCCAUUUCACGAAUCCACCUCUCAAUCUAAUCUUCGAUCCACCUUGCUGUUUCCAAUAUGAUCUAAUCCACUUCUUCUUUUCAAGCCCUUUUAUUUCUUAAAACAUGCCUCUUGUGUAUGGAAUUUUAAGAAAUUUCCUCUGUUUUGGAAAGAGAGGAUACUAGGGUUUCUUUUAAUCUGAAGACCAAAAUCCGAACCUACAAUGUAGCUGAAUUGGUGAUGUUGCUGUGCAAUCAGAUUCUGUCUAGAAACCCUCAAUCCUGAAGCAGACGGACCAAGGACUUGAAGGGUAGAUCAAUGGCCAGCACAAGUGUUACAAGUAUGAGUUCUCAACCUUCUUCUAUUCCAUUAUUUGAAGGAGAAAAUUAUGACUUUUGGUGCGUAAAAAUGAAAACUUUAUUUGUCUCAAGAUGUUUGGGAUUUGGUUGAAAAUGGUUUUGAUGAACCUCCGGUUGAAAAAGAUCAGUUGAAAGAAUUGAAAAAAAUGGAUGCAAAAGCUCUCUUAUUUAUUCAACAAGGUGUUGGUAAUAACAUCUUUCCAAGAAUUAUGAGAGCUUCAAAAGCUAAAGAAGCAUGGGACAUCCUUCAACAGGAGUUCCAAGGAGACAAAAGAACCCAGUCAGUAAAGCUUCAAGCUUUAAGAAGAGAGCUGGAAAAUAUGAAAAUGAAGGAGAAUGAAACUCUAAAUGAGUUUUCUUCCAAAUUUAUGGAGUUAGUAAAUCAGAUGAAGUCAUAUGGUGAAGAAAUUAGUGAUAAAAGAAUCGUUGAGAAACUUUUAAUCAGUCUACCUGGCAAAUUUGACCCAAUUGUGGCUAUGAUUGAAGAAACAAAAGAUCUCUCACUGCUCAGUGUACAAGAGCUAUUUGGGUCUUUAAAAACUUAUGAAUAGAGAUUGUUGAGGCAUUCUGAAAAAUCAGUAGAAAGUGCAUUCCAAUAAAAAAUAAGCCUUAACUCCAGAAAUGUUGAAAGGAAACCUAUAAGCAAUGAAAAUAAAAGUGAUUCAUCUAGAGGUGGUAGAACUGGAUGAGGAAGAGCAAAAGGAAGAGAUGGAAGAGGUAGAGGAAGAUUCAGCUAUGGAAGAAAGUUUACUAACGAGGAAGGCUCAUCAUUCUCAAAGUGUAAUAUUUGUAAAAGAAGUAGUCAUGUUGAAAAAGAUUGUUGGUUCAAAGGGAAGCCUCGAUGCUUCAAUUGUAAAAAAUUUGGGCAUGUUAAAAAAGAUUGCAGAUUUAAGAACAAUCAACAAGCAAGUUGUGCUGAGGAGAAAGAGGCUGAUGAAAACAUGUUUUAUGCUUGUCAAAGUGUUGCUGAGCAAAAGAAUAAUGUGUGGUUCCUUGACAGCGGCUGCACAAACCACAUGACUGGUAACAAAAAUAUUUUCCUUGACAUGGAUACAACCAUCAAAUCAUAAGUCAAAAUGGGUAAUGGUGAUUUAGUGAAUGUUAAAGGGAAAGGCACAGUUGGUAUCCAAACUAAAGUGGGAACCAAGUACAUCAGAGACGUUCUUCUUGUACCAGCCUUAGAGCAAAAUUUGUUAAGUGUGGGACAGCUAGUAGAGCAUGGGUAUAAACUUCACUUUGAAAAUAAUGAGUGCACCAUUUAUGAUAAGGAGCAAAGAAGAAAUUUAGUGAAGAAGAUAAAGAUGGAGAAAAAUAGAAGUUUUCCAAUUGUCUUCAAAUAUGUUGAAAAUGUGGCUUUGAGAAUGGAAGAUGUUGAAGAAGCUUGGUUGUGGCAUAGAAGAUUUGGGCAUUUGAACUUCAAUAGCUUGAAGAUGCUUUGUCAAAGGAAGAUGGUACAAGGAUUGCCAAACGCCAUUGAAGAAAAGAAUGAAGUAUGUGACGGUUGUGCUCUUGGGAAGCAUCAUAGACAAUCAUUUCCAAAGGGAGUCGCUUGGAGAGCAAAGAAGGUAUUGGAGUUAGUUCACACUGAUAUAUGUGGACCCAUGUCUACACCUUCUCAAGGCAACAACAAGUACUUUGUAUUGUUUAUUGAUGAUUUUACAAGAAUGACUUGGGUGUUCUUCAUGAAGCAAAAAUCAGAAGUGUUCUCUAUCUUUAAAAAAUUCAAGAGUUUUGUUGAAAAGCAAAGUGGUUGCUACAUAAAGACCUUGAGAAGUGACAAAGGAAUGGAAUAUACUUCAAGCCAAUUUGGUAAUUUUUGUGAAGAUGAAGGGGUUGAGAGACAGCUUACUGUUGCAUAUACUCCUCAACAAAAUGGAGUAGUUGAAAGGAAAAAUCAAACGGUUAUGGAAAUGGCCAAAGCUAUGUUAUAUGAGAAGGGUUUGCCUAAAAUUUUUUGGGCUGAAGCAGUUAACACUGCUGUGUAUCUUUUGAAUAGAUGCCCAACAAAAGCAUUAUUGAACAAAACUCUGAUUGGAGUAUGGAGUGGAAGAAAACCAUCUGUUAGACACUUCAAAGUGUUUGGGUGCUUAUGUUAUUCACAAGUUCCAAAGGAAAGAAGGAGCAAGCUGGAUGAAACAAGUGAAAAGUGCAUCUUCAUGGGUUAUAGUUCACAGUCAAAGGGUUAUAGGUUGUAUAAUUUGAAAACCAACAAGCUGAUCAUAAGUAGAGAUGUUAUUUUUGAUGAAAAAGCUGCUUGGAAUUGGGAAGAAGGUAAAAUUCUGAAGAAAACAAUUCUUGUUGAUGAACUUCAAACAAAAGCACCAGUUGAAACUGGAAAUGGCAGCACUUCAACUUCAUCACCUCAAGAAUCUCCAAGAUCAGUUCCAUUAUCUCCCUCAAUUGAGUCUCCAACUUCAAGCUCGUCGUCACCAUCCUCAACUCCAAGAAAAAUGAGAAGUUUGACUGAUGUUUAUGAGAGAUGCAAUUUGUGCAUUGUUGAACCUCAAAGUUUUGAAGAGGCAAUAAAAGAUGAAGAUUGGAGGAAAGCAAUGGAAAAAAAAAUUGAUGUCAUUGAGAAAAAUGAAACAUGGCAGCUGGUUGAAAAGCCAAAAGACAAAGAAAUCAUUGGGGUGAAAUGGAUUUUUAGGGUGAAAUGGAUUUUUAGGGUGAAAUACCAUUCUGAUGGUAGAGUUCAAAGGCUUAAAGCUAGAUUGGUUGCAAAAGGCUAUUCACAACAGCCGGGUGUUGAUUUCCAUGAGACCUUUGCUCCAGUUGCUCGCCUUGAUACUAUUAGAACUAUUAUUGCAGUGGUUGCUCAAAAAGGUUGGUUGUUGUACCAACUUGACAUAAAAUCUGCAUUUUUGAAUGGAAAGCUGGAAGAAGAGAUCUAUGUUGAACAACCUCAAGGAUUUGUUGUUGAUGGAGAAGAAAACAAAGUUUACAAGUUAAAGAAAGCCUUAUAUGGUUUGAAACAAGCUCCCCGUGCCUGGUACACUCAAAUUGACAGCUACUUCAUUGAAAAUGGUUUCAUUAGAAGCAAAAGUGAGCCUACCCUCUAUGUGAAGAGCAAAGAUAAUUCCCAAAUCCUUAUUGUUGCUCUUUAUGUUGAUGAUUUGAUUUUUACUGGAAAUGGUGAGAAGAUGGUUGAAAAAUUUAGAAAUGAAAUGAUGAAAAAAUAUGAAAUGAGUGAUAUGGGAUUGUUGCAUUAUUUUUUGGGAAUUGAAGUCUAUCAAGAAGAAGAUGGUGUGUUUAUUUGUCAAAAGAGGUAUGUUGAACAUAUCCUCAAAAAGUUUGGCAUGGCUGGUUGUAAUCCUGUAUCUACUCCUUUAGUUGUGAAUGAAAAGUUGAGGAAAGAAGAUGGAGGGAAGAUGGUUGAUGAAACUCACUUUAGAAGUCUUGUUGGAAAUCUGUUGUAUCUCACUGCAACUAGACCUGACAUCAUGUUUGCAGCAAGCUUGCUGUCAAGAUUCAUGCAUUAUCCUAGUCAUUUACAUCUUGGAGCAGCAAAAAGAGUCUUGAGAUAUUUGCAAGGCACGGUUGAACUUGGAAUAAAAUAUUUCAGGAAUAUUGAAGUGAAGCUAAUUGGCCAUUGUGAUAGUGAUUGGGGUGGCUGUAUUGAUGACAUGAAAAGCACAUCAGGCUAUGCAUUCUCCCUUGGUUCAGGUGUUAUGUCUUGGGUCUCAAAAAAGCAAGGUUUAGUGGCUCAAUCCUCUGCUGAAGCAGAGUACAUUUCAGCUUCAUUGGCAACUUCUCAAGCAAUAUGGUUAAGAAGAAUUUUAGAAGACAUUAAGGAGAAGCAAAAUGAAGCAACACAUCUACUUUGUGACAACAAAUCUGCUAUAGCCAUUGCAAAAAACUAUGUUUUUCAUAGUAGGACUAGGCAUAUUGCAGUGAAGUAUCAUUUUAUUAAAGAAGCUAUUUCAGAUGGUGAGGUUCAAUUGAUGUACUGUAAAUCAGAGGAGCAGGUUGCUGAUAUCUUCACUAAAGCAUUGCCUUUGGAGAAGCUUGUUCACUUCCGAAAGCUUUUGGGAGUAGAGGAACAUCACAUUAGGGGGGAGAAUGUAACAUAAUGUGCCUAUGCUGUGUUAGGUUAUAUAUGUAAAAACAACUUUUUUGUUUUUGUUUUUGUUUUGAGUGGUUGUCAUGCUUCCACGUGGAGAGAUUUACACAGGUUAAAUCUCUUUGCAUCUGGUUUAAAUUCUGGUGACUGUACACAAAAAAAGUGAAGCCGAGAAUACAAAGUGAAAAGAAAAAGGGUCCUCUGUUUUGUGUGGGGACUGUCUUAACUCCUCUGUUCCCAGGUCUGUUCCAAGCUGUUACUCUUCCAUUUUUUCUUUUUAUAGCCUUUCUCUGUUUCAGGCUGAAACUGCAGCCAACAAGAAAAAAGGUGUUAAAACCCAUUUACAGAUAAUCCUACUUUUUCAAGCAGAGUAGUAGGAAGCCUAGAGAGUAUCGAUAGGAAACAUGCAAGUGAGAUGGGUUCAGUUACAUAUAACUGCUCAUGCCUUCUGCUCAUGUUCUGUCCACAGUAUUUAUGUUUAGUAAGCCAUCNNNNNNNNNNNNNNNNNNNNNNNNNNNNNNNNNNNNNNNNNNNNNNNNNNNNNNNNNNNNNNNNNNNNNNNNNNNNNNNNNNNNNNNNNNNNNNNNNNNNAUGGCUGGUUGUAAUCCUGUAUCUACUCCUUUAGUUGUGAAUGAAAAGUUGAGGAAAGAAGAUGGAGGGAAGAUGGUUGAUGAAACUCACUUUAGAAGUCUUGUUGGAAAUCUGUUGUAUCUCACUGCAACUAGACCUGACAUCAUGUUUGCAGCAAGCUUGCUGUCAAGAUUCAUGCAUUAUCCUAGUCAUUUACAUCUUAGAGCAGCAAAAAGAGUCUUGAGAUAUUUGCAAGGCACGGUUGAACUUGGAAUAAAAUAUUUCAGGAACAUUGAAGUGAAGCUAAUUGGCCAUUGUGAUAGUGAUUGGGGUGGCUGUAUUGAUGACAUGAAAAGCACAUCAGGCUAUGCAUUCUCCCUUGGUUUAGGUGGUAUAUCUUGGGUCUCAAAAAAGCAAGGCUCAGUGGCUCAAUCAUCUGCUGAAGCAGAGUAUAUUUCAGCUUCAUUGGCAACUUCUCAAGCCAUAUGGUUGAGAAGAAUUUUAGAAGACAUCAAGGAGAAGCAAAAUGAAGCAGCAUAUCUACUUUGUGACAACAAAUCUGCUAUAGCCAUUGCAAAAAACUAUGUUUUUCAUAGUAGGACUAGGCAUAUUGCAAUGAAGUAUCAUUUUAUUAAAGAAGCUAUUUCAGAUGGUGAGGUUCAAUUGAUGUACUGUAAAUCAGAGGAGCAGGUUGCUGAUAUCUUCACUAAAGCAUUGCCUUUGGAGAAGCUUGUUCACUUCCGAAAGCUUUUGGGUGUAGAGGAACAUCACAUUAGGGGGGAGAAUGUAACAUAAUGUGCCUAUGCUGUGUUAGGUUAUAUAUGUAAAAACAACUUUUUUGUUUUUGUUUUGAGUGGUUGUCAUGCUUCCACGUGGAGAGAUUUACACAGGUUAAAUCUCUUUGCAUCUAGUUUAAAUUCUGGUGUCUGUACAACAAAAAAGUGAAGAACCGAGAAUACAAAGUGAAAAGAAACAGGGUCCUCUGUUUUUUUGGGACUGUCUUAACUCCUCUGUUCCAGGUCUGUUACAAGGUGUCACUCUUCCAUUUUUUCUUUCUAUAGCCUUUCUCUGUUUCAGGCUGAAACUGCAGCCAACAAAUGGGAAUGAAAUGUGAUCAUGCAUGCAUGAGGAUAGAUGGAUAGCGGAGGAAGUAGGUUUAUAGGUGCUGAAAGAAAUGGGUGUUUAGGUUGAAUGGAAGGUGGAGAUGUGGGGCGUGGUGACGGGUAUGAUUGAUGGGCUCGGUGGGUAUGAGAAGAAGGAAGAUUGGAUAGUGGGAGAAAUGGGUAUCGAAGAUGGUCGUGUUUGCAUGAUUCCCAUGCAUGCGUGGAGCUUCAGGCACGUGAGAAAUGAUAGAAAUGAGGUCAAGGUUGGUUGGAUGAAUGAUGAGGGUGGAUGUGUUGGUUUUGAAACCAGAUAAAUAAAAGAAAAAACGGAAGCCAAAAAAAUUUUCUCAAAAUUUUUUCUCAAUGAUCAAUACUUGUAUUAAUUUAAUGAAAUAACAAAUAUAGGUAAAUUAGAAUUGUACCUUGCGAUUAGGCUGAUAAAUUUGAACUUCACCAAAAGGAUCUUAGAAUUCCAAAUCCUCUAAAGCACCAUGGAUCUUUCUCUAACGUUCUCCAAAUUAUGAUGAACUCAAAACGAGUGGGCGUUUUUCAUUCUUGGGUUUUUUUCUCACACAACUUAAUAUAUAUUGAAAACUUGUAUUCUCUUCCCAUCAUCCGAGAAACAUUGAGAAAAAAAAAAUUUAAUACCACGAAGAAAAAAAAAUAACUGACAUGUUUUGAAUUUUGAAAAACAUGGGAGAGAAUAUCUCUCCCCAUGAUCCCCACUUAAAAAGUGUUUCUUUGAAUUUUGAAAAACAUGGGAGAGAAUAUCUCUCCCCAUGAUCCCCACUCAAAAGGUGUUUCUUAGGGAAUACAAGUAAGUGUGGUUUUCACCACAUUGUAUCAAAAAAUAUUUUAAAUAAUCAAAUUAUAAAAUAAAUAAAUCAAAUCAAGAUUGUGUGAAAUUAAUUUAGAAUUUAAAAUUCCAAAACUAAUAAAAUCAACCCAACAUAAAAAAAUGUUCAUAUAAUUUUAAUGGAGCCGUUGAGAGGAACUAUGGACAUUAUAAUUUUAAGCUCCAAUAAUUUUGACAAUUAAUUAACAACUUAAUUAAAAAAUCAAAAUUAUUAAUUCCAAAAUUACUCCACUAAAAAUUUGGAAUUGCACUCUUAAAAUUAUAAAAUUAAAUAUAUUCAAAGGAUUUGAAUUGCCCAUUGAUAUAGUCACUACAUAUGAGUCAAUCCUCCAUAAACGGUUCAUAAUUAAAGCUAGGUUUUUCCGUUAACCUCUUUAAUUAUAUCUUUCUCCUUAAGUGCCAUUGGUUCUCUAAUGAAUAAUAUAUUUAUGGUCUAAUCAUAAAUUGAGCGCUCUUAUCAUUCAAGGCCCGAACCAAUACUUAUGGGAACCGUCCAUCUGACUUCUUAACGAAGGAAUGGAUUUCAUCUUGUAUAUUAAUAUUCCCGGCUAUUUAUUUUAUUAUACUUCCAAUACACCAAGAAUUUGACACUAUGUAUUUGUGUCAUUACCCGGUAUGUCAAAAAAUACAAUAGAAUAAAUAGGAGUCUAUUAAUCACUCAGAAUUAAGAUCAAUGCAUAUAUGACCAUCAUUGAUUAAUAUUAAAUGCUCUAUAUUAUAAUGGAAUUUAUCAGAGAUUCAUAAUUAAUCGUGUUCCAGUCCUAUAUAAUCAAAUUAUAUAAAGCGCUUUCAAUCUAAUAAUCUCAUUAUUAACAAUCCGGAUAAGAUCAUUUCAUUCAGAAUGUAAUGAACCGCGCUAGUAAUUUUAAAUUAAAGAUCCCAUCUUUAAUUUUUAAUUACGAACAUAUUAGAUUAUUUUACUUUAAAUAUUAUCCUCUUGUAUAUAACACUUAUAUACAAUAUUUAAAGUUUCAAUUAAAUAAUCUAGGGUUUUCGAUAUUUAUAAAGCAUCUAUAACAUGCAUGCAACAAUAAUAUUGAAAUAAUUCCUUAAAAAAAUAUUAAUAAUCAGCAAAAUAAAAAACAUCUCAUUUGUUUAUGGGCACAUAUUCCAACAGGAUGGUAUAGGAGAAACGAGCAUGGGGUUGGUGAGGUGGGUUAGUGUGGCCGUGUAUGGCCAUGCAAAGGUGGGAGGGAAUGAGAUUGAGAAGAGUGAAAAAGGGUAGAGAGAGAAAUGAGUAUGAAAGAUGAGUGAGUAUGUGAGGAUUGAAAAUGGAACGAGGUGAAGGUGGCCAUGUGCAUGAGAUUUUCAUGUACAUAGAAAAAUGAAGGAAAUGGGUAUUAGUGAGAGAAAUGGGUAUGGUGGAGUGAAGGAUGAAAGGGUGGCGGGAUUAGAUGGGCAUGGAUAGUAAGAGGUUAAAGAUGGGGAGGAUGGGUGUAGUGGUGAAACAGUGUGCAUGAAGGGUACGUGGUGUAGAGGGAUAAAUGGGUUCAUACGUUUCAAGGAAAGGGUGAUAUGCAUGGGAGGUUAUGAAAGAUAAGUAUGGAAAUGGGCAUGAGAAGGUGGGCAAUAUGGGUAGGAUGAGUUCGAUGGGUGUGAAGCGAUGGGUUUGAUGGAGGAUAGGACGGAUGAGAGAUGAAGGAUGAAGUGGGUUAGAGAGUAUUAAAGAAGUGGUGGUGCAUAGAAGGUUAGGGAGAAUGAGGGGAUGAGUUUGGGUGUGAGUAUGGUUACGAGCAUGGUGGAGUGAAGGAUGGAGUACAAAAGUUGCAGGAAUGAUGAGAUGAGGUGGCCAUGUGUAGGAAUUCCAUGCAUGUGGGUAGGAAACAAAUAGCUGGGCAGCAAGGUGAGUGACGACCUGAAAACUCUCAUCAUCAAGAGCAUGGGUGGCAGUGGAACAAAUCUUUUCCUCAAACCUUUCAGCAAUUUUCCAUAUCUCACAUAGUUCCUCGGAAUCAGACCUUAACUGAUCUAGCUGGCAACUCUUUGAAGGGAUGAGUCAUAAGGUUACAUACCAAAGAGAUUCUUAUGGUUCCACACCUCAGAGUAUAGUUCCCGUACCUAAGAACGCCUGAACAUCAGGAGCAGAGGGAAAGUAGCAAAGACGGAGCAUAGAUGAAGAAAAUAAGAUUAACCAUCAAAAGCCACACUUCGUGUCCUAGUCAGUGGGCUUAAAGAUAGGUGGAUUAAAAGAGUUUCUAAAUGGCGCGAAGGAGAUAAAAUGGAGUUGAAACAAUUUUUGAACACAAACAGGAGCAAUAGAGGAACUGUCAACUAUGAAGAAAAAAAAACCAUAAAUCAUCCAAAGAUCAACAGCAACACAUCUAAAUAAUAGUAGAUGAAAAGAAAAGAAAUAUACACAGUGGAAGACUUACUUCUGGGAAAAUGUUGGAGGUCCUUCUUCUCUGCUUCUUCUUUUUCUCUUCUCCCACAACUCAUUUUUCCCUCAACUAUUUUAUUUUUCUCUUCCAGAACCCUCCGGAACCAAAGGUGUCCCCCCCUCCAGAUACUACCCCUCAGUUCAAAAAUAUCUCAUGUCUCUCUGAACACACUCCUCUCUCUCUUCGAUUCCCUCUCAAUCUUCUCUGAAAAAAAAACUCUCGGCCCCCCUCCAAAAAACGCCUUUUUUUCUCUUCCCUAAGCUAUCUAUCCCCUUGUUACAACCCACAAAAAUGUCUUUCUUGUCAUGUAGCCCCAUUUUCUGUUCAGUUCUGUCUCCUCUCUUCAAACGGUUGUGUCUCCCCUUUUUGAAACAACUCACCAUCAGCUGCUUUUCUUCCUACUUUCCAUCCCGUCUAGCCACCCAAAAACAACUCAUUCCCAGUCCUCUUUGGCUGCCCAAGAACGGCUCACCCAUCAUCCGCUUUCUUCACCUUCCGUCUUCUUUGGCUGCCCGAGAACGACUCCUUCUCAGGGUGGCCAGAAAAAUAAAAAAAAAUAAUAUGAAACCCCUCCAUCUCAAGGGUCUACAAAGGUGUUUUCAAAAAACAUAUAUUAGUUGUUUUUAGUUUUCUUCAUUAGCUUGGUUGUUUUAAAAAAAUAAUUAUACAAAAAAAAUGAUUAAAAAUAUAAUAUUAUAUACAAAAAUUAUUUAAAAAUUAUAUGCAUGAGUUUUGGAAAGUCUUGCAAAAUAAGCAAAGCUAUAGGAAAAAUAUGCAAACAAAAAUUUGUAUUAAAAUCAUUGGGGGCGGACAAUAUUUGUGGAAAAAUAUUUUUUGCCAAAGAAUAUUUUUUAAAGAUCAAUUGAAAGCCUAAAGCGACUUGUUCCCAAAUGAAUUUAUUGAAUGGUGAAGAGCAUGUAUGUUGCGAUUUUUUGGAUUUGUAGGGGGUAUUUUAUAAAGCUUUUUUUCUCUUUGUGAAACUUCUUUUCAUAUGUGAAAUUGUUUUAUUUUUUUAUCAUUUUCAUUGAAGGAAGUUGCAGAUAUUUAUAGAUGAAAUUAAAAAAUUAAAUUUAGAAUUUCUAAGAUUUGAUUACUUAAUUAAAAAAAUUGGUUUCUUAAUUUUAGCAACUUGUCUUUUUCAUUAAGGAAGUUUGCUAACAAGAGAUUAUUUACUUCUCAUUUUCUUUUGACUUCAAUUGGAAGAUUUGUUUCAUUUGUUUAGAAAAUUUGCCAACGAGAAAAUAUUGAUUUCUAAUUCUUUUUUAUUUCAAUUUUUUGAUUUGAUUUGAUUUUGCAAGACUUUAUUGUAUAGCCUUCCAAAUUUCGCUACAUGCCAUUUUUUGAAUCAAAUGCCACAUGUUCAAUAUAUAUGACUCAUCACUUAUCAAGCCCAAAUUUUGUUGAGCUAAGGAGUUACAAUUUUGAAGACUAAUUUGGUAGUAUUUUAAUCCACUAAAAUUUUUUAUGUUUACAAAUGCCCUGAAGACAGAUCACACACAUACAUUGCCAUGUAUAAGAGGUGAAUCUUGAAGUUAGCCAUUUGAAUCUUCCAUAUCCUUCUUUGAUUUUAUUUUUUUCGAAGAAAUAUUUUAAUAGGAAAUUUCCUAUUCAAAAUACUUUUCUUCAACUUUUUCCAAACACUACUUUAUUUAUUUAUUUAUUUAUUUAUUUAUUUAUUUAUUUAUUUGCCUGGUAUCAAAGAAAGACCUUGUGUUAAUGGGAAAGCUUCUUAUUUGAAUAUCUAUUUUCUUUUCUCAUGGUAUUUUCACUUCCAAUUUGCCAUCCUACAAUAAGUCCUUCACCCUAGCUUGGUCAAUUGCAUCUUAGACUUGUUCACAUGCCUUUAACUUGUAAUUCAAGUUCCAUUUUUUUUUGUUUAAAAAAUAAUACAAUAUAUUUGAGCAAGACCUUAAGCAAGAGAAGAGAGGUGGAGGAUGGAGCACCAGCUAACCUUAGGGCAAGAUCUUGAGCAAGAGAAGUAAGGUGGAGAAUAGAGCACAAACUUCUUUAGAGUAUGGUAGGCAUGUCGUCACAGAGUUAUCUUCCACAUGGAGCAUGGUAGGGCAUUAUAUAUAUGAUAGGGUGUGCCAUCAUGUAACAAUGAAGAACAACAAUCCAUGGUGUACAAUUGGGAACAACAAUUCAUGCUAUCAAGAUUCACCUGUUUUUAUUUAUUUUUUAUUUUUUAUUUUUAUCCCUAUCUCCACCCUCGACUCCAUUUUUUUUUUUUUCAAGUUUCUAGAUCCCUUUUGAUUCUUUCUCAUUUUCUUUUUUCAACUCUUUUUUUCCCUCCUUUUUUAAGCAUUGUUCUUAAGGAAAAAAUAUAAUUUACGAGUACCUGGAUUCUAUUCGAAUAAAAAAGAGCCAUUCACAUGCAUGGAUUAAAUAUAUAUCUCAUGGAUACAUUGUACUUAGCCACGGCUGAAGCUUUCCACUAUGACUUAGAAACAAAAAAAGAAAGAUAUGAUUAAAAAACUGAUUGGCAUGUGGCUGUGCUUGCCAGUAGAUGGCUGAAAAGUAGUUCUGACCUUUUGUUUUGGCCUCUACUAAGGAACCCAUUAUUGAGAGAUUUAAUGGCAACUAUAUAUGGUAUAAAUAAUGUUUCAUAAAGUACUUACACAUCUUAUUCUCAUUUCUAUCAAUGCAAUAAUGUAGACCCCCAUGUGGGGCUUGAUCUGCUGCAGCACAUUUGGCCACGUGUCACUCUCCGAUUGGCCAUCAUGGAUGCUCUUGAAGGCCAAUCUGGGGUCGACACGUGUCAUCAUGGAAUCAGACAAAAAUCUUUUUUUGGCUGUUAUUUGAGGGAGAAAAGCGGCUGCAUGAAGGUGGUGGUCUGGCCGUUUUGAGGAGUGCUUUUGGGAAGGCUGCAGGGUAGUGGUGCAGGGGGUGUCGUCUGGCAGCUGCAUUGAGAGUGAGAGAAAAAGGAGGGGAGAGACUGAGAGGGCAAGUGUUCACUGUCGUUUUGGCAUUGGGAGAGGGGGGUUUUUUUUUUCUAGAGAGAACAGAGAGCUAGAGGGAGAGUAAGAGUUUUGCUGGAAGGGAUUCCUUGAGCUGAGGCUGCCGGAGAGAUAUUUUGAGAGGGAGAGGUUUUUGGUGGCUGUUUUUCUGCAGGUCGUAAGGAAAACAGCCAGAGAGCUAGAAGGAGAAAGGGAAAAGAAAAAGCUAAGAAAAACAAAGCAGAGAGCUUUAGUGAGAGAGAGGAUUCCAGAGAGCACUGAGAGGAGAGGUUGCAGAGAGGAGUCCAGGGAGAGUUUCCAUUAGAGAGAGAAAAACAAAGGAAGAAGAAGAAAGGCAAACUGAGAGAGAGGGAGGAGAGAAACAGAGUAAGCUACAGGAGGUAUGGAGCAGAAAGAGUGAAGUAGAGCAACUCGAUACCCAUCUGGUCUUGCAAGAAAGAGGUGUGUUCAGGAUUUGAGAGAGGAGCAGGUGGGAUUAGAGAGGGUUCUUUGGCAGCUGCAGGGAAGACAAGGGAGGAUCUCCAAGUAAGUUUAUCAUGGUUUUCCAGUCUUUUUCUUAUUAUGAUAAUUGAUCCAUUAUUCUUCCUGCUAUUUCUGGGUAUUGUUUGAUGGCUUGAGCGUGGAUGCCCCCCAUUGUUUGAUUUCUAUUGGUUUCAUGGUAUGAAUGUGGAUUUAUUGUUAUAGUUUUUUUUGUCUCUCUUUCCUCUUGGGUUUUGCUGGAAAAUAACCUCACUCUAUUUCAAUUCCACUGUGAAAUGCUUGAGAAUCAUGACUUGUUCAUAUUGGCAUGAAUUUUCCCACCUAGUUAGCAGGCUCCCUGAUAACCCAUGAAGUGGAGCCUCAUUUGAUGAUAACUUUAUUUUGUUUUUCUUUUAUGUUCUGUUUUCCAUGGCUUCUUCUUUCUUGUGGCUCUUAUCUAAAUGCAUGGGAUGUGAGGAAAAGACCAGGAUCUUCAAGAUCUCCAAGCUGAAGAUGUUAUCAAGGAGCAAGCAAGUCAGACUUCUGUAUAAGUUCCACGACCCUAGGGAAAUGGUCUGAGAAGGUCUCUCGUGAAGCUAUGUAAGGUUGGCCGGAAGAGUCUUUCUAUGUUUCAACAAGCAGUUUCUGUGGACUUAGUUGGGUGCUGGACUUGGGUUUUAAAUGGUGGCCAGUGGAGAGCUUUUCGAAAAUCUCUUUCUAUUCAGGAUAAAGAGGUGCUCAAAGCCCGGGAUUUUGUUUUGAGUGAGGCAAGGAAGUAUGAAAUCGGGUUCAUAUUGUCAUUAAGUAAUAAUUGGGGAGAAUAUGGUGGCAAAGCAUAGACAACAACAGGCUCCCUCUGGUCACGGUACUGCUGAAAAUAAGGAAAGAGUCUUUCCAUGCUGGCAUGAGUGUUGAUGAAACCACCAUUACCCUACUCUCGCAUGGCUAUCUAUUUGCCCAGUUUCUCAUACCCACUUUCAUAUUAGCCUUCUCAAACCUCCCAGCAUGCUGUUUUUUUUUUUUUUUUUUUUUCUUGAAAUCUCACGGAUCAAUUCAUUCUUCUAUGCCCUUUACCCUUCAUGCAUACUAUUUUACCACCACAACCAUUAUCCCCACUUUCAGCAUAAUACCGAAAAUGCCCAUCAAGCAUUUUUUUUUCAUUUCAUAUUAUCCCUUCCACUAAUUUCCCACUCCCUAUUCCACACCAUACCCCCCGUGGUAAAUAUAGUCAAUGUUCUGACCCAAUUUUUUUUUUUUUUCUUUUAUCCCAUGCACGGAUCCACCUUUAAUAGACCCUACACAAUCAUCCCUUGGGACCCGAACUCACAACCCGUUUUCACUAUCAUCCUUCUCGCUCCUCUGUUUGUAAGUCAUUCAUGCCACUUUCCAGUUUUGAUAGAAAUGGAGCAGUUCCAUUGAUGUUUGCAGGGCUGCAAAUAUUCAUACCAGUAGGUAACCAUGCUAUCUCAGGACUGAAGUCUCGGAUCUUGGAAGGGUUCUCGCAGCGGGGUUACAGCGUUUUGCUCUCUUCACGAUCCGUGACUGCAGCAUAGUCGUGGUUUCCAAGUACAAUAUGGCAAUGGAAGUCAUUCAAGGGCUUUUGAAUGCAUAAUCAGUCGAUGGAGAUAUUCGGAAACAUGCAGAAGAGAGUUUAAAACAGUUCCAGGAGCAAAAUCUUCCAAAUUUCCUACUAUCUCUUUGCUUUGGCAAACUUUACCGAUGGUAUGGAGCGUGAUUAUAUCAUGAGAGUUGUCUGUGAAGCAACUCUGUCUCCUGAAGUCAAGAUAUUAAUAAAAGAGGUAGUGAACAUCCAAAGCAAGGAGAUGAUGAAGACGCUGAUGCUUCAGAUGAGAACUACAAUGGUUGAGGCAGAAAUUGAAGAUUGGACAAGGGAUUAUAGCAUCCGUACCUUGCUGAAGUUGCCAUGGAUAAAGGGCCCCUCUUCCAUCAAUUCAAACAGGGAUUACCUUUUGUUCUUUUCUGAGAGUUACAGAUUUUAUGGGAUGCAAUUGGGGCCCGCCAUGCAGCAUUAUUGACGUCAAAUUCACAGCUACAUGCUGAUAGUUUGGAUGAUAACAUGUGCGGCACAACUGUAAUAACAGUAUUGAUUCGUGGUCGGGCUAUAUAUGUUGCUAACUCAGGGGAUCCCAGAGCUGUUACAGUAGAAAGAAAAGGGAAGGAAAUUGUAGCUGUUGAUUUAUCAAAUGAUCGUUACCAUCCAUGCAGACUCUUGGUGGAUGACAUGUCCAGGGAAGCAUUUCCAGAAUCCUGAUGUGUAAAGGUAUAGCAGGAGGGAUGGUUGGAGAGUUGCAAGGGUUACGUCGCCCACUCAUUUGAGGUUUGAACUUGAUGUGCUAGCAUUCUCUGGUGCUACUUUAAUAAGGGUUUGGGUCACUUUGCUCUUCCCCCAGUGAAGCUGUGAACUGCCAUCUGUCACUUCCUCAAGUCAUUAUAACCCCGGUCGUGGUCUUCUCUCCCGUGCUAGGUCUCUCAGACUUCCUCAGGGCAUGCCUUUUUUUCAUUUUGCCUAUUCCCUAUUAUUGUUACUAUUAUUAUUUUCAUUUCUCUUUUUAUUAUAUUAAAUUUAUUUCACCUUUUAUUAUUAUUAUUAUUUUCUUUAUUAUUAUUAUUAUUUUAUCCUUGUUGUUUUCAAAAUAAUCCAUCAAAUUCCAGCUUUCAAAGGGUUUUCCAAAUUCCAUUUUUAUAAAAUUUAUUUACUUUUAAUUUUCAUCUUUAGUUUUUUUAGAAUCCCUCAAAAAUCUCAUUUCAAAUAAAAUUCACCGCCAUUUUUUGUUUUGGCCAGUGACUUUCACAAUUCCUCUGAUUUUCAAAAUGUUUUAAAUAAGCUAGAAUCGAAUUCCGUAAUUCCUAGUGAUGGAAUUUAUGGAAUUAAUUCAUGCAAAAAUGAAUUGGGCUUUGGUGGGGGCCCUACAUAUGAGAUUUCAUGAUUGAUUGACUGAUUGAUUCAUUCAUUAGCUAUAUGUGAUUGAUUUACUCUGUUUCUUGAUAUACACAUUAUCCUUCUGUGUUUGUUCACUAACCCUGUUUCUGAUAGCGCGUUACGGCUCGCGGCCCAGGUACGCACUCUCUAUACCUAUUCUGUUUUUUUUUAUAAGUGUAAGAUGGAUUUGAGUAUCCAUUGAUUUUUCCAUUGAUUGUCAUGUCAGCUUCAUUUUAUUAGUAGAGACCCGACUUUAGGGACUUAGAGGGGUGCUACGGUCUUUACCGUACCUUCCCGAUAAGUAACCUGACCCCCGAACCCGAUCCGGUUUUUCAUAGACCGCCUUUUCCAAAAUGAGGAGUCACACUUAGGGUUUUUCUUUCUUAUUUUGUUUACCCUUUAAAAAUAAAACAAAAAUAAGUGGCGACUCCAAGUCAUUUUCAAAUAAUCAAUAAAAUCAAUUUUUCAAAAUAAAAAUCGAGUUUCACCAUCGAGUGGGAAACACAUCGAGCUCAGAAUCGAAAAUGCGGGGUCCACAAAUAAUCAUAAUCAUCUUAUCUAUAAACAUGGCCUAGAGCCACAGAGCUGCCUUUUCUUUAGUCCUCGAGCCAUUUCAGCUAAAAGUAGUCUUUCCUUAGCAUUUCCGGUUCUAAGCUCCCAUUUCUUUAGGCCUUGAGGCAUUAAUUUUCAGCCCAGAGCUGCUUUUUCUUUCGGCCUAAGCUGCCUUUCUCUAGCAUUUUCAGCCCAGGGCUACCUUUCCUAGGCAUAUUAGCCCAAAGCUUCUAUUUCUUUAGGCCUGGAGCCAUUUCAACCUAGAACAUUUGUUUCUUUAGGCCUUGAGCCCUUUUCAACCCAGAACUGUCAUUUCUUCUAAAUAACUUCUCUUUUAAAAAAACUUCAAUUUUUCUUUCCAAUCACAAAUUUUAAGGCUUUGUUCCAGGUUUCAAGAAGCUGGUAAAAAUCUUCUAUUUAACAUUUCAGCAGUGAAUCGAAUUCACGAAGGAAAAAAAAAAUCUUGACGGCAUAAAGUAGGACAUGGGAUAGUUUGAAAUGCGUAAUUUUCAUCAUUCAAAUGUAAAACAUAUUAACUCUAUUUAGAUACUUUAACCAUUUCAAAUACUACAUACAUGUUCUCUUCAUUUUUUUUCUCUCUCGCAUUUUCCAUCAAAUUUUUCAACAAUCAAACAUAACCUUUAAAAAACAGAUAAUUUUACUUAUUUUGAAAGUGCUUUACAUAUAGCUUCUAUGAAAAGCUGUUUCAUGUUAAUUUAAUGAUGCACUUAUAAUAUUAAGAUUGCCCUUUCAUAAUCAUGAAUUAACCUUUAGUUUCAACUUCUACAAGAGGCUAAAUGAACAAAGCUAUCACAGAGGAGGCCUCAGCCAAUGAGUCAGAUGCACUGUUGUACCAAACCAAGGAUUUAUUUAUAAUGAAGUGCAGUCUCCAUAUGCACAUGAGACUGCAUUUACAGCAAAAAGACAAGGAAAUUAACAAUGUUGGAAUUACUGGAAAAUCACACAAAUUAUUGAAGGAGGACCUUAGCUAGGUUGUCUCCUAAAUUGCCCAUCUUUUUAUAUCUUUGCAUUCAUCUAUCUCAUCAUCGUCUUUGAUUUUAGAUGGUGAGGAUGUGAAAGUAACAGGAAGCAGUGGACGAUUGUUCACAGUGAGGCUUAGCACAUCAGCUCUCGAAUAAUGUCCUACCACGUCAAACUGGAACUUUGCUUUAGGAAUCUCUCCACGAACAUCUGCAUAUCAAGUGAUCAUAAAAAUAUUUGAUCAGCCCAUGAUAAAUAUCAUAGAGUAUCAAGUCUUCCAUAAAACUAUGUUUGCAGUCCCUUUAAACCUAAAGAAUUGACUCAUUUGCCUUAUCUGCAUACUGAAUUAUUUGGAUAUAUAAUCGGAGAAGUUAGGGCCAUACCAAGAUCAGCUGUGAAGAGGCCUUCUCCUUCAUAAUUCGGUCCUGCUAGAAUUUCGCCAUGGGGCGAAAUGAUGACACUACCUCCAGCCCAAACAAUAGAAUCUGGAGUGACAUCUUCUUCUGUAGGACUGUAAAGAUACUCAGGUGGAGGUGGGUAAUCUUUCCUCCGACAGAACUGGAUGGGUGAAAGAACAUAGCAUCCACCCUCCAUAGCGAUGUGUCUCAUUGUAGCUACCCAUGUAUCCCCGGAAUCGGCAGUAGGAGCACAAUAUAUCUCAAUUCCUAUAUAGAAUCGGUGUUUUGUGAUCAAUCAAUCCCAUAUCAGAGCCAUAAUGUAUUUCAAGCCUAUUUAGGCUAAAACCCUAAUAACUUAAAAAAGAGUACUGAAGUAUUUCAAGCCAAACCAUACUAGUUAGUGAAGAGAAAGAAAUGGUAAAAUAUAUACCUUUGCCAUACAUUGCUGUCCUCAGAAGCGGCAUUCUAUUUUCCCAACAAAUGACUGAACCAAGUUUUCCAUAUGGAGUGUCAUAAACUGGAGUUGUCGAGCAAUCUCCGAAACCCCAGACGAGCCGCUCCCAAUAUGUUGGCAUGAGUUUCCUAUGUUUUCCAAGGUAAUUACCUUCAGGAUCAAAGAAGAGAACAGUGCAAUACAAUGUGUAUCCAUCUCUCUCAAUAACACCUAUCACCAAGUAGACUUUGUAUUUCGCAGCCAUUGAUGCCAAUCUAUCAACUUCAGGUCCUGAAAAGAUAUUAAGUGGUUGAUUCAUCAAACGUGUCUUGUUUCAAUAAUUUAUUAAGUGGUUCAGUUCUUUAGCUAUUUAAGGAAAAGAGAGAGAGGUAACUGACCCGGCACAUUAAUGGCAGAAGCAUGGUACUUGCGGAAACUUUCUUUCCCUCUUGGCGACUGGUCGGCGAAGUUGUAUCCACGGGGAUACCCACCGAUAAAUGAUUCAGGAAACACAACCAGUUGGGAUCCCAGUGCAGCUGCUUCUUUCAAAAACCUCUCAGCCUUAUCUGCUCCCAAAAUCACAUUGCAAGAAUUAAUAAUUCACGACUUAGAAAGUAAAUUAAUUGGUUGAAUAGAGAGAAUCAAAAUUAACCUCCAGACAUCCCAAAUGACUUUUUGGUUGCUGAGAAAACUCAUGGAAAAAGAGACCUAGAUAAAACUCGGAACUUUCAUAUUUUCAGCUGUUUUGUAACUAAGAAAAGAGAAACCACCUCAACCCAACUCAUCCAAGUAAUUAUUCCUUGAUUGGCAGCUGAAAAUAUGUUCAAGCUUCAAUAAUCCUUUUCUUUCCUUCAGUUUCUCAGCAACCAAUCAACUCACAGAUUCUCUUACACAAGUUGCAGAAUUGAGAGAAAUGGUACGUUACCUAGAGUGGCAGGAGUAUCAUAAAAGACACUAGAGGCUUGAACAACGGUGGCUCUAACAGUUGAAGACAUUGCAGAAAUCGUAUGCCUUUUCGUUUCCCUUCUGUUUGAGGAUUCCUCACACAGCGUUCAGUAUUUAUAUAUAGCCCAAAAGGUUCUUCUGCCAUUACUUGAACAAGACGAAAAGGCUGGGAAAAGUCUGCCUUGGUUUUCCAUAUUGAUUUAAGUUAUCCGCAGACAUUGUGGACCAGCCACAUGACUUAAAACAAAUUGAAAAUAACUGAGUCAUCUGUGAAAUAUAUAUAUCUGUGAAAUAUAUAUAUAUAUAGAUUUCAUCUUUUAUACUUGAAUCAUCUCCCCCCUCCUUUUUUUUUUCCUAGUUUUGGCCUUAUUUUUUAAAAAUAUAAUAUUUAUUUUACUUUUAAUCAAUGGCUCAUAUUUCGAACAAGUGCGCCAGAUUUUCUGAAGUUGUAUAUAUAAUAAUCUGAUAGUGAUUAUAUUUGGAUAAAAAGAGGGACCCGCCCACUUGCAUGGAUUCUAUAUAGGACACAGACAAAUUGUCUUUAGUGGCGGCUGAGGAGGCUUUCUAUGACUUAAAAAAUAAAUAAAACAAAAAUAGUCAUUAAGAAAUCAGUGCCAUGUAGUUAGUGUCCGCCACUAUCUACACUUUCUUUAAAAGAACAAAAUUGUCAUUUUUUUUAAUCUCAGAAAUCACUGAAUCGUACAAAAUAAUAUAAGAUAAGAUUCAAUUCAGUCUUUUUUGGCCUCAUAAGAAAACCUUAGCCAACUCAAGGUGACCACUCCAGAAUCAAAAUAGGUUUUCUUUUUCUUCAAAAAAAAAAAAUAUAUAUAUAUAUAUAUAUAGUUGGUGAAAGAGGGUAUAAACAAAUAUAUGCAAAAAAAAAUUAUGAUGAUUAUAUUUGAAUAAAACAGAGGGAGCCCCCACAUGCAUGGAUUCCAUCUAGCACCCAGAGGAAUUGUCUUUAGUGGGGGCUGAGGCUUUCCAUGACUUAAACUAUAUAUAUAGGUAAAAACUAGGUCUAACUUUAUGUAUUGGACCCAACCAAAAAUUGAGUGAUUGAAUGGCAGCUCUAGUAAAAAAAUAAAAAAGGGAGAACCAUGCUUACUGUCACAGAAUGCUUGAAAUGAGCCCCCUUAUGGGUUUAUAUAGAGUUCAAGAAGCUUCUAGAGACUCCUAGAGCCAUCUACACUAAGUCAUUGAUGGGAAGAGUGUGGAAGGUUCUAGAGAUGCCUAGAGAUGUCCACACAUCUCUACACUAUAGUGGAAGGCAUGAGAGGAGUCCAAGGUUUUCUAGAGAAUUCUAGAAAUCUCUUAUAUAUUCUUGUACAUAGGUUUGUAUAGGAUAUUCUAGAAUCUUCUUGAGUUCUAAGGAACCCUCCAAGGUUCCAGAGAGUUCCAUUGGUAUCUAUAAAUAGGUGAGACCCUCAUUUGGCCAAUACACCACCCAAGAACCUAAUCAACCAAGCAAGUGAGUUCUCAAAGCACUUGUAAAGGUUUCCUUUGAGCAAUAAAAGCUUUCAUUCUUUAAGAGUUGCCUACUACGCCUUCUAAAGCUUCCAAGUCAUGAGCAUCUUAGCCUAGCAAGCUAAGCAUUGGGAGUAACGCUAACUUAGCAAGAUCAAGUACCUUGACUUGUCUAAGUGCCACAUGAGCUUAGGAAAAGAUUAAGUCUGUGACAAGUGGUAUCAGAACACGACUACGAAGCGGGCAUAGUAAAGGAAGCAUGUCGGGUUCCAAUGUAGAAGAGACUAGUGAGCAAAUCCGUGGGAGGGAGACCGAGCCUGCUGCACGGGGCAGGGGCGGGGAGGAUAAGUCUCGUGAUGUCGUUGCUAACAUGGAGGCAAGCUUAGUUAAGGUGCAUCUAGACAUGGCGGACACUCGGGAGGGGUUGGACUUGAUCGAGCAAGGCAUGAAGAAGGGCUUAGAGGAUCUAAGGGAGUAGAUCCAAGACGUUUGUGAGGGGAUGUUAGUCUCACAAGUUCAGCCAGUGUCACAUGAGGAGUUUGUGUCCUUCCAAGAAAAGGUCUUGAGCAUGCUUGCUAGCAUGGAGUCAAGGAUAGAGGCCUUGGUCAUUUGAAUGGAGUCCCGAGACCAAGUUAGGCAAGAGUUGGCCAUCUACAAGGAUGCUGUGUUGGCACGGGUCAUGGCCAUCCAGGAGGUAUCUAAGGUGGAGGAGUCGAAACCACAAGAGUUUAGUGGCAAGUGGGAUGCCAAGGAGUUGGACAACUUCUUAUGGCAUAUGGAGAGAUACUUUGAGGCUAUCACACUAAUUGAUGAGGUGGUUAAGGUAAGAACUGCAACCCUUUACCUUACUGACACAACUACUCUAUGGUGGCGUCGGAGGUUUGCCGAUAUGGAGAAAGGCAUUUGCACCAUAGUGACAUGGAGGACUUCAAGAGGGAAAUCAAGAGGCAGUUCUACCCCAAGGACGUGGCAUUUGCACCAUAAAAAUAUUACCAUAUUCAUUUUUAUGUUGAAUUUAAAUGUUUAAUAAUUUGUUAAAAAUAAAAUAACGUAAUUAUGAUAUAUGAUGAUUUUUUUUUUUUGUUAAUAAAUAUGUUUUCAAAUUUUAUAUCAUUUUUAUUUUUAUUUUUUUUCCAAUUCUAUUUUUAUCUCAUAUUUAUUUUCUUUAAACCCAAAAUUGUUGAGAAUGGAGGAAGAAAGAAGGCCACAACCGGUUCUUUCCUUAAGUGGUUAAGUUGAAUUUUUAUUUCAAAUUUAAAAUGGAUGGCCAAGAUGUAAUCUUGGACAUCCAAUGGCUUGAAAAACUUUUUCGGUAUGUACCGAAGAGGUACCGUAGAAUUUUCUAUAUAAUAAUCUACAAGUUACGAUAGUGAUUAUAUUUGGAUAAAAUGAGGGACCCGCCCACUUGCAUGGAUUCUAUAUAGGACACAUAAAUUGUCUUUAGUGGCGGCUGAGGCUUUCUAUGACUUGAAAAAAAAAACUAAAAAUAGUCAAUAAGAAAUCAGUGCCAUGUAGUUAGUGUCCGCCACUAUCUAUACUUUCUUUAAAAGAACAAAAUUGUCAAUUUUUUUUUUUUUAUCUAAAAAAUCACUUAAUCGUACAAAAUAAUAUAAGAUAAGAUUCAAUUCAGCCUUUUUUGGCUUCAUAAGAACACCUUAGCCAACUCAAGGUGACCACUACAGAAUCAAUAGAGGUUUUCUUUUUCUUCACAUAUAUAUAUGGUGAAAGAGGGUAUAAACAAAUAUAUGCAAAAAAAUAAUCUACAGGUAUGUUGAUUAUAUUUGAAUAAAACAAAGGGAGGCCCCCACAUGCAUGGAUUCCAUCUAGCACCCAGAGGAAUUGUCUUUUGUGGGGGCUGAGGCUUUCCAUGACCCAAACUAUAUAUAUAGGUAAAAAUUGAGUGAUUGAAUGGCAGCUCUGGUAAAAAAAAUAAAAAAGGGAGAACCAUGCUUACACUCUCGUUCAUUCCAACAAAUAUAUUGUUUAGGAAUUCUAAUUUUAAUAUUUCACCCCAAAUACAUAAUCAAUAAAAUUAUUCUUCAAAUAUGUAUUUUAAUAGCAACCAAAUUGAGAAUUAUAUAGUUAUCCCUUUCUAAAAUCUUUAAUGUAUUUGAUAUCCUCUCCAUAUCACGUCUUUGAUAUCCUACCUUUGACAUUUUUUUAUUUAUAUAUGUCGAAGUGACGAGACUUUCUCUACUCAACCUUUUUCCUUUCAGAUUUCUUUUCACUCUUUUAAUAAUUUCACAUUUAUUAACUUUAAUAAUUUUUUGGACACAUUAAAUAUAAAAUUAUAAUACAUAAUAAAUAACUAAUUAGAAUAAAUUAAAUGUAAAUACAAGUAUGCAAUGGGUAGAAAAUGAAAAUUUUAUCCUAUAAAUAGUACGCUUGAUAGUUUAAAAUAUUAAUUAUAAUAAUACAUUUGAUAAUUUAGGAUUUAGAUUUAAAAAUUAUGUUUUAUGUUUUAGAGGCCAAGAUAUAAGAUUUCCAUUAACCAAAGAUUUUUUUUAUGUGAAUCUUAAAUAAAAUGUUUGUUUAUUUUGCAAAUUCUUAUCAUUUGUAAAUAAGACAAAUAUAUUUUUAUCAUAUUAUUUUUAAUUUUUAAUAUUUUGUGUCAAAAUCAUCAUCAAUGAUGGUAAUCUUUAUUAGGAUAGAACCCUUAAACGUAUGAUAUGAUGUAACAAAUAUAUAGUUUAUUAUUUAUUUAAUAAUAUUCAAGUUUCACUUUUAUCUAUCCUUAUUCCAUGUAUUAUAUCUCAUGAGUAUUCUAGCCAAACAUUUAUUGCAUUAUACAUGACUUGAAUGCAUUAGGUAUAGACCCCCCAUUUUGUUCUCUUAGCACAUGCAUUAUGAGGUGUUCUUUCAAUACUCCACAACAAUUCCCUAGUGUCCCAUUACUACUCAUACUUUUUGAGCCACCUUGGAGACUCUGGUCGAGGGAUUUAUAUGGCUCCUCAUUGUGACCAUUGGUAACCUUGAGUUAGAUUUAGGUUAUUUUUUUCCUUUUUCUCUCAUGUUAGCCCUUUUAGGUGCACUUUCCGUUUUUAGGAUAGCAUAUUAGGCAUUUCCUAGGACACCAUGCCCCACUUAAGCUCUUAGGCACGUUUUACAUUAGUUCACCCAACCCCCUUAGGUUCACUUAGAUAGAUUUUUUAGGCUUAAUGUACUUAGGUUUGUUUUUUGAGUUGUGAUGGCAUGAUUCUGAGUUUAUGUGAGUAUUUAGUUUGAUUUUUUUUUUUUGUUUUUUUAAUUGCUUCAAUAUUUAGUUAUGAGAUUUUGACAUUUCAUUUUGUUUCAUCAUUAAUUACACUAGAUUAACAUUUGAAUUUUGAUUGCAGUAUUUAGCAUCUAUAUUAUUAUUAUGAAUUAUUUAUUUAUUUUUUGUCUAUUUUUUAUAUUUACUUAUCUAUUUAUUUAUUUGUUAAAAAAAUGCAUGAGGUUGCAUUUUAGUUUUUUUUUUUCCAAAAAUUGCAUGAAUUGAUAUUCAAAUUUCCUUAUAGAUGGAUAUGAGUUAUUUUAUUUUAAUUGGGUUUGGGUUGUCAUUUCUCAUUUUUGGGCUUUGUUUGUUUUGCAUGGGCCCAAGAGUUUUCUUAGGGUGGAAGUCUUGAAAGCUAUAUAAAAAGGGCACAGAAGCCCUAGGCAAUAGGGAGGACAAUCAAAGAGAGAAAAGGUGUUGCUACUUUAUUCUUUUUGUGCGUGUGUGUGUGUGGUUUCUUUCUUUCUUGAUUGUAUAUUGUUGGUGAGAGAGAAUUUUUCCUUACUAUGUAUCUACUAUAGGGCAGUUCAUUUGUUUUUUUAUAUUGUAUUCGUAUGUUGGAGUUGCCUUUGGUUCGGAGAGUCUAGAUCGAUUUAGGGUGGCAUUCAAGUAAGUUAUUUCUUCUUCAUCUCUUUAUUUGUAUUAUGUUUUUGUUCUUUUUAGGAUUUCUUAGAUUUAUCUUGUUUUAUAUUUAUUAUAUUUGUAAGCAUUUUGGUAGUUGAAUAUUUUAGCCAUUUCAUUUAUUCAAUUCUUUGCCUAUUUGAGUUAUAUGUUCAUUAUACUCUAUAUUUUGUAUGUAUGCACAUUUGCUAAACUUUUUCUACCCAUCUAUAUGUUUGUCAUGUUUAUUUAUUAUUUUGUUGAUAUGUGUUGACAUGUGUUUCUAUAUGGUCAUGCGAAAUGAAACAAAAUAGGCUUGGUUGCAGCACACAAGGGAAACGUGAAAAGUGAUUUCGCAUGACCAUGCGAAAUUUUCGCACAGUCAUGCGAAACCCUCCAAGAAGAUGAAAAUGAAGCUGAUGGACUUUCCACUUCGCACCAUCAUGCAAAAUUGCUAGGGGCUCGUGCAAAAUGCAUUUUCUCCAUAUGUUGUUUCAAGUUUUCUAUAUUUGUGCAAUUCCUGUCCUAAAUUUUCUAUAAUUUUGUUUAUGUUAGUCUUGUUGCCUCAUUUUUCAUUUUGUCUUAAUUUUUGUAUAAUUCUAUUAAUAUUAGUCUUGUUGCUUCAUAUUUCAUUGUCUUAAAUUUUUUAUAAUUCUAUUUAUGUUAGUAUUUUUGUCUCAUAUUUCAUUUCAUGCCAUAUUUGGGUUUUGAUUUAUUUUUCUGGCUUGAGUUUUCUUUCUUUUUUUCUUUUUUUUUACUAUGCAAUAAAAAUUUCAGAAAAAUCAGUUUUAAUAAAAUUUCUAGAAAAAUAGUUUUUAAUAAAUUCCAAAACGGUUUUCUUUAAUUAAAAAUCUAGAAUUUUGUUUCCCAUAAAAUGCAAAAAAAAAAUUGUUUUAAUAAAAUAAUAUGGAAGAACCAUUUUUACUAAAUUCAGAAUUUUGGUUUAAUAUAAAAUAAUUCAAAAAAUCAUUUUUUUUUAAUAAGUUCAUAAAAUUCAUUUUUUUAAUAAAAUAAUUCAAGAAUUUCAUUUUUUUUAAUAUAUUCGGUAAAUGGUUUUUAAUUUAAUAAUCCAAAUAUUCAUUUUUUAACAAAUCCAGAAAAUUGGUUUUUUAAUAAAAAUCCUCAAAGUUUGUAAAGUCCUAAAAGUUUGUUUGAUGGAAAUUUUGAAAUUUGUGUUUUAAUAAAUGUUCUUUAGAAAAUCAUUUUUUUAAUAAGUUUGAAAAUUCUAAAAUUUGUGUUUUAAUAAAUGUUCCUUAGAAACUCAUUUUUUUAAUAAGUUUGUUAACUGAAAAAUUGUGUUUUAAUAAAUAUUCUUUAGAAAUUUUUUUUUUAUAAAUAAGUUUGUUAAUUGAAAAUUGUGUUUUAAUAAAUGUUCUCUAGAAAAUCACGUUCUAAUAAAAAUUAUGAAAAUUUGUAAUAUCCUAAAAGUUUGUUUAUUGAAAAUUCUGAAAAUUCUAUCUUAAUAAAUGUUCUUUGGAAAGUCGUUCUUUAAUAAAAUUAUACAUUAUGAAAAUUGUGUUUUAAUAAAUGUUCUUUAAGAAAUCGUUUUUUAAUAAAUUUGUAAAUUCUAAAAAUUGUGUUGUAAUAAAUGUCCCUUAGAAAAUCGUUUUUUUUAAUAAGGUUGAAAUUUUUGAAAUUUGUGUUUCAAUAAAUAUUCUUUAGAAAAUAAUUUUUUUAAUAAGUUUGUUUACUAAAAAUUGCGUUCUAAUAAAUAUUCUUUAGAAAACCAUUUUUUUUAGUAAGUUUAUUUACUAAAAAUUAUAUUUUAAUAAAUGUUCCUUUAAAAAAAAUCAUUUUUUUUAAUAAGGCAUAUUUAAUGAAAAUGCUUAAAAUAAGUGUUUAAAUAAAUAUUUUCAAAGUUUUUCUUCAUAAAAGUCGUGAAAGUCAUAAAAGUCAUAAAAGUUCUCAAAUUUGAUUUAAUUAAAAUUUUCAAAAUAAAUGUUUUAAUAAUUGUUCUCAAAGUUGUGUCUUUUAAAUUUACUUAAAGUUUGUCUCAGUAAAAGUUUUAAAAGUUUUAAUAAGUGUCUUAAUAAAUUCUCAAAAUAAGUGUUUUAAUCCUAAAAAUUCUCAAAUUUUGUUUUUAAUAAAUUCCCAAAGUUUGCCUUAUUAAAUUCUAAAAGUUGCUUAAUAAAAACCCUCAAAGUUAGUCUAAAAAUCCACAAAGUUGUUUUCUCGAAGUUAGUGUUUUAAUCAAUGUCUCUCUUUUCAAAUAAAUUUGAUUUAUAAAUAUUUUUUUCACAAAUAAAAGUUGAAAAAUUUUGUUUUCUUAAUGAAUUGAAAUUUGGUUCCUGUCAUUAAAAUAAAUAAACCAUUUUUCCUUGUAAAAAUAUUUUUUUUCCAAAAGUAGAACUGAUGUUUCUUUAUAAUUAUCGAAUCUUCCUUUUUUUUAAAAAAAAAAAUAAAGUCGAAGCCAAUAUCAUUUCUUUGUAAAUAGAAGAUCAAAUUGAGCUUUUCUUUUUAAUAUAUUUGAAUUCAAUCAAAAUUAUUUUAAUAAAAUCAAGAAAAGUCUUCUUUUUUUUUAAUUAAUUUUGGAUGUGAAUAAAAAUCGAGUCUUUUGUAAAUAAAUUGAAACUUUGUGAGUAAAUAAGUUUGAAAUCUUUAAUUUGGAAUUGUUCCCAAUAUAAAUAAAUUUCUUUUGAACUUCCUUUGAAAUGUUGCAACUUGAACAAAUAAUUAAAUUAUAUUUUGUGCUCUUCACAUUCAUUAAUUGUGUACAUUCUUGUGUAAUCUUUUUCUCAUCUCAUGACUUAUAUGUAUCUUGUUGUCCUGUUAUCAGUAUCCUCAAUAAAUUAAUCAAUUCAUACUGACUCGUUUUGAUUUAUGUUUGCAAUUUUUCAAGAUGAUUGACAUAAUGUGUUUCAAAGGAAAAUCAAAUCCUUCUCACCAAGUAUGUCUUAAAAUAAUUUUUUUUUUUUUAUAACUUCAAAUUAGAAAUGUCUUCUUAGCUUUGAUAAUGAUCUUUUGUAUUUUUUUUUUUAAAUUGCAACGAUUUGAAAACAUUAUAGAAUAGAGUUAUUUAUAAACUUAUUUUUAUGUACAAAUAAAUUAUACAAAUAUGUGAAAUUAAUUUAUUAAUUUAUUAAAUUAAAAUUUAUUUCUUAUUUUUCUAAUUUUUUUUCUUCAAAUGAACUCAAAAUUGUAGCUUUUAACAUGUGAAGCUAGAAAUGUUUGGAAGGUAUAUAAUAAUGAUAAAAUAGGCAAUCAUCAUUUUCCACUUGCAAGAAAAUCAUAAAAUAGGCAAUGGUCAUUUCAAGAUUUGUAUCAUUCAUCAAACUAGUAAAUUUGGAAAUGGAACUCCAUUAGAUUGUGAAAAAAAACUACUAUAAACCAAAAAAUAUAACAAAGAAUAAAGAAAUUAGAAUAUAACUUCCACUUUGAAACUAUUGCUUGUAUGAACUAUUAUCCACUUGCCAACUUAACAGAAUUGACAUAGCCAUAAACCUAAUAUAAAAUAAUCAUUUUAGCAAUCUAGAAUAAUCAAGCAUAAUUUCAAAAUGCGUCUCUCAUGCUUACAAUGUUAUAGACCAAACAAACUAAAACAAUGAUUUUUCUCCACUGAUACAAUCUUAAAUAAAUUUAUUUUAGAAACAACAUAACCUAAUUGCCUAAUGAAACAUCAUUGAUCCAUAGACCAGUAGACAUUUUUCCUGAUUUCAUUUUUUGGCGACAUUAUCAUUUGUGUUAGGAGUUUUUCCUUGUACUUCAUGACCUUGUCCUAUACAAAAGAGUAUAUAAUAGAAUAUUAACGAAAAUUCAUGUUAUUUUAUUGAACAUAAAAAAUAAAAAAUAUUGUAUUCAACACAAUAUAAUACAUUUGCAAUUGUAUGAAAAAAUCCAUUGUUAUCCCAUAAUUGCAUAAACUUGAUUACAAAUAUGCCACAAUCUGUUCUACAAGUAGCAAUUAAGGAAAUUAAAAAUAAAUUAUGCAUCAAAUCAAUAAAUUUAGAACCUCAUUUGCUUUCCAUAGGUAAAGAGGAAUAAAAUUCUUGCAACUUAUGAAUUCAAUUGUUGCAAAACUUCUAAAACAACGAAUUUGAAUUUAGUCAUGUCCAUUGAUGGUCUUCUUUCUUGAAUCCCAAUGACAAUUGAUAGAACGCUUACCUUAACACAAUAUAAAAUUAUAAAUAUGGACAUCCUUAAAAAAUAAUGACAACAAGUCACAUAAGUAAUUGGAUAAUAACUAUAUUUACUAGUUUCUCUGUGAAGACAUCCAUUUGCUUUUUCCUUUCGUCAAUCAAUGAAUCCAACAACUCGAUUCUUUUUCUAAUGAAUAUUCAAAAUGUUUAAAUACCAAUGAUUUCUCCUGCAUAUUGGUAUGAACAGCUGAAAAAGAAAAAUAAAUAAUGAUUUUAUCAAGUUAAUUGUGUUCAUGUAUUUCCUGCACUAUACUUAAAAAUAUCCAACUAUAUAUGACUUUCAUUAAAUUAAAUAAAACAUGUUCAUAUGUGUACAACCGAGUGUUUUUAAAAUAUUUUCAUAAAUUGUCACAUGUAUUUUGGAGAAAAUGUACCCCUCUUAUUUUCCACAUCAAAUUGUAAUAAUAAAAAAAAUACAAAACAUACAUUAGAUUAAAACAAUCUACUUAAAACAAGAAAACCAAUCUAUAAUUCUUACAACAUAUCUUACCUCAAAAUGGGGAGAUAAGAAAUGCUCCCUAUUUCCUUUAUCCUUACCAUUCAAAAUUCGACAAAACAUGGUUACAACCUUCAUGUAAAUGAAUGAAAAUUAGAAAUAUAGUUUUAGAGUAAUUUUAUCUUAACUUCAUAUAACUAAAUAUGAAUACCUUAUUGUUAACUAAUUUGUCGGGUCCCAAGCAUUUUAAGUCGAAUCUUAUCAAGAAGAAAUCGUACAUGGAACACAAUAUUUGGCUACAUAGAAAUAAUUAUGAUGUUAUGAAUUAAAACUAAAUCUUUUAAAUGGUUGUCUUAAUUGUACUUGUUUAUACUGAAUCAAGUUCAACCUGACCUUUCAUCACGUGUAUCGUCCAAUGCAUAUGCUAAAACUUACUUUGCUACAAUGAAGACGUUGAAAAUUUGAUUGAUUGUUGUACCACAUAUGGUGAUUGUAGGGCAGUAGCACAUCGACGUAGCCGACAUAAACAUAAUGGAGGAUGUUCAGUCUAGUAAGGAAUAAUAACAUUCGACUUAACUUCAUCCUCAACUAUAUGUAUAGAAAAUAAGAAAAAAAAUUCAUUAACGAAAAUAACACACAGAGGAAAGACUAGCCAUUAUUAUGAACUCAUUAAUAUUUUGAUAUUAAAAAUUACUAUAAAAAAAUAAAGAUGCAGAAAGUAUAAUGCUAUGUUGCGCUACUGGCUGUGAGGUCGAUGGCCCUGCAUUAUCUUCACCAUGAGCGGAACGAUCAUUCAAUGGUGAUCCAUAUGCUAAUUUAAAAAUGGAUAACAACCAAAUUUUAAAAAAAAAUUAUAGAACAUUUGCAAUUCAAUUAAAAGUAAAAAAAAAAUUUAACAGCUAAUGCUAUAAAAACCUUAUUACCAUGUGGUGGUGAUGGGAAAGAUUCAUUGAUGUCAGGUUGGUUAUGACUUCCGCUUUGAUGAGAAGGUGAUGGGGUUUUGUUUUUAUUAUGCCGCUUUGCUAGUUUAUCAAUUGCUUCUUUCAUUGUUCGAAGCAAUUGGUGAAUUUGUUCCUCCACUACAUUAUACUCUGCUAUAAUUUCCUACAAAAUGGUACAAAGUGUAAAAGAUGUAUAUUAUUAUGCAUAACAUGUUUGGUUUACUCUUUAAAUAAAGGAAUAGAUGUAAAAGGUUCUCACAUCACUAGUCUCUUCUUCAACUUCAUCUACUGGAUUAGUAGGGUCUUCAUGUGCAUCUUCCCCCCUUUCAUCUUCCUGAACCUACAAUAAUAAAAAGAAUAUAUAAUUUUUUUAAAAUUAUUUUUCAAAUAUUAAAAUAAAAAGAAAAUGUAGAAAUAAAAUUUUGUUCCUUACAUCGACUAGUCCAAGGUCAUCAUAAUCCUGCAACUCUACAUGCACCAUUUUCUUCAUCAGGUCAUCACUCUACAAUGCACAUAUGGGGAUGGUGUGUGGCACCAACAUAAUUGGAAUGUAGAAUUUAUUUACAUAAAAAAGCUCAUACACAAAUAUUCCACACAUCAAUACGUUAUUUAGAGAACACUGUUUAAACAUAGAAAAUGAUAUGGAAACCUUGAGCAUUUAAUAAAAAAAGAUAUUUACCUACAAAAAAAAAAAGGUAACCUGUAAACCAUGAGCCUUUACCCAAUCGAAAAUGCCUAAUUCGAGCAACCAAUGUGUCAAGUACAAAUUGGUCCCAAUUAACAUUGAUGUCAAAGUUUCUAGCAAGCAAAGUACACCGCAACUCAUGACUACCAUCCAACUUCAAUGUUGGAGCAAGUAAUGUAGCACAUGAGAAGAAGAUAAACAAUUUUUUAAAGUCACCCAUGUCUUCCAUUGAGAUCAGCCUAUCUCUAAGGAUAGAUAGGUUUUCCAUCCUAUUAUUCCUAUUGGUAGGUGUAGACACUCCAUUUUGUAUAUCUAGUACUUGUCCUAUUAUGUGUUCGUUUGGUACUUUACAACAAUUCCCUGGUAACCCAUUAUUACUCAUGUAACUUAUCUUUUAUGAGCCACCUUGGAGACUCUGAUUGAGAGAUUUAUCUAACCUCAUUACAACCCUUAGCAACCCUAAUUUAGACUUAGGUAGUCAAUACAUGUCUAGCAUAAUACCCUAAGCUCCCAUUUUUACAACUUGGAGGGCUAAAUUGGGUAAAAUAUAAGAAUGUCAAAUAACAUGUAUAUGUGAAAUAUGGACAAAAAAAAAGGAAUAGAUAAAGGUAAUGAUUAAUUAUAUUUAUUAAGAAUAGUGAUUAACUUAAAAAAAAAAAUAGUUAACUUUUGUGAAAAUAUCCCUUAGAAAAGAUCAUGACUUUUAUGACUUCAUUAAGGUAAAUCAAUCAAGCUUCAAGAGCAAUUAUCGAUAAUAUAUUUGGAAAUAUGUAGUAUUAGCAUCCUUUUACAUCUCAUAGAUUGACAUUAUAGAAGAGAAAUGCAAUUAGUAAUUAUAAGGAAUAAAUGUUUUACAUAUGAACAAUUUGAUUAAAGAUGGAUAAAAGAGUAAAGAGUUUAGAUUAGAGAGAGAGAGAGAGAGAGAGAGAGAGAGAGAGAGAGAGGUUGUGCCUUACAAGAAAUGUCUAAACUAAAUAUAGGAUGUAUAUAAGACAUACUAAGGCCAAAAGAAAGAUAUAAAGAACAACUCACACCUAAGUAACAUGAUCAAAGCUAUUUAAAUGAAUCCUCAUUGCUUCCUUACCUAUACAUACAUCUAAAUUGUUGUAAAGGAUUGUAAAUAUUAUGAGUUUGUUCUUUUUUAGUACUACUUCAUUACUAGUGGAAUAAUGGACAAAUGAGUACAUUGUAUUCAUAGCAAUUUAGAUUAUAUUUUCAUAAGGUGGUGAAACAAACAUAUAUGGUAUCCUUCUCAACUCAACUUAGGAAUAGGAAAUAAUAACAAAAACAAUUAUAAGCUAACAAAAUUCAUAUAUAUAGGUAUAUAUUCAUGUGAGAGGAAGCCAUAUAGAAUCUUUACAUUUCAAAAAUCAAGUAAACUUUAAUUCAAGAAAGCAACUUAAAUGUAGGUAAGUCUUCAAAAAGUUUAGAAGAAGAAAAAAAUGUAACCUCAAUAACUAUCCACUUGAGCUAUUUUUUAGAUCAUUUCUUCUUUUGAGAUACAAAAAUUCGAAACCCCCUGCAAAAAAGAAGAUUACAUUAGUGUUUAUUUUGAAACAUGAAAACUAAAAUUAUGGUAGACUUACAUGUUCACAAUAUCUUUUAUAUCUUGGUAUGGUUGUUGUAAUAGCAAGUCUAAAUAGUAAACUGUUUGUAAUUUGAGGUCAAUUACAGCCAAAACCCAAUGAAACCUACAAUAUAUUAACAUAUAAUUUAGAUAAAUAGCAUUUAUAAGGCUAAGAAAUUAAAAACAAUUAUAAUUAACAACUUACCUUGGGUUAUACGGAAGAAAAAUCAGAUCUGCCAAUUUGGAGUCAAUUAGGCGAUCAACAAUGAUCUUUGCUCUUUUUUCAAUUUUUGGGGCUAUUGUUCUAGCCUUAGACACCAGUCCUGGAUGAACAGAUAUAAUUUUCUCAUGUAGUGUAUCAUCUAGAUGUUCAUGCAACCACCUAAUGAAAUAUCACCCAGUUUAGAAUUACUUAAAAAAUAAAAAAAAUAAACGGUUUCUACUUAUUUAUAUCAUGAAUAUAACAUAAAGAUUUACAACAAAAUCUCACCAAAUAUAGAAACAUAUACAAUUCAUAGUCAACUCUUUUGCAAAAAUUACAUCAUUCAUUUCAGUUGUCAAGAGGAAGAUUUGAAAUUUCAUCCCAAAAACAUUGAUUGGAAAGUCAACUUUGGGUGCCAGUUUACCCUCCAACAUUGUUGAAACUGUUUUAAAAAAUAAUUGUAUAUCUCUUGGAUUCUCAUAUUUGAUUUUCUUUGGGGAUGCUUGUAUCUUAUUCAUUUUAUUCUUCCUCUUGCCAAAAUCCUAAACACAUAAAUAGAUGCAUGACAUUAAAAUGAAAAAUAAAUAAACCAAGAGUGUAGGAAAAUAUAACUCAACUUUGAAAGUUUGGGUAUAACGUUAUUCCCCUCAACAUUUUCAUCAUUUAUCACAAAUGCAACAGGCCACAAAACCUCAUAUCCAACACCCUCCCUUAUUGUACUAAUGUUUUCAGAAAGUGGGAAUGAAAGAAGUGCAUUAGGUUGAAGAGGGUAAAGAAUGACCACUAAUAUAUCAGUUCUAUCAAUGGAAAUGUUUGAAUCUCACAAAUAAGUUCCAUAUGCAACAAUGUUUUCUUCAGUUUCAAGAGCUAAUUUGCAUUUAUAAACCUGUAAAAACAUAUUUUCUAAUCCUUCGUCUUUCAUUAUAGUUAUUUUAUAUAUUGUUUUUAUAAAUUUAACUUAGGAAAAGCCAUAUAUACCUGAGUUAGUGGAGAAGCUUUUUGAGUCCUUUCUGCUGAUAGGUUCUCCACAUGAGCACUAUAAUGAGUCUUCUCUCGUAUUUCUUCAUGUUCCAACAAUUGUUUCCUUAUGUUUGUGCUGCUCACUUCAGAGUGGGGUGUGAGGGGUUCUUUUUUUUUUCAGCUUUCAAAGAAAUGAUCUCUUCUUCCAAGCUUUUUACUUUCUCCCUUAGCAUCCUUUGACAUUCCUCUUCUUCAAGAGUUUUUAUGGGUUUUAGUGUGUUGAAUAAUUGUUUGGGAUUUUUUUUCCCACCUUUUCCUCUAACCCGUCCAGGAUGCUCGGAUGUACCCAAUGCUAAAGUGAGGAUAUCCUUUUGGCCAACACAUGUGAUCUUCCCUUCCUCAACAGCCUUUGCCAACUCAUCCUCCAAAAAUAUAUAAGAUGCUUCAAGAGUCAUAUUUAAUAAAAUAAAAAAACAAAUGAAAUUGACUAAAACUAAGUAUAGGUUUGACAACUUACAAUCUUUUCCGCUACAGGCCUCGUAACAUCAUCAUAUUCACCUUUUUUCAAUCUUUCUAGCUUCCACAAGACCCAUCUAUCAAUAGGUUUCCUUGAACCUGUCUUUUGCAUCUAUCAAAAAACAAAAAAGUGAAGCAAUUAAACUUUACAAAAGUAAAUGUCCAACAAAAUAAAAUACACUAAUUCAACUUACCAAUUCUUCUUGAAGUCUUGCAUAUCAUUUCCUACUCACUCAAUGAAUAUAAACGUAUUUUGCCCUCCUUUCUUUUCCUUUUUUUGGUUUAACUUGAAACUCUAUUGACAACCUAUUAGCCACUAACUUUCUCCAGUCUUCAAUUGGAAUGUAAUUAUAUUCAAUUGGUGGCUACAAAAGGUACUCGGGCUUAUCCUUAUAAGGCAGGUGUGGACCCCGCAUUUCGAUGGCUCGAAUGCGUUCCCCACUCGAUGGCGAGCUCGAUUUUUAUUUUGAAAAAUUGAUUUUUAUUGAUUAUUUGAAAAUGACUUGGAGUCGCCACUUAUUUUUGUUUUAUUUUUAAAGGGUAAACAAAAUAAGAAAGAAAAACCCUAAGUGUGACUCCUUAUUUUGGAAAAGGUGAUCUACGAAAAACCGGAUCGGGUUCGGGGGUCAGGUUACUUAUCGGGAAGGUACGGUAAAGACCGUAGCACCCCUCUAAGUCCCUAAAGUCGGGUCUCUACUACUAAAAUGAAGCUGACAUGGCAAUCAAUGAGAAAAUCAAUGAAUACUCAAAUCAAUCAUGCACAUAUAAGUAUCAAAACAUGCGUAUAGCAAGACCAGAAUAAGGACAGAUGCGUACCUGGGCAACGAUCUUCAAUGCGCUAUCAAGAAGUGAGAUUAGUGCACAAUUAAAGGAUGGUCACAUGCAUAUCAUAGAGCAGAAUAAAUCAUGUAUGGCACCCAAAUCAACCAAACAAUCCAUCAAUCAUAAAAUCUCAUAUGUUGGGCCCCCACCAAAGCCCGAUUGAUUUUUGCAUGAAUUAAUUCCAUAAAUUCCCUUGCUUGGAAUUACGGAAUUUUAUUCUAGCUUAUUUUAAAACAUUUUGAAAAUCUGAGGAGUUGUGAAAAUUGCUUGUCAGGGAGAAAAGUGACAGCAAAUUUUUAUUAUAAAGUGGAAACUUUUGGGAACCUAAAGAUUCCAAUGAGGAAACAUGAGAGAAUUGGAAUUAUUUGAAAAACCAGAUUUUUGAGAAAAUGCUUGCAAAAUGGGAUUAGGAACAGUUAUUAAAACAGAGAAUGAGGAAGUAAAAGGUGGUGGCACAUGGUCAAAGGCUGCAUGUCCUAGGUGGUCAUGCAAAGAAGCGGUCUCCUGUAGCUUUUGUAGGGUCCAUUCUCUCCCCACUUCUCAUCCCAUGAGUUCUUUACGAUCCAGUAAGGCCUGCCCUUCAUCCGGAUGGGAUCAUGGCCUGUUGAACCAUGCCCCACCAGUAACACUCCAUGAGCCAUCAUCUCAGAGCAUAUGUAUGGGCGUGACACUUCCCCAAUAUGUGUCUGCAUGAACACUGUAUUGAUGCCCACUACCAUUUGACCAUUUUUCACAAGAUUAGCAGCCAUCUGAUCUUCAUCAAGGAAUGAACCAAAAGCUUUGGCUGCAUCGGGCUUCUGGAGAAGAACUGUUUUGAUUGCAUUCAAUAUCUCAUCCACGGAUCUUCCUGUGCUAAUGUAUUCUGAAAUAACCUCCCAUCUUCAAGACAUUCCUCUGGGAUAUUUCAGCAUCCCUUUUAUCAAGAGCCCAACUUCUUCUCUAUCCCAAGGUUUCUCCUUAUAGUGUGAUCAAAAGAAUGAAGUUGGGGUCACUGAAUUCACCUUCCACUGAAGAGUAGAAAGCAUCAGAAGCCCUAUCCUCUGAAACGUCUUCACUUCAAGCACAUAUUUUAUCUCCUCCACCUGCAGGUCCAAGAGAAGAGGAGCAUCGGUUUUACUGGAGCUUGACUUUCUCUUCUCAGGGGCAUUUUCCUCAUGGGGACUCUCUAUCUGAUCUGUUGAUGCAGCUGCACUUUCUCCCUCAUUCUCAUGGCCAUCUAAUCUGCUUCCGCGGAUGCUGCAUCUGACACCACGGCCUCUUGAACGCGAGUGGAAUCCAGCUGGCAAUGGACCCAAUGGAGGCCUCUCAAUGGGUUUACUUUAAGAGCUUCUUGAGGGCCCAAAGGAUAUUGCAGGACCCGGACUUAGGACGCCAUCUUAUCCGUGUCAUGCUGAGGAAUUCGUUCUUUGUGGUAUCAGAUUGGCUACAGGAGGCCUUAUAGAAGUGAAGCUAGGGAUAUCUUCAGAAAUGGAACUUGGACCCUUCCCUUUGACAGGUUCAUCUCCAUGAGAACCAAAUUUUAUAAGCUCGGUAACUCCAGGUUGUUGAAUGAACUUCCCAGUCUCCUUGUCAUGCAACAAAGCACUUUUUGCUUCAGUUUCAGUCUCCACAGGUGCCGGGGCCGCUUCAAAUCCCACAACCUCCAUGAAUUCACCAUGCUCCUCCAAGAAAUAACCAACAACACUAGGUAGCAUUUCCAAUUCACUUCACGACCUUGGAAUGAGCAGUUGCUUUAUCAGUUUCAUGGCAGAGGGUGAGCACUGGAGCUUUCCUCUUGACAACACUUUACCUGGAAAGCGGAGAGUGGAUACCGGUAAUCCAUGAUAAAUAGAAACUUCCCCACUUUUCCGGACUGGAGGUGAUCUCCUCAUGUUGCUGGCCUAUAGAUCCAUCUUCUGGAGAAAACACCAGUUGAAAAUUAUCCACUGAAGCAACUGUCACUUGUCCACGGAAGUCCGAGCACCAGCAUACCCAGAUUGGUGGUUUUGGAAUAUAGGUUUGAAGAGUUUGAUGGGUGUGCAAGGUGUAGACAUGGGGCAUGAUAGCAAAGUGGUGAGAUGAGGUGAUAAUGAGUGUAAAUAGGCUUAGAGAGAAAGGUGAAUAAAUAUGGUGGGGGAGUAGACUGUUGACAAUGGGUAUGUAUGAGUCCUAUGCCUGUGGGUAUGGUGAGAGAUGAACUGCAAGUGAUGGGCAUGAUGUGGUGUGGGGUGGAUUAGUGGGAUGACAGUAUACAAAGAGAGCGUGGUGUAGAGAGAGAAUGCAAGAUGAUGAGUGCAUGUGUAGAUAUGGGUGUGGGCAUGGUGGUAUGAAGCGUGUGGUGGAUGAUGGACUGAAGGUGAUGGGCAUGACAAUGGGCAUGAACAGGGAUGGAGUCAUGUGGGCACGAGACGAGCAUGAGCGCGGAAUGAGUGUGAUGCAACCAUGCAUGGUAUGAAAAGGGUUUGGUGUAGUGAGAGAAAGUAGAUUAUUGGUGAUGGGUAUGAAUAAUGGCCGGGUUUGCAUGGUCCAUGCACUUGGAUGGGUGAGUUUGGGGAUGCUAGCAGAAGCCUUGGAAGGAAUACGGGCAGCCAUGCACGCGUGGGGUUUCAUGGAUAUCGAGUCAGGGUAUUUUGCUGGAGGAAGAGAGCAUGGGUCUGCACAAUAUGGGGAUUGGGAUCUCCUACGGACUCCCUAGCUAAUGGAGUUGUGAAAGGGAGACCAUCUGCUUUUCCGAUACCAGAUUAUGGGAAGUUCAGUGAUGGCUUCUCAAAAAUGGACCUUGAUGUUAACAAACCACCCUUGGGCAAUUUAGCAAUCCCUUCAUUCUCAGAAGACUCCGUCUCCAACAGACCAUAAUGAUACUGAACUAAUCCAUGUGAAACGGACAAGAAAGGCUCUGCUCGUGAAUGUUCCCUGGCAUAACCUCCUCUAGAAUGUCAUCAGACGAAACAAAACUAGAGAACCAGGUAUCUAGAACAAGUAAGUCUUCUCACUGGGCCAAACCCUCAACAAGCCUGUUGCAUUUCUCUGAUUUCUCCCACUGUUCUGCCAAAGUCUUUAUUUAUAAUAUAAUGGUUUAGAAAUAUCCUCCAUUAAUCACUCUGCCUUUGACCAACCCUGGUUAAGGAUCCAUACAUCAAAUCUGAUUACCACUUCUGGCCCACAACCGCUCGAGUUGAUAAUGAUUUUCCUCCAUAUCUACUCCUGUUCAUCUUCAUAAAAUUCCUUGGAAUCAUCAGUAUACUCACUGCAAUCUGUGGUAAAGACCACCACAUCCUCAUCGACAUCUUACUUUUUUCCUCUACGAAUGGCGCCUCACACUACUCACUAUUCUUUGGAUCUGAACCACUUUUUUUUUUUUUUUUUUUUUUUCAAAUAUUGGAUGUCAAGCCUCAACAGCAUAUAGUAGUCAAUUUGUACCAUCCCCAAUGUAUGGUAUGCAUGAUGCCCCGUGCUCAAAUUGCUCAAAAAGAACAGAGGAAUAUAGCUAAGAAAACAGGGCAUAGGAGAAAGGAACAAAAAAUAAAUCAAGGGCAACUGCAUUUCAGGACAUAUCAAUGUGUUCCCACUGGUGGAUGAAAGAUAUGAACAAAUUCAAAACAAAAAAUACGCCACAUAUGUUCAGGUGCCUAGCAACGAAAUAUGAUGCAAGUCCUCACCCAUUUUCUUAAACCAGGUUAAUGAAACAGCGAAAGGAUUAACAUCACAGAUGGAAACAUGACAAAUACAAACAACAUAUACACCCAGUGAAAUGAUAUUCAGAAUAAUGAAAUCAUACGGCUAAAUAUAAGCAUACCUGAAUGUGAUAGAUGUCCUACCCAGCUUUUCUUACUUUCUCUCUGUUUUCCUUGCCUUUCUAGCUCCGACAAUCGAAUCACCUUCUCUCUUACUCUUCUUUUCUCCCGCUUGAAAAACCUCCCUCUGGAAAUAUAUCUCUCCCCCAGCCAGACGACACCCACCUGCCUUGCAGUUGCAAGCCUCCAUUACCUUCAGAUUUUUCUGCCACCUUCCUCUUCUAGGCCCAUUUCCCCACUACUCUGCACCACUACCUUGCUAAUAACAGAAGACGCUCCUCAAUACAACGGCCUGCAGAUCCUCAUGCCACCUGUCAACCUUCCAUUGGCACUUCAAAAACAACAUACGAUUCUGCAUUGCCCUCUCAAAAGGAGACACGUGAUUGAGCAAGGCUCUUCCACGUGGCCAAAACGGGUAGCUGCAUGAAAGGCCCCAAAUGGGGGUCUACAAAUAUGCCCCUCUUUGGUAGAGUUCAUGAGUGUAAAGAACAUGAACACUGGAGUGAAAAGUAAGUGUGAGUAGUGAGUGAAAUGAAGUGAACUCUACCGAAGAAUCAAAGAGACCCCCAUAGGGAUAUUGGUGAAACGCGAAGUCACCCAGGCUAGUAGACGAACACAAAGGCUCUAAUCCUAAAAGAGAAAGAUGUCACAAAAUGCCUCUGCGGCCAUACUAAGGAUCCAAGCUCCCUCUAAGAUGUCUCCCGAAAGUGACUCGAAAAACCAAAUGCUAGAGGUGAGUAACGGUCGAGUCACCCUAGGGUACGGACAAGAAUGCGUCUAAAGGAGACUGCCCUAUGUGGACUACAUGAUGAAUACACGAUAAGCACAAAGUAACGAAGUGAGGAGGACGAUAAUAAGUGCAAAUCCAAUGAAGGUGAGACACGCAAUGCCACUGAAUAGGAAUGCUAGGAGCUGUGACUCUACAUGACAAGAUUGACUCUAAACACUAAACUAGGAAACAACGGCUCUGGAAGCCAACCAAAAACUAACUCUAAAAACUAAACUGAGAAUAACAGCUCUGGAAGCAAACCAAAAACUAACUCUAAAAACUAAACUAGAAAACAACAGCUCUGGAAGCCAACCAAAAACUAACUCUAAAUGCUAAACUGAGAAUAACAGCUCUGGAAGCAAACCAAAAACUAACUCUAAAAACUAAGCUAGAAAAUAACAGCUUUGUAAGCAAACCAAAAAAACUAACUCUAAAAGCUAAACUAGGAAACAACAGCUCUGGAAGCCAACAAAAACAAAAAAAAAACAAAAAAAAAAAAAAAAAAAAAAAAACUAACUCUAAAAGCUAAACUAGGAAACAACAGCUCUGGAAGCCACACAAAAAAAAAAACUAACUCUAAAAGCUAAACUAGAAAAUAACAGCUCUGGGAGCCUAAACAAGACGACAGUAAUGGCUCUGGAAGCCUAAACAAGAUGACAGUAAUGACUCUGGAAGCCUAAACGAGAUGACGGUAAUGACUCUGGAAGCCUAAACAAGAUGACAGUAAUGACUCUGGAAGCCUAAACGAGAUGACGGUAAUGACUCUGGAAGCCUAAACAAGAUGACAGUAAUGGCUCUGGAAGCCUAAACAAGAUGACAGUAAUGGCUCUGGAAGCCUAAACGAGAUGACGGUAAUGACUCUGGAAGCCUAAACAAGAUGACAGUAACGGCUCUAGAAGCCUAAGCAAGAUGAUAAUAACGACUUUGGAAGCCUAAACAAGAUGACGGUAAUGACUCUGGACGUCGAAACUAAAAAGUGAUGAUGAUGACUCUGAACGUCAAACUGAGAAGUGAUAAUGAUUCUGAACGCCGAAACCGAGGAUGUGACUCUGAAUGUUGAUCUGAAAAUCGAUGAUAGCUCUGAACGCCGAAACUGAGAAGUGAUGAUGAUGACUCUGAACGUCAAACUGAGAAGUGAUAAUGAUUCUGAACGCCGAAACCGAGAACGCGACUCUGAACGUCGAUCUGAAAACCAAUGACGGCUCUGAACGCCGAAACUGAGAGAAGUAGUGAUGAUGGCUCUGAACACCGAAGCUGAGAAGUGAUAACGACUCUGAACGCCGAAACCGAGAACGCGACUCUGAACGUCGAUCUGAAAACCGAUGACGGCUCUGAACGCCGAAACUGAGAGAAGUAGUGAUGAUGGCUCUGAACACCGAAGCUGAGAAGUGAUGAUGAUGACUCUGAACGUCAAACUGAGAAGUGAUAACGACUCUGAACGCCGAAAUCGAGGAUGUGACUCUGAAUGUCGAUCUGAAAACCAAUGAUAGCUCUGAACGCCGAAACUGAGAAGUGAUGAUGAUGACUCUGAACGUCAAACUGAGAAGUGAUAACGACUCUAAACGCCGAAACCGAGGAUGUGACUCUGAAUGUCGAUCUGAAAACUGAUGAUAGCUCUGAACGCCGAAACUGAGAAAUGAUGAUGAUGACUCUGAACGUCAAACUGAGAAGUGAUAACGACUCUGAACGCCGAAACCGAGGAUAUGACUCUGAAUGUCGAUCUGAAAAUCGAUGAUGGCUCUGAACGCCGAAAACGAGGAUGUGACUCUGAAUGUCGAUCUAAAACCCGAUGAUGGCUCUGAACGCUGAAACUAAGAAGCGGUGAUGGCUCUGAACGCCGAAACUAAAAGGUGAUGGUGUCUCUGAACGACGACAAAUGGAAAAGUGGCUCUGAACGCCGAACUGAAAAAUGUGACAUGAUGACUCUAAAUGUCGUAAACCGUGAAUGAACGGCAGCUCUGAACGCUAGACUGCAAGGAAACAAUGAGGGGGAAAUAUGCCCCAGUGUGGCAUGCCGCUGCAAACCUCAAACUACUAGAAAUGGCUAAAAGGGACUCUACGAGUCUCGAACGACGCACCACUGAGAGCUCAUGUCAACGAAGAGCUUAGGAACAAUGGUCAGUGAGGCGAAUACAAUAUAUCUCGGCUGAGUGAUGGAAACUGCGAUGGACAUGUGAGAGAACGAUCGGCUCCAUGGCUAAAUGAGGGAAAUAUGCCCCAGUAUGGCAUCAGAUGUAUCCGAUCUAUCCUGAUAACCCGAGAAUAGCACCGAUGGGACGCGUAACAGAUCUGAUAUGUACCCCACUGAAAUGAUGACGCGGGAAAUCCAGGCACCUAAGAUAACCCCAUCCAGGAAUCACGACUAUAUCAAAGAGUAUGAAUCUGGCUGAACGAAGUCAAGAGAGGCUCCUCGGAGUAUCCGGACAAAAUGAAAUCAAUCAUCAACCUGGCGUGUAUCUCAUGGCCGUGGAUGAUCAUGUAAACCAGUGGGGAUCUAUAAAUCUCGAUCAAGAUGGGGAAUAUGCCCCAGUGUGGCAUCGAAAAUGUAACAUGUCAAAAAAAAUCAGAUGAACUCAAAUCAUCUAUGCCUGCAACUGGCUAGAUGGCUCUCGAUAGACUCCACUAAGGAAUCAUCGUGAGGAUUGCGAAUAUAUCAUCAUCCCUGCAUACAUCUCGCAAAUAAGGAUAAGCACGCAACUCCCUCAUGAUCUGUAAAUCUCAUCCGAACGGAAAUAUGCCCCUGUAUGGCAUCGAAAUGCAGGAUAGGUCGGAGAUCAGAUAGCAUGGAAUCAUCUAUCCUAUAACAUGUGACCUCUGCGAAGAUCCAUAAAAAUCCUCCGAAACGGAAUAUGCCCCAGUAUGGCAUCUGACGUGCGACAAAUCAGGAAAAAACAGGUGACAUCGAAUCAUCCCUCAUCAAACACGUGAUCCUGGUAAUCCAAACACGGUCGAAACGGAUCUAAACAUCUGAGAAGUGUCUCCCAGAAGAAGAUGCAUGGCAAAUAUCUGGAUGUCGACUGAAUCUCAAACACCUGUCCACAUAGAAGCCGUAGAAGACGAUAUCUGAUCCCAUGGCCUCAGGGUGGUCUUAAGACACGGGACGUAAUGUAGGCUAGGGUGAUAGGGUGAUAGAAACGAAGGGAAACUAAGCUCAAAUACCCAAUGAUCAAAACCCAUGCCCUCGUGUGUGAAAUGCAACAUGUACAGAAAAUCCUGUGAGCCCUGGACCUGAGGGUGUCUAAUGUGAAUAUGAUGUCAAUGAGGAAACAAGUGAAGCAAAUCAAACUGAUAAUGAGAUAUGUAAUGGUGAUACGAAGGGAAUAUCAAACCCGAGAUGGGUCGUGGUAAGAAAAGAAUAAGAAGUGAAGUGAGAAUGACGAAUCAGAAGCGAAAACGAGGACGAUGAUAAUGAAGCGAAUAACAUCAAAAGGAGUGAUGAUCAACUCUGAUCAGACAUGGAAUGAUGUCACAUCAACUACGAACAUAAUGAUGGAACGGACAAUAACCCAGAGCUCCCAAAAGAAAGUCACUCAUCUCGCUCACAAAAUAUGCAACAAAAUGAAUACAAAGCCUGAGGGAUCCCGGGAAGCUCACAUACGAACUCCCGUCAACAAACAUACUCGAUCAAGUGGCCCUCGAAUAUCAAUACAUACACUCAGUGAUGGAUAACAAUACAUACCUGGUUUUUAUUUCUUUUUCCAUUUUUUUUUUUCUUUUUUUUUUUUUUUUUUUUUUUUUUUUACCCCCAAAGAUGACAUCAAAAAAGGAUAACAUACUCUCAAAUGUCAAUGUAACAUGAACUCUCUCUGAUGAUGUGACUUUCUCAAACUAAGGAUCCCUGGACCAACGUCCGUAUGAUAGAUAGUGGAAAUGACAUGACUACCCUCCAUGUAGUGAACUGAGGAAGAUCACCCCUCGGGGUGAAAGAAGAUGACGUGAAACGAACAGUAGAUAAGAUAAAGAAAAUAUGAUGAAUAACACGAACAGUGAGAUGAGAUGAAAUGCAAUGAUGUAGUGGCGAGCACAGAUAAUGAGAAGAACGUGCCCCUAGGUCCAAGGCUCAAUGAAACUCUCAAACAAUGCAUGCAUACACUAAAGGGCCCCAAUCCCGGUGUGAAAAUGUGAGCAAGGCUAUAAGAAAUGAAGGUUAUGAUGCGCGUGCGAGGCUCAAAUGGGCUAGCAAUGGACUAUAUAUAUCAGAAACGGGAUAAAGGGAUAUAGCUAACCGAAAUGAUAGCCACCCAUCCUGCGACCAUGGUCUCAAACAUAGUACCUCUUUAGCUGAUCCACAUUAGUCGGCUCUGAGAACUGGUUUCCAUCCAAAUCCAUCAACCAUGCGGCGCCCUCUGGGGACAACUCUCUGAUGAAGUAAGGCCCGCUCCAACUGGGUCUGAACUUCCCUCUAGGAUCUCUGAUCAAUCCUCUGAUGACUCUCAAAACUAAGUCACCUACAUGCAGUGGUCUGGGCUUGACCCGCUUUUUGAAAGCGCGGGCCAUCUUCCUCUGAUAUGCACGAACAUGGUCUGCUGCUCUCAAUCUCCUCUCAUCUAGGAGAUUGAGCUGAUCAAAUCGAGCCUGAGCCCAAUCCGUCUCGGGAAUCUGCUGCUCCAAGGCUACCCUCAAUGAACCCAUCUCGAUCUCAACUGGUAGCACUGCCUCCAUACCGUACACCAAUGAGUAGGGUGUGGCUCCUGUAGAGGUGCGAAAAGAAGUCCUGUAAGCCCAUAGUGCGAAAGGAAGCUUCUCGGACCAAUCCCGAGAAGUCUCAACCAUCUUCCGCAAUAUCCUCUUAAUAUUCUUAUUCGCGGCCUCUACUGCCCCAUUCGUCUGCGGCCUGUACGCAGACGAUCUAUGAUGCCGGAUGCUGUAUCUCUGUACUAAGGUGUCAACCUCUGCUCUGAAAUGCACCCCUCUGUCUGAAAUAAGCUCGUGAGGGACUCCAUAGCGACAAAUGAUGUGCGAUCUAAUGAAACUGGCAACUCCAGAUGAUGUCAAUCUCGCAUACGAGGCGGCCUCCACCCACUUGGUAAAGUAAUCAAUAGCUACCAGGAUGAACUCAUGACCACUGGAAGAUUUCGGCGAAAUCUUCCCGAUGAUAUCGAUACCCCAUACUGAAAACAGCCAUGGUGAAGUCAAUGCAUGCAACUCUGAGGGCGGCACGUGAAUGAGAUCUCCGUGUAUCUGACACUCAGGACAUCUCUGGACGAACUGACAACAAUCCGUCUCCAUAGUCAACCAGAAAUAGCCGGUCCUCAUGAUCUUACGGGCCAACAUAUGCCCUCCCAUAUGUGGUCCACAAACUCCCGCAUGAACCUCUCUCAUCACUCGAUCGGCAGAGGCACGGUCUAAACACAACAAUAGCAUCCCGUCAGCUGAUCGUCUAUACAGCGUCUCGCCGCAAAUGACGAAUCGGGCAGCCAACUGUCUCAAUGCUCUCUUAUCCUUGGCCGUGGCGACCUCAGGAUAUACGCCGAGUCUCAAAAAGUGAUAUAUGUCGUGAUACCAUGGCAAACCAUCAUUUGGCUCUACAUCAUCAAUCAAACAACAAUACGCAGGAGCAGAUCUCGACUCGAUCAACAAUGGUCGAACAGUGGCAUCGGCGGGAAUGUCGAUCAUGGAAGCUAGAGUAGCUAAAGCAUCAGCAAACUGGUUCUGCGCUCUAGGCAGAUGUGUAUAUCUCAUAUCCUCAAAUCUCGCGACCAGUAGCUCCAAAUACGCGUGGUAAGGCCUAAGCUUCACAUCUCUAGUCUUCCACUCGCCCUGUAUCUGUCUCAAUACCAGAUUGGAGUCACCAAACACCUCCAUCUGUCUAAUCCCAAGCUCGAGGGCUGUCUCUAACCCCAAGAUACAUGCCUCAUACUCAACAAUGUUGUUCGUGGCCAGAUGUUGAUUCGAGAAUGCCAAACGAACAGAUCUGGGAAUGUGAUCACCAUGAGGGGAUAUCAACAAAACGCCUAUCCCGUAUCCAGAAUGGUUGGCUGCACCAUCAAAGUACAUGCGCCAACCCGACAGACUAGUCACAGCUGCGACAUCCUCGUCUGGAAAAUCAUCGUCAAUAGCUCUGGCAUCAGAAACUGGUAAUGAGGCUAAGUGAUCUGCGACAAUGCUCCCUCUGAUGGACUUCUGAGUGACAUAAUGAAUGUCAAACUCAGUCAGAAGUACCAGCCAUCUCAUAAGGCGACCAACUAGGUAUAUCAAGACGAGGAAUCAAAGGUCCGAUCCUACAAAGCACGAAGAACGGAAUAAGGAUAUGGCUCGGGGAAUGUAUAGAAGAAAAGAUAAUCUGAACGGGAACAAGCAAAGCAUCCAAGUGAAGAUGAGCGGUCCGACCGUACUCAAAUUCGUCCUGAUCUCAGUGCACUCUCAUCUGGAGACUAAACAGAGGGAAAAUCGGAUCCAAAACUACGGCUACAGAGGCACGGAAAGCCCUCAGAUGCACCCACGUGUAGGGAGGGAAUCCUAAUCGAAGGAUCUAUGGCUCAACCUACAAGGUCAAGGUGGCUCUAAAUGGAUAAGGGUGGACUUUAAAAUAUCCCUAGCAGAAGCGAUCAUACCCUCCGGCGAUACGCAACCCUCUGCACGCCUCCGAAGAGACGGGGCGCUUCCAUGCAAGGUGGUCAUCACCUCCACACAUGCACUACCUCGCAUUCCAGGGGGUUUCCUAUGGUGAAACCUCUCAAACUCUCAACACUCAAUAGUCUACUAGCGUGCACAGUGAUGGUGUGGGUGCAUCCGAAACCCUAAGAAGCUAAAGCAGGAUAUGAAACACACUGGCCACAUAAAUAUCCAUGAAACCUAGCUCCGGGCUAUACAGGUCUUCAAUGAUCGGACUCCAAUCGACAUCAAAGUGUCGCUCUCCUCCAGAANNNNNNNNNNNNNNNNNNNNNNNNNNNNNNNNNNNNNNNNNNNNNNNNNNNNNNNNNNNNNNNNNNNNNNNNNNNNNNNNNNNNNNNNNNNNNNNNNNNNAGGCAUGUCAAGAAUGGCUCUAAUCUUGUCCGGAUCCACCUCUAUGCCUCGCUCACUGACUAUGUAUCCCAAGAGUUUCCCAGAAGUCACUCCAAAAGUGCACUUCUUGGGAUUCAGUCUCAAUCUGAACUGUCUGAUCCUCUCAAAGAACCUCUCAAGAGCUGCCAAGUGAUCUGAUCUAUCUCGGGAUUUCACUAUCAUGUCGUCUACAUAAACCUCGACAUCCCGAUGCAUCAUGUCAUGGAAGAGUGUGGUCGCUGCCCUCUGAUAGGUGGCUCCUGCGUUCUUCAAUCCGAAUGGCAUGACUCUAUAGCAAUAAGUACCCCACUCGGUAAUGAAGGACGUCUUCUCCAUGUCCUCUGGAGCCAUCAAGAUCUGACUGUACCCGAAAAAUCCGUCCAUAAAGGACAACAUCGAGUGACCUGCUGUACUGUCAACUAGCAUGUCGAUGUGUGGGAGAGGGAAAUCAUCCUUAGGACUGGCCUUGUUGAGAUCUCGGAAAUCAACACAGACUCUCACCUUGCCAUCCUUUUUAGGAACAGGGACGACAUUGGCCAGCCACUCCGGGUACUCGACCACUGAUAGAAACCCCACACUGAGUUGCUUCUGAAUCUCCUCUUUCACCUGCAAGCUCCAACGAGGGUGCAAUCGUCUCAACUUCUGCUUAACCGGUCUGGCAUGGGGCAGAAGUGGCAAACGAUGCUGGACGAUGGAUGGAUCAAGGCCCGGCAUGUCCUCAUAGGACCAUGCGAAAACGUCCAAGUAGGAUCUGAGCAACUGGAUGAGACUAUCUCUCUCAUCUGAGGAUAAAUCUGACCCGAUCCUCAACUCCCUAGGCUGAUCUGCGGUGCCGAAAUCAACAAUCUCUAUGUCUCCUAUAGCAGGUGAAACCCUCUGAUCAACGGGAUCCGAAUCGGAAACAGAAGAUGAGUCAUCAUCUGAGUCGUGCUGUGCAAUCUCAUCAUCAAUAUCAAAAAUCUGUGGUGUGGGUGAAGAUGGUGCAGAUAAAUCAAUAUCCCAAGAGACAGGCAGAUACUCAAAAAUGCUCAAAUCCAUAGAUGAAACAUCGGAAACAAUGUCAGAACAGGAGACGAACCCCGACAGAAUGUCAAAUGAAAGAGGUGGGUCCACAAAGUCGGACGCUCCCUCAACAAUGCCAACAUGGCUAUCAAUCAAAUCAUCAAAAACUAUAGCAUCCUCAACAAUCUCCAGAGUAGGGGUUGUCUGGAUCUCCUCAACGAUCUCGAUGAAAGACACCCCGAAAAGAUCGAAUGGUGAAGUGAGCCCAGGAUGAACUCUCUCCUCGAUCGGGCUCAAGCUCAGGGCGAGCAUCUCGUCGAUGUACUCGUCGUGUGGGACGGCUCCGUCCACUAUGUCUUCGACCCCAGCAAAGGUCCCAUGCUCAUCGGUCUCGUCCGGGAAGCAAAGCGUCAUAAGGCUCGUGCGAUCUGGAGACGAAGGAGCAAUCAACACAGAAGUCGAAGAGCCAGGAGCUCCGUCUCUCAAUCGUAACUGCUGGACAAGGCGCUGAAGCUCGACCUCCUGAGUGGUGCUAAGUCCUCCAAUGAUCAUGUCCGAACGGGUCAAUGGCUCUGAUGCCCUCACAAAAUAAUCAGAUAAGCUCCUGGUGUAUGGACGAAGAGGAUAGUAGAAAGGUGUGUGGGUCAGUCGAGCUCUCACUCUCUCCUUGCGCAAACGCGCCAUGUAGAGAUAAUCGGCCUCAGUGGGGAUGAACCCAAGUCCGAACGGUACGUCGUGAUCAGGGAUGGCUAUGAACUCGCUCGGUCCAUGCUGACGUCGACCCAACCCCAUGCCGGGUAGAUAGGACAUACUCCGCAUGAUAUCGAGCACCACUGUGCUCCCAUGCCGGUCAAAGGACAUGGCCACAAAAUCCCGGCAGAAAUCCUCUAUCUCCACAGUCUGCACCUCAUCGAAGGUGAAUCCAGUCAGAAAAAGAUCGUCAUCAGUGUGACUAAUCUCGAGCACAAGCUCGGCAGCAAUGAACAUGUCUCCCACAGACUGCACCACGACGACCUGACCAUCGUGAAUAAACUUCACCUUCUGAUGAAGGGAAGAAGGAAUGGCCCCGACUCUGUGGAUCCAUGGUCGGCCCAGAAGCAGGUUAAAGGAUGUAGGAAUCCUCAAAACCUGGAAUACAGCGACAAAAGUGGCCGGACCGAUCAGCAACUCGAUCUCCAAUGUACCCAUGACCUCCCUCCGAGUACUGUCAUAUGCGCGAACGGUCUGAGUAGUGGGACCAAAAUCAGAAGGAGCGUAUCCAAGGGCGAUGGCAGUGGCAAGAGGACAUACGUUCAGGGCCGAGCCAUUGUCCAAGAGGACAGAUGGGACUCGGCGGCCUGAACAGCCAACAGAUAUGUAGAGUGGGCGAGUGUGGUCUGAGCCCUCCGGUGGCAAGUCAUCAUCGGAAAAGACGAUACAAGUGGCUCUGCCAACCGUCAUCAUAUGAAUGAGUCCCUCGGGAGUGGUCGUGGUAUCAACUCUGAUCUGGCUCAGAGCUCGAGUCAGUGCAUCCCGAUGAGUACUGGAGGACGCUAAAAGGCUCCAGAUAGAAAUACGAGCCUGAGUGCUCUGCAACUGCCUCAAAAUCUCAUCAUUCUCUGCUCUGACCUCCUCCUGGGAUGACGUAUCCCCUAAGGGUCUAGCGGCAGCGGCUGGAGGUGGCUGUCUCACUACUCUCCCUCCCCGGAGGAUAUACUGAACGUCCGGAGUCUGAGGAUCAUCACUGUGUGGAGCCUGAACCUCCUCAACAUCUGGGAUCAGAAUGUACGGCGCCUGAACGCUAUAGCGCGUGAAUGUCAGAGGCUCGGAAGUGGCUGCCUGUACAGAUGCUGCCUCAGGAACUAAUCGGAAUGGAGCAGGAAUCUGUGGCUCUAGGGUCACCCCACUCGUCUCAUAAAUCCCAGCUGGCAUGAUAGGCUCCGGGUCUGAAUCAUCCCAACUCAACAUAUGGACAUGAUCAUCAGUCUCAUCGAAGUCCAAGAAAUGAAUACCACCGGCUGGUGGAGGAACUGCAUGUGUGGUGUGGGUCGGCAACGGGUUUGUGGUCACACUCGGCUGACCCAAGUGUACCAAACCCUGGUCUAUCAGAUCCUGAAUAGCAUGCCUCAGAGCGGUGCAUCGAUCGGUCUCAUGUCCAGGCCCCUGAUGAUAAGCACAGUGUAAGUCCAUCCUAAACUGAGCUGGAAUCGGCUGAGGUAGUGGUCGAGGAGUGAGAGCAGUCAAUAAACCAGCCUCCGUAAGCUUCCGAAGAGCCUGGCUCAACGGCAUGCCUAUCUGCGAGAACUGCCUCUGCGUCCUCAAAGCGAACGGAGCAGAAGUCUGCUGGGCUCCAGGUCGGGGAUAAGGCGCCGCAGGUCUCGCGGUGAACUGAGCAGCGUAGCAUGGCUGCCCUGUGGCUGUGUAGGAGACCGCGGGUCUCUCAAUGCCCUGAGUGGCAUAAGAAGGUAAAACCAAUGUCUGUGGCAUGUGCGUCUGAUCGUAAGCCGGCCGAGGUGCCCGUGGCCUGUACUGAUGAGAUGCGUAGGAAGAAUGAGGCUCGGAAAACUGUGGGAUCGGCUGAUGGCGUCUGAGAGGCCUCUGACUGGAUGAACUGAUAGCACCAACCUCUGUCGGUCUCGGUCCUACGAAUGGUUUCUUCCCCUUAACAUCACUAGGGGAAGAAUCUGCCCAUAAACCUCUCGUGAUGCCGUCCUCGACAUCAUACAAAGCCAUAACCAGAGACCCAAAAUCUGUGAACGGGACCCCGACCACAUGUCUGGCGAUCCCCGGCUGUAGGCUCCUCAAAACCAUCUGAAUCUGGUCUCUCUCUGAUGGUCUAUCCACUAUCUCAGCUAUCUUCCCGCGCCAGCGGGAAAUGAAAGAAGAAACGGACUCCUCUGUCCUCUGCCUCAGAGCCUCGAGCUCUCUCCUCGAUACGUCUACAACAGUGUUAAACGAAAACUGUCGUAGGAACUCCUGGGCCAAGUCAUCCCAUGUACGGCGUCUCGAGGACUCUAGAGACGCAAACCAGCGCUGAGCCGCCCCACUCAAAGAUAGGGGGAAAAGAGUGAUCAUCUGAGGCUCGUCCAGUCCAUGAGCCCUCAUCACGGUGCUAUAAAGUCUGAGGUGGAGGCGCGGACAACCAAUACCAGUGUACCUCUCAAUAUCUGGCAUCCUGAACUUAGCCGGCAAGCUGGCUACCGGCAUAGCCCCAAAAUCAUCCCAAACAACGGAUCCAUCUGACACUCUCAUCUGUCUCAUACACUGCUCGAUGCGGUUCAUGCGCGCAUGCGUGUCAUCAGCGACAACGGCCUGGGCGACUGCAAGUGGAGCGAUCCCAGAAUGCCCGUGUAAUACAUAUGGUGAUGUCUGAUGCACUGAAGGAACUGGUGGGGGUGGUGGAGGUGGCACCGGGUCAUAGGAUACCUCGUCCUGAGCGAUAUGUGGCCUGCUCUGCUGGUCAUUGAUCUCCUGCCUAAGGCCAGCCAGAGCCUCCUGGAUAGAAGCCAUGGCAGUCGUGAACUGAUCGACCGUGACAACCUGCUGAUCCAUAUCUGGUGUAUCUGAAACCCGAACUAAUCUGCCCUCUACUCUGAUCCACGAAACUAUACCCAGACUGAGAGUAAAAAUCCUGAUCCUGAAAGUACUCCUCCUCUGCUCUGAUCCACAAAAGGUAUAUCAAGACGAGGAAUCAAAGGUCCGAUCCUACAAAGCACGAAGAACGGAAUAAGGAUAUGGCUCGGGGAAUGUAUAGAAGAAAAGAUAAUCUGAACGGGAACAAGCAAAGCAUCCAAGUGAAGAUGAGCGGUCCGACCGUACUCAAAUUCGUCCUGAUCUCAGUGCACUCUCAUCUAGAGACUAAACAGAGGGAAAAUCGGAUCCAAAACUACGGCUACAGAGGCACGGAAAGCCCUCAGAUGCACCCACGUGUAGGGAGGGAAUCCUAAUCGAAGGAUCUAUGGCUCAACCUACAAGGUCAAGGUGGCUCUAAAUGGAUAAGGGUGGACUUUAAAAUAUCCCUAGCAGAAGCGAUCAUACCCUCCGGCGAUACGCAACCCUCUGCACGCCUCCGAAGAGACGGGGCGCUUCCAUGCAAGGUGGUCAUCACCUCCACACAUGCACUACCUCGCAUUCCAGGGGGUUUCCUAUGGUGAAACCUCUCAAACUCUCAACACUCAAUAGUCUACUAGCGUGCACAGUGAUGGUGUGGGUGCAUCCGAAACCCUAAGAAGCUAAAGCAGGAUAUGAAACACACUGGCCACAUAAAUAUCCAUGAAACCUAGCUCCGGGCUAUACAGGUCUUCAAUGAUCGGACUCCAAUCGACAUCAAAGUGUCGCUCUCCUCCAGAAUGCUCCCGUACAUCGAUAUAGCCCGUUGCUAGACCCUACUCCUAAUCUCUGGCUCGGUCAGAGAGCAAACACACAGAAGGUCUCACACUUGCAAUAGUGAGAACCGGGAUGAAAGGAAUGACCGAAACCAAGAGAGUUGGAGGUAAGGGGAUAUAUGUGCGGCCCACAUAGACAGGCAACAUGCAAUCAUGCAGAAGGAAGGCAGUCACGUGUCAUACAGUCAAGCAAAGUACAGGAUAUAUCACUCAUGUCCACACAAAAAGCUACAACUAUCAGGAUGAAUAGCUAUAUGAACAUCAUGCUCAAAAGACGAUCAAGAUAAUAUGCAAGUCAGAGAAAACAACACAGCAAGUCAAAUGAUAUACACCAGUGAAUCCAUGCAUGUGAGGUGAGCAGAAUAAUCAGGAAGAAACAGAAUCGCUAUACCAAGCAAAACAAGGUGAGCAACCUAUGAUAAUCGGCAUGUCAAUGUACCAAACUAAUAUAGCAAUGAAGUACAGAAAAAACGACAUCCGAAGCCCCAAAUCAAGAUGAUCAAUCAUAUCAAUGUCACAACACAAUAUCCAAGCAUACAUCAAAAACUCCCAAUGUGCAAUCAAGAGACAAGUACUCGCUGAUCGACUCAUCAAAUGCCAUGUUUGCUUCAUCUUAAGUUCAAGUUUGACCCUCUAUAGUUCCCCAGCGGAGUCGCCAUUUUGUGGACCCCGCAUUUCGAUGGCUCGAAUGCGUUCCCCACUCGAUGGCGAGCUCGAUUUUUAUUUUGAAAAAUUGAUUUUUAUUGAUUAUUUGAAAAUGACUUGGAGUCGCCACUUAUUUUUGUUUUAUUUUUAAAGGGUAAACAAAAUAAGAAAGAAAAACCCUAAGUGUGACUCCUUAUUUUGGAAAAGGUGAUCUACGAAAAACCGGAUCGGGUUCGGGGGUCAGGUUACUUAUCGGGAAGGUACGGUAAAGACCGUAGCACCCCUCUAAGUCCCUAAAGUCGGGUCUCUACUACUAAAAUGAAGCUGACAUGGCAAUCAAUGAGAAAAUCAAUGAAUACUCAAAUCAAUCAUGCACAUAUAAGUAUCAAAACAUGCGUAUAGCAAGACCAGAAUAAGGACAGAUGCGUACCUGGGCAACGAUCUUCAAUGCGCUAUCAAGAAGUGAGAUUAGUGCACAAUUAAAGGAUGGUCACAUGCAUAUCAUAGAGCAGAAUAAAUCAUGUAUGGCACCCAAAUCAACCAAACAAUCCAUCAAUCAUAAAAUCUCAUAUGUUGGGCCCCCACCAAAGCCCGAUUGAUUUUUGCAUGAAUUAAUUCCAUAAAUUCCCUUGCUUGGAAUUACGGAAUUUUAUUCUAGCUUAUUUUAAAACAUUUUGAAAAUCUGAGGAGUUGUGAAAAUUGCUUGUCAGGGAGAAAAGUGACAGCAAAUUUUUAUUAUNNNNNNNNNNNNNNNNNNNNNNNNNNNNNNNNNNNNNNNNNNNNNNNNNNNNNNNNNNNNNNNNNNNNNNNNNNNNNNNNNNNNNNNNNNNNNNNNNNNNNNNNNNNNNNNNNNNNNNNNNNNNNNNNNNNNNNNNNNNNNNNNNNNNNNNNNNNNNNNNNNNNNNNNNNNNNNNNNNNNNNNNNNNNNNNNNNNNNNNNNNNNNNNNNNNNNNNNNNNNNNNNNNNNNNNNNNNNNNNNNNNNNNNNNNNNNNNNNNNNNNNNNNNNNNNNNNNNNNNNNNNNNNNNNNNNNNNNNNNNNNNNNNNNNNNNNNNNNNNNNNNNNNNNNNNNNNNNNNNNNNNNNNNNNNNNNNNNNNNNNNNNNNNNNNNNNNNNNNNNNNNNNNNNNNNNNNNNNNNNNNNNNNNNNNNNNNNNNNNNNNNNNNNNNNNNNNNNNNNNNNNNNNNNNNNNNNNNNNNNNNNNNNNNNNNNNNNNNNNNNNNNNNNNNNNNNNNNNNNNNNNNNNNNNNNNNNNNNNNNNNNNNNNNNNNNNNNNNNNNNNNNNNNNNNNNNNNNNNNNNNNNNNNNNNNNNNNNNNNNNNNNNNNNNNNNNNNNNNNNNNNNNNNNNNNNNNNNNNNNNNNNNNNNNNNNNNNNNNNNNNNNNNNNNNNNNNNNNNNNNNNNNNNNNNNNNNNNNNNNNNNNNNNNNNNNNNNNNNNNNNNNNNNNNNNNNNNNNNNNNNNNNNNNNNNNNNNNNNNNNNNNNNNNNNNNNNNNNNNNNNNNNNNNNNNNNNNNNNNNNNNNNNNNNNNNNNNNNNNNNNNNNNNNNNNNNNNNNNNNNNNNNNNNNNNNNNNNNNNNNNNNNNNNNNNNNNNNNNNNNNNNNNNNNNNNNNNNNNNNNNNNNNNNNNNNNNNNNNNNNNNNNNNNNNNNNNNNNNNNNNNNNNNNNNNNNNNNNNNNNNNNNNNNNNNNNNNNNNNNNNNNNNNNNNNNNNNNNNNNNNNNNNNNNNNNNNNNNNNNNNNNNNNNNNNNNNNNNNNNNNNNNNNNNNNNNNNNNNNNNNNNNNNNNNNNNNNNNNNNNNNNNNNNNNNNNNNNNNNNNNNNNNNNNNNNNNNNNNNNNNNNNNNNNNNNNNNNNNNNNNNNNNNNNNNNNNNNNNNNNNNNNNNNNNNNNNNNNNNNNNNNNNNNNNAGAAAGGUGAAUAAAUAUGGUGGGGGAGUAGACUGUUGACAAUGGGUAUGUAUGAGUCAUAUGCCUGGGGGUAUGGUGAGAGAUGAACUGCAAGUGAUGGGCAUGAUGUGGUGUGGGGUGGAUUAGUGGGAUGACAGUAUACAAAGAGAGCGUGGUGUAGAGAGAGAAUGCAAGAUGAUGAGUGCAUGUGUAGAUAUGGGUGUGGGCAUGGUGGUAUGAAGCGUGUGGUGGAUGAUGGACUGAAGGUGAUGGGCAUGACAAUGGGCAUGAACAGGGAUGGAGUCAUGUGGGCACGAGACGAGCAUGAGCGCGGAAUGAGUGUGAUGCAACCAUGCAUGGUAUGAAAAGGGUUUGGUGUAGUGAGAGAAAGUAGAUUAUUGGUGAUGGGUAUGAAUAAUGGCCGGGUUUGCAUGGUCCAUGCACUUGGAUGGGUGAGUUUGGGGAUGCUAGCAGAAGCCUUGGAAGGAAUACGGGCAGCCAUGCACGCGUGGGGUUUCAUGGAUAUCGAGUCAGGGUAUUUUGUUGGAGGAAGAGAGCAUGGGUCUGCACAAUAUGGGGAUUGGGAUCUCCUACGGACUCCCUAGCUAAUGGAGUUGUGAAAGGGAGACCAUCUGCUUUUCCGAUACCAGAUUAUGGGAAGUUCAGUGAUGGCUUCUCAAAAAAUAUUGGUCCACCUUGAUGUUAACAAACCACCCUUGGGCAAUUUAGCAAUCCCUUCAUUCUCAGAAGACUCCGUCUCCAACAGACCAUAAUGAUACUGAACUAAUCCAUGUGAAACGGACAAGAAAGGCUCUGCUCGUGAAUGUUCCCUGGCAUAACCUCCUCUAGAAUGUCAUCAGACGAAACAAAACUAGAGAACCAGGUAUCUGGAACAAGUAAGUCUUCUCUCUGGGCCAAACCCUCAACAAGCCUGUUGCAUUUCUCUGAUUUCUCCCACUGUUCUGCCAAAGUCUUUAUUUAUAAUAUAAUGGUUUAGAAAUAUCCUCCAUUAAUCACUCUACCUUUGACCAACCCUGGUUAAGGAUCCAUACAUCAAAUCUGAUUACCACUUCUGGCCCACAACCGCUCGAGUUGAUAAUGAUUUUCCUCCAUAUCUACUCCUGUUCAUCUUCAUAAAAUUCCUUGGAAUCAUCAGUAUACUCACUGCAAUCUGUGGUAAAGACCACCACAUCCUCAUCGACAUCUUACUUUUUUCCUCUACGAAUGGCGCCUCACACUACUCACUAUUCUUUGGAUCUGAACCACUUUUUUUUUUUUUUUGUUUUUUCAAAUAUUGGAUGUCAAGCCUCAACAGCAUAUAGUAGUCAAUUUGUACCAUCCCCAAUGUAUGGUAUGCAUGAUGCCCCGUGCUCAAAUUGCUCAAAAAGAACAGAGGAAUAUAGCCAAGAAAACAGGGCAUAGGAGAAAGGAACAAAAAAUAAAUCAAGGGCAACUGCAUUUCAGGACAUAUCAAUGUGUUCCCACUGGUGGAUGAAAGAUAUGAACAAAUUCAAAACAAAAAAUACGCCACAUAUGUUCAGGUGCCUAGCAACAAAAUAUGAUGCAAGUCCUCACCCAUUUUCUUAAACCAGGUUAAUGAAACAGCGAAAGGAUUAACAUCACAGAUGGAAACAUGACAAAUACAAACAACAUAUACACCCAGUGAAAUGAUAUUCAGAAUAAUGAAAUCAUACGGCUAAAUAUAAGCAUACCUGAAUGUGAUAGAUGUCCUACCCAGCUUUUCUUACUUUCUCUCUGUUUUCCUUGCCUUUCUAGCUCCGACAAUCGAAUCACCUUCUCUCUUACUCUUCUUUUCUCCCGCUUGAAAAACCUCCCUCUGGAAAUAUAUCUCUCCCCCAGCCAGACGACACCCACCUGCCUUGCAGUUGCAAGCCUCCAUUACCUUCAGAUUUUUCUGCCACCUUCCUCUUCUAGGCCCAUUUCCCCACUACUCUGCACCACUACCUUGCUAAUAACAGAAGACGCUCCUCAAUACAACGGCCUGCAGAUCCUCAUGCCACCUGUCAACCUUCCAUUGGCACUUCAAAAACAACAUACGAUUCUGCAUUGCCCUCUCAAAAGGAGACACGUGAUUGAGCAAGGCUCUUCCACGUGGCCAAAACGGGUAGCUGCAUGAAAGGCCCCAAAUGGGGGUCUACAGCAGGAUAUACUUUUUCGUCAAUGUGUGCCUGAAUGACCUAAAACUAGUCCCAAUUAAUGAUAUGACAUUGUAUUUGCUAUUCUCAUCAACCAAGAAUACACCCGAAAAUAUAAGAUCUUGAUUAUUUAAUAAGCAUGUAAGGUAUACACAAAAUAUAGGAAAAUAAUUUAAGUACAUUACUAUAUACCUUAUAAGAAGAUCUUGAUUAUUUAAUAAUCAUGUAAGGUCUACACAAAAUAUAGGAAAAUAAUUUCAAUAGAUUACUAUAUACCUUAAUGCAAUCCCAUAAUUUCUCCUUCAAUUCCACAGGCAUUACUCUCCAAUCAAUAUGAUAUACUGGCACCAUGGUUUGUGUUAGCACCCCCAAGUAUGAUACAAGUUGUACAUAUCCCUCACCCACUCCCUCACCAUCAUCAUUAUAUUGAAUGUCAAUUUUCACUCAUUCACUUCUCUUUUUAGCAAUUUCAGGUUUUACAGUUGGGCCUCUAAACAUUUUUGGUGAAGUAAUCUUCUGUUUUCCUUCCUUUCCAUCCAUCUACAUGACAAUCAAAAGAAUAUGAUCAAUCUCAUAAUACAUAUAUAUAUAUAUCUUACAUUCAAAAGUAAAGCAUGAUAUUUUAAUAGUUACCUACUCUUUAUCUCUUCUUGGUUGAGACAUCUGUAAAGAUGUUGCACUUUUUGGCCAAGUUCCAAAUAAUUAAGAAUUAUGCACUACUAAACAACACUUGAAAAUGUAUCUCAACUAAAUCUAAAGAAAUUAGUUACAAAAUGAUUUCAUAAGUAGGAAUAAAUCAUUGUUGUACAAAACUUGCAAUACAUGAAAAUUAAUCUUAAAUCUCAAUAUAUAUAAAUAUGAUACUAACUGAAUUUAUUUAAAAUAGCUUAGCAAGUAUAUAAUAGUAAAAAUAUAUUUGAGAAUAAUAAAAUAAAAACAUAACAUUGUUGAGCAUCACAUUGUAGAUUAACAAUAACUCAAAAAUCACAUAAUACACUUAGUAGUCACAAAGCAUAACCCCAAAAAACAAAAACAAAAAACAAGAAAAUUGUAGACCCUCAAUUUUGUCCCUUUAGCACAUGUCUUUAAGUUCACUUCCAAUGCUCCAUAGUAAUUCCUUGGUGGCCCAUUGCUACUCAUACUACUUACCUUUUUUUUAGCCACCUUGGAGACCUUGGUUGAGGGGUUUAUCCAACUCCACAUUAUGACCUUGGCAGCCCUAAUUUAGACUUAGCCACUUUCCUGAACGCCUUAGGCCCACUUAGGUACACUUGGCCCACUAGGCGUCACCUUAAGCCCACUUAAGCACUUUUAAACCCAUUUUUUAUAUGACUUGCAUGAUUGCAUGGCCUACAUGACUUGUGUGGCUUAUAUGGAUUUCUUUAUUAUUUAAUUUCAUUUUAUUUUAUUUUAUUAUAAGUUUUCUUGGCUUUUUGGGCAUGAGGAAAGGGUCUGUCAUCUAUUUUGAAGGAGAAUCAACAGAAUUUUGAAAAAGAGGAGAUUUUGUUUUUAUAGGGAUAGCACAUAUAUUAUUUUCAUGGGGAAAUCGGUUACAAAAGGGAAAAAACUAAGAAAGGAAAGUGGAUUUCCUUUUUGGAUCACAAAAGUUUUUUUGGAGGGAGAUUUUUUUAUUGUCUUUGUAGAGAGACACAAAAAGGAAAAAAGGAGGGGAUUUUCCUCUAACAUAUUUGGGGGGGUUCUUUGGGAAGGCUGAUCUACGCAAAAAAUGAGAGGAAAAAAAAGCCACAGAUUAAGGGGGAAGGGACUCACGGAUUUGGAGGAGGAUUUUCUCCAUGGAUGAAGGGGGAAGGGACUCCCGGAGGAUUUUCUCCAUGGAUGAAGAGGGAAGGGACUCACAGAUUUGAUGAGGAGGAUUUUCUCCAUGGAUGGAGGGGAUGGGUAGCAGAAGAUGAGAGGCUGCUUCGAUAGUGUGAAUUUUUCUGGAAAGGGCCAAGGACCAUAGGAGAGGAUCAGGGACAGAGGCACUAUUACUUUGAGAAGCCCAUGAGUUCUUGAAGUCUCCAACAUAUCCCUUGAGGUAAGCUCUUUAGUGUGAAAUCCAAUUUAUUUUAUUUUCUCUGUUUCUUUUCCUCUUUCUUCUAUUGUCAUUAAGAUUUGCUACUGUUGAUUUUAAGUGUUUCAUAAAUUUGCCUGACUUCUGAUCCCAUUGUUGCUUCUUUGUUUGUGUUCAAGAAUCGUUCAAUUCUUCUUUGUGAUAUUUCAAAACCCUUUUAUUCCACCUGCAUUUAAGCCCACCGAUUCAGACAUGAAGUGUGGCUUUUUGAUAGUUCUUAUUUUCUUCAUUUAUGUUCUUUCUUUCUUUAUUAUUUUUUUGGCUAUUUUCUCCUUGCUCUUGGUGUUUGCACAUUCUUGGGCAUGGGACUACACACUUGGACGUCAAACCAUGGGAUGAUGAAACUGACAUGAAAGAGCUUGAGGCAACAUUAAUCAAAUCAAGAUUCGUGGCAAGACUAUGGCUGCUAUAUUGAGUUAGAUGUUUUCCAUAUGGGUUUGGUUCUCUUUCAUGAAUUUGCGGUUGGUUUAAAGUCUCCAAUUUUCUAUAUGGGAGAAGCAAUAUUAAGUAUUUUGGAUAUCUAAGUUUGUCUCUACUUCUGCAUUGAUUAUAUGUUGUGAGCAUGGUGGGUUUGUGAGGAAGGAAAUGUGUAUCAUUGGGGAAUUUUAAUCUUCAUAGAAUUACCACCACAGAGGACUACAGUGGACUAGGACAUGGUUAUAAAGAAUCCAGGCUAGUUCCCCAGUCUGUAAUUGCAUUGAUCAAUGAUAUUUUUGUCCAGUGGUUCAGUCAUCAGUAGUCACAAUUGCUUGUCCAAUGGUUCAGUCAUCAGUAGUCACGGCCGCUAAAAGGGGGAGGUUAACAACCAAAAAAAAAGAAGUGGCAAUUCCUGAACUAGAGCCUCCGAGAUGGUUUGUUAUAGACCUGCACUAUGUGAACUGGGGAACUGUUGUCUUUCUUCUGUUUAGUGUGGAAGUUGUACUACUUAAGCAAAUGAGAAAAAAGGGGUUUGAUAAUGGGUGUAUGGAAUGCUCCUACAUCGGUAAGAAUAUUUCAGGGUCUUCUCUCGCUGCUGAUGUUCUGGACUAAGGCAAGGAAGAGUGUUUUCUCAUCUAUGAUACUAUUCCCAAUGGAAGCUUGCUGCAAUAUCUGGAUGUGAUUGAUAACAAUGGGAAGGUCCUUGAAUAGUCUACUAGAGUUUCUAUCAUCAACGACAUUGCCAAAGGUGCCAGGUAUUUACAUGAGAAGAAAGUGAUUUAUCAAACACAACAUGGGCCCUACAAAUACUAGAAUGAAGAUGCAUCCAGAAUGAAGACCUCCUAGAAUCCAUACAAUGUUCCAUUGAAACAGUCGAAGUCCACUCCUUCAUUGAUGUUGGUAACACAACACGCAAAGCCUGUACUCAAGCUUCUCUAGUCUCUCCUCAAAUCCUAAUGCCCAACCUCAGUGGCUUAAUACAUCUGAAACUGAUGCCAAACGGAUCCCUGAUGAAGGAAAUUAUGGAUACAUACAAAAGAUUUAAGAAUCAGCUUCAUCAGUACAAGCCCCAGAAGCAGUUUGCUGGAAAUGUACUUAAGCUCCAUGAGCAGACCCGUAAGUUGCAGUCGUGUCUUUGAUCGAGUUAGUAAGCUGCUCUCCCUCAAGGUUCGAACCAGAUAAAGGCAACUGGAGUUACUGCUGGUUACACUUUAACUUCUUCAUGGCCUAUACAGUUGGAAUUGCAGAUGAUAUGCAAGUGCUCAUAUUGAUGGUAUCGCUACAAAAUACUCCGAAAUUGUCGAAACAAAAGUUAUUCAAGCAAAGAUGGCAAACUGCAAUGAGAGUCUAUUGAAGAUCUCAGAGAUGAGAGGUUUGCUGAGUUCAAUAAAGAUGGCAAGUAACUUGAUGCCGAUGUUCACCUCAAGCACGUUCCGCGAUGGUCAUGCUGCUGCAUAUGUAGUGAUUUUGAUGGAAGACAGUAAGCCCAUUGGUGAGAAAUCGUUUUAUAACUUCCCAGAAUGCUUGGGAAGCAUCCCUGCUGUUUAAAUGAACUUCCCGAGAAGUGCUUGUGUAACUUGCUAAGCUGGCUACCUGAGUUGAACCACUGUGAUAUCAGUGGGGGAAAGAAACAACAAAGGCUCAACGAAGAGAUUGUACCCCGGGAGUUCAGAACUGGUGGUUAUGCGUGACGUUAUUCGGGAUUUAUAAUCGAAAAGGCUUCCUACAUGGCCAGAAUACAGAGGAUGAUUGGUUUGGGAUUGAAAAGAAGAUGAUCAUUAUUCAUCAGCUUCAUCCAAUUUUGGAGACUUUCAUGACAAGAUUGUGGGUUGAAGCUGGUCAUGUCUUUUCUUCAAAACAAAUCUUGUUGCCUGCCAAAAGAGGGCUCAUUUCUCAUGUCAUAAAAAAUGCUCAUGUCCUUGGAGAAAUUUGUGAGAUAAAAUGCGAUUAUAGUUUGCUAGCUAAAACUCAUUUCCAAGGUGCCAAUUAAAUCAACUGCCAAAAAGUUCACAGAGCACUACUCUUUGGGAUUUCAAUUCCUAGUGAUAUUGGAUAUAGGGAGUUUGUUUGUGAUAUUUUGUUCGAGAUAGAGUCUAAAAACGCAGGUUCUUCUGACAUGAAAGCCAUUGAAAACUGACGUGAGCCACCGAACAUUUCUGCUCAUGACAAGAAGAGUUGUAGGAAAAGUUGGCCAGGUUGUCUGAUGACCAUUGAUGUCCAAUCAGUUCAACAUUUUCGGCUACAGUAGCACCAGUUGUGAGUGGCUUUCUCAAGACAUCGUUCCUGAUUCCUGAAAGCAUUUCAGAUCAGUAUGAGACUUCAAGAUGGAAAUUAAAGAAUUUCCCAUGACUGCCAGAUUCGGUAGUUUGAUUUGAACAGAAUGGCGUCUCGUGAUUUUUGGAAUCAUGCAAACGAAUACACCCAACAUUGCAAAUGGAUCAAUUUCCUAUGACCUGGAAUCUCAACUAACUCUCUGGGUUAGAGAAUUCCAGUCGUAGCCAUGUCAUGAUACUACAAGACACCAGAAUUUAAAUUCAAGCAGCCAUACAAGGUUUCUUCCAAGCUGAUAGCACCACCUAGCACAGGUUUUGAUACCUUAACCUGUGGACAGAGUUUGCUUUUGGGAACAUUCCAUAUACUCGAAAUGGCAUCAAUGUCUUCUAAGUCACUACUUUUGGAUCAGUAUUUAGAGCUAGAUCUUAAUAUCGUCAUGCUAAAUUGUUGCUUUUGGUUUCAGAGACAUGAAUUGCUUGGAUAAUGCAUCCGGCUUGGCAAUUAUAAUUGUAAUGUCAGUCAUCACCUGCCUAAUGUCUCUAGUUACUGGAUUGUGUUGGCACCAGAACAUCUCCUCUAUAAUUGGCUUCAUAUUCUUCUCUGGCGUAAUUGAAGCUUUCUACUUCUUGGCUUUUCUCAUCAAGUUCCUGGAAGGAGCAUGGAUUUCUAAGCCACUCCUGAACAUGCAUAUAGGAAUGGAUGACGAGUCCAAUAAUCGUGACAUGGUGAAUUCUAGUUUAGAAAUCCCUAAUGCAGGUGAUGGUCAUGCUAAUGCCUUUCAUGCUAGCGUUGAUAUUGAUAUGAAUGGUGCCAGCGCUGAAGAUCAAACUGAGUAAAUUGGGUCUACUGCUGAAUAUGGUACGGAUGAACGACAAUCAAGGCAAAACACUAGUUUUCUUGCUACUGAGAUCCACUACUCAUCAAAAAAACCUAUCCCAAAUCAGUCCAACAAAAGGUGGGAUCUCUUUUUCCUUAAUUUUGCCUUUUUUUAAUAGGCAAAAUGAGCAUAAACAAUACUUUAUAAGGUGUCAAUGAAAAUAAACGUUCUUUGCCAUCUCAAAACCUUUUUAUAAGAUGAAAAUUAAUGUAUCCAUCUAACCUCUUAAGUUGUUCCUUCAUUGCAGGAUCUAAAUCAUCAUCAAUAUCUCCAUCUUCCAAACUAUGAUUAUGGUGGUUUUGAAAAGUGUGAACCUGAACAAUGUUCGAUUCCCCAAUUGCAUGAGCUAUGACUUUCCAAGGACAUUCAUUAACUGUGCAAACAACUGUCAUGUGUUUCCUACUAUUCCUCUUGAAGCAAUAACGGAAUCUACCAGUAAUUAACAUCAAAUAAACGGCAUCACGGAACUCGACAGCAUUGGGGAAGGUAUGUCCACUACCCAUAAUGGAAUUUUCAAACCGCCUUGAGUCACGUUCGAGUAUAUUUGAUUCCGCACAUCUUUGGGAAAACCCAUAUGACUCAAUUGUAAGAGAGUUAUUACAGAUAUCAAUUGGCGGAUCACCACCGGAGGAAAGUAGGUGUGCCAAAUUCGAACCAACAAUAGGAGUAGGGGCACUACAAAUUUAAAAAAAAAAAAAAUAUAUAUAUAUAUAUAUAUAUAUAUUCAUCUGUCUACAUAUAUUUCAAAAGUUGAUAGACAAAGUGAAUGUGAUGUUGGUAAGGCUAUAAGUACCUAUUCGAUACUAUACAGGCUUCAACAACUUCACUUGAUGAUGAGACAUAGGCUCGACAAAACAUUUCGUUGAAUUGAAUAGUGCAGGCAUGUGAUAUUCUAUAUAGGAUUGGUGAAUAGUCUCAUAGUCUAAGAUCAUGUUUGGUAGAGAGACAAAUGGAACACAGAUUUAUGAGAGGACAAGAUUGAAAGUUUGCAUAAAGCAAUUCUCUAAAUUAAGGACAUUUUGAAUAGUUCACUAGGAGAUUACAAGAGGAAAGAGAGAAGUAUGGCUUACAAGCCCACCAUGCUUAUCUCGAUGUAUUUGGAAGUGAAGCAAUAAAAGAAUCUUUGAUGAUGUUGAUCAAUCAGAAUUGUAGCUGAACAAUGUUUUCCUAAAUUUUUUGUUGAAUGGUCUGCUAGAUCAAUAGGAAAUAGAAGCCUUUCUUUUGUAGAUUUCAUUUGAUAUUUCAGCUAGUACUUUAAGGAUCAAGGAGUUUUAUUUUCCCCCUUUUUUUUCUUUUAAAAUCCUUAUGAACAUCACAAGUACAAAGGAAGUGCCCUCUUCUUAGCAAUUGUUUCACAACAUUUUACGUAUCAAAACAUUUUUUUUCAUUCUCCAAAAUGCCAAAAAAAUAAUGUCCAAAACAUUGAUUUUUAUUUUUUUAUUAAUCAAUUAAAUAUAAUUUAAAAUAAAAUAAUUAGAAUUAUAUUUUUUUAAUGAUGAACCUUAACUAAUUUAAAUUAAAUAUAUAUUAUCAAAGAGUACCAUAGUCCAAUGGUAGCAGGGAUUGAACCCAAGCCACAAUUUUGAUUUAAUAAAAAUUAAGAUGGCUAAUUAAUAAUUAAUAAUUAUUUAUAUGGAGCAAAUUGUUCUCAUGAUUUGUUUCCCCUUUUGUUUUUUUUAUCAUACUAAAUCUAAAGCUCAAAAGGGUCAUCCACUUCUCUCACUCGGGCAUCAAGGAGCCCUUUUCUGAAGUUGCCCUCCAAACGAGAGAAUCCCUAAAAAGGCCCUAUUUUCCUCUGCAACUCUCAAUCCUUGUAGGUACUAAUCUAAUCACAUUAUUAAUUUUUUUUUAAACCCUCAUUUGAUUCCCAAGAAAAUCCAUCCCCCAUUUGAUUUCCGGGAAAAUUCAUCCUUGUUUGAUUUUCGAGAAAAUCCAUGCAAAACCCCAAGGAAAACAAAAAAAAAAUGCUUUUUUUUCCUCCCUAUGUUUUCUAGAUCUGUUCUAGGGGUCUCUUUGCUUUUGUGCCAUUGGGUUUAAAUUUCACAAACCCUAAAUCCACGAUUUUUGAGCUAGGUUGAAAAAUAUAACCUUUGCCUGCAAAUCGUGAUCAGAUUACCAAAUAGCAUCUUAUGUUUUUUUUUAUAUAUAAAAAAAAAAUUUGGAUAGAUUUUGCAUCAUGCAUGGGCUAUGCUGGUAGGAAAUAUCGGGAAAUUUCCCGAAAAUACGAUAAAAAAUACCGAUAAAUACCAAAAUAUUUCUCGAUAUUUCAAACACUAGUGGUUCUCAAAUUUUUUUUCCUCAAUGAUUCCCCACAAACAACCGUCUUGUAAACAUAAAUAUUUAAGAUAUAACAAAAAAAAAUCCCCAAAUAUUCUAAAUCACGGGGUCGUGAACAAUGCAAAACAACCUUCAGCCCAAAUAUUUUCUCAACAGCCAAACAAAUCCUUAAAUGGAAAACUCACAUGCGAUUAAUCCAAAAGAAAGAGGAAACUCCACUUCGGUUUCCAGAAACCUGAAAAAUAUUCACCUUUGAUGAAGAAAUAUGAAGAUAUGACUCAACUUUGGCUUCGUUGAAGGUUUUUGGAAGAUGGCUAUUGGGUUUGGGUGGUCAGCUCGUGAAGAGAGACACUAGGGUUAGGCCAAAAUGAGACGAAAUGAGAGGAAGUGAAGAGUCAUGAAAAUGCAGAGCAAACGAGCCAUGAAAAUGUAGAUUGGGUUAGGGCAAAAUGAGAGGAAGUGACAGAGAGUUUCCCCAAAUUUCAAAGUUUAUCGAGUCGGGUGUUCUAUGGGUUUUGCAAAUUUGAUAACUUUUAAGUUUUUGAUUUUCGUGUUUAUUAAAGGCACAACUCUCGGGUGACAUGGACACGAGUGAUGGUUGCUGAUAGGGAUGCAUGGAGGGGUAAUUUCGAAAAUCCAAUUAUAAAUUGUAUAUAAUGCAUGAAAAGGAAAAAAUUUCUUGAAAUAGUGGACAUAUCUUGGGUUAUGCAAACUUGGGUUUUGAAAACAAUAUUAUUAGGAAAUGGGGCUCUCGAAACACAACUUUCCCUAUUUUUUAUAUUCCAAAUAUAAUAGUUCAUGUUAAUUAAACUAAUUAAAUAAUUUAAUUAAGUUAAUUUUUUGAAUCUAAAUCUAACGAGAUUGAAAUUAACUAGUUGAAUCUAAUUCUUACUAGUUUGAAUGUGAAAAUAAAAUUAAAUAAUCAUCUAAAAUAUAACAUAUCCAUCUAUAAUUAAAUAAUCAAAUUAACCUAAGCUUAUUCAAUAAAAAUAUACAAAUUAAUUACAAUUGAAUGUAAAAAUAAUAUUAAAUCAUCCAUAUUGAAAAUAUACUAAUUAAUUGAAAAUACAUUAAUUAAUUACAAUUGAAAACAAAAUUAAUUACAAUUUAAAACAAACAUACCUUAAAAUAAUUGAAUAAUUGAGCAACCUUAGAAAAUUUUUGAGCAAUAAGAGAUCAAAUAAAGAAUGAAAUUAAAUGUGGAUGAAAUGGAUGCAAAAUGAGUUAUUUAUAGGAAAAUUUUGGGCCAAAAUAGCUAUUGAUAGAUGAUUUCACUAUUGAAAAACAGUUUUGGCCGUUGGAUCAAAAUCAGGGCGACAUAUGACCAUUGGAUCAUGAAAUAACCAUUGGAAUAUCAUCCCAACGUUGGACCAAACCCAAAUUCAAUCUGGGGAGUUAGAUCAAUGCAGGCAUGAUGUAGGCCGUUAGAUCACGCUGAAAAGAGGAGGCAAAUUUUCUUUAAAAAAUCGACGAUUUAUCACCGAUAUAUAGACGUUUUUCCAACAUCAGUGAUGAUUGAUUGAUAAAACCGUCAAUUUAUCGCUGAUCAGCGAUAUAUCGACUAGAUUUUGGCAAUUUUUUGUUUUUUUGCCUCUUCGAUAAAUCCCCACAAAAUAUCGUGUUGAAACUCUCCGAUACACGAUAUAUCGAUGACAUACCGCCGAUAUAUCUUUGUGUUCCUAGUGAGGUUGAUGAUUUACUAAUAUGUUUCAAGUGCACAAUGAGGGAUUAAUUCUUAUUGCACACUAGGGCAUAGCCAUUUUAAAUAUCUUUAUCAAAGUUAGUGGUUUGAUUUUUAGAGAACACUUCUUAUUUGUUGAUAUUGCUAUCACCUACAAAGUAUGGUUUUAUACAUCCCUAAUUCGAAACAACAACUAUCCAUUGCAUUUGAGCAAGGUGGAGAUGUUGUUGGUUAUUAUUGCAUGCUAGGGCAUAGCCAUCAUCAUGGUUUUCUAAUCAAGUUAAUGAUGCAUUGACAUUAUGACGGAUUGAUCUAGUUUGGUUGUCUUCAUAGUUUAUUUUUGUCAAUGAAUGGCAUUGUCAUGGAUGAUUUAAAUACAUUAAUUCGAACACAUUCAUUUUGAAAACAAUCCAUGAACACAUUCCAAAAAAAGAAAAAGGGUAUCUAGGGAAUGGAUCAAUGCAUGUAUACUGAUUAUGUUCUAUAUCAUUGCACUGAGAAUAAUGAAUAGGUCUCUUAUGACUGCAUUAUGAUUCGAUAAGACAUUGUCAUAGUCUCCUAAUAGAUGUUUUACUUUAGGGCUUUAAGAGAAGGAAAUGAUCAAGCUUCUUUAUCAUGCAUGCAUGCUCUCAUCAACACAAAGUUGAGGCAUGUCAUUCAUCAAUAUAGAUCAGAAUGAGCCUAAAUAAAUCAAAGUUCUAAGUGGAAAAUGUUCAAUAUAGGGUUAUACAUCUAAGUGUAACAUGAUCGAAUUUUAUUCAAAUGUAUAAACUAUAAAUGAUUACAUACCUUUUUUUUUUUCCGAAUUCGCUCAUACCAUUAAGAUUUUUCAUCCACAAGAUACAACCUAUAUUGCAAAAAAUUAAAAAUUAAAAUAAAAGUGAAAAAAAAUUGUAUUAGAAUAUUAAGAAAACUCUACUUAUAAAUAUAAAAGAAUCCAAUUGUUUAAUAUUAAAAAAUCUCAAAUUUAAAAUCUAAAUAUUGAGGGUAAUUUUCUAUUUUUCCAUCUCAUAAUGAAUGAAACUCUAAUAUCUCCCUGCUAACUUACUAAAAGGGUCAUUAUCAACAUUUUUCACCUUAGAGCGAAUGUAAAAUUAUAAAAUUAUUAUCUGAGAACACCCACUUUACAAAUUAGAGAAAAAAACCUAAAAUAAAAAGGAAAAGUAUACCAUAAGGAAUAUUUAUUUCAAGCUCUUUAAAGUACUGAGAGCACCCAUUUUACAAAAUUGUACUCAAGUCAUGUAACAUUUGAAUCCAACUCAUUGAAACUCAUCAUUUUGUCUCAAAAAAGGUUUUUCAUUUUUUUAUUAUUAAAAAAAACCAUAAGCAGCUGAUUGUAUUCAAGUAAUUCAAUGGAUAGCCCUCAAAGGUAGGCAUCAAUUUAUCAGACAUUCAAACUAAACCACGGCAUCAAAAGAUUAUAACGAUAAGAAUAUAUAUACCUCCAGGCGAAGGAGCCAUUGAUGCUAUUAAAAGUUUGUUCUUCAAAAGAGCUUUAAGAAGUGAUCGAUUGUUCUUCAAGAGAGCUUCCAAAGAGCUUAGGGGGCUUUUUCUGUAUCCAAUUUGUUGAUCUCACUCUCAACCAACAGUAAAAGAAUAAACCUAAUCAGGAAAGAUUAAAGCUAACCAUAAAAGAACCAAACUCACCUCAGUAUAUAUGAGUUGGAUUUUUUUCAAGAGACAAUGAAAUAGAGAUGCUUCUGAGAGGAGAGGGUGAGGACAUGCAAAUGAGGAUUUGUGUGAAGAAAGAAUCGUUUACUUUCCAAAGGGACAUGCGGGCUUCUUCACUAGGAGGAUUUAAGUCAACUGGGAAUGGAUUUAAACAGCUCCAUGGUAACAAAAAUAAAUAAAAAAAUAAAGAAAAAUGUGUCCUCCAACAGUUUAUUGAUACAGUAAAGUGGACAUAUUACACUACCAUUAUGAGAAAUGACACAUUUGAAGGAGAGAGUCUUUUGAUAUAAUUGAGGCAUUAAAGUUUAAGCACUCUAUCUAACUUAUAAUCUUUAUAAAAAAGAAUUUCACGGAGACCAACUCAAAUGUAUAAAUAGCUUAUACAUUCCAACAUAAAGCAACAGCUGAUGGGAAACUGUGACUUCAAGGAGUUUUGGGCUGAAAGAAGGGGAAAGUCCCAUUAUGGUUUUUAGUCGAAUAAACAUGUUGACAGAUUCACACAAAAUCGGGCGGUUCGUCUGAUUCGACGGUCUAACUCUCUGGUUAGAUGAUUCAAUGGCGAUUCAAACUCAGAACAGUCCAUUCCGGCGAAUCAGACCGAAGGUCGGACCGAUUUUAAAACUAUGCAUUCACCAACGAAUCUGAGAAAAUCAAAAUUAAUUUUUACAAGCCGAAUUCAUAAGAAGACGAGAAAGGGAGUCAUCUCUGAACAGUAGACACAGAAGAACUUUAUUGAAAUUGGUGUUGCUUUUUGAAAGAGACGAAGUCGGCCAGCUACUUGGAAAGUUUGACUGGACAAGACUUUGAGUUGAUUUGAUGGGAGGUGGAGCAGUUUAUUGGGACUUCAAAAAUAUUUUUCUCUUCCAACCGUCCUUAGAUUUAAAAUAUUUUUUAUCAAAAUAUUUAUUUAGAAUUUUUUUCUUAAUGGAAUCACUUAUUAAAUACUUAAAAAAAAUUAAUAAAAUUUCCUUAAAAGUUUAAACAUCAUAAGAUAUUUAAAUUUUUGAAUGACCAUGUUUCGUAUUUAUGCCCAUAAUAAUUUCAUAUUAAAUUAAAAUAAAAUAUUUUUAUUUUAGUUAUUAAAUAAUAAAUGAUAUUUAAAUUGAAUUUAUAAUUAAAUGAUUAGUAUCAAAUUUAUUUCUUUUUAAGAUAAACAAAACAAACUCUACUAAUACUAAUAGUAUUUUGAUCAAACCUGAAGCAAUGGUCAUUGUAAGUAUAUUUCCCACCAAAAUAAUAUAAAAGUAAACAAUAAUACCCUUAUUAACUAAGGACAAAAUAAAUUGGAGUUCAACUAUUUUUUUAUUUUAUCCAAAUUUACCAAAAGACAUAAUAACUCCAUUUUUUUUUCGAAUUUAAAGAUUCAAAUAUGACAAAUAUAUAAGAAUUUAUAUAAUUUAAAAUAAGAUAUAAAAAACAAUUUUUAAAAUUUUCUAUUAAUUUUUUUUACCUCAAAUAAGCACUUAAUUUUUUUUUAGAGCAUUUACUAUAAAAGAAUUUAAUUCUCACCUAAAUAGAAGUAAAAAAUAAUUAUUAUUAUUAUAAAUUAUUUAUCUAAAAUUAUAGUAUGAAAAUCUUAAUAAUUUUUUAUAUUGAUAUUAUUAUUUUAAAUUUUUAUUAUUAUUAUUAUUAUUAUUAUUAUUAUUAUUAUUAUUAUUAAUUUUAAUUCAAUUAAUUAAUUUAUAAAUUCCUAACUUAUGUGAAACUUUUAUUUUCUAAAUUUAUUUUUACGAAUCUUCUAUUUUCUUUAUUUAAUUAAACUAAAUUUCUUGGAAACCUAUUUCUUUUAUUAGUAGAACUAAACUUAUUACUAUUAUAAAUUUUAUUACAAUCAUUCAACAUGCUUAAUCCUAUUAGUAUUUUUAUUAUUCUUUAUUAUUACUAUUUCUAACACAUUCUUACUCACGCACAUUAUCAUGUAUCAAUCACUUUCCAUCCACUGUAAUUACGUAUCUCUUUCACUUUUCCUAUAGCUAUUUUUUUUUCUUUUUACUUUUUUUUUCUUAUUUUCAUAUUAAAUCCACCGCCAUUUUUUUGUCUAAACACCUACAAGCACGCGCAGAGUGGCCACCCAACCCAACUCAUUCCUUGCAUCAUCAUAUCAUAUGCACAUAAUGCAACGUCUCCUCAGAGGAUGAUGUUAAUUGUCAGUUGUCACUCAUCAUUUCAUACUUAAAUGCCAUUACAAAUAGAAUUAGUCCAAGAUCUUAUUGAAAAUCUAGUCUCUUCUAAAAGGGAGAAUUGUGUUUUGGGUCCAGCUGAGCCCAAAAAUUAAGAUAAGGUCUAUGUAAUUGACCUAAUUAAUGAUAAGGAUAUUAGAUGUUAACAGACGAAAAGACCCUUUACUUUUUCAACUCAAAUGGUUGUAAAUUAAUGGGUUUCACAACUGGUAAACUUGAAAUGUCAUGUCACCAGAGUGAAAAUUUUGAAUCUUCCUACCCCUUUCUCUCCCUUCGUAAACAACAUAUGCACAAACGAUGUCGACUAUGACUGUCCCCCAAUCGCUUUCUUCAACAGCCGAGGAUUGUGAGCAUUUCAGAAAAGCUUUUGUAAGUAUUUUAUCAUGAUCAUUCCCAAAUCCAAAUGACGGGGGUCUGAAUUAUUUGCUGAUAUUUUGAUUUGAUUAGGUUGAGGCGUUUAUAGGUAUUUUAUCAUCAUCGUCCAGAGUGAAUAAAUGGGUUUCGUCCAAACGGUGAGCUUUGGGGAAGAAUAUUGUUCGGUGAUGAUGCAAUUAAUCUGGAAUAGCUAUCCUUCGGAUCAAAAAUAUUUUGAAAGCAAAGAAGUUGGUCAACCUAACGAAACAGAGAAAAUGAAGAACUCCAAUGAAGAUAUAAACCGGCCACAACUGUGGUCGUGAUGAUGGCAGUGGCCCAACAACCUCGUGUGAAUAUGGAAAUAUGUUAAAUAGGGUAUAUGCCUUAUUGUUGGGUAAGUUUCCAUUUUAUAAAUUGAUGGCUUCCACCAACUGCUAUGUCCACCAAUUGACUACUCAUUGUUAGCAUAUCAAACAUCUAUGUAGUCCAUCAGCUUCAGUUUUAGUGGGUUGUGGGCCAUAUGGUGCACCAGUUGGACAAUGCAAAACCUCCGUUCUCUUUGAUGAGUCCAGACCUCUAAAAAGCCUCGAAUGUAACUAUUGUUCUGUGGCUGACAAACACUGGGCAAGGUGUAUAUGCAUAAGGUGUUGUGUUCCUUUGGAACAUUCUAGGUUAUUCCAUUUUUUACAUUUUUCCUUUUCGUUUUGUAUACCUUGACCUGGUUACAUGAUGCAUGCACAGUUAAUGCUACUUUUGGUCUUAUUGUCUUUCUAUGUGGCUGGAGACUUUUGUAAUCAGGCUUUAUAAGCUCUAGAGGCUUGGGGCUCAUAGAAACUAAUAUCAUGAGAUUAAUUUAGGAUCCACUCUCUCAGAAUCUCUCUUGCUCUUUGUGUUAGCUGUAAGUUCAUGACUAUUUCACAUUCUAUUAAAAAUUCUAUUAGCUAUCUUGAUUUUAUCAAAAUCAUUCUGCUUGAAUUCCUAAAUUUUCUUUUUGAAGAUUUUUCUUGUCUUAGCCCACUCCACCCAACUUUUCCUUUCUUGUUCUUUUGAUUAGUAUCUGAAACAAUUUUUAUUUCGUUGAUCAAUGUAUAUUCUUGCAACAAAUGAAUUAAAAAUUUAAUUUGUGCCCAAUUAGUUUGGUGUAAAUUUCAUCCACAUUUAUCUCAUGUAAUUUUAAUUGGAAAUAUUUGGUGUUUAUGGGAAUAAACAGGAAGCUUGAAAUUGCUAAUCAUUGGCAUUAAAUUGAAGCAGGUUUAGAAAUGAAAGUUCUGGAUCAGGAAAGAAUGGAUGAGAAGGAGAAUUGCGGACAGAAGAAAAUAAUGUCUCCCUGUUUGGCUCUGAAGAAUUGCUUGGAGGAGAAAAGGGUGACUACUCUAAAAGUCAGCCACAGUUAGAAGCAUUUUGGUCUUCUUUAGAGUUUCCUCGUAAAUUAUAGACAAUUGUUAAGCCUGGUGCCACAUGUGAUGUUUAAAAAGUUGUUCACUAGUUGAAUGGAACCCAUCUUUAGGCAUGUUUUUUAUUGAAUAAAAUAUAUGUUUGAAUAAUAAUUUGCCAUGCUUAACAUAUAAUCUUCUUCUGAAUUCUAGUUGGAAAGUUGGAAUUAGCUUCGAAUAGUUUCACAUUAAUGGACAAAUUGCUGUUUUUUUAAUUUUCUUGUAUUGUUAAAAAAGUAUAGGGAACAAAUUGAUACUUCAAUUUUUCCUUAUUUUAUUAACCAAAAGAUUGCAAACAUGAUUAACCUAUGCAUGAGCAGACAUUCAAUAGUGGUUGUAUGGAAUUUUUGUCUGUGUACAAGACAUUUACACUAAGUGUACAAGAUAUAUGUGCUUAAUGUACAAGGGUGUACAAAGGUACCUAUGUUGAAGUAUUUGCAAUCGUUUUAAAAUCAUGUCCAUUUUGAAAGGAUGAGGAACAUUCCCUCACACACAUUCCUUGAUCACGCACUCAUCCUGUUCAAUUUUAUUACUUCAUACAUGUUGAUUGGAUGACCAACCACAGUAAUGAUGAAUAGGAACCUAUAUUGGGUUUUACUUCCCCCUUUUCCCUUAGGCAUCACAUUGGAACAUGAUAGCUCACCCAUAUGCACGCUUUUAGUUUUAGGUAUGUCAAAUUUUUUCCAUUGUAUAAGACAUUUAAACUAAGUGUACAAUGCAAAUGUGCUAACUGUACAAGUGUGUACAAUGCUACCUAUGUUGAAGGAUUUCAAAUGGUUUUGAAUAAAUUGCUUGCUCAUUUAUUUUUUUUAAGGGGGACAUUCCUCAUAGUCAUUCCUCAUUUCCCUUCGUACACAUUCAUUGGAUGAGAUAACACACUUAUGAUGAAUAGGAACCUAAAUUGGGUUUCAUUUUCCCCCUUUUAAUUGAGCCAUGACAUUGGAAUGUGGUUAACCCGCCAAUAUGCACUAGUUCUAUUCUAGCUAGGUUGAAUUUUUGCAAUUGUACAAGGCAGUUACACCAAGUGUACAAGACCAAUUUACUAAAUGUACAUAGGUAUACAAGGGUGUCUAUCUUAGGGGAUUUCAAGUGAUUCUGAAGAACUUCCUAUCUUACUAUUUCCAAUCGUGGGGGACAUUUCUCGCACAUAUUGCUUGACAACACACUUAGUGCAUGCAUUUUAUUUGAUGUCUACUAUGUUAAUUCCUUCUAUUAGCUUCCCUAGUAAUGAUGAAUAUGAACCGAAAUUAGGGUAAAGUUUUUUUUCAUUUUCCUUAAUCCAUGAGAAUGGAAACAUUGGUUACCCACCCAUAUGCACUCGUUCGGUUGUGCCUAUGUGGGAUUUUGUGACUGUACAAGGCAUUUACACUAAGUGUACAGUGCAAAUGUGCUAACUGUACAACUGUGUACAAUGCUACCUAUGUUGAAGGAUUUCAAAUGCUUUUGAAAAAAUUGUUUGCUCAUUUUUUUUUCUAAGGGGGACAUUCCUCAUUUCCAUUUCUACACAUUCAUUGGAUGAGAUAGCGCGCUUGUGAUGAAUAGGAACCUAAAUUGUGUGUCAUUUUUCCCCUUUUCAAUGAGCCAUGACAUUGGAACGUGCUUAACCUGGCCAUAUGCACUAGUUCUGUUGUAUCUAGGUGGAAUUUCUGCAACUGUACAAGGCAUUUACACUAAGUGUACAAGGCCAAUGUACUAAAAGUACAAGGGUGUACAAAGGUGUCUAUCUUACUUUUUCAAAUCGUGGGGAACAUUUCUCACACAUAUUGCUUGAUAACACAUUCAUUACAUGCAUUUUAUUUGAUGUCUACCAUGUUAAUUCAUUCUAUUAGCUUCCUUAGUGAUGAUGAAUAUGAACCGAAAUUAGGGUAAACUUUUUUUGUCAUUUUCCCUAGUCCAUAGUAAUGGAAACAUUGGUUACCCACCCAUAUUCACUUGAAAAUAUGUACCUAUUAGGGAUUUGGUGACUGGACAAGGCAUUUACACUAAGUGUACAAAGCAAAUGUGCUAACUGUACAAGUGUGUACAAGGCUGCCUAUCUUGAAGGAUUUGAAAUGCUUUUGAAAAAAUUGCUUGCUCAUUUAUUUUUUCUAAGGGGGACAUUCCUCAUUUUCCUUUGUACACAUUCGUUGGAUGAGAUAGCACGCUUAUGAUGAAUAGGAACCUAAAUUUGGUGUCAUUUUUCCCCAACUCAGUGAGCCAUGACAUUGGAACGUGGUUAACUCGGCCAUAUGCACUAGUUCUGUUGUAUCGAGGUCAAAUUUCUACAACUGUACAAGGCAUUUACACUAAGUGUACAAGGUCAAUGUACUAAAAGUACAAGGGUGUACAUGGGUGUCUAUCUUACUUUUUCCAAUCGUGGGGAACAAUCCUCACACAUGUUGCUUGAUAACACACAAUUGCAUGCAUUUUAUUUAAUGUCUACCAUGUUCAUUCAUCCUAUUAGCUUCCCUAGUAAUGAUGCAUAUGAACCGAAAUUAGGGUAAAAUUUUUUUUCAUUUUCCCUAGUCCAUGGUAAUGGAAACAUUGGUUACCCACCCAUAUUCACUUGAAAAUAUGUACCUAUUAGGGAUUUGGUGAUUGGACAAGGCAUUUACACUAAGUGUACAAAGCAAAUGUGCUAACUGUACAAGUGUGUACAAGGCUGCCUAUCUUGAAGGAUUUGAAAUGCUUUUGAAAAAAUUGCUUGCUCAUUCCUCAACUGAAAUGAUAAUAACCUUUCAUUGAUUGAUAUCCACGUGGGCCCUCCUCAUGAUUGUCUUCAACCUGAUAAAGGGUAUGUGUUUUUUUUUUCCCUUAGUGAGAAAGCAAAUAAAGGCAUAAUAGAUAUAUGAGUGUGUUGGCUACUAAGUAGGUACUGGUUGGUGUUUGAUGAUGUUAAAAGCCUUUAUAAAGCAGCCUCUAGUAAGCACUGAUUUUGAGAUUUAAGUUCUUUUGAAUUUGAUCAUUUUUCCCUUUCUUUUCCAAGGUUUUUCUUUCCACCUUGGUUUUGUGAAGAAAGCUUGCAUUAUUGGAAUGAUUGUUAUUUAAUGUCGUUGCAGUUGCAAAUGACACAGCUAUUCACCAAAUCCCAACCUCUGUUUUGAAUCUGAGACAAGGUUAACAAUUCGUAUAGUUCAAGUUCUUCAUGGCCUUCUAGAGAGUGAGCAUGCAGCACAUGCAUAAGCAAACAAUAGGGCAAAAGCUCUUUCUGUUCAACUACAAUCCACACAAGGAAAACUUGAUUUACUUCAGCAACAAUUAACAUCAGUUUCUUUGAAUAAAACAGCAAUGGACGGUAAGCUCAACACUGCUUCCCAUGGAAAAUGUUUGAGAGUAGAUGACUUUGACCUGACUAUUGAAUCUGUUGAAGAUAUGGAUGGUAAUGAAAGAAUAACAAGAGAAAAUAAGAUGUCAACGAUCACAACUAGCCCUCUGAAGUUCACGCAGUCAGAAGAUGGUGUUUAAAUAUUUAAGGCCAACGAGGACAACAACAGCCAACAUACGAACCUAGAGGACUAUACAAAAUUCAUUGUGCUGAAACUUAUGAAAGAACUCACAAAACAUCAUUAUGGGGCUGAGCUGCUUCAGUUCAGGAAUCCCAACAAGAGAAACAUCUUGCUUUGUAUGAGAAACACGUGCUUUAAAAAUUGUAACCUGUCUAUAAUCUAACAAGAAUUGACUUGAUAGAUUAGCUUUUUAACCAAGUACUUAGUGCUGAAGAAGGUGUUUUGUGCUUGAACGGUGUCAUUCCCAUUAGUCCAAAAUUUUGGGAUGAUGAUCGCCAUUUUUCGAUGUGCUGAAUGAUUACUUUUAAGGUGUGGAGCUACUGCAUUCUGAGAAUGGUUAAUAAUAAUUUUUAAAAUCAUACAUAAUAAAUUUGAAAAUAAAGACUAAUAAUUUUCAAGUGAUUAUGGAUUAUUCUUGAGUUCCCCUUUUCUCUUGUCUGAACUUGCUAGUUCCCAAUACUAAAGUAGGAGUCCAGGGAUAAUUUCAACACAAAUAUUAACUAUAAGUCUCUGACAAACCUUAUUCUUAUUACCACCCAACUAACCUAAGGGCAAAGUGGGUUCUUAUUACCAAGCCAUGAGCAAUUUUGCCCACCAAAAAACCUAGGACAAAAAAGGGAAAAAGCCACACCAACAUGUAUGAUAACAAAUAAGAGCAACCAUACACUCUAUUAGGCAUAGACAUCUAGGUUAGUGUGGAGGUACUCUUCCACAACCUUGUACAUCCCCAUGGCCUUGUCUUUGCCGGUCUUGAUGUCCUCGUCCUUGAGCUCAAUAUUUGAGUGAUAAUGGCUAGUCAUCUUGCACAUAGAGCCUGAGCCCGAUGCCUUGAACUUUACCUCGUUUGAAAUGGCCUUGUUUUUACACUCUUAAUUGCCUAAAUUUCCUUUCUAAGAGGCUUCAUUUUCCAAUUCUAUUUCCUUUCACACCUUCAAUGGGAAUUUAGGAGACAACUUUUAGUAUUGUGUCUUAGUUUGAUUGAAGGUAAAAUUGAAACCCAUAACAACCCUGACUUGUUUGAACCCCAUGUCAGAAAAAGUAAAAAGAAAAACAACAAAGUGUAUAGAUUCUUCAAAUAGAUGUAUCUGUAAUUGAAACAAAACAGGUGGAACACACCCGUGAACUCACCAUUAACAUUACAAGCAACUAGAAUUAUUGCUGCCUUGAACUAGAUAUCAUAGAGAACACCAAAAGAAAAUAUCUAUAUAUAAAACAUAAAAUCUUUGAGUAAUCACAAUGCUACUUUCUAUUCCUAAUUUUCCGCUUCCCAUCUGUGGGAACUGGGUGCCUUCCAUUCCUGUGCUGUAGGGUCCCAACCCCAUUUGAUAGUUUCCAUGAUGGUGAAGGGCCCACGGUAGAAUUCAAAUUCCUGCAGGAAAAUUUUGAGAACAUUUUGUCAGUAUACAUGGGAACUUACUAGGUAACAAUAGUUGAAAUGAGAAAUAAAUCAGUUUGCAUUACCUUAGUUCUGGACUAUUUGCUGGCUUUGUAUUAGGUUUCUUGAUUUUUGACUCAAUCCCAUUAAUCAUGCAAAUUAUAUUUGCAUUAUUGAAUUGCCAAAGCAAAACGGCAUCAGAAGAAGCACUGAUGGCAGCAUCCUCAUGCAAAUCAUCAUUAUUAGCAAUGUCAUAACGAUUGUUUUCCAUGAAUAUGUUAUAUGAUUGAUCCGGGAAUAGCUUUGAAGAAUUUGAAAUAAGUUUUUGGUAGAAAGCAUCAGGCAAGUUCCUAUUCUCUGUUUCCCAACAUCCUAAAGGGUUUGGAACUCUAGGUACAACAUCUUGCUUAUUCACCAUAACCAUAUAUACCCACUAACUAGAGCCAAUGUCUUUGUCGUCCUCCAAAUAAUUUUGCACAUUACUAUUGACUGGAGGCCAAGGAGGUGAUUUCCCUAGUAACUCCUUAAGAUCAAAGCUUUGGUUCUUUUGCCUCAUCAUGGAAUUGCUGCGUGCCUACAUAAUCAGAACAUCAAACUUGAAUUCUGGUUUCACAAAGACUUGGAUGCAUAAUAAUCAGUCAACUAAAAUAAAGCCAUUGUUUGACAUCUACCUAGACCACAUCUAUGUGGAACCUAAUCAUACAUGAACUAGAAAUUACUUUUUAUGAAAAUUUCCAAUGAAUGUGAUAUAAUACAUAGUUUAUGAUCAUCUUCAAACUUAGGCAUGGCGUGUCAUGAUUAUCAAGAAAUAAAGGUUCCCUCACCAUCAUCAAUUUGCUAUCAUUCAAGUUUAAAUACACUUAUGUUAUUAUUCAAAGCUAAAUAUCAAUGAUUGGGGUAAAGAAAGAGGAAUAUCUCAUCAUGAUUAAAAAAAUAUUUACCUCGAUGUUGCUUGCAUCCCACAUUGGUUGCCUGCAACUAUUUUGAUCAUCUAACAUAUCUCCAGCCCGCUUGUUACAAUGAAAAGGUGAUAAAUCACUGGUUUUUGUUAUGUAUCUUUCAGAACUGUUUGUUUUGGUUCUCCUUUUUCCUUGCCAGAGCUGCCUUUAGAGUAGCAAUCUGAAAUAAUAGUUCAAAGUUUUCAGAAGAAUAAAUAAGAAUUGAGAAGAAUGAUAAAUAAUGAGAGCAUUCAGAACCUGUUCUUUCAGCUCUUUCACAUCUACACUAUCCUUGUUUACACGAGUAGCACUAAGUUCUACCGUGGCAAAUUGCUCUGCAAAUUUAACUGUGCUAAUUGUUUCUCCAUCCGCAUCCAGUUCAGGGCUAAUGUGAACAAACAUUAGUGUCUUAGCUUGCCCCCUUAAAGAGAAUUACAAUCUAAAAGCCAUAUUAUAAUUUUAAAAAUAAAAUUAAAGAAAACAGAAUCAAAUAUGAAGUUCAUACUCUGAAAAUACAUUAGUUUAUUCUUACCAAGUGAGUCUUGAAGAAGUUCUGUUAGUUUACUAUUCCUAUAAGGGACAUGUGGACUCUUCUGGGCAAGGGAAGAGAUGACAUCCCCUAGAGCAGAGAGAGAUCUGUUAAUAUGAUGUUCCUCCUUUAGUCUAUCUCCAGUGACCUCAGAUUUGUCUACUCUCCCACUGUCGGCCAGAUCAACAAGAUGCAUACAGCCAUGAAGAAUAGUUCCUGACAUCAAGUCUCUUCCCUGAACAUGAACAGUUAGGCAUAUGCAAGUUGAUUGAAAAUCAAGUGAGCAAAACCAAUAGAGAUUACUAAAAGAGUAUUCCUAGAUAAAUAUAUAAAGGAAUAUGAUCAUACCUAUGAGAGCAACUAUUAUGGUUUCAUAUGUUCACAAGUGGUAGAGAACCAGGGUUUUAAUUUCUAUGCAAUUUUGAAAAUUCAUUCUAAUAAUAUUUAAUUCUCCCUGUUUACUUACAAUGCAAUGACAAUCAACUUAAGUCAAAAAGCAGUCAAACUCCUACUAAUCCCAUAAUCCCAGUGUUCAUUUCCGCAUGUGGCACCAUAAAAAAACAUUUAAAGAAGUACGUUUGUCCACCAUAAAUUACAUACAAAUGUGCUAACUUUAUACAGUCUCGUCACAAAUUACAAUCCCCAUUAAUCCAUUCAGACACGGUCUUGGUGUGCAUUUUGUGCUGAAAACAACAUACUCCCCAUAAUCUUCAACCUAUAAUGUUUCAAUUUCCCCUGCAUUCAUUCAAGUUGAUAGCAACAAAUCAGCAAAUUAAUUAAUUAGGCUUUUGUAACUAUUUUAACAUUAAUGAGAUAGUCAUAGAUAAUUCCUCCUAUGUACCACAUCGAUUGAUUUGGAGAACCUGCCCAUUGACCACAACUCCAUGAAUUUCAUUACAAAAACUCCGCAAUCGUGCCUACGUCAAUAUCAUUAUCAAAACGUUAUUAAGUAUGGAAUUAUAAAUAAGAGAGGAACUUAAAAUAAGUUGCAAUCCAUUUUAACAUCAUCCCGGACUGCAAGGUCAAUACUCACUCAUUAGGUUGGAGAGGUACAUCAGGUGUUAGGAAAUUGAAUGUCCUCAAAUCAUAAGGUGAUACCUCUUUUUUUUUUGUGCAGCCAACCAUAGGACAACCUUAGCCUGAAACAUUUAUUAACACAACAAUUGAAAUUUUUAUGGGAAGACAUACUUAACAAAUUAUUAGUUGUUACUUGUUACUUUACCAAAUUUUGUUGAAUUCCACUCAAAGUUGUCUUCUUCCUACCAGGACAAGAAUCUAGCAAUUGGAUUCUCUUGUUUGAUAGGUCAUAUAUGCACAGUGUCCAAUGGUUCUUUAUGAGAACCGGUAAGAAGACCUACACCAAUAGACUGCCAUUAAACAUACAUUUAAAUAUUGUACCUUCAUGCAAUAAAAAUACAAAUCCAAGCAUUAAACACAGGAAUCCACCUUGUUAACAUUGACAUAUGGAAUAUCCAUCUGAUACACAUGUGGUUCAAAGCGUCCUAUAACUGCCUCCCUCACUAAGUGUUUUGCCUAGGAGUGGAUUACCAUUUCCUGCAUAUCAAAUAGGGGAUAACAUCAGGUUUGUCAUUGUAGGUAAUGCCUGGUUCAAGACAUGAAAUAAAGUUAAGCAAUGAUUUAAUGGAAUAGUCAUCAUUACAGCUAUGUAGGGGGAUAGAAACAGUUUCGUCUUCGGUUUAUGUUCAUACUGCAACAAUCUACAGUAGGCAUCGACGACCUGAUUUUGUAGAUCAUAAAAGUGUAAGCAACUAAUUAUAUUAAAGCCACACUUUCACUUUCAAACUUAAAAUAAUGCAUAAAGAGGGAUAAGAAGUCAUAUGCACGUCGUUCCCUAUCCAACCAUUCCCUUCGAAACAGCCCAAAUUGCCUCUGGUUAGGAUAGUGUCAUGCAUAGACACUAGUUCCUCACUAUUGCAAACACAUACAAUUUAGUUUUUGUGUUAUCACUAUCAUACAAUGAGAUGAGUGUCUCUGAAGUAUGUUACCUAGCAUCCAAAUCCUCUCUAAAUACCAGUGCAGCUGCUUGUUUUAAGUCCAUUCUGAUGGCAGAUUGUUUAGUUUGUGGUUGGGAUAUGUAUGGGGACAACAGGUUUGGAGCCAUUCAACGCACUCGUCGUCUCUAGACGUUCCUAUUUGUGGGGACAACAUUACCUUUUGGUUCUUCUUCACCAUCUGCAAUACGAGAUUUAGAACUAGUCAGCAAAGGUAUACAUUAUGAUUGAGUACUUGAGUUGUUAACCAUAUGGGUGUUUGCAUAAAUUUUAUCACUUACCGCUUACUACAUUAAUGGGUACACUGGGCUGCAACUCAAACUCAGGGGCAACAACGCGAUCUGGUGUGUCUAUCACAUGGUCUGCAGCAUGUGAAGCCAUGUACUCAUCACCAAGAAAUGCAUGGUCAUCGACUGUGGGAGUGUUGGCUGGUGCAUCGCCAGAGUGACCACCAGCAUCUGAAUUUACCCCACUAUGUCUUCGAGCCCCUAACUUAUGCAUAAGGCCACGCAUUAUUCUCAGCUGCUACUGAAUGCCCCAUUGAUAUUGGUCGAUUGCUCGUUCCGCAUCAUGAUAUUGAUGUCAUUUUUCCUAUCACAUGAUAUUGAUGUCAAUCUUUGAGCACAAAAUAUCACAACAACAUAUUUCUUUAUAGUUAAGAAUCAAAAAUAAAUUACAAUGACAAUGAAAUGAACAUUUAUUAAUUUUUUUAAAAAUUAACAGCUUACAUCACUAUUUUCAGCAUCAACAUUUGUGUCAUGGUCCACAUUAGUCUCUACCUCCAUAGUUCUUUCUACAGUUGGAGAUCUCUAGGACGCCUAUAAUUAGCAUUGAAGAUUAGUAAUUAAAUAAUGAGUGUUAUGCUAGUAAUGACAAUAUAUUUAUGCAUGCAUCACUUACAAAAUCAACCUCAGCAUGUCCGAAUGCUCCAAACUCCUUUAUCUUAACGACUAGUCGCCGCUUAAUCAAAUCAUCAGUCCAUGUCAAUGCUAGGGGCACUAUAAUGGGGACUUGAACUGAAGGAAUUUGGAAUUUAAUGACAUAAUGCAGCUGCAUAAUAAAUACAAACAUCAGUAGGCAAAUGUUACUUAGUUGUGCAAUAAAAUUAUAUAAAAAAAUGGAAGACAAAUACUGAAUAAGUUCAUUACCUGUAGAAAUAAAACACAGCCAUGUACCCAAGAGGUGUUAGACUGUUGGUAUCGCCUAAUUCCCUUAACCAGUUGGUCAAGCACAAACUAGGCCCAAUUAACGUCAUUUCAGAAUCCAUCCUCAUGGAUGGUAUGCCACAAGUUACGGCAACCAUUGAGCCUAGACGUGGGGGCCAACAAUGUGGCACAUGCGUAGUAAAUGAAUGCUCUACGAAACUCCUCGCCUACAGGUAAGUUCAGGAGUUUCUCCUUGCAUGCCCGAAUAGUCCUAAAUGGAUGCUCUGAUGAUGUAAAGGUCACCUGCAGAAUCCGCCCUUCUGUUGGGAGGCCGAAAAUGAGGCCAACAUUGAUGGCUGUAACAGGAUAGUGUUUCUAAGCUGAGAACUCUAUCCGUCUAAAUCCAACAUUGAAAUGUUGGAUUAGAAAGAUACAGAUGUUGUGGCGCACCUCUGUGCAAUUUAAGUUUAAGAGACCUCCAAAUUGGAGGUCUCUUAUGGCUUGUAUUUUUUCCUCUGGUAAACGGUUGCAGAGUUUCUUAAAUCGUGCAGUUGAGCAUCGUGUAAACAUUGAUGGGCCCUGCAUGCAAUGUUUGACAACAUGGCCAUGUUAGGAAUAGCAACAUCAUUGCAGUUGGUAAUGCAAAAAAUAAGUGAAAAAGUAAAGAUGUCAUUUCUCAUAGUUACAAAGACUUGUUUGCUUGUAUUUAGAAAUAAUAUACAGCAGGGUAAGACAUGAGAUGGGGUUAGGUGCUAUUGACAGUGAGAUAUCCUAUAAGAGAGAGGAUUGUUAGUUUAUGAAUAAGCUUAUAUAGAAUAGACAAUAACAGUAAAACUGUACAGAAUAGACUAUAAAAGUACAAAAAUAAAUAUGGGAAUAUUACAUGAUAUAUAAAAGAAGGAAAUCAAGUCAAUUUAUGGAAAUAAAUUGACUAAUUCUAUUAGAGAAAGAAACCAUAAACAAAUCAAUGAAUAAUCCUAUUUAAUUCCCAUUUAGAUUGUAAGACAACUUGAUAGAACCAAAAUCAUUGGUAAUGAAUUUGUGAUCUUCAACAACAAUGAACAAAUGGAGUAAACAGAAAAUGCUAUGGAAAAGUAGAUUUCUUUCAUUGCCUUAACAUGGUUACAAUAAAAUGCUUGAGAAGGUGGAAAUAAAAGCUCACUAACUCAAAGGCCUUUUCUUCGUAUUCCCUCGCACACACUAGGUUUUGUGUCAGGAAUAAUCUUUGCAAUAAUUGUAUUCCCCCAAGUGUUUUCCACUAUACCUAACAACAUACUGGUUGCUAAGGGCCUUGCAUUCAUGGAUGUGAGCAAGGAAAAAAACUUAAAGAGAUCUCUUUGUUUUCCCUGUUCUUUUCAUUCUUCUGGCUAUUUAAAAGGGGUCUAACCUGCUCCUUUUGAUACUUCUGACAGACACAAAAUCUUGAGGAACUACUAGAGCAAGCACUUUGCUAUUGCCAUUGAACAUGGACAAGGUUUGGAAUCCAAGCUUCCGUUGAGAGUAUUCCCACAUGGUAAUUACUAUCAUUGAAUAAUUGUACACUAUCUUCUAAUACCAUGAAUCAUGUGUUCGGCCGAAGUUAAUUCAUACCUAAGUUGUUAGCUGAGUGAGGAUCCAUGGGAAAAUAAAUGAAAACUAGGACUCUAAAUCUAAACUUCUGAAAGUUUUGAGGCUUGAAUCUGAUUCACUGGGCAUAAUAAUCUAAAAUUUGCAAAAUAGAGGAAGUGGUCAUUUCAAAUUAGGUACUGAUACAAUAUGAACUGCUACUACAUAAUUUUUUGUAGAAUAGUAAACAAAGAGUAUCUUUGCCCUUGAAAACAAGAAUAAAUAAGGUGAAUCCAUGAGUCUUGGAGAAUUAAAUGAAUGAAGAGGAGUUUGGAAACCAUAAACUCCAACUGGUAGAUGGCCAAUACAACAAGAACAUCAACUAAGGUAAUAAACAUCAAACAUAGUUUCAAGUAGAGGUUAUGACACUGCUUGUUACACUUGAAACUUCAUCAGCAGUUCUCCUUCAUUACCACAACAGUUUAACUAGCAUUAAGUUAUGUUUUAUGCCAAUGCAUCAGUCUUAAAACCAAAACAUAGUUCACAACAUACACUUAUAAUAUCCUGCUUAAUUACAAGUUUUUUGUUUGCCUAAGAAAUCAAAAUUUUAAUAUCAGGCAGGACUCGACUAGAGUUUCAACAGCUUGGUUGCAUACCCAUUUACAGAUGCCAAAUUAUUAGAUAUUUGAGAAUAUUCUGAGGCUUUAAUUUCAAGACUUAAACUUCAAGAAUUACAAAAAUCUUUAGAGAGAGAGGACUUAAUUAUUUGGACAAUAUUUACAACAACAAUAAUAAUCAUCAUCAUCAUGAAGAUUGAUGUUUCAGUUCUAAUGUUUCAGUCAGUUCAUGCACCAAAUCUUCUAUCAAUUUCACAUGGAGCCGACCUAUUCAUCCACAUUCACAUUUGGUUGAGCGAGAUAUUGGUCCAACACAUUAAAAUACUGCCCCAAAAGGAGAAUUUCUGCCUUAUCGCCCUGGAAUCCCAACUAUUUAAUUGAAUUUUUUUUGAGGUACAAGUCAAGAAAACUUCUGCAAGGGAUUACAAUCAUAUGUGCCAGAUUUUCACAGAGAGCACCAUUUCAUAUGUUUUAAAGGCUGGAUAUACAGUUGAGAGAAUUAGAGUGCGUUUGGAAAUGUUUUUUCUCGAAGUGUAAUUAAAUAAAAAGUUUUCCUUUCUCAUAGAUUAAAAACAUAAAAUAUGAAAUUUUUGAUAAAAUGGAAACCACUAUUUGGGGUGGGUAAGAAUAGCUAAGAGAUUGUAUGCAACAAAAAUCAUGAAGUUAGCUCAAAAUGGGAAUGAAAUUUUUAUUCCAUUAUAGAGUAUUAAGUGCAACCAAAUAUUGAAAUGAAUCUUUGUUAAGAUUUUCUAGAUACCAUUCCAUUCUUAGCAAAGGAACAGUCUUAUUAAUUCUAAAGUAAGUGUUAAGUACCUAAAGGAGAACAAAAAUAAUAUAAAAGAAAAAAAUUUUAAGAAAAUAAAUUGUAAACAUUUAUUUAUCUUCUUUUCCUUGAUUUUCUUAGCAAUCAAAUAAGAAAACAAUUUUAUAAAGUUAGAAAUAGAAAAUAUGAAAUUAAUAAAAUUGAAAACAUUAUUUAGAGGUGGAAUGAGAAAAACUUAGAGAUGUUGAUGAAAUAAAAAUAAUGAAUUAAAUUAACAUAAAAUUGGAAUGAAAUGUUCAUUGCAAUUCAACUUAUUAAAGUACAACAAAUAUUAGAAUGAAUAUUCAUUACCAUUCUAUAACUAGGAAACAAACACAAGACGAACUGAAUGCCUCAAGCAACAUCAACUAUCCAUUAGUUUGAUUUCCAGAAACUAGAAAUCCAAGAUUCACCUAGGAAAGUGUAAGAAGUGAUCUGAAGUAAAUAGAAAUCUUUAGUGCCAGUUAGAAAGUGAGGCUACUAGAUUAGCAGUAAUCUCUAUAUCUGAGCAGCUCUUGACAGUGAACCGAAGUUGAGCGUAAAAAAUAACUCUUGGUCCGUAUAGAAAAUCAAAUUUCAUUUUUUCACUCAAAUAAGCUAAACAAAGGCCAAAGAGGAAAAUAAACACAAUCAAAUUUCAUUCAUUUGGAGAUUUAAAAUUUGGGGAAAGAGACUCACUUCCUAGGGUUAUUUAUCAUUAGUCUCUGACAUGCAAUUUUGAUUCGAGUAUGGCAAGGAUUUCGGUGAGCGAGUUGGUUGUUCAUCAGCAAUCUAGUUGCUGACUCAGCUCCUAAGGUUUUAUGCCUUUGGAAGAAGAGUUCAAUGGCCAUCACUAGCAACGUCUCUCAACAUUGAGGGUUGAAAAGAGUGAAUAGAAGAAAAAUGUCAAACAAUUAGUAAGAAAACAAAAUCACAAGUCAUUUGAAGAUUCUCACCAGUGGGUUCUUAAUAGUUUAAAGUAAGGAAGUGGCUCUUAGUGGGUUAUUGGCUAAAACUGGGGCUACCUAGUAAAACCUGUUGAACCGAUUCCAAACCGGUUCAACCGAUUGAGAAAAAUUCUAAAAUUUAACAAAAGAUUCCUCGAAGAAUAAGGAAUCCAACAAAACAAAAAAAACAGCGCUCAAUUUCGAGCUUGGAUGAGGGAGAACCGGUCAAAACAAUGCAAUGUGUUUAUAAAACGGGGCUGCUUAGCAAAACCUGUUUAACCGGUUCCCAAACGGUCCAACCGAUUGAGAAAAAUUCUAAAAAUUUACCAGAAGAUUCCUCGAAGAAUAAAUAAUCCAACAAAAAAACGACACUCAAUUCUGAGCUCGAAUGAGGGAGAAUCGACUAAAACAAUGCAAUGUGUUUAUAAAACGAGGCUGCCUAGCAGAACCUAUUGAACUGGCUCCCAACCGAUUCAACUGAUUGAGAAAAUUUUUGAAACUUUACUAGAAGAUUCCUCGAAGAAUAAGGAAUCCAAAAAAAAAUGAAUCUCAAUUCCGAGCCUGGAUGGGGGAGAACCGGCCGAAACAAUGCAAUGUGUUUAUAAAAUGGGGUUGCCUAGCAGAACCUGCUGAAUCGGUUCCCAACCAGUACAAUCAAUUAAGAAAAAUUAUGAAACUUUACCAAUAGAUUCCUAAAAAGAAUAAGGAAUCCAACAAAAAAAACGACGCUCAAUUCCAAGCCCGGAUGAGGGAGAAUCGGCUGAAACAAUGCAAUGUGUUUAUAAAAUGGGGUUGCCUAGCAGAACCUAUUGAACCGGUUCCUAACCGGUACAACCGAUUGAGAAAAAUUCUGAAACUUUACAAGUAGAUUCUCAACCGACAAAACAGCCUCCAUACCAUACACUAAAGAGUAAGGUGUAGCUCCUAUGGAGGUGCGAAAAGAGGUACAGUAUGCCCACAAUGCAAAAGGAAGUUUCUCUGACUAAUCUCGAGAAGUUUCAGUCAUCAUCCUGAAAAUUCUCUUAAUAUUCUUAUUCGCAGCCUCUACUGCCCUGUUGGUCUGUGGCCUAUAUGCUGAAGAUCUAUGAUGUCGGAUGUCAUACUUUUGCAACAAAGUAUCUACCUCAACUGGGAAGUGCACCCCUCUAUCUGAAAUUAAUUCAUGGGGAACCCCAUAGCGGCAAAUGAUGUGUGACCUGAUGAAACUAGCAACCCUAGCAAAUGUCAAAGAAUAAGGAAUCCAAAAAAAAAAAAAAAAAAACGGCGCUCAAUUCCGAGCUCGGAUGAGGGAGAACCGGCCAAAACAAUGCAAUGUGUUCCUUGUAGAAGGCCAAACCCGAACCACCCAACCUUAUUAAAACUAAGGCCACGGAUCUCAUUAAACAACCAACAAUGCAGCCUCCCUGAACUCAAGAAACCCAACUGGAAAUUCAGCCACACAGACAUCCACAUGCGGCCACCUAAAUCUCCUGAAACCAAACUGAAAUUUCAUUCACUUGAAGCCUUCCACCUACAGCUACUUAAAUCCCAUGGAACAAACUGAAAUUUCAGCCUCCUAUAGCCUAUGAAUCCAGUUGAAAUUCAGCCACCUAUAGCCCCCUCUCCCCAAUACAACUACUGGAAUCACCAAGAAGCAAACCGAAAUUUCAGCCACAUGGGGCCUCUACAUAUAGCCACAAGACCCAGGGUUUAAGUCCAGAUUAUUGAUGGGUAGCCCCAAAUUUAAAAAACAGAGAAGGUCAUGGAGACCCUUUCUCAAUACAAAGCAAAGGAGGUUUCAAGAAAAACCAAGUGGCAGAAAUGCCCAUACCAACAUAGCCACCUGAAUCUAGCAUUUAAGAAGUUCCUCAAUCCAAAGCUACAAGGCCAUAAGAAUCCUUCCCUUAACAAUCAAAAGGUCACAAUGACCUUCAACCAAAACCAAAACUAAUGAAGGCAGUGACCCUAUUACUCACACAUCAAAAGUAGGUCACACACCCCCCAAUUCUUUAUCAGAACCAACCCAAAAUGAGACAUCCACAACUAACAUAAAAAAUGAAACAUGCAAUAGUUACAUAUCAAGAGCAUCCAUAAAGCUUACCAGAUUGUUCUCCCCUCAAGCAGAAAUUUGCUUGGCUUCAAGGCCGUCUUUCCUUCAAGUUCUCACCAAUCAAGAGCUCCUUACUCUCUUCCCUCUUUGCUCACUUCACGUGCACCCAAAACUUUCUUAAAUGCUCAAAACCUUCUCCACACUCUGUUCUUUUCCCUCACCAAACUUGGACAAAGUUUUGUCCCUUAGAAAAAAAUGCAAAGGAAAAGGUCCUUCUCUAUUUCCAUUUUGCCUUUUUAUACCAGAACCCCUGCUCCUCCCACUUCCACCUUCGUUUUUCCCUCUUUUAGCUCUGGAAAGUGCCCCCAUCAACCUCGGAAUCCAUCUCCAUAAACACUCCUCACAGUCACGAGGUGAGCUGUUCUCUCCACAUUUACUCCAUUGCUUCACCACCAAGAAUCCAUAUGGAUUCAUGGUGGGCUAUAAGGAACCUAAACCAAGGCUCAAAAUGGACCCAAAAUAUUUCCCAAGACCGAUUUGGAGCUUAUGGGCCCUAGUCAUGUAGGAUUUGGGCCCCAAAAUCAGUGCUCUAUACAAGUUGGCCCAACGAAUUGGUUGAACCAGUUGAUAAAAAAAUUGAAAUUUUGACAGAAUAUUCCUUGAAGAACAAGGAGUCCAUAAAAAAAAUGGUGUGUGAUUCUGAGUUCGGAUGAGGAAGAUAUGAUCGAAACAAGCUCAAGUGCUCCGUAUUCGAACCUGCUCCUAUGAACUCUGGCUAAACUAAAGAUUUGGGGAGAUCUCACUUCCUUCUUUUAGCAUGAUGUGAAAAACUAAGGAAUUGGUCAUGACAACACUCCAAAAUGAACUACACACUCACACUACAUUGGANNNNNNNNNNNNNNNNNNNNNNNNNNNNNNNNNNNNNNNNNNNNNNNNNNNNNNNNNNNNNNNNNNNNNNNNNNNNNNNNNNNNNNNNNNNNNNNNNNNNUGACAACACUCCAAAAUGAACUACACACUCACACUACAUUGGACCGCAGAUGAACCUACACAAGGCUCGAAAAUCGAUCAAGCCCAAAAGGGGGUCAUGGUGGUGCCAUAAGGAAAAAAUUGGGUGCAUGUGACAUCCCUAAGAUAAAUGCAAGUGUCGAAGGACAAAAUUGAGGGUCUACAGUAUUACAUUUUUCAAAGAGAUUAUGGAUGUCAUGGAAAACUCUUUAAAGAUCUCAAAUUUAUCAAAUAAUCAAUGGCUCGAUGAUAAUACACUGUUGUUGAUUCCAAGAUUUUCAAAUCCGAGUGGGCUGAUGGUGACUCACAAAACUGUUCUUCAAUUCUGUGGUUCAAAUUAGUGGACUUCUUUAAACCACCUUUCAAAUUGGACAGUUGCAUAGAGGACAAAACUGCUUUUGAUGGAUUUAAAGCUCUUCAAAUCCAUGAACUUCAAAGGUUUUUAGAUUCGUCCUCAAAGCCUAUAUAAGGCCCCUAUUUCUCUUUAGAAGGCAUCAACAUUUUAGUAGGAAAAUUGAGAGCAAACAAGUGAGAUAUCCUCUUGAGUGAAUGACCUUGUAAUUGAGAAAACUCAAAACUCUCAAAGUGUUUGUAAGGCAAUGUUUGGGCCUCAAAUGAAAUGGUAGCAAGGGAGAAAAUCAGGAAAGAGAAAAACAACCAAUGUCUAGGGCUAAAACCAAAUGCUUUGGAGGUAGUAAAAUUAGGGUAGGAUACGUGGAAUUCCAACUUAGAUUUUUGUGAUUUUGUUUUUUCAUAAUCAGUAAAGGCCAUUUUCGAAAAUAUUAAAAAUUCAUAUUCUUCUUCUCAAUUUUGACACUUCCUUUAGGUCUUAGGCUUAAAUGACGAGAACUUAUAUGGACCAAAGAUUAAUUUUUGGGCCUAGCUGGAUCCAAAACACAAUUCUCCCUAUAUUAUGUACACCUGAAACAUUUUUCAAAUUAAUUUUAUGAACUAAUUUUGAAAUAUAUCUUCAUAGCAUCUACACAAAGCAUAUAUAUUGUGUAUGUACUAUUAAUAAAAAUUUGUUUACAUGAAAUUAAAAAUAAUCAUGUUUUAAAAUAAAUAAAAAAAUUAUAUAUGAAAACCUAAGAAUAUACUAUUAUUUCAAUAGAGAUAAAAUUGUUAAAAUACUAAUAAAUUAAAUAUCUUAAAUUGAUAAAUUAUAUGAAUAAAUAAGAAAAGAAAAAAAAAAUAUAAAAAAACAACAUGCAAACAUGUGAAACUAAAAAGUUCAAAGGCAUGAAAUUCAAUAUGGCAAAAAUUCAAAAAAAUGGAACCACAUUUGCAUUUUUAACUUCAUACAUUUACAUUUAUUUUAUUUUAUUUUAAGUUUGUCUUAUUUAUAUGUUAUACAACUCUAUUAUUUUUAAAUUAUUAAUUUAUUGAUAAAUAAAAUAGUAAUUAUUAUUAUUAUCAAUUUAUUUUUGUUUAAGUAAUACUAGAUCCUUAAGUUUACAUGUAUAAUAUUUUUAUCAUUAAAGUAUAUAUUUUUAAUUUCAAUAAUAAUUUUUAAAAGCACUGAAACUUCAAUAGUGAAGUCUUAUUUGGCAAUUACAACAUUAUAAAAAUGAAUUCACAUCUGGCAAUUGAGGUUUUAACUUAAAUUUUUUUUAUAAAAAUGAUAACAUGGGUCCUCCAUGUCAACAAAAGGGGCAUUUUAGACAAAAGUUUAGGAAAGUGGUUAAAAUAAAAUUUUCCCCAUAAUAGGGCUAUUUUGGCCCAAAACACUUCAGAAAAAAAAAAAAAACUCCUAAAGUUUUUGUUCCUUUCUCAUUCUCAUUAAUGUCUAAUAUUGGAGCGAAAACAAAUGAUUAUUAAAACCUUAUAGUCCUAGGUACAUUCAAGCACAAGAAUCAAAAUCAUCAAAUCCAUUCCUAUUAAAAAAAAAUUGGGAUGAAAACAUAAUAUUGAUUCUCUUUCCCCAUUUUUAUGUACCAAACAUGGCCUAAACAUGUGAGAUAAAGAAAAUGAUCAAGCUUCUUUAUUAUACAUGCUUUCUUAAAAGAAAAAAAAAAAGUAGGCAUUAAUUUUAUGCAUUGGUAAUGAUCAAAUUGAACCUAAAUAAAUCAAGUUUUAGGCAAACAUCUAAAUAAACUUGACUUUAUUAGCACAAACAUGAAAAUAUUUAAUAUGGGUUUAUAUAUCCAUGUGUAACAUGAUUGAAUUCUAUUCAAAUGUGUAAAAAUAAAUAAUUAAAUAAUUACAUACCUUUUUUUCCGACUUUGCUCAUGCCAUUAAGAUUUUUCACCCACGAAAAACAACCUAUAUUACAAAAAAUGAAACAAGAUGAGCAACAUUUUUAAUGCUAAAGCAAAUGUUAAAAUUAUAAAAUUAUUAUCAUUGGACACAUACUUUUUUAAACAUAUGAGCAAGCUAAUUGAAAAUAAUAAAUAUAAAAAACAAAGAUUUUUUAUAAUGCUUAUAAAUAAGUUAAAACAACAAAUAAAAAAAAUAUUAAUAUACUAAAAAAUCCAAGUUUAUGAAAGGUAUUAAGAAUCCAGUGUAUAAGUUGAACAAUUAAAUAGGAAUUUAAAAUUAAAAUAUUAUACCUUAAAUUGGAAAUAGCUAGAUACUUGGUGUUUAUCAGAAUCUUAUCUCUACCCUAUACAGAUCAUAAACAAAUUAAAGAAAAAAAAUAAAAUUAGAAGGAAAAAUAUACUAUAAGGCAUAUUUAUUUCGAGCCCAUCGAAAUACUGAGAGCAACCACUUUACAAAAUUGUAUUCAUGUCAUGUAACUCACUGUUUUUUCUCAAAAAAAGUUUUUUUUUUUUAUGAAAAAAAAAAAAAACAUACCUAAACUGUUGAUUGUCUUGAAGUAAUUCAAAGAAUAGCCCUCGAUGUAUCAUAAAUUCACAUUAAACCACAAAAUCAAAAGAUUGUAAAGCUAAGAAUAUAUAUACCUCCAGGGGAAGGAGCCAUUGAUGUUGAAAGCUUGUUCUUCAAAAGAGCUUUAAGAUGUGAUUGUAAAGCUAAGAAUAUAAAUUCACACUAAACGACCUUUCUCUGCAUCCAAUGUUUUGAUCCCCUCUCAAACAUUAACGCUAACCACUACCUCGGUAUAUGCUUCGGAUUUUUUCCAAGAAAGAAUGAAAGAGAGAUGCUUCUGAGAGGAGAGAGAGAGGACACAUUUGUAAAGUGGACGUAAUACAACCUCUACCAUUAUGGGAAAUGACACAUUUGUAGUAUCGGGGUUUGUGGUAUUGGAACUUUCAGAUAAGGAAUUUGAAAAUUUUUAAAUAUAUAAUUAAAAAAAAAAUAGUCGAAUAAGAAAGUCCUUUCAAUAUGAUCUUUAUGAAUAAUAAAGAAAUGUUUGCAUGAAGAUCAACUCAAUAUGAUCCGUAUGUUCUAAUUAAUUUUCUUUUUCUUUUUUUUUUUUCAUAUUAAUUUUAUUAUUAAUUCUACCACCAAUCCUGAGAAGAUCAAAAUUAAUUCCUACAAGCCUAAAUCAUUGAAAGACCUUUUCUCGAGAAAAGAGAGUUCAGAGAUAUUUAUGAACCGAGAGUGGAUACAGAAGACCCUUAUUGAAUGUAGGGUUUCUUUGAAAAGAGACGAAGUCGGUCAACAUCUCUGAAAAGUCUGAAUGGAGAGGACUCUGAGUUGAGUUGAUGGGGCAGCGGACCAGUUUAUUGGGACUUUAACAGAGAUAUUUUCUCUCUAUGACGCUGCCCUUUGAGCUGUCUCCACUUGCAACUUUUCUUUUGUACCAGACCAUCCUAACAAACAAAAAUUUAAAUUUAUAAAAUAUAACUAUUUAAAAUUAAUUAAUAAUUUACAUUUUUUAAUUAAAAUUACUACUUUUAAUGUUUAAUAACAGUUUUUUAAUGAUAUAAGUAUUAUUUUUUAUUAUAAUAAAUACUAUUUUUAAUUGAGGAGUAUAUAAAAUUUGAAUUAUUUAAAAAAAUUUUCUAUUUUAUAAAUAUUUUUAUAUAAAUACAUCAAAACUUUUUUUUAUUUUUUCAAAUGAAUAUAUAUACAUAUAUAUAUAUAUUUUUUAUUUUUUCAAAUGAAUAUAUAUACAUAUAUAUAUAUAUAUAUAUAUAUAUAUAUAUAUAUAUAUAUAUAUAUAUAUAUAUAUAAUUGAUUCUUUAAAAUAUUUUAGACAUUUUAAAAUUUUAUCCAAUUCCUUUUUAUAAAAAACCAUUUUUUAACAUUGAGGUCAUUUCCAAAACUACCCUCAAAUGUUAUUUCAUAUGUAAAACCAAUUCAAUCUUAUUUUAUGUAUUAAUUUUAUUUUAUGAGUUCAAAUAAUAAUAGCAUAAUAAUAUAUAUUAAGCUACAAUACUAAAAUAUUUUAAUUAACAUUAAUAUUUUAACAUUUUGGAUUGGAAAUGCUCUAAUGAAAGAUAUUUUGCUGCCCAUUGCAUUAAAACAAGCAUUUGACAAAACAUUUUAUCUUACAUAUUGGCACAACAAAAUUUCAUUAUAAAUCUACAAAAUAAUCCAUCACAAUGAAUAUGCAAACAUUUUCACCAUGAUUUCCAACCAUGUUUCCCUAUGAUCACUACUAUUUACGAGGAAAGAUUUAAAACUUGUUUGUCAAAAUUGAUUUAUUAAUUAUAGUUUUAAUUAAUAAUUAAUCAAUUAUUAAUUUAUUUUUUUUGUUAUAAAAAUUAUACUUCAAGGAUUUUAUUACAUGUUCAUGGUUUUACACUAUUCUAAAUAAAUCAAAAUUUAGGUAAAAUAAAUUCAUUUUUCUUAAGAUUUAAAUUAAAUACAAAUGCAGCUUAAAAUUCCACCCAUUACCUCCCUUAAAAUACUAUAACUAUUCAAGUUAUACACUACAAUCAAACAUAUUACAAAAAAAAAAAAAAAUCAUUAGUCAGAUUAAUUCAAGAGGUAGUGUAAAGCAUAGUAUGUUAAUUUUGACCAAGUGUUGCAUCCAAUUCUUAUACAAAAGUCUAUAUAUUACAAGAAAUUAAAGUGAGAAAAGGAUUAAAAGUUUAAAAACAUGGGAAUGAUAAACCCCAAGUAAAUAUCUAUUUGAAACCUUGUCAAAAUUUGCCUCAAGUUGACUUUUGAAUUAACUUUACUAUUAUAAUCACUACUACAAAAAUAAUAUAUGAUGUUACUAUUUAUGGUGUCGCAUUUAAAAUAAUGACACCAUUGAACUUAAAAUUUAUAAAGGUGACACAUCAUAUAAAAAAUCUUCAAUUAGGAUAGUUAGAUGAUGCUAAUUUCAGAUUUACGGUGUCAUUUUUUGGAAGUGACACCAUAUGAAAUAAAAAGUUUUAAAUUUUAUAACUCAAUGGGCCCUUUUUAAAAAUAGUGAGUAGGAACAAUUUAUGAAAAGUCCAUUGUUUCCAUAUAUACAUUAACUAAUAUAAAAGAUCUUGUUGCUUAACCCUAACCAUCGUUUUCUUCUCUUUCUUCUCACACCCAUGGUCGGCACACCCAUAAUUGAUAUUCUUUGCUUCGUAAAAUCUCGUGUAAGUCAAAUCUCUUAUCUAUCAUCUUCAUUUUUUUUUAUUAAUGCAAAAACUUUGUAGUAUAANNNNNNNNNNNNNNNNNNNNNNNNNNNNNNNNNNNNNNNNNNNNNNNNNNNNNNNNNNNNNNNNNNNNNNNNNNNNNNNNNNNNNNNNNNNNNNNNNNNNNNNNNNNNNNNNNNNNNNNNNNNNNNNNNNNNNNNNNNNNNNNNNNNNNNNNNNNNNNNNNNNNNNNNNNNNNNNNNNNNNNNNNNNNNNNNNNNNNNNNNNNNNNNNNNNNNNNNNNNNNNNNNNNNNNNNNNNNNNNNNNNNNNNNNNNNNNNNNNNNNNNNNNNNNNNNNNNNNNNNNNNNNNNNNNNNNNNNNNNNNNNNNNNNNNNNNNNNNNNNNNNNNNNNNNNNNNNNNNNNNNNNNNNNNNNNNNNNNNNNNNNNNNNNNNNNNNNNNNNNNNNNNNNNNNNNNNNNNNNNNNNNNNNNNNNNNNNNNNNNNNNNNNNNNNNNNNNNNNNNNNNNNNNNNNNNNNNNNNNNNNNNNNNNNNNNNNNNNNNNNNNNNNNNNNNNNNNNNNNNNNNNNNNNNNNNNNNNNNNNNNNNNNNNNNNNNNNNNNNNNNNNNNNNNNNNNNNNNNNNNNNNNNNNNNNNNNNNNNNNNNNNNNNNNNNNNNNNNNNNNNNNNNNNNNNNNNNNNNNNNNNNNNNNNNNNNNNNNNNNNNNNNNNNNNNNNNNNNNNNNNNNNNNNNNNNNNNNNNNNNNNNNNNNNNNNNNNNNNNNNNNNNNNNNNNNNNNNNNNNNNNNNNNNNNNNNNNNNNNNNNNNNNNNNNNNNNNNNNNNNNNNNNNNNNNNNNNNNNNNNNNNNNNNNNNNNNNNNNNNNNNNNNNNNNNNNNNNNNNNNNNNNNNNNNNNNNNNNNNNNNNNNNNNNNNNNNNNNNNNNNNNNNNNNNNNNNNNNNNNNNNNNNNNNNNNNNNNNNNNNNNNNNNNNNNNNNNNNNNNNNNNNNNNNNNNNNNNNNNNNNNNNNNNNNNNNNNNNNNNNNNNNNNNNNNNNNNNNNNNNNNNNNNNNNNNNNNNNNNNNNNNNNNNNNNNNNNNNNNNNNNNNNNNNNNNNNNNNNNNNNNNNNNNNNNNNNNNNNNNNNNNNNNNNNNNNNNNNNNNNNNNNNNNNNNNNNNNNNNNNNNNNNNNNNNNNNNNNNNNNNNNNNNNNNNNNNNNNNNNNNNNNNNNNNNNNNNNNNNNNNNNNNNNNNNNNNNNNNNNNNNNNNNNNNNNNNNNNNNNNNNNNNNNNNNNNNNNNNNNNNNNNNNNNNNNNNNNNNNNNNNNNNNNNNNNNNNNNNNNNNNNNNNNNNNNNNNNNNNNNNNNNNNNNNNNNNNNNNNNNNNNNNNNNNNNNNNNNNNNNNNNNNNNNNNNNNNNNNNNNNNNNNNNNNNNNNNNNNNNNNNNNNNNNNNNNNNNNNNNNNNNNNNNNNNNNNNNNNNNNNNNNNNNNNNNNNNNNNNNNNNNNNNNNNNNNNNNNNNNNNNNNNNNNNNNNNNNNNNNNNNNNNNNNNNNNNNNNNNNNNNNNNNNNNNNNNNNNNNNNNNNNNNNNNNNNNNNNNNNNNNNNNNNNNNNNNNNNNNNNNNNNNNNNNNNNNNNNNNNNNNNNNNNNNNNNNNNNNNNNNNNNNNNNNNNNNNNNNNNNNNNNNNNNNNNNNNNNNNNNNNNNNNNNNNNNNNNNNNNNNNNNNNNNNNNNNNNNNNNNNNNNNNNNNNNNNNNNNNNNNNNNNNNNNNNNNNNNNNNNNNNNNNNNNNNNNNNNNNNNNNNNNNNNNNNNNNNNNNNNNNNNNNNNNNNNNNNNNNNNNNNNNNNNNNNNNNNNNNNNNNNNNNNNNNNNNNNNNNNNNNNNNNNNNNNNNNNNNNNNNNNNNNNNNNNNNNNNNNNNNNNNNNNNNNNNNNNNNNNNNNNNNNNNNNNNNNNNNNNNNNNNNNNNNNNNNNNNNNNNNNNNNNNNNNNNNNNNNNNNNNNNNNNNNNNNNNNNNNNNNNNNNNNNNNNNNNNNNNNNNNNNNNNNNNNNNNNNNNNNNNNNNNNNNNNNNNNNNNNNNNNNNNNNNNNNNNNNNNNNNNNNNNNNNNNNNNNNNNNNNNNNNNNNNNNNNNNNNNNNNNNNNNNNNNNNNNNNNNNNNNNNNNNNNNNNNNNNNNNNNNNNNNNNNNNNNNNNNNNNNNNNNNNNNNNNNNNNNNNNNNNNNNNNNNNNNNNNNNNNNNNNNNNNNNNNNNNNNNNNNNNNNNNNNNNNNNNNNNNNNNNNNNNNNNNNNNNNNNNNNNNNNNNNNNNNNNNNNNNNNNNNNNNNNNNNNNNNNNNNNNNNNNNNNNNNNNNNNNNNNNNNNNNNNNNNNNNNNNNNNNNNNNNNNNNNNNNNNNNNNNNNNNNNNNNNNNNNNNNNNNNNNNNNNNNNNNNNNNNNNNNNNNNNNNNNNNNNNNNNNNNNNNNNNNNNNNNNNNNNNNNNNNNNNNNNNNNNNNNNNNNNNNNNNNNNNNNNNNNNNNNNNNNNNNNNNNNNNNNNNNNNNNNNNNNNNNNNNNNNNNNNNNNNNNNNNNNNNNNNNNNNNNNNNNNNNNNNNNNNNNNNNNNNNNNNNNNNNNNNNNNNNNNNNNNNNNNNNNNNNNNNNNNNNNNNNNNNNNNNNNNNNNNNNNNNNNNNNNNNNNNNNNNNNNNNNNNNNNNNNNNNNNNNNNNNNNNNNNNNNNNNNNNNNNNNNNNNNNNNNNNNNNNNNNNNNNNNNNNNNNNNNNNNNNNNNNNNNNNNNNNNNNNNNNNNNNNNNNNNNNNNNNNNNNNNNNNNNNNNNNNNNNNNNNNNNNNNNNNNNNNNNNNNNNNNNNNNNNNNNNNNNNNNNNNNNNNNNNNNNNNNNNNNNNNNNNNNNNNNNNNNNNNNNNNNNNNNNNNNNNNNNNNNNNNNNNNNNNNNNNNNNNNNNNNNNNNNNNNNNNNNNNNNNNNNNNNNNNNNNNNNNNNNNNNNNNNNNNNNNNNNNNNNNNNNNNNNNNNNNNNNNNNNNNNNNNNNNNNNNNNNNNNNNNNNNNNNNNNNNNNNNNNNNNNNNNNNNNNNNNNNNNNNNNNNNNNNNNNNNNNNNNNNNNNNNNNNNNNNNNNNNNNNNNNNNNNNNNNNNNNNNNNNNNNNNNNNNNNNNNNNNNNNNNNNNNNNNNNNNNNNNNNNNNNNNNNNNNNNNNNNNNNNNNNNNNNNNNNNNNNNNNNNNNNNNNNNNNNNNNNNNNNNNNNNNNNNNNNNNNNNNNNNNNNNNNNNNNNNNNNNNNNNNNNNNNNNNNNNNNNNNNNNNNNNNNNNNNNNNNNNNNNNNNNNNNNNNNNNNNNNNNNNNNNNNNNNNNNNNNNNNNNNNNNNNNNNNNNNNNNNNNNNNNNNNNNNNNNNNNNNNNNNNNNNNNNNNNNNNNNNNNNNNNNNNNNNNNNNNNNNNNNNNNNNNNNNNNNNNNNNNNNNNNNNNNNNNNNNNNNNNNNNNNNNNNNNNNNNNNNNNNNNNNNNNNNNNNNNNNNNNNNNNNNNNNNNNNNNNNNNNNNNNNNNNNNNNNNNNNNNNNNNNNNNNNNNNNNNNNNNNNNNNNNNNNNNNNNNNNNNNNNNNNNNNNNNNNNNNNNNNNNNNNNNNNNNNNNNNNNNNNNNNNNNNNNNNNNNNNNNNNNNNNNNNNNNNNNNNNNNNNNNNNNNNNNNNNNNNNNNNNNNNNNNNNNNNNNNNNNNNNNNNNNNNNNNNNNNNNNNNNNNNNNNNNNNNNNNNNNNNNNNNNNNNNNNNNNNNNNNNNNNNNNNNNNNNNNNNNNNNNNNNNNNNNNNNNNNNNNNNNNNNNNNNNNNNNNNNNNNNNNNNNNNNNNNNNNNNNNNNNNNNNNNNNNNNNNNNNNNNNNNNNNNNNNNNNNNNNNNNNNNNNNNNNNNNNNNNNNNNNNNNNNNNNNNNNNNNNNNNNNNNNNNNNNNNNNNNNNNNNNNNNNNNNNNNNNNNNNNNNNNNNNNNNNNNNNNNNNNNNNNNNNNNNNNNNNNNNNNNNNNNNNNNNNNNNNNNNNNNNNNNNNNNNNNNNNNNNNNNNUUGAUAUACAAAUAUUAUUGGAUGAUGUAAUAUGUUACAAAUUAAUUCAUAAGCAUUAUGAAAAUAUAAGUUAAAUGUAAUAUGAUUAUUAUAUUUAUGGACAAUUUACACAGGUUAGUCUUAUUUAUUAAUAAGCAUUACAAAAAUCUACAAACUAAUCAACAAAAAACAACCAUAUCUUCCAUAAUCAUUUACAAUGAUGUGACACCAUAAAUUAAAGGUGAUACAUUUAACGUGACACCAUAACUCAAAGAUGAUGCAUUUAAUAUGACACCUUAUAUAUUUCAUACAACUCUAUAUCAAAUUAAGCAUCACUAAAAAUAUAUGGUGUCUCUUCUAAAUGUGUCACCAUUUAUUUGCUUUGGUGUUGCUUCCAAAUACAUCACCAAUUGAUACCCUCUAUGGUGUCAGUGGAUAAGGUGACGCUAUGUUGUAGUGACACCCUAUGUUUAUAGUGACUUAUUAUAAAUGUCACCAUAUAUCUUUUUCCUUGUAGUGAAUGGAAGUAUAAAUUUUAAAAGGAUUCUCUGUGAUUAUAGGAUUUAAUUCUAAUACUCUUAUACGUAGCCAAGGGUCAUUGGACUCAUGGCAGCACACAAACAUAUCCCCUUGUAUCUAUGGAAAUUGACAUGCAAAAUACAAAUAUUUCCUCUUACAUCCCUAUUGUGUUAUAGCAUGAGUAUGAAUGUGUAUUGUCAUCUUAAGCAAACUAAUGUUGUUGCCAAUUUUUCUUGGACGCUUUUUUUAAAAAUAAAAAUAAAAUAAUGUAAGGCUAUAUAGCAGAUUCAAUUGAUAUUUUUUUCAUCUUGUCCUACAUAUGAAAAUUACAAGUAGUUCAAGAAUCCUUGUUGAAUGAAAUUGACUGAAAACAAAUCUUAUUUAUGUAAAUUCUCAAAUACUUACAACAAGAAGCCCAAACCCCCACCCCAUCUUCAUGAACUUCAUAACAAAAUACUAUAAUCCUCCCUAUGAAAUAGAACUAAUUAAUUUAAUAUCAAUAAAUCCAAAUUGCUUUCAACAUCAGGCACAAGGAGGGAUUUGAAAGUUUGUGGUUUUAUACAAUAGAACCAUCUAGAGGGAGGUUGAAUAGAUAAUCUUUUAUUAUUAGCUCAAAAACUUCAAUUUUUAUUUUAUUGUAUUGAGUUAUAUAAUUGUUAAUGUUUAAACAUCUUAUAUCGUAAAACUACUUGGAGGUGAUUUAGUGUCUUUAUGUAUUGGCAAUUCUAGGUUGAAAUUUUCAUUGUAUUCGCCUAACUCAGUUACUUCAAAUCCUUCUUCAAACUCUUGUCAUUCCUAAAUUGCUCAUAAUUGAAGAUUGUUAAAGGAGAUAGUUGGUGUUCUUGAGGCAAUUGAUGAUAUUAAACAUUGAUCAACCGAGUUUUAAACUUUUAUUCUUUUGCUGAAAAUUGGAGUUGAAGUUUAAGGAUAUCAAAUUUUGUAUUUAAAUUAUUUGGAUCAAUUACUAAUUGAUCAUGCUAAAAGGUAACAAUUUAUGUUGUAACAUGAAUUUUACAAUCUCAUCUUAUCUAUUAGAAUUUGAUCAAAUCUAUAAAAUCUUUAUUUUUUCCAAACAAAUCUGAGUUAUUAGAUGGAGAUUAAAACCUUAGUAUUUAAGCCCCUUUUUUUUAGAAAAGGCUUUAACAAUUGUAAGAGCUAGGUGGCUUUCUUGAGCUUCAAAUUCUUUAUCUAUUUUGGGAUGUUUGGUUUGAUUUUUUUUUUUAUUUUUUUUUUAUGGGUUUUAAGUUAAAAAUCUUUCAAAAUGAGUUGAUUCAAUAUAGGUUUCAUUCACACUCUUGCAUUUGUCAUCUUUAGGAUAAAAUCUAAAUUUCUUCUUAUGUAGGUUCAAGAAAAGGUCGAAAGUUUGGUGUGAACUUUAAGUAUGCUUUAAAAGAAGAAAGUGGGUAACUUAAGUUUGAAGGUACUAGGCAAACAAUUCCAAAGAGGAUUGAAGGUUUGAGUUAAGUAAAUCCUUGUAUUCAGUUUUUUUUUUCAUAGUGUUUGUUUUUUUUUAUCAUCUAUAGGCCUGUGAUAGUUUACCUAUUCAAAGGUUUUGUAUAUUAAAUCUUGUUGUUAUUAUCUCUUUAUUUCUAUCUUAUAUUUUCAUUAGUCUAUGUUGUGUCUAUGAAAGUUCCAUUGAUUUGUUAUAUAUGUUGGUUGAUUGAGAAAAUGAACUAAAAAAUGAUCAUUUAACCUUUGGCAUAGUAUGAAAUAAUUUAUGAUUUAGUAUUAAUGAGAAUUAAAACUUUGUAAAUUAUCAAAACUAUGUAGAUUUGAGCUCAGAUGUUGAAGCAUCUCUUAAAGGCAGUUGAGGUGCUCUCAACACUUGACUAUCACUUGAGCAUCUUUUUAAGACUCUAGGGUAUGCUUGAAGCUCAACUUCAAAAUUUUAUUUUUUGAUUAAAAUAAACACCUACUUUUUCAAUUUUCAUAUUGUCUACUUCAUGUAUUCUUAAAUCAUCAUUAUCCUUUUUGUAACUCCCAAUAUUUAUUAGCAUCUUUCUGAGUUGAUUCUACAACAAUCUUGCAUCUUCAAAAGAAGUGGAAGUCAAUGGAACCAAAUUGUCAACCUAAUCUAAAUAGAUUAAUGUACCAUCACUUUAAUUAGGAUAUAAUUAAUCAAUUAAAAAAAUAGCAUUUAAUCAUAUAAAGAAAUAUAUGAUUUAUGUGAAAAAACCACCAAUAAAGCAUCCUAGAGACCUUACAUAUAUAAAAGUCAUAGGGUUCAUAGAUUGUCAAGUUAAAUUCACUAAAUAUGAAGAAUAAGUACAUAGAUUUAGCUAGUAAUUAUUACUCUCCCUCAAACUUAUAUUGGUAGUCACCAAUUCUCAAUUCCAUAACAUAGUUACUUCCAUGCUGCUUAGUGGAUUGCUCAUGACCUUAAGGGAAUGUGAUAGACAAUGUGAACUAAAAACAAGGCAAGCUCAUUAAGAUGUUCCUUUUUAAUGCAUAAGGUGUGCAAUAAAAUGAGAUCGAGAAUCCUAUGCUUUGAGAGAAGGAUACUACAGUAAAAAAUGGUACCCAAAUACUAUUGAAUGACAACAUAGCUCUUGUUGCUCCUUUAUUUUUAUUUAUUUUAUUUUUUUAUUUUUGUAAUUAUCUCUUUUUUUGUUUUGAUAUCAACAUUAGAAAUAUAGAAGUCCAGAAAUUUUUUUUAGUGCUUGCAUAUUGAAGGUUCAUGCUAUAAGAGUUGGAAAAACUUGAAUAGAAACUCCCUUGAAUGAUGUAUCAAAGCUCAAUGUAUCAAUGUUAACAUAAACAUUUGAGUAGAGUAGGAUAACAUUUCUAUGUCAUAUGAAGAAAUAUACUAAAAGGGAACCAUGAAUACGAUUGGAGAAAUAUAUAUUAUAAUUUAGAGGAUUAUUAUGGUCUAUUGGUCAUAUUCAAAUGGAAGUAAUAUGGUAAUCAAUAUUUCCAUGUCAUUUGAAGAAACAUAAUAAGAGGGAACCAUGCAUGGAUAUGAUUUGAGAAAUAUAUAUUAUAAUUUAGAGGAUUACUACCUUAUAUUGGUUAUAUUCAAAUGAAAGUAAUAUGGUAAUCAAUAUGUAAUCGGUAAGAAAAUAGGUUAUGAACAAGUCAUAUUAUAACUACCUCAAAAAUCAAUAAUACAAGGAUGAAAGAGGUAUACUGAGGAAGGGUCACACCUAAAGGAUCACUUUAUUAGCACAAGUAGGAAAAUGUUAACAUAGGGUUAUGCAUUUAAGUGUAACAUGAUUGAAUUUUAUUACAAUGUCUAAAAUUUAAAUAAUUGCAUACCUCUUUUCUGAUUUUGCUCAUGCCAUUAAGAUUUUUUAUCCACAAGAAACAACCUAUAUUACAAAAAAUGGAAAAAUUAUUUUAGAAUAGUAAGAAAUUUAGGGUUCUUAUAAAUAAAAAAGAAUAUAAUUUUUUAAUACUUAAAAAAAAAAUUCCAAAGGUAAGAAUCUAAAAGCCUAUUUGAUUGUGUGAUUUAAAAACAAUUUUCUGUUUUUAAAAAUAGAAAAUUGUUUUUAAAAAUUUCUAAUUAACAUUGUUGGGUUGUCAUUCUCUAAAAACAAUUUUUAAAAACAAAGUGAAAUAGAUAAUAAUUUUUAGAGAAUAAAUAUGAAUUGUUUUCACUAGUUUUUACAAAUAAAAGAAAAAUGUGGAUUCAUUUGGGUUAUGUUUUUUUAAACUUGUUUUUUAUUCUUCAACUUAAAAAUAAUUUUUAAAAACAAAUUUAAGAAAAUAUGGCCAAAAAAACCCUAAAUGUUUACAGUAAUUUUCUAAUUUUUCAUCUCAUAAGCAAUCAAACUCUAACAUCUCACUAUUAACGUAUUAGAAAUGCAUUAUCAACUUUUUAAGUGAUACAACAUUUUGCAUAUUAAAGGGAAUGUAUAAUUAUAAAAUUAUUUUCAUAGGACAAAUACCUUUUUAAACAUAUGAGCAACCUAAUUCUGAAAAAGAGAAAAAAAGAAUGAUAAAGAGCACAAUAUUUUUUUUUUGUAUAGUGCUUAAAAAUUAGUUAAAACAACAAAUAAAAAAUAUUAAUUUACUGAAAGAUCUAAGUUUUUGAAACAUAUUAAGAAUCCAUUGUGUAAGUUGAACAAUUAAACAAGAAUUCAAAAUUAUCCUAUUGUAUUUUAAACUGGAAGUAGCUAGAUACUCACGAGGUUUAUCAAAAUCUUGUCUCUAUUCUCCAUAGAUCAUAAAUAAGUUAAAGAAAAAAUAAAACCAAGAAGAAAAAAAUACUAUAAGAUAUAUUUAUUCCAAGCUCGUCGAAAUACUGAGAGCACCCAUUUACAAAAUUGUAUUCCCGUCAUGUAACAAUUGAAUCCAACUCAUGUGACUCAUUGUUUUUUUUUUCUCAAAAACAAGUUUUUUUAAUUGCAAAAGAAAAAAGACUUAUCUGUUGAUGGUCUUGAAGUAAUUCAAAGGAUAGCCCUCAGAGGUAGGUACCAAAAACCACAAUAUCAAAAGAUGGUAAAACUAAUAAUAUAUGAAGAGUCGGUACAUUAAGUGAGAUUUUUUUAUAAGAGUACUGUAGUUUUAGAAAAUAAUUCUCAAACUACCGUAGUAGGAAAAAUAAUUCCAAAUCCACCGUAAUUUUUGUCAGGUAUGAAAGAUGAAUUUUUUUUUUAAAUCGUCUCUUCAAAAUACUAUUUAUAACAUUUUAAAAAAAAAUUUUAAAUCAUCUUUCUAAAAUAUGAGAAAUUGUCUCUUGAAAAUACAACUUUGGAAAAAAAAAAGAAGAUGAUUUUCAGAAGAAAGAAAAACUAAGAAGUAAUAAAUCAUCUCUUGAAAAGACGAUUUUUCACCAACAAUUUUCACAAAAAAAAAUUCAUAAAAAAAAGAAAAAGAGAAAACUUCAAAAAUCCAUUUUUCCAUUCCCUACUAUACUUAUACAAUAAUACAAUUAUUAUAAAUAUAUAUUAUAAAAUUAAUUAAUUUUAUUUACUAAAUUUAAUAUUUUUUCUAUUAUUUUUUUCUAAAAAAAAAAUUAUUAUUAAUUUAUUAAAAAAAUAAAAAAUUGAGAAAUUGUCUCUUGAAGAGACGAUUUUCACCAAAAAAUAAAAAAAAAGAAUAAAAAUAAAAAUUCAAAAAUCAAUUUUUCCAUUCUCUGUCAUACUUAUACAAUAAUAAAAUUAUUAUAAAUAUAUAUUAUAAAAUUAAUUAAUUUAUUUACUAAAUUUAAUAUAAGAUAAAUAAUAUUUAUCUAUUAUUCUUUUUUCUUUCAUUUUGGAAAAAAAAUAUUAUCAAUUUAUGUGAAAAAUGAGUUUAAAAAAUAAAUUUAUUAUUAAUUUAUUAAAUAAUUAUUUACAAAAUAAUUAAUUUUGUUUUUUUAUUUUAAAAUUAAUUUUAUUAUAUAAAUUUUAAAUUUUAAAAUAUUAAUCUUUAAGUUAAAAUUUUACUAUAAAAAAUGAAUAAUUUCACAUAUUUUUAGGCGAAUUUUACUUAUCAUAAGGCCUCCACUACACACAUCAUUUCCCCUAAUCCAAUAAUGCACUACACCCAUAGACCAUAGGAGAAUCUUACCUAGUACACUCUAUCACUUCAUACACUAUUACACUACAAUUCCAUUACAACACUCAACCAAUUUGACAAGAGUUUGAAGUAUUGUCAUUUCUUUUUAAAUGUUUAAAUACUCCACCAAUUUGAUCGUUUCAAGUAUUGUCAUUUCUUUUAAAACAUUCAAACGUGUGUAUAUAUAUAUAUAUACACACACCCCAUAUCCUACACACUAUACCCAUUCUACCUCUUCCCAACUUCACUUACAAUAUAAAUCAAUUUCAAACUUCUUCAUCCUCAUUUUCUCUUUCUUCCCCAUUUGAAACCAAGUUUUUCACUUUCCAUCGCUUUUAUCCAAAUCUCCCAUUUCUCUUUGUGGAACUUCUGGGUAUAUCUCCUAUUUUUUCUUCAAACACUCACACUGUUUAUCUUGAAAGGUAAUAUUUUUGCUUUAUUUUUAUUUCAAAUUAUUUUGUAAUAUAUGGUUUUUAUUAUUAUAUAAGUUUUAAAAUUUAUUUGGAUUAUGCAAUAUUUGUUUGAAUAAUAUUUAUUGGAAAUUAUUAUUUUAAAUAGAUUAAAUCAUUAAAAAAUAAAUAAAAGUUAUAUUAUUUUAUUUUUAGAUAAUAUUUUUGCCCUUGUUUCAUAUUUAUUUUGUAAUGCAUGAUGGAUAUUUAUUGUUAUACAUAUAUUAAUUUAUUGGAUUUAUGUUAAUUUUUUUAGAAUAUUAUUUGUUGUAAAUUAUCAUUAUAUAAUUCAAAAAAUAAAAGUGGUAUUAGUUUAUUUAAUUAAUAUGGAAUAAUAGGAUUAUUGAUUAUGUUUAUCAAUCAAAUAAUAUGUUUUAUAAAAUAAUAAAAUUAAAAAUUAAAAAGAAAAUAAAAUAUUAGUAAAAUGAGAAUGGAAAAUAAUAAUAAUAAAAUAAUUAUAUAUCUAUGUAUUUGCAUAAAAUAUUAUUUUAAAAAUAUUAAAGUCUAAAAAAUAGAAAUACAACAUUAUCUGACAUUAUGAAUUUAUUCUAUAUAUUUUUUUAAAAUUAAUGUUAGCCUUAAAUCAUUGAAAAAAUUGUUGUAAAAAUAAAAAUAUAAAUAAAAGUAGAAGUAAAACUAAAAUGUUAUUUGAUAUAUUUAAAUGAAUAUUUAAAUGUAUAGAAUAUAAAAUAAAAAAGUAAUGGUGUAUAAUAUAAAAUAGUAACCGUGCGUAUUAAAUGUAUAUAAUAUGUAAAUUUAUAUUUAAAAUGUUAAAUAAUAGCCAUAUUGUGGAUCCCGCAUUUCGGCUCAUGCGAUUUCCACUCGAUGACAAGUUCGAUUUUUAUUCGAAAAUGAUUUUAUUUAUUAAAAAAAAAUAUGACUUGAAGUCGCUACUUAUUUUUGUUUUAUUUUUAAAAGGGUAAACAAAAUAAGAAAGAAAACCCUAAGCGUGACUCCUUAUUUUGGAAAAUGUGGUCUGUGAAAAACCGGAUCAGGCUCGGGGGUCAGGUUACUUAUUGGGAAGGUACGGUAAAGACCGUAGCACCCCUCUAAGUCCCUAAAGUCGGGUCUCUACUAAUAAAAUGAAGCUGACGUGGCAAUCAAUAGGAAAAUCAAUGGAUACUCAAAUUAAUCAUGCACAUAUGGGAAUCAAAAGCAUGCAUAGAGAAUGAACAGAACGGGAGUGGAUGCGUACUUGGAACAUGAACGAGCGAUACGUUAUCAUAAAAAUAGAGUCGGUGUACAAUAAAGAAUACAAAACAUGUCACAUGCAUUACCAAACAAUGAUUAAGCUGUUCGAGGGAGGAUUGAAAUUUAUUCGAGGAUUGGAGUCUUAGAGAUUAUUUAAAAAUCGAAUUUUUAGGAAUUAAAUAUAAGAAUGAGAAUUUUAGAAAUUAAAUUAGAAAUAAAUUGGGACUUCGAGAUUUAUUCGAGAAUUGGAGAUUUGCAAAAUAAAUUUAAGGACUGGAAUUUCUAAAAUUAAAUUUGAAAGAAAUUGGAACUUUGGAAAUUAUUUGGGAGUUUGGGAUUUUUAAGAAUUAUUUGAGAAUGAAUGAAAAUUCGAUUUGAAAGAAAUUAGAGUUUCAAAAUUUACUUGAAAGUGAAAUUUUAGAAAUUAAAUUCGGAAUUAUGGAAUUUUUGGAAAAUUAAGUCUUAAAAAUUUGAAUCUUGGAAAGUUAAAUUUAAAAUUAGAAUUUGAAAAUUAUUCCGAGAAUUGAAUUUUGAAGAAUUAAAUCUAAAAAUUGGAGCUUUGGAAAAUUAAAUUAAGAAUUUGAGUUUUGAAAAUCAACUUUAGAAAUUGAGGAUUCGAAAAAACAUUCAAAAGUGGAGACCUUGAAAAUUAGAUUUAAGAAAAGAAUUUUGAGAAAUUAAACUUUGGGAAUAAAGAUUUUGAAAGUUAAAUUCGAAAAUUAAAAAAAAAAAAUGGAAAGUUAAACCUUGAUAUCAAAGAGGAAGAAUUUGAAUAAAUGAAUAAAUAAACAAAUAUAUAUAUAUAUAUAUAUAUAUAUAUAUAAAAGAAUAAAAUGGAGGUGGUCGUUGGGGGUGCGGGCCAAGGGUGGCCCCGUGAAGUGACAUGAUCACCUCAUGAUUACCAUCUCCCUAAACUUUAAGCUCCGCCAUACCAAAUAACCGCAAUCAGUCCAACGGUCUCUGAUGAUCGAGAGUUGUUUCAUCAAGAGAGGGUAUUUCUCCAUUGAUUUUAGGAACAUGAGGAAUAGAGACCAUCUGAUUUAAUAUUUUGCCUACUUCACCAUCGAGUGCAUUCUCAUCUGUCAGAUCUAGAGAAUAUGACCAACCCUCCCCAUUGUGUGACUUUUCGUCAGGACUAGAACAUGAACUAGAAAGUCCCAUACCAUCUAUAUCUUUCUGGCCGCUCUCAUGCCUAAAUCCAUAAUUUUCCAUAGAUUGAUCGGGCCAUUCUUUUGGAAGAAUAGAUACUUGCAAAUCCUCUACCACUUCAUGUGAAAAUCUAGCUGUUUCGUCAAUAGCAAGUUGUGAUAGUUCUUCUUAAAGAGCAUGUUCGAUAAUCUCACCAUUCUCCGCAUUGCCACAUUCAUUAUCAUAACGAUCUUCCUUUAAAUGUUAUCCAUCAUAAUAACUUACAUCAUUUUGCACAAUGGUGCCACCAUACCCGCACUUAGAAAACGGAUCAUCAUCAGAAGCCGGAGACCCCACCGAACAACAAUAGGAUCUUGCCCACAUGCGAUCAUUUGCAAUGAUAUCAAUGUCGGCUGCAUUGAUCUUGACAGCAGCUAAUUCUUUCUCCUUCAUUCUCAUGGCAUUCUCGUUAGCAUCGGUCGACAUAAUGACAAUAAGCAGUUUUUGAGGUUCUUCUUGAAUUUUAUCAAGGAGAUAUCGUCCAUCCAUGCAGCUGCCCCAUUAUUUUACUUUGACCGGGACCUGAAAAACUUGCCUCACUAUUCAUUCCCGCAUNNNNNNNNNNNNNNNNNNNNNNNNNNNNNNNNNNNNNNNNNNNNNNNNNNNNNNNNNNNNNNNNNNNNNNNNNNNNNNNNNNNNNNNNNNNNNNNNNNNNCAAGCAUGACAAUAUUAAGAUCCAACUCUAGGUAUUGAUUCAAAAGUAGUGGCUUAGGAGGCAUCGAUAUUAUUUUGAGUGUAUGGAACGUUCUCAAAAGUGAACUAUGCCCACAGAUCGGAGUAACAAAACCUGUAUUAGGCAAUGCUGUCAGCUUGCAGGGAGUCUUUCAUGACUGCUUAAACUCGAAUUCGGGCAUCUUAAAGUACCACAACAUGGCCAUAGUUGAAACUCCCAAACCCGAAGAGAGUUAGUUGAGGUUCCAGAUAAAGAAAAUUGGUGCGCUUGAGCUCAUCAGGUGCAGAAGGUAUGACCUUAACCGAUUCGGUGGGUUUGGGGUUGUAAGGUUUAGUGGUUGGAAUGUUUUGGUAAGAAGAAUAGGAUGAGAGACUAGUUGAGCUAAGGGAUCAAAGUUGAGUUGUAUCUGAUGGGUGAUCCAGAUGACGGUUUUCUUCUUGUUAAGUGCAACAGAUGAAAAGUUGGAUGGGGUAUGAGGAGUAUUUGGCUUUUGGUUUAUGCUCGGUAUAGAACAAAUGUCAUGGGAAUGCGUUGAAAGGAUGCUAGGGAAUCGUACGUACGUGUACACAGCAUCUGCGUGGGAGGCUAGAGAAAUAAUGGGUGGGAAAAGAAAACGGGUCAAACGUAAGGGGUGAUUUGAAGAUAGUGAGAGAAUGAAAUAAGUGUGUAUGCUUGUGGUGGUUAUCGAAAAUGUGAGGGGUGGGGAGUGUGAUAGCUUCAAUGGGUAUGAGAAUAGGGAUAAGCCGACAGGGAGCACGAUAGAGGGUGGAUUUUGCAAAAGGUCUUGUGGGCCAUGCAAAGGUGGAAGAGAUGGGGUACAUGGUAGGUAUUGAAAAAUGGUGUGUGGUGUAGAGAGAUGAAACGGGAGGUGAGCAGUGAGUGGGAUGUAGGGGUAAAAGGGUGGCCAUGCACACAUGUGGAGUAAACCCAUCAAUAUUGCACUUCCCAAUUCAUCCCGUGGCCGAUGAAUACAACAUCCCGGUGCUACUUCUCAUACCCAUUUUGCAUUUUCUGAAUGUCAACACCUGAAUAUAGCUUUGAAUGCUGAAAAGGUGGCGACAAACACCCGAUCAUGAUAGGAUGAUGGCUCUGAAUGUCAAGCUGGGAAGGAAUGGUGGCUUUGAAGGCCCAAACCGAGAAGAUAUGGUGGCUUUGAAUGUCAAACUGCGGAGAAUGAUGGCUCUGAACGCCCGAAUGUGAGAACGACGGCUCCUUGAACGCCUGAAACUGUGAAGAGGUAGUGGCUCUGAACGUUGAACUAAAAAGAGAUGAUGGCUCUGAAUGUCGAAACUGAAGAUGCAAUGAUGAUGGCUCUGAACGCCGAAACUGAAAAUGUGACUCUUAACAUCAAAUUGAAAAUGCGAUGAUGGCUCUGAACGCCGAAACUGAGAAGCGACGAUGAUGGCUCUGAACGCCAAAACCAAAAAUGCGAUGAUGAUGGCUUAGAGUGCCGAAACUAAAAAUGCGACUCUGAACGUCAAGUUGAAAAUGUGAUGAUGAUGACUCUGAACACCAAAACUAAGAGGCGAUAAUGAUGGAUCUGAAUGCCGAAACCAAAAAUGCGAUGAUGAUGGCUCUGAACGCCGAAACUGAAAAUGCGACUCUGAACGUCAAGCUGAAAAUGUGAUGAUGAUGGCUCUGAACGCCGAAACUGAGAAGCGAUAAUGAUGGCUCCGAACGCUGAAAGAAAAAAUGAGAUGAUGAUGGCUCUGAACGCUGAAACUGAGAAGCGGUGAUGAUGGCUCUGAAUGCCAAAACGGAAAAUGAUAUAAUGACCCUGAAUGCCGAACUAUGAACAUGGCUUUGAAUGCCAAACUGCGAAUAAAUGGUGGCUUUGAACGCCAAACUAAAAAUAAUAGCCAUGAAUGCUAAGCAAAAACAACGGCUGUGAACGCCAAUGAUAACUAUGAAUGUCAAGCUGAGAAANNNNNNNNNNNNNNNNNNNNNNNNNNNNNNNNNNNNNNNNNNNNNNNNNNNNNNNNNNNNNNNNNNNNNNNNNNNNNNNNNNNNNNNNNNNNNNNNNNNNCAAAAACAACUGGCUGUGAACGCCAAUGAUAACUAUGAAUGUCAAGCUGAGAAAGACAACUUUAAACGUCGUAAUUGAGAGGACAUGGUGGCUUUGAACACCAGGCUGAAAAUGGAUGACUUUGAACAUCAUAACCGAUAAUGGAUGGUGGCUCUAAAUGCCAAACUGUAAGGAAAUGAUUAGGGGGGGGGGGGGGGGGGNNNNNNNNNNNNNNNNNNNNNNNNNNNNNNNNNNNNNNNNNNNNNNNNNNNNNNNNNNNNNNNNNNNNNNNNNNNNNNNNNNNNNNNNNNNNNNNNNNNNAGUCUCAUGACCCGCUCGAUGAAAUCACGAGGUUUGUCGGAGUGUCGCAAUAAGCCGAACUCCUCUAACUCAUAAUGCUCUGCCGAAAGAAUCUAUCGUCACCCCGAACGGAUAAUCCGAUAGUCUUAGGGAGUAGUCUGGUAAGAGACAUACCACGAUCUUGACAUAACAAUCUACUGAAUAGUCUUGGCUAGUGAGGCUAUCAAAACCCGAAUAUCGUGCUCCACUGAAAGCUCAUCUCGACGAAAAGCACAGGAAUAGUGACCAGUGAAGCAAAUGCAAUAUCUCUUGACUGAGUAAUGAAAACUAUAAUAGAUCUGUGAGAGAAUGAUCAUCUCCAUAGCUAAAGGAGGGAAAUAUGCCCCAGUAUGGCAUCAGAUAUAUCCAAUCUGUCCUAAUAACUCAAGAAUAACUCUAUGGGGACAUACAAAGGAUCUAACAUGUACUCCACUGAAAUAGUGACGCAGGCAUCCACGCGCCUGAGAUAACUCCUUCUAAGAAUCACGACUAUAUCAGAAAACGUGAAUCUGGCUGAAAGACUCAAGAGAGGCUCCAUGGAGUAUCAGGACACAAUGAAAUCGAAUCAUCAACCCGAUGUGUAUCUCAAAAUCGAGGGUGAUCAUGCGAAUCAGUGGGGGAUGUACAAAUCUCGACUGAAAUGGGGAAUACACCCCAGUGUGGCAUCAUAAAUGUGACAAGUCGGAAAGUCAGAUGAGCUCAAAUCAUCCAUCAUCGAAUUCGUGAUCCAAGUCAUCCAUGUCUAUAACUGAAUCAGACCCACAGAUCAAAGGGGCGUCUCCCAGAAGGAAAGCAUGAUGACAUCUAAGUGUCGAGAAGUGCAGGCCUAACUGGGCAAUUCCCAAGAGGCUCCAUUGAGGAAUCAUCAUAAAGAUACCGAAUAGAUCAUCGUCUCGAUGUACGUCUUGCAAAUGGGGAUAAGCGCGUAACUCCACCAAGAUCUAUAAAUCUCAUCCUGAAUGGUAAUAUGCCCCAGUAUGGCAUCAAACAUAUGAUAGGUCGGAGACCGGGCAACAUGAAAUCAUCUAUCAUCGAACAUGCGACAUCUGUGAAGAUCCAUAAAUCUCAUCUAAAAUGGAAAAUAUGCCCUCGUAUGGCAUCAGGUGCAUAAUAGGUCAAAAGAACAAGUGACAUGAAACCAUCUCUCAUCAAACAUGUGACCUCUGUGAAGAUCCGUAAAUCUCAUCUGAAACGGAAAUAUGCCCCAGUAUGGCAUCGGAUGUGUGACAGGUCAGAAGAACAAGUGACAUGAAACCAUCUCUCAUCAAACAUGUAAUCCUGGUCAUCCGAAUCCAUAACUGAAUCAUGCCCACAGAUCUAAGAUGUACCUCCCGGAUGGAGAAGCAUGAUGGCAUCUAAGUGCCGAGAAGUGCGGGCCUAGCUAGAUGGCUCUCGGCAGGCUCCACUGAGGAAUCAUGAUAAGGUAACGAUCAUGUCCACGUCUUAGUGAGCAUCUAGUAAGUGAUGAUGAUCGUGCAAGUCCAUGAGGAUCCAUAAACCUCUAAAUGAAAUGGGAUAUGCCCUAGUGUGGCAUCAGAGGUACGAUAGGUCAAAAAUCGGGUGACACCAAAUCAUCCAUCGUCAAACACAUAAUCCCGGUAAUUCGAACACAACUGAAUCGGACCUACACAUCAAAGAGGCGACUCCUAGAAGAAGGAAGCACGACGAUAUCUAAAUAUCAACCAGAUCUCAAACACUCGUCCAAGUAGAGGCUGUCAAAGAUGACAUCUGAUCCCAUGACCUCAGGGUGGUCUUAAGACAUGGGACGUAACGUAGGCCAAGGUGAUAAGGUGAUAGAAAUGAAGGAAAACUAGACUCAAAUACCCAAUGAUCAAAAACCCACGCCCUCAUAUAUGAAAUGCAACAUGUAUAAUGAAUCUCGUGAGCCAUGGACCUAAGGAUGCCUAACAUGAAUAUGAUGUCGAUAAGGAGACAAAUAAAGCAAAAUGAACUGAUAGUGAUAUGUGUAAUGAUGAUGUGAAGAGAGUAUCAAACCCGAGAUGGGUUGCUGUAAGAAAAGAAUAAGACGUGAAGUGAAAAUGAUGAAUCCAAAGCGAAAACGAGGAUGAUGAUGAAACAAAUAACACAAAGAGGAGUAGUGAUCAACUCAAAUCAGACAUGGAGUGAAGUCACAUCAACAAUGAACGUAAUGAUGGAAGGGACAAUGACCCAGAGCUCCUAAGAGAAGGUCACUCAUCUCGCUCUCAAAAUAUACAAUAAAAAUGAAUACAAAGCAUAGAGGGUCUCAGAAAGCUCACAUACGAACUCCCAUCAACAAACAUACUCAAUCAAGUCACCCUCGAACAUCAACAUACACACUCAAUGAUAGAAAAUAAUACACAUGCGUUUUGUUUUUUUUUUUUUUACAUAUAUACAAAUGUACACACCUUGAACAUGAACAAAAUAAGCCUAAAUAUGAUAUCAAUAAUGGAUAGACGCUAUCUCGAAAGCUAAGGUAACAAAAACCCUCUUUGACAAGAUAACCUUUUCAAACUAAGAAUCUCUGAACCAGUGUCCGUUGGAUAGAUAGUGGUAAUGAUAUGACUACCCUCCAUGUAAUGAACUGAGGAAGAUCACCACUCGGGGUGGAAAGAAUAUGAAGCAAAACAAGUAGUAGAUAGAAUAAAGAAGAAUAGAUGAAGAACACAACCAAUGAGAUACAAUGGAAUGCAGUGAUGCAAUGAUGAGAAGAGAUAAUGAGAAGAAUGUGCCCCUCGGUCCAAGGCUCAUGAAACUUCCAAACAAUGAAUGCAUACACCAAAAGGGCCCCUAUCCCGGUGUGAAAAUGUGAGCAAGGCGAUAAGAAAGAAAUGCUAUAAUGCUCAUGCGAGGCUCAAUGGGCUAGCAACAGACUAUAUAUCAAAAGGGAAUAACAAGGUAUAUGGCUAACUGAAAUGACGGCCACCAUCCUACGACCAUGGUGUCAAACAUAGUACCUCUUUAGCUGAUCCAUAUUGGUCGGCUUUGAGAAUCGGUUUCCAUCUAAAUCCAUCAACCAUGCAACAUCCUCUGGGGUCAACUCCCUGAUGAAGUAAGGUUCGCUCCAGUUGGGUCUGAACUUCUUUCUAGGAUCUCUGAUCAAUCCCCUGAUGAUCUUCAGAACCAAGUCACCUAUCCGUAGUGGUCAGAGCUUGACCUGCUUUUUGAAAGUGCGGGCCAUCUUCCUCUGAUAUGCACGAAUGUGGUCGGCUGCUCUCAAUCUCCUCUCAUCUUGGAGAUUGAGCUGAUCAAAUCGAGACUGAGCCCAAUCUGCCUCGAGCAUCUGUUGCUCUAAUGCUACCCUCAAUGAACCCAACUCUAUCUCGACUGGUAGCACUACCUCCAUAUUGUAUACCAAAGAGUAGGGUGUGGCUCCUGUAGAGGUGUGAAAAGAAGUCCGGUAAGCCCACAAUGCGAAAGGAAGCUUCUCAAACCAAUCCCGAGAAGUCUUGAUCAUCCUCCGCAAGAUCCUCUUAAUAUUCUUAUUCACGGUCUCUACUGCCCCGUUCGUCUGCGGCCUGUACGCAGACGACCUAUGGUGUCGGAUGCCAUAUUACCGCACUAAAGUGUCAACCUCUGCCCUGAAAUGUACCCUUCUAUCCGAAAUCAGCUCAUGAGGGACUCCACAGCAACAGAUAAUGUGUGACCUGAUGAAACUAGCCACUCCAGAUGAUGUCAAUCUCGCAUACGAAGCGGCCUCCACCCACUUGGUGAAGUAAUCGAUGGCGACCAGGAUGAACUCAUGACCACUGGAAGAUUUCGGCGAAAUCUUUCCGAUGAUGUCAAUACCCCAUACAGAAAAUGGUCAUGGUGAAGUCAGUGCAUGCAACUCCGAGGACGGCACGUGAAUGAGAUCUCCAUGUAUCUGACACUCGGGACAUCUCUGAACAAACUGGAAACAAUCUAUCUCCAUGGUCAACCAGAAAUAGCCAAUCCUCAUGAUCUUACGGGCCAACAUAUGUCCUCCCAUAUGUGGUCUGCAGACUCUUGCAUGAACCUCUCUUAUCACUCUAUUGGCAGAGGCUCGGUCCAAGUACAAUAAUAGCAUCUCGUCAGCCGAUCGUCUAUACAAUGUCUUGCCACAAAUCACCAAUCCGGUGGCUAACUGUCUCAAUGAUCUCCUAUCCUUGGCCAUGGCAGUCUCAAGAUACACGCCAAGUCUCAGAAAGUGAUAUAUGUCAUGGUACCAGGGCAAACCAUCAUCUAUCUCCGUAUCAUCAAUUAGACAACAGUACGCAAGAGCAGAUCUCGACUCGAUCAACAAUGGGCGAACGGUGACAUCAGUAGGAAUGUCAAUCAUGGAAGCUAGAGUAGCUAAGGCAUCAGCAAACUGGUUCUGCGCUCUAGGCAGAUGGGUAUAUAUCAAAUCAUCGAAUCUCCCAACCAGUAGCUUUAAAUAUGCGUGGUAAGGCCUAAGCUUCACAUUUCUAGUCUUCCAUUUGCCUUGAAUCUGUCUCAAUACUAAAUUGGAGUCACCAAACACCUCUAUCUGUCUAAUCCCGAGCUCUAGGGCCGUUUCUAAUCCCAAGAUACAAGCCUUAUAUUCAACAAUGUUGUUCGUGGCAGGAUGUCGAUCCCAGAAUGCCAAACGAACAGAUCUGGGAAUGUGAUCACCAUGAGGGGAUAUCAACAAGACGCCUAUCCCGUAUCCAGAAUGGUUGGCUGCACCAUCAAAGUACAUGCGCCAACCUGAUAAACUGGUCACAACAGCCACAUCCUCGUCCGGGAAGUCAUCAUCAAUGGCUCUGCCGUCGGAAACUGGUAAAGAAACUAGGUGAUCCACGACAAUGCUCCCUUUGAUGGACUUCUGAGUGACAUAAUGGAUGUCAAACUCGAUUGGAAGUACCAACCAUCUUAUGAGGCGACCAACUAAGGCGGGUUUGUCAAACAAAUAUCUCAGAGGAUCUAAAUGGGAUAUCAAGUGCACUAAAUACUCUAUCAUAUAAUGUCUCAGUUGGCGUGUGGCCCAAACCAAUGCCAAACAGUAACACUCAAUCAUGACAUAUCUUGUCUCAUAGUCUAGCAUCCUCUUACUCAUAUAAUAAAUAGCUCGGUCCUUGCCUGAAUCAUCAAGCUGAGCUAACAUACACCCCAAUGCUACGUCUGAAACUGAUAGGUAUAGGAGUAAGGGACGACCUGGUGUAGGAGGCGCCAAGACUGGAGGUGACAACAAGUACUCUCUGAUCCUCUCAAAUGCACGCUGACACUGAUCAUCCCAAAUAGUAGGUUGACUCUUCCUCAAGAGUCGAAAAAUGGGCUCACAGAUGUCUGUCAAUCUGGCAAGGAAUCUGCUGAUGUACUGAAGUCUACCUAGGAAGCCUCUGACCUCUCUCUCUAUCCUCGGUGCAGGCAUGUCAAGAAUAGCUUUGAUCUUAUCCGGAUCUACCUUUAUGCCUCUUUCAUUGACCAUAUAUCCAAGGAGUUUCCCAGAAGUCACUCCGAAAGUGCACUUCUUGGGAUUGAGUCUCAAUCUGAAUUGUCUAAUCCUCUCAAAGAACCUCUCCAGAGCUGUCAGGUGAUCUGGUCUAUCUUGGGAUUUCACUAUCAUGUUGCCUACAUAAACCUCGACAUCCCGAUGCAUCAUGUCAUGGAAGAGGGUGGUCACCGCUCUUUGAUAAGUGGCUCCUGCGUUCUUCAAUCCGAAUGACAUGACUCUAUAGCAAUAAGUACCCCACUCGGUAAUGAAAGACAUUUUCUCCAUGUCCUCUAAAGUCAUUAAGAUCUGAUUGCAUCCGGAAAAUCCGUCCAUAAAGGACAACAUCGAAUGACCUGCCGUACUGUCAAUUAGCAUGUCGAUGUGUGGAAGAGGAAAAUCAUCCUUAGGAUUGACCUUGCUGAGGUCUCGAAAAUCAACACAGACUUUCACCUUGCCGUCCUUUUUGGGAAUAAGGACGACAUUGGCCAACCACUCCGGGUACUCGACCAUUGAAAAAAAUCCUACACUAAGUUGCUUCUGAAUCUCCUUAUUUACCUGCAAGCUCCAACGAGGAUGCAAUCGUGUCAACUUCUGCUUAACCGGUCUGAUAUGGGGCAGAAGUGGCAAACGAUGCUGGAUGAUAGAUGGAUCAAGGCUUGGCAUAUCCUCAUAGGACCAUGCGAAAAUGUCCAAGUAUGCUAUGAGCAACUGGAUGAGGCUAUCCCUUUCAUCAACAGAUAAAUCUGAUCCGAUCCUUAACUCCCUAGGCUGAUCUGCUGUGCCGAAAUAAAAAAUCUCUAUGUCCCCUACAACAUGUGAAACUCUCUGAUCAAUGGGAUCCGAAUCGGAAAUAGAAGAUGAGUCAUCGUCUGAAUCAUGCUGUGCAAUCUCAUCAUCAAUGUCAAAAAUCUAUGAUGUGGGUGAGGAUGGUGCGGGUAAAGCAAUAACAUGAGAGACAGACAAAUACUAAAAAAUGCUCAAAUCCAUAGAUGAAGAGUCAGAAACAUCGUCAUGACGGGAGACAAAUCCCGAUAAGACAUUAAAGGAAAGAGGUGGGUCCACAAAGUUGGACGCUCUCUUAACUAAGCCAACAAGGCCAUCAAACAAGCCAUCAACAACUAUAACAUCCUCAGCAAUCUCCAGAACGGGGGCGACCUGGAUCUCCUCGACAAUCUCGAGGAUGGACACCCCGAAGAGAUCGAAUGGUGAAGCGAGCUCAAAUGGGGCUAUCUCCUUGAUUUGGCUCAAGCUCAUCGCGAUCAUCUCAUCAACAUACUCGUCAUGUGGCACGACUUUGUCUAAUAUGUUGCUGCUCUCGAAAAAUGUCCAGUAAUCAUCGAUCUCAUCCGAGAAGCAAAGCGUCAUAAGGCUCGUGCGAUCUGGGGAGGAAGGAGUGAUCAACGCAGAAGUUGAAGGGCCAGGGGCUCCGUCACUCAAUCGUAACUGUCGGACGAGGCGCUGAAGCUCGGCCUCCUGGGUGGUGCUAAGUCCUCCGAUGAUCCCAUCAGAUAGUGCAUGUGGCUCCGACGCCCUCACAAAGUAAUCUGUUAGGCUCAUGGUAUAUGGGUGAACAGGAUAAUAAAAUGGAAUAUGGGUCAGUCGAGCCCUCACCCUCUCCUUCGGCAAUCGCUCCAUAUUACGAUAAUCAGCCUCAGUGGGGAUGAACCUGAGUCCGAAUGCUACGUCGUGAUCAAGGAAGGUCAUGAACUCACUAGGCCCGUACUGACGCUGCCCUAACCCCAUGCCGGGAAGAUAAGACAUACCCCUCAUCAUGUCAAGCACUAGAUACUGUGCUGGUCGAAAGAUAUGGCUACAAAGUCUCGACAGAAAUCCUCUAUCUCCAAAGUCUGCACCUCGUCGAAGGUGAAUCCGAUCAAAAAAAGAUAGUCAUCAGUGUGACUAAUCUGAAGUACAGGCUUGGCAGAAAUGAACACAUCUCCUAUAGACUGCACCACAACGGCCUGGCCAUCAUGAAUAAACUUCACCUUCUAAUGAAGGGAAUAAGGAAUGGCCCCAACUCUAUGGAUCCAUGGUCGGCUCAGAAGUAGGUUAAAGGAUGUAGGAAUCCUCAAAACCUGAAACACGACAACAAAAGUGGUCGGACCAAUCAAUAGCUCAAUCUCCAAUGUACCCAUGACCUUCCUCUGAGUACUAUCAUAUGCGCGAAUGGUCUGAGUGGAGGGACCGAAGUCAGAUGGUGCGUAGCCGAGGGCAAUGGCAGUGGAAAGAGGACAGACGUUCAGGACCAAGCCAUUGUCCAGAAAGAUAGAUGGGACUCGGCGGCCUGAACAAUCGACAGAUAUAUAAAGUGGACUUGUGUGGUCCGAGCCCUCCGUGGCAAGUCAUCAUCGAAGAAUACAAUGCAUGUGGCUCUGCUGGCCGUCAUCAUAUGAAUCAAUCUCUUAGGAGAAGUGGUAGUAUCGACUCUGAUCUGGUUCAAGGCUCGAAUCAGAGCAUCACGGUGAGUGCUCAAGGAUGCCAACAGGCUCUAGAUGGAAAUACGAGCUUGGGUGCUCUGUAGCUGUCUCAAAAUCUCGUCAUCCUUUACUCUGACCUCCUCGAGAGCAGAUAUACCCUCAACUAACCUAGCUGCUACGGGAGGUGGCUGUCGCAACACUCUACCUCAUUGGAGAAUAUAAUGAACAUCUAGAGUCUGAGAAUCAUCAACACGCGGAGCCUGAACCUCCUCAACAUCCGGGAUCAAGAUGAAUGAAGUCUGGACGCUGUAAUGUGGAAAAAUCAAUGGCUCAACAAUGGUAGUCUGUACCGAUGCCGCCCUGGGAACUAAUUCGAAUGAAACGGGCAUCCAAGGCCCCAAAGUCGCUUUGUCCAUCUCAUAAAUACCAUUUGACACAAUAGGCUCUGGGUUUGAAUCAUCCGAACUAAGCAUAUGAACGUGAUCAUCAAGCUCAACGAAGUCCAAGAAAUGUAUGCCAUCGGCCGGUGGAGGAACGACAUGUGUAGUGUGGGCAGGUAAUGGGUUUGUGGUCACAUUCAGCUGACCCUGACCCAAGUGCACCAAACCUUGGUUGAUCAAAUCCUGAACGACAUGCCUCAAAGCAGUUCAUCGAUCGGUCUCACGUCCAGGCCCUUGAUGGUAUGCACAGUGCAAAUCCAUCCUGAACUGAGGUGGAAUAGGCUGAGGAGGUGGCCUAGGGGUGAGAGCAGUCAAUAACCCGGCCUCUGUAAGCUUCCGAAGAGCCUGGCUCAAUGGCAUGCCUAAUUGUGAGAACUACCUCUGCGUCCUCAAAGCAAAUGGAGCAGAAGCCUGCUGAGCUCUGGGUCGGGGAUAAGAAGUUAUGGGUCUCGUAGUGAACUGAGCAGCAUAGCACGAUUGUCCUAUGGCCUUGUAUGAGACAGGUGACCUCUCGAUGCCUUGGGUGGCAUAGUAAGGCAAAGCCAAAGUCUGUGGCAUAUAGGACUAAUCAUGAGUCGGACGAGGCGCCCGUGGCCUAUACUGCUGAAGUGGAUAUGAAGGAUGAGUCUCUAGAAGCUGUGGGACCGACUGAUGGCGCCUGAGAGGUCUUUGACUAGAAGAACCGAUAGCGCUCACAUCAACUGACCUCUGUCCUCCAAAGGGUUUCUUCCCCUUAACAUCACUAGGGGAAGAAUCAGUUCACAAUUAUCUCAAGAUGCCGUCCUCGACAUCGUACAAAGCCAAAACCAACGAACCAAAAUCUAUGAAGAGUACCCCAAUCACGUGUCUGGCAAUCCUGGGCUGUAGGCUCCUCAAAACCAUCUGUAUCUGAUCUCUCUCUAGAGGCCUGUCAAUGGUCUCGGCAAUCUUCCUACGCCAACGGGAGAUGAAGGAUGAAACUGACUCAUCUAUCCUCUACCUCAGAGCCUCGAGCUCUCUCCUUGAUACAUCCAUCAUAGUGUUAAACGAAAACUAUCAUAAGAACUCCUAGGCCAAGUCGUCCCAUGUCCGGCAUCGUGAAGACUCUAGGAAUGCGAACCAGCGCUGGGCUGCCCCACUUAGAGAUAGCGGGAACAAAGUGAUCAUCUAUGACUCAUCCAAUCCGUGUGCUCUCAUCACUGUGCUAUAGAGUCUGAGGUGGAUGCGAGGACAACCAAUGCCCGUAUACCUCUCAAUGUCCAGCAUCCUGAACUGAGCCGACAAACUGGCCACCAGCAUACCCUCAAGAUCAUCCCAAAUAGCUGAUCCAUCUGACACUCUCAUCUACCUCAUAUGCUGCUCGAUACGGUCCAUAUGUGCAUGAGCGUCAUUAGUGACUGUGGUCUGAACGAUUGCAGGUGGGGCAACCUCAGAAUGCCCAUGCAAUACAUAAGGUGAGGCCUGAGGCACCAUUGGAACAGGUGGUGGCAGUGGCUGUGGCAACGAAUCAUGAAGAGUCUCAUCAUGAACUACGAGUGGUCUGCUCUACUGGCUGCCAAUCUCCUGCCUGAGGCUAGCCAAAGCCUCUUGGAUAGAAGCCAUGACGGUCGUAAACUGAUCCACUGUAACAACCUAUUGAUCCAUACUCAAUCUCUCGGAAUACCGGACUAAUCUCCCCUCUACUCUAACCCAAGAAGACGUAUCCAGACUACGAACAAAGAUUUGAUCCUAAAAGCGCGAAGAAAUGAAUAAGGAUAUGGGACGAAGAAAGCACAGAAGAAAUGAUAAUCUGAAUGGAAACAAGCAAGACAUCUAAGUGAAGGUAGACUUUCUGACCAUACUCAAACUCAUACUAAUCUCUGUACACUUUCAAUUGAAGACUAAAAAAGGAGUAUCGGAAUCCAAACUGUGGCUACAGAGGCUUUGAAAGUUCUCAGAUGCACCCACAUGUAGGGAGUGAACCCUAAUCGAAUGAUCUACGGCUCAACCUACGAGGUCAAGGUGGCUCUAAAUGGAUAUGAGUGGGCUUUAAAAGAUCCCUUAAGCAGAGGCGAUCAUACUGAUUACUACUCAAAAAGUGCUAUUUGAUAGCUUAUAAUUAAUCCUUUUAAACACUUUUGAGUAGUAGUUUAGGCCUUUUAACUCAAUUGGCAUGUUAAGGACCCUUGAAAGGAAUUUUAAUCACUUUGUGUAAGUUUUGGUGUUUUUGUUAGUAAUUUGAUCAUCAAAGCAAGUCAAGACUGAGGAGAGCUAUGAGGAAUCUUGGGCAAAGCUUAGAAGUCAUUUGCCAAGAGUAAAUCCGGAUUGCAAGGAGAAAAAGUAAAGAGAAUCUGCCAAGAAGCAUAUUCUUGAUGACAGUCGUAUCAGCCACUUUUGGAGCCUCUUAUGAGGUCCAAUUGAUGCAUGCUAUAUACCAUUUCAAAGCUCAGGAAGUCAACAAUCCAAUGCUACAAACGGUGUAUAAUUCAGAGUUGAAACGAAGAAGUUGCAGCCAUUGCAAGCCAAUCACUCCGAGCUGAAGGAAGCAUUUUGCAAAGUGCUGCGAAAUCACCCUUUUGUUGCGAAGUGAUUCCGCAGCCUUUUUGUACAGUAGGGUGUAUUUCCUUCUGAAGUUGCCCGACAUAUACCGCGAGAGGGAAGUUGGGAACCUCAAGGUGGAAGCCAACUUCGCAGCCCUGCGAAGAUAGCAUGUUGUUGCGAAAUGAUUUCGCAGCCCUCUUGAGUGUCUGAGAAAUCUCGCAGACACCAUUUUCUCUUGCGAAAUGGUUCCUGGAGCCUCCCGAUAUUUGCUACCGACAUUGGGAGAUAUUUUACAUCAGAUUUUUGUUGUCUAAAUCCCAAAAUACUCCUUGUAAGCCACCAAUUACAAGAUUCCUUAGCUUUUAAGUUAGUAAAAAGAGAAAAUAUCUAUGUAAUAAUUAGUUUUAUAUUAUGUUCAUAUAUAUACCUCUCGGGAGCCUGUUCUCAGGGAGGAGAUCCUUUUGUAAAGUUUUGGGUAAGCAAGUAAAGUUUAUUUUUUUCUACUGCCUUACCUUCUCACUUUGUAUUUUUUAGUUAAUACUAAGUUAUGAACUCUCUGAGGAGUUUUCCCCAGAGAAUGAGUAACUAAACCUCUAAUUCCUUGGAGCUAAGGUUGCCGGGGAAGGUUCCAAGUGCAAGAAUGCAAAGCUUUGUGGUUUUAGCUAGUAAUGAAGAGGAAGUGAAAUCCUUUAGUGAUUUCUAUGUUUUUAGUUAACUUAAAACACCUUAGAGUCACCUGGGCCAACACUUGGUAAGGCAAGUGAUUUCCAACCAUGGAAAUGCACUAGUUUACCCCUUGCAAGCCUCUGGUAGGUGACUUCAGGGUAGGAUUUUCUAGAAUAGCCAACACUUGAUAAGCUUUUGGACUCCAAGGAGACAUCCAUUAGUUAUCUCUUGCGAGCUUUUGACGGGUAAUCCAAGGUUAAGGAUCACCUUGAAUGGUUAAGGCUUAGUGAGAGGCUUAAACCAUUGCAAGUUGCAUCAGUGAGAGAAUUAAAGUGAAAUCUAAUUGAAGGAUGAAUCUGUACAACACCAGCUAGAGAAUUGACUAUAUGUUGAAUCUCUAACGCGAGGAAAGGAACCAUCUGACCGGAGCUAGGUCUUUUGCAUAAGGAACCACCCCAGUGAACCUAACUCUCCAAGGAAUGCUUUUCUUCCUAAGUUAUUCCGAGUACUUGUUAUGUUAGUUAGUUUAAAUCUUUACCAAUCAAAGUUUGUGUUUUAUGUCUUAAGCUAACCUUGAAAUGAAACAAGACCAAUUCACUUGGAAUUGGUAUCAUUGAUAGCUUGCUAAUCCUUCCCAGUGAACGAUCCUAGAGCCGCUAUACUAUAGUAGCUUUUUCUUUGCUACCCUAGUAUAUGGUGUUAUAGGUUAUAAAUUUUGUUGAUUACUCCCUCAAUCAAGGAGCACCAGCUGGACACGAAUCAGCUGAGACACCAAUUGGGCACGAAUCACAUACCCUCCGACAGUAUGCAACCCUCUGUACGUCUCCGAAGAGACGGGGCGCUUCCAUGCAAGGUGGUCAUCACCUCCACACAUGCACUAUCUCGACAUCCCAAGGGGGUUUCCUAUGGUGAAAACCUCUCAAACUCGCAACGCUCAAUGGUCAACUAGAGUGCACAGUGAAUGGUGCGGGUGCAUCCAAAAACCCUAGGAAGCUAAAACAGAAAGAUGAAACACACUGGCCGCACAAAUAUCCAUGAGACCUAGCUCCGAGCUAUACGAGUCUUCAAUGAUCGGACUCCAAUCGACAUCAAAGUGUCGCUCUCCUCCAGAAUGCUCCCAUACAUUGAUAUAGCCUGUCGCUAAACCCUACUCCUAAUCUCUGGCUCGGUCAGAGAAUAAGCACACAGAGGGCCUCACACUUGCAAUAGUGAGGACCAGAAUGAAGGGAAUGACCGAGACCAAGAGAUUUGGAGGUAGGGGGAUAGAUGUGCGGCCCACAUAGACAGGCGACAUGCAAUCAAGCAGAGGAAGGGUAGUCAUGCGACAUGCAGUUAAGCAGUAGACAGAAUACAUCACUUAUGCACACACACAAACUAUGACGAUCAGGAUGAAUAGCGACACGAACAUCAUGCUCAAAGACAAUCAAGAUAGUAUACAAGCCAAAGAAAACAACAUGGCAAGUCAAGCGAUGUGCAAUAGUGAGUCUAUAUAUGUGAAGUAAGUAGAACAAUCAGGAAGAAUCAGAAUCGCUAUACCAAGCAAAACAAGAUGAGCAGUCUAUGAUAAUCAGCAUGUUAAUGUACUAAACUAAUAUAGCAAUGAAGCACAGAAAAAGUGACAUCCGAAACCCCAAUCAAGAUAAUUGAUAUAUCAAUGUCCCAAUACAAUAUCCAAGCAUGCAUAAAAAAACUCUCAAUGUGCAAUCAAGAGACAAGUACUCAUUGAUUGACUCAUCAAAUACCACAUUUGCUUCAUCCUAAGUUCAAGCUUGACCCUCUAAAUGAUCCCCAACGGAGUCGCCAUUUUGUGGACCCUGUAUUUCGGCUCAUGCGAUUUCCACUCAAUGGCGAGCUCGAUUUUUAUUUGAAAAUGAUUUUAUUUAUUAAAAAAAAAAUAUGACUUGGAGUCACCACUUAUUUUUGUUUUAUUUUUAAAAGGGUAAACAAAAUAAGAAAGAAAACCCUAAGUGUGACUCCUUAUUUUGGAAAAUAUGAUAUGUGAAAAACCGGAUCGGGCUCGGGGGUCAGGCUACUUAUCGAGAAGGUACAGUAAAAACCAUAGCACCCCUCUAAGUCCCUAAAGUUGGGUCUCUACUAACAAAAUGAAGUUGAUGUGGUGAUCAAUAGGAAAAUCAAUGGAUACUCAAAUCGACCAUGCACAUAUGGGAUCAAAACAUGCAUAAAGAAUGACCAGAAUGGGAGUUGAUGCGUACCUGGGCCACGAACGAGCAAUGCGCUAUCAUAAAAAUGGGGUCGGUGUACAAUAAAGAGCACAAAACAUAUCACACGCGUCACCAAAUAGAACUUAAAAUUGUUCAAGGGAAAACUAGAUUUUUUAAAUUUUAUUUGAAAAUUGGAGUCUUAGAGAUUAUUUGAAAAUUGGAGUUUUAGAGAUUAUUUGAAAAUUGGAUUUUUAGAAAUUAAAUAUAAGAAUGAGAAUUUUAGAAAUUAAAUUUGAAAAAAAUUGGAAUUUUGAAAAUUAUUUGAGAGGUUGGGGGUUUUUUUUUUUAAAAAAAAAUUAAAUUACGGAAAUUGGGACUUUAGAAAUAAAAUUUUGAAAGAAAUUAGAAUCGAAAAUUGUUUGAGAAGCAGAAACUAUGAAAAUUGAAUAAAAAAAUUGGAAAUCUUGAAAAUCAUUUUAAAGCAUAAUUUUUAGAAAUAAAUGAAUAAAAUGAUAAUAAUAAAUAAGUAACGGAAUAAAUGCGAGAAUUGGAACAUUGGAAACUGAAAAAAAUUAAGUUCGGAAAUUGAAAAAUUGGAAUUUCAAAUAACUAAAUUUGGAAAUCGAAAUUUUAAAGAAUUAUUUAAAGACGGAAUUUCAAAUAAAUGAAUAAGUGAUUAAAUAAAUUAAUGAAAUAAUAAUAAUGACGAAAUAAUAAAGAUUAGGUAAAUAAUUGCGAAAAAUAGAAUUUUAGAGAUUGAAGAUUGAAUUUAGAGAUUGAAAAUUUGAGAAAUUAUUUAGAGAUGAGAUUUUAAAUAUAUGAAUAAGUGAAUAAAUAAAUGAACAUGAUAAUAAUAAUAACGAAAAUAAUCAUUUAACAACUGAAUGUGAAUAGUGAAAUUUUUUAGAUUGGAAAUUAAAUUUGAAAAACGGAAUAUUGAAAAAUUGAACUUUAAUUAUUAGAAUUUCUAAAAUAAAUGAAUGGAAUAAUAAUAAUAAUAAUGAAAAUAAUAUUUAAAUGAAUGAAAGUGAAUAGUGGAAUUUUUUAGAUUGAAAAUUAAAUUUGAACGUCAGAUUUUUCAAGAAUUGGACUUUAGUGAUUGAAAUUUUUAAAAGAAAUAAAUAAAUAAAUAUGGAAUAACAAUAAUAAUUAACAAAAAUAAUAUUUAAACGGAUGAAAGUGAAUAGUGAAAUUUUUUAGAUUGAAAAUUAAAUUUGAAAGUUAGAUUUUUGAAGAAUUGAACUUUAAUGAUUGAAAUUUUUUAAAGAAAGAAAGAAAUAAAUAUGGAAUAAUAAUAAUAAUAAUGAAAAUAAUAUUUAAACGAAUGAACGUGAAUAGUGGAAUUUUUUAGAUUGAAAAUUAAAUUCGGAAGUCAGAUUUUUGAAGAAUUGAACUUUAAUGAUUUGAAUUUUUAAAAGAAAUAAAUAAAUAAAUAUGGAAUAAUAAUAAUAAUAACAAAAGUGAUGUUUAAACGAAUGAACGUGAAUAGUGGAAUUUUUUUAGAUUGAAAAUUAAAUUCGGAAGUCAGAUUUUUGAAAAAUUGAACUUUAAUGAUUGGAAUUUUUUUAAAGAAAUAAAUAAAUAAAUAUAGAAUAAUAAUAAUAAUUAACAAAAAUAAUAUUUAAAUGAAUGAAAGUGAAUAGUGGAAUUUUUUAGAUUGAAAAUUAAAUUUGAAAGUCAGAUUCUUGAAGAAUUGAACUUUAAUGAUUAGAAUUUUUUUAAAGAAAUAAGUAAAUAAAUAUGGAAUAAUAAUAAUGAUUAACAAAAACAAUGUUUAAAUGAAUGAACGUGAAUAGUGAAAUUUUUUUAGAUUGAAAAUUAAAUUCGAAAGUCAAAUUUUUGAAGAAUUGAACUUUAAUGAUUGGAAUUUUUUAAAGAAAUAAAUAAAUAAAUAUGGAAUAAUAAUAAUAAUUAACAAAAAUAAUAUUUAAAUGAAUGAAAGUGAAUAGUGGAAUUUUUGAGAUUGAAAAUUAAAUUUGAAAGUUAGAUUUUUAAAGAAUUGAACUUUAAUGAUUGGAAUUUUUUAAAUAAAUAAAUAAAUAAAUAAAUAAAUAUGGAAUAAUAAUAAUAAUUAACAAAAAUAAUAUUUAAAUGAAUGAAAGUGAAUAGUGAAAUUUUUGAGAUUGAAAAUUAAACUUGGACCUUGGAGAACUAGACCUAAAAUUAGAACCUUAGAAAAUUAUUUCAUGAAUGGAAACUUGGAAAACCGAUUUUUUUUUUUGUUUUUUUAAAAAGAAAACAAAGUUUAGGUAAAUUGAAUUUUCGAGAAUCAAAAUUUUAUAAAUCGAAUUUAAAAUUAAAUUUUAGAAAAUUAUUUCGAAAAUGAUAUUUUGUAUAAUUAAAUUUAAAAUCUUCAUAAAAAUCAUAUUUGUAUCAUUAGAAAAAGGACUUAAGAGGGCCAAAUACUUGGCCCAUUAGGGCCUACACUAAUCUGGCCUAAACUUAGAGGAUGGGGCUUAAGGCCCACCUGAACCAAUCUAGGCCCACAACUUAAAGCUUUGGGAGCCCACCAACAAAAUGGCUACCAUGAAGAUCAAAGGGUGCCACCUCCUCAUUUUUUAAAAGCUAGAGGGAUGGCUAAUGGGUAGCAGGUUAGCGGUGAAGAAUAGGGCCUGCAUGUCGAUGAUGGCUGUGAUGAAAUAGAGGAAUGGAGUGGGAGUUGCUGCCCAUGAACUACCGCGCGGGCAAGCGGACAAGAGCAUGGGUGCGGUGGAGGGCUUCGUCGUCUUCACCGCCAAGCGCCACUACCUUACCGCCACAAGUGCCGGAGGAGGUGAAACAGAAAGCGGAGAAGGGGACAACUGCUCCCCCGCCGACGCUAUCGUCCAUUUUAAUGACGACUCUUGGAGGCGAACCCAGCGGCACCUCUCUCGGCCAUUUUCACGAACCCUUCACGCUCUGCUCGGAGCUUCUUGAUGCUGCCUUUGAUGCGACUUUGGAGCUACGUCGGCGUGGCUGCGGGAGUGAGGAAGACUGCCACCUUAGGAUCUUUUGGAUCGAGCGGCCCAACCUUGGCUGUUAGGCGGUAGUUGUGUGGCUGUCCAUGAAGGAUGGGAACGUGGCAAUGGAGGAAAAUGGGUACAUAAAAAAAAAGGUGGGUAUGAAAGGUAGUGAAGGCAUGAAGGGUGUUUAACUUUGGAUUUGGGUCCAUGCGCGUGGAUAAAGUUGAUGGUGAGCAUAUGUUGGAGGGGGUUCUCGGUAGACAAGAGUCUAAGAUUUUCAUGGAAGUUUCAAAUGGAUCCUCAGGAACAGAGCAGGUUCCAAAGUCAUGCUAAAUUCAUUUUCUUGCUAUACCCGGUGGGUGAGGCGAACAACGAGCAUCCAUGCUAUUAAAUGAAUAUCAAAAUAAAUAAAAAAAUUUGAUACCUUACUCAUUUAUAAGAGAAAACGAAGAAGCGAAAAAGAAGAACAAAACAGAGCAAGUGAAGCGAGCUUAGGCUCAACAAGGUCCAAUCCUCAACAAGUGACGUUCAAGACCAGCAAUGGCAAAUGAGGAAGAAUAAAAAAUAAAAAUGAAAUGAAAUAAAAGAAAUCUGAAAGCAAAGGCAUCCAAUAUGGCCAUACCUGAGUUUCCCUAGUGAAGCUUUGUCUCGCUUCCUUUGACUGGUUUUUUUCUCCAGCUGCUUUCCCCCCUUCUGAAAAGUCCUUCGUUCGAGCUCACCCUUUUUUCUCUCUCCUCUCGUCUGGCUUCUCCUCCAAGCUAUUACCCACUCCCUUGUUCACCGAUCAGCAAGCAUGUCAUCUUCAACCACCACCAUGGCUAGCAAUGCUCCUUACCACCCAUCUAUGCAAUUGGUUCUCGGCAUAAGGAAGGGUUCCCCCACUCGUCUAAGGUGCUGCCCGCUCCUCCAGGUGGUGAGAAAGCAUCCUCCUAAUGCUAUAAAAUCCCUCAAAAAAACUAAUAGCCUUUAGUUUUUAAAAAGGGGUCUACACAUUUAUAAUUACUAAAUAAAUUAUUUUAAUAUACAAAUUAUUACUCUUUCUUUUUAAAUUGAUUAAUACUAAAAAAAAAUAUAUCUCUUAAUGUUGAAAUUUUUAUUGAAAUUUAAUUUUUUUUUUUAUUUUAUUCCUUUUACAAUGAAAUUUUAAAUUAAAUAUUAAUAUUUUUAAUUUUAAAAUUUAUAUAAUAAAAUUAAUUUAAAAAUUAAAAUAAAAUAUUUAGUAGUAUUUGGGCUUUGUAGUAUUGAAACUUUGGUAUAAGAAAUUUGAAAAUACUUCUAUAAUUAUUAAAAAAAAUUAGUAGAAUAAGAUAGUCCUUUCAACAUAAUUGAGACAUUAAAUUUUAAGCACUCUAAAAUUAUAAUCUUUACAAAUAAUAAAGAAGUUUUUGCAUCGAGACCAACUGAAUAUGAUUUGUAUGUUCUUAAUUUUCAUUUUCUUAUCUUUUAUCUUCCUAUACCUACAAGCCUAUUUAGAGAAAGACCUUUUAUUGAAAAAUGAGAGUUCAGAGUUAUUUCCCUUUGAAAAUAGAGUGGAUCGGAAGGUCUUUAUUAAAUAUAGGGUUUCUUCUAAAACGAGAUGAAGUAAAUUAGCAACUCUGAACAAUCUGAAGGAAAAGGAAUUUGAGUUAAGUUGAUGGGGCGUGCGACACUUUAUUAGGACUUUAAGAGAUAUUUUCUCUUUCACGCUAUCCUUUGAAAUUGAGUUGUGUCCGUUUUCAACUUAAUUUUUUGCUCUCUGUUUUUCUAAUGAAAAUAUAUCUUUUGUUGGGAGAAAAUAUUUUGUUGAAUAUAUAUAUUCAAAUGGAAGGUAAGCAAAAAAAAAUGAUAAAAAAUGGGUGUGAUGAAAUUUCAAAUUAUUGAUCAUCAUAUGUAUUUAACCUAAAUCUUAAAAAAGUGAAUGAAAUUAACUCGUUAAAUUUGUUCAAUACCACUUUUUAUAAAUAAUUUUUUAAUCAUGUAGCAUUCAAAACAAAAAACAUAUAAUUAACGAUAACAUGAAAUUAUUAAAAUAUUUAAAAUUAAAUAAUAUAAAGAAACAAUAAAAUGGUUCAUUUAUAUUGUUAGAACCAUUGUUUUAAAAACUGGUCACUCCGAUCGGUCGGAUGGUCCAUCAAUGCCCUUUCCAGUCUGAUCUAGGGAAAUGGACAGAGACAACUGACAAUCAGACCAUCGACCAUUCUUCAUGGACCAGUCAAGGUCAAAACCUAAAUGGCCUUGCCCAAAUCCAUUAAUUCCUAACCCGUUUGCUUGUUCCCAAGGUUAACUGACAUACCAUCGACCAUUCUUCAUGGACCGGUCAAGGUCAAAACCUAAAUGGGCUUUGCCCAAAUCCAUUCAUUCCCAACCUAUGUGCUUGUUCCCAAGGUUUGUAAGUAUAAAUACCCAUCUAUUGGCCCAAAUUCAUUAUUUCAAGCCCAUUUGCUUGUUCUCAAGUUCUACAGGUAUAAAUACCCUAUAAGUGGUUUAUAGAUUUCCAAUGUGGGAUGAGUUUUGAUAAUAAUGAAAGGAGCUUUGCAUGGUGGGGAAUUGAACCUAGGACUUAUUUUUAACAAAAUGUUAGCACACCACUAUGUUACAAAGCUAUUUGAUUAAUAAUUUGAUAAAUAUCUAUAUAUCUGUUUUUUAAUUUCUAUCAUAUAAAACAUUUAAACAAAUAUAAAUAUUUAUAUCUACUAUUAUUUUUAUAAUAAUUAUACAUAUCCUAUUUAAUAAAAUUUAAUAUAUUAAUACAUUUAUAUUUAUAUUUAUCAUUUAAUUUGACAAAUUGAACAUAAAAAAUAAAAUAUUAUUAAAAUUUUUAAUAAAAUAUAUUUUAAUUUAUUUUAAUUUUAUUAAAAUAUAAAUUAUAUAUUUAUAAUGUCAUCGAUUUGAUCGCGGUUUGACCACUGGUUCAACUAGUGAACCAUGAACUGGUAACUUUUUCGGUUCAAUAUUCGAUCCAAUUUUGAAAACAUUAGUUAAAACUUUUUUAUUUAUAGAAAAUGGUAAUAUGCUUUAAAGUUGUAGGAUGUUAAAAGCCCAAAUACAUGCCUACAUAUUUUCUUAUUUAUCUCCUAGUAUUUUUACCAAGUGAUAGAUAUAUUGGUGGCCAAGCAUUAUCAUCAUCAUUAUUUAUCUCCUAACAUCUUUAUGAAGUGAUAGGUGUAGGAAGAGUGUAAAUAAUUUUUAUUUUUAUUUUAUUUUAUUCUAUUAGUUUUAUAUUUUUUGGGAAGAGUCCUAUUGGGAAUUAUUUUUAUUUUAUUUUAUUCUAUUAGUCUUAUAUUUUUGGGAAGAGUCCUAUUGGGAUUGUGCUAGUGGAGUCCCAUUCCUUUUAUAAGUAGAAUCCUCUUCCACUUUGAGUUAUCUUUUGAUUACAAGCAGAUUCCCAUUAGGAUUGUGUUAAUGACCUAUAAAAGCAGGUCACCUUUUGCUCUCUAUAUGCCAAUACCAAUUUUUCAAAGAAUUUUUCAGAGCGUUUUUCAACCAUCUAUUUGGAUGAAUUUUUUCAAAAACCCGAACUGUAUACAUCUCACUUACAGAAUGCACCCAAGGCGACAUCUAGGUGUUGAAUCCCGGAGAUAGACCAUUGGUACCCUAGUGUACCGAAUUUGUCUUCGAGUAGGAUGAAUCUAUUUCAAGGACAGUGUUUGUCAUGCCUCAUUCGAUAAGUUUUUCUUCUUAUUAAUUAUGUUCUUUGUUUGUGUCUUUUGGGCUAGUCAUUUGUUUCCAUACCCUUAAUCCAACAAUCUUGAAAUAUAUCCAAAUGUAAGCUUCUCUAGUUCACACCCAUCCUAACACCUCUAAAAUUGAUCCCUUCAAUGGGACAUUCUUUAAGAGAUGGCAGGAAAAGGUUUUCUCUACAAUUGAUGUAGUGAACUUAGGACACAUUUUGACUGACCGAAUACCAAAAGAUAGUUCUCAUUUGUUACCAACCUGGGAAAUUGGAAAUAAACAAGUUAGGCAUGCUAUUCUAAGUACCCUUUCUAAUGAACUUUUUGAUAUUUAUUGUCAAUUUAAAGUUGUAAAAGAAAUUUGGGAUGCAAUGAAUAAAAAAUAUAGUUUGGAAGAUACAGGAACUCAAAAAUAUGCCAUAGAGAAUUUUAAAAAUUUCCAAAUGACUGAGGAUAGAGAUGUAUCAUCUCAAAUCCAUGACUACCACUUGUUGAUUAAUGACUUAGCUAUUGAAGACAUUAAAUUACCCGAACCUUUUGUAGCUGGUUAUUUAGUAGAGACUUUUCCAGAGUCUUGGAAAGACUACAAAAAUAACAUGAAACAUAAAAGGAAACAAAUGUCCCUAGAGGAUGUCAUAAUCUAUAUUAAGAUUGAGGAACAAAACCGAAAUAGGGAUAAUGCUGAGAAAGUUAAGGACUUGUCUUCUAAGGCUAAUGUAGUAGAAGAAAAACCUAAACCCAAAAACAAUAGGUCCAGGAAACAAAACUCUAGGAACAAACCCAAUGCAUCAAACAAGAUCCAAAACCCAAUUAUUAAAAAGAAAAAGAAAAAGUAAGGAUCUUGUUUGACUCUAAUAAAAUAGUUUUAACCAAGAAUGAUGCAUUUGUGGGGAAGGGCUAUUGUAAUAAGGGUUUAUUUAUGUUGAAUGUUUAUGAUAUUAUCAAUAAUAAUGCAUCUUCUUCUUUUUCUGCUUACAUAGUUGAUUCUUGUGAUAUUUGGCAUGGUAGACUAGGACAUGUGAACUUUUCAUAUAUGAAGAAAAUGGUUGAAUUGAGUUUAAUCCCUAAAUUGUCCUUAGAAAACCAUGGAAAAUGUGAAUCUUGUGUAGAAUCUAAAACCACAAAGAAAUCUUGCAAAUCAGUUGAAAGAGAAUCAAAUGUACUAAGUUUAAUACACAGUGACUUAGGAGACCUAAAAAAUACAAUGACUAGAGGUGGUAAACGAUUCUACAUAACUUUCAUAGAUGACUACUCAAGGUAUACAAGGGUAUAUCUUUUGAGAAACAAAGAUGAAGCAAGAUAUGCUUUCAUCAAGUACAAAAAUGAAGUGGAAAAUCAACUAAGUAAGAAAAUUAAAAGACUUAGAACUGAUAGGGGAAGAUAGUAUGAGUCCAACCUCUUUAAUUCUUUUUGUGAAGAUCAUGAGAUCAUUCACAAAAAUACUCCUCCUUAUUCUCUUGAGUCUAAUGGAGUAGCAGAAAGGAAAAAUAAGACCUUAAAAGAAAUUAUGAAUGCAAUGUUGGUAAGUUCAGGAGCACCCUUGAACUUAGGGGGGAAGCUAUCCUAUCUGCAUGUCAUAUUCAAAAUAGAAUACCUUAUAAGAAAACUGGAAAAACUCCUUAUGAGUUGUGGAAGGGUUAUGCACCUAAUAUAGCAUACCUGAAAGUGUGGGGGUGUUUAGCUAAAGUUCUUUUCCCUGAACCUAAAAAAUGAAAACUAGGUCUUAAAACCUUUGAUGCAAUGUUCAUUAGCUAUGCUGAGAAUAGUGCGACAUAUAAGUUUCUUGUUACUAAGUCAGAAAACAGUCUUGUAGAUGUCAAUACUAUUAUGGAAACAAAGAAUGCAGAUUUCUUUGAAAACAUCUUUCCUAUGAAACUAAAUGGUGAACAACAAGUUUAGAAAACAAGUAGAGACAAGUCUAUUGAACCUUCUGAAUUUGAACCUAGAAGGAGUAAAAGUGAUAGGAAAGAAACAAACCUUGGAGAUGGUUUCUACACCUUCCUAAUAGAUGAGGACCUUAAUCCUACAAAGAAGCUAUAACUUUUCCUAAUGCGCCAUUUUGGAAAGAGGCCAUUAACAGUGAAAUCGAAUCAAUCAUGUAUAACCAUACGGGGAGUUAGUAGAUUUACCUCCUGGUACAAAGACUAUUGGUUGUAAGUGGAUCUUUAAAAGAAAGUUAAAAUAAGAUGGGUCCAUAGAGAAGUAUAAAGCUCAUUUAGUUGCCAAAGGCUUUAAACAAAGGAAAGAUGUAGAUUACUUUGACAACUUUGCCCUUGUGAAUACAAUAGCAUCAAGUAGAGUAUUGAUCACUCUAGCUUCCAUUCAUAAUUUGGUUAUACACCAAAUGGAUGUUAAGAUUGCAUUCUUGAAUGGGGAUUUGGAAGUGGAAAUUUAUAUGGAACAACUUGAGGGUCGUGUAGUUCCAGCGAAGGAGAAAAAGGUGUGUAAGUUGGUUAAAUCACUAUAUGGGUUAAAACAAGCUCCCAAACAGUGGCACAACAAGUUUGAUCAUGUGUUAGUAACUAAUGGAUAUUCCAUUAAUGAUGCUUAUAAGUGUAUCUACAGUAAGUAUGAGGAUAACACAUGUGUAGUCAUCUGCCUUUAUGUUGAUGACAUGCUGAUCUUUGGAACUAGCCUAGAGGUUGUGUGUGAGACCAAGAAAUUCCUAGGUCCUAAGUUUGAUAUGAAAGACCUAGGAGAGGCAGAGGUGAUUUUAGGAAUUAAAAUAACUAGAACACCUAAUGAGCUUAAACUUUCUCAAGAGCACUAUGUAGAAAAGAUCCUAAGGAAGUUUGAACGCUUUGAUUGUAAACUAGUGUCAACUCCUUAUGAUCCCAGCUCACUACUGAAGAAAAAUAAAGAACAUAGUGUUGCCCAAAUAGAGCAUGCUCAGAUCAUAGGGGACCUAAUGUACUUGAUGAACUGUACUAGACCUAACAUUGCUUAUGCAAUAGGUAGAUUGAGUCGAUACACCCAAAGUCCUAAUCAGGACCAUUGGACUAUUGUUCGUAGAGUCCUUAAGUAUUUGAGAGGCACCAUUAGUGAUUUAGUGGAUUUCCAAGUGUCCUUGAAGGAUUUAGUGAUGCAAAUUAGAUCUCGGAUUCAGAUGUGAUGAAAUCCACUAGUGGAUAUGUUUUCAUAUUUGGUGGAAGUAUAGUUUCUUGGAAGUUUACCAAGCAAACUUGCAUUACUCGGUAUACUAUGGAGGUUAAGUUAAUUGCCUUAGAAAAGACAAGUUUUGAGGCUGAGUGGCUUGAAAACCUCUUAGCAGAUAUCCCUUUAUGGACGAGACAAACCUCGCCUGUGUCUAUGCGUUGUGAUAGCCAAGCUACAAUUGCUAAGGCUAAGAGUAAAAUAUUUAAUGGGAAGAAUAGGCAUAUAUGGCUAAGGCACAAUAUUGUGCGGUAGCUUCUUGAAACGAAUUUGUGAGGUCAGAGUUGAAUUUGGUCGAUCCUUUGACCAAACCACUAAAUAAGAAACUAGUGGAAGAAACAUUGAGGGGGAUGGGGCUUAUGCCUAUUACAGAAGUUAAGAGUGGUGGUAACCCAACCUAUUAGAAUGGAAAUUCCAUGAAGUAGGUUCAUAUGGGUAAUAACAAAUCACUUGUUGACUUGAGGUGCUAUAUCAACUCUAAUUGUAUGAGGGUCUAUCCCUAUGGUGUAGAUAGAGCGUAUUUUGCAUUGAUUAAGGUUGAGUGUUUACUCUUAAUGAAUACCAUAUUCCUUAUGGAUGGUAUGUUUAAAUGCAUAACAUACUUGAUGGAUUCACCUAUAUGAGAGUGGAGCCGGGGCCGCUUCCUAUGAGAACUUAGGUAGUUUCUCUAGAACUCUCAUGAAUAUCCAGGUAGGGCGCAUGGCCUAUUUGUGCCAACCCAUUUUGUACAACUCGUAGUGUAAUUGAGAAAACCAAUGUGGAUAAAAGUUCAUUGAGUUACAUCAAGAAACACUGGUUCAUAGAAAUUUAUUUUCACCCUGUUUUGUGAUUCAAUACCUAUUUGUCUUAAGACUAGUUCAUAGCCUUUGGGUACCAGUACUAAUGCAUUGGAUUUUUUUUCCUCAAAAAAUAAAUAAAUAAAUAAAUAAUCACGUUUACACUUUGUGGGGGAUUGUAGGAAAAGUGUAAAUAAUUUUUAUUUUUAUUUUAUUUUAUUCUAUUAGUCUUAUAUUUUUGGGAAGAGUCCUAUUGGGAUUGUACUAGUGGAGUCCCAUUCCUUUUAUAAGUAGAAUCCCCUUCCACUCUGAGUCAUGCUCUGAUUACAAGUAGAUUCCCAUUGGGACUAUGUUAGUGGCCUAUAAAAGCAGGUCACCCCUCGCUCUCUAUAUACCAAUACCAAUUUUUUAGAGAAUUUUUUUAGAGAGUUUUUCAAAUAUUCUUUUCAUACAUCUAUCUAGACGAAUUUUUUCAAAAACCCGAGCUGUACACAUCUCGCUUACAAAGUGCACCCAAGGCAAGAGCUGGGUGUUGAAUCCUGGAGGUAGACCACUGGUACCUUAGUGCACCGAAUUUGUCUUCGAGGAGGGUGGAUCUAUUUCAAAGACAAUGUUUGCCACACCUCAACCGACAAGGCGGCACAACGUGCACAACCAUUUUUUGAUUUUUCUUUGGGAAUUUUGCUUUGUUUAGGAACUUUGCUAAAAUGGGCACUUGACCUUGAUGAACAUUUUUCCUAGAUGGACACUCGGCCUUGGUGGGCAUUUUACCUAGAUGGGUGCUUGGCCUUGAUGGACAUUUUGCCUGGAUAGGCACUUGUUCUUGAUAGGUAUUUGCUUAGAUGGGCAUGUCACCUUGUUGGGCACUUGGCCUUGAUAGACAUAUCAUCUAGAUGGGCAUUUUGCCUUGAUGGGCACUUGGCUUUUAUGAGCAUUUUGCCUAGAUGGGUAUUUUACCUUCUUUGAUCUUUCAUAGGUUGGAACUCUAUAGGUGGUGGGGUUGUGUUUUGGGUUGUAUUUUCCAGGCACACAUGUGUAGGGGUAGGGAAAUGCUGCAUUUCCUCCUGGUUUUAGCUCUAGAUGUGCUUAUUGCCAUGCACACAUGUAAGUAUUGUUCUGCUUCUUCUUCUUGUGUUUAAGGGUAAGUUGAGUUUUUUUUCGUACUCUUACAUUUUCUCUCCAUCUUUCUUUGUCUUUAUUUUGUUGUGCAGAUGAAGUGUGGCAUCAAGGAUUUUAGUAGGCGGAAAGGUGAGCUUCACUACCACGUUGCUGAAACUGACCAACUGAGGUAAGUCAGGUACUUUUUUUGCAGCUAAAGCUUUUGGUUGGGUGCUUUCUUGGCACUUGACGAUUUGACCGAGUGCUUCUUGGAACCUAAGGCUAUGGUCGGGUGCUGUUCGGCACCUAAGACUUUUUGGUUGAGUGCUUUUUUGGCACUUAAGGCUUUGUUGGGCUCUAUGCUUGGCUGGGUACUACUUAGGCACCCUAGGCUUUGUUGGGCACUAGGCCCAACUGGAUGCCACUUAGGCACCUUAGGCUUUAUUGGGCUUUAAGCCUGGUUAGGUGCUACUUGGGCACCGUAGGCUUUGUUGAGUGCUAGGCCUAGCUAAGUGCUACUUGGGCACCCUAGGCUUUAUUGGGCUUUAAGGUUGGUCAGGUGCUACUUGGGAACCUUAGGCUUUGUUGUGCUCUAGGCCCAACUAGGUGCCACUUUGACACCUUAGGCUUUAUUGGGCUCUAAGCCUGGUUAAGUGCGACUUGGGCACCUUAGGCUUUAUUGGGCACCCUAGGCUUUAUUGGGCUCUAAGCUUGGUCGGGUGAUAUUGGGCACCUUAGGCUUUAUUGGGCUUUGGACUUAGCCAGGUGCUACUUAGGCACCUUAGGCUUUGUUGGGCUCUAGGUCUGGUCGGGUGCUACUUGGGCACCCUAGGCUUUAUUGGGCUUUAGCCUUGGCUGGGUGCUACUUGUGCACCUUUGACUUUGUUAUGCUCUGGCCCUGAUCAGGUGCUACUUGGGCACUUUAGGCUUUGUUAAGCUCUAGGCUUGGCCGGGUGCUACUUAGACACCUUAGGCUUUUAAAGUCUAAUGCUUCUUUAUACCUAAGGUUUUUUUUUUUUUUUUUUUUUUUUUUUUUUUUUUUUUUUUGCGGUCAUGCGAUGCGUAACAUAUUUGAUUUGAAAAAUACAACAGUUGACGAUAUUGCUUCCCCAUUUGGGGAUCUUUGCUUUUAGAUGGAUUAGGCCAUUUGGUAAGAGUAGGAAGUUCUUCUUUGGUAGAUCCACCAGCGCCUCUUUGUCCACUGAUAGUGUCUAGGCAGUUGCAUUGAGUCAGGCCACCAAGAUCUAGUUCUCCCUUUUGAUUCGGUUAACAAGUCUUCUCAGUUUGUCCAACUACCUUCGAUACUUGUUAGCUACGGUUCAGUUGUUUGUUGUGGCCACUCAUAAGUUGUUGGGAUGACACUCUCACCAUCAACAUAGUUAGCUGCCAAUGUAGUCACCAUGGUUGGCUUUUGUUUCAUUCCCAUAGAUGAUGCCAAUUGUUGGUGCACAAUCUUUCUAGAUGUGAUGAUUUGGUGACUAUCCGGGUCGCUAUCCAAUCUUCUAUUGUCACCUCCUCUAUUGGUGGGUGUCUUGGUUCUCUAGGAAAAUGAUAUUUUUUUUCCUUGUUCUUCUUUCUCCUUUAUAGGUUAGAGUUAGACGUUGGAGGUUGUGUGGAGUACACGAUUAGCUUGGCAGGUUUGUGUUAGGCAGUGUGUGGUCGACUAUCCCUAACGCUUCAUGUUGAUGUGACAAGAUGAUGUUUUCCUUAGAGAUUUGUUCCUCAUACAUGUCUUGUUGUUGCCUUUGGUAUUCAUGCCACAUGAUCCAUGUUGGCAGCCUAAAAACUUCUUCCCAGUGACCAAUUUUUUAGUUCUUCUAGGAUCAGUUGGAGUGGGCUCUCGGAUCACUAUAGGUUUAAAUAGAGUCGGGAUGACUUCUCGAUCGGGAGACAAUAUUCAGCCGAUACAACAUCCGGGUACCCCUUCUUGGCAAAAUUCGGCACCCUCAGGAGGCAGCUUUUAUAGCGAAAUCUGCCACCCCCGACCCGAGUAAGCAGGUAGACCCACAGGUUGGCUGGCUUCUAUGGUUUGUACCUCCAAUUAUAAUGGAAGUAUAAAUUUUAAAAAGAUUCAGUGAUUGUAGGAUUCAAUUCUAAUGCUCUUAUAGUAGCCAAGGGUCCUCGGACUCAUGGUAGCACACAGACAUGUCCUCUUCUAUCUAUGCAAAUAGUCAUGCAAAAUACAAAUAUUCCCUCAUACAUUCUUAUAGUUUUACAUGUAUAUGAAUUUAAUUAUUUUAUGUUCUGACUAGUGAGUAGAAAGUGAGUUAAGGUCUCCGACAACAAGGUCUCCAAGCAACCAUAUUUCCCCAUUUUAACCUCGCUACUGCCAUUGAUGCGGUAGUAGAGUAUAACUGGCACAUAUAGAUAUGCCAGAAGAGCAAUCGAGAGCAGAUAGCUUCAAAUUCUGAAUGUGAGGUUCAGUUGGAGACUGGUUUUAUUAGCCUUUUAGAUAUGAUUUGAACCUCUAUUUUAGACAAGAACUUGGAGCUUCUGAAUAUAUGUAGUACAACUCCUUUGGUCAUGUAUAUAUGUGCAUAUUGCGUUGAGAUAGACAACAUACAAUCACUUGGCAACACAAUAUUAAAACUUUCAGAAUAUCACAAAAUUUGAUUGAUGUCAAAGACUCAUUCUGGACAUUUAGGAUAGGAGGUUACAAUAAAGCCAUUAACUGUACACAUAAGUUCAUUUGCAAGAAUUGGGAACCAAUUUAGAAGGUCAAGUAUAUUCGCUGUCAACAAGAAUGACGCCCUCCGAUUUAAGAUCUCUACUGAGGAGGAACCCAGUUUGAUCAAGAUUCUAGGAUCAAACAACAGAGUCAAAGUCAAAUCAAGAGCAACGUUCCAACUUGUCAUGAAGACCAAGAAUAGUAAUUGCUUUUGAGCAAGCAGUGAAAUUAUUUGCAAUCAGACAAUCAUCUUCUUCUUCAAGAAAUGCUGUAAUGAAAUUCUUACCAGUUGUGUCUGAUUCUUCGAAACAUGAAGUUAGCAAACAGAUUGUUCAUAUAUAAUGUCAGUUGGCAUAAAUGUAGUGUUCAAUCACCAAGCCACAAAGAUGAUACAACAGAACAGUUGCAGCAGGAAAACUUGGUUGUUUAUUCAAAAUCAAGUAAAUCUCUAGGUCCCUCAUACCACGAUUGCUCCCAAUAUUUAGGUCUUGGCGUAGACAAUUCCUUUCGUGUCUAUGUGGACAGAACAAUGCUUGGUGUUCUAGUUGUUGUCUUUCACCAUGGUCUAUAGAAAAAAUGUCCAGAAAAACAACUAAUGAUCAGUAGAAGUGUAAAAGGGAAGAAAGAAAACUACUGAUAGAUUGGAUCAUGACAGAUAUUUAUUUUUCCUAAAAGAAUGUAAAUGUAUGGUUGCUCUUUGAGUACAGCUCUCUACAGCACAAAAAUAAGGCAAUCAAAUGAAACAAACCAAGAAAACAACAAUAUUAAAAGAGUUAUGAAAUAUCACCAGAUGAGAUCCAACAGUAAAUUAAGAAACUUUAUAUAAUCUUGUUUACCUUAGGGCCAUGUCUGGAGGAGUUCCAAUUGUAGGCCUAGGGCCAAUGUUGAUAGGCACAUGCCCAGAUCUUAGACACCCUCAAGAUGAACAGUAGCAGCUACUCUAGGCGCUCCUACUGCACAGGCAAAAAACAAGUUAGUCAAUGUUUCUUGGCUAUUGGCUUUGGCUUGGACCUUGGUGGUUAUGUCAAUUUUAGAUAAAUAUGUUAAUAAUCCAAUGACUAUACUCCAAGAUUGAUGAUAUAUAUGCAAUAUAUCAAUUUGGAAAUGUCGAUAUAAACAUUUAAGGAAUUUAAAUUAGUCAAUUUUCAACAAUCUAGCAUUCAAAAGUGUACAAAAUGGUUAUAACUUGAAAGUUUGAAUAUAAACUGAGGUACAAUAUUCCUAUAGGCUCAAGUCUCCCUAGAACAAGGCAUCACAUCACAUAUUUAUGUGGCCUUAUGUUUGAGGUAAGCACCUUAUCUAUUGGCGAGUUCAUCAAUAAUAAGCUUUUUGCAAGAAAUUGGAGACCUAAAAUUACUCUAAUACUUCUUUUAUUGAACAUUAAAUUUUCUUAAAAGUGUUAUCGAUUAUCAAACAUUUAUAUCAAUGGUGGAAACUAGUUUGCUACCAAAGUGAAGGUCAAAGUCCUAAUUAUCAUUUCACUAAACAAUGUAAUAUAGUAUUAUACAAUUAUUGCUUUUAAAAGAAAAUUUACAAGCUAACUAGCGAAAUUUAUGAUUAUACCUUUUUCCGACUUCACUCACGCCAUUGAGCUUUAUAAUUUGAUGAAACAAGCCUAAAUCAAAAUUAUACAAAAAAAAAUAAAGAAUUGGAGAAAACAAACUUGUAAGCACUAAAUUUUGUACUUUAAAAGAGGAAAUAGGAUGCCAAUUGUAGGUUUAAUUUAAAGAAACCUUAAAAAAAUAUUUUUAAAAUUAUAGGAAAACCCCCAUACCUUAGAAAAGAUUGGGGCGAACAGUCUACCUUUUGGCGAUGUUCACAUCUUGAGAGGAAUGACUUCUUUCUUAGUAGAUCUGAUGAUGGUGUUGAUCUUUGGGAAGAGAUGAUUAGAAGGCUACGUUGAAUUUUAGUGAGUGAGAGAGAAAGCAACACCCAAAACCCUAAAGCAAAAAAGGAAUUAAUAACUUAAAUAGAUUCCAUUUUUUCCUUAUGACAUGUCUACCUUAGUAAGGUUUUUAUGGCAGUGAUACCAUUUGGAUAAUUAAGUCAUUGAUUUUGAUGGAUCUUUUCCAUUUGAAUUUUUAAUAUAUAAACUUAAUCUUUUUACUUGGGGUAAUAUAUUUGGUAUUUUAGGAUUUCCUUUUUAAUAAUAUGCUUUUAGUAGAUGGUUUAACUAUGUCCUAGUGUAAUAAGUAGUCUUGCAUUACAUUAUCUACUAUGGAGUAGGAGUGUGUUGCUUGUUCAAGGGAUGUAUGGGAAGUUGUUUAUUUGAUGAUAUACUUUCAACACUUAGAGUCACGACUUGAGCUAAUAAGUUUAUCAAGAUCUAAGCAUUGAUGGUGUUGCUACUCUAUUGUAUAGCAAGGAUCCAAUUAGUCACAUUGUAGGACAAAACACUUAUAGACAAUUGAUUCUACUACAUUCAAGAUAUUGUUGCUUAAGGGGAGGUAGAGUCAAAACAAGUAGACAAUUGAUACAACUACACACACAACAUAGAGACAAAACACAUGAAUAAUACUAUGGUUGAAUAAAUUAAUUGGAUGACAUCAAGCUAACAUUGAUCUAGUAUAAUUAUUUGGAGCCUAAAUGAGGGUAUGAUGAGAUGAUAAUUAUUUUGUCAUCAACAUAGUGAACAACAUAAAUUAAAAUCUUGAAAUGUCACCUUAGCCAACCUAGUAGAAAUGAUUCAUCAAAAUAUUUGAAUGUGAGAUCUUAAAUUGGUGUUUGACAAAUAAAUAUGGUAAUAAACAUAUAUUAAGUAUAUAUGAAGUGACCAAGCUGAGAUUUGUAUCAUGUUAUUAUAGGGAAUCCCGAAUCUCUUUGUUCCUUAUCCUAUGAUUAGGCUAGGUACAUGCGAAUCUUUCUAAGUUUUUCUAAAUCGUAUGAACAAUGGAAAAAUUGUGUUUUAAAAUAAUAACAAGAUUUAGAAUUUGCAUUAGAAAACAUUACCUUAGAUUUGGAUGUUCCCAAAUCUAAUUCACGUAGUAAAGGAGAAGAUUGAAGUUUUCAGAGGUCUUGAACACCCAAGAUCUUCCACCAGAUGACUUUUCCUUGAUUUUAGAUCUUAAUUGGUGAAGAGGAAGGAAGACUAAAAAGGCUAUGGUUCUCUCUCUCUUUGAAUAGUGAAAAAUGGCUCACUUCAAAAAAGUAAUGAAAACCUUAUUAUUUAAGGGGUAUUUAUUGGGUUCCCUAAUUGGGUGUAAGUGACUUAAGCGUACUAAAGGUUUGAAUCAUUUAAUUUAGCUCAAAAUGAGUCUUAAUUGAUUAAUUAACCUAACAUAGUUAUCUAAUUAAUUAAUUAGCUAAAUUUGGAGACUUUGUUCACUUACCCCUAUGCAACCUUGCAUAAUUACCAAAACACCCUUAUACGUAAAAGUGAACCAAGAGUUGUGUCAUCAAGGUAUAUGAGCUUAGGUGGAGACCAUUGAGACUUAUAGGACAGUACUAGCUACCCCAAAAUCUAAUUUUGAAGUUGAUUUAACAUUUCACUAUAGAGAAUCAAUUGCACUAUAAUACCUUAUGUAAAUAACAAUGAGAUGCUAAGUGGUCGAGCCCAUGACUUAUUAUCCAUUGCAUUCAGUCUCCCUAUGAACUGGUGUUUGUAGUCUAAUAAGGUGAAAACUAUCAACCUUUCAAGACUACCUCUACUAUCUUUGAAUUACAAAUCCUCUUAUUAUGUAUUUAAUUGAUAUAUCUUAAGUCUCCAAGAGUCUAUGUCAAGUUCCAUUUAAGAAACUACUAUGACCAUAGUUUACAUGAACAUACCUCCUUAGGAUCACUUAAGGGGACACUCUGUCUCAAUCCUCUUAGAUUUCAUGGUACUUCUGUUACAAAUACUCAUUGUCAUAGACUUGGAUCAAUAGUGAACCAAUCCAUAAGGAACAUAUCUUACGAUUUCAUUAGUAGGUCAAAGUCACUACUAACUUUAACACAAAUUCUAUAUUCUCUCAAGGUUAAGAGAUAAAACAAUGAAGCAACUUGGUGAAAUCAUGACUAUUUAAUAGCUUUAUGUCAUGAUUCACCAUAAGUCUUGUCUAAUGUGUAACCAUAUGCACUAGUAUACUCACCAUGGAAAACCCAUCCUGAUAACCAAGACCAACCAUUCCUCUAAAUAUGAAGUAGCAUACUAUAACCUCUAAUGGGUUACCUAGGCCUAUGAAUCGGUUGUGAACAAGUCAUUUACUUACAAUGAAUCCAUUUCUUAAAUUUUUUUUGCAACUCUUAAUGCACUCAAGUCCUGUACAAUACAAGAUAUAUAUAUUAAAAUGCUUACAAGGUAUAAUGUAUAGGAUUAGGAUAAAUAAAAGUGAACUAAAAGUUUAUUAAUAAAUAAUAAAAUUUUAAAUUUAUUACAUCGUGUCAUGCUUUUAUGAAACCUUUAAAAUACUAAGAGCAACCUUUCAUAAUCAUGAAUUAAACUUUAGUUUCAACUUCUAUCAAAGGCUAAAUGAGAAAAGCUAUCAUAGAGGAGGCCUCAGCCAAUGGGUAAGAUGCACUGUUAUACCAAACAAUAAGUGGAAAAUACAAUUUUAUUAAUACUUGAGAAAAAAAAAAAGAAAGAAAUAAAAGGAAGAUUUUACACUCAAACCAAGCAUUUAUUUAUAAUGAAGUGCAGUCUCCGUACGCACAUGUGGACUUAUUGGAAAAUCAUACAAAUUAUUGAAGGACGACCUUAGCUAGGCUAACAGUCUCCUAAAUAGGCUAUCUUUUAUAUAUCUUUGCAUUCAUCCAUCUCCUCAUUGUCUUUGAUUUUAGAUGGUGAGGAUGUGAAAGUAACAGGAAGCAGUGGACAAUUGUUCACAGUGAGGCUUAGCACAUCAGCUCUCGAAUAAUGUCCUACCACAUCGAACUGGAACUUUGCUUUAGGAAUCUCUCCACGAACAUCUACAUAUCAAGUGAUCACAAAAAUAUUUCAUCGGUCCAUGAUAAAUAUCAUAGAAUAUCAAGUCUUCGAUAAAACUAAGUUUGCAGUCCUCUUAAACCUAAAGAAUCAACUCAUUUGCCUUAUCUGCAUACUGAAAUAUUUGGAUAUAUAAUUGGAGAAGUUAGGGCCAUACCAAGAUCAGCUGUGAAGAGGCCUUCUCCUUCAUAAUUCGGUCCUGCUAGAAUUUCGCCAUGGGGCGAAAUGAUGACACUACCUCCAGCCCAAACAAUAGAAUCUGGAGUGACAUCUUCUUCUGUAGGACUGUAAAGAUACUCAGGUGGAGGUGGGUAAUCUUUCCUCCGACAGAACUGGAUGGGUGAAAGAACAUAGCAUCCACCCUCAAUAGCGACGUGUCUCAUUGUAGCUACCCAUGUAUCCCCGGAAUCGGCAGUAGGAGCACAAUAUAUCUCAAUACCUAUAGAGAUGUACAUUCGUAUUUUGUGAUCAAUCAAUCCCAUAUCAAAGCCAUAAUGUAUUUCAAGCCUAUUUAUAGGCUAAAACCCUAACAACUUAAAAAAGAGUACUGAAGUAUUUCAAGCCAAACCAUAUUAGUUAGUGAAGAAAAAGACAUACCUUUGCCAUACAUUGAUGUCCUGAAAAGCGGCAUUCUAUUUUCCCAACAAAUGACCGAACCAAGUUUUCCAUAUGGAGUAUCAUAAACUGGAGUAGUCGAGCAAUCUCCGAAACCCCAGAACAGCCGCUCCCAAUAUGUUGGCAUGAGUUUCCUAUGUUUUCCAAGGUAAUUACCUUCAGGAUCAAAGAAGAGAACAGUGCAAUACAAUGUGUAUCCAUCUCUCUCAACAACACCUGUCACUAAGUAGACUUUGUAUUUCGCAGCCAUUGAUGCCAAUCUAUCCACUUCAGGUCCUGAAAAUACAUUAAUAUGAGAUCAAAGAUGAAAUAUGUAAGCUGAUGGCUCAUCACAAAGCAUAAGUAGAUUUUUUUUUUCUUGGUUCAUUCAUCAAACGUGUCUUGUUUCAAUAACUAAUUAAGUGGUUCAGUUCUUUGGCUAUUUAAGGGAGAAAGAGAGAGGUAACUGACCCGGCACAUUAAUGGCAGAAGCAUGGUACUUGCGGAAACUUUCUUUCCCUCUUGGCGACUGGUCGGCGAAAUUGUAUCCCCGGGGAUACCCACCGAUAAAUGCUUCAGGAAACACAACCAGUUGGGAUCCUAGUGCAGCUGCUUCUUUCAAAAACCUCUCAGCCUUAUCUGCUCUCAAAAUCACAUUGCAAGAAUUAAUAAUCCACGACUUAGUAAAUUAAUUGGUUGAAUGGACAGAAUGAAAAUUAACUUCAAGAGAUCCCGAAUGACUUUUUGGUUGCUGAGAAAACUCAAGGAAAAAGAGACCUAGAUGAAACUUGAAACUCUCAUAUUUUCAGCUGUUUUGUAACUAAGAAAAGAGAAACCACCUCAACCCAACUCAUUAAAAUAAUUGUAAAAGCAGUAAUUCCUUGAUUGGCAGCUGAAAAUAUGAUCAGGGUUCAAUCAUCCUUUUCUUUUUUUCAGUCUCUGAGCAACCAAUUAGAUCACAUAUUCCAUUACACAAGUUGAACAAUUGAAAGAAAUGGUACGUUACCUAGAGUGGCAGGAGUAUCAUAAAAGAUACUAGAAGCUUGAACAACGGUGGCUCUAACAGUUGAAGACAUUGCAGAAAUCGUAUGCUUUUUCGUUUCCCUUUUGUUUGAGGAUUCCUUACACAACGUUCAGUAUAUAUAUUGCCCAUGAACAUGAGGUUCUUCUGCCAUUACUUGAACGAGACGAAGAGGCUGUGAAAAGUCUACCUUGGUUUUCUAUAUUCAUUGUGAGCUUUUCUCCUCAUCACAAAUUUUGAAGUUAUCCGCAGACAUUGUGGACCAGCCACAUGACUUGUACAAAUUGAAAAUGACUGUAAGAAAAUGACUCAGCCAAUUCAAGAUAUUUGUCAUUAAAAGAAUAGUCAUUAAAAGCACAAGAUAUUUGUCAUUUUUUUUUUUACAAAAACGACUGAGUCGUACAUAGUGUUAUGGUUAUAGACGCCCAAAAGAAGUCUUUUUGUGCCUUGUAAGAAAACCUUAGCCAAUUCAAGAUGACCACAGAAUCAAAAUAAGUUUUAUCGCUUUCUUUUUUUUCUACAGGUACGAUGAUUAUCUUUGAACGAAAAGAGGGAGCCGCCCACAUGCACAUAAAAAGGGAGUAAUGAGUGAUUCAAUGGCAGCUAUGGUAGAAAAAUAAAAAGGGAACUAUGCUUACCCUCACGUUGAUUCAAGCAAAUAUAUUUUUUAGGAAUUCUAAUUUUCAUAUUUCACCCCAAACACAUAAUCAAUAAAUUUAUUCUUCAAAUAUGUAUUUUAAUAACAACCAAAAUGAGAAUUCUAUAGUUAUCCCUUUUAAAAUCUUUAAUAUGACAAGUCAUCAUUUGAUCUGUUUGAUAUCCUCUCCAUAUCAUGUCUUUGAUAUCCUAACUUUGACAUUUUUUUAUUUAUAUACGCUGAAGUGAAUACACUUUCAUAUUUCUUUUUAUUCUUUUAAUAUUUUCAUAUUUAUUAACUUAGUCAUUUUUUUGAAACAUUAACAUAAAAUUAUAAUAUAUGAUCAAUAACUAAUAAGAACAAAUUAAACAUAAAUAUAAGUACGGAAUGGACAGAAAAUAAAAAAUUUAUCCUACAAAUAAUACACUAUAUAGUUUAAAAUAUUAAUUAUAAUAAUAUAUUUGAUACUUUAGGGUUUAGAUUAAAAAAUUAUGUUUUAUUUUUUAGAGGCUAGGAUAUAGGAUUUCCAUUAACCAAAGAUUUUUUGUAUGAAUCCUAAAUAAAAUGUGUAUUUAUUUUGCAAAUUCUUAUCAUAUAUAAAUAAAAUAAAAUAAAUAUAUUUUUAUCAUAUUAUUUUUAAUUUUUAUUAUUUUGUGUCAAAAUCACAGUCAAUGAUGGUGGUUUUUGUUAUGAUAUAGCUCUUAAAAGGAUGUUAUGAUGCAAUAAAUAUGAAGUUUAUUAUUUAUUUAAUGGUAUUUUGAUUUUACUUUUAUUAAUCUUUAUUUCAUGCAUUUUACCUUAUGAGUAUUCUAGCUUGACAUUUCUUGCACUAUACAUAACUUGGGUGCAUUAAAAAUUGCAUGAAAGAUCCAAGUUAUAGGUUCCUUGCAAGUAAAUGAUUUGUUCACAACCGCUUUGUGAACUUAAGCAAUCCAUUUGAUGUCGUAGUUCACUACCUCUUCAUUAGAGGAAUGAUUUAUCUUGACUACCAAGAUAGAGUUCUCAUGGUGAGUACACUAGUAUGAUGAGUUAUAAUUUAUAAUGUAAGGUUGUUGGGUAGUCAUAACUCACUAAGUUGUUAUAUUGUAUUAUCUUCUCAACCUUGAGAGGAUACUGAACUUGUGCCAAAGUCUAUAAUUGUUUGACCUAUGGGUGAGAUUCUAAAGUGAUUAUAUAUUCCUUACAGAUUGGUCACAGUAGAUAGAAGUCAGUAGUAAUAAGUAUUCUCAAUACAAACAUCACGAUAUCUCAUGGAAUUUGAGAUAGUGUUGGGUCAUAAUAAGGACAUGUGAUCAUGAAAUCUAUGGUCGCAUUAAUUCUUUAAAUGAAAUUUGAUAUAUGCUUUUGUGAGUUAGAGUAUGCUAGUUGAUCAUAUAAUAAGAGAAUAUGUGACUCAAGAAUGGUAUAGGUAAUCUUGAAAGGCAAAUAUCUUUCACCUUAUUAGAUUAUAAACACUAAUUCCUGGGGAGACUAUAUGCAAUAGAUAGCAGGUCACGAACUUAAGCACUUUGUGUCUUGUUGUAAUACACAUAGGGUAUUGAAGUGUAGUUGACUUUCUAUAGUAAGAUGUUGAGUCAAUUUUAAAAUUUGAUUAUAAGGGAGCUAGUACUAUCCUAUGGGUCUUAGCAGUCCUUGCUCAAGUUCAUAUAUCUCAAUGGCAUGGUUUAUGAGGGUUGGAUUAACUCAUGAUUCACUUAUGUGCAUAAGGCUGUUUUGGCAAGUAUGCAUGAUUACAUAGGAGUUUGUUGGGACAAAACCUUAUAAAGUAUGACAUGAUGUAAUAGAUUUAGUUUCAUUAAUAAAUUUAUUUAUUUACUAUUCUAGUUCCCUUGUAUUAUCCCAUUGGCAUUAAUUGGUUAUCAAAGUAUUUACACCCAUAUCACUUGCAUUGUACAUGACUUAGGUGUAUUUAGAGUUGACCAAAAAAUCCAAGUCAUGGGUUCUUUGCAAGGUAAUAAAUAGUUUAUAGUAGGUUCAUGGAUUUGAGCAAUUUAAUAGAGACUAUAGUGUACUACUUCCCAAUUGGAGAGAUGACUAGUCUUAGUCACCGAGAUGACUUUCCCAUGAUGAGUGCAAUAAUGUGUAUAGUUACACAUUGGACAUGACCUAUGGUGAAUCAUGACAUUAAUUGUUGGGUAGUCAUGAUUCACCAUGAUACUAGAUUGUAUAAACUCUCAACCUUGAGAAAAUAUUGAGUUUAUGCUAAAAUCAACAAGAAGCUUUUAUCUAUGGGUGAGAUCCUAAUGUGGUCAUAUAUUCCUUACAAAUUAGGUUACAGUUGAUGAAGGUUGGUGGCAACAGGUAUUCUUAAUAGAGACAACAUAAUAUCUUAUGAGAUUAAGACAACGUGUCUCUUGGGUGAUCCUAAAGACAUGUGAUCAAGAUGACUAUGACCAUAGUAAUUCCUUUAGUAGAAUUUGACAUAUGCUCUUUGUAAGCUAAAGUAUGUAAAUUGAUCAUUAAUAAGAGGAUUUGUAACUCAAGGAUUGGAGAGAUAAUUUUGAAAGGUUGCCAUCACUACCUUGUUAGAUUACAGACACCAGUUCACGGGGAGUUUACAUGCAGUAGAUAGUAGGUCAUAGACCUAAACUUUUCCUUAUUGUAAUUAUAUAGGAUAUUGGAGUGUAGUUGACUUUCUUUAGUAAGGUGUUAAGUUAACCUUAGAAUUGGAUUCAAAGCGAGCUAGCAUUUUCCUAUAGGUUCCAAUGGUCCCUGCUCAAUCUCUCAUUUAAUGGUGUCACAUUUGUUUAAGGUAUUUUAGGUUUGUAGUUAACAAGUGUGCAUUAGGGGGAAUUUAAUAAAAAUACAAGGUUGGACUAGAUAUUGUGAAUAGACUUUCUAGAUUGGCCUAAUUUAUUAAUGGAUUCCAAUAUGGCUAAUUAAUUAAUUAGGAUCUAAGUGAGUUAAAUUAGGUAACCUAAGCCCACUUUAGGCUUAAGUCACUAAAGUUCACAAGGAAGCUUAUAAAUAACUAUUUAAAGCUUAUUGGGUUUUAUGAGUAACUUAAGCUUGCCUUGGGUUUGGGUAAGUUAUCAUAACCUAAAAAAGUUCUUAAUUGAGCGCUUAGAUUAAUCAAUUAGCUUAGUCCAGAAAUACCUUUCACCAACUCUAUUGGAAACUUUGAAUUACUCCAUUUCAUGAUCUAGGAUCAAAUAGGGUGCAUGCAACUAUCUUUAGGUUUUUCUAGAUCUAAUGCACUAGAAAAAUAUGGAUAUAAAAUCCAUAAAAUGUACUAGAUUUAUAGAUUAAAACUCAUACCUAUGAUUUCAAUGUUUCUAAAUUAAAUCCAAUCCCUAAAAGAUAUCAAAGAUGUUUUAAAAGUCAUCUAUCAAACAAUUUUCCACCCAAUCUCUCCCUCCACAAAUAGACCCUAGCACAAAAAAAGGUGAAUGCUGGAAUUUUCGUCAAUUAUUGGAUCAAAACAAAAUUUAUAACCUAAUUCACUAUUCUAUAGCAGCUUGUACCCGAUCAAAAAGUGGUUUUAGUACAAACUAUUGUAGUAUAGUGGUUUUUAGGUGUCGUCCACUAGGAUGGAUUGUUCUCGGUAAUUAAGGCUUGAAUGAGAUGAUAAGAAAUUAUUGCAAUCAAGUGAAAAUGAUUUGACAAUUCAUGAUAAAAGUUCAACAUAACAAUGAUUUCAAAUUUAGAGGAAAAUGAAGGGUAAAAGAGAAGAAAAUUAAUAGAAGAUGAAAUUCUUGGAGGUAGGAUUUUCUAGAAAAAAAUUUCCACGGUGAAUAGAUGUUGAGAUCUAAUUUUCAUCAAGUUAGAUUGAAAACCUAAAUUUUCAUCUAAACCAAUUUUUGAUUUAGCUUUAGGUCUAGAUCUAAUUUCUCUUCAAAUUAGGUCAUUUAAUCCAAGAGAUCAAUUCAAAUUAUAUAUUCAAUUCAUCUUAAACUAUCUUCCAAUGAUUCACAUAAUGCAACUAUUCAAUCUCAUCAAAUCUAGCUUUAAGAAUUUGAUGAAUCUACCUAGCUUGCAUUGUAGUAAUCAUCCAAGACAAUUUGAAGAGAAAAAUCCUCAAAUUUCAAUUAAUCAAUCAAUUGGAUCAAAUUACCUUUUCAAUUCAAGCUCAUUUCUCUAAUUCACCAUAGAUUUUGCCUCUAGAUCCUCCCUCCUUUGAGAAAAAUGAGAUUUAGCCACUCAUGCUUGGAGAUUUUGCCUCACAAAACAUUUUUGGCUAGCGAGAAAAUGAAGGAAAGUGGAAAAUUCUAGAGAAAGAGAAAAUAUGGAAAAUUCUACAAUUAGAAAAUGUCUAAUUUUUUUUGAAAAUGAGUAAAUCAAGUUUCUAUUUAUAGGCCAAGGUCAAGAGGACACUUGGCAUCAUCUAAGAGGUCUUUUAAAGGCUUCUUCAUCAAGAAAUUUGGAGUUUAGUAAUAAAAUGUCCAUUUCGCAAGAGAUCCAGCACUUUCACACGAGCUCCAUCAAUUUCGCAUGAGUGUGCGAAGUGGAAAAUGCAUCAGCACCAAUUUCGCCUUCUUAGAGCAUUUCGCAUGACUGUGCGAAAUUUUCGCAUGGUCGUGCAAAAUCAGCUUCAAGAUUUCCCUUUGAGCUGUAGCCAAAAUUGCCUUCUGGUCCAUUUCAAUUUUAUACUCUGUGUUUUUGGGAUGAAUGACAUGUGAAAGUUGGAAUUUGCUAAAAAAAUAUACAUAUAUUUUUUUGAGUUAAUGUUUGUAAGCAUAAUUCUCCCAAAAACCGGUCAUGCUUCAUCAUAUUGUAUGUUUGUUUUUUUUUAUAAUGUGUGGUUAUUCAUCUUUAUAUUUGUGUAAUGGAUUGAUAUCUAUAAAUUAAGAGUAUCAAUUGAUAGGUAGAUGAAUCAAUUGAUUGGGCAUCUAAGAGUCUUAUGUGUAGAAGACUAAAAUUAUAAAUGGGGAGUUAGAAAACUUUUCAUUUAUAUGAAUAGGGUGUUACAAUUUUUGUAAUCCUAUCAUUAUGAGAUUUAAUUUGUAUAUAAAGUUUAUGAGUAAUGGAGGAAGAUGGAAAAGUAUAACCUAUGCAAUUAUAUAAAUGCAUUCAAGUUGGUAACCCACAAUUAUCCAUUAAUUUGUACAUAAUGUUUGUAAAUAAUGAAUAUAACUCCCGUGUAGUCUUUGAUGCAUGAGAAGACUAAGAGAUAUAAAUCUCUUUUAUAAGAUCAAGAUCCUAAGUCAUACUCUCAUUCUUAUGUCUUUUUGUUAUUUUACUUAUAACAACAUAUAACACACAAGUGACCCGUCUACUAUAUGAGAGUAGUGAGUUGAAGAUCUUGAGCAAAACAAUUCACAAGAUGACUCAAGCUCACUUCAAAAGUAUUAUCAAUAUCAUGGAUGAAGGUAAAAAUAUGAUCAUUAUAUUAUCAUUGCUUUAGCAUUUAUAUCUAUUAUGUUUUAUGCAUCCAAAAUUGAUUUUCCAAAAUAAUUGUUUUCACAUAAAGUUUAGUUAACAUGUACUUCUAUUUUAAAAUUUUAAAAUUUUAAAAUAAAUUUGCAGAAAUCACUUUUAAAUGUUUUUUUAUAAAAAAAAAUUUAAAAUAUGAAAGAAUCACAUAUUUUUUCAACUUUGAAAAAUAGACCUAAUAAACAUAUUUAACAUUUAUAGCAAUUAAAAAUUAAUUAAUAUUUUUUAAAAAAAAAUUAAAUAAAAGCAAUGGUGUAUCCAAAUAAUACCUUAUUCACCCAAUUUAGUUAUCAUAUGCCUUUAGUACCGAAGUGGCUGACUAAAUUUUUUCUCAAGGUAUAAUAAUGCUAAAAGAUCUUUAACCAAAACAUGGACUUCACUCUUAUUUCUUCCUACCACUUUAAUUUCACCCAACUUCACCUAUAGAAGCUCAUUCAUGUCUUAUCUUGUUUGUCUAGUUUGAACCUCAUGUUGCUCAAGUCCCAAAAGGAAUAAAAUUUCAUUCAGAAUAUAAUUAUGCACAAAAUCCUCAUUAGGGUUAGAGUUUGCUCCUUCAUUAAUUAAUUAUAAUGGUUUAGGGUCAGAAUAACAUACUUUAUUAUGUUAAAGUAUCCUAAACUUUGUUAGCAAACACAUAUGGCUGAAAGCGAAGAAUGAUCAAGAGUCCAAGUACUAACAAAGGGCACUUAUGAACCAUAGGUUGAGGAAAGUGGCUUGAGCCCAAGCUUGGGGCUUAGGUUAUUUUUUGUUUAUGCAAUACUUAAAUCCAAACUUAAAGGUGACAUUAGAAACAUAUUUCAAUCUCAUAUUUUAUCCUCUUAACUAUUGGACCUAAUUGCACUCGACAUGGAACUUGUUUAUGCAUUUUGGGAAUCACAUGCAUUUUAGUCCCAAAAUAGCUAUGCAACUUUUUUUUCCACCUAAUUAAGUUCAAAAUUAAGGGGGUGUUUGGUAAAACUUAAUACCUUUUACUAAUGACUUAAAUUGACUUUAAGUUAAAUUAUAUUUAACUUGCUAACUUAAAACUUAUUAUUUAAUUCUUACUUCAAGUAUUAAGGUUGUUUAAUAAAAUUAAUUUAAAACAUAUUUUAAAUCAUCAAAUUGAUAUAUUAUCCUCAUAAAUUAUAACUAGAGUAUAAGAGGUUGAGUGACAAUGAAGGUCGUGGAGUAGUAAAGAAAAUUGUGGAGGUAACUAGGAUAAAUGAGAAUAAAAAAGUAGAAUGAAAAUAUAAAUUUUAAAAUAAGUUAAUUGGUUUUACUUUUUCUUAAAAUUAUUUUUGAUUUUAAGUCAUACCAUUAAAUUAUUUUAAUAAACAUAAUUUACUUAAUAACUUAAAUUAAAUUAUUAAGUUGUUAAUUUACCAAACACCUACUAAUUUUCAAAUUCUAAGUUUAGCUUUGCUUUGCAGUGAAUGCAUUUAGGAUUAUCAAAGAGGUCAUCAAGGGUUUCAAACAUAUUUUAUUGCUCAACUUCUCGAAGAGGGACUUCAGAAGAGAAGAUUCCAUAAUUCUAGUUUUGUAUGCGAUUGUAUGUAUCCUACCACAUGGAGACGAUUCCUCAGCAUGCUGAUUUAUUAUUAAGUUCAUGUGAAUUACGUAUGGAAUUCCAAUUGAUGUGAACAUAAAAUUAAUUGAAUUAUGUGACAUUUUUUUUACGCAGAAUAAAACAUAUACAGUUGGAAGAUAUCUCGAGAUUCUGAUUUUAUAUCUGGCCCUCAAAAUUCUAUUUCACUGUCAGGUUGUGGACGUUCCACCCAGCUGGAGCAGAUCCCUUGGCAUGCUGAUAUGCCAACUAUUGAAAAGUCUGCACCCAUUUUCUAUAUUCAUGAGCUUUUCUCCUGUUCGAAUUAGUUUUGAAGUUAUCUACAGACAUGACUUGUACAAAUUGAAAAGUUUUAAUUAGGGCAGCAAAAGUAAUCCCUUCAAUUUUAUUAUUAUUGUUAUUAUUAUUACCUUAUAAAAAGAAUUUACCCAAUCAAAAGUGAUCGCAUAGUCAAAAUAGAUUUUAUUUUUUCUUAUCUUACAAUAAUAUAAAAAAAUAUAUAUAUACUUUCAAUCAAUGUCUCAUAUUUCUAACACGUACGCGCUCUAGAAUUUCUCGAAUUGUAGUCUAGAGUGUCAACUUUUAGUGUUUGAUCAAAAAGGCCAUAAACAAAUAUAUGAAAAAAGUAAUCAACAAGCAGAGGAUUCUUUUUGAAUAAAAAAGACCCACUUACAAGCAUGGAUUAUAAAUUGUCUUCAGUUGCGGCUGAAACUUUCUAUAUGACUUUAAAGAAAAAAGAGGUCAUAAAUAGAUAGCUGAGAACAAGUUGAGGGAUUCAAAGGCAGCUAUGGUAUAAAUAUUGUUUUAUAAAUUAAACCUUUUGUACCGCCUCUACAAAGGAACACAAAAUUGAGAGAUUCAAAGGCAGCUAUGGUAUAAAUAUUGUUUCAUAAAUUACUUUUCAAAUUUAAUUUGAUAGCAAAAAUUUAAAAUAUAAAAGUAUAAAAAAUUUGUUUCAUUCCCAAAAUUUUUGCAAAUAAAAUUUAAAGUAAUAAAUUAACACCAUGACUCUUUUCACAUCUUAUUCUCAUUUCUAUCAAAGCAAUGAUAGUAAUUGUCUUAUCUAUAAAUUUUAAAUGAUGUAAGAUCAUUGAAUUUUUAUUUUCUUUUAAACUUCUUGUUAUGUAAUUAUCAAACAUAUUUUUUUAAGACAAGAAAAAAAUUACACCGAACAAAUAGAUUUGAUACUUAGAAUAAUUGAAAACAUAAUUCGUAUUUUCCAUUUUUAAAAAUAAUAAAAGCAAAGGUGUUUCAAAACAAUACCUCAUUUGCUCAAUUAAUUAUCACAUUUCCUAAGUACAAAAGUAGGCAAGUAAAUUUUUGCUCAAGUUACAAUAGUGCUCCAAAUCCUUAUCCAAGAUUUUGAUCCUAUUUCACAAUUGUUUUUUAAAACAGUUUUUUUCUUCUCUACAACAAAAAAAAAAAAAAAACAAGAAAAUGUGUUUGAGAAUUGGAAAAUAAAGUGUUUUCAAAAAAACAUAUGUUAGUUGUUUUUAGUUUUUCUUCAUUAGCUUUUUUGAAGGUUGUUUUUAAAAAUAAUUAUACAAAUAUGAAGAAUUAUUAAAAAUAUAAUUUUAUAGACAAAAGUUAUUUUAAAAUUAUAUGCACGAGUUUUGGAAAGUCUUGCAAAAUAAGCAAAACUAUAGGAAAAAUAUGCAAAUAAAAUUUGUAUUAAAAUCAUUGGGGGCCCCCGCAUUUCGGCUCAUGCGCUUCCACUCGAUGGUGAGCUCGAUUUUUAUUUUGAAAAAUGAUUUAUUAUUUGAAAAAUGACUUGAAGUCGCCACUUAUUUUUGUUUUAUUUUUAAAGGGUAAACAAAAUAAGAAAGAAAACUCUAAAUGUGACUCCUUAUUUGGAAAAGGUGGUCUGUGAAAAACCGGAUCGGGCUCGGGGGUUAGGUUACUUAUUGGGAAGGUACGGUAAAAACCGUAGCACCCCUCUAAGUCCCCAAAAACGGGUCUUUACUAAUGAAAUGAAGCAAUCAUGACAAUUGAUAAGUAAAUCAAUGGAUACCGAAUGAAAAUCGAAACAAAAUACCCAAAUGAAUUUGAGAGACAAAGAACGUACCUGAGUGACGAGCUGAUUUAUUUCAUUGGAAACAAAGGUUAGUGAACAAACACAAAUGAUCGUGUGCAUAUCAUAGAAUAGAACAAAUCAAUCACAUAUAGCAAUCAAAUCAAUCAAUCAUAAAAUCGCAUAUGUUGGGCCCCCACUAAAACCCAUUUAUUUUUGCAUGAAUUAAUUCUGUAAAUUCCAUCACUCGGAAUUAUAGAAUUUAAUUCAUGCUUAUUUUAAAACAUUUAAAAAACAGAGGAGAUGUGAGUAUUGCUCAUCAGAAAAGAAGAUGGCAACAAAGUUUUAUUAAAAAUGGGAUUUUUGGUACCUAAAACUCUAAGGAUGAAAAUUUUGGAGUUGAGAUUAUUUAAAAAGUUAGAAUCUGAAAAAUUAUUUUUAAAAAAAGAUUUAGAAAGUUAUUUUCAAAACCAAAAGGGAGAAAUAGGAGGUGGCAUGUGGCCCAAAGGUGGCCAUGCGGAGGUGGCCAUGCAAAAACAUUUUCUUCUGGGCCAAGGGAGAGACUGCGCUAUAGGGAUCAAUGGUAUUGUUGGGCUUGUCAUAACUCUAACCAGGAUAGGAUCCCAGCCACAUAUAGCUGUAACUAGGUUGCUACAUUGAAAGAGUACCAAGAGAGGCACCCUAGCUUAACGGAGGUCAGGCCUGGUAGCCUUGCGGAGGAUAUCUCUAACCAUUGCCAGAUUUCUGAUAUGAUUCUCACUGAUGACUUCGUUGACCAACUGUUCAGCAAACUCAAUCUGUUCACUGGUACUGCCUAUGUGUGCAAUUCUCUCCAUUGAUAUGUCACCAGAAAGGAAAUGCAAAAGUAUAAACUAGAUACGAGCUCCUGUCUUGGCUUGCAUAUUUCUAAUGAUCUCACCGCCCUUACCAACUAUCAGACCAACCUUGUUGUUUGGUACUUUCAUCACGAGCUGUCCAAACCCAGUCCAACCAAUUAACCUUCAAGAAAUUAUGCCAAACCUCUUUGCUUAUAUCUGUUGUGUCAUUCCAUAAGAAUUGAACGCACCCAUAUGUAAGCACCCGUGAUGUGUCGUCACACUCCAACUGCAAAUUAAAUCGAACAAGACCUUUCAUGGAAGCAUCUCUGACAUCUAAAUGAGACCCUGUCAAACCUUGAAUUAUCUGGAGUUCAUCAAGUGCAUCAUCAAAUGCUCUUCAUUCAGAGUGUCCAACUUAGCAAUAGCUUCAUCAAAAACCUAUUUAUCCAGAUUACAAGCAUGAUCCAGGGGAUUCAGAAUCUUAUAGUAAAAGACGGAGAAGUUAAGUGCAAGCCUCAAGCAGAUAAGACGGGUUGAAGCCAAUUCCACAGCUGCAAUAUCCUACGCUGAUUUUAUAAGCUACGAGAGUGCUCUCCGUCGCCUCUCUCAUCUCGGCUCCGGUCUUGAAUGCUGAUAGAUAACAACGAUAAUCGCUCUUCAUCUUUAAACAAAGCGACUUUGGGUCACUAGCCAUAGCCGAAUGAAUAAGCUACGAAUCCAGCAGACGAAGAGUAUCGUCACAGAUGGAGGAUUGUUGAAACAUAACACGCAUAUAAUGGAAACAGACUCGUGUUGGCUCCUGCCCGCUCCCAAUGGGUAUGGCCCUCAUGCUCAUUGACAUGUUCGAAGACGUCAACAAGCGCACCAUAGACCUUCUGUAGGCAGAGGAUUGGGUUUAAUGGGUUUAGAAAGAAUUUGUGGCAUGUAUGGGUAUGGAAAUAGGUGUGAAUGAUAGCCUUGCAUGCAUGAGGAGUGGUGAAUAGGUUGAAGAGAGUGGGUUUAGAGGAUAGAAAUAUGGGUAUAGUUGUGGGUUUAGAAAAUGGGUACAGUAUUAGUGGGACGGGUAGUGGAAAAAUGGAUUGGAAGGCAUUGGAAAAUGAGGUCUCUAUGGUGGCCAUGCAUGCGUCAAAAAAUAGAAAGGAGUGCAUGGAGGUUAAAUGGAAGGAUGAAUGAUGGAAGUAGCAGCUUGGGUAGGUGUAAGCUUUGGAUUUGGGUAGGUAAAAAAAAUGAGAGAUAGGUAUGAGAUAGCCAAUGAGAGAUCUGCACCAUUUGGCAUUGUGAUCGCUCGGUUUUUGUCGUUUAUUGGAUCAAAACAAAAUUUAUAACCUAAUUCACUAUUCUAUAGCAAUUUGUACUCGAUCAAAAAAUGGUUUUAGUACAAACUACUAUAGUAUAGUGGUAUUUAGGUAUCGUCCACAAGGAUGGAUUAUUCUCGGUAAUUAAGGCUUGAAUGAGAUGAUAAGAAAUGAUUGUGAUCAAGUGAAAUUGACUUGAAAUUGCAUGAUAAAAUUCCAAAAUAACAAUGUAUUCAAAUUGAGAGAAAAAUGAAGUGUAAAAGAGAAGAAAAUUAAUAAGAGGUGAGAUUCUCGGAGUUAGGAUUUUCUAGAAAGCAAUUUCCAUGGCGAAUAAGUGUUGAGAUCUAAUUUUCAUCAAGUUAAAUUGAAAACCUAAAUUUUCAUCUAAACCGAUUUUUGAUUUAGCUUUAGGUCUAGAUAUAAUUUCUCUUCAAAUUAGGUAAUCUAAUCCAAGAGAUCAAUUUGAAUCAUAUAUUCAAUUCAUCUUAAAUUAUCUCCUUAUGAUUCACACGAUGCAACUAUUCAAUCUCAUUAAAUUUAGCAUUAAGAAUUUAAUGAAUCUACCUAGCUUGCAUUGUAGUAAUCAUCCAAGACAAUUUAAAGAGAAGAAUCCCCAAAUUUCAAUUAAUCAAUCAAUUGGAUCAAAUUACCUUUGCAAUUCAAGCUCAAUUCUCUCAUUCACCAUAGAUCUUGUCUCUAGAUUCUCCCUCCUCUGAGAAAAACAAGAUUUAGCCACUCAUGCUUGGAGAUUUGAUCUCAUAAGACAUGUUUGGCUACCAAGAAAAUGAGAGAAAAUGAAGGAAAGUAGAGAAUUAUAUAGAGAAAAGAAAUCUGAAAAGUUCUACAAUUAGAAAAUGUAUCAAAAGUCUUUAAAUGAGUCAAUCACAUUUUUAUUUAUAGGCCAAGGUCAAGAUGACACUUGGCAACAUCUAAGAGGUCUUUCGGAUGCUUCUUCAUCAAGGAAUUUGGAGAAAAUACAUUUUCGCACGAGCCUUAGCAAUUUCGCAUGAUGGUGCGAAGUGGAAAACCAUCAGCUUCAUUUUUGUCUUUCUGGAGCGUUUCGCAUGACUGUACAAAAUUUUCGCAUGGUUGUGCGAAAUUGCUUUUCACUUUUCCCUUAGUAUGCUACAGCCAAACCUAUUCUGUUUCAUUUCACAUGGUCAUGCGAAAUUGAAAAACAUGUUUUUUCGACUCCUCUUUGCAAUUCUUUCCAUUUCUUCAUUUUUAAUCCACCUCUACCACUUUCAAUUCAACUCCAAAUCCCAAUCCAAACCGAUUGCAUUGCUUAUUUCAUUAUGCAUUUGGAUCAUCAUCAACUUUAUUUGUUUUCUUCAAUUUGGUUCAUCUCUUUUGUCACCAAUUUAUCAAAAUCAUACCUUAAAAUGACUUUAAAACUUCAUAAAACUUGUUAGUAACUAUUGCAAGGGCAAAAACAUGUUAAUUGAGUGUUUUAGGCAUAAUUACUACUCAAAAGAUGUGAAAAUCAUGAGAAUUAUUAUCUAAAAUAUGCUCUUUUUGAGUAGUAAUCAUUCCCCCCAACCAACACAUUGCUAGUCCCUUAGCAAUUGUAUGACAAAAAGAAAGAAAAAUAAGGCCAAAGAAAAGAAAUCAUAACUCACAUAAGCAAAUCAUUUGAAAAAAAAAAUGUUUGAAAUUUCCAUAGCAUAAAUGGUUGAUAAACAAGCACACCCUACUAUCCAUAGGUAUCAACAAAAUCCCAACUUAUUUACUAUCUCUAAUAGAAAUAAUAUCAUGCUAAUCAAGGUAUCAAAAACAUAUCCAUCUUCAUUUCCCAAACAAUCUUUGUAAACAAGUCUUGAGUGUAAUUAAGCUAGCUCCCGAAUAUAGUACUCAAAACUAAUCCUCCCCCCAACCUAGCUCAAUUUAUCUCAAACAACAAAAAUCACUCUCUCAUAGGUUAAGAACACACCUAUCUUUAUUUUAUUAUUAUUUUUUUUACAAAUGACUUAUUGUAGGAGUGCAAUGCUAAAGGUAUCUCCAAGUAUAUGGUCCAUGUAGCGGGGAUUCAUCGAUGACUCCCAAUCAUAAGGCAUAGGGCACCAAGUUUAUAGGACUAUUUAACUAGCCACUAACUCCUCAGACUUCACCCCGGACUCCUCAAAUUAGGAUCCAAUACAUUAACACCUACAAUUGAGUUCAUACCCCACCUAUCCACCCAUGUAACAAGCAUUGAGGUCGGUGGCUCCCAACCAAAAUGGCUUAGGGCACCAGGCUUUAAAGACCUUUGGGCCAUAUACCCCUCGGACCUUGCUCAGGUUUCAAGGCAAGCAUAACUCAACAUUUUUAUUCAUCAACUCUUUUUUUUUUUUUUUUUUCAAUUGGGCACAUUGGCCUCUUUUUAAGGUGUCUCAACUCAGUUCAAGAGUAAUCAAUGUUACAAGAUAAUUAAGUCUAAGUCUUAAGGUUAGAAUAGUUUUUCAUCUUAUAUCUGGGGUCUAGAGUGCAUAGUAUGUGUCAAGACUCAAAUAGAAAUGACAAUUUGGAAAAUGAAGACUUUAAAGUCAAAUCAACUUUAAUUCACAUAACCAAUCUUCUAAGAUCAAGCAAAUAAGCUAGUAUUCUAAAUCAACUUUUUUUAAGUUAGGUUUGCUCAUUCAUCAAUCACAAAUGCUAUAGUCAUCUCAAAAAAAUCUCACCAAAUAAGUCACAAAUGUGAUUUAUGAAAAAAAAAAAUUAUAGAAAAACUAAUAACAUAUUUCCUUCUCUUCAUUUUUAACCCUCCCCCAACCUAACUUGUACAUUGUCCUCAAUGUGUAAUGAAAAUAUACAAAGAAAGGAAGGAAAGAUACCUCAAUCUCUCAUGAAUUUCAGUUUCAAUAGCUAAAACAAAAAUAAGAUCACACAUGAGAAUUGUUGGAUAUGAAUGACAUAAGAGAAGAAAAUAUGAAAACAAAUCUAUUAAAAACCAAAAAAAAAAAACUAUGUUAGAGACACAAUGUAUGGAGUAAAAUCAAGGUAUAGAUGAUGACAAUGUCCAAAGAAAACAUGAUUUCAAUGAUAAGUCAAUGAUUCUCAUGGAGUUUUUGAAAAUUUCAGACAAGUGUGCAAACUAGACAAGAAGGUGGUGUGUGUUGCAACCACUUUUUCUUUUGAAAUAAUUUGGCACAAUCAUGCGGAAAUUCGCAUGUACAUGCGAAUUGGUCAAGAGAGCUUUAUCUUAUUAUAGUCUUCAGCAUAAUUUUCGCAUAGUCAUGUGAAAAUUCGCAUGUUGAUGCGAAAUGGAUCUGAGGCUUAAAACUGUUGUAGUCAUCCACAUUAGUUUCGCACAGUCAUGCGAAAACUUCACAUGAGUGUGUGAAGUGGUCCAGAUGGCUCAUUUUACUACAGUCUUUAAGAUGGAUUUCGCAUAGUCAUGCGAAAUGCUCUAGAGGGUUCAUUUUUACAACUAUCAUUUUCAGUUUUGCACAGUCAUGCGAAAAUUUUGCAUGACCAUGCGAAUUGUGACAAAGACUCAUUUUGUACAUUUCCGAAGAUAUGAAAACUCCCCUAUUUUGGCAUGACUGUGUUAUUUUGGCAUGACCUCCCUGUUUUGGCAUGACUAUGCAAAAUGGUGAUGGGCCAUUAAAACUCUUUUUUCCUUUGCUUCAUGCAUUCCAUCCAUCCAGAAAGUCCUUCAAAACACAAGUCAAAGAAUUGAGAUGGAUUUAUUUAAUGGAAACUAAAAAAAAAAUCAAAAUCCAAAGGAAAUGAUAAACCAUUGGGCUAGCUAGCCAUUGACAUGACUAAGCCCAUUAACCUUUGCAUCAAUACUCAAUUUGGAUAUGGCUUGCAAACAAUGAAUGGACCAACUCCUUGGUACUUAAGCUUUCCCAGAAAAAUAUGUGGCUUGAAAUAACCUUCUUUGAACUUGUUCUUUUGAAUAAGUUGGUCAUGCCAUUCCUUGAGUUUCUUUUUCAUGGUCUUUGGAUUAUUUUUCAUACCAUGCUUCAUUUUUUUCACUUUCUUGAAGCUGAAAGACCAUUUCAUUAACUUCAAAGGUUGAAUUUCUUUAUUGAUCCUCCAAACUUCAAUCCGUUCAUUGGAAAUUGCUUCACUAAGUUUUGAAAAAUUAUCUUCAACCUUUUCUUUCACUAGCACUUUCAUAGGCAAUUCAAUCAAAUAAGCCUCCUUAAGUUCCUCCUCCUCCUUGGUACCAUGCUUCUUAUAUGAAUGAAAAAUGUUUAGCUCAAUUGUCAUGUUACCAAAGGUAAGUUGCAUCACCCCACUUCGACAAUUAAUUAAUGCAUUUGCUGUGGCAAGGAAAGGUCGGCCAAGUAUAAUAGGAACAUGGUUGAGUCCACUAGUUCCUUGUUUCAUAUCAAGCACCACAAAAUCAACCGGAUAAUAGAAGAUAUCGAUUUGGAUCAACAUAUCCUCAAUAAUUCCUCUUGGAAACUUAACCGAUCUAUCCGCCAAUGAAAGUGUGAUGGAAGUAGACUUUAGUUCUCCAAACCCCAAUUGCUUAUAUACCGAGUAGGGAAGAAGAUUCACACUUGCCCCCAAGUCUAAAAGUGCUCUUUUCACAAAAGUGUUGUCAAUCUUCACCGAGAUAGUUGGACAUCCCGGAUCCUUAUACUUGAUUGGGGUUUUACAUUGGAUGAUUGCACUAACUUGUUCAGUCAAGAAAGUUUUCUUUUUCAAAUGCAUCCCUCUCUUUAUGGUACACAAAUCCUUAAGAAACUUGGCAUAGGUUGGAAGUCUUAUCAUGUCAAGGAGUGGUAUAUUGACUUUGACUUGCUUGAGAACUUCAAAAAUUUCUAGAGCAUUAUUUACCACUUUCUUGGAUUGAAGAGCCAUAGGAAAAGGUGGAGCUAAGAGCAUAUCUUUCUUCUUAACCUCUUCUUUAACAAUCUCAUCUUCCUUUGAUCUAUCAUCCUCAUUCACCUCUUUCCAUUUUUCUUGUUCUUUCACAUUUUCCUUUUGUUCCCCUCUUUUAUUCUCUUUUGGUUUUGGCAUAGGUUGAUCAACUUGCUUACCACCUCUUAAGGUAAUGACUGCUUUGACUUCAUCCUUCUCAAUAGAACUUUCACUUGUCUCUCCAAUUUCAUGGACUCCACUUGGAUUUUGUUGGGGUUAUGAAGAGAAUUUUCCUUUUUCUUACACUGUAUGCAUGCUUGUGAGUUUAGAAAUAGCAAGCUGCAUAUUAUCAAUCUUUUGUGUGAGAUUGGUUUGCAAGCUAUCAAAUUUCUGAUUGAAAGAUGUCUCCACAUGAUCUAUUCUUUGGUUUACUUGAAUAUUGAUAUUCUUUUGAUCACCAAUAAAAUCACCCAAAAUUUUACUCAAGCUUACAAUAGCUUGCUCAACCAAAGAAAUUUGUUGUGGAGAGUCUUCCAUGACUUGUUGGCUUUGUGAGUAUUGACUUGAAGAAAAUUGUUCUUGUCCACAAUUCCAUGACAUGUUUAGAUGAUUCUCAACAAGUCUUUCCCCCAUAGCUAGUAUUGUAGGACAAUCACUCACUUCAUGUUCUAUAGAUUGACAAUUAGAACAUUGCUCCUUGUAAAUUGGAUUAUCAUAUAUUGCAUUCACCACAUGAAAUCCCUUAGCUUCAAGUUCCUCUAGCCUUUUUGUCAAAGCUACCAUUUUAGCUUGUAGAUCAACAUCUUCAUUCAACAUAUACAUUCCUCCAUUUGAAUUGCUUUGAGACUUGGACUUGUGUAAAUCCCUUUCAUGUGGCUCAUUCCAUGACCUUAAUAUUUUAGCCACAUAAUUCAAGAAUUCAAAAGCUUCAUCGGGACUUUUGCUCAUAAAGCCACCUCCACACAUGGUUUCUAGCAAUUGCUUCAUAGUUGGCGACAUGCCCUCAAGAAGUAACUCACCAACAUCCAUGUGUCAAAACCAUGAUGAGGACAAACAUUGAUUACUUCCAUAUAUCUUUCCCAACAAGCAUAAAAUUUUUCAUUGUCCAAUGCCACAAAGUUGGUAAUUUGCCUCUUCAAGCCACUUGUGCGAUGUAUGGGGAAAAUUUUCUUUAAGAAGGUUGUUUGUAGUUCCAACCAUGACCUUAUGGUUUGGGGCCCCAAUGAGUUGAACCACAACUUAGCCUUAUCCUUCAAUGUGAAUGGAAAAAGCUUCAAUCUCAUAAGCUCAAUGGAUGUGUUUCCCUCAUGAAAUGUAUGAAAAACCUCUUCAAAAUCCUUGAUGUGAGUAUAAAGAUUCUCAUUCUCCAUUCCAUGAAAUUGAGGUAGAAGGGGUACCAAGUGAGUUUUUAUCACAAUAGCCUCAUUAGGAAGAACUAUACAUGAUCCCAUGCCUAUCCUUUGAGGAUGCAUAUAUUCUCUCAUUGAUCUAGACAUGUGAGAAUUGCCAUUGUUUGGUCCUUGUUGAGUUUGUUGAUUUUCCCCUUGAUUUUCCAUUUCCUCAACAAUUGGAUCACAAAACAAAGAUGAUUAGCAAUAUAAGUUUUUUUUCAAUCUCUCCCUUGAAUUUUAUUCUCAAUGUAGUAUGCAAUGGAGAGCCUACAAAACAAGCUUAGAAAAACCAAAACAAACCAAGAAGAACAAAAAGAGAAAUAAAAGAUAAAAAUGGAAAAAAAAAUAAUAAUAAGAAAAAUGGAGAAUCGAUAAAGAGAACUUCACCAAUCUUGUGAUGUGGAUCACAAGGGCUAAUCCUCACCAAAAAAAAAAAUGCCUCAAUCACCUAGGCACCAUCCCCGGCAACAGUGCCAUUUUUGAUUGCUCGGUUUUUGUCGUUUAUUAGAUCAAAACAAAAUUUAUAACCUAAUUCACUAUUCUAUAGAAAUUUGUACCCAAUCAAAAAAUGGUUUUAGUACAAACUACUGUAGUAUAGUGGUAUUUAGGUAUCAUCCACAAGGAUGAAUAUUCUUGGUAAUUAAGGAUUGAAUGAGAUGAUAAGAAAUGAUUGUGAUCAAGUGAAAUUGACUUGAAAUUGCAUGAUAAAAUUCCAAAAUAACAAUGUAUUCAAAUUGAGAGAAAAAUAAAGUGUAAAAGAGAAGAAAAUUAAUAAGAGGUGAGAUUCUCGAAGUUAGGAUUUUCUAGAAAGCAAUUUCCAUGGUGAAUAGGUGUUGAGAUAUAAUUUUCAUCAAGUUAGAUUGAAAACCUAAAUUUUCAUCUAAACCGAUUUUUUAUUUAGCUUUAGGUCUAGAUCUAAUUUCUCUUCAAAUUAGGUAAUCUAAUCUAAGAGAUCAAUUUGAAUCAUAUAUUCAAUUCAUCUUAAAUUAUCUUCCUAUUAUUCACAUGACGCAACUAUUCAAUCUCAUUAAAUCUAGCAUUAAGAAUUUAAUGAAUCUACCUAGCUUGCAUUGUAGUAAUCAUCCAAGACAAUUUGAAGAGAAAAAUCCCCAAAUUUCAAUUAAUCAAUCAAUUGGAUCAAAUUACAUUUGCAAUUCAAGCUCAAUUCUCUCAUUCACCAUAGAUCUUGUCUCUAGAUUCUCCCUUCUCCGAGAAAAACGAGAUUUAGCCACUCAUUCUUGGAGAUUUGAUCUCACAAGACAUGUUUGGCUACCGAGAAAAUGAGGGAAAAUGAAGGAAAUUAGAGAAUUAUAUGAGAAAAGAAAUCUGAAAAGUUCUACAAUUAGAAAAUGUAUCAAAAGUCUUUAAAUGAGUCAAUCACGUUUCUAUUUAUAGGCCAAGGUCAAGAUGACACUUGGCAACAUCUAAGAGGUCUUCCGAAUGCUUCUUCAUUAAGGAAUCUGGAGAAAAUACAUUUUCGCACGAGCCUUAGCAAUUUCGCAUGAUGGUGCGAAGUGGAAAAUCCAUCAGCUUAUUUUUUGUCUUUCUGGAGCGUUUUGCAUGACUGUGCGAAAUUUUUGCAUGGUCAUACAAAAUUGCUUUUUACUUUUCCCUUAGUAUGCUGCAGCCAAGCCUAUUCUAUUUCAUUUCGCAUGACUAUGCGAAAUUGAAAAACAUGUUUUUUCGACUCCUCUUUGCAAUUCUUCCCAUUUCUUCAUUUUUAAUCCACCUCUACCACCUUCAAUUUAGCUCCAAAUCCCAAUCCAAACUAAUUGCAUUGCUUCUUUCAUUAUGCAUUUGGAUCAUCAUUAACUUUAUUUGUUUUCUUCAAUUUGAUUCAUCUCUUUUGUCACCAAUUUAUCAAAAUCAUACCUUAAAAUGACUCCAAAACUUCAUAAAACUUGUUAGUAACUAUUGCAAGGGCAAAAACAUGUUAAUUGAGUGUUUUAGGCAUAAUUACUACUCAAAAGAUGUGAAACUCAUGAGAAUUAUUAUCUAAAAUAUGCUCUUUUUGAGUAGUAAUCACAUUGCAACACCCUUAUUUUGUUAUACCCAUUUGUAUGCUUAUCCUUUACAUAAGGAGCUUGUCUGACACCUUUAUAGAAGCGGACAAAAAGCAUGGCUUGCUUGUAGAUCCAGUGCAACUUUCAGUAACACCCAACCCCUAUCAUUUUGACCCAAAAGGAUCUAUACCUAUGAUCAUUGAACUCAUUCCAUUUUGAGAACAAUCUUCAUGAACUCAUAAACGAAAUAACUUAUUGAAACUGAAGGUAGCACCUGUGGUAAGCCGAUUUCAAUAUAUCAUGCACACCAUAGAAAAUUGCACCUGAAGGUGCCAUACUUAUAGUGGAAGGCACCAAACCCUUGUAAAUGGAGAAGAAUCCUUCAGUUCGGAUCAUAUGGAGGAAAUGCCAAUAACACUACCCAAGGCUUUACCACCCGGUGCCACCAUCUUGGUCUGGAUUUAACAUGGUACCCAAUAGUAAGCGGAGUAUGGUAGUAGUAAUUCUAGCUGCAUCACCAGCAAUUGUCUUAAUUAGCUCAAAUAUAUGCUUCUGUUCACCAUGAACUAUAUAUUCCAGCUUUAGUCUCCUUUGAUUGCAUAUCAUUUCCUCCACAAAACUUUCGUUUACUAUCAUCAAACUGCCAUCCUAUACCACAAUGGUCCCAUCAACCCUACUGACCAUCCAAAUGUCAUUAAAUGAGCUAGAAGCUGGGGACUCUCAACAGCAAGAGCACCUUGAGGUUGAAUGAAUUUAGAAUAACCCACUGAAAACUCUUAUAUAGCUUCUUUAGGUGGAGAUGAGGAAGGAGAAUAGCCAAAAUAGAGCACAACAGAGUGAGCAAAGCAUUAAGUGGGAUCCCCCUUUCAUAUUGAAAUCAAGGGGUUCCAGCCAGUGGUGCAACAGGAGAGUUUAAAACAAAGAUCCAAAUGAGAGCAUCAAUAAACUCCCACCAUGGGAGUGAGCCAUAUUCAAAAAAACAAAUAUAAGAGAAAAGUAAUGCAUCAUCACAUACCCAGACAAUCGUCCAAUGCUUAGAAAAAAAAAAAAACCAAAACAACCAGAGAAGAUGGAAGAUAAAGAAAACAGAGUGAUGAGUGAAAAUAAUCCAAAAAGCUAUAUCAAAUGUACCUAGAAAUGCUCUUUCCAAUUUUCUUUUCUUCCCAACUACCUUCAGCAAACUAGAUUUGCUUUCUCUCCUCUGCUCCUAAUCAAACUACACCCUCAAGCAAUCUGAAAAAUGCAAUCCUCUCUCUCACAACCUCAGCGCACCAACCAUCUCUACUUCUCUCAUUGUUGCUCCAACUCCUUACAAAAAUAUCCCCUCUUUGUCUCUCCUCCCAAGCUCUUUCUCUCUCUCUCUCUCUCACUUCUCCUCAGCUAUGCUCUCUCAAUCCCUCUAAAAAAAAACAUCCUUCUCUCGCUCCUCUGUAACCUCAAACUUUUCUCUCAAGCUAAAGGAAACUUCUCCCCCCGAUAUCUCCUCUCCUCCCUAGCAACCAAAAAUACCCCUCCUCUGCCAGAAUGCCUCACCUUCUCUCUCCUACGCUCCUCCAUAACGGCCUGAAGAUUCUUAUGCCAUGCAUCAGCCGCUGAUUGCCUUCAGAAAAGAUCACUGCCUAUCCAUCCUCUCAUGCACAUGUUGCCAAAAAUAAAAAAAGGUGGUAAAGAAUGCUCCCUAAAAUGCCCUUACCUAUAAACCAAAACGAGGGUUUUACAGGCGCACAAUAUUUGUGGAAAAAUAUUCUUUGCUGAAGAAUAUUUUUUAAAGAUCAAUUGAAAGCCUAAAGCAGCUUGUUCCCAAAUGAAUUUAUUGAAUGGUGAAAAACACGUGUGUUGCGAUUUUUUGGAUUUGUAGGGGGUAUUUUAUAAAGCUUUUUUCUCUUUGUGAAACUCCUUUUCAUAUGUGAAAUUGUUUUAUUUUUAUUUUAUCAUUUUCAUUGAAGGAAGUUGCAAAUAUUUAUAGAUAAAAUUUUAAAAAAUAAAUUUAGAAUUUCUAAGAUUUGAUUACUUAAUUAAAAAAAAAAAUUGGUUUCUUGAUUUUAGCAACUUGUCUUCUUCAUUAAGGAAGUUUGCUAACAAGAGAAUAUUUACUUCUCAUUUUAUUUUGACUUCAAUUGGAAGACUUGUUUCAUUUGUUUACAAAAUUUUCCAACAAGAAAAUAUUUAUUUCUAAUUCUCUUUUGAUUUCAAUUGUUUGAUUUGAUUUGAUUUUGCAAGACUUUAUUUUAUAGCCUUCCAAAUUUCACUACGUGUCAUUUUUUGAAUUGAAUGCCACAUGCUCAAUAUAUAUGACUCAUCACUUAUUAAGCCUGAGUUUUGUUGAGCUAAAGAGUUACAAUUUUGAAGACUAAUUUGGUAGUAUUUUAAUCCACUAAAAUUUUUUGUCUACAAAUGCCCCCUCUUCAAAAUAGAUCACACACAUGCAUUGUAAUGUAUAAGAGGUGAGUCUUGAAGUUAGCCUUUUGAAUCUUCAAUAUCCUUCUUUGAUUUUUUUUUUCGAAGAAAUAUUUUAAUAGGAAUUUCCUAUUCAAAAUACUUUUCUUCAACUUUUUUCGAACAUUGCUUUAUUUAUUUAUUUUUUUUCUACCUCGUAUCAAAGAAAAACCUUGUGUUAAUGGGAAAGCUUCUUAUUUGAACAUCUAUUGUCUUUUCUCAUGGUAUUUCACUUCCAAUUUGUCAACCUAGAAGAAGUCCUUCACCCUAGCUUGUUCAAUUGCAUCUUAGACUUGGUCACAUGCCUUUAACUUGCAAUUCUUCCUCCACUUUGUCUUUUUCUUUUUUAUUUGUUUAAAAAAUAGUACAAAAUAUUUGAGCAAGACCAUAAGCAAGAGAAGAGAGGUGGUGAAUGGAGCACCAACUAACCUUAGGUCAAGAUCUUGAGCAAGAGAAGUAAGGUGGAGCGUAGAGCACAAACUUCUCUAGAGCAUGGUAGGCAUACCAUCAUGGAGUUGUCUUCUGCAUGGAGCAUGGUAGGGCAUUAUAUAUAUGAUAGGGUGGGCCAUUAUGUAACAAUGAAGAACAAAAAUCCAUGGUGUACAAUUGGGAACAACAAUUCAUGCUAUCAAGCUUCAACCUUUUUUUUUUUGUUUUUUUUUUAAUCCCUAUCUCCACCCCCCGACCCAAUAUUUUUUCAAGUUUCCAGAUUCCUUUUGAUUCUUUCUCAUUUUAUUUUUUUCAACUCUUUUUUUUCCUCCCUUUUUAACCAUUGUUUUUAAGGAAGAAAUAGAUUCACCAUCCCUUACCACAAGGUCAAUCUCCAUUGCUUGCAAAGACAAAUUUGCUUUUUGGUGUUUUUUUUCUUCAAAAAUUAUCUUAACAUUUUAAGAUAUAUAUAUAUAGAUAUAGAUAUUUAAAAAACUUAAAUAUCCAUAAUAAAAAUAAAUAUUUAAGGCUCUUGACUUGUUUAAAUUGGCUUGACUUGGAUACUUAGCGGGACCAUACUUAACACCCAUGUAGAUGAGCUAUAAUCUUGAUGGUAGGUUGUGUUGUAUUUUUUGACAUUUAAUGUGGCUUAAGAGUUAAAGUCUUCACUCAUGCAAAUUAGCUUGGUUUGGAUGCACAAUGGUCUCUAACUUCUUAAUGCUUAAUUAAACUUGGAACCAUAUUUAACACCCAUGUAGACAAGUCAUAAUCAUGACAUGGAGCACUAUUUUAUUUUAACUCUUAAUGCAACUUAAAUAUUAAAGUCUUCACUCAUACAAAUUAACUUGGGUUAGAUGCACAAUGGUGUUCAACUUGGUAAAAUUAAUUAAAAUUGAAACAUUUAACACCCAUGUAAACAAGUCAUAACUUUCACAUGGAACAGUGUUGUAUUUUUAGCUUAAUGUCGCUUAAGUGUUAAAGUCUUCACUGAUGUAAAUUAGCUUGGCUUAGAUGCAUAGUAGCAUUCAACUUUUUAACACUUAAUUUAAAUUCAUACCAUAUUGAAAACCCAUGUGGACAAGACAUAAUGAGAAAAUAAAUGGCUAAUCUAAAUAGAUAAAAAUACCUAACAAGGAAGGAGGGGGGUGAAUUGGAGUUUAAAAAAAAAAUAUAUUUUUAAACACAAUAAAAUUAAGUACAAGAAGCACAAAUAUAAAGAGAUAAGUUAUAGAAAUCAAACUCAGAUUUAUAGUGGUUCGACACUUCCUUGCCUACAUCCACUCUCCUCAAACUCCUAACCGAGUGAGGGUUCCACAUAUACUUGAAGCUUCAACCAAGCUUCUAAUCACUUUUUACACUUGGAUUUUAGCUCCAAUGGGCUCUUACACAUUCUCUUCAAGUCUCUACUCACUUGAAGAUUUUAACACACAAUUAACAGUUUGAAACUCUCAACCUAGCUCAACAAUGGCUCAAAUACAACUCAAGGCUAGGAUGAAUCACAAAGGUGCAUUAAAUAAUAUGCAAAUGAAGAUUUAAUGCACUGAGAAAAGAAUGAGAGCUUUUAUGGCAAGAACAAGUAGGUAAACAAAUCAAUGGAGGUGUUCUCUUACUCAUAAAUGAAGUGGAACUCUCAAUUUAUAGGUUUCUAAUCUCGGAAGCUAAAAAACCAAAAAGUAACCUCGAUUGGUCGAGUUAGGGGUCGACAGGUUCACUAGUCGUUAGAGCAUUAAAUGCGUGGCAGGUGAUCGUUACCCUCGACCGGACCUUGACUGGGAAGGCAAAUCUCUCAACUGGGAAAGAAAGGCUAUUGGAAGAGAGAAGGCUUUUUGCAUCUUUUGACUAGACCUCAACCGAGAAGGAGCAACUGAUCGACCAGUACCCUAGCCGGUUGAGCCGGUUGGCCAGUGCCUCAACCAAUUCACCAUUUUUUGGCCCUAAAACCUAUCUUUUUGUGGUCUUUUUUGCUUCUAACACUUAAACAAGGUCUUUAGGUAAAAUAAUAUGUCAAUUUUGAAACGCUUUGCCUAAGGUUCAUUUGAUAGAACUCGGAUUUUGAUGGAAAUGUGACUUUAAUGCGUAAACCGAGUUUUAAAAGAUGUAUGAAAUGAUAUGAAAAUUCUAAGUACACUCAUGCAUUCAUUUUACAUAGUUUUCUAUAAUUAAAAAGUCUUUCAAAAGUCUUGAUCUUGCAUCCAUUAGAUCAUUUGAUUAAUUUCCAAAUUAAUAUUUGAAAUUCUUUAUAAUUCAAACCAAUUAGUAACUUAACCAUGGUUUGUUAUCAUCAAAACAUGAUUAGGAGAACCCUUGGGCUAACACAUAACAUUGUAGCAAUGUUAUAUUUUUUACACUUAAUGCAGUUUAAGUUCUAAAAUCUUCAUUUCUAUGAAUUGGUUCACCUUGGAUGCAUAGUGGUGUCUAAAUUAUAAUACUUAAUUAAAAUUGAAACCAUAUUUAACACCCAUGUAGACAAGUCAUAACUUUGACAUGGAGUGGCAUUGCAUUUUUGACACUUAAUGCAACUUAGGUGCUAAACUUUUCACUCAUGAGAAUUGGUAUGGGUUGGAUGCAUGUGGUGUCGAACUUUUUAACACUUAAUUAAAAUUGGAACCAUAUUUAACACUAUCUAGAUAAGUCAUAACCUUGAUGUGAAGCGACAUUGUAUUUUCAACACUUAAAGCAACUUAGGUGCUAAAGUCUUCACCCAUGCAAAUUAGUUCAUCUUGGAUGUACAAUGGUGUCCCAUUUUUUAACAUAUAAUUAAAAUUGGAACCAUAUUUGACACUCAUGUAGACAAGUCUAGCCAUGAUGUAAAGUAGUGUUGUAUUUUUAAAACUUAAUGCAGCUUCAAUGGUAAAGUUUUUACUCAUGUGAAUUGGCUUGAUUUGGAUGCACAAUGAUGCCUAACUUUUUAACAUUUUAUUAAAUUUGGUAUCAUAUUUAACACCUAUGUAGACAAGUCAUAACCUUAAUGUAGAGGUGCUGUAAUAUUUUUGGUACUUAAUGCCGCUCAAGUGCUAAAGUCUUCACUCAUGUGAAUUUUUUUGGUUGAGAUGGACGUCUCUAACAUUUUAACAUUUAAUUAAAAUCAGAAUCAUAUUUAACACUCAUGUAAAAAAGUCAUAACCUUGACACAUAGUAAUAUGCAAUGUUUUAACAUUUAAUAUGACUUAAGUGCUAAAGUUUUCACUCAUGUGAAUUGGCUUGGCUUGGAUGCAUAAUGGUGUCUAACAUUUUAACACUGAAAUUAAAAUUAGAGUUAUAUUUAAUAAUCAUGUAGACAAGUCAUAACCUUGACGAGAAGCAAUAUUGUCAUUUUGACACUUAAUAUUGCUUAAAUGCUAAAGGCUUCACUCAUGCAUAUUGACUUAGCUUGGAUGAACAAUGGUAGCUAACUUUUUAACACUUCAUUAAAUUUGGAUUAUGGUUAACAUCCAUGUAGAAGAGUGAUAAACUUGAUGCAAAGUGAUGUUAUAUUUUUGGUACUUAAUAUAGCUUAAAUACGAAAAUCUUCACUUCUAAUAAUUAACUUGGCUUGGAUGCAUAGUGGUGUCCUACUUUUUAACUCUUAAUUGAAAGUGAAAUCAUAUUUAACAUCCAUUUUAUGCUAGUCAUAAACUUGAUAUAGAGCAAUGUGCAACUUUUUAACAUUUAAUGCAACUUAGGUGCUAAAGUCUUUACUCAUAUGAAUUAACUAAACUUAGAUGCAUAUUCGUUUCCAACUUUUUUAAUACCUAAUUAAAAUUAAAACCAUAUUUAAAAACCAUGUAGACAAAGGCAUAAUCUUAACAUGGAGCAGUGUAUAACUUUUAGCACUUAAUUAAAAUUGGGAUUAUACUUCACAACCACAUAUUCCUCCUCCUAUUUUUCAAUUUUUUCUUGUGGUGAUGAUUGAACUCAACUAGUUUGUCCAAGUUACCUGCAUACCUUAACAGAGAGGGGAUCAAGUCAAACUUAGUUCAAAGUAUUUUUUUAAUAUCUAACUUUUGCCAAGGCUAAUGAUUUUAAUCUUGAAAGCUUGUCUUAACUUUUGACUAUAUAUGUAGUGUUUUCAAGUUUCAAUUUAGCGACCUAUGAAUUGUACAAAUUGAAAAUGACUUCACUCAUGUGUAAAAAUAAAAGAUAUUCAUUCAUAGUUUUAGGGCAACGAAAAGUAAUCGACCCUUUUUUGCAUUAUUAUUAUUAUUGUUGUUGUUAUUAUUAUAAUUAUUAUAUUACCUUAAAAAAAAGACCUUCUCCAAAAAAUUUAAUCUACAAGUACUUGGAUUCUAUUUGAAUAUAAAAAGAGCCACUCAUAUGCAUGAAUUAAAUAUAUGUCCCAUGGAUAAGUUGUACUUAGCCACGGCUGAAGCUUUCCAUUAUGACUUGAAGGGAAAAAAAAAGAGAGGAGAAUAAUGUCAUUAAAAAACUGAUUGCCAUGUGCCUAUGCCUGCCAGUAGAUGGCUGAAAACUAGUUCUAUUCUUUUGUUUUUGCCUCUACUAAUGAACCAUAAUUGAGAGAUUCAUUGGCAACUAUCGUAUAAACAAUGGUUCAUAAAUUACUUUUAAAUUUUGAUAGCAAAGACUCAAAAUGUAAAACCAUAAAAAAUUUGUUCUAUUCCCAAAUUUUUUUAAAUAAUAAAUUAAUGCACAUGACUGUUUUCACAUCUUAUUCUCAUUUCUAUCAAUGCAAUAAUUGUAAUCAUCUUAUCUAUUAACAUGGCCUAGAGCCAUAGAGCUUCCUUUUCUUUAGUCCUAGAGCCAUUUCAGCUAAGAGUAGUCUUUCCUUAGCAUUUCCGGUCCAAAGCUUCCAUUUCUUUAGGCCUAGAGGCAUUUUCAGUCCAGAGCUGCUGUUUCUUUCGGCCUACAACCAUUUUCAGCCUGAAGCUGCCUUUCUUUAGCAUUUUCAGCCCAGAGCUACCUUUCCUUGGCAUAUCAGCCCAAAGCUUCUAUUUCUUUAGGCCUGGAGCCAUUUCAACAUACAACAUUGGUUUCUUUGGCCGGGCCUUGAGCCCUUUUCAACCCAGAACUGUCAUUUCUUCUAAAUAACUUCUCUUUUAAAAAACUUCAAUUUGUCUUUCCAAUAAAAAAAUUUAAGGCUUUGUUCUAGGUUUCAAGAAGCUGGCAUAGAAAAAAAAAAGGAAAAAAAAAAUUCUUGAUGGCAUAAAGUAGGACAUGGCCGGGAUAGUUUGAAAUACAUAAUUUUCCCCAUUCAAAUGCAAAACAUAUUAAAAGAACAUUUGGCAUGAUUUUAUGAAGUGAUUCUAUCUUUUCUAAUACUUCAAAGUUAUGAAGUGAUUCUAUCUUUUCUAAUACUUCAAAGAUAAAUUUUUUUGAAGUAUUAGAAAAAUUAGAAACAUUUCUUAAAAUCACUACCCUUAACUAUAUUUAGAUACUUUAACCAUUUCAAAUGCUACAUGUUGUUUCCUUCUACAUUUCCUCUUUAUUUUGUUUUUCUCUUACAUUUUUCCUCAAAUUUUCUAAAAACCAAACAUAACCUAAAAGAAAAGAUAAUUUGACUUAUUUUGAAAGUUCUUUAUAUAUAUAGUUUAUAUGGAAAAUUGUUUCAUGUUAAUUUAAUAAAGCAUUUAUAAUAUUGAGAUCGCUCUUUCAUAAUCAUAAAUUAACCUUUAGUUUCAACUUCUACAAGAGGCUAAAUGAAAAAAGCUAUCACAGAGGAGGCCUCAGCCAAUGAGUAAGAUGCACUGUUGUACCAAACAAUAGGUGGAAAAUACAAUUUUAUUAAGACUCUGAGACAAAAAAAAAAAAAAAAAGGAUGAUUUUACACUCAAAACAAGGAUUUAUUUAUAAUGAAGUGCAGUCUCCAUAUGCACAUGUGACUGCAUUUACAGCAUAAAGAAAGACAAGGAAAUUAACAAAUGUUGGACUCAUUGGAAAAUCAUACAAAUUAUUGAAGGAGGACCUUAGCUAAGCUAACUGUCUCCUAAAUUGCCCAUCUUUUAUAUAUAUUUGCAUUCAUCCGUCUCAUCAUCGUCUUUGAUUUUAGAUGGUGAGGAUGUGAAAGUAACAGGAAGCAGUGGACGAUUGUUCACUGUGAGGCUUAGCACAUCAGCUCUCGAAUAAUGUCCUACCACAUCGAACUGGAACUUUGCUUUAGGAAUCUCUCCACGAACAUCUGCAUAUCAAGUGAUCAUCAAAAUAUUUGAUCAGCCCUUUUAAAUAUCAGAGAGUAUCAAGUCUUCCAUAAAACCGUGUUUGCAGUCCUUUUAAACCUAAAGAAUUCACUCAUUUGCCUUAUCUGCAUACUGAAAUAUUUGGAUAUACAAUUGGAGAAGUUAGGGCCAUACCAAGAUCAGCUGUGAAGAGGCCUUCUCCUUCAUAAUUCGGUCCUGCUAGAAUUUCGCCAUGGGGCGAAAUGAUGACACUACCUCCUGCCCAAACAAUGGAAUCUGGAGUGACAUCUUCUUCUGUAGGACUGUAAAGAUACUCAGGUGGAGGUGGGUAAUCUUUCCUCCGACAGAACUGGAUGGGUGAAAGAACAUAGCAUCCACCCUCAAUAGCAACGUGUCUCAUUGUAGCUACCCAUGUAUCCCCGGAAUCGGCAGUAGGAGCACAAUAUAUCUCAAUACCUAUAGAGAUGUACAUUCGUAUUUUGUGAUCAAUCAAUCCCAUAUCAAAGCCAUAAUGUAUUUCAAGCCUAUUUAUAGGCUAAAACCCUAACAACUUAAAAAAGAGUACUGAAGUAUUUCAAGCCAAACCAUAUUAGUUAGUGAAGAAAAAGACAUACCUUUGCCAUACAUUGCUGUCCUUAGAAGCGGCAUUCUAUUUUCCCAACAAAUGACCGAACCAAGUUUUCCAUAUGGAGUGUCAUAAACUGGAGUUGUCGAGCAAUCUCCGAAACCCCAGACGAGCCGCUCCCAAUAUGUUGGCAUGAGUUUCCUAUGUUUUCCAAGGUAAUUACCUUUAGGAUCAAAGAAGAGAACAGUGCAAUACAAUGUGUAUCCCUCUCUCUCAAUAACACCUGUCACUAAGUAGACUCUGUAUUUCGCAGCCAUUGAUGCCAAUCUAUCAACUUCAGGUCCUGAAAAUACAUUAAUUUGAGAUUAAAGAUGAAACAUGUCAGCUGAAGGUUCAUCACAAAGCAGCAUAAGUAGAUUUUGUUUCAACAACUUAUUAAGUGGCUCAGUUCUUUAGCUAUUUAAGGGAGAAAAAGAGAGGUAAUUGACCCGGAACAUUAAUGGCAGAAGCAUGGUACUUGCGGAAACUUUCUUUCCCUCUUGGCGACCGGUCAGCGAAGUUAUAUCCUCGGGGAUACCCACCGAUAAAUGCUUCAGGAAACACAACCAGUUGGGAUCCCAGUGCAGCUGCUUCUUUCAAAAACCUCUCAGCCUUAUCUGCUCUCAAAAUCACAUUGCAAGAAGUAAAUUAAUUGGUUGAAUGGAGAGAAUGAAAAUUAACUUUUAAGAGAUCCCGAAUGACUUUUUGGUUGCUGAGAAAACUCAAGGAAAAACAGACCUAGAUGAAACUUGAAACUCUCAUAUUUUCAGCUGUUUUGUAACUAAGAAAAGAGAAACCACCUCAACUCAACUCAUCAAAAUAAUUGUAAAAGCAGUAAUUCCUUGAUUGGCAGCUGAAAAUAUGAUCAGGGUUCAAUCAUCCUUUUCUUUUUUUCAGUCUCUGAGAAACCAAUUAGAUCACAUAUUCCAUUACACAAGUUGCACAAUUGAAAGAAAUGGUACGUUACCUAGAGUGGCAGGAGUAUCAUAAAAGAUACUAGAAGCUUGAACAACGGUGGCUCUAACAGUUGAAGACAUUGCAGAAAAUUGUAUGUUUUUUCGUUUCCCCUUUGUUUGAGGAUUCCUCACACUGCGUUCAGUAUAUAUAUUGCCCAUGACAUUGUGGACCAGCCACUUGACUUAUACAAAUUGAAAAUGACUGAGUCAUCUGUGAAAAGCAAUUUAAGAUAACAUUCAAAAUUAAUAAGCUUUAAUUUUUAUUUAUAUAUAUAUAUACAUAAUCUACAAGUUGUUAUCAUUAUAUUUGAAUAAAAAGAGGGACCCGCCCACAUGCAUGGAUUCCAUCCAUCUAGCACACAGAUAAAUUGUCUUUAGUGGCGGCUGAGGCUUUCUAUGACUUAUACCAUAUAUCUAUACACCCCAGUAUAUAGCUAAAAACUGGGUAAUGUAUUGGCCCCUACCUAAAAUUAUUGAUUGAUUCAAUGACAGCUAUCUGAGAAAAAUAAAAAAGGGAGAACUAUUCUUACGCUUGCCUUGAUUUAAGCAAAUAUACUUUUAAUUAGGAAUUCUAAUUUUCAUAUUUUACCCCAAACAGAUAAUCAAUAAAAUUAUUCUCCAAAUAUGUAUUUUAAUAGCAACAAAAAUGAGAAUUCCAUAAUUAUCCCUUUUAAAAUCUUUAAUAUGACAAGUCGUAAUUUAAUGUGUUUGGUAGCUCUCCUUUUUCUUUUUUUCUCCUCUACAUCACUUUCUCCAUAUAAUGUCUUUGAUAUCCUCUCCAUAUCAUGUUGUUGAUAUCCUACCUUUGACAUUUUUUUUUAUCUAUGUGUUGAAGUGACUACACUUUUAGAUUUCUUUUCACUCUUUUAAUAUUUUCAUAUAUAUUUAUUAACUUUAAUAAAUUUUUGAAAACAUUAAACAUAAAAUUAUAAUAUAUGAUAAAUAAUUAAUGAUAACAAAUUAAAUAUAAAUAUAAGUAUGAAAUGGACAAAAAAUAAAAAAUUUAUCCUACAAAUAAUAGACUAUAUAGUUUAAAAUAUUAGUUAUAAUAAUAUAUUUGAUACUUUAGAGUUUAGAUUAAAAAAUUAUGUUUUAUUUUUUAGAGGUUAGCAUAUAAUAUUUCCAUUAAACAAAGAUUUUUUUAUAUGAAUCCUAAAUAAAAUGUUUAUUUAUUUUGCAAAUUCUUAUCAUAUGCGAUAUAUAUAUAUAUAUAUAUCAUGUUAUUUAUAAUUUUUAUUAUUUUGUGUCAAAAUCACAGUCAAUGAUGAUAAUUUUAGUUAGUAUAGAGCUCUUAAAAGGAUGAUAUGAUGUAACAAAUAUGAAGUUAUUAAUUAUUUACUGAUAUUCUGGUUUUACUUUUAUUAAUCCUUAUUCCAUACAUUAUAUUUUAUGAGCAUCCUAGUUUGACAUUUCUUAUACUAUACAUGGCUUAGGUGCAUUAGAAGUUGCACGGAAGAUCCAAGUUAUAGAUUCCUUUUUUAAUUCAAUAUUUUAAAAAAAAAAUUAUACUUUCAGUCAAUGUCUCAUAUUUCAAACACGUACACACUCUAGAAUUUCUCGAAUUGUAGUCUAGAAUGUCAACUUAGUGUUUGAUGAAAAAAGGUAUAAACAAAUAUAUGAAAAAAGUAAUCAACAAGCAUAGGAUUCUAUUUGAAUAAAAAAGAGCCACUUACAUGCAUUGAUAAAGGAAACUCCAACUCAGCUAGCAUACAAUCCAUGCCAAAGCAGAAUCUUUACGUAAGAAGUUGAUAAUGCAAUUUGCCAGGAAGGAAAACUACUCUCCAUAUUUGUAAUGUGGAAAAUCAAGGUUGGAAGGAAAUUUUCACUUACUUAUUCUGUAUAAUAUUCCCUUUUUUUUUUUUUUUUGUAAAGAAAGUAUGUAUUGUUUAUUUAUUUUUUAGAAAACAAUUAGUAAAGUGUGGUGCGAAUUCAACCUUUCAAAAAUAGUUUCUAUUCUUCAUGGUAUCGGAGCUAGUUAAUCUAAAACAAUCCAAAGCUUCCAUGGAAACCCCAGAAAAUGUUCUUAGCAUUCAGGCUUUUCAUCAAUGCUCGAGCCUCAUCUCCAUCAAACUGAAUAUGUCCAAUCUCCUUUUGUGGCACUCACAAGUUCUUCCUCUUGUGCGAAGCCUUGGAUUAGUCCAUCAUCUCUCUGAAAAUAGACACGCAUAAGAGGGGAUAAUGGAUAGUGAAACAAAGGAGACCUAUGAUUAGUCAAUAGAGACAUGGUCUCACAAUGAUGAUCUACUUACCUCCUGGCUUCUUGGACCCAUGACAGAAGAAGUGAUUCUUUUAUUGGAUGGAACAGAGAUUGCCUAUGAUGUUUGGAACUCUCUGGAAGAAAAACUCCUUCCAAUGACCAAAGAGAAGGAUAUGCAAUUGACCAAUAGACUCCGAGGGCUGAAGAAAGGCACAAGGUCCCUUGAUGAAUAUCUAAGGGAGUUCAAAGAAAUUUUUGAUGCAUUAGCUACAGUUAGAAAACCAGUAAGUGACCUAGACAAAGUUUUUCAACUAGCUCAAGGUCUCAUAACUAAAUACAUGGAUUUUCGGGUGGCCAUGUUAUCAAAGCCACCAUAUCCCUCUUACAAUCAAUUUGUUCUGGCUCUACAAGGGCAUGAACAAAUGAUUAUGAUAGAAAAUGAAGAGAACAAAGAGUCAAUAAACCAUGAACAAGCCUAUUUUACCCAAUGAGGAAGACGAAGAAAUCAAGGAGGAAGAUUUCUUUCUAGAGGUCAUGACUUCAUUCUAGCAAGACGAUUCAAUCACAAUGCUACCAAUGACCAAAGGCAGAAUGUUCAUCCCAACACCAGAAAUCCAAGAAAUAGCUUCAACAACCAGCUUCCACCAGAACAAAAACUCCAAAAAUCUAAAGGUACUCUUAUUUACCAAAUUUUUAAUAAAGCUAACCAUUCAGCUUUGGAUUGCUAGAACAGAUUCAACUAUUUGUAUCAAUCAGAAGAGAUUCCUCAAGCUUUGGCUGCUAUGGCUCUAAAUGAAGAAGAUAAGGAUCCUAAUUUUUAUGUGGACUCGAGAGCAAAAACCCAUAUAACAAAUGACCUAGGUAAGAUUACCCAAGUAAUUCCAUAUAAAGGGCAUGAUGCAAUUUUUGUUGGAAAUAGAGAAGCUGUAAGAAUCUCACAAAUUGGUGAAGCUAGACUAAAAACUAAACAUAUAGAUCUAAAGCUUAAAAAAUUAUUGGUUAUUCCAAAAAUUAAGAAAAAAUUGUUAUCCAUUGGACAACGUACCUCUGAUAACCCAUGCUCCAUAGAAUUCUCAUCAACUAGUUUUGUCAUUAAGGAUCAACUUCAACAAGUGCUAGCUAGAGGAACUAAGAAGAGAGGUCUCUAUGCAUUGGAGGAAAAUGUGAUUCAAGCCAUGAUAGUUACUAGGUCUAGCAAGGCACCAUAAGAAGUGUGGCAUCAACGCAUGGGGAAUCUGCAAACAAAAUCUAUAAAGCUUCUACAAGAUAAGAAUUUCAUUGAAGUAUCUAGUUGGAUGAAAUCAACAAUAGUUUGUGUUAGUUUUCAAUUAGGAAAAAGUUGUAAAGUUUCUUUUGGCUUAAAAAAUAAAAUUUCCAGCAAUCUUCUUGAAAAAAUUCAUUGUGACUUAUGGGGACUUGCACCAAAUAAUUCAACUCAAGGAUACAAGUAUUAUGUUGUCUUUAUUGAUGAUCAUACUCACUAUACAUGGCUUUAUCCCUUGAGAAGAAAAUCAAAUUUCUAUGAAUGUUUUUUGAAGUUUCAAAAUCUGGUUGAGAAUCAACUUGAAAGAUAGAUAAAAAUCUUCCAAAGUGAUGGUGGAGGUGAGUUUCAAUCAAUUAAAUUUCAAAAUCACCUAAGCAAGUGUGGAAUUUUGCAACGAGUCUCAUGCCCAUGAACUCCAGAACAAAAUGGGGUUGUAGAGAGAAAGCAUAAACACAUUGUUGAAAUGGGUUUAACAAUGCUUUUCAAUGCCAAAUUACCAUUGAGUCUAUGGGUAGAUGCAUUCCAUACUGUCGUAUACCUUAUUAAUCGACUGCCUUCCAUGGUGUUGAAAAUGUAGAGUCCAUUCUUUAUGUUUUUCAAACAAUAUCCAGAAUAUAGGAGCUUGAGAAUUUUUUGUUGUCGAUGUUUUCCAUACCUUUGAGACUACGGGAAGAAUAAAUUCUCACCUAAGAUAUCUCCAUGUGUUUUUAUUGGAUAUAGCUCUCUACACAAGGGUUAUAGAUGCUUGCAUCCUUCAACUAAAAGAGUUUACAUAUCUCAUCAUGUCAUCUUCAAUGAAAAUUGCUUUCCUUAUGCUAACUCUCUUGUUAAGAAAAAUCAUUUACAGAUUCCUAUAGAAAUGGUAUCAUUCUCAACUUCAGAUGUUUUUUGUGAGACUUAAAAAAUGGAUCACCAAACUAAGUCUUGGAAGGAGAACACUGCUAACCAAUCAAGCAACUCCAAGAAGUUCAACCAUUGGUCAUGCACUACUAGGUAAAGAAACUGGUUUAGUGUUGACGGAAGAAUUUCUACUAGUUGUAUUACUAACCAAAAUACAAAAGCAUCAUGUGUUAAUCCGACUGGAACUCCCACUACUAUUACUGUUGAAAUUUCCACUAUUGUUACUAGUAAAAAUGACCAUAAUACCGUCAUUACUACUGAAACUCCCACUGAUGUUGCUCUUGGUUCUAGUGGCCACAAUUUCAACACUGCAACUACUAUUGGAACACUCUCCUAGAUUGAGUCUACUAGUAGCUACAAGCCUGCCAAUGUUAGUAAUUUUCCUUAUAUCAGUAAGCACCUAGUAGUUGAUCUCUCUUUCCCUUAAAAAUGGCAGAAAAAUGAGCAUGUUGGUUCAUCUCCGCAAAACAAAUCCACCAGUCACAGUGUUGAUGAUGAAGUUCCUGAUAUUAGCAAGCAAAUUGUUGUUGACAUCUCUUCUCCUCAGGGCUAACACAUAGAUAACAAAGAAACUCAUAUGAUCACCAGAAGUAAACUCAAGAAUGAUCCCAGUUUAAAGUCUCAAAUGGUUACUUUUGUUGCCAUAAGAAGUAAUAUUAGUGAGCCAAAAACAUAUUGUACAACAUUGAAAAUUCCCUAUUGGUUCAAACAAUGCAAGAGGAAAUUAAGGAUUUAAUCCAAAAUCGAACAUGGGAUUUGGUUCCUAGGCCUCCAACUGCAAAUAUUGUGGGUUCUAAAUGGGUGUUUAAAACAAAGCUAAAGGAAGAUGGAACCAUAGAUAGAUACAAAGCACAAUUAGUUGCUAGAGAUUUUUCUCAAAUACCGGGUUUGGACUUUGGAGAGACCUUCAGCCUAGUUAUAAAGCAUACUAUAAUCAGAUUGAUCCUUUCAUUAUCAGUAACCUUGGGGUGGACAAUGAGGCAAUCAGAUGUUAAGAAUGCCUUCAUACAUGGGUUUCUAAAGGAAAAAGUACUCAUGGAACAACCUCCAGGAUUUAUAAACAAGGACUUUCUGAAUCAUGUCUACAAAUUGAAUUGUUCUCUUUAUAGCCUUAAGCAAGCUCCAAGGGCCUAGUUAAAUAAACUAUUUCAAUGUCUUCUUCAUCUGGGGUUUUACUGUGGUAAAAUAGACUCGUCUUUAUUUAUUCUUCGCAAAGGUCAGUCUAUUGUUUUGCUACUUAUCUAUGUUGAUGAUAUUAUAGUCACAGGCAAUGAUAACAACAUCAUUAGUGACCUCAUCAGCACCCUGAGUAGUGAAUUUUCUCUCAAGGACUUAGGAUUUUUGCAUUAUUUUUUGGGAUUGGAGGUUAAAUAUCUUCUUAAUGGGUUGUUUCUUUCUCAAACAAAGUACACUAGAGAUCUCCUAGAGCACACAAAAAUGAUGGAGUGUACUCAUAUCAACACAUCCAUGGCUCUUAAGUCCAUCAUCACACCUUCUGAUGAACAACCUAUUGAUCCUACAUGAUAUAGGUAACUUGUUGGAUUCCCCUAAUAUUUAACCUUCACAAGGCUUGAUUUUGUGCAUGCAGUAAACAAGGCCUACCAACAUUUCCAAGCACCCACUAAAGUUGACUUGCAAGCUGUCAAACGCAUCCUUAGAUAUUUGAAGGAAACAAUGGAGCAUGGAAUCAGGUUUUUCAAGCAAAGUUCGCUUCGUCUCACUGGUUUUUGUGAUGCUGAUUGGGCAGGAUGCACAAACACAAGAAGAAGCACAUCUAGGUAUUAUAUUUUUCUAGGAGCCAAUUGUAUCUCAUGGUCCUCAAAGCGACAACCUACAAUUUCUAGAUCAAGCACCGAGGCCAAAUAUCGAUCCCUUGCGUCCAGUGCUGCAGAAAUAACUCGGCUUACUUUCCUUCUCCAUGAUAUUGGCAUUCAACUAUGUGAACCUUCUCAAUUUCUAUGCGAUAACCUCAGUGCCCUUCACAUGACAGUACAUCUCGUCUUCCAUGCAUGGUCCAAGCAUAUUGAGUUGGACUAUCAUUUUAUUCGGAAAAAAAGUUGCAAGUGGAGUUUUGAUUACUUGUUUCCUUCCAUCGUCCUUACAAGUAGCUGAUAUAUUCACAAAGACACUCCCUAAGACUUCAUUCCAAGUCUUUCGAUUCAAGCUAGGAGUGCACAAGUUACCACUCACUAGCUUGCAGGGGGCUAAUAAAGGAAAGUCAAACUCAACUAGCAUACAAUCCAUGCCAAAGCAAUCUUUACGUGAGAAGUUAGUAAUGCAAUCUGCUAGGUAGGAAAACUACUCUCAAUAUUUGUAAUGUGGAAAAUCAAGGCUGGAAGGAAAUCUUCACUUACCUGUUCUGUAUAAUAUUCCCUUUUCUAUGCAAAUAAAGUAUGUAUUGUUUAUUUAUUUUUUAGAAAAAAUCAGUAAAGCGUGGUACAAAUUCAAUCUUUCAAAAAUAGUUUAUGUUCUUCAUGCAUGGAUAAUAAAUCCCAUGGAUAAAUUGUAUUUAGCAGCGGCUGAAGCUUUCUAUAUGACUAAAGAGAAAAAAAGUCAUUAAAAAACUAAUUGCCAUGUGACUACGUCUACCAGUAGAUAGUUGAGAACAAGGUCUAACUCUUAACCUUUUGUACUACCUUUACAAAGGAACACAAAAUUGAGAGAUUCAAAGGCAACUAUAGUAUAAAUAUUGUUUCAUAAAUUACUUUUCAAAUUUAAUUUGAUAACAAAAAUUUAGAAUACAAAAGUAUGAAAAAUUUGUUCCAUUCCCAAAAUUUUUGCAAAUAAAAUUUUAAAGUAAUAAAUUAACACCAUGACUCUUUUCACAUCUUAUUCUCCUUUCUAUCAAAGAAAUGAUAGUAAUAAUCUUAUCUAUAAAUUUUAAAUGAGGCAAGAUCAUUGAAUUUUUAUUUUCUUUUAUUUUCUUGUUAUGUAAUUAUCAAACACAUUUUUUUUUUAAGACAAAAAAAAAUUAGACUGAAGAAAUAUAUUUUUGCCCUGAUUUAGUCACUUGGAUUGCAAUUCGAAGGAUGGAAAUAAAAGUGUAUUCUUGGAGUUAAAGAUCAAUUGAAAGCUUAAAGCGGCUUGUUCUCGAAUGAAUUUAAUGAAUGACGAAGAAUACAUGUGUUGUAAUUUUUUGGAUUUGUAGGGGAAUUUUAUGAAGCUCUUUUCUCUUUGUCAGGCUUCUUUUUUUGUAUGAUUUUUUUUCUUCAUCAUUUUCAUUCAAGGAAGUCGCAUAUAUUUAGAGAUGAAAUUAAAAAAUUAAAUUUAGAAUUCCUAAGAUUUGAUUACUUAAUUAAAAAAAAUUGGUUUCUUGAUUUUAGCAACUUGUCUCCUCUAUUAAGGAAGUUUGCUAAUAAGAGAAUAUUUAAUUAUCAUUUUCUUUUGACUUCAAUUAGAAGAUUUGAUUCGUUUGUUCAUAAAAUUUGAAAACAAAAAAAAAAAUUAUUUCUAUUUUUUUAUUUCAAUUGUUUAAUUUAAUUUGAUUUUGGAAGACUUUAUUUUAUAGUUUUCCAAAUUUUGUUACAUGUCAUUUUUUGAAUUGCAUGUUACAUAUUCAAUAUACAUGACCCAUCACUUAUUAAGCAUAAAUUUCGUUGAGCUAAGGAGUUACAAUUUUGAAGACUAAUUUGAUAGUAUUUUAAUCCACUAAAAUUUUUUAUGUCUACAAAUGCCCCGUCUUCAAGACAAACACACACAUGCAUUGUCAUGUAUAAAAGAUGAGUCUUGAAGUUAGCAUUUUGAAUCUUUAAUAUCCUUCUUUGAUAUUUUUUUUUUCAAAGAAAUAUUUUAAUAGGAAAUUUCCUAUUUCAAAAUACCUUUCUUCAACUUUUUCCAAAAACGACUUUAUUUUCUUCCUUUUUUUCUACCUGGUAUCAAGGAAAGACUUUGUGUUAAUGGGAAAGUUUCUUAUUUGAACAUAUAUUUGCUUUUCUCAUGGUAUUUUCACUUCCAAUUUAUCAUCCUACAAGAAGUCCUUCACCCUUGGUCGAUUGUAUCUUAGACUUGAUCACAUGCCUUUAACUUGUAAUUCUUGCUCCACUUUAUUUAUUUUAUUUUAUUUUAUUUUAUUUUUAAAAAAGAAUACAAUGUAUAUGAGCAAGACCUUGAGCAAGAGGAGCAAGGUGGAGGGUGGAGCAUGAGCUAGCCUUAGGGUAAGACCUUGAGCAAGAGAAGUAAUGUGGAGUGUAGAUCACAAACUUCUCUGGAGCAUGGUAGGCAUACCGUCACAGAAUUGUCUUCCACAUGGAGCAUGGUAGGGUUUAUACAUAUGAUAGGGUGUGCCAUCAUGUAACAAUGAAGAACAACAAUCCAUGGUGUACAAUUGGGAACAACAAUUCAUGCUAUCAAGCUUCAACAUUUUUUUUUACCCCCAUCUCCAUUUUUUCAACUUCUUUUUUUUUUUUUUGUCCUUUUUUUUUCCCUUUUUUUAAGCAUUGUUUUUAAGGAAGAAAUAGGUUUGCCAUCCCUUACUAUGAGGUCAAUAUCCAUCACUUGCAAAGACAAAUUUGCUUUUUGAUAUUUUUUCUUCUUCAAUAAUUAACUUAACAUUUUAAUAUAUAUAUAUAUAUUUUAACAAACUUGAAUAUUCAUAAUAAAAUAAAUAUUUAAUGUCUUUACUCAUCCAAAUUAGCUUGACUUGAAUACUUAGUAGAUCCAUACUUAACACCCAUGUAGACGAGCUGUAACCUUGAUGGCAGGUUGUGUUGUAUUUUCGACACUUAAUGUGCCUUAAGAGUUAAAGUCUUCUCUCAUACAAAUUAGCUUGGUUUGGAUGCACAAUGGUGUGUAACUUUUUAACACUUUAUUAAACUUGGAACCAUAUUUAACACCCACGUAGACAAGUCAUAAUCAUGACAUGGAUCACUGUUUUAUUUUUAGCUCUUAAUGUGGCUUAAAUAUUAAAUUCUUCACUCAUACAAAUUAAAUUGGGUUAGAUGCACAAUGGUGUUCAACUUGUUAACAGUUAAUUAAAAUUAGAACCAUAUUUAACACCCAUACAAACAAGUCAUAACUUUGACGUGGAGCAGUGUUGUAUCUUUGGCUUAAUGCCGCUUAAGUGUUAAAGUCUUCACUCAUAUGAAUUAGCUUCACUUAGAUGCAUAGUUGUAUUAUACUUUUUAACACUUAAUUUAAAUUUGGACCAUAUUGAAAACCCAUGUGAACAAGACAUAACCUUGUAGUGGUGUUAUAUUUUUGACACUUAAUGUAGCUUAAAUGCUAAAGUCUUCACUUCUAUGAAUUGGUUCACCUUGGAUGAAUAGUGAUGUCUAAAUUGUAAUAAUUAAAAUUGAAACCAUAUUUAACACUCAUGUAGAUAAUCAUAACUUUGACGUAAUGGCAUUGUAUUUUUGACACUUAAUGCAGCUUAGGUGCUAAAGUUUUCACUCAUGAGAAUUGGUAUGAGUUAGAUGCAUUGUGGUGUCCAACUUUUUAACACUCAAUUAAAAUUGGAACCAUAUUUAACACCAAUGUAGAUAAGUCAUAACCUUGACGUGAAGCGAUAUUGUAUUUUUGACACUAAAUGCAACUUAGGUGCUAAAGUCUUCACCCACGCAAAUUGGUUCAUCUUGGAUGCACAAUGGUGUCGAAUUUUUUUAACAUAUAAUUAAAAUUUGAACCAUAUUUGACACUCAUGUAGACAAGUCAUAACCAUGAUGUAGAGUAGUGUUGUAUUUUUAACACUUAAUAUGACUUUACUGGUAAAUUCUUUACUCAUGUGAAUUGCCUUGAUUUGGAUGCACAACUAACUUUUUAACAUUUUAUUAAAUUGGGUAUCAUAUGUGUUGUUUUUUUAACACUUAAUACGACUUUAGUGGUAAAUUCUUUACUCAUGUGAAUUGUCUUGAUUUGGAUGCACAAUGAUGCCUAACUUUUUAACAUUUUAUUAAAUUGGUAUCAUAUUUAACACCAAUGUAGACAAGUCAUAACUUUAAUGUAGAUGCGGUGUAGUAUUUUUGGCACUUAAUAUUGUUUAAGUGCUAAAGUCUUCACUCAUGUGAAUUUUCUUGGUUGAGAUGCACAAUGGUGUGUAACAUUUUAACAUUUAAUUAAAAUUGGAACCAUAUUUAACACUCGUGUAGAGAAGUCAUAACCUUGACAUGGAGUAAUAUGCAAUUUUUUUAUAUUUAAUAUGACUUAAGUGCUAAAGUUUUCACUCAUGCGAAUUGACUUGACUUGGAUGCAUAGUGAUGUCUAACAUUUUAACACUUAAUUAAAAUUAGAGCUAUAUUUAAUAAUCAUGUGGACAAGAAAUAACUUUGACGUGAAACAAUAUUGUAAUUUUGACACUUAAUGUUGCUUAAAUGCCAAAGUCUUCACUCAUACAUAUUGACUUAGCUUGGAUGAAAAGUGGUAUCCAACUUUUUGACACUUUCUUAAAUUUGGAAUUAUGUUUAACAUCAAUAUAGACAAGUAAUAACCUUGACGCAGAGUGAUGUUAUAUUUUUAGCACUUAAUAUAGCUUAAGUGCUAAAAUAUCCACUUCUAAGAAUUGACUUGGCUUGGAUGCAUAAUGGUGUCCUACUUUUUAACACUUAAUUGAAAGUGAAAUCAUAUUUAACACCCAUUGUAUGCUAGUCGUAAACUUGAUAUAGAGCAUUGUGCAACUUUUUAACACUUAAUGCGACUUAAAGUGCUAAAGCCUUUACUCAUAUGAAUUAAUUGAACUUAGAUGCACAUUUGUUUCCAACUUUUUAAUACAUAAUUAAAAUUAAAACCAUAUUUAAAAACCAUGUAGACAAAGACAUAAUCUUAACAUGGAGCUAUGUAUAACUCUUAACACUUAAUUAAAAUUGAGAUUACACUUAACAACCACAUAUUCCUCCUAUUUUUCAAUUUUUUCUUGUGGUGAUGAUUGAACUUAACUAGUUUGUCCAAGUUGCCUAUAUACCCUUAACAGAGAGGGAAUCAAGUCAAACUUAGUUCAAAGUAUUUCUUUUAAUCUCUAACUUUUGCCAAGGCUAAUGAUUUUAAUCUUACAAGCUUGUCUUAACUUUUGACCAUAUAUGUAGUCUUUUUAGGUUUCAAUUUAACGGCCUAUAUAUGACUUGUACAAAUUGAAAAUGACUUCAAUCAUGUGUAAAAAAUAAUAAAAGAUAUUCAUUCCUAGUUUUAGGGCAACGAAAAAUAGUUGAUCCUUUUUUAUAUUAUUAUUAUUGUUGUUGUUAUUAUAAUUAUUAUUUCACCUUACAAAAAGACCUUCUGCAAUUAAUAUUUUAUACAUAUAUAUAUAUAUAUAUUUUAUCUUUUAUAUAUUUAGUUUUCAUAGUAUUUUUUAAUUCAAUAUAUAUAUUUUUUAAAUAUCUAUACUUUCGGUCAAUGUCUCAAAUUUAAAGCACGUGCAUGCUCUAGAAAUUCUCAAGUUGUAGGCUUGUGGCCUACAAUGUCAACUUAGAGUUUGAUGAAAAAGCGCAUAAACAAAGACAAAAAAAUUAAUCUACAAGUACUUGGAUUCUAUUUGAAUAAAAAAGAGCCACCCACAUGCAUGGAAUAAAUAUAUAUCCCAUGGAUUAGUUGUAUUUAGCCACGGCUGAAGCUUUCCACUAUGACUUAAAAAAAAAAAAAAAGAGGAUAAUGCCAUUAAAAAACUGAUUGCUACGUGGGUAUGCCUGCCAGUAGAUGGCUGAAAACUAAGUUCUAUUCUUUUCAAUAGUUGAGAGAUUCAAUGGCAACUAUCGUAUAAACAAUGUUUCAUAAAUUACUUUUAAAUUUUGACAGCAAAGACUAAAAAUGUAAAACCAUAAAAAAUUUGUUCCAUUCCCAAAUUUUUAAAAAUAAAAUUGAAAAUAAUAUAUUAACGCCCAUGACUGUUUUCACAUCUUAUUCUCAUUUCUAUCAAUGCAAUCAUCGUAAGCAUCUUAUCUAGAAAUAUGGCCUAGAGCCAUAGAGCUGCCUUUUCUUUAGUCCUAGAGCCAUUUCAUGAGCUAAUAGUAGUCUUUCCUUAGCAUUUCCAGCCCAAAGCUCCCAUUUCCUUAGGCCUAGAGACGUUUUCAGCCCAGAGCCGCUGUUUCUUUCGGCCUAUAACCAUUUUCAGCCUGAAGCUGCCUUUCUCUAGCAUUUUCAGCCCAAAGCUUCCUUUCCUUGGCAUAUUAGCCCGAAGCUUCUAUUUCUUUAGGCCUGGAGCCAUUUCAACCCAGAACUGUCAUUUCUUCUAAAUAGCUUCUCUUUUAAAAGACUUCAGUUUGUCUUUCUAGUCACAAAAUUUAAGGCUUUGUUCCAGGUUUGAAGAAGCUGGUAAAAAUCUGGCUGUUGACUAAGCUCAACUAAAAAACAGUAAAGCUUGCUGACCUGGGUAAUAAAUAACAGCUAUCUUGGCAGUAUUGUUAGUUAGUUAGAGGUUUUUUUUUUACUAUUAUAAAAGGUGCAGACUUGGGAAAACUGAAAUAAGGUAUUCAAUUGUACAGAAUAGAGAGCAAGAAAAGCAGAGAGCUUUGAAAUCCAUAACCACAGGUCUGUUUCGGUUUUCCUAUAGAGAAAAGAAAGAAACAGAGGUGAGGAGGGUUCUUGGGGAAAGCCUAUAAGUUCUUUGUUUUUUAUUCUUGUGUAAAUUCUGGUUGGUACAAUUUAAUAAAGGCUUCAGGAAAUCAGUGUGAAUGUAGAUCAAGUUGAUCGAACCACGAUAAUUCUCUUGUGUUCUUGAUCUUGGUUGAUUGUCUACAAGCUGUUUGAUUUUAUUCCUAAGAGAAGUUCUUGCAAACUGGUUGUCUUUUUCUGGUUUAGUUUCUGCUCUAAUAGUCCCUAAUUCAAGACUGGCUUUUCUCAACAGCAUGGUUUGAAACACAUAAUUUUCACCAUUCAAAUGCAAAACAAUUAACUAAUUUCAAAUGCUAUGUGUUGUUUCCUUCUAAUUUCCCCUUUAUUUUUUUUUCUCUCCUAUUUUCCUUCAAAUUUUUGGAAAACCAAACAGAGCCUAAAAGAAAAGAUAAUUUUACUUAUUUUGAAAGUUGUUUCAUGUUAAUUUAAUGAAGCAUUUAUAAUAUUAAGAUCGCCCUUUCAUAAUCAUGAGGUAACCUUAGUUUCAACUUCUACAAGAGGCUAAAUGAAAAAAGCUAUCACAGAGAAGAAGGCCUCAGCCAAUGAGUGGAAAAUACAAUUUUAUUAAUACUUGAUAUCAAAAAAAAGAAAAAAAAAAAAAAGGAUGAUUUUACUUUCAAACCAAGGAUUUAUUUAUGUUGAAGUGCAGUCUCCAUAUGCACAUGUGACUGCAUUUACAGGAUAAAGAAAGACAAGGAAAUUAACAAUGUUGGACUUACUGGAAAAUCAUACAAAUUAUUGAAGGAGGACCUUAGCUAGGCUAACUGUCUCCUAAAUUGCCCAUCUUUUAUAUAUCUUUGCAAUCAUCCAUCUCAUCAUCAGCUUUGAUUUUAGAUGGUGAGGAUGUGAAAGUAACAGGAAGCAGUGGACGAUUGUUCACAGUGAGGCUUAGCACAUCAGCUCUCGAAUAAUGUCCUACCACAUCGAACUGGAACUUUGCUUUAGGAAUCUCUCCACGAACAUCUGCAUAUCAAGUGAUCAUCAAAAUAUUUGAUCAGCCCGUGAUAAAUAUCAUAGAGUAUCAAGUCUUCCAUGAAACCAUGUUUGCAGUCCUUUUAAACCUAAAGAAUUGACUCAUUUGCCUUAUCUGCAUACUGAAAUAUUUGGAUAUACAAUUGGAGAAGUUAGGGCCAUACCAAGAUCAGCUGUGAAGAGGCCUUCUCCUUCAUAAUUUGGUCCUGCUAGAAUUUCGCCAUGGGGCGAAAUGAUGACACUACCUCCAGCCCAAACAAUAGAAUCUGGAGUGACAUCUUCUUCUGUAGGACUGUAAAGAUACUCAGGUGGAGGUGGGUAAUCUUUCCUCCGACAGAACUGGAUGGGUGAAAGAACAUAGCAUCCACCCUCAAUAGCGAUGUGUCUCAUUGUGGCUACCCAUUUAUCCCCGGAAUCGGCAGUAGGAGCACAAUAUAUCUCAAUACCUAUAUAUAUGAACAUUGGUAUUCUGUGAUCAAUCAAUCCCAUAUCAAAGCCACAAUGUAUUUCAAGACUGCUUAGAUUAAAACCCUAAUAAUGUAAAAGGGUGCUGGAGGUCCUAUUUGGUAAUUGUCUUCGGAACAGUUUUGAGAAAUAGUUUUUGAAAGUUGUUCUUUAAUAGUUUAUAAAACAUAAGAAUAUUUGAAACCUAAAAUAUAUUCAACUUAUUAAAAAUAAUUUUUAUAUUUAAUACUUUAUUUUUAAAUAUUCUUCAUAUUUAUAUAAUUAUUUUUUAAAACAACCUUAAAAACAAAUGAAAACAAUGAAGAAAAAAGUUUAAAAAAUAUUAUCUGAAAACAUUUUGUUUUAUGUUUCUAAGAAAAAACAAAAAGCGGUAUUCUAAUUGUCAAUUGUGUUUUCCUAAAUUUUUUUUGGAUAACAAAAGAUUCCUCUAAAAUAUAAUUGUGAAACAAAGCCAAACUAUUUCAAGCCAAACCAUACUAGUUAAUGAAGAAAAAAAAAUGGUAAAAGAUGUACCUUUGCCAUACAUUGAUGUCCUGAAAAGAGGCAUUCUAUUUUCCCAACAAAUGACCGAACCAAGUUUUCCAUAUGGAGUGUCAUAAAUUGGAGUUGUCGAGCAAUCUCCGAAACCCCAGAAGAGCCGCUCCCAAUAUGUUGGCAUGAGUUUCCUAUGUUUUCCAAGGUAAUUGCCUUCAGGAUCAAAGAAGAGAACAGUGCAAUACAAUGUGUAUCCAUCUCUCUCAACAACACCUGUCACUAAGUAGACUUUGUAUUUCGCAGCCAUUGAUGCCAAUCUAUCAACUUCAGGUCCUGAAAAUACAUUAAUAUGAG
This 412035-nucleotide long non-coding RNA is filed under the name Vitis vinifera (wine grape). RNAcentral's name for it is "long non-coding RNA (VVIN_LNC000544)". The stretch from base 54195 to 54290 matches the Rfam family "Small nucleolar RNA Z122". Lineage: Eukaryota; Viridiplantae; Streptophyta; Magnoliopsida; Vitales; Vitaceae. The record is from RNAcentral.